Molecule: long non-coding RNA, 396869 nt
Filed under: Triticum aestivum (bread wheat)
Lineage: Eukaryota; Viridiplantae; Streptophyta; Magnoliopsida; Poales; Poaceae
Description: long non-coding RNA (TAES_LNC028569)
Source: RNAcentral
UAGCUAGGCAGGCAGGGCAGGACACCAUGCAUACAUUAGAUUUAGCUUUUCCCUUAGGCCACCAUGCAUACUCCAUUUUUACUUUUCCUUCGCCAGCAUGAAUUACCUUUUCGCUUUCGAUUCGUUGUAAUCAGCAGUAGCAGUGGAGCAAUAACCUGUAAGAUGUCUAUGGUCUCUUGAGUUGAGAAGUUUCAGAAUUCAGAUGCCUAUGGUCUCUUGUUGAUUUGCCUGGAAUAAUCGUUGUGUCAUGGAGCCUGUACUUUGUCACCAUUGAGAGCAUUGGAGUAUCUUACCUAGAUCGUGGAUGUCCAUGGGCAUCUCCGAGGUCUCCGAGGUGUAUGCACUCUGCACCAGCCCCAUGGUCGGGGCGGUGCUGAUCCCGAGCCACACGGGGGCACGCCGAGGUCCACUGCGCACGCGGUGUGCCUUGGCCUUUUGCAGUGGCUCUACCUAGGAAUCGUCGAUCGUCGCCGUACCUUUCUCCUCCCCUUUCGCUGGUCAAAUGCGUAUCCUCACCUUUUGCAGUGGCCGCCUUAAAGCAACUCCAACGCGCGCGGACCCAAAUGAAUGACGAUUUUAUUCGUUUUUUUCUGUUUGGGUCGGUCAUGUUAGAACUGGUGAAAGCGUUUCUACUUUCCUCGAGGGAGAGCCACAGACGUCUAUUUAUUGAGGCAGAACCUUGCUGUGAAGUACAAGAGAUGGAUUAGGAAUCCAGCUAUCACAAGGAGAUAGAAGCCACUUUAGCUAGAUUUUAGUCAGUUGACUUUUAGUUAUUUGGUUAGUCGAUUUUUUGGCUCUUGAAUUGUGUUUUAAGAUUUGUGUGGUUCUUCUUUUUUCUGUCACGUUUUGCUGGUGUACUGGGCUGGGCUGUUUGAAUUUGACUGACUCCUAUUUUGGGCGAGUCAAUUUUGUUCUUCGGCUGGAUUUUGGUGCGUGCAUGCUUUUUUCCAUGGGUUCGCUUUUGUUUUCUGCACGUGUACGCUUUUAUUUUCUAUUUACCAGUUGAAUUUUGUUUUUUUUUUCUUUGUGUGUAUUCCGGAUGUUGAGUAUGUGUAAAUGUAUACAUGUACNNNNNNNNNNNNNNNNNNNNNNNNNNNNNNNNNNNNNNNNNNNNNNNNNNNNNNNNNNNNNNNNNNNNNNNNNNNNNNNNNNNNNNNNNNNNNNNNNNNNNNNNNNNNNNNNNNNNNNNNNNNNNNNNNNNNNNNNNNNNNNNNNNNNNNNNNNNNNNNNNNNNNNNNNNNNNNNNNNNNNNNNUAUAUUAUAAGAAGUGCAUUUUUUGUGCUAAUUGUGUGGAAAUUUUUGUUUUUUUCAUUUUCUUUAUUCCUAAGGGUAAUAGCAAUUCUAAUUGUUUUGUGCUAUUUUUUUCUAAUUAAAUACAUUUUUAUUAUUAUGUGUAUGAAUGCAUGAGAGUACUAUACAAUAUUUGUGUAAAUUAUACUAGACUGCUAAAGUUGCAUUAUUAUAUGUGUAUUCGCUGCAUAUUAUAAAAAGUUCAUUUUCAUUGCAAUGUUGUGUGCAAGUUUUUUUUAUUUUCUUUCUUCUUAAGAGUAAUACCAAUGUCACUAAUUUACUAUAUCUUAGAAAACUUUAUUUGUUUUAUUAAGUUUAGUUUUUAAUUCAUAUCCUAUUUUUAAGGACGAUACCAAUGCCACUAAUUCCUUCCUUGUUUAAAAACUUUGUUUUUAUGUAAAAUUCACUAUUAUAUGUUUAUUCUUGCAUCACUAAAAAAUUGCAAUUUAUGUGUAAGUUCUGUGAAAAUUGUAUCAUUAUUAUCUUUACUUUAUUUCUUCCUAAAGGGUGGUACCAAUGCCACUAUACUUGAUUUCUUCUUAGAAAAAUCUAUUUUUAAUUUUGUGUUUGUAAGUAAGUAUACACGCAAGUAUGAUACACCAUGUGUGUAAAUUAUAGUGGAGAGCAAAAAUUGCACUGUAUAUGCUUAUUUUUUGCAUAUUACAAAAGUGUAAUUUUAGGUUAUACUUGUGUGCAAGUUAUUUUUUAAUUUUCUAUCUUCUUAAAGGGUUUCAUUUUCCCCUAGAAGACUCCAUUAUUUUGUUUUAGUUUUAGUUUUAGUAUUUUUUUCUUAAAGGGAUUCAUUAUUCCUUAGAACAAUUCAUUAUUUUGUUUUAUUUUUAUUUUUUGUUUUCUUUCUUCUUAAAGGGUUUCAUUCUUCCCUAGGAAACAUUAUUAAUAUUUUUUGGGUUUUUUAUUUUCUUUCUUCUUAAAGGGUUUCAAUCUUCCCUAGAAAAUUUAUUAUUUUGUUAUUGAUUUUUAUUUUCUUUCUUCUUAAAGGGUUUCAAUCUUCCCUAGAAAAAUCAUCAUUUUGUUUUCAUUUUCAUUUUUAUUUUUAUUUUAUUUCUUUAACGGUAAUUCCAAUAUUUUUCCUCUAUUAUGUGGUUAUCCUUUUGUAUUAUAAAAAGCGCAAUUUUUGUGUAAAAUGUGUGCACUAAAUUAUUCCUUCUUAGGAAACUUAUUUUUUGCGAAACUUAUUUUUGAUUCCACUAAAUAAUUCCUUCUUAGGAAACUUAUUUUUUGCGAAACUUUCACCAUUAUAUACUUAUUCUUGCAUAUUAUAAAAAUGCAAUUUCUGUAUAAAUUGUAUACAAAUUUUGCCAUUAUUUGAAAUAUAUAUUCAUUUUCUCUAGAAAACUUCAUUAUUUUUACUUUGUUUCAGUUUUUAUUUCAUUAUUUUCUUCCUUAAGGAAAUACUAAUGCCACAAAUUCAUUCCUUACUAGAAAACUUUUUUUUGCGAAAAAUCCACUAUUAUAUGCUUAUUCUUGCAUAUUAUAAAAAGCCCAAUUCGUGCGUAAAUUGUGUGCAUUUUUUAAUUUUCUUUCUUUCACUUUUAAGGGCGAUACGAAUGCAUAUUAUAAAAAGACGCAAAUUCUAUGUAAAUUAUGUGCAAAUUCGGUUAUUAUUUCUAUGAGUUUCUUUUUCAUUUCCUUUCUUCUGGAGGGUAAUACCAAUGCCACUAAUUCAUUCUUACUUAGAAUACUUCAUUAGUUUGAUUUUGUUUGAUUUUUCUUCAUUUUCUUUCUUCAUUAUGGGUAAUACCAAUGCUAGUAAUUCAUUACUUGUUUGCAACCUUUUUUUUUUGAGAAAAUUCCACUAUUAUAUGCUUAUUCUUCUAUAUUAUAAAAGAGUGCAAUUUUCUGUGUAAAUUGUGUGCAAAAUUCAUCAUUAUUUUUUUGAUUGUUUGCAUUUCCAUUUUUCUUUAAGGGUAAUACCAAUGAUACCUUCCAAAAAUGCCUUAUAAAAAGGUAGUACUAAUGGCACUUAUUCAUUUCAUUUUUAAAAAGUUUUCUUUGCGAAAAAAUCCACUAUUACAUGCUUAUUUUUGCAUUUAUGAAAAUGCGCAAUUUCAUUGUAAAUGGUUUGCAGUUUUUGUCAUUAUUUGUUUUCGUUAUCUCUUUCUGUCAUCUUUAAGGUUAGUACCAAUGCCACUAAUUCAUUCUUAGAUACCCUUUUUUCACAAAAUUCCACUAGUAUAUAAUUAUUCCUGGAUAUUUUUUUAAAAAAGUGCAUUUUCUAUGUAAAUUGUGUGCAAAUGUUGUCAUUUUUUUUUAAUUUUGUCUUCCUAAAGUGUAAUACUAAUGGCAUGAAUGUAUUAUUAAAAAAAAAUAAACUUCUUUAUGGGUAAUACUAAUGGCAUCAAUUCGUUCCGUCUUAGAGAACUUUCAUUUUGCAAUAAUUCCUCUAUUAUAUGCUUAUUCUUACAUAUUGUAAACAAUCGUACUAGCAAUCUUCCUGUACAUACACAUUAUCAGCUCAUACCGUGCACCAAACGGUGCUAGAUCGAAUCAUGUCUUGUCCAAUCGGGCUCAGCUCAUCUCAUUAUACACACACGUAGGACAACUCGUCAUAGCACCGCUUGGUUAUGAAACAGUACCAGAUUAAAGAUUUUUUAUUACGGAAACCAAAUUAAAGAUUCCACGAGUCAGCUUUACUACUAUUAGUUAGCCUGCAUGGCCGCCACUAGGCUGGUUCACUACCACCGCUAACCACACCACAGCUAGCAGCCUAGCGGUGCAUGUCGUUACAGUUUUGUCAAUAUUAAGGCAUGCACCAGCCGGUCCACUACUACCAAGGAAAGCGUCGCUAGUACACACAUUGACUGAAACAAAAUGUGGUCGACUAAUAUUGUUUUCAGUGGACUGUCAUCUAGUCGCUCCCGAUAGAAGUAGAUACAGGAUAGAAGAGAUUGAGAUAGUUAAAAUUACAUGGAGAACAUUUCUCAAACUCUAAUACCCUCCCAUAAUCUAAACUAUCAUAUGUUAAGAUUUCUCUUGAAUUCUUCAAAAGGUUUAACUGGCAAGGCUUUAGUGAACCCAUCUGCUAUUUGAUCCUUGGAUGGAAUGAAUCUUAUGUCCAACUUCUUCUCUGCCACUCUUUCUCGCACAAAAUGAAAACCAAUUUCAAUAUGCUUAGUUCUGCCAUGAAAGACUGGAUUAGCAGAGAGAUAGGUGGCUCCCAAAUUGUCACACCAUAAACAUGACACAUGUUGCUUAAUUCCCAACUCAUUAAGCAAUGAUUCCACCCAAAUAAUUUCAGCAGUGGCAUUUGCAAGUGAUUUGUACUCAGCCUCUGUACUUGACCUUGAUACUGUAGCAAUACAUCCUGCCCAGUCAGCAUUAGAGAAAGCAUUAACAAGGAAGAACUAGAACGUCUGAACUGAAGUCCAAACUCACAGUGUGCUUAAUGUAUCGUACAAUGCUUUUGACAGCUGUCCAAUGAGUGGUGGUAGGAGCAUGCAGAUAUUAAAAAACCUUGUUUACAACAAAUGAUAUAUCUGGUUGCGUCAAAGCCAAGUACGGUAGAGCUCCAACAGUGCUUCUAUACUUUGUACUCUCUUCCUCCUUAAGUAAUUCACCUUCAUGUGCUGAAAGCUAUUCUGAAGAAGACAAUGGUGUGGGAGGUGACUUGCAGUCUUUCAUUCCCAUACGAGCCAAAAAUUCAGUGGCAUAUUUUUCUUGACUCAACACAAUGCCAUCUUGAAUCUUUUUAACUUCAAUACCUAGGAAGAAGUGUAAAUCAUCGAGAUCCUUCAAAGCAAAUUCUGAACUUAAGUUAUGCAAAAGAGCAUUAGUGGCAUUUUGUGAGGAGCUUGCAACUAUGAUGUCAUCAACAUAAAUGAGCACGAACAUGACAGUAUUUGCCUUGUUAUAAAUGAAGAGAGAAGUAUCUGCUUUGGAUGCCACAAAAUCAAGAUGUUUCAAUUGUGAGCUCAGCUUUGAGAACCAUGCACGAGGGGACAGUUUCAGACCAUAAAGAGCCUUCUCAAGUUUGCAAACUGUCGGGGUUUUGGUGCGACAUAUGCCAAAGGAUGGCUUAUCAUGGUGGGGGAGAGUAAGAUGUCGCCGGUGCCUGGAAACGGGAUGAGGCGUAAACACGAACACCGACGCACUUUACCCAGGUUCGGGGCUCUCCUAGGAGAUAACACCCCUAGUCCUGCUCAGUGGGGUCUCCGCAUGAUCACUAUCUCAACAAGUAGCUACAAGUUGCUCCUUGAGCUGUUUUGCUAGAGGAGGAAGAAGGGCAGGGCUAUCUCUACUCCUCUCUCUAUGUGUGUGUGUGGUCUAAGAGGCUGAACCCUUUGCAUGGGUGCCCUGGGGGGUUUAUAUAGGCCUACCCCCCAGGGGUACAACGGUAAUCUGGUCGGAUGUGGGACCCGGCCAUCAGUGUCUCUGGUGGCCGGCUUCUCCGCCGGCUGCUGGGGCCCGCCGCCUGGUGGGUCCCGCCGACUGUCUUGUACUUGGCCGACAGGUCGCGCCCGCCGAUUGCUUAGCACUGUGGCAGUGCCUUUGAUGAUGUGUGCUUUGUCGGGGAGAGCGUGGCUACAGUCCCGCCGCCUGGUGGGCGUUCACUGUAGCCACUCUCCAUCUCUUCUGGUUAAUGGCGCACAAACUCCAAGGAAGGGGGAGGGCCGCCUAGUCAGGAGCCGGCCUCCCCCUGAGCCGACUGGUCAGGGCCCGCCGCCUGUGGGCCGUACCGACAACCCGUUGUGGGAGCAUGGCCUUCUCUGCCAUGGGUGAUGUCAUGGGCGAUGUGGCAACAGUGUUGCGCCGGGCGAGGAAUGUCCGCCCAGUACGCUGCACUGUGGCCAUGGUCCGCCCUGGAUUCGGGGGUGGCAAGCUGCACUGUAGCCACGGCCCGUCUCGUCGUGAUUACGAGGGUGCUAACUUUCAGGGCACGAGGGGCCGCCUGCUAGAAGCCGGCCUAUCUGGAGGCCGCCUGCUAGGGGUCGGCCCACUCGGUGGCCGUCUUCUGGAAUCCGCCGCCUUCUAGCAGCCGGCCCCAAGAAGGCGGUCUUUUCCUUGAUGCUUGACGGGCGCAGCCGGCCCCGAUGUCUUGAAAUACCAAGGGAGCCUGAUGAGGCUACCGGUGGUCAUUUACUCCGACAGUAGUCCCCGAAGCUGGUGGGGCGCCGCGGCUGAGAAGGCGAGGAGCCCCAGCAGCUUCCUACUCCGAGUGGUCAGGUCGCUUUGGUUCCGUCUUCCAAAGUGCCGGCUGGCAGGAGUCGGACGUGACCAGGCAGGCCGCUUGGUGAUUUUGAAACGUCGUGGCUGGAGCCAGGUGGCACGCCAGCCGGGCGCCAGGCUUGCCGCCCGCUGUUCGCACACCAUGCGGCGCCAGCCAGCCGGGCCGGCCUGCCAGCCCACGCGUGCGACGGGACGUCGCCGCAGGCAGGGGCCCGCCACUACCGGGCCUCGGCACGCGCGCGGAUCUGCUGUGGCCGAGGUGGACGGUUGAAAUUCCGAGGUGCAGUCAUUAUCCGCUGUUAUGGCGCGGUAAUCAUGGGGUCGUGGGCGCAGUUAUCCCACGACCCCCACGUUCUCGCCCCCUCGGCUCCGCUGCCUGGGGCUAUAAGUAGGGGGGAGGAGGGGGGCAGCAGACGCACGCGCGCCCUCCUCUCCCUUUUCGUUCGCCGUUUUUUCUUCUUCUUCUCCGCUGCCGCAGCGCCUCUUCCUCUCGCCGAAGCGCUGCCGCAACUCUCCGUCAUUGGGAUUCUUCUUGCCGCGGCCUUCUCGCUCCGCCGCGGUUCCGCCCGCUCGCCACCGCACCGUGCCUCCGACGAGCUCCAUCGUCCAUGGCGCGCUUACGGUCCGGCGAUUGGGACGGCUCCAACGUCCAUGAGGAUCACCUCAUGUUUCUUCAUCAGACGUGGCGGCUGCCCCAGGAGGCGAACGUGAAGGUACGCGUCCCCCCCCAUGACUGAAAUCUCGUCGGUGCCGGAGGAGGACGAGCGCGUCGUCUUCCGGUCACAUUUCCUCCUUUGCUUCGGCCUUCCGGCGAGCGGCUUCUUUUGCACUUUCCUCAAUUUCUACCAAGUCCAGCCGCACCACCUCACACCAAACACGGUGGUGCUGCUGGCCGCCUUCGUCACCAUGUGUGAAGGUUACCUCGGCACUCUCCCCACGCUCGAGCUCUGGGCCGAGUGCUUCUACAUCAAGCUCGGCACCGCCGCCAAGGGCACGCCGGCUCAGUGCGGAGCCUGCGUAGCGGUGCGGCGUCCGGGUGCCGAGAACCGCUUCCCGGCCAUCACUGUGCUGCAGUCGGCCAAGCUGUGGCAGAAGUCCUACUUCUACGUCAAAAAUCUCCACCCGACGAUGGACUACAUCAACAUGCCGGCUUACGUAGCCGGCCCGCCUGCUGAGCCGCGUGCCAGCUGGCGGUACAAGCCGGCCACUCUGCCGGCCACCUCCAACGCCGCCCUCGCCCGAAUGCAGGUGAUGAUGGAGUCGGAGGGCCUCAAGGGCUCGGACCUGCUGGCCGCCUACGUGGCGCGCCGAGUGCUUCCCCUUCAGGCCCGACCGCACAUCAUCAGUAGCAUGAGCGGGCACCAGGACCCAUGCCGGAUGUGCACGCGGGACCUGCUAGACGUGGAGGUGGUCCGACUGGUCAAUUACUUCUCCAACUUCAAGCUGUCGGAGAAGGACUGGCAGUUCGGCAAGCAGCCGUACGACCGCGCGCACCUGCCGCCUGCGGUGAGUCUUGUUGUUCUUUUCUUUCCUUUGCUUGCUCGAAUUCUUUUUUGCCGUCUGGUCAGUCGGCAAUGGAACGGGUCUUCUAGACCCAGUCAGCCGCCGAUGCUCUAGAGCCGGGCUACGUGUUCAUGCCGGACCGGACGCGAAGCGAUGUGGAUGACCCCGACUUGGGGGCGGCCGCCAUGGAGGAUGACGACGCCACGGGUGGCGGUGGCGGAGCAGGCGGCUCCAGAGGAGGAGGCGGCCUCGAGGACUGGCCAGAUGACGACGAGGAGGAGAACGAGCCACGCCACCCACCGGUCGCCAACAAGGCGGGCGCGAGCUCUUCAGCUGCGCCGACUACACCAGGCGGCACACCAAAGCACCGAGCCGGCUCGCUGCUGUUCGGCAGCCGGCCGAAGAAGCUCAAAAGCUUGUCCGCCACGACCAAGCGGUAGGAGGCCGCCGCGAGGGCGGCCCAGUUCCAGAAGGCCCCAAAGCAGCCCCCGAUGGUCUCCGCGUAAGUGCUCGAUUUUCUUGCGUUUCCCUUUCUUGUUUCUUGCAAACUCUUUCUGAGUUUCUUCUUUUUCUUGUUUGAACAGGGCUCCGCUCUCUCUUGAGCGGUCGGCCUCUGCUUCCGUGAUCGGGGCGGCGGAAGGUUCCGCCAACACCCGCCGCAUAAACCCGCUCGCUGACCUCUAGGAGGUGACAGAAAAGAAUGCGCGGGAGGCGCGCGAGGAGCGGGAGGAGGCGGAACGACAGAGGGCGGAGACGGCCAAGGCGGCACAGGAGAGGGCGGACGCAGCGGCCAAGGCCCAAGCCGAUGCCGCGGCUAAGGCUUAGCCGGACGUCGCGACCAAGGCAAAGGCGGACGCGACCGCCAGGGCGCAAGCGGAAGAGGCCGCACACGGCCAGACUCCGCAGCUCGUCAUCCCCAUGCAUUCCGCGCCGCCGGUGCCAGAGAUCCCGGUGCCGACUGGAGGAGUCGGCGAUGACCAGCCGGUCAUGGAGAGGGAGGAGGGCAACGCCGUCAUCUUGAGGGCGGAGGUGCCCCUGCAAGGGCCGACUGCCGAGGCCCACGGCAGUCGGCCUGACGUGCUGUUGGCACCGCCAGUCGGCGGCGAGCUGGUGGUGGGGGUGACCCCCGUGGUCCGCACUCUGGCAUGCUGGAGUGCGGCAAAGGCGACUUCGGCGCCGCGGCCGCAGGAGAUCGGGGACGCAAGCUCGUCGGCCCCUGAAGCGGAGGCCACCAGUGCCGCCCCGCGAGAGUGUAUGUCUGGGGAUGGGAUGAGUGUCCUGAACAAGGCUGCGCAUGAGGUUCAGACCCAGCUUCAAGCCCAAGGCACCACCCUCCAGAACUACACGAAGGCGUUCUUGCCGACGCGAGCAGCCGUCCGGGUAUGCCUCUUGUACUUUGUUUUGAUUCUUGUACUCUUCCGUGGGGGCGCGCCAGCGCACCCACUGGGUGUAGUCCUCGAGUUCCGGGCCGGCUGCUGAGCAGGCGGCUCGGAACUUAAAGGUAAGUUCCGAGUGCCGACCCUUUCUUUCCUUCUGUUGUCUUUGUUGCAGGAUUACCACAACAUCUGUGUGGCCGCCUUCAACUCCCAGGUCCAGGAACUGGCCAAGCGGACCACUGAAUUGUUCGACAGCCGAAGUAAGCCUUCAUCUUUUCUCUCUUGCGGGGGCGCGUUAGCGCACCCGCUGGGUGUAGCCCCCGAGAUUCGGGCCGACUGCUGAGCAGUCGGGCCGGAUCUCCCGGCAACCACUUUUCUUAUUUGUCGAUUUGUUGAUUUUCUUGUCUUUGUAGAAGCCAACACCGCCUUGCAGCAGCAACUGGGCGAAGCCCAAACCGCACUGCACGCCAAGGAGGAGGAGUGCAACAAGGUGGCCCAGGAGCGCAACCGCCUGGUCAAGGAGCUGGCGGACCAGGUGGACCGUCACAAGGCGGCCCUCCAGAAGGCGAAGGACAGCGAGGCCAGGCUCCUGGCCGAGUUCGAGACCGAGCGCUCAUCCUGGGCUGAGACAGAGAAGGCGCUGAAUGACGGCUUCGGCGAGAUCGAAGACAUGAUCGACGGUGAGUUAUCUUUCUUCUCUUUCUGCCGCCGACAAUUAUAUGAGCCGGCUUCUGAUUUAAGACUUCUUCUUUUUGCCUGCACCAAUUUCUUCCCUGGCUAUGCCGUUGCCGCCAGCCAGGCCAUCGAGGCUUGCCGCGACGAGCGAAGGCAAGCUGGUACGGAGAUCGCGCCCAACGCCCCUCAGACUCUCGCCGAGCAGCUUCUUGCCAUCCAGGCUCAUCUCCAUCCGGCUCAUCGGAUGCUCCACCGCCUGCAACGUGUCAGAGCCCAAGUGAUCUCCGCCCUCUGGCCAGGUGUCCAGGCUCCGCGCACCCCCAGUCGGACCGCUGACUGGUUAGAUGUGGCUUUCGGACGCUUUGAGGCGUGGAAGGGCUCCUCAGCCCGGGCAAGCGCAUGGCGGGCCUUGGAAUUCGUCAAGGCGUGGUAUCCUGGGCUAAGCCUAGCCCAAUUGGCCACAUUCGGGCAGGAAGCCAAUGCGGAGUUGGUGGCGGUGAGGCGUGAGCUCACUCAACGCGCGGCGGCGAUCGCCGAGUACACCGUGACCGGCGUUUUCCUCCCCGAGCUGGACGAGGAGGGUGCUGAGGUGCCGCCGAACUGGUUCGGGCUGAACCCGGACGACGGUGAAGACUCGAUGGAGGAGAUCGCCUCCAGUGACGAAGGCAAGGACGAGGAGGGCAAGGAUGGUGGAGACGACGCGCCGGAUGUCGGAGCGGACAGCCAGCCUCAGCUCGACCGUGCCUCGAGCAACGAGCCGCGUGCGAGUGCGUCGACUUCUGCUGAUGGCGACCAAGCCGAGACUUGCCAGACGGCCACUCCACUAGCCAGCGUCGCCGACUCCACCAGCCUGCCGGACCCGCCUGCUGCUCCUUUGGCCUAGGCGGCCAAUUUUAUCUUAACUUUUCAUGCUUUGUAGUCUCGCGAACAAACUUGUUAAAUGUGCGCAGUUCCACCCGCUGGGGGUGUAUUCAAACUUCGUUGAAUGCUGGCCAAGGGCCUUUUGAUAUGUAAAUUAAAUUCCGCAUGAGUUGUGCUUUGCCGAGUUCCGACUUGUCUUGCUUCCUGUUCUUUUGGAUUUUUUCCUUUGUUGCCUUCCCUUGGAUGCCGCCUUGCCAGCCAGACAGCCGCUUUGCGGUCUGUGGCCUGGUCAAGUACUUAGCCAUUUGGGAGGGCAAGUACUUUGGCCGUUUUAGAACAUAGCAAGUAAGUAAGAAGCCGACCGGCCGGCUGCUCAGCAUCCGGUCGGUGAGGCAAGGAGCCGGCUUGGCCUAUGUGAGUGCUUUUUGUCCUUAGCCAUUUUUCAUGUGGGCACCGUUUCUUGCCUUUAACUCUUGCCAGCCGGACAGUCGUUCUGCGAACUGCGGCUUAUGGCAAGAAAGGGCUUAGAUGCCAGCACAUUACUUGUCCGACUGCAGGUAGCACCGAGAUAGUACAAGGCGGCAAGCCCCCGGGCCGACUGGUCGAACCCGGUGCCAGGCGAAAGAAUGAAAUAACACAUUCAUAGGCAUAAAAACUUAUCAUAUAGAUAAAAAGAGUAGCCCCCGAGUGCUCCUCGAGGGACCCGAUGUCUUUGCGCUUAAUACAAAAGGUAGCAUGGUACGUACUGCAUGAACUGUAAAAUCUUCGAAGCAGAUUUGCAUUCCAUGGGCGCUUGGUCUCCUUGCCGGAGUCGUCCCUCUUGUGUGCCCUGGGCUUCUGUGCAUCGAUCAGGUAGUAGGAGUCGUUGCCCAAUGCUUUGCUGAUGAUGAAGGGGCCUUCCCAAGGGCCGAGAGCUUGUGCUGGCCGGCUGUUCGCUGGAUCAGCCGGAGCACAAGGUCCCCCUCUUGGAAGGAUCUUGGCUUGACCUUCUGACUGUGGUAGCGGCGCAAACUCUGCUGGUUGAUGGCGGACCGCCUGAGUGCCAACAGCCGGCCCUCUUCCAGCAGAUCGACGCCAUCUUCUCAUGCUUCCUUCGCAUCUGCCUCCGUGUACAUGGUGACCCGAGGUGAGUCGAACUCAAUGUCAGUUGGGAUGACAGCCUCGGCCCCGUACACGAGGAAGAAAGGAGUGAAGCCGGUUGACUUGUUCGGAGUGGUGCGCAGGCUCCAAAGGACGGCCGGCAGCUCGUCAAUCCAGCAGCCGGCCGAACACUCGAGUGGCUCGACCAGUCGGGGCUUGAUGCCGGAGAGGAUGAGGCCGUUUGCUCGCUCGACUUUGCCAUUUGACUGCAGAUGGGCAAUAGACGCUAAGUCCAGUCGGAUGCCCUGCGUCAUGCAGAAACGAGCCAAAGCGCCUUUGGCAAAGUUUGUGCCAUUGUUGGUGAUGAUGCUGUGUGGUACACCAUACCGGACGGUGAUAUCGGCAAUGAAGGUCACAGUAGCCGGACCGUUUAGCUUUUUGAUUGGCUUCGCCUCAAUCCACUUGGUGAAUUUGUCUAAGGCGACAAGUAAAUGAGUCAUGCCGCCGCAUGCUGUUUUGAAUGGGCCCACCAUGUCCAGCCCCCAUACGGCAAAGGGCCAAGUCAGGGGGAUGGUCCUGAGUGCAGAAGCCGGCAGAUGUUGCUUGGAGCUGAAUUUCUGGCACCCUUUGCAUUUCUUGACCAGAUCCUUGGCAUCUUUUAGAGCAGUCGGCUAGAAGAAACCGUGGCGGAAGGCCUUGGCCACAAGGGAUCUGGAGGCCUCGUGGUGGCUGCACUCGCCUUGGUGGAUGUCUUUGAGGAUUGCUUGGCCCUUCUCUAGCUCUACGCACCGCUGGAACACGCCAGUGACGCUGUGCCUCACAAGUUCUCUGUUGACGAUGGUGUAUGCUGCUGCCCAACGUUGCACCUGUCGGGCCAAAAUCUUGUCGGCUGGUAGCUCUCUACUCACCAGAAAGUUGAGGAUGGGCUGCGCCCAUGAUGGUGCUUCGAUUUCAUCAACUGUCAUCACGGCCACUGAUACUAGGGCGGCUGGGUUGGGUGGCGGUGGGGUGGAGUCGGCUGCCGCUUGCUGCGUCAUUGAAGUCCCCGGGCCGACUGCUGCAGCCCCCUGAUACGUCUCCAUCGUAUCUACUUUUCCAAACACUUUUGCCCUUGCUUUGGACUCUAACUUGCAUGAUUUGAAUGGAACUAACCCGGACUGACGCUGUUUUCAGCAGAAUUGCCAUGGUGUUAUUUUUGUGCAGAAAUAAAAGUUCUUGGAAUGACCUGAAAAUCAACGGAGAAUAUUUUUGGAAUAUAUAAAAAUACUGGCGAAAGAAUCAAGGCCAGGGGGCCCACAUCCUGUCCACGAGGGUGGGAGGCGCGCCUACCCCCCUGGGCGUGCCCCCUGCCUCGUGGGCCCCUGGUGCUCCACCGACCUCAACUCCAACUCCAUAUAUUCACGUUCGGGGAGAAAAAAAUGGGAGAGAAGGAUUCAUCACGUUUUACAAUACGGAGCCGCCGCAAAGCCCUAAACUCUCUCGGGAGGGCUGAUCUGGAGUCCGUUCGGGGCUCCGGAGAGGGGAAUCCGUCGCCGUCAUCAUCAUCAACCUUCCUCCAUCACCAAUUUGGUGAUGCUCACCGCCAUGCGUGAGUAAUUCCAUUGUAGGCUUGCUGGACGGUGAUGGGUUGGAUGAGAUUUAUCAUGUAAUCGAGUUAGUUUUGUUAGGGUUUGAUCCGUAGUAUCCACAAUGUUCUGAGAUUGAUGUUGCUAUGACUUUGCUAUGCUUAAUGCUUGUCACUAGGGCCCGAGUGCCAUGAAUUCAGAUCUGAACCUAUUAUGUUUUCAUGAAUAUAUGUGAGUUCUUGAUCCUAUCUUGCAAGUCAUUAGUCACCUACUAUGUGUUAUGAUCCGGCAACCCCGAAGUGACAAUAAUCGGGACCACUCCCGCUGAUGACCGUAGUUUGAGGAGUUCAUGUAUUCAAUAAGUGUUAAUGCUUUGGUCCGGUACUCUAUUAAAAGGAGGCCUUAAUAUCCCUUAGUUUCCAAUAGGACCCCGCUGCCACGGGAGGGUAGGACAAAAGAUGUCAUGCAAGUUCUUUUCCAUAAGCACGUAUGACUAUAUUCAGAAUACAUGCCUACAUUACAUUGAUGAACUGGAGCUAGUUCUGUGUCACCCUAUGUUAUAACUGUUGCAUGAAUGAUCGCAUCCGACAUAAUUAUCCAUCAUUGAUCCAAUACCUACGAGCUUUUCACAUAUUGAUCUCUGCUUAGUUACUUUACCGUUGCCACUGUUACAAUCACUACAAUACUGCUACUGUUACUUUUGCCACUAUUACCAUUACUUCCAUAUUACGUUGCUACUAAAUACUUUGCUGUAGAUAUUAAGUUAUCCAGGUGUGGUUGAAUUGACAACUCUGUUGCUAAUACUUGAGAAUAUUCUUUGGCUCCCCUUGUGUCGAAUCAAUAAAUCUGUGUUGAAUACUCUACCCUCGAAAACUGUUGCGAUCCCCUACACUUGUGGGUUAUCAAGACUAUUUUCUGGCGCCGUUGCCGGGGAGCAUAGCUCUAUUCUUUGAGUCACUUGGGAUUUAUAUCUGCUGGUCACUAUGAGGAACUUGAAAGACAAGAAAACCAAAAUUUAUCCCUCAACUACGAGGGGAGGUAAGGAACUGCCAUCUAGCUCUGCACUUGAUUCACCUUCUGUUUGAGUAAGCUUGCGACACCUAAACCUGCUUCUGCUAUUAAUUCUGAUAUGUCGCAUGUUAUUGAUGAUGCCACUUCUGCUUUGCAUGAUACUUAUGAUGAAACUACUUCUAUGCUUGAUAAUACUGUGCCACUAGGUGAAUUUCUUGAUGAACAACUUGCUAGGGCUAGAGAGAAUGAAAUUAUUGAAAUUGAUAAUAUUGAUGAAAGUGAUGAUGAAGAUUCUCCCCCUAGAUAUGAAUUGCCUGUUGUGCCUGAGGGUUAUGUUAUGGAUGAAGAAACUGCUAGAGAUUUUCUUGCUUGCAAUGAUAGGAAUGAUCUUAAGAAAUUAUUAGCUAAGCUGAAAGAAAAAUCUCUAAGAGGUUGUUUGGAUAAGUAGAAUAUAUAGAAUCCAUUCUCUAUAAAGCUGGAAAACAGUCUAAUCGAAUAAAAUCCCGUUUGGCUACUUCAACUAAUCCCUGGAUAUAGGAAACUUGGUUUUCUAAAACCUGGAAUUCUGCGUUUAUAGAAAAACGACUAUGAGUCGUUUUUCUAAAAACUCGAUUUGCGUAUACCUAGUCUCGUUGCCUCCUACUCCACGCCGUCUGUCCGCGCGGCAGUCAUGCCUCCGCCUCCUCGGUGUCGUCUGUGGUGGUCACGACGCCUUCUCCUCCAUGCCGCCCGCCAUGGUCCCGCCUCCUCCUCCUCCAUGCCGUCCGUCAUGGUUGCACUGUCGACCAUGGUUGUGCAUCGUCUCUUCCUCCACACCGUCCAUCUUUGCAGGGCUGUCGGUCGUGGUCCUGCGGUGAUCACGUUGUUCGCCAUGGUCGAGUCUCCAUCGAGGCCAGCUCCUCGACGGUCUAUUUGCAGCAUGGACGUACAUCCACUCUGUUUGCAGUCUGGACGACCGGCGUCGAGGGGCGGCGGGUGUACGUCCGAUAGCAGCUUCCUAUUGCUGGUCAUUGCCCUGAACUUGCGCUCUCUGGACGUGUACGUGAUGGCCACGAACAUCAUGCUCGCGGAUGCCCUGCGUACCGGUGUGGACAAAGCAGCCUGCUUACUUACCGUCGAGGCGCUCGUGGAGGCAGAGCGGCACGGUGAAGUAGAAGAAGGCAUGCAUCUGUGUGGCCUUGCCGCUAUACGCAAAGAGAAGUCGAAGAGGAAGCGGCGUCCAGGGACGCUCGAGAUGGCAUCAGGAAGUGUCAAAUAUCAGGAACUGCGGAGAAACUCCGUCGGUGCUCAAUCUGGGUAAAAGUUCAUGGUUGUAGUUCACAAGAGAAUAAGGCUGAAUCGUUGUACAAGCAGGAAACAAGACGUACUAGUUUCAUCGUUUUCUAACCCAAACAAGAUUUUUUAUAAACUGAUUUUUCACAAAACAGUUGGUAAAACGGGUUUUGCUAAAAUCUGCUAAAAACCUGUUUUAUAUAAAUCCAUCGCUAAUAUUCCUUAUACAAACAACCCCUAAAUGCUAGAAUGAAAUAUGACCCUGCUUUUGCUACUUCACCUAUCUGUGUUACUGAUAAGGAUUAUGAUUUCUCUGUUGAUCCCGAGAUAAUUACUUUGGUUGAAUCUGAUCCUUUCUAUGGCUAUGAAUCUGAAACUAUUGUGGCACAUCUUACUAAAUUAAAUGAUAUAGCCACCCUGUUCACUAAUGAUGAGAAAACUCGCUACUAUUAUAUCCUUAAUUUAUUUUCGUUCUCAUUAAAGGGUGAUGCUAAGACAUGGUUUAAUUCUCUUGAUCCUGGUUGUGUGCGUAGUCCCCAGGAUAUGAUUUAUUACUUCUCUGCUAAAUAUUUCCCCGCUCAUAAGAAACAAGCCGCUUUAAGGGAAAUAUAUAAUUUUGUGCAAAUUGAAGAAGAGAGUCUCCCACAAGCUUGGGGGAGGCUUCUCCAAUUACUUAAUGCUUUGCCUGAUCAUCCUCUCAAGAAAAAUGAAAUACUUGAUAUCUUUUAUAAUGGACUAACCGAUGCUUCCAGAGACCACCUGGAUAGUUGUGCUGGUUGUGUUUUCAAGGAAAGAACUGUCGAUCAAGCUGAAUUGCUAUUGAAUAAUAUGUUGACUAAUGAAAAUAAUUGGACACUUCCUGAACCAACUCCUAAGCCAACUCCGAAGAAAAGGGGUAUUCUAUUUCUCAGUCCUGAAGAUAUGCAAGAGGCAAAGAAAUCUAUGAAAGAAAAAGGUAUAAAAGCUAAAGAUGUUAAGAAUUUACCUCAUAUUGAAGAAAUACAUGGUCUUAAUUUACCACCAAUUGAAGAAAUACAUGGUCUUGAUAACCUGACACAGGUAGUAAAGGUAAAUUCUCUCUAUAGAUAUGAUAAAGCUGAAAUCCCUUCUACUAAGUUUGCUAGCCAAUGCUUGGAUGAGUUUGAUGACUUUAUGGCUAAACAAGAAAACUUCAAUGCUUAUGUUGGUAGACAAUUGAAACGCAAUGCUUAUAUGAUUGAACACUUGAGUGAUUAUAUGUCUGGAGUUAAAGGUGAACUUAAACUCAUUAGUAAACAUACUUCUAUGGUUACCACUCAAGUAGAACAAGUGCUUAAAGCUCAGAAUGAUUUGCUCAAUGAAUUAAAUAAUAAGAAAAAUGAUAACACUGUUAGAGUUAUGACUAGAGGGGGUAAAAUGACUCAGGAACCUUUGUAUCCUGAGGGCCACCCUAAAAGAGAAUUGAGCAGGAUUCUUAGAGAACUAAUGUUGAUGCACCUAGUCCUUCUAAGAGGAAGAAAAAGAAAAAUGAUAGGACUUUGCAUGCUUCUAGUGAACCUGUUGUUGACACACCUGAGAAUCCCAAUGAUAUUUCUGUUUCUGAUGCUGAAACACAAUCUGGUAAUGAACAUGAACCUAGUGAUAAUAUUAAUGAUGAUGUUCAUGUUGAUGCUCAACCUAGCAAUGACAAUGAUGUAGAGAUUGAACCUGCUGUUGAUCUUGAUAACCCACAAUCAAAGAAUCAACGUUAUGAUAUGAGAGACUUUGUUGCUAGGAAGCACGGUAAAGAAAGAGAGCCAUGGGUAAACCCAUGCCUUUUCCUCCUAAACCAUCCAAGAAAAAGGAUGAUGAGGAUUUUGAGCGCUUUGCUGAAAUGAUUAGACCUAUCUUUUUGCGUAUGCGUUUGACUGAUAUGCUUAAAAUGAAUCCUUAUGCUAGUAUAUGAAAGAUAUUGUUACUAAUAAAAGAAAGAUAGCGGAAGCUGAAAUUUCCACCAUGCUUGCUAAUUAUACUUUUAAGGGUGGAAUACCAAAGAAACUUGGAGAUCCAGGAGUACCCACUAUACCAUGCUCAUUAAAAGAAACUAUGUUAAAACUGCUUUAUGUGAUCUUGGAGCCGAUGUUAGUGUUAUGCCUCUCUCUUUAUAUCGUAGACUUGAUUUGAAUAAGUUGAUACCUACUGAAAUAUCUUUGCAAAUGGUCGAUAAAUCAACUGCUAUACCUGUCGGUAUUUGUGAGGAUGUGCCUGUUGUGGUUGCAAACGUUACUAUUUUAACGGACUUUGUUAUUCUUGAUAUUCCCGAGGACGAUAGUAUGUCUAUUAUUCCUGGUAGACCCUUUUUGAAUACUGCAGGGUUGUAAUUGAUUGCAACAAAGGCAAUGUCACUUUUCAUGUUAAUGAUAAUGAGCAUACGGUACACUUUCCGAGGAAACAACCUCAAGUCCACAGUAUAAACUCUAUUUGAAAAAUUCCAUCGAUUAUUUUUGAAGGUUUUGAAUUUCCUCUCCCUACUGUCAAGAAGAAAUAUGAUAUUCUUAUUGUUGAGGUAACUUAGUGUUAUUCGAAACUUCUCCGGUUUCAUGUGAUUCGAAACGAGUUUGUUAACAAGACUUGAUCAACCUUGUUAGUGGAUUCCUUUUGAUGAGCAUCAGAUGGAUGAAGCUAGAAAGCACAACCUUCUGUACCCUCCUUUUACUUUCUGUUAUUUAGAUUAAAUAAAGAAAAAAAAAAUAGUAUUUUCUGUCUGUUUUCUGAAUUAUCCGUGCAAUAAAAAUACCCCAAAAAUAAAAGUUCUCCAAAUGUCCCGAAAUUGAAAUAUGAUUUUUUCUAGAAUAUUUGAGAAUAUCUGGCACUUAGAACUCAGUAGGGGGAGCAAGCACCUGGCCACGAGGGUCCAGGGUGCGCCCCCUGCCUCAUGGGCCCCUGUUGGCCCCCCUCUACUUAUUCCUGCACCCACACACUCCUUCCUCCCAAAAAAAUCACCAACCCUCUCAAGCACGAGUUCUAGCUCAUCUUGCUGCCAUUUUCGAUCUCCUUGCUCAAAGCUCCACUCACAAAACUGCUUUGGGGGAUUGUUCUUCGGUAUGUGACUCCUCCAAUGGUCCAAUUAGUUUUUGUUCUAGUGCUUUAUUCAUUGCAAAUUUUUGCUGCUUAGGUGACCCUGUUCUUGAGCUUGCAUGUCAAAUUUAUAUGGUCCCAAGUAGUUCUAAUGCAUGAUAUAGUCUCUAGGCACUUGUGGGAGUAGUUGCUAUCAAUUUUUUUGAGUUUGUUCACUUUUAUUUUGAGUUACUAAAAAUUUCAGAAUUUUUCAGAGGAAGAAAUUGUUUAGGAAAAUGUAUCGAGGUGGUUCUUCAAGGAAGCAAGGAACCAGGCCCACAAUAUGUGAGCUGGACCUUGAACCACCAAGAGAAGCUCAAGUGCGGCCUUGUGAAUGGCUGCCAGAAGAUUUCAUGGUCUGAGCAGGAAUUAAGGAGGAAUUUGACGCAUAUGUGCGUAAUGCCGAACUCGAGGGCUUCAUGCUAGAUAAGUGCCUCCAAUACUACUACCUUACUGAUUCCUUUGUGAGAAGGUUUAGAUUUUCAUCAUCACGCAACUCUCACAUGGUCCUGUUUGAUCUUUAUGAUAAAUCUUAUACCAUGGACUUAGAAGAUUUUAAUACUGCUUGUAAACUCCCACAAUGGGGUAGUGCUAGUGAACCUCGCAAAUCUGAGUUUAAAGAUUUUCUUGCUAGUAUCACUGUGCGGGAAUCUAGAGAAAUAACACAAGCUACCAUAGGGAGCAUUCAUUUUCCAGCUAUACGUUAUUUUGCUCUCUUUAUAGGUAGAUGCAUAAAUGGUAAGGAUGAGGCAUGCCACAUGUGUGUUCCUGAUCUCAGUGUUCUCAAGAGUGCUGUAUUAGGAGAUAAACAAUAUAACUUGGGAGCUAUUGUUGCGCGUAGGUUGCAUAAUAACAGUAUAAGUGGAGAUUUGUUUGGUGGAAUUUAUGCAACCCAUUUAGCUAAUUAUCUUGAGGUACCCAUUCGUGAAUAUGAUAUGGAGUUGCCUCCCGCUUAUUUAGAUUUUAAUGCUAUGGUUCGCCAUCAGUUUAUUGAGAGGAAUGAACAGCCUCUCCAGUACCGACUAAUCUUUGACAGACAUCGCGCUGUCUAUAUUGCUCUCCCUGCUCCUGCUUUCUUUGAUUUUCAGGCAAAAGGGAGAUACAUUAUAACCAGGGAGGAGGCGAACGAGUAUAAGAGGGAGACGGAGGCAGCUCGCCUCCAAGCCGCAACCCACGAUGCAAUAGCUGCUGCAUCUCAGUACGACCCCAGCUACAACUUUGAUCCAUGGGCAUAAACCAACUUAGGCCAAAAGCCUAAGCUUGGGGGAGUACGUAUUUCUCACCGACAUUACAUUCAUGUUCACACACUCAUGCUAGUUGUCGGUGUUCAUACUUUUUCAUUGUACUAUCCAGUUUAUUUUCUUUUUCCUGUCUUCUUCUUGUGUGCUUGAAAAAAAACUUUAAGAAAAACAAAAAAACAUUAGUUGUAGCUUUUAGCUAGUUUACUUUUCAUGCCUGUAGUAGUAGCAAUUAAAAGAAAACCCAAAAUUAUUUCUCGUUCUUCUUUUUGCUUGUUGGGAGCUUGCCCGUGUAAAUAGUUUUAUUUCCUUUCUUUUCUUUGGGGUCGAGAGGAGAAGACCAUGAUGAAAAUGUUAAAGUGGCUCUUAUAUGCAUUGUUGUUGAUUUAACCAGGAGCCCAUAUUAUCUUGUCUUCUCCUUUGUAUUAAAUGCUUGCAGAUUCCAGCUUAGUUCAAUGCACGUGUACUAUUAUUAUUAUCCACACCGUUCGGUCAUGCAAGUGAAAGGCGAUAAUGACGAUAUAUGAUGGACUGAUUGAGAUGAGAUAAGCUGGUAUGAACUCGACCUCUCAUGUUUUUGUAAAUAUGAUUAGUUCAUCAUUCCUGAUUCAGCCUAUUAUGAAUAAACAUGUUUCCAAUAACAAUUAGAGAUUAUAGUUGCUUAUGCCUGAAAGUGCGUUAUAUCGACUAGAGGGGGCGGGGUGAAUAGGCGAUUUUUAUGAAUUCUUCAUUGAGGAAUUUGCGGGUGAGGAAAUUCCUUAGUUAAGAACUACUAGCAGCGGAAUAAGUACUCAAAAGUAAACAUAACAGAACACAAGCAUGGUCAUCAUGAUGAAAUGAAGACAAGCACAGAGUACAGAAAGCGUAAUCACAGGAUAACACACGAUGAAGACAAACAGACUGAAGAAAUUGAACUGAGGAAAUUGAGAAAGUCUUCAGUCAAAGUCUUCAAGCAGAUAUGAACAAGUGCACAACACAGUUAUGAGGAAAUGAAAGAGUUGAGGAAAUAGAACCAGUAAGCUCGGUGAAGACAAUGAUUUGGUAGACCAGUUCCAACUGAUGUCUCAGUUGUACAUCUGGUUGGAGCGGCUAGGUAUUUAAACCUGAGGACACACAGUCCCGGACACACAGUCCUCACCGUAUUCUCCUUGAGCUAAGGUGACACACACCUCGCCCAAUCACUCGUGGUAAGUCUUCAGGUGACUUCCGAACCUUCACAAACUCGGUCACUCGGCGAUCCACAAUUCCUCUUGGAUGCUCUAGACCAUGACACCUAACCGUCUGGAAGAAGCACAGUCUUCAAAGGUAACAACCGUCGGAUCCACACAGGAUCAAUCUCUUCAGUGAUGCUCAAUCACUUUGGGUUUGUAGGUGUUUUGGUUGGGUUUUCCUCACUCGAUGAUUUUCGCUCAAAGUCCUCGGAGGAUGGGAUGCUCUCAAAUGACAAGUGUCAGUUUCUCUCGGAGCAGCCAACCAGCUAGUGGUUGUAGGGGGCGGCUAUUUAUAGCCUAGGGAGCAGCCCGACAUGAUAAGACAUAAAUGCCCUUCAAUGAUAUGACCGUUAGGUGGGUAGAUAUUUUGGGACAGCUGGCACAAGGCACAACAACGGUCGGAAAUUUGAGUAUCAAAUUCCUCAGGGCUAUCAUGUUCCUCACUGUGUAGGCAAUCCGCACUGGCGAAUUCCUAACUCCUCAGUCAGAACAAAUUCCUCAGAGACGAGAAGAACUUCGUCUCUGUCACUGAAGAAUAUGACUGAACUGUAUGAGAUUUCCAAUGGCUUCACUCGAAGGGAUUGGUAGGUGUAGGAUUUUGAGUUGAGCAUCACAUGGAAAUUUUUCCUUAGUAUUUCCUCGACCCCCUUUAACAGUACGGUGUUUCCUAUGACUCAAGAAAGAGAAAAUGAAACUACGAAAACAAAAGUCUUCAUGCUUCAUGUUCCUCGAAUGAAUACCAAGUCUUCAAGGUCACACCAAUUUCUUCACUUUCAAAGUCUUCAGUCGAAGAACUUCAUUUUUAGGGGUCGACUUUUUCUGUAAAUAUCAAACUCCUCAUAGACUUAUAGUCCUGUGUACACUCAUAAACACAUUAGGCCCUUAACCUAUAAGUCUUCAAUACACCAAAAUCACUAAGGGGCACUAGAUGCACUUACAAUCUCCCCCUUUUUGGUGAUUGAUGACAAUAUAGGUUAAGUUUUCAACGGGGAUAAACAUAUGAAGUGUAAAUACUGAUAUUGAGGAAUUUGAUUGCAAGAUAUAGAAGAACUCCCCCUGAAGAUGUGCAUAGUGAGGAAUUUGCUUUUGAAGCAAUGCACACUUGAAGAGUUGAAUCAUGGAGAUCUCCCCCUAUAUCUUGUAAUUCAUACACGCAUUUAACAUAUGAUAUGAAGAAUUUGAAAUGCAUGAUGAAAUAUGGUGACUGAUGUAAUUCAGCAUGCGUGCAUAAACAUUAAUGAGGAAUAAGCAUGCAGAAAACCACAACAAAAGUAUCAGGCCACCAUAGAGUUUAAGUUUACAACUCGAUCCAGCAAAGUCAUCAGAAGAACGAGAGUUGUAACUUUUCAACAAAAAACGCCCAUAUAGGAUAGACCCGCUUGAAGACUAACUCAAAUUUCUCCCCCUUUUUCAUCGAAUGACCAGAGGAUCGAAACUGAGGACUAACGCCCCUGAAGAAUAUCAAGUUGAUGAAGGAGCGUCAGCGCUGUUGGGGUCGAUUGUUGAUGUUGGGCCUGCCACAGUGUCGUCCAAGUCUUCAUGCUCGUCGGUGUCGCGCGAUGAAGAAUAUGAGCUGGCCACCAAGGAAGGAACCUUGACCUUCUUGUAUUUCUUCGGUGGAGGAGCAGACCAGUCAAAGUAUUCCUUGAGACCCAUUUUCUUCAGAUCUUCUUUACUAUAAACAUGAGACAGAACAUCCCAGGUACGGUUGAAGGUUUCAUGGAGGUAGUAAUGGGUUUUCUUCACUGCAUUGUGGGUAGCAGUCAUGUUGUGAAGAAUUGAACCAAACUGACGCUUGACCCAUUUGUGAUUGCGAUCAACCUUCUGGUGAAGACUGAGGAGAAGCUCACGAUCAGUCAUCACCCUGGGAGCUGUGCCUUGAGGAUUUUGCAUGGUAGCGUUGGCGGCAGAGUCAUGGGUGGCAGAGUCGUCAUUGGUGGAGUAGGAUGCAGCUUUGCGAAAUUUACCAUCCAAUGGACGAAUGCCUUCAUCAAUAACAGCAGAAGCCUUGCCCUUGUCAUCAGCUGAGGAAAAUGUCCGUUUGAGGACUUCAAUCGGGGGCAAGUAGCUGUAGUGAUUCAGAGUAUCAGCUUUGUAGUUGAGUGAAGACCUUGUUCUGAUGAAUCUCAUAAUCCACGGAGCAUAAGGCUUCAGCUCAAACGAUGACAUUGUGACAUUGGCCAGAUUCCUCAUGAAGAAAUCAUGGAAGUUGACGGGAACGCUAUGCAUGAUAUUGAAAAGCAGAUUCUUCAUGAUGCCAACAACUUCUUCUUCAUUCGAGUCGUGGCCCUUGAUAGGAUUAAAUGUCUUCAUCAGAAUGCGAUAGACAGUCCGAGGCACAUAUAGUAAUUCCUUCACGAGGAAUUUUGUUCUUGGGGCCUGACCUGGCUUCAAUGGCUUCAUCAGCACUUGCAUAUAGUGGUAUGUAAGCUCAGGCUCUUGGUACAUGCAACGAGCAGCUUCAAGGGGAGGACUGAGAGGCAAGGCACGAAGCAAUUCAGUAGCUGGUGCCUUAUAGUGAGUAUUUUCAGACAUCUAGUCCAGCACCCAGGAGUUCACAUCUUCAGAGUCUCUGGUGAUGUGCAGCGUUGCAUAAAAUUGAAGAAUGAGUUCUUCAUUCCAAUCACAGAUAUCAGUGCAGAAAUUUAACAGUCCAGCAUUGUGAAGAACACUAAGGACUGGCACGAAGCAUGGCAGAGAUUCCAUAUCCACGUGAGGAAUGUGCUCAUGAUCGAAGACUUUGUCUUUGUUAAACAGCACUGAGGAAUAGAAAUUUGCCUGGCUAGCAGUCCAGAAAUGCCUCUUCCUAAUGCGAGCAGAGUCAUAGGGGUUGUAAUCUGUGAAGAAUACAUGCUCGCCGAAGAAAUCAUCAGUCUUGAAUUUUUGCUUCCUUGAGAAUGGAUUCUUUGGCUUGGGUUGAGGAGUGUCGGUCAGUUGCAUCACAACAUCAGGAAUCGCAAUCUCAGGUUCUUCAGGCUGAGGAAUUUCUGGUUCCUCUUCAAUGGCAGUCUGCGUCUUCAAUGAUUCAGCAGCAGCAGUUUCUUCAGCACUAGUGGUUGGAAUUUCUUCAUGUACAGACGGAGUGGGGUGAGUUUCUUCAGAGCCCAAUGGAACAAUAUGUGCUGGGGACUGAGGGAUUUGUUGCAAUGGCGUGAAUAGAGGAGAGUUGGGAUGCUGACUAUCCCAAAAAUCAUCAUUCAUCAAUGGAGUAGUACUCCCAAUGUCCACGUCAGAAUUUUGUUCAUCCAAUUCCUCAACGCUGGCCUCUUCUGCAGUGAACUGAGGCGGCGAGGAGACAAUUGGAGUUGAAGGGAUUGCGUCCGCUUCAAUUUCUUCAUCCAUCUGCUCUGAGGAAGCAGCAGAGGGAAUGUCUUCAUCAGAUUCACUUGAAAUCACAUAGUCUUCAUCAAAAGGAACAAGGUCCUUUGAUGGCAUGGUUGAGAUAGGAACAACAUCAAUUGGGUUGUCAAAUGAGCUGGUCAAUUUCUUCAUCUUCUUCGGAGCUGAAGAAUCUGAUGAAGCUGAUGCUUUCCUUUUCCUCACCGCUGCACGCUCUGUAGCCUUGGUCUUCUUCACAUCUGAUGCAGAUGGAAGGAUCGGAGUUGGGGUAGGCGCAGGAGGAGCAGAGAAAUUUGGUUGAAUUUCUUCAGGCACAACUGAUGCAGUUGCCCUGACUUCUUCAUUUUCUUCAGGCGCACCACUAGUGGAUGCCCUGGUAAUUUCUUCAGUAGCUGGAAUGCAGUCAUCAGCCCUGGAACUCACAUUUUCUUCAGCAGCCUGAUUUUCAUCAGCGGUGCUGGCGUGCUCUUCUGUUGGUUGAGCAGAUGCUUCGGCUUGAGGAAUUUCUGGUUGCGAUGGAGCUGCAACCUUUGAAGUGAAUUUCUCGGUCAGUUUUACAAACCUAACCUUGGCUCCUUGCCAAUUAGCAUAGUAAGCAUUGAAGUCAUCGUUGAGGCCUUUGAUUUCAGCCUGGAUCUUCACUAGUUCUUCAGUUGUCAUAGAGACAACAUUUUUCUUCAGGAAGCGCUCCUUCCUGUACUGAGCUUUCUUCAGCUGCCUGGCCUUCUCAAAUUUCCAUUUUUCUUCUUCAAUGAAGGCAGUCAGAACAUGACUUUGACCAGGAGUGAGGUUCAUCUCCGGCAAAGGAGUGUUGGGAUCCUUGUGCCAGAGAUCGAUGUAUUCUAGGAUCAACUUCAGAUCCAAAAGCAGUGGCACAUUGCUUCCUUUGGCUCUAGUGGCCUUGAGUUGUCUUUCUCUGAUGAUUUCGGCUAGUUCAUCAUCAUCAGCCUCAUCAUCAUCAGAGGGCACUUGGAAAGCAACCUGCUUCUUGUGAGGACUUGGUCGAGGACCUCGUCCAGCAGCAGACUUUUUCUUCAGCAGAGAGGGGCCAGCUGAGGAACUUGGAGCAACUGAGGAACUUGCAGAGGCUCCUGAGGCAAUAGAUAUGCCUGCAGUCCUUUGGCACAUGGCGAGAUGCAUAGGUGCUGAGGAUUUAGUCGGAGCAGCCGAAGACUUUAGCGGAGGAGCUAAGGACUUUGGAGGAGCAGGAGCAAUUUGAGGAGUUGGCCAUGAGGGCUUUGAGAAAUCUGGCCGUGAGGGCAAUGCUGAGGAACUUGGCCGUGAGGGCAUUGAAGGUGAAGCACUUGGCUUAUGUGCAGGCUUCUUUGCCAUGGCCUUUUUCGGCUUGACAGUAGAGGCCUCAGCAGAGGCAGCAGUAGCAGCAGAGUCCUUGACAGCAGGAAGUAGGGUAUUACCUCCAUCGAGAGGGCCCGAACCUGGGUAAACAUCGUGUCCCCCGCCUCCUGUUACCAUCCGCCUUAGACGCACAGUUCGGGACCCCCUACCCGAGAUCCGCUGGUUUUGACACCGACAUUGGUGCUUCCAUUGAGAGUUCCACUGUGCUGUCACCAUAAGGCUUGAUGGCUCGUCUCGUUGUUAAGGAGAACAUCAGCUCUAGGGGAGCCCUGGCUGUAGGCCAAACUCUCCGACUAGGCGGCUUCGUCAUGACCGCCCGCUUGGCCGUUGCGCCGACGAUGACUUCUCGGGUCAUCGAAAGCAGCCUCCGCGUCGGCUCGGAAUUCGCCGAGGAGAUGGAUCCAAUGGAGCUUUCUUCCUUGAACGAGCUCGUGGAUCACAUCGCCGCCUUGGGAGUCGCUACAGACUAUGAUCGGAUCGGGCUUAAAACCGACCAAAGGGAGAUUAACUCUCCGCCGGUCACCCAUCAGAUAGCGGUGGUGGAGGAGCAAUGUAGCGAUUCUUCCUCUAUUUUGAGGACAAACUAUGUCCGGAUUCCCGAGCUCUCCAAGACGGAUACCCGUCUACGGGAGGACAUGGCCAAGCUUUGAACCUAGAAUCAGACAGCGGGCCAGACCUAUUGGGCAACAUCCCGGAGCCCGAACUUCUAAGAUCGGAAACUCCCCCACCCCUGGGUCUCAGAUCGGGUCAGGGUUCGGACUUAAAUCUACCCACCCACCCAGAUAUAAGUGAUAUUUCCCACAUUAGACAAGAGCCCCAAGAGACAGUACAUCACUAUUGGGCCAGAUUCCUCCUUGUAAUGAACAAGGUCAAGGACUGUCGCGAGGAAGACGCAAUUUCGUUCUUUUGCAAAAAUUGCGCGGACAAGGGAAUCCUCAACGCCAUAAGUCGCCGUGACAUAGCACACUUUGCUGACUUGGCGGCCAUAGUACAAAAGUACUGUGCGAUGGAAAGCGCCUGGAAAACCCAAACAAAAUUCUGGGAUCCUCCGGCUCUCACUAAACCCCCCGUCCAAACUAAAAGGGUGUACUCUCGUAAGUCACCCGAUCUAAUUAGAAAGAAACAAAAGCCCACGGCAGGGCGUGGAACUAUAUUGGAGGGAUGGCUCAAGAGGCCAUGCAAAAUUCACAGUACACAUGAUACCACGCCAACUCAUAGCCUUAGUGCAUGUUGGAUACUUUGGCAGGUGGCCAAGAGCGGUGAGGAUCUCCUCAUCAACAAUACCGCAGAGCACCAUCCCAUGGACAAUAAGUAUACAUUAUUGACAGUCUUCGAGACCUUCGCCUCAAAUAAUAGGCGUAAGCGAGCACUCCGCAGCCUUGCCGAAGUCUGCCAUGUGGCAGCAAUAAAUCCAUGAGCAAUACGGCUAUAACCUUCAAUGCCAGUGACGAACCUAAAUUCCGAACAGCCCGAGCACCAGCCGCCUUGGUCCUUAGUCCAAUUGUAGAUGGAUUCUGGCUUACUAAAGUGCUCAUGGACGGUGGCAGCAGAUUAAACCUCAUCUAUGAGGAGACUCUUCAAAAAAUGGAAAUAGACAGGAACCGCAUUGAGCAAAGCAGCACGACCUUCAGAGGGAUCAUCCCUAGUCGGGAGGCACGAUGUGCAGGAAAAAUCACACUAGAUGUGGUAUUCGGCACGCCGGAGAAUUAUAGGUCCGAAGAAAUCACAUUCCAAGUGGCCCCGUUCAGUAGCGGAUACCACGCCCUUUUAGGGCGGGAGGCAUUCACGAUCUUCCAAGCUAUACCCCAUUACGGGUACAUGAAGCUCAAAAUGCCCGGGCCCAACGGAAUCAUCACUCUAGCUAGUGAUCCGGACAUAGCACUCCGCGCCAAAAAUAAAACCGCCGCACUAGCCCUUGAAGCGUUAUCCGAAGCCCUCGCGGCCGAAGAACUAACUGCGCUGCGCUCCACAGUGGACAGGGACGACGUGAUUCUCGAUAGAAGACCCAAGUCCACCUCUUUUAAACCAGCGGACGAAAUAGUCAAAUUCCAGGUCCACCGAACGGACCCCACAAAAACAGCAUCCAUCGGGGCACAGCUGGACCCCACAACCGACACCGCAUCACGGGAGUUCUUGUGCAAAAAUUGGGACAUAUUCACCUGGCAUCAUUUAGACAUGCCAGGAAUCCCACGCAGGCUGGCCGAGCACAGCCUUAAUAUUAUAAAGGGGUUCAAGCCGGUCAAGCAGACUCUCCGGCGUUUCUCCGAACCUAAGCGACAAGCCAUGGGAGAAGAGCUAGCCAAGUUACUUGAGGCCGGAUUCAUCAGAGAAAUAAAACAUACGGACUGGCUAGCAAACCUGGUGAUGGUACCAAAGAAGGACAAAUCCUUGCGCCUAUGUGUCGAUUUCAAGGACCUUAACAAGGCUUGCCCCAAGGAUCCCUUCCCCCUCCCCCGCACCGACCAAAUUAUCGACACUACUGCAGGACACGAUUCAUUGUGUUUCCUCGACGCAUACUCCGGGUACCAUCAAAUUAAGAUGGCGGAAUCCGAUCAGGCCGCAACGGCAUUUAUCACCCCAUACAUCCCCUUCUGUUUUAAUACCAUGCCUUUCGGGCUCAAAAACGCCGGUGCAACCUAUGAACGCAUGAUUCAGACAUGCUUAGAAACACAGAUAGGCAAACCAAUGGAGGCAUACAUAGACAAUGUGGUCAUUAAACCAGACACGUCGAAUCCUUAAUAGACGACUUGAGGCUCACGUUCGACAAUCUCCGAACAUACGACAUCAAGCUCAAUCCGGAAAAAUGGGUCUUCGGCGUGCCCACCGGAAAGCUCUUAGGCUUCAUUGUCUCCAAUAGAGGAAUUGAAGCAAAUCCGGCUAAAAUCAGAGCUCUGUCACAGUUGGCUAUCCCAACAGACCUCAAGCAAAUCCAGAAACUAACGGGAUGUGUGGCUGCCUUAAGCCGCUUUAUCUCCCGAUUAGGAGAAAAGGCACUACCUCUUUAUUGCCUUCUUCGACGCACCGAACACUUCGAGUGGACGGAUGCUGCCACGGCCGGAUUGGAAGAAAUAAAAGCCAUCCUGGCCACCAACCCAAUCUUGGCCGCGCCAAAUGUCGGUGAACCAAUGCUGUUAUGUAUAGCGGCAACACACCAAGUUGUAAGCGCAGUGCUCGUCGUCGAACGAGAAAUGGAAGGACAUAAGUUCCCGCUUCAAAAGCCGGUAUACUACGUAUCCACUGUCCUCACUCCAUGCAAAUCAGGGUACCCACAUUAUCAAAAGAUAGCAUACGGGGUCUUCAUGGCAACCCGGAAACUACGGCACUACUUUCAAGAGUGUUCAAUUACGGUGGCCUCUGAAGUACCACUCAACGACAUAAUAAACAACCGCGAUGCCACGGGCCAGAUUGCCAAAUGGGCUAUUGAGCUCCUCCCGUUCGACAUAAUAUACAAACCACGGCGAGCCAUUAAGUCACAAGUACUGGCUGAUUUCGUCGCUGAAUGGACAGAAGCCGAACCCCCUAAAGAGUACGGCGCAUACUCCAAUUGGAUCAUGCAUUUUGACGGCUCUAAAAUGCUGGCUGGUCUGGGGGCUGGUGUCGUCCUGACAUCCCCCACUGGAGAUACAGUCCAAUACGUACUCCAAAUACUAUACACAGAGUCCAACAACGCAGCAGAAUAUGAGGCCCUGUUACAUGGUCUCCGGAUGGCAGUCUCCAUGGGCAUUCAACGCCUAGAGGUGCGUGGGGAUUCGAACUUCGCAAUAUCUCAAAUAAAUGGAGACUUUGACGCCAAGGAUCCGAAAAUGGUGGCUUACCGCAAUGCCAUCCUCAAGAUGUCAACUCGGUUCGAGGGGCUUGAAUUCCACCAUGUGGUCCGGGAAAACAAUCAGGCGGCGGAUAUCCUCCCCCGCAUCGGCACUAAGCGCGACCCUGUCCCACCUAAUAUCUUCUUGGAAAGGCUGUUUAAGCCAUCCGUGGUAUGGGAAGGAGAGACCGGCAACAAUAGUCCGGACCCGGCCACAACGUCAGAUCCCGAACACCCUGACAUAAUCGGAGGCUCAGCCACCGAAAUAACACCUUUGGCCCACGUGAUUAUGGCCGUCGUCGCCCUAUGGACAGAAGCCUUCUUGGCUUACCUAACUAGGCAAGAACUCCCCGAGGACCCAAAUGAGGCACGUUGCAUUGUGCGGCGGUCUAAAGCCUACAAGGUCCACGAGGGAGAGCUUUAUAAGAAAAGCGCUACCGGAGUACUUCAAAGGUGCAUCUCCGAAGAGGAAGGACGACAACUAUUGGCAGAAAUUCAUGCUAGACUUGGCGGCCAUCACGCCGCAGCCCGGGCCCUUGUAAGCAAGGACUUCCGAACAUGUUUUUACUGGCCGACGGCCCGAGCAGACGCACAAGACCUCGUUCAACGUUGCAUCGGUUGCCAGCUUUUUGCAAACCAAAGCCAUAUGCCACCUACCACUCUCCAAACAAUCCCCAUUACUUGGCCUUUUGUGGUCUGGGGGCUUGAUAUGGUCGGACCCCUUAAAGGGGGAAGCCAUAAGAAAAAAUACCUAUUGGUCAUGGUGGAUAAAUUCACCAAAUGGGUAGAAGCCAAACCAGUUAAAACGGCCGAAUCCGGACCAGUGAUAGACUUCAUAUUCGUGGUUGUACACCGUUACGGCGUCCCCCAUAGCAUCAUCACCGAUAACGGCUCGAACUUUACAGCCGACGAGGUAAAGACUUGGUGCAGCAACAUGGGCAUUAAGCUUGAUUAUGCCUCCAUUUAUCACCCCCAAACAAACGGUCAGGUCGAAUGGGCAAAUGGUCUUAUCAUGAGGGGCAUUAAACCUAGAUUAGUGCAAUCCUUAAAGGAAUCAGAUACGCACUGGGUAGAGGAGCUCGACUCUGUACUGUGGGGGCUGCGGACCAUGCCGAAUCGCACUACUGGAUGCACACUGUUUUUCAUGGUGUACGGCGCAGAGGCGGUACUGCCCUGCGACAUCAUUCAUGACUCACCUCGAGUGCGCAUGUACGAAGAGAAAGAAGCCGAGCUUGAUCGGCAGGACAGUUUGGACGCCCUGGAGGAGGAGCGUGACAUGGCAAAAGCCCGCUCCGCAUUCUAUCAGCAACAGGCUCGACGGUAUCAAAGCAGAGAAGUACGGGCCAAAACUUAUAAUGUUGGCGAACUAGUUCUACGCCUACCAGAGAAGAAAAAGAACAAACUCAAGCCCAAAUGGGAAGGUCCCUUCGUUAUCGACCAAGUUCUGACAGGUGGAGCGUACCGUCUGCGGGAUGCAUCGGACAAUCGACUCGAGCCAAACCCAUGGAACGCAGCCAGACUCCGAAGGUUCUACGCCUAGUUCCGGACUAUGUGUUCGUCUCCUUACCUCCGUCAAUUUUUUUACAUAUAAGCUAUCUGCCUUUUCUUUCUUUCUUUCUCCCCUUUUUCCUUCACAGCCUUACAAGGUUAAAAUGUGUCUUGACUACACAAUCUUGACGCGCUAGGCGUGCUCAUUAUACCUGGGGGCUUCUUAUACAGAAGCUUAAUAUAAUUAUGUUCCGGGCUUUAUGCCCCCCGCACAUGUGUUACUUUUCCACAUGUACCUUUUCUUCGCCAUUAUAUGCAUCGAUAUGACUUAAGUUUUGGCCAAGCUGGUUUGCCUGGCUCUUGUGUUUAUGCCAUACGUUCCCGUUAAUUCGGCCAGGGCAUAAGGGGAGCACCUCUGCGAUUGUUACUGUCGGGUCAGCCGGAUGUGUACCUCAGACUGGGUGAAGCCGAAAGCUAGCGUUCUUAAGGGAAUAUUCGGUCGGUGAACAAAAGAUGGCUUUUAUUUAUUGUAAUACAUGCCCCCAGAUGUUUAUAUCCCGCGUCUCCUUUCGCAGUUCGGACAUGCACAUUAAUGCAUGCGUACCCAGGGAAAGGAACCCUUAACGGAACUAUUCUCCCUGGAAGAUGUUUCUUAGUAUCCAUGUAAUAUAACAUAGCUAGUUGGGUACUUGUCUGUUCAAGCACUUAUGACCCCUACGUCUGGUUUCCACGCGUACCCUGGUUUUUUACAUAACUGAGCGGGUAUUCAGAUACACUCCGGACUGCCGGGUCCAGAGGUCGAAGCGAAAAGGUCCGCCAUGACAAAUGAUUUACAAUCCGGCUAGGGACAAUAUAUGUCAAGUGAAGUACACAGUCACUUAGACUGACUAAAUUCUUCUUCUAUACCAUCCAACAAGCUGUCUAGCCUACAGUCCUGUUGGGAAUACUUUGCGGCUAAUUUCACCUGGUCAUACACCAAACUGACGGGGAUUUCUUUCCCGUCAGACCCCACAGGUCCGACUUCGGCCAUAUGGUUCGGGUCAGCCUUGGUAUAUCGAGUCUUCAGCAUGGCCCAGGCUUCCCUCGCACCUUGUCAGCAGGCAGAUAUCUUCCAUAAUCGGAAGCGCCGCCGCGCUCCCUUGAGCAUCUCUGCGAGCUCCCCCAUGCCUCUUGGCAGGGAGGCGGAUGGCCACAAGGCCUGGGCAAUGCCCUGCAUCACCUGCCGAACUUGUUCGUGCAAUUGUGAGAGCUCGGGCAGAAGGUCACCUGCAGACCCGGGCAUCUCUUCUGCGGGACGACCCGUCAGCAUACCUACAGAUAUAACUAUGUUAGUCAGUUUCUUCGCCGAACUCUAUAAAAGUUCGUUCGAGCAAUUACUAAAAAUGCCGCGUCGAAGCCUCUUAUUCUCCCUUACGGAGUCAGCAAGCUGGGCCCGAACAUCUUUCAGUUCAACACUCAGCCGGAUAUUGGCAUCUUGGAGAUCGUUUUUCUCCUGCCUAACCUUCUUAAGCACGUGCUCGCCAGCCUUUAGCUAUUGUUGAGCAUGUUGCUCAUCGCCUCGCACGACCUCUGGAUUCACUCCGGGGUCAUCUGCGGAAUCUAUUGUUAGAUUUGCAGGCAUGCCGCAUACUACCUGGUACAUGUCAUUCUUUGCAAUAGAAACAAGGGUUACCAGAUGGGGCCUUCUCGGAUUCCUUCACUGCAGCAACUGCGGCCUGAAGCUGGGCUUUACACUCCUCCAGCUCUUGAGACAACUGGGUAUUCUUCUCCGUAAGAAUCUAAACAAAUAAUGAUCCUUAAAUCAGUUGUGUCAACUGUUUCAAGUCUCAGGGGCUACUAAUAUACAUAAUUAUUAGAUUUUCUUACCCGUAUAUCCUUUACAUACUGGUCCGUGGCUCUGGCAAGACCAUUUUGAGCAGCUCGGAUGUACGUGUCUCCUGAGUUGAAGGCAUCGAAUGCCUCUUGGGAGAAACAAGCGUCGCGGAGUACGGCCCGACGACGCCUGUGAUUCGUGGCGCUCUCCACUUCGGAAUUCGUAGCGGACAGCCUAUCUGCAUCCUCUAUAGGAGGAACAUCCGGUGUUGGCCCCAUGUUAGCGUCUGCCUCUAAGUCCGGCUCUGGAGCCCGACUGGUGGAGGUGUGGCCGGCAACCUCUCCGGAUAUAGUCCGGCGAGCGUUUUUCCUACUAGGAAACAUGGGUGUUAUUAUAUUUUAAAAGACGACAACCAUGAAGCGGGGUUCUUUUUCAUACCUCUGCGAUGGCGUCUCAGUCCUGACCGCCUUCCUUUUGAGCCUACCCGGCUUCGGUGCCCCUUGUUGGUGAGUCACUGCGGGUUCGGCAUGGCGUCCCGAGGGCCUUCCCUGUAAGACACCAUAUGUGUGCGGUAGGGGAAGUGCUGAAAAAGGGAUCCUUCUCGGAAGUUGGGACUCUAGUUUUACUUACAUGCGAUGCAGGGAGUAGUCCAGGAUAAUCGGCUAUGAUGGCCACCAUGACACCGUCGCAGCUUAAUUGAUAGAACGUCAUGUCAAUAAGCUCCACAAAUGUGUCCGGAUCUUCUUCGAAUCCGGGGUCGAGGGCCCGGUCAGGGUCCUCUGGUUGUGGAGGUGGGCUGUGGACCUCCCUCACAGCUUUUCGCAGUUCCUGCUAUGAAAUGGCAAGGUAAAUACUUAUGACGAGGAAUGCGGGAAGGUUUGGAGUAAAAAGUAGCAGCUCACCCAGCUUGGGGGGUUGUACACGGAGAAUCCAUCCCGUGGCUUAAUGUGGAUGAACUCCUCUUCCUCUCCUUUGUACAAAUCAGACAUAAUUUUCGCUAGAGCAGCGACUGAGUCCGGUCCCUUACGACCGCAGCGGGUGGCAUCGUCUUCUCCAUUGAAGUUCCACAUGGGUUGUCCCCGAUAUUGAAGUGGCUGCACCCCCCGCAUUAUACAUAUUGACAUAACCUCGAUUUUUGUCAAUCCUGAUUUGGCCAGCGUCUUUAUCCGGCCCAUCACGUAAAGGACUUCUCCGUUAUCUUCCUCCUGGGGGCUCCGAGGGCGCCAGCUGCGGUGUUUCUUCAAGGGAGCUUUGUCGAACUCAGGAAGGCCCAUCCGAAUAGGGUCCGGAAGGGGGACGUCCUCCAUAUAAAACCACUCCGAAGGCCAGUCUUCGGAUGUCUUCUUCGGAGUACCGGACAGGUAUCCGGUCUGGUGAUGUGCCAUAUCUCGGCUCCGCCCACUUGAUAUAUUGACCCCUCCUGUGUACGGGGUACGAGGCAGAAUAGCCUCUUCCAUAGCUUGAAAUGAGCUUCGCAGCCCAAAAAACAGCUCGCAAAGGGCGACGUAGCCAGCGAUGUGUAAUAUGGAGGCGGGAGUAAAGUUAUGCAGCUGGAGGCCGUAGAACCCCAGGAGCCCGCGGAGGAACGGGUGGAUUGGAAAUCCGAGCCCCCUUAAUAAGUAAGGGACAAGGCAUACCCGCUCCCCCAUGGAUGGGUUGGGAAAGCUCUCCGCUUGCUCCCUGCCGUUGUAGGUGGCAAGUCCGGCUCGAACGGGGACCAUAUACGCUGGAGGGAGGAAUCCCUGGGUCUGUAACUCUACUAACUGGCUGUGAGGGACGGAACACUUCUUCCAAUUGCCUGGCUUAGAGCUACGGGAGCGAGAGGAGGAGCUGCGAUGGCUGGCCAUGAUGGGAUGGACUUUUUCGGGCACGCUCCGAUGGAUACUCGCUGUGGGAGGACGGUGUGAUCUGGAUCUGAGGAUCCCCGCCUCUUUAAAUAGACGAUUUACUUGCAUGGUUAGGGUGGCAAGUGUAAAAAUGCCCCGACUUCUCGCAUUCGCUCGACACAUGGAGAAUAGCCAUUAUUAGGCGCAGAAGCCAAGGAGUGCAACAUUCAUGGGAAGCCGGACACUACUCGACAGGUACUCAGAAUUUGGAGAAGAACCCGCCUUGUAAUGCCGAAGACAAUCUGCGCGCCAGACUCAUCGUCAUUGAAGCCUGGUUCGGGGGCUACUGAGGGAGUCCUGGAUUAGGGGGUCCUCGGACAGCCGGACUAUAUACUUCUGCCGGACUGUUGGACUAUGAAGAUACAAGAUUGAAGACUUCGUCCCGUGUCUGGGUGGGACUCUCCUUUGCGUGGAAGGCAAGCUUGGCGAUUCGGAUAUGUAGAUCUCCUCCCUUGUAACCGACUCUGUGUAACCCUAGCCCCCUCUGGUGUCUAUAUAAACCGGAGGGUUUAGCCCAUAGGACAACAACAAUCAUAACCAUAGGCUAGCUUCUAGGGUUUAACCUCUAUGAUCUCGUGGUAGAUCAACUCUUGUAAUACUCAUAUCAUCAAGAUCAAUCAAGCAGGAAGUAGGGUAUUACCUCCAACGAGAGGGCCCGAACCUGGGUAAACAUCGUGUCCCCCGCCUCCUGUUACCAUCCGCCUUAGACGCACAGUUCGGGACCCCCUACCUGAGAUCCGCCGGUUUUGACACCGACACUUGCCAAACUUGGCCUCAUCAGGAGUGCAAUAGUCUUUGUAUAUGUCAUGAGGGAUUUCAAAGGCAGUGUUGACCUCAGGCCUCUUUCCUCCCUUCUGUGGCUUCUUUCCAUCACAUUCACUUAGCAGAAAAAGCAACUUCAAGAAAUAGCAAUAAGUGAAUGCUGUAGAGGACAUAUACUCAUAUAUAUAUAUAUAUAUAUAUAUAUAUAUAUAUAUAUAUAUAUAUAUAUAUAGCCAAUGAAGAAAAAAUGACGGAAACAGUGAAGACAAUGCAAAGUUGAAGAAAAUGAACAACUGAGGAAUUUCAAAACUGAGGAAAAACUCAAAUUGAAGAUUUUCAACUUUGGUGGUGGCGUGACCCACCGUAUAAGAAUGAUGAUUUCAGACACCGCGUACAAUUGUCAUAGGGUUCUAGGAAUCAAAUUCGUUGUUAAUUUCUUCACACUUAGAGUGUUAUUCUUCAUUGAUUGAAGAAAAACUUUACUUCAUGUGUUGCACAUCUAAGUCAUCAAUUUUUGCAUAAGUGUUAGGAUGAGUGUCCUGUUCAAAGAACAUUCGAAGAUUCUAAGAUAUUUAGCUCACACCGCAACUUGCUAAAUCUCUUCUCAUCCAAGGGCUUUGUGAAGAUAUCGUCUAGUUGUUCUUCAGUCUUCACAUGCUCAAUAGAAAUGUCACCCUUCAACACAUGAUCAUGAAGAAAGUGAUGACGAAUCUGAAUGUGCUUUGUCUUCGAGUGCUGAACUGGGUUGUGAGCAAUCUUGAUGGCACUCUCAUUGUCACAGAAGAGAGGCACAUUCUUCACGUUGACGCCACAGUCCUUGAGAGUUUGCUUCAUCCAUAGCAAUUGAGCACAGCAAGAACCAGCAGCAAUGUACUCAGCUUCAGCAGUAGACAGAGAUAUGCAGUUCUGUUUCUUCGAGGACCAACAGACCAAAGAUCGUCCGAGGAAAUGACAUGUACCAAUGUUGACUUGCGGUCCACACGAUCACCAGCAUAGUCAGACUCAGAAUAUCCAAUGAGAUCAAAAGCCGAGCCCUUGGGGUACCAUAAUCCAAGUGUUGGUGUGUGAGCUAGAUAUCGAAGAAUAUGUUUCACCGCCUUAUGGUGUGAUUCCUUCGGUGUAUCUUGAAAUCGUGAACACAUGCAAACACUAAGCAUAAUAUCUGGCCUAGAUGCACAUAAGUACAAUAAGGAACCAAUCAUGGAGCGGUAUACCUUUUGAUCGAAGUCAAUACCAUUUUCAUCAGUGCAUAGAUGGCCAUUUGUGGGCAUAGGAAUUUUGACGCCUUUGCAAUCUUGCAUGCCGAAUUUCCUCAGUACAUCCUUGAGGUAUUUCUCCUGAGAUAUGAAUAUGCCAUUGCGUUGUUGACAAAUUUGAAGACCUAAGAAGAAUUUCAAUUCUCCCAUCAUAGACAUUUCAUAUUCCUCUCUCAUCAUAUAACCAAAUUCGUCAGUGUAACGUUGGUCAGUACAGCCAAAGAUAAUAUCAUCAACAUAUAUUUGGCACACAAAUAAUUCACCAUCAUAAGACUUAGUGAAAAGAGUAGGAUCAAGUGAACCAGGUUUGAAGCCUUUCUUCAUGAGUAAUUCCUUCAAAGUAUCAUACCACGCCCGAGGGGCCUGCUUGAGGCCAUAGAGGGCCUUAUUGAGUCUGAAGACUUUGUCAGGAUGCUUUGGAUCUUCAAAACCUGGCGGUUGAGCAACAUAACUUCUUCCUCAAGCUUACCAUUAAGGAAUGCACCUUUCACAUCCAUUUGAUAUAAAGUGAUAUAGUGAUGGUUAGCAUAAGCAAGUAAUAUGCGAAUAGCCUCAAGUCUAGCAACAGGUGCAAAAGUUUCAUCGAAAUCAAUUCCUUCAACCUGUGUGUAGCCUUGAGCUACAAGUCGUGCCUUAUUCCUCACCACAAGGCCAUUUUCAUCUUGCUUGUUGCGGUAGAUCCACUUUGUGCCAAUGAUAUUGUGCUUACGAGGAUCUGGGCGUUUGACCAGUUCCCAGACGUUGUUGAGCUCGAAUUGAUGUAAUUCUUCUUGCAUGGCCUGAAUCCACUCAGGCUCCAGAAAUGCUUCAUCUACCUUAGCCGGCUCUGUGAUAGAGACAAAAGCAAAGUGCCCACAAAAGUUAGAUAAAUGUGAAGCUCUUGAGCGUGUGAGAGGACCUGGUGCUUCAAUGUCAUCGAUGAUCUUCUCAUUUUGCACUUCUUUUGCAACACGAGGAUGAGCUGGUUGUGGUCGAGGAAUUUGAUUAGCAUUUUCUUCAGCACCAUUUUCUUCAGGUGCCUCAGCUCGACGUUCUUCACGUUCUGGAAUGAAUUCUUCAGCAGAUUCUUCGGUAGGAAUGACAUCCUCAGUAGCCUUGAACUUGAUAGAUUCCUCAGGUGCUGGUUCAUCUAUCACAGAAGGUAGGUGCUCUCUUUGCGAGCCAUUAGUUUCAUCGAACCGCACAUCUACAAUUUCAACAACCUUGUGAAGAACAUUGUUGAAGACUCUUUAGGUGUGCGAGUCCUUUCCUUAACCAAGCAUAAAACCUUCAUGUGCUUUCGGUGCAAAUUUAGAGUUGUGAUGAGGAUCUCUAAUCCAGCAUUUAGCACCGAAGACUUUGAAAUAACUCACAUUUGGUUUCUUGUCAGUGAGGAGUUCAUAGGCAGUCUUCUUGAAGAAUUUGUGAAGAUAUACUCUGUUGAUGAUGUGGCACGUAGUAUCAAUUCCAUAAAUCUAGAAACGACGAGGAAUUUUGUAUUCAUCAAGCAUAGUGCGAGCCAUCUCAGCAAGAGUCAUGUUCUUGCGCUCCACGACGCCAUUCUGCUGAGGAGUAUAAGGAGCAGAUAGCUCAUGAGUAAUACCAAGUUCAUCAAGAUAGUCAUCAAGACCAGAAUUCUUGAACUCUGUUCCAUUGUCACUUCUGAUGUGCUUGAUCUUCACACCAAAGUUGGUUGAAGCCCUCGAGGAAAAUCGUUUGAAGACUUCCUGGACUUCAUGUUUGUAAGUAACAAUGUGUACCCAUGUGUAACGAGAGUAAUGAUCAACAAUAACAAAGCCAUAUUGAGAUGCAUCAUUUGAAACUGCGAAAUAAUGGUUAGGACCGAAGAGAUCCAUGUGAAGCAAUUCAAAUGGUCAAGUAGUGGUCAUGAUAGUCUUUGCUGGAUGCUUGGCCUUGGUCAUCUUUCCAGCUUCACAGGCUCCGCAUAAGUGAUCCUUGAGGAAUUUGACAUUCUCAAUGCCAAUGACAUGCUUCUUCUUUGCAAGCGUGUGCAAAUUCCUCAUGCCUGCAUGACCAAGUUGUCGAUGCCAUAGCCAGCCUUCUGAAGCUUUUGCAAGUAGGCACACGGCUGGUUGUGGUCCUGUAGAGAAAUCAACAAUAUACAAGUCUCCUCUCCUAAAGCCUUCAAAGACUUUGGAAUUGUCAGCUUCCAUGAUCACAACAACAACGAUACUUGCCAAAGACAACAACCAUAUCAAGAUCACGAAGCAUUGAGACAGACAUGAGGUUGUAUCCUAAGGACUCGACAAGCUGACUUUGUCCAUGUGUCGAUCCUUUGAGAUCGCAACCUUACCUAGACCCAAUACCUGACUUUUGCCUUUGUCAGUGAAGAUGAUAUGCUUCUGAUGCGAUGGAGAUAAGGGAGCAUCCAUCAAUAGAUUCUUGUCACCAGUCAUGUGAUUCGUACAUCCACUAUCGAGUACCCACUCAGUGGCUUUGGGUUGAUCAUCCUGCAGAUGAAUUAGUGCAACUUACGAACUCAUAUACUUCAUCAGUGAAGAAUAUGACAUCAAUUCAUUAGAUCAAUUUCAUCAAGCAAUAGAACAGAUAAAGCAGUAUGAGGAUGUGAGAAAUGAAAGUUCAUUUCUUCAUUGAUUAGCCUGCGUCCUUUCAGGCACUUUUCAGGUCUCCAGCAAAUUCUUCAGACGUUUGAGCACGUCUAAAGACCUGACCCUGCAGAAGAGAUUAGUUCUUUUUCUUCACCACCCACAUCUAAAGGGGUGGCAAAGAGUUCAUCACUCUGUGAGCUCCAUACGAGAAAGGUGGCAUAGAAGCUAGCCCAUUUUGUUUCACAUAAGAGGAGUUAGGAUAAGCAUAUGAAUAAGCAGAGAAAUUCUUCGAGGACUUAUGAACAUAAUGGUUAGAAGAAUAAUGCUCAUAUUCAUAGCCCUUAGCUCUUCCCUACGAAACCUAAUUGUUAGCACGAUGAUAUUCAUAUGAGGACUUUGAUCCUUUUGAGGAAUUUGAUCCACGUGAGGAAUUUGGUCCGUAAGAGGACUUAGAUCCAUAUGAAGAAUUUGGUCCAUAUGAAGAAUUUGAUUUGGGGUUCCUAUUCUUCACAGGUGGUGUCAUGAGGGCAUUCACCUGAAGAAUUUCAAGGCAUCUUUUGGGAACCCAGAUUUUCUUCAUAGGGGAACCGUUCCUGCAGUUAGUGCCAACAUAUCUAGCAAAUACUUCACCAUUCUGAUUCUUGAAAAAUUUAUAGUUGGAGUGAAAUGACUCAUCAGAAGAAUGAGGAGAUUCACAUGUAAAGCCAGAUAAAUUGGAUGGAUCAACUGGAGGUCCCUUUGCAGCAACCCAUGAGGUUUUGGGGUACUGCUCAGGCUUCCAAUAUGUACCAUCAGCAUUGAGUUUCCUCUCAAAGGAAAUACCCUCUUUCCUAGGGUUCUUGUUGAGGAUCUGCUUUUUAAGCACAUCACAAAGAGUCUGAUGCCCUUUGAGGCUUUUGUACAUGCCUGUCAUGUACAAUUCCUUCAGCCCUGCAUCAUCAGUGAUACUAGCAAUGUCCUCAGAUGAGGAAUUAGUGAUAGCAGAGACAGUUGAAGAAUUUGUAACAUUAGAAGCAUUUGAGCAUUCAGGUGAUGAAUUAACAGAUUCACAUUCAAUGCAUUUCAAACAUGGAGGAACAAAUUCUUCCUGAGCAGUGCUGAUUUGUUGAGCAAGUAAUGAAUCACGCUCCUUCUGAAGAUCUUCAUAACUCACUCUUAGCUUCUCAAGAUCUUGCUUUCUUUGAAGAAAUUCAUAAGAAAGCUUCUCAUGAUGAGAUAAGAGAGUGUUAUGAUGACCUUGAAGGGUGUCAAACUUAGACUGAAAUCUCUGAAGACUCUCAGCCAAAGCUUUCGACUGAUCCAUUUCUUCACCCAACAUAUCAUCACUCUUAUUUAGCAUGUAUUGAACUUUUUCCAAAGCUCUUUGUUGUUUAGUGGCAACGGAAGCUAGUUUGACAUAGCUGGGUCCAAACUCAUCACCAGAUUCAUCAUCACUGGAUUCAGAUAGAUAGCAUUCAGUUACCUUUGCAUCUUCUGCCAUGAGGCAUGGUGUAGAAGAUGAUGAUUCUGGUUCGAAAGGCAUCACUUUGAGAGAUUCCUUUAAGUCCUCAAACCAAGGAUCAUGACGGGUUCGAUGACCUUCAUAGACCUCAGAGAGACGGUCCCAGAUAAGCUUCGCAUGAUCGAGAUGCAUGAUGUUCCUGAACUGAUUUUGAGACAGACAGGAGCAGAUGACGUCCGUCGUCGUGAGGUUGAGAAGAGUGUACUUGCGAAUGUCAUCAGCUUCUGCCAUCUUGCACAGAUCGGUCAGACCAAUCUCAGUGAUGGUCCAUAGCUCGCUGUUCAUCGCCAUGAGGCGCUUCUUCAUCAUGGCCUUCCACUUGGGAUACUCGUGACUGUCAAAGAUGGGGCAUGGCACAGUCUUCAUUCCUGUGGUUGACAUAACUAAAACUCCAGGCGGUUAAACCAAAAUCACACAGAACAAGGGAGUACCUUGCUCUGAUACCAAUUGAAAGUGUGUUACAUUGACUAGAGGGGGGUGAAUAGGCGAUUUUUAUGAAUUCUUCACUAAGGAAUUUGUGGGUGAGGAAAUUCCUUAGUGAAGAACUACUAGCAGAGGAAUAAGUACUCAAAAGUAAACAUAACAGAACACAAGCAUGGUCAUCAUGAUGAAAUGAAGACAAGCACAGAGUACAGAAAUCGUAAUCACAGGAUAACACAGGUUGAAGACAAACAGACUGAAGAAAUUGAACUGAGGAAAUUGAGAAAGUCUUCAGUCAAAGUCUUCAAACAGAUAUGAACAAGUGCACAACAGAGUUAUGAGGAACUGAAAGAGUUGAGGAAACAGAACCAGUAAGCUCGGUGAAGACAAUGAUUUGGUAGACCAGUUCCAACUGCUGUCUCAGUUGUACAUCUGGUUGGAGCGGCUAGGUAUUUAAACCUGAGGACACACAGUCCCGGACACACAGUCCUCACCGUAUUCUCCUUGAGCUAAGGUCACACAGACCUCGCCCAAUCACUCGUGGUAAGUCUUCAGGUGACUUCCGAACCUUCACAAACUCGGUCACUCGGUGAUCCACAAUUCCUCUUGGAUGCUCUAGACCAUGACGCCUAACCGUCUGGAAGAAGCACAGUCUUCAAAGGUAACAAGUGUCGGAUACACACAUGAUCAAUCUCUUAGGUGAUGCUCAAUCACUUUGGGUUUGUAGGUGUUUGGGUUGUGUCGUGGAAUUGUCACGGCAGAUGUCCUAGUGUGAGGACUUAGUCGUGAGGCCAGCACAUAUAUGUGGUAGCUUGAGAGGGGUUGAUCGGGACGAGAGAUGCGAGGCGGAUCAUCACACAAGACGAGGAUUUAGACAGCUUCGGGCCUGGGAAACAUCAUCCGGAAUAGCCCUACAUGCUGUUUGUGGCUUGGUCUCAUUAUGCUCAUGAGGGAGUCGCCGCAUAAGCCGGCUCCCCCUUAGUGUCUAGCCCUAGAUAUUGUUUCUUGUUUUGGGGAGCCCUGCCCCUCCUUAGAUAAGUUGAAGGGGCGGGUUACAUGACUAGUCCUAGUAGGAUUAGGAUUACUCUAUUACAAGUGGAGUCCUAGUCUUGCUUCCUUUGUAGGAGAAUAUUCCUUACGUCUUCCUCUUAAGCCGGCCCACCAUAGCAUGAGCCGGCCUUCUGGGCCUUGGGCCUUGUCAUCCAUCUGAAACACCCGCCGGGUCACCAAUGAGUCUUCAGGCUCAUGAGUCGUCACACUAGUGAACCGCCAGACACAUGAAUCGCCAAUCUUCUGGGGGUUGCCAAUGAAACGCCAAGUUCGGCCGGGUCAUAUAUCCGGCCGGGUCAUACCGCGGGGUAUAUCCCCGACAUUAGCCCCAUUUUAAUUUGGAUUUAUCCAUGUUAAACUAAUCUGCAAUAUAAACACAAGAACAAAUUUGACAGGUUGUGCUCCGGGUUAAAUAUUCUUGUAAGCCGGCACCUGAUCAUCCUUAAGUCCUUGACAUUUUCUCCUGGAAAAUCUGGGUCAAUAGGCCAGCUUCAUAAUCCAUUUUCUGACAUUGGCUCUUGUAAAGAAAUAUUAUAAGAAAUAAUCCAUUUGAGUCGGCCUUCAAUGCUCUGAUUUGAAAAAAUAUUGGUCUUGAAAUAUUCAAAUGAUAUUCAACCGGCUUAAAGAUGUAGAUCUUGCCGAUUUAUGAUUGCCAAAAUUGUCGGGUUAUAAACAAAUGAUGCCGGGUCAUGUAAUUGUUGCUGAUGCCAGGUUAAUCUUAUGAUGACGCCGGGUCAUAAACUUUGCAGAUUUCUCCGAUAAUAAUAUAAUACCUGAUUUGCUCAAAACUGAGAAUUUGAAGUUAUUCCUCCCUUAUAUGCAUAUCAGUAGCCCCCAAGUGUCGGGUUGUCAUGCUUGCAGCAACCUGGGACUUGUAAUUGCCAUAUGCUCAUAAAAAUUUCAACCAGUGUAGCCCCCAAGGGCCGGUUCAUUAUGCAAUAAUGAGCAGGGACUUUGUAAAUAUUAUCAUGUAAACUUGAGCAGCAACGUGUAGCCCCCAAGGGCCGGCUUAGUAAGAUAUUACUGAGCUGGGACUUUGUAUAUGAUUGAUUGAUACUAACAUCGUAUGAUGUAAUCUCCACCAUGGGGCUUGAACCCACGUCCACAAGGUUAAGAGCUUUGUACUCUACCAACUGAGUAGUGGAUCUUUCAAUAUAAUGGAUUAAGGCUUGUGUACCUUGAAUUUUCGACAGGAGAAAUUGGUAGCCCCCAAGGGCCGGCUCAUUUAAAAUGUGAUGAGUCGGGUCUUCAAUAAGUUGAGCAAAAAAUGACUUUGCAUUAGCCCCCAAGUGCCAUGGUGCAUGCUGGCAGUGACAUGGGACUUGCAUAUUCGAUGUAAUCUCAAUUUGAAUAAUGUAGCCCCCAAGUGCCGGGUCGUAAGCCUGCAGCGACUCGGGACUAUUCCUUUCAUUGUAGAAUAAAUCAUAUCCAUUGAUAAAAUAAUAGCCAUUGCGCUGAAGCGACUUUGAAAACCUCAAUCAUAAUAUUAGUUACUGAUAAAAAUCCAGCCAUGUUGGCUAUUAAAGAUUUGAAUAACCCGGUUUGAAAACGUCAAUCAUUCAAUAUCAUAAUGAAAAUCCAGCCAAGUUUGGCUAUUUAAAGAUUCAAAUACCUUAUCUGUUGACAAGUAAAUCCGGAGUUUAAAAUACCCGUCGGCUCUUGUCCGAGGGCGACUUAAUGCACAUUCAUUGUAAGCUGGAAUCUUUAUAACCCGGCGGCUUAUAGCCUUUGAGAAAAUCCAGAACGGAUAAUCAUUUUGAAGCAUCAAUUUUGAUAAUGAGCUUGAACUUAAUCAUUUAUAUAAGUCAUAUUUCUGCAAAUCCUGCACAGGGUUAAACAACAUAUGCCCUGGCGACUUAACGUCAAAACCAGGGCGGGUACCAACCCAAACAUAAUAUAGUCUUUAUGCAAUUAUGGAAAAGACUAGGAUUAAGGCCAUUCAGGCGUAAACAUACUGGCGACUUAACGUCAAAGGCCAGGGCGGGUUAUCCAACCUCGCAUAUUUAUAUAAUCAGGAAAACAUACCUGUAGAAUUGGCUCAUACUGCCGGUGUACAUCGCCGUAUCCGAUAAGGGCAAUAAUCCAAUGAUUGAUAAGCGCAUGAUUCGAAUGGCGCAACCCAAAAUAGACCGGCUACUUAAAGUCCAAAGCUAGGCCGGUUUAAACAUAAUCAUGUAUAAACAAUAUCAUAUCUGUGACAUUGAAUCGUACUGCCGGUUUAUGAUACCUGUGAAGUAAGGGUGAUAACCCAAUCUUUAGAAGCCAAGACCUCCAAAUGUUUGAUGAUUGUCAUAUGCUGGCGACUUAUCGUCAAAAGCCAAGCCGGGUUAAAUUUAAACCACACUUAUACUUAGAUCUGAACAAAAAAGUCUCAAGACAAAACCAAAGAUUGUUUGCAAAAACUUAAACCAAAUAGAAAGAAAAAAUCGAGGCUUCUGAUUCGAAUACGAUAAUGUAGCCCCCAGUGGCUUUGGCGUUGUGCCGAUCUAGAGGGUACCGACAGCUAUUUUCUCUUUGGUUCGAAUACGACAUAUGUUUGAACAGGAAGCACCCAAAUGACCUUGAGAGUUUUUAACGACUCUGAUUCAAAUACGAUCAAAGUCAGACCCAGAAGGGGUUAAGCUAUGAUUCGAAUACGAUCAAGAAGCCCCCUAGUGAGUUUGGCAUUGUGCCGAUCAAGAGGGUACCGACAGCUAUGUUCUGUUUGGUUUGAAUACGACCUAUGUUUGAACAGGAAGCCCCCAAGUGACCAUAUAAGUUUUGGCAUUGCACCGAUCAAGAGGGUACCGACAGCUAUGCUCGAUGAGCAGGAAGGCCCCAAGUGACCAUAAUAAGAUAAGCCGUAAGGAAGGAUACCCAUGUUUGAACCGCGCAUCAUGGCAACAAGUUCUUUUUGGCAACCUUCAAUUUUUCUGAGAACUGGAACUUGCGAGAGAUUAAUUCUUUUUGAACCAGAAAUUUAAACCAGAUUUGAAAGCUUCAAAACUUUGUGGGAGACAGAUUGUCCUUGAACUGGAUUUUGAACCAGAAUCCUUAUUUUGAGCCGGAAAUCUUCUAACGGCCUUUAAAUUUUCAUCGAUCUAGCAGUAAUCUCCGGGGCCGGGUUAUUUUUCCCUUCAAUGACCCGGAAUUCUUGAAUUCAUUGAAACCGGCUAAUUUGCCGAGUCAUAUCAUUGUAGCCCCCGAGUCUCAAGACGACUCGAGGAGUUGGCUUGAGAUUCUCCAUAUUUGACCAUAGCAGAAGGUGUAUAUCAUUGGCGUUGAUAGCGCGAUGUGAAUCCACAGAAGGUUGAGGUGACUGCGGCGGGUUAUAAAUGAUCCUGUUUAAGCCGUGUCAGCAACUCGGCCAAUGGUUCCUUCCAAUUGGCUGUUUGAAGUUAACCAAACCGUAGUGGCGGUGACUUGUGCACCUAUCCAUUGAGCCAUCUAGUGCGGACGGCGGCUGAUAAGACAUGAUAACUUGCCUCCAAUUUGUUGGAAGAAAAACCGGCUACCCAAGCAGUGACUUGCUCAUACUCAAUAAACAGCUCAUGCAGACAGGUGCAGCCCGGUGUGUUGAUGUAGACUAGACCGCGAGAGUCGGACGGUAAAGACGACCGCAACAUCUGAGGCAGCACAGAAAGAUGAACCGGCCGUGGCGUUGUAAGCCGGUGCGGACGGGCAAGUUGUCCUCCUUGUUGUAAGCCGGCGUGGUAGCGAGAGACGGCCACGGCGUUGUAAGCCGGCGCGGUCAUGAGAGACGGCCACAACGUUGUAAGCCGGUGCGGGAGUCCGUUGAGUAACGACGACCACCUGUGCAAAAAGAUGUUGGCGUGCCUCCAUCUCCACGGUAUAAUAUCACUUCUUGUCAUAAAUAAUUGCCCUGCAUAAACAAUAUUGCAGACCAAGGCAAAGAUACACUUGUUCUUUGACAAAAACAACAUGUGCUAAUAAAACAAAAUUGGAUGGAUAUCACCUGAUUUGUUUGGACGAUGGAUGAUCCAUUUAUCGCGACAGAGGUGGCUCAGGUAGACCAGCGACUCAAUAUAGUUCUGGCGGCUCAGGCAGACCGGCGACUUAACAUAACCCCGGCGGCUCAAAGCGGCAAGGGCGGCUCAACGCGGCUCCGGCGGGUUGAUGUAGAUUAAGCUGCAUGGGUGGCGACUUGCGCACACCUGUUCCAUCGGUAAGCUGGCGCAGACGCCAGUGCGUGAUGGUGCCGACGUACACUUGAUAGGCAUAACAUGGCACCACCUUUGUUGCACAUAAAAAUAUACAGACCAAAUUAAUUGUUCUUUGAUGAAAACAAUAUGUUUAAUAAAAUUAUCCACCGCGGAGUUGAUGAUCACCAUGGUGAACUUGAAAUUUAAUCACGGCCGAAUCGGCCGCGGGAGCACACAGAUGAGUCGGCCACGAUGUUGUAAGCCGGCGCGGACGGGUGAGUCAAUCGCAGGCGGAUAAAUGUAAACCCAGCAACGGGGGCGGCGACUUGCUCUCGUAUCCGAGAGUGGGUGCGGCACCGGCGUGCUGAUGUAGACCGGACCGCAGGAGCGGUGGCGUGCAUGCGUCCAUUGGCGAGGGAGUUGGCCGCGGUGUUGGAGACCAGCGCACGCGGGCGCGGACUGACGAGUCGGCCGCGACAGUGGUAGCCGGUGCAUGCGCGAGAGUUUGCCACGACAUUUAAGCUGGUGCAGGCGCGAGAGUUGACCACGACAUUUAAGCCGGUGCAGGCGCGAGAGUUGGCCACAACGUUUAAACCGGUGCGAGCCUCAUGUCUAUGGCAUGACGUCACUUUUGUAGUGAACUUUGUCCUGCAUAAAAUAUAUUGAAAGACAGAAUAAUUGUUCUCAGAAGAAUUAAUAUGUGCUAAAAAUACUGAGAACAUAUAGCACCUGAUUUAUUUUCUGGAUGAACGCAGAUGCAAGCAUUUAGAUAAUGCUGGUUAGACGUCAGACAAAAAAUCCAUAGCCCGUCUCACUUUAAAUGUUCUGAUGUAGCACUUCCCCACACCCCCUUUUCUUCAUACAGCAAUUAGCAAAGGACAGCACACAAGGGCGUGGUUUAGACAGAGGUGAAGCCAUGGUAGAGGCCGGCAGACAACUCGCCAGCAAGGCAAAGGCGAACCGCGGCAAAGGUAAGCCGUGGGGACGGCGACUUGAAGGCCGAAGCAGACUCGGUGCUGAGGCCAAGGUUGUUGAAUCAUGGGUAAUCCAACAGCAGCAGCGAAACCCACAAGGUAGGAGCAGAGGCGCCUCGAGGCCGGGCGGCUCACAGACUUGAAGCGGGCCGUCCGUAGCAGCGGUCGGCACACCGGCAAGGGUGACUCGGAGGCCGCAAGGGUUGCAGCGGCUCACAAUCCGGCCACAGCGGAGGCGGACUCGGUCUGACGGCGACAACGGCUCAGAGGCGGGUCAGCUUGGCGAGGUCGCGGCCGGAGCUAACCACAGCGGAGGAGGCGGGCGACGGCUCGUGGCCGAGCGACGAGAGGCGUAGCGCAGAGGCGGAGGCGACCCAAACUGUUUUGAUUGGGUUGACAAGUCCACGCCUACAUCCUCCAGGUCGUGGCCCCCUUUUUUUACUUUUCCUUUGACAUGUUGAUUAACCGGCUUUGGCCAGUUUUCUGUCCCUCCUGAGUAUUCAUGUGUUUAAACUCACAUAGUAGCUUUUCCUUCCUGGUAGAUUCCUUGUAGGCAUGUAGUAACCAGAGUUGACAAAAGGAAAAAAACGAUUUGGCUUCAGGCGACGGUCUCGGCGACCCCUCAUAGAUUAUAAACUUGAAGUUGAUGCAGAUCUUUGUUCGGAAAAUCAUGAACUUCCCGAUCCCUGGAAGAGAUCCCUCCAAGAACUCAACACCACCGUGCGCAGCCCCACGGUGGGCACCAACUGUCGUGGAAUUGUCACGGGAGAUGUCCUAGUGUGAGGACUUAGUCGUGAGGCCAGCGCAUCUAUGUGGUAGCUUGAGAGGGGUUGAUCGGGACGAGAGACGCGAGGCGGAUCAUCACACAAGAUGAGGAUUUAGACAGCUUCGGGCCCCGGGAAACAUCAUCUAGAAUAGCCCUACACGCUGUUUGUGGCUAGGUCUCAUUAUGCUCAUGAGGGAGUCGCCGCAUAAGCCGGCUCCCCCUUUGUGUCUAGCCCUAGAUAUUGUUUCUUGUUUCGGGGAGCCCUGCCCCUCCUUAUAUAAGUUGAAGGGGCGGGUUACAUGACUAGUCCUAGUAGGAUUAGGAUUACUCUAUUACAAGUGGAGUCCUAGUCUUGCUUCCUUUGUAGGAGAAUAUUCCUUAUGUCUUCCUCUUAAGCCGGCCCACCAUAGCAUGAGCUAGUCCUUCUGGGCCUUGGGCCUUGUCAUCCAUCUGAAACACCCGCCGGGUCACCAGUGAGUAUUCAGGCUCGUGAGUCGUCACACUAGUGAACUGCCAGACACAUGAAUCGCCAAUCUUCUGGGGGUUGCCAAUGAAACGCCAAGUCCGGCUGGGUCAUAUAUCCGGCCGGGUCAUACCGCGGGGUAUAUCCUCGACAGGUUGGGUUUUCCUCACACGAUGAUUUUCGCUCAAAGUCCUCGGAGGAUGGGAUGCUCUCAAAUGACAAGUGUCAGUUUCUCUCAGAGCAGCCAACCAGCUAGUGGUUGUAGGGGGCGGCUAUUUAUAGCCUAGGGAGCAGCCCGACAUGAUAAGACAUAAAUGCCCUUCAAUGAUAUGACCGUUAGGUGGGUAGAUAUUUUGGGACAGCUGGCACAAGGCACAACAAUGGUCGGAAAUUUGAGUAUCAAAUUCCUCAGGGCUAUCACGUUCCUCACUGUGUAGGCAAUCCGCACUGGCGAAUUCCUAACUCCUCAGUCAGAACAAAUUCCUCAGAGACCAUAAGAACUUCGUCUCUGUCACUGAAGAAUAUGACUGAACUGAAUGAGAUUUCCAAUGGCUUCACUCGAAGGGAUUGGUAGGUGUAGGAUUUUGAGUUGAGCAUCACAUGGAAAUUUUUCCUUAGUAUUUCCUCGACCCCCUUUAACAGUCCGGUGUUUCCUAUGACUCAAGAAAGAGAAAAUGAAACUACGAAAACAAAAGUCUUCACGCUUCAUGUUCCUCGAAUGAAUACCAAGUCUUCAAGGUCACACAUAUUUCUUCAUUUUCAAAGUCUUCAGAAAGUCUUCAGAAAUCCAAAGUCUUCAGUCGAAGAACUUCAUUUUUAGGGGUCGACUUUCUCUGUAAAUAUCAAACACCUCAUAGACUUAUAGUCCUGUGUACACUCAUAAACACAUUAGAACCUUAACCUAUAAGUGUUCAAUACACCAAAAUCACUAAGGGGCACUAGAUGCACUUACAAUGCCAUGCAUAAUUAGCUAGGAGUUUAUAAUGGUUUACCUUGCGUGCCAACAUGCUAUUAAAAUGGUUGUGAUGUGGUAUGAUAGGGUGGUAUCCUCCUUUGAACGAUUCGAGUGGCUUGACUUGGCACAUGUUCACACAUGUAGUUGAAACAAAAUCAACAUAGCCUCUACGAUAUUUAUGUUCAUGGUGAAUUAUAUCCUACUCAUGCUUGCACUCAGUGUUGAUUAAUUUUAAUGCAUGUUCAUGACUGUUGUCGCUCUCUAGUUGGUUGCUUCCCAGUAUUUUUCUAGCCUUCACUUGUACUAAGCGGGAAUACUGCUUGUGCAUCCACUUCCAUAAACCCCAAAGUUAUUCCAUAUUAGUCCACCAUACCUUCCUAUAUGCGGUAUCUACCUGCCGUUCCAAGUAAAUUUGUAUGUGCCAAACUCUAAACCUUCAAAUGAAAUUCUGUUUUGUAUGCUCGAAUAGCUCAUGUAUCAACUAGGGCUGUCUGUAUCUUCCAUGUUAGGCGGGUUAUUCUCAAGAGGAGUGGACUCCACUCCUCACUCACGAGAAAAUGGCUGGUCACCGGGAUGCCCAGUCCCAUGCUCUAAGCAAAUCAAAUCAAAAUAAUUGCAAACAAAACUCCCCCAGGGCUGUUGCUAGUUGGAGGCACUUGUUGUUUCAAGCAAGCCAUGGAUUGAUGCUUGUUGGUGGUGGGGGAGUAUAAACUUUACCAUUCUGCUUGGGAACCGCCUAUAAUGUGUGUAGCAUGGAAGAUAUCGACAUCUCUCAGUUGUUAUGAUGACAAUGAAAGUAUACCACUCAAAAUAUUAUUUAUCUCUAUUUCAAAAUCGAGCUCUGGCACCUCUACAAAUCCCUGCUUCCCUCUGCGAAGGGCCUAUCUAUUUAAUUUUAUGUUGAGUCAUCAUCCUCUUAUUAAAAAAACACUAGUUGGAGAGCACCGCUGUCAUUUGCAUCCAUUACUAUUAAUUUAUAUUGAGUAUGACUAUGAAUGGAUCUCUUUUACCAUGAAUUACAAUGUUUAGUCAGUCUUUGAUCUUCAGAUGGUGCUCUGCAUUUAUGGUUUGCGGUCUCAGAAAGGGCUAGCGAGAUACCAUCUUGUUAUAUCAUAUUAUGAUUGUUUUGAGAAAGUGUUGUCAUCUGAGAUUUAUUAUUAUUGCUCGCUAGUUGAUUAUGCCAUUGAUAUGAGUAAACAUGAGACCUAAGUGUUAUCGUGAAUAUUGUUAGUUCAUAAUCUUUGCUGAAAACUUGAAUGCUGGCUUUACAUAUUUGCAACAACAAGAGCAAACAGAGUUUGUAAAAGUUUUUCUUUAUCACUUUCAGUUUGUCAACUGAAUUACUUGAGGACAAGCAAAGGUUUAAGCUUGGGGGAGUUGAUACGUCUCCAUCAUAUCUACUUUUCCAAACACUUUUACCCUUGCUUUGGACUCUAACUUACAUGAUUUGAAUGGAACUAACCCGGACUGACGCUGUUUUCAGCAGAAUUGCCAUGGUGUUAUUUUUGUGCAGAAAUAAAAGUUCUCGGAAUGACCUGGAAAUCAACGGAGAAUAUUUUUGGAAUAUAUAAAAAAUACUGGCAAAAGAAUCAAGGCCAGGGGGCCCACACCCUGUCCACGAGGGUGGGAGGCACGCCUACCCCCUGCGCGCGCCCCCUGCCUCGUGGGCCCCCUGGUGCUCCACCGACCUCAACUCCAACUCCAUAUAUUCACGUUCGGGGAGAGAAGGAUUCAUCGCGUUUUCGAUACGGAGCCGCCGCCAAGCCCUAAACUCUCUCCGGAGGGCUGAUCUGGAGUCCGUUCGGGGCUCCGGAGAGGGGAAUCCGUCGCCGUCGUCAUCAUCAACCUUCCUCCAUCACCAAUUUCAUGAUGCUCACCGCCGUGCGUGAGUAAUUCCAUCGUAGGCUUGCUGGACGGUGAUGGGUUGGAUGAUAUUUAUCAUGUAAUCGAGUUAGUUUUGUUAGGGUUUGAUCCCUAGUAUCCACUAUGUUCUGAGAUUGAUGUUGCUAUGACUUUGCUAUGCUUAAUGCUUGUCACUAGGGCCCGAGUGCCAUGAAUUCAGAUCUGAACCUAUUAUGUUUUCAUGAAUAUAUGUGAGUUCUUGAUCCUAUCUUGCAAGUCAUUAGUCACCUACUAUGUGUUAUGAUCCGGCAACCCGGAAGUGACAAUAAUCGGGACCACUCCCGGUGAUGACCGUAGUUUGAGUUCAUGUAUUCACUAAGUGUUAAUGCUUUGGUCCGGUACUCUAUUAAAAGGAGGUCUUAAUAUCCCUUACUUUCCAAUAGGACCCCGCUGCCAUGGGAGGGUAGGACAAAAGAUGUCAUGCAAGUUCUUUUCCAUAAGCACGUAUGACUAUAUUCGGAAUACAUGCCUACAUUACAUUGAUGAACUGGAGCUAGUUCUGUGUCACCCUAUGUUAUAACUGUUGCAUGAAUGAUCGCAUCCGACAUAAUUAUCCAUCAUUGAUCCAAUGCCUACGAGCUUUUCACAUAUUGAUCUCUCCUUAGUAACUUUACCAUUGCCACUGUUACAAUCACUACAAUACUGCUACUGUUACUUUUGCCACUGUUACCGUUACUUCCAUAUUACGUUGCUACUAAAUACUUUGCUGCAGAUAUUAAGUUAUCCAAGUGUGGUUGAAUUGACAACUCAACUGCUAAUACUUGAGAAUAUUCUUUGGCUCCCGUUGUGUCGAAUCAAUAAAUUUGUGUUGAAUACUCUACCCUCGAAAACUGUUGUGACCCCCUAUACUUGUGGGUUAUCACCCCCGGGCCGGGUGCGACUGCUGCGGUCGCCGAGCCGCCUGCCGAAGUCCCCAGGCCGACUGCCGCAGCCCCCGGGCCGGGUUCUGAAGUCCUCAGGCCGGGUGCGACUGCUGCAGCCCCCGAGCCACCUGCCGAAGUCCCCGGGACGGCUGCUGCAGCCCCCGAGUCGGAUCCGACUGUUCCGGGAGCAGCCGUCACGAAGAUGGACUCAGAUUCUGGCGAAGGCUUGAUGGACGGCUUGGGGAAGCGCUGAAGGGAGACGCCGGCUGGUAUGGCUUGCUGGGUGGAGCCGAUCCAUGCCAGGGCAUCUGCUUGCUCGUUGUCGUUCCGUGGUAUGUGAAGGAACUCACACCCUUCAAAAUACCCGCAGAUCUGCUGGAUGAGGAAGCGGUAGCUCGCCAUAUUUGCAUCCUUGGCGUCCCAGUCACCAGACGACUGUUGGACCACCAAGUCUGAGUCGCCGUAGUACAGGAUCCGGCGGAUGCUGAGCUCUUUGGCCAGCCGGAGCCCGUGUACAAGCGCCUCAUACUCGGCCACGUUGUUGGAGGCGGCGAAGUGGAUUUCCAAUGCGUAUCUGAGCUUGUUGCCUUUGGGAGAGGUAAGGACGAUGCCGGAGCCCAAGCCAGUGCGCAUAUUCGAGCCGUCGAAGUGCAUCCGCCAAUGGGUGGAAUCCGGCGCUGGCGGCAGGUACUGGAUCUCGGCCCAGUCGACAAGGAAGUCGGCCAGUGCUUGGGACUUGAUGGCGGUGCGAGGCUGGUAGAAGAUGGUGUAGGGGGGCAGCUCGAUGGCCCAUUUGGCCACCUGGCCCGAUGCAUCUCUGCUGCCUAUGAUCUCGGCCAGCGGGGCGGUGCAGACAACCGUGAUGGGGUGCUCUUGAAAGUAUGGCUUGAGCUUCUUGGCGGCAAAGUGCAUGCCGUAGCACAUCUUCUGGUAAUGAGGGUAAUUCUGCUUCGAGGCUCACAACACCUCGCUCAAGUAAUACACAGGCCUCUGGACCGGCAGUGCUUUUCCGUCUUCUUGGCGUUCUGCCACUAUGACUGUGCUGACCACCCGGCUGGCGGCGGCGAUGUAGAGAAGCAUGGGCUCCUUAGCAGCCGGAGCGGCCAGAACAUGCGGCGUGGGCAACAUCUUCUUGAGUUGGAGAAAAGCUUCGUCUGCCUUGUUGUUCCACUUGAAGUGAGUGGUUUUCUUCAUGAGCUGGUACAGGGGAAGAGCCUUCUCGCCCAGCCGACUGAUGAAGCAGCUGAUGGAUGCCAAGCAGCCGGUAAACUUCUGGACGUCUGACAGUCGGGUCGGUCUCUCCAUCCUCUCAAUGGCCUUGAUCUUGACAGGGUUACACUCGAUGCCACGCUCUGAGACCAGGAAGCCAAGGAGCUGGCUGGCUCGUACUCCGAAGACACAUUUCUCUGGGUUGACCUUGAUCUAAAAACGGCGCAGAUUUUCAAAAGUUUCCUUGAGAUCUUCCAAAAGGGUAUUGCGCUUCUCCGUCUUCACCACAAUAUCAUCUAGAUAGACGUGGGCAUUUCUACCGAGUUGCUUGAGGAGGCACUUCUACAUGCAACGCUGGAAGGUGGCACCGGCAUUUCUUAAGCCGAAUGUCAUGGUCAGGUAGCAGAAGGCUCCGAAUGGUGUGAUGAAGGCGGUCUUCAGGCGGUUGGCAGGGUUCAACUUGAUCUGGUGGUACCCUGAGUAGGCAUCCAAAAAACUCAACAGCUCGCAUCCUGCUGUGGAGUCUAUCACUUGGUCGAUCCGAGGCAAGGCAAACGGAUCUUUGGGGCAAGCUUUGUUGAGGCUGGUAUAGUCAAUACACAUGCGCCAUUUGUUCUUCUUCUUCAGUACAAGGACCGGGUUGGCAAGCCAAUCUGGAAAGAACACUUCCGUAAUGAAGCCAGCUGCUAGAAGCCGGGCUAUCUCUUCACCAACAAUUCUUCUCUUCUCUUUUGAGAGGCGGCGGAGGGGUUGCUUGCUGGUUUGACAUCUGCCUGGACAUGUAGCUUGUGCUCGGCGAAAUCCGUCGGAACACCCGGCAUGUCCUUUGGAGACCAUGCAAAGAUGUCCCGAUUCUCAUGGAGGAAACCGACGAGCUUGCUUUCCUAUUUGCUAUCAAGGUUGGUUCCUACGAUAGCGUGCCUCUUCGGGUGGUUCGGGUCCAAGGGGAUCUUCUUGGUUUCUUUGGCCGGCUGGAAGGAGCCAUGAGUUUCUGACUCCUUGGGGUCUGGCGACAGGUCCGGCUGCUUGCCGGCCAUGGCCACAACCUGUUCAAGGAGAUUCCUCUUGGCAGCAAUCACAAGGGACUCGGCCAGCCAGCUGCUGGCAGCGGCACAGGCGGCCCACUUCUUGUAAUCUCCAGACACGGUGAUAAUGCCCUUGGUUCCUGGCAUCUUCAUCUUGAGGUAGGCGUAGUGCGGUACCGCCAUGAACUUGGCCAGGGCAGGUCGGCCAAGCAGUGCAUGGUAAGGACUUUCUAGAUCCACCAUGUCAAACCAAAUUUCUUCGCGGCGGAAGUGAUCUUUUUCUCCGAAGAGGACAUCUAUCUUGAUCUUGCUGAUUUGUGAACAGGAAAGGCCAGGCACAAUGCCGUGGAAGACAGUCCGACUGGGCUGGAGCUGCUUCCCUUUGAUGCACAACUUCUCCAUAGUGUCGCGGUAGAGGAUGUUGAUGCUGCUACCGCCGUCUAUUAGAAUCCGGGAGAAACGAGCAGCUCGCCUCUCUGUUGUAAAGGUGGCAUCCAACACCAGGGCAUAGGAACCCGGAGAAGGCAUCACCUGCGGGUGGUCUGCUCGGCUCCAACUGAUUGGCUUCUCGGACCAGUGCAUGAACUCCAGGGCUUCGGAAGCAACAACAUUCACCUCUCGGUGCUGCUAACAUCGGCUGUGCUUGUCGUCGGCUAGGCUGGUGAAGACGACAUAGGCUCCGUGUUCUUCAGGGAAUUCGUCCUGGAUGGCGGCGACUGGCCGGGCUGGCUGCUGCUGAGCAGGAGGCGGCGGCGGCUGGCCAGCAGGCGGAGGAGGCAGCAGUCCUUCGCCCUUGGAGAUUCGGGUGAGCCAAUGACACUUCCGGGUGGUGUGGUUGGACGGCUUCGCGCCGCUGUGGAACUUGCAAGGUGCAUCUAGGGCUUGCUCAUAGGAGAAGGCGGGCAACCAAGCAGAUUUGCUGCCCUUUUGGCGCUUGGGGCCGGGUUGUCCCUCCGGCUGCUGGUCCUCAACUGUAGCCACUUGCCGACUGGUAGAAGGCGGCUGCGGGGCUUUGCGCUUGUUGUCGUUUGGCUGCUGGCGCCGACUGUUGUCUCCAGCUGGCGUUCGAGGAGCCGAAGGGAGCACUUUCCCGGUGGCAUCCACUUGGAGCUCCGACUUCAUGGAGGAGUUGGCAGUGGCGUACUUGUCUGCUACGAUCAGCAGUUCGUCGAGUGUAGCUGGCUCGUCGCAGAGGAGUUGGUGCUUGAGCAAGGUGCCCUCUCAGCACCCGGCUAUGAAGUACUCUAUGGCUUGCACCUCGUGCACCCCUUCGCAGGAGUUGCGCAGCUCGGCCCAUCGCGUCAGGUAGUCGUGGGUGGACUCGGUGGAGCCUUGGAUGCACAGAGAGAGCUGGCGAGGCUUGGGCGGCCGCUUGUAGGUGCCGGUGAAGUUGCGGAUGAAGACUUUAGUGAAGUCUAUCCAGCUGUUGACGAUGCGCGGCUUGAGGCUGUUCAGCCAAGUCCGGGCCGUGCCCUGGAGCAUGAGCGGGACGUACUUCACGGCAACGCGCUUGUUGCCGUUUGCUAUGUUGAGUGCGGUGGAAUAGUCAACCAGCCAAUCUUCCGGCUUCAUGGAGCCGUUGUACUUGGGCGUGUCUCUUGGGAGUAAGAACCCUUUGGGAAAGGGCUCAUCACGAAUGCGGGGGCCAAAACUAGGCAGGCCGAUCGCAUCUUCUUCUUCUAGUGCCAGGGAUCGCGCCAGGCGGUCGAUCCGACGGUGGGCAUCGUUCUCCCCGACUUCUUCACGGGGGCCAAGCCGGCCACCGAGAGUCGGGUGCUCAACAAGCGGCGGGGAGACGCGCCUCUCCCUGCGCGGGGGAGGCGGACGGUCGUCCCGUCGUUCCACUGCUCGUGGGCGGCCGUCUUGGUCGCGCUCGAUGGUGAUACGUACGUGUCUGGCUGCGGCUAGCAGUCGGCUCUGGAUCUCUCGGGCCGCGGGCGCCGCUAGUCGGCGUCCGGGAGGUCGCGCCAUGCUCUUGGCGAGGGGGAGGUUCUCGGCAUGCUGGCUGGGUUCCACCACGCGGCGGCUGGCUUCUUGCUGCACGGCAGCUGCGUCGGUGAGCUACUGAAGGCGCUCCGUCAUGCAGUGAUGCUCGUCACCUUCCAGGUGGUCCAGCUCGUCUGCUGCCACCUGGGCAGCAUGUAUGUUCUCUACGGGCGUGGCGUGAACCGGGCGGUCUACUCCAAACAUGCUGGCGAUGGCGGCUCCACAUUGCCGGACCGUGCCCACGCGGCUGGGCUCACCAGCAGCCGGCGUGCUGCCAAUGGCGCGGUCGACCUCGCGCUGAUAAGCCUCGGAGAGGCGUCUCAUGGUAGCCAACUUCUUGGCGCUCUUGACGAGUGCAACGCGGUGGGCUUCUAAGGUCUCGGUGUUGGCGUCUGCCGCGAUGGGUGUAGAUAGUUCUCGCAACGCCGCUUGCAGUGGAUCCUUGGCGGUCCCGUCGAAAGCCGCGUCGUGGCUGAUGACGAGUACCUCUGUGACGGUGCUGCCGUCGCUGUCUGCACGAGGGAGCGGGUCGUCGAUGAGCACCACGUUGGUGGGGAAGGCGUCGAGGGAUGCCAUGUCGGAGUCGAUAAGCAUCGGGUCGGUGGAGCCGAUCGACUCUAGGUCGGAGGCCGGCUCAUUGGCGAUGUGGCUCUUGCCAAGGAGGUCGAUGAGGCAGCUCUCGGAGCUGGCUGCUCUUGCGUCAGGCGCGGGCUCGUUGGUGAGGAGGAUCUCGCCGACAAGAUCAGCGAGGCAGCUCACCGCGCAGGCGACUUCUGCGCCAUGCAGCGCGUCAGCGCAGACGCCAUCGGGUGUGUCGGGCUGGCUGCGCUCGCCAGGGAGGAAGAGGGUUCCCGGCCAGAACAGAUCUCCGGACGAUGGUGCACCUAGCCCCACGAUGGGCGCCAAAUGUCGGGGUUUUGGUGCGACAUAUGCCAAAGGAUGGCUUAUCAUGGUGGGUGAGAGUAAGAUUUCGCCGGUGCCUGGAAACGGGAUGAGGCGUAAACACGAACGCCGACGCACUUUACCCAGGUUCGGUGCUCUCCUAGGAGAUAACACCCCUAGUCCUGCUCUGCGGGGUCUCUGCAUGAUCACUAUCUCAACAAGUAGCUACAAGUUGCUCCUUGAGCUGUUUUGCUAGAGGAGGAAGAAGGGCAGGGCUAGCUCUACUCCUCUCUCUAUGUGUGUGUGUGGUCUAAGAGGCUGAACCCUUUGCAUGGGUGCCCUGGGGGUUUAUAUAGGCCUACCCCCCAUGGGUACAACGGUAAUCUGGCCGGGUGUGGGACCCGGCCGUCAGUGUCUCUGGUGGUCGGCUUCUCCGCCGGCUGCUGGGGCCCGCCGACUGUCUUGUACUUGACCGAUAGGCCGCGCCCACCGCUUGCAGGUCCUGCCGGCUGCUUAGUACAGUGGCACUGCCUCUGAUGAUGCGUGCUUUGUUGGGGAGAGCGUGGCUACAGUCCCGCCGCCUGGUGGGCGUUCACUGUAGCCACUCCCCAUCUCUUCUGGUUAAUGGCGCACAAUUUCCAAGGAAGGGGGAGGACCGCCUGGUCAGGAGCCGGCCUCCCCCUGAGCCGACUGAUCAGGGCUCGCCACCUUCUGGCUUCUCACGGACAGGUAGGGCCUGCCGCCUGUGGGCUGUACCAACAACCCGUCAUGGGAGCAUGGCCUUCUUUGCCAUGGGUGAUAUCAUGGGCAGCGUGACAACAGUGUUGCGCCGAGCGAGGGAUGUCCGCCUAGUACGCUGCACUGUGGCCACGCUCUGCCCUGGAUUCGGGGGUGGCAGGCUGCACUGUAGCCACGCCCCGUCUCAUCGUGAUUACGAGGGUGCUAACUUUGAGGGCACGAGGGCCGCCUGCUAGGAGCCGGCUUCUCUGGAGGCCGCCUGCUAGGAGUCAGCCCACUCAGUGGCUGUCUUCUGGAAUCUGCCGCCUUCUAGCGGCCGGCUGCUUGGACUAGCCGGCCCUAAGAAGGCGGUCCUUUGUCCUUGAUGCUUGAGGGGCGCAGCGGGCCCUGAUGUCUUGAAAUACCAAGGGAGCCUGAUGAGGCUACCCGUGGUCAUUUACUCUGACACAAACAUAGUUAUGCGCUUGUUUGUUUUCAUACCCUGGUGUUUUCCUCAUAUAGACCUCCUCUUCCAGAACACCAUGCAAAAAUGCGUUCUGAACAUCUAGCUGCCUAUGGCUCCAUCCCCUGGAAACAACAAUGGCUAGCACAAGUCUUAUGGUAGCAGUUUUAACAACAGGACUAAAAGUGUCCUCAUAAUCAAUACCAUAGCGUUGCUUGAAUCCUUUAGCAACUAGACGUGCCUUGUACCUAUCAAUGGAGCCAUCUGCUUUUCUUUUGAUUCUAUACACCCAUUUGCAGUCAAUAAUAUUUUUACCUCUUUGACUUGGUCCCAAGCGCCAUGUUUUAUUCCUCAUGAGUGCACCAUAUUCUUCAUCCAUAGACUUUUUCCAUUUAGGAUCUCCAACUGCAUCACUUAAUUUUGUUGGUUGACUUGAAAUACACAACAUGCCAGAUGGUAUAGUACCAUCCGUUCUUAUUUUUGGAUUUCUUAUACCUUUUUGUAGUCGGGUUAUUGCCCUUGGAGUAGCAACAUGUUGCCGUUGUGAUCGCACAGGAGAUUGAACAGUUUGACUGUCCGCAGAUGAUACAGAGGACCUGUCCAAACGUGCAGGAUGGGUGGAUGUAGACGAUCCUAUGAUCACUUGUGUGGCUGAUCAUGAGCUGGCUUUAUCUUCGGCCACAACAUUUUUGCCCGCCGUAGAUCCCGCAGAAGACCGUGUGGUCGUUGUCGACUGCAUGUGCGCAGGUGCGUGAUACGUCCAUUUUGCAUCAUGCUUUCCUACUAUUAUUUAUGAUGUUUUAUCCAUAAUAAUGCCUUUCGAGUAAUUCUAAUGCCUUUUCUCUCAUAAUAUGCAAGGUAUACACAAAGAGGGAGAAUUCCGGCAGCUGGAAAUCUGGACCUGGAAAAGCUACGUCACGCUACCUAUUCUGCACAACUCCAAACAAGCUGAAACUUCACGGAGAAUGUUUAUGGAAUAUAUGAAGAAUAUUGGAGCAAAUAAGUACCAAAGGAGACCCACCAGGUGGGCACAACCCACCUGGGUGCGCCAGGGAGCCCAGGCGCGCCCUGGUGGGUUGUGCUCACCCAGGCCCACCUUCGGGGCCCACCUUCUGGUAUAUAAGUCAUUUUGACCUAGAAAAAAUAAGGAGAGGACUUUCGGGAUGGAGCGCUGCCAUCUCGAGGCGGAACUUGGGCAGGAGCACUUUUGCCCUCCCGCGGCGCGAUUCCGCCGGGUGAACUUCUCUCCCGGAGGGGGAAAUCAUCGUCAUCAUCAUCACCAACAACUCUCCCAUCUUGGGGAGGGCAAUCCCCAUCAACAUCUUCAACAUCACCAUUUCAUCUCAAAUCCUAGUUCAUCUCUUGUGUUCAAUCUUGUUACCGGAACUAUAGAUUGGUGCUUGUGGGUGACUAGUAGUGUUGAUUACAUCUUGUAGUUGAUUACUAUAUGGUUUAUUUGGUGGAAGAUUAUAUGUUCAGAUCCAAUAUGCUAUUUUAUACCCCUCUGAUCUUGAGCAUGAUUAUCAUUUGUGAGUAGUUACUUUUGUUCUUGAGGUCACGAGAGAAAUCAUGUUGCAAGUAAUCAUGUGAACUUGAUAUGUGUUCGAUAUUUUGAUAGUAUGUAUGUUGUGAUUCCCUUAGUGGUGUCAUGUGAACAUCGACUACAUUACACUUCACCAUAUUUGGGCCUAAGGAAAUGCAUUGUGGAGUAGCAAUUAGAUGUUGGGUUGCGAGAGUGAUGGAAGCUUAAACCCCAGUUUAUGCGCUAUUCCGUAUGGGACCGAUUGGAUCCAAAAGUUCAAUGCUAUGGUUAGAAUUUAUUAUUAUACUUUUCUCGUAGUUGUGGAUUCUUGCGGGAGGGUUAAUCAUAAGUAGGAGGUUUGUUCAAGUAAGAACAGCACCUAAGCACCGGUCCACCCACAUAUCAAAUUAUCAAAGUACCGAACAGAAAUCAAACCAACAUGGUGAAAGUGACUAGAUGAAAUUCCCGUGCACCCUCAAGAACACUUUGCUUAUCAUAAGAGACCGUUUUGCCCUGUCCUUUGACUCAAAAGGAUUGGUCUACCUUGCUGCACCUUUUUUACUACUAUCGUUACUUGCUAGUUACAAAUUAUCUUGCUAUCAAACUACUCUGCUACUUACAAUUUCAGCACUUGCAGACCUUACCUUGUUGAAAACCACUUGUCAUUCCUUCUGCUCCUCAUUGGGUUCGACACUCUUACAUAUCGAAAAGAGAUACAAUUGAUCCCCUAUACUUGUGGGUUAUCAAGUCUAUUUCUGGCGCCGUUGCCGGGGAGUGAAGCGCCUUUGGUAAGGAAACAUUUAUAUAGUGUGCUAAAAUUUACUGUCACUUGAUACUAUGGAAAACAAUCCUUUGAGGGGUUUGUUCGGGGUAUCUUCACCUCGACCGGAACGACAAUUAGCUACCCCUCAACCUACUGCACCUACUGAAAAUAUUGAAUAUGAAAUUCCUUCGGGUAUGAUAGAACAACUGCUAGCUAAUCCUUAUGCAGGAGAUGGAACCGAACAUCCUGAUAUGCACUUGAUAUAUGUAGAACAAAUUUGUGGAUUGUUCCAGCUUGCAGGUUUACCCGGAGAUGAACUUAUGAAGAAGGUUUUCCCUUUAUCUUUGAAGGGAAAAGCAUUGGCAUGGCAUAGGCUAUGCGAUGAUAUUGGAUCGUGGAAUUGGAAUCGAUUGAAAUUGGAGUUCCAUCAAAAAAAAUUAUCCUAUGCAUCUAGUUCAUCGUGAUCGGAAUUAUAUAUAUAAUUUUUGGCCUCAUGAAGGAGAAAGUAUCGCUCUAGCUUGGGGGAGGCUUAAGUCAAUGUUAUAUACAUGCCCCAAUCAUGAGCUCUCAAGAGAAAUUAUUAUCCAGAAUUUUUAUGCUCGGCUUUCUCAUGAUGAUAUUCCAUGCUUGAUACUUCUUGUGCUGGUUCCUUCUUGAAGAAGACUAUUGAAUUCUGGUGGGAUCUUUUGGAAAGAAUUAAACACAACUCUGAAGAUUGGGAACUCGACGAAGGUAAAGAGUUAGGUAUUAAACUUUAGUAUGAUUGUGUUAAAUCUAUUAUGAAUACCGAUGCUUUUCAAAAGUUUAGCACUAAAUAUGAACUUGACUCUGAGAUAGUAGCCUCCUUUUGUGAAUCAUUUUCUACUCAUGUUGAUAUCCCUAAAGAGAAGUGGUUUAAAUAUCACCCACCUAUUAAAGAAGAAGUUAAAGAACUGGUACCAGUUAAGGAAGAAACUAUACUUUACAAUGUUGAUCCAGUUGUUCCUACUGCUUACAUUGAGAACCCACCUUUCCCUAUUAGGAUAAAGGAACAUGCGAAAGUUUCAACUGUGGUCAACAAAAGUUAUAUUAGAACACCUAAACCUUAUGAACAAAUUAAAGUAGAACCUAGUAUUGUUAUGGAUAAAGAUCUCUUGGAAGAAAAUGUAGACGGGCAUGUUACUUACUUCUGUGAAUAAGCUGCUAGAAUUGCCAAACAUGAGAAAAAGGAUAAACAUAGACCUGUGUUGGCUUGUCCGUUGUCUCAGUUAAAAUAGGAGAUCACCGUUAUCAUGGUUUAUGUGGCAUAGGUGCUAGCAUGAGUGCUAUUCCUUAUUCCUUAUAUCAAGAAAUUAUGAAUGACAUAGCACCCGGAGAAAUAGAAGACAUAUAUGUUACUAUUAAACUUGCUAAUAGAGAUACCAUAUCACCAAUUGGGAUUGUUAGAGAUGUUGAAGUCUUGUGUGGGAAAAUAAAAUAUCCUACUGAUUUUCUUGUUCUUGGUUCCCCACAAGAUGACUUUUGUCCCAUUAUCUUUGGUAGACCUUUCUUAAACAUCGUUAAUGCUAGAAUAGACUGUGAGAAACAAACUGUCGGUGUUAGUUUUGGUGAUGAGUCUCAUGAGUUUAUUUUUUCCAAGUUUAGUAGAAAGCUUCAUGAAAAAGAAUUUCCUAGUGAGGAUGAAAUAAUUGUUCUUGCUUCUAUUGCUGUACCACCUACUGAUCCUUUACAACAAUAUUUGCUAGACCAUGAAAAUGAUUUACAUAUGCAUGAAAGAAAUGAGAUAGAUAAGAUUUUCUUUAAACAAUGUCCUCUGCUUAAACACAAUUUGCCUAUUGAAACUCUAGGAGGUCCUCCUCCACCUAAAGGUGAUCCUAUGUUUGAAUUAAAAUAAUUGCCAGACACUUUGAAAUAUUCUUAUCUUGAUGAAGAGAAGAUAUAUCCUGUUAUUAUUAGUGUUAACCUUUUAGAACAUGAAGAAGAAAGACUACUGAAAGUUCUAAGGAAACACCGAGCUGCUAUUGGAUAUACUCUUGAUGACUUAAAGGGCAUUAGUCCCAGUCUAUAUCAGCACAAAAUUAAUAUGGAACCUGAUGCUAAACCUGUUGUUGAUCACCAACGUAGGUUAAAUCAAAAAAUGAAGUGGUAUAAUCUAUCCUAUAGCUGAUAGUAGAUGGGUAAGUCCUGAUCAUCGUAUUCCUAAGAAAGGAGGUAUUACUGUUGUUCCUAAUGAUAAGAAUGAACUUAUACCACAAAGAAUUAUUACAGGCUAUAAUCUAUCCUUCAGCUGAUAGUAAGAACGGAAAUCUUAAAACUUCUGGAAGCAGGUAUAAUCUAUCCUAUAGCUGAUAGUAAGAACGGAAAUCUUAAAACUUCUGGAAGCAGGUAUAAUCUAUCCUAUAGCUCAUAGUAGAUGGGUAAGUCCUGUUCAUCGUAUUCCUAAGAAAGGAGGUAUUACUGUUGUUCCUAAUGAUAAGAAUGAACUUAUUCCACAAAGAAUUGUUAUAGGCUAUAGAAUGGUAAUUGAUUUUAGAAAACUAAACAAAGCAACUAGAAAAGAUCAUUACCCUCUGCCUUUUAUUGAUCAAAUGCUAGAAAGAUUAUCUAAGCACACUCAUUUUUUGCUUCCUUGAUGGAUAUUCUGGUUUCUCACAAAUACCUGUUUCUCAACCUGAUCAAGAAAAGACCACUUUUACUUGUCCCUUCGAAACUUAUGCUUACAGAGGUAUGCCUUUCGGUUUAUGCAAUGCACCUGCUACCUUUCAAAGAUGUAUGACUGCUAUAUUCUCUGACUUUUGUGAAAAGGUUGUUGAGGUUUUCAUGGAUGAUUUCUCUAUUUAUGGGAAGUCUUUUGAUGAUUGUUUAAGCAAUCUUGACCGAGUUUUGCAGAGAUGUGAACAAACAAAUCUUGUCUUGAUUGGGAGAAGUGCCACUUCAUGGUUAAUGAAGGCAUUGUCUUGGGCCAUAAAAUUUCUGAAAGAGGUAUUGAAGUGGACGAAGCUAAGGUUGAUGCAAUUGAGAAAAUGCCAUGUCCUAAAGAUAUCAAAGGUAUUCGUAGAUUCUUAGGUCAUGCUGGUUUCUAUAGGAGAUUUAUCAAAGACUUUUCUAAAAUUUCUAGGCCUCUUAUGAAUCUUUUGCAAAAGGAUGUUCCUUUUGUUUUUGAUGAUGAUUGUUUAGAAGCCUUUGAAAUACUCAAGAAAGCCUUAAUUUCUGCACCUAUUAUUCAACCACCUGAUUGGAACUUGCCUUUUGAAAUUAUGUGUGAUGCUAGUGAUUAUGCUGCUGGUGAUGUUCUAGGACAAAGAGUUAAUAAGAAACUAAAUGUUAUUCAUCAUGCUAGUAAAACUCUAGACAGUGCUCAACGAAACUAUGCUACAACUGAAAAAGGAUUCUUAGUAGUGGUGUUUCCUUGUGAUAAAUUUAGAUCUUAUAUUGUUGAUUCAAAAGAAAUUGUUCACACUGAUCAUGCUGCUAUUAAAUAUCUUAUGGAAAAGAAAGAUGGUAAACGUAGACUUAUUCGAUGGGUUCUCUUGCUACAAGAAUUUGAUAUACAUAUCACUGAUAGAAAAGGAGCUGAGAACCCCGUAGUUGAUAACUUGUCUAGGCUUGAAAAUGUGCUUGAUGACCCACUUCCUAUUGAUGAUAGUUUUCCUGAUGAUCAGUUAGCUCCAAUAAAUGUUGCUCACAACACUCCUUGGUAUGUUGACUAUGCUAAUUACAUUGUUGCUAAAUAUUUACCACCUAGCUUUACAUACCAACAAAAUAAAAAAUUCUUCUAUGAUUGAAGACAUUACUUUUGGGAUGACCCACAUCUUUAUAAAGAAGGAGUAGCUGGUAUUAUUACACGUUGUGUACCUGAGCAUGAACAGGGACAAAUCCUACGGAAAUGUCACUCCAAAGCUUAUGGAGGGCAUCAAGCUGGAGUGUAGCGACCCGACCUCAGGCGGUCAAGUCUCUGUGCUUAGUGUCAUCCCUGGAUCGGUAAUGCUGACACACACAGUACUCGAAGGAUUUAUAACAGAGUAGCAAUCACACACUUAUUACAUUGGAUGUCUCAAAAGAGAACUUAUUACAAUAAAUAUGGCUUAAGGCCAUCUAAAUAAGAUAACAGCGAAAGACUUGGAAGAUAAAGUGAGUCCAUCAACUCCAAUGGCAUAGCUGAGUGCAUGACAAACGACCUAUCGCACCUUACUCCUCGUCUGAAAAGUCUGCAACAUAAUACGUUGCAACCCCAAAAAGGGUCAGCACAUGGAAUAUGCUGGCAAUAUAACACAGUAGAGCAAUGAACAGAUAAAUGCUAUCACUACAUGCAUAUAUGGCUGGUGGAGGCUAUAUGGUUAUAUGGUUUUUGCGAAAAGCCAAUUUUUCCCUACAACAAAGGAAUUAAACUUUAUUUAACUAUCAUGGUGGUUGAAACAUUGAGAAUGGUACCCCCAUCUCAAUCCCAAUUAAAAGUAAUCAUUAACAACCCAACAAAUUAAUUUAGUGUGAUGAGAUCAAAUCAAUAAUUCAAGUACCAGAUACUCAAGAUGUCCAUAACCGGGGACACGACUAACAAAGAUUAGUUCAUACACUCGGCAGAGUUUUGCGCACUUUUCCCCACAAGACUCGAUCUCCUCCAUUUGAAUUCUCGCACUACAUGGUGUUUGAGAAACGAAUGACCGAGACACAGUCUUUCAUAAGCAUUAACUCUUUACUCUGGGUGGACAGUUACACCUACUUUCCCUCUACAUCUGCUAGCCCACCACUGAAAGAGGUCACACAACAUACUCAACUAUGCGAGAGCCCAUAAUGGCUUGUGGCUGCACACAGAAGUUUCUAGCAUGAAUAAUCUUAUGAUCCCUUUGAGCCUGGAUGGCGGACCGUAGGAUGAUCACACGGUAUAACCUCGGGAUAUCCUAGGACAACACUGGAUUCCCCAGGUGCCCAAAACAAACAAUCCACCCAGAUGCGUAUUAAAUUUGCCAACUUAAGUUGAACCAUUAAUUAACAACUCACAUCUGUCAUGGAUACACUCAAACCCAAUCCACGUCUACGAGCAUAGCAUGACAAUAUAAGCAUAACGUAGAAGUAACUCCCAGGGUUUGAUAAUAAAAUAGGGCAAUAUGUUCUACCUCAUCAACUACUUCCCAAUACCCACAAGUUAAUCACAUCCUAAUCAUGCAGUGUUUGAGGAUUGUACUAAUGCAUAAAAACCGGGUAUGAAAAGAGUAUGAUCAAUGUGUUACUUGCCUUGCUGACGAUCCGCAAAACCUAGAGACUCGUAGUAGCACGCUUCGCACUCCGGGAAUUCUAUCGCAAACAAACAAUAGCAUACAUAAGCAAUCAAGCAAAGAUGCACGAGUAAAACUCAAAUAAGAAUAUCUAACCAGAAAGUUAAACUGAAGAACUUCGGUUUACAAAAAGAAUCAAAUCAAACGGAGCAACGAAACUCAAACUGCGAAAGAAACAAGAUCCGAUUACCAAUCUGAACUAAAGUCAAAUUUUACAGUACCAAAAUCUUGUUCAAGUUGGUUAAACAGAAAGAGGGUUUCGAGACGAAGAACUAGGCGCUUGAAUCGCCGGAUUCCUAUAAACGAGCGAAAAGAUAAACUAAAAUGAAAAUCAGGGCAGAAACCGCGAUCGAAAAUAAUCGCGGAAAAACCCUGGAAAAAGAAAAACUGACGAACAGGCUGACGAACGAACGUUCACGGUCUGCGGCUAACGGGUGAACGGCGUCCGUUAAAACGAACGUACGGACGAACGUCCGCUAAAUAACUAAACCGGGAAAAAAUAAAACUGAUCUAAAAUAAAAUAACCGCGGGUUUACUAAAAAAACCAAACGGUUUUCUCGCAAAAACUGGCGGCUAUCUCGGGACGGGCGGCGGCGGCGGAAUUCCGGCGGGCGGCGGGGUCGGCGGCGAGGCGGCGGGCGGCGACGACNNNNNNNNNNNNNNNNNNNNNNNNNNNNNNNNNNNNNNNNNNNNNNNNNNNNNNNNNNNNNNNNNNNNNNNNNNNNNNNNNNNNNNNNNNNNNNNNNNNNNNNNNNNNNNNNNNNNNNNNNNNNNNNNNNNNNNNNNNNNNNNNNNNNNNNNNNNNNNNNNNNNNNNNNNNNNNNNNNNNNNNNNNNNNNNNNNNNNNNNNNNNNNNNNNNNNNNNNNNNNNNNNNNNNNNNNNNNNNNNNNNNNNNNNNNNNNNNNNNNNNNNNNNNNNNNNNNNNNNNNNNNNNNNNNNNNNNNNNNNNNNNNNNNNNNNNNNNNNNNNNNNNNNNNNNNNNNNNNNNNNNNNNNNNNNNNNNNNNNNNNNNNNNNNNNNNNNNNNNNNNNNNNNNNNNNGCGGCAGCGAGGCGGCGACGACGGCUUUCGGCGGCAGCGAGGCGGCGAUGACGAUGGCCGGCGGCGGCGACGGCGGCUAGCGUAGGCGGCUGGCGGCGACGGCGGAUCGGGCGUGGCAGCGGAUCAGGCGGGGCGGGGCUAGGGUUUGGGAGCGGCUCGGGCCUUCGCUUAAAAAGGCCUGCCGGGCGAAGUCCUAGUCGGGCACGGCCCGGCUAGGUCGGUUGACAUUUUCUUUUAAAAAAUUAAUUCCGCGCAGAAAAACAAAGAAACGAAACAAUAAACGGACUCCAAAAAUCCUGAAAUAAAUUUUCCCCAUCCUCUAAAAAUAUGUCGGACAAGGUGAACAUUUAUUUAGGACUCUAAUGCAAUUUUGAAAAACGCGUAUUUUCCUAAUUCAAAUAAAAUUGCAAUAAAAUCCAAAUAAAAUUAUUUAUUUGAUUUUAAUAAUUUCCUCCAAUAUUUCAUCUAUUUUGGAGAAGUCAUUUUAUCUACUCUCAUAUAUUUUAAAUUCGAAAUAUUUUCGGAGAGAAAAAUCAUUAAAACCAAAAUGAUCCUUGUUUCAAUAUUUGAUAAAAUUCAAAUAUGAAAAUUGUGAAAUCCCCAACUCUCUCCGAGGGUCCUUGAGUUGCUUAGAAUUUCGAGGAUCGCAAACGAAAAUGCAAAAAAAAUAUGAUAUGCAUGAAUGACCUAUGUAUAACAUUCCAAAUUAAAAAUUUGGGAUGUUACAAACCUACCCCCCUUAAGAUGAAUCUCGUCCUCGAGAUUCGGGUUGGCUAGAAAAUAGGUGCGGGUGGUCUUUGCGUAGAUCAUCCUCUCGUUCCCAGGUGGCUUCAUCCUUGGUAUGGUGGCUCCACUGAACUUUGCAAAACUUGAUAACCUUGCUGCAAGUAACUCGGCUGGCAAACUCAAGAAUCUUGACAGGUUUCUCCUCAUGUGUCAAAUCACUAUCCAACUGUAUUGCUUCCAGGGGCACUGUAUCUCUUAGAGGAAUAUCGGCCAUCUCUGCAUGGCACUUCUUCAACUGGGAAACGUGAAACACAUCAUGUACUCCCGACAGUCCUUCGGGUAACUUCAACUUGUAUGCGACCUCUCGCAUGCGUUCCAAAACACGGUAUGGUCCCACAAAUCUCGGGGCUAACUUUCCCUUAACUCCAAAACGUCUAACUCCUCGAAGAGGCAACACUCGCAGAUACGCUCUGCCUUUGAUUUCAUAGACUACCUCCUUGCGGUUUGAGUCCGCAUAACUCUUCUGCCUUGACUGAGCUACCUUAAGUCUGUCUCGAAUCAACUUACCCUUCUCUUCAGACUCCUUGAUCAAAUCUGGUCCAAACAACUGUCGGUCUCCGACUUCAUCCCACAUCAACGGUGUUCUGCACCUUCGGCCAUACAGUGCUUCGAACGGUGCCAUCUUCAAACUGUCCUAGUAGCUAUUGUCGUACGAGAACUCCGCAUAGGGCAAAUUGUCAACCCAACUAGAUCCAUAAUCUAGUGCAGAAGCUCUCAACAUGUCCUCCAGACUCUGAUUGACUCUCUCGGUCUGUCCAUCUGUCUGCGGGUGAAAAGCGGUACUGAACUCCAGCCUGGUACCCAAGGUCUGGUGCAGCUGGUGCCCAAACUUUGAAGUAAAUGGUGUUCCUCUAUCUGAUACGAUGGUCCUCGGAACUCCGUGCAGACAUACGAUCCUGGUCAUGUAUAUCUUGGCCAACUUCGCACUGGUAUAGGUGGUUUUCACUGGGAUAAAGUGAGCUACUUUGGUCAAGCGAUCCACUACUACCCAGGUAGAAUCAUAUCCUGAUCGGGUCCUGGGCAAUCCGGUGAUGAAAUCCAUGCCAAGCUUAUCCCACUUCCAUUCGGGUAUCGGCAUAGGCUGCAGUAAUCCUGCUGGCUUCUGAUGUUCUGCCUUCACUACAUACAUCACAUACGGCUACAUACUCGGCAAUAUCCUUCUUCAUACCAGUCCACCAGAAAUGCUCCUUCAAAUCCAAAUACAUCUUGGUGUUUCUGGGGUGAAUUGAGUAUGGUGAGUCAUGAGCCUCCUGAAGUAUCAACUUCCUGAUCUCUGCAUUAUUGGGCACAUAAACGCGGUCCUCAAACCAUAAGGUGUCGUGCUCAUCCUCACGAAAAUCUUUGGCUUUUCCUUCGCUCAUUCUCUCCUUUAUCUCGGCAAUCUCCUUAUCAUCCUUCUGAGCUUCCCGAAUCUUUCCCAACAAUGUAGACUGCACUUCCAUAGCUGCAACAAAUCCUCUAGGGACUAUCUCCAAACGUAACUCCCUGAGAUCUUCUACCAACUCCUUUGGCAUUCCUCCGCUUACGAGGGUAUUGACAUAACUUUUCCGGCUCAAAGCGUCUGCUACAACAUUGGCCUUGCCUGGAUGAUAGUGCAACUUCAUAUCAUAAUUAUUUAUGAGCUCCAACCAUCUCCUCUACCGGAGGUUAAGCUCCUUCUGUGUGAAGAUGUACUUCAAACUCUUGUGAUCCGUGUACACAUCGCAACGAUUCCCAAUGAGAAAAUGCCUCCAGGUCUUGAGCGCAUGUACCACAGCUGCUAACUCCAAGUCGUGUGUGGCAUAGUUCAAUUCAUGCGGUCAAAGUUGUCGUGAGGCAUAUGAAACAACUCUUCUGUCUUGCAUAAGUACUCCUCCAAGUCCUAAGCGAGAGGCGUUGCAGUACACUUGGAAAUCCUUGCGUAUAUCCGGCAGAAUUAGCACUGGGGCUGUAGUCAAACAUUUCUUCUAUUCCUGGAAACCUGCUUCACACUCUUCAGUCCAAUGGAACUUGGUGUCCUUCUUCAACAAUGCCGUCAUAGGCUUCACAAUCUUAGAAAAAUUCUCAAUAAAUCUCUGAUAAUAUCCCGCGAGUCCAAGGAAACUACGGAUCUCUCCAACUGAAGUGGGUACCAACCACUCAGUGACUGACCGAACCUUGGUAGGAUCCACUUCUAUACCUUCUCCUGAUAUAACAUGUCCAAGAAGUCCAACUUCCUUCAUCCAAAACUCACACUUGCUGAACUUGGCAUAUAACUGAUGUUGCCCGAGCUUCUCGAGAACUAAACGCAAAUUCUCCUUGUGUUCCUCUUCAUUCUUCGAGUAUACCAAGAUAUCAUCAAUGAACACCACGACAAAAUUAUCCAAGAACUCCAUGAACACCUUGUUCAUCAUACUCAUGAAAUAGGCACGGGCGUUAGUUAGUCCAAAUGACAUAACAGUAUACUCGUAUAACCCGUACCUUGUGGUGAAAGUUGUUUUAGGUAUAUCUUUUUCCCUAAUCUUCAGCUGGUGAUAUCCUGAUCGCAGAUCGAUCUUCGAAAACACUUUAGCUCCUUGCAACUAGUCAAACAAAUCAUUGAUCAUUGGCAGUGGGUACUUAUUCAUGAUUGUUACUUCAUUCAACGCACGAUAAUCAACCACCAUCCUUAAUGAUCCAUCCUUCUUCUCGACCAAAAGUACUAGGGUUCCCCAUGGUGAUGAACUUCGUCGAAUGUAACUUUUUUCCAACAACUCCUUAAUCCGCGUUUUGAUCUCCUCUAGAUCAUUUGCGGGCAUCCGGUAUGGUCUCUUAGAUAUUGGUCCGGUGCCUGCCAAUAGUUCUAUCAAAAACUCGAUAUCUCAUCUGGUGGCAUGCCUGGUAAGUCCUCUGGAAAACAUCCGGGUAGUCCUUUACUACCGGCACUUCCUGCUGAACAACUCCCGUGAGAGAAUUUACUUGAGUCUUCCUCGGCGCAUGCCGGAUACACACGUAAUCCUUUUUCCCUCCGCGGUAGUGAGCAAAAUCAACUUACUGGCGCAAUCGAUGUUUCCCCCAUACAUCGAUAGCCAAUCCAUUCCUAGUAUCACAUCCAAUCCCCGUGACUCCAAAAUUUUCAGGUCUGAGGGGAAAACAUGGCUUCCAAUGGUCAAUGGCAUCUAAAAACAUCCUUGUCUUGCCAUAUAUUCCGCUCCUGGCGAACUUGCUAACAUAGGUGUCCUAAGUACCUUAGUGGGCAACUUAUACUUAUCCACGAAUCCCCUUGAUAUGUAUGAAUGCGAUGCACCAGUAUGAAAAAGAACGAUUGCAGUAAAAGGCUUAACCAAAAAUUACCGAUAACUGCAUCUGGCUGCUCCUCAACUUCCUCCACGUUCACGUGGUUCACUUGUCCCCUGUUGAAAGGGUUGGGCUUCUUCCCAGCGCUUCCAUUGCCAUUGCCAUUCUUCAAUUCCGGACAAUCGUUGGCGUAGUGCCCAGUCUUCCCGCACUUGAAACAGGUAAUGUGACUUUGACCCUUCUUGGCGGGUGUGGCUGGGUUAGAGCGGUUCUGAUUGCUGCCUGCUCAUUCCCGUUUCCAUUCUUGGGGCCAUUAUGGUUGUGAGAACUCCCUCCAUUGUGGGUGUGGCCUCCAUGGUUAUGGAUAAGUCCUCCCGAGUUCUGGGAGAAACGAGGCUUCUGCUGAGCUCCAGAAUUGUACUUUCCUUGUCCAUACUUCCUCUUGCGGCUCUCAAUCUGCUGCUGCUUCCCUUCCAUCAUAAGAGCCUUGUCUACCAACUCCUGGUAGUUGUUAAAUGCUGCCACCAUCAAGUGCAUGCUCAUCUCAUCAUUCAGCCCUUCCAUAAACUUCUCCUGCUUUGCGGCAUCUGUGGCCACAUCAUCAGGGGCAUAACGAGACAGCUUACUAAACUCAUCUACGUACUGAGCCACAGUAUGAUUCCCCUGGCGUAAGUUGUGAAACUCUCGCUUAUUCAUGCUCAUAGCUCCAGUUGAGACAUGGGUUGUGCGAAAAGCUUGCUAAAACUGAUCCCAAGUGAUAUUGGCUAUAGGAAAAGUGGAUGUGUAAUUCCCCCACCAUGAUGCUGCUGGUCCAUCCAAUUGGUGUGCAGCAAAACGCACCUUCUCAGCAUCAGUGCAACCUACGGUGGUCAACUCCCUUCCAAUCUUGUGUAACCAGUCAUCCGCAACUAUGGGCUCGGUGCUACUGGAAAACACCGGCGGCUAUAACCUCAAAAAAUGGGCUAAGUUGUCAACUGGAGGAGGGUUGUUGUUGUUUUUGUUGUUGUUGUUGCCUUGGUUAUAGACUAAUAUCUGCAUCAAGGCAUUCUGCUGCUGGAUCAACUAGGUGAUCUCCGAUGGGAAGACAAAUCCGGUGUCAUGUCUCGGAGGCAUCUGAUGGGUUUAGAGGGGAGAGAUUAGAAUAGAAAGAGGUCUAGUGAGAAAGCACUACCCAUAUGCACAUGAGACAAACACAAUCAUAUCACUCAAUCAAUCAAGCAAGGGCAUACAAUCAGUCUAGAACUAUCGUUUAAAAGUGAUCAGACUACUACUAUAUACAGGGGAAAUACUACUAGUCAUAUGGUGGUCAUCUAGAAAUUUUGAUCGGUGGAAGACUCCAUGAUAUCCGCUCCAGCUUCGUCUUCAUAAUCAUCAUCACUAUCGUCAGGGUCGGAGUCUGUGUCGUAGAUGAUGAUGUAGUCUUCGGAACAAAUCUCCUUGGGCUCAUCGUCUUCUCCUCCUGGAGCGGGAUCUCCCAUGAAUACUCCGAUCUUCUUUAUCAGGUCGUCAUUCUUCUCCAAUAGUAUUGCGAUUUCCUCCUCAUAUCUAUCGCGUGUAGACUUGAGUUCCUCUUCUAGCUCGGUGAUCCUUGUCAUCGCCUUCUUCAAAUCUAUCAUGCUUGCGCACAUCUGAUUCUCCUGGCGUCGAAUGUGCUGGUUUAGCUCCUGGAUGAAUGCGGCAAUGGACCUGUCUCUCCUCGUGCUGACUAUCUCCUAUUGCUCGUCUCGGCGCCCACAUAUCUGGUAGAUAGUAUCCUUGAGAUCCUUGCUGUAGACUUCGCUGAUGCGUCCCAGGGCGAUGUGAGCUGCCAUGCUCUUUCCUAGACUCCAAGUUGGUGCAACAAAGGAAAAUUCUAUGGGCUCCAUGACUGGCGUGAAUGUCCUUCCUGGAACUUGAACUCGAAUCAUCUAGCGCUCCUCUUCUGGGAAAGUGGCAUUGUAGGCCCCGGUGAAGCUUGGUAUUCCAAUGUUCAGGUAUCUAGUGACUUCCUUCAAGUGUCGUCCAAAGGCGGUGUCAUCAUCCGGUUGUGCAAACUUGUUCCUCGAGUUCGCCAUCCUAAAGAGUAGAAAAUGGAGAGGAGUCAGAAAUGAGUAGAGAAGAGUGACCUAUGGCUCUUCUUAGUGGUCGUGUCCUACAUUCAGCGUGUGCUCUGAUACCAUCUUGUAGCGACCCGACCUCAGGCGGUCAAGUCUCUGUGCUCAGUGUCAUCCCUGGAUCGGUAAUGCUGACACACACAGUACUCGAAGGAUUUAUAACAGAGUAGCAAUCACACACUUAUUACAUUGGAUGUCUCAAAAGAGAACUUAUUACAAUAAAUAUGGCUUAAGGCCAUCUAAAUAAGAUAACAGCGGAAGACAUGGAAGAUAAAGUGAGUCCAUCAACUCCAACGGCAUAGCUGAGUGCAUGACAAACGACCUAUCGCACCUUACUCCUCGUCUGAAAAGUCUGCAACAUGAUACGUUGCAGCCCGAAAAUGGGUCAGCACAUGGAAUAUGCUGGCAAUAUAACACAGUAGAGCAAUGAACAGAUAAAUGCUAUCACUACACUACGCCAACCACGGUUGCUCUACACAAGAAGCAUAACAACUCGAAGCAGCGGAACAACUACUGGCAGCGGAACAACGAACGACGAUGAUGGACUCCAAUCCGCAGGGACUCUGGCUGGAACGUUUAUCCUAGCUCGCGAACAGAGGAACCACACCAAACAAGCAAGCAAUCCAGGCACGACCUGCAAACUAGCAUGACACGCCAGGUCAGUACAUUGAAUGUACUUGCAAGCUCACAAUAGCCAGAAGCAUUCAAGACAAACAACAUCAUGGCAAUUACAGGUUAAGCAUGAAUUAUCGUGAGAUCAUCAGGAUAACAUGGCAUGAAUAACAUGAACAUGAUACAGGUAGAACAAUAUGAGCAUGGCAUAAACAUAUAAACAUGACGAAACUAUCAUGCAACAUGAUGACAUUAUAUGCACCAUUUAUUCUAUUCGGGUUACCUCGUAACCAAACGGUGAUCCUUCCGGCAAUCACAACCAUGACCAACACUUGGUCUCAAACAGUGAUCCUUCCGGCGAUCACAACCACGACCAACACCUGGCCUCAAACGGUGAUCCUUCCGGCGAUCACAACCAACUUAUCUCCUCAUCGAACCAUGGUCGUUAUUAAGCACCUUAUUAUUAUUAUUAUUAUUACUGUUGACUCAUAGUGUGACCAACUACGAACUGGGCCCUUAUCCGCGGGCGCGGCUAUCGAUAGAUUUAGUAUACACUCUGCAGAGGUUAGUACACUGUACCCACACUACGGAACCCAUGGCCUCGUACUCCCAUUCGAGUGGACUAACGGCGUUCCGACAAAACCGAUCUACUGCCAUGAUACUCUCCCGGCCACUCCGACUCACUCCCCACUAGGCUAGUCCUGGGUGGCCCCGUGUCUACCAAAGACACAACGACCACCGUCGUGGCCAAACAUAAACGGUCCCAAACGGGGACCCGGAUCAAUAACAACAACAACGGGCACACAAGGUUAUGUCUGCUUACCGGGCCAGGGUACCGCACGCCCAUAACCUUCCCUCGUUAGAGGCACCGGCGAGAGGCACGACAAUAGACCCAGUUAGGACCUUCCCAUAAAGGUAAGCGUGGUUGCACUGGUCAGUUCGAUAUGGUGGCACCAUGACUCAGCCAACAUUAGUUCAAGUUCAAUUUAAUCUGGUUAAAUUUGAAUGCAAAUAUGUUGAGCCAUGAUAAAGUACAUGAUGCAGUUACAAUGCAUGAGCAUGAUAUCAACAUAAUCAUGAGAGAACCACAUAACUAUCCACCAUAUCAACAAUGAAUCAUAUCCAAAUGAGCAUGGCUUACUGACUAGCAUAAACAUCACAGGUACAUACUUCUCUGAAACAUAGCAUGACCACUAGCAUCGACAAUAAAUAUCAUGCAAGAACAUAACAACAAUGCCAUCAUGCAAGCAUUUAACCAACUGGAUGCAAUGGAACAAGCAUAACAACGGUACUCGGGACAGACGGCAGUAGAGCACCGAAGAACAUUACCAACAUCAACAUGUACUACUAGCAAGCAUAAGCAUAUAAAGGAAUACUAGCAACUAGCAGGGCAUGACAACCAGGUGCAUAACAACAUAGCAAGAAAGUAAGCACUAACAAAGAAUCAUUACCGAAACAUCGAUAACCAUAUUUUAAACAAACAAACAUUUAAUAAAUAUUCAAGUUGAAAACCAUGGCUACUGCAUGACUGUCAUGCAAGUGGGUAUUGUGGCUUGCCUGGGGUGACGGAGACUCCGGGAGGAAGUGCGGUGAAGCCGCGGAACGAAACGCCGGACGGUUUUCUCUCGAAGGGGGCUGAUUAGAGGCAAGGGCAAAAUGGUCAUUUUCACUGUGAGAACACCUAGUUAAAAUGUUACAAAAAUAUAGACCUCGACGAGACGAAGAAGUGAGCGCUGGUUUCACCUCAAUCGGAGUUACGGUUGAAAAGUUGUGAAGGUUGGAAGAAGAGGGACUAAUCUGUGAAUAAACUUCAGCAAACAGGCCCCUGGUGGAAAAGCAGAAAGCGCCUUCGGUCAUUUUACGUUUUCUAUAAAGGAAAACGUAACCAAAGCCGCAGUAGAGAGAAAUACAUUUUCUUUUUAACAGAAAACACACUACAGCCAAAGAAGGACCGAAAAACGCUUUCACGCAAAUGAAAACGGACAGAGGUAAAUCCGCUUUCUCGCAAAUGAAAGUGAACUCACCGGGAGCGUUUCCACUUCCCACGUCAGCGGAGCGUCUGGGCCACUGACGGGCCGGGCCCAGCGGCAGGGGAGGGGGCCAGGCGCGGGCGUCGUCUUCCUCCUCCCCUCGCUUCUGUCCGUUCCCGAGCGGAACAGAACAGAAGCAGAGGAGGGAAACGGCCAAGGGGCCGGCCAGCUCCGGUGGCCUCUGGCCACGGCGCGGCCACCGGUGGGACCGCAGUGACCAACCUCACCCAUCCAGAGGGAGUACAGCCACCGGGGAGGCGCGUGGAGGAGGGGAGGGGCGGCGCCAUGGGGAGCACAGGAAGCUUCGGGAGGCGGGGUUCUCCGGUGAUGCGGGCACUCUGGCGACGAACGGAGGAGAUGGGGAGGCUGGCGGAGGUGUGGGGAGUGCCGUGGUGGAGACGGGAGAGGGGGAGGAGCUCCGGAUGGCCGGGACGACGAGGUGACCGAGAGGCAGAGGCGACGGCCAAACGUGGAGACCACGGCCAGAAGGCUUUCCGCCGAGGGGAAAAGGGUGGGGCGAAUUGCGAUGACGAGGGGAACGCGGUGGACAGCUCUGGAGGAGAGGAGAGGGGCUAGGUUCGCCGGAAACGAGAAGACCGGCGAUGGCCGAGGCGAACUCCGGUGAAAAGAAGAGGGGGCCGAGGACUCCAGUGGACUAUAGAGGCGAGGGAGGGAUGAAUGAGCUGCGGAGGGGUUCGGGGGUCCUUAAAUAGGCGAGGGGAGAGCUCUAGAGCUCACGACCGGGCUCCGGACCGAGCUUUAAUGGCGGGCAGAGGCUGGACGCGGCACGGGCAUGGCGCUAGCGGCUCAUUUAUGGCGAACCAUGACGAGGCACCAAUGCAGGGCGACGCAGUCGAGCACGGGCGAGCUCCAGGACAUGAAUGGAGGUCGAGAGGAGGAGGGAGGAGACGAGCACAGUGGCCGGACUGAGACAGAGCUUGCAUUGUGCGUGACGCCAGCGUGAUCACCACGGGCACUGGUGCAAGCGGCGUGUUCUGGCCGGGCCGACCAUGUAAAGUAGAUAGACCGUCGUGCCCUUAGUCAAAAUGAGGAAAUAAAUCGGUCCAGGGGCAAAGAAGAGAUUUGCACUUAGCUCCAAAGUAAAUCAAUAUGAAGGUGUUUGUAACUCUCUGUGGUUAAACUAACUAGGUAACAUGAUAAAGAGUUUGUCUGGCAAUGAUCACACACUAAGGUGAUUUUGUUAACCAAAAAUCAGACUAAGAGGAGGAGUUUAGAUGAGGGUUGCUGUAGAAAGUGCAAAACUGGCCAGAAUUAGGGAUUUGGAUGAUACACUCACAUACUUGAUUGUCAUGAGCUAAAAUUUGGCAGGGAGGGGUUAUAUGAUGGUAUGAAGCUGUUGUAAAGAUUUCAUGCCAUUUGGAAAUACCAAAGUGGCACUUGCUUCACAAAGCUUCAGUCUGGACAGAAACUUGGAAAAAUUGCACAGGGCAAUUGGAUUAACUAAUUGAGCAAAAUUUGGUGGAGGGAGUUUAUAUGGAUUGAAGAAUGCCCUGGAAAAUUUUCAGCUUAAAUGAAGCAAUAUAAAAUAUAGUUGCUUCACAAACUGAAAAUCUGACCAGAAACUAAGAUUUGGAGCUGGGCUCACAUAGAUGAGUUACACGAGCUCAUAUUUGGUGGAGAGUCAUGAUUUGAUCAUAUGAAGGACCUUGCAAAAUUUCAACUCUUUGGAUAUGCCUAGAAUAUAGCUCCUCCACAUAGUUCCUUCUUGGACAGAAACUUUGGAAAAUUGCUGAAAAAUAUUUACUAGGCAAAUUGAGUUGAAUUUUGGCAUUAGCCAAUGAUAUGGACAGGAAAAGCUGUCCAAGAAGUUUGGGGUCAAUCAAGCAAAUAUAAAUAGCACUUCCUUUGCAAAGUGCCAUUUAGGACAGAAUAGGAAAAGAAUUAUUGGAGGAUUAUUUUUGAACAUGGCAAUGAAAUAUUUUGCCAUAUUUGAGCAAGAUAGGACCCAAACAAUUUAUGAGCAUUUUUUGGGAAUUUUAGGAGUGACAGAAAUAUAGGUUGCUUCACAACCUAGGGUUUUAAAGGGUUAUUCCUUUAUCAAAAAAGGAAUAUUCCCAAUAAAAGAAUUUUGGGUUAGGUCAAGGAUGGAAAUGACAUGAUCUUGGGAUGAUGAUGAGGGUGACAGGCCACUAUAAAACCUAGGAAGACAUGAUCUCCCCAAGUUUCAGAACCACAUAGCCACGGAAAAGCAAAUCAAAUCAGAAAAUCCAAGAAAAUCAAAGGAAAAAGAAAAGGGCAAAAAUCCAGGCUGUUACACCCAUAAUGGCUUGUGGCUGCACACGGAAGUUUCUAGCAUGAAUAAUCUUAUGAUCCCUUUGAGCCUGGGUGGCGGACCAUAGGAUGAUCACACGGUAUAACCUCGGGAUAUCCUAGGACAACACUGGAUUCCCCAGGUGCCCAAAACAAACAAUCCACCAGAUGCGUAUUAAAGUCGCCACCUUAAGUUGAACCAUUAAUUAACAACUCACAUCUCUCAUGGAUACACUCAAACCCAAUCCACGUCUACGAGCAUAGCAUGGCAAUAUAAGCAUAACGUAGAAGUAACUCCCAGGGUUUGAUAAUAAAAUAGGGAAAUAGGUUCUACCUCAUCAACUACUUCCCAAUACCCACUAGUUAAUCACAUCCUAAUCAUGAAGUGUUUGAGGAUUGUACUAAUGCAUAAAAACUGGGUAUUAAAAGAGUAUGAUCAAUGUGUUACUUGCCUUGCUGACGAUCCGCAAAACCUAGAGACUCGUAGUAGCACGCUUCGCACUCCGGGAAUUCUAUCGCAAACAAACAAUAGCAUACAUAAGCAAUCAAGCAAAGAUGCACGAGUAAAACUCAAAUAAGAAGAUCUAACCAGAAAGUUCAAUUGAAGAACUCCGGUUUGCAAAAAGAAUCAAAUCAAACAGAGCAACGAAACUCAAACUGUGAAAGAAACAAGAUCCGAUUACUAAUUUGGACUAAAGUCAAAUUUUACAGUACCAAAAUCUUGUUCAAGUUGGUUAAACAGAAAGAGGGUUUUGAGACGAAGAACUAGGCGCUUAAAUCGCCUGAUUCCGAUAAACGAGCGAAAAGAUAAACUAAAACGAAAAUCAGGGCAGAAAUCACGAUCGAAAAUAAUCGCGGAAAAACCCUGGAAAAAGAAAAACUGACGAACAAGCUGACGAACGAACGUUCGCUGUCUGCGGCUAACGGGUGAACGACGUCCGUUAAAACGAACGUACAGACGAACGUCCGCUAAAUAACUAAACCGGGAAAAAAUAAAACUGAUCUAAAAUAAAAUAACCGCGUGUCUACUAAAAAACCGAACGGUUUUCUGGCGAAAACCGGCGGCUAUCUCGGGAUGGGCGGCGGCGGCGGAAUUCCGGCGGGCCGCGGGGUCGGCGGCGAGGUGGCGGGCGGCGACAACGGUGUCCGGCGGCAGCGAGGCGGCGACGACGACGGCCGGCCGGGCGAAGUCCUAGGCGGGCACGGCCCGGCUAGGUCGGUUGAUAUUUUCUUUUAAAAAGAUAAUUCCGCGUAGAAAAACAAAGAAAAGAAAUACUAAACAGACUCCUAAAAUCCUGAAAUAAAUUUUUCCCGUCCUCUAAAAAUAUGCCGGACAAGGUGAACAUUUAUUUAGGACUCUAAUGCAAUUUUGAAAAAUGCGUAUUUUUCCUUAUUCAAAUAAAAUUGCAAUAAAAUUAUUUAUUUGAUUUUAAUAAUUCCCUCCAAUAUUUCAUCUAUUUUGGAGAAGUCAUUUUAUCUCCUCUCUUAUAUUUUAAAUUCAAAAUAUUUUCAGAGAGAAAAGUCAUUAAAACCAAAAUGACCCUUGUUUCAAUAUUUGAUAAAAUUCAAAUAUGAAAAUCGUGAAAUCCCCAACUCUCUCCGAGGGUCCUUGAGUUGCUUAGAAUUUCGAGGAUUGCAAAUGAAAAUGCAAUAAAAUAUGAUAUGCAUGAAUGACCUAUGUAUAACAUUCCAAAUUGAAAAUUUGGGAUGUUACAUGGAGAUAGAACUACUCACAAGGUAUUGCAAUCUGGAUUUUAUUGGCCCACUCUCUUCAAGGAUGCCUGUAAGUUUGUCUUAUCUUGUAAUGAAUGUCAAAGAAUAGGUAACAUCGGUAAGCGUCAAGAAAUGCCUAUGAAUUAUUCACUUGCUGUCAAACCAUUUGAUGUUGGAGGAUUUGAUUACAUGGGACCUUUUCCUUUCCUCUAAUGGGUAUACACACAUUCUGGUUGCUGUUGAUUAUGUCAGUAAAUGGGUAGAAGCUAUUCCAACCAGUAGUGUUGAUCACAACACCUCCAUUAAAAUGCUUAAGGAAGUUAUUUUCCCAAGGUUUGGAGUCCCUAGAUAUUUAAUGACUGAUGGGGGUUCACACUUUAUUCAUGGUGCUUUCCGCAAAAUGCUUGCCAAGUAUGAUGUUAACCAUAGAAUUGCAUCACCCUAUCAUCCUCAGUCUAGUGGUCAAGUUGAACUUAGCAAUAGAGAAAUAAAGUUAAUUUUGCAAAAGACUGUCAAUAGGUCCCGGAAGAAUUGGUCUAAGAAAUUAGAUGAUGCACUUUGGGCUUAUAGAACAACAUAUAAAAAUCCUAUGGGUAAGUCUCCCUAUAAAAUGGUUUAUGAAAAAGGUUGUCAUUUGCUUAAAGAGUUAGAACAUAAAGCAUAUUGGGCAAUCAAAGAACUCAACUAUGAUUUCAAACUUGCCGAUGAAAAGAGGUUAUCUGAUAUUAGCUCUUUAGAUGAAUGGAGAACCCAAGCUUACGAAAAUGCUAAGUUGUUUAAAGAAAAAGUUAAAAGAUGGAAUGAUAAAAGAAUUCAAAAACAUGAGUUUAAAGUUGGAGAAUAUGUUCUUUCGUACAACUCUCGUUUCAGAUUCUUUGCAGGAAAACUCCUCUCAAAAUGGGAAGGACCCUAUGUUAUCGAGGAGGUUUAUCGUUCUGGAGCUAUCAAAAUAAAUAAUGCCGAAGGUACUAACCCGAAGGUUGUUAACAGGAAAAAAAAUAAAACAUUAUAUCUUAGGUACGCCCCGGAAGAACACAUAAAAGAGUCCUUCCGGAACACUCCAGAAUCAUGAAAAUAAGGAGGUACGUGAUACAGUAAGUAAACAGACUCCGAAAAAUCCUCAAAAAUAUUUUUUGUCAGUUUUGGAAUAUUUAGAAAAAUAGGAAAAUAAGAAACUUCCAGGAAGCGUGGACUUCGUUUUUCUACAAAUUGCUUGUUUCCCAAGAUAAAAAAAUCUUUAUAUACCCCCCGAACCUAUUGACCACCGUAUCGCGGAUAAAUCUUCUGUUCUCUUUUCUCGCUAUUUCCAGUCAGAUCUGUUAAGCCAUGCAUCAUGUCUUCUUCUUCCUCCAACAACAUGGAAGAGGAUGCUUGGUUGAUGAAGAUCGAGCUGAAGAGAGAAGAGCCCGCAGAAGCCGUCAAGGGAGACGAGAGCAGGGAGGUUACCGUAGAUCAACCCCCGGUCUUCGAACAAGCACUUCCAAUUGAGGAAGAAGAGGAAGGUAUCAUUAAAACUUACUAUGCUCAUCUUACACCAUCUUCUUCAUCACCAAAAGAGAAUUGAGUAUUGGGUAUGGGCACUCCCCUUGGCUUCCACCAAGCUUGGGGGAGGUGCCCCGGUAUCGUAUCAUCCCCACCAUCUUUUGCUUUUACUUAUCUUAGUUUGAUCUUUUGCUUAGAUGAAUAAAAGUUUAGUUUGAUCCUUUCUGUUCGAGAGUUUGCUUAGUGAUCUACCCUUGUAAUCAUGUGCGAGAUAUAUAAUAAAGUUUAGUUUGAGUUUUUUCUUUCUUUAUUUUCAUGUUGCAAAUAAAAAGAAAGGGAGUAAAUGAAAGAAACGAAAUAAAUCAAAAAGAUCACAUGCUAGUCUUAUGGUAGGUGAUGACACCACAUAAGGAAAAGUAUAAGUAGAAAAUUUUGUUAGAGAUUGACAGAUAUAGGAUUAGUCAAUGAUGCAACUCGUGAAAGAAUUAAUAAGGGAAGAGAAGAUUCACAUAUAAAUAUACUAUCCUAGAAAUGUUUUGUGAUUGUGAGCCCCCAUCAAAAUAUUAUAUGCCAAGAUUGUUGACGUUGGACAAGGAAGACAACUUAAUGGUUUAUGUUUGUUUAUAUUCACAUAGAAGUCAUAUUGUCAUGGAUCCUUUAACAUGCGGUGCUUGCCCUAUCUUCGCUAGCCAAAAGUUCCGCACUAAGUAGAGAUAAUAUUGUGCAUCCAAAAACCUAACCCAAAUCUUAUUUUCGAGAGUCCACCAUACCUACCUAGGGAUUGAGCAAGAUCCCUGAAGUAAGUCGUCAUCGGUGCAAAAUGGCAAUAAAAAUUGCUUCUAAAGUGUGAGAUCAUUUAGUGUAAGAGAAAUUGAGCGUUGCACGAACUUGUGAUGGUGAAGAAUAAAGGCGACAGACUGCAUAAUAAAGGUCGCUAUCACAAGGGGCAAUGCAACGUGACGUUCUUUUGCAUUAAGGGGUCAAGCGUACAAACAAAUAAGUGCAUGGCAACCUCUGAUUCCCUCUACGAAGGGCCUAUCUUUUAUUUUUAUGUAUUUACUUUCAUGCAAAGAGUCAAAAGUUUUGUCUCUAUUCCUUUUUAUUUCUCCUUUGGCAAGCAUCAUGUGGUGAGGAAAGAUCUAGGCAUAUAUAUCCAUUUGAAUAUAGAUAGAAUGAGUUAUUAUUGUUGACGUCACCCUUGAGGUGAGUACGUUGGGAGGCGAAACUAUAAGCCCCUCUUUCUACGUGUCCGGUUGAAACGUUUUGCUCAUGUGUACGCGGUGAGUGUUAGUAAUCAUGGAAGACUAUACGAUGGUUGAGUAUGUGGACUUGCCUAAAGGCUCCGAUACGUGACCCCUCCUGAAAAGAUGAUGAAUUGUAGUUGCAUAGUUGACUGAGAACAUAGUUUGUUGGUUUCUAAUAGAGUUUUUGCUUUAUACUUCAAUAGUGUGACGAAUUGUCACUUAUUCAUGAGAAGUCUAUGAUAAAAGUUCUAUGAUAAGAGUUUUAUGUUUAAGUUUGUUGCUGUUAUAAUAAUCAACAUGAUGCUUCUAUGCCCGUAUUUUGUUUUUAUCGACACCUCUCUCUCUCUAAGCAUGUGGACAUGUUUUUCGAUUUCGGUUUUCGCUUGAGGACAAGCGAGGUCUAAGCUUGGGGGAGUUGAUACGUCCAUUUUGCAUCAUGUUUUCCUACUGUUAUUUAUGAUGUUUUUAUCCAUAACAAUGCUUUUUGGAGUAAUUCUAAUGCCUUUUCUCUCAUAACAUGCAAUGUAUACACAAACAGGAAGAAUUCCAGCAGCUGGAAAUCUGGACCUGGAAAAGCUACGUCAGGCUACCUAUUCGACACAACUGCAAACAAGCUGAAACUUCACGGAGAUUUUUUAUGGAAUAUAUGAAGAAUAUUGGAGCAAAUAAGUACCAAAGGAGGCCCACCAGGUGGGCACAACCCACUUGGGCGCGCCAGGGAGCCCAUGCACGCCCUGGUGGGUUGUGCUCACCUAGGCCCACCUCUGGUGCGCAUCUUCUGGUAUAUAAGUCAUUUUGACCUAGAAAAAAUAAGGAGAGGACUUUCGGGACGGAGCGCCGCCGUCUCGGGGCGGAACUUGGGCAGGAGCACUUUUGCCCUCCAGCGGAGCGAUUCCGCCGGGGGAACUUCUUUCCCGGAGGGGGAAGUCAUCAUCAUCAUGAUCACCAACAACUCUCCCAUCUUGGGGAGGGCAAUCUCCAUCAACAUCUUCAACAACACCAUCUCAUCUCAAACCCUAGUUCAUCUCUUGUGUUCAAUCUUGUUAUCAGAACUAUAGAUCCGAGGCUAGUACGUGCACGGGCUGCGUGUCAGGUGCCAGAUCUUCCUCGUGUCAUGCGCCAGCCCCUUCUUCUCCAUUGACAUGAAAUAAUGGGUCAUCCAUAUCAUGAUUUUGAUCAUUUCGGCCACCGUUUUCUCCAGGCACCUGCAUAGGCAUAACACUAGGAAUAGAGGUAGGAAUAUUCUCAAAUUGGUUAGCACAAUUGUUAUCACCCCCUUGAUCAAAAUCCGAAAGAAGAAGUAUUUCUUUUCGAAGAAGGGCACCGACAUUAGGAUGAAGAGACUGAAAAGGGAAGGCCGAUUCAUCAAAGAUGACAUCUCUAGAGAUGUAGACCCUGCUAGUAGAGACGUCAAGGCACUUAACCCCUUUGUGCAUAGGGCUAUAUCCUAGAAAGUCACAUUUUUUUGAACGAAACACAAGCUUGCGUGUAUUAUAUGGCCUAAGAUUCGGCCAACAUGCACAACCAAAAAUGGGAAGAGAUGUGUAAUCUGUGUUGAUGCCAAAAAGACGUGUUGUAGGAUUCUCAAAUUUGAUGCUUUUGCUAGGAUGAAUAUUAAUAAGAUAUGUGGCGGUGAGAAGGGCUUCAUCCCAGAAUUUGAGAGGCAUGGAUGCAUGUGCUAACAAGGCGAGUCCUACUUCAACAACAUGACAGUGUUUUCGUUCAGCGGAGCCAUUUUGUUGGUGAGCAUGUGGACAAGAGACAUGAUGUGAAAUUCCUAUUUUUUGAAAAAAAGAAUUGAGUAUCUUAUACUCACCACCCAAGUCAGUUUGCAUAGCAAGGAUUUUGGAGUUAAGUUUGCGUUCAACAAGAUUAUGGAAAUUCCUAAAGACAUGAAAUACAUGGGAUCGUUUCUUUAGGAAAUAAAUCCAAGUAAACUUACUAUAAUCAUCAAUGAAGCUUACAUAAUAUGAGAAUCUACCAACUGAUGUUGGAGCUGGUCCCCAUACAUCUGAAAAAAUAAGUUGCAAUGGAGCAGUGGAUACACUGGUAGAGAUAGGAUAUGGUAAGACUACAAAAAAAAGACACAUCCGUGACAUUUUGGGCCGAACAAAAUUUUUUUGUGUCAUACAUAUGACACUUCUAUGACGAUAAUUGUGACAAAACCCGGUAUCAUCAUAGAUGUGGUGGCUCCUACUUCUAUGACAAAAAAUCAUGACAGAAAAUGGGCUUUUCGUCCUGGGCGGGCCGGAGACGCAGCUGCAUGACAUUCUUUGGGCCGUCCAUGACGAAAAAACCGUGGUAGAAGCGAGAGGAAAAUUUCGGGGAGUUCCUGGUUACGGUGGGAGGUGGGGGGCCGAGCGAUGCGCGUUUCUCUCGUACACGUACGCGCGUGUGUGCAAGGCGUUGGCUCUAACUAAACCCGAGCGAGGCGUAAGGCUCUAACAAAACCCGAGCGAUUGCACUGCAGGCUACGCGUUACUGAACCCGAGCGAUCGAUCGAUGGCUGUUAACUGAACCCGAUCANNNNNNNNNNNNNNNNNNNNNNNNNNNNNNNNNNNNNNNNNNNNNNNNNNNNNNNNNNNNNNNNNNNNNNNNNNNNNNNNNNNNNNNNNNNNNNNNNNNNNNNNNNNNNNNNNNNNNNNNNNNNNNNNNNNNNNNNNNNNNNNNNNNNNNNNNNNNNNNNNNNNNNNNNNNNNNNNNNNNNNNNNNNNNNNNNNNNNNNNNNNNNNNNNNNNNNNNNNNNNNNNNNNNNNNNNNNNNNNNNNNNNNNNNNNNNNNNNNNNNNNNNNNNNNNNNNNNNNNNNNNNNNNNNNNNNNNNNNNNNNNNNNNNNNNNNNNNNNNNNNNNNNNNNNNNNNNNNNNNNNNNNNNNNNNCUGGAUGUACAGGACCCCGUGGUGUGGUGGAGGGCUGGAUGAACAGUAGACGGUGGAGGGGUGCCCGUGGAGGGGUGGUUGAACAAGACCCCGUGGUGUGGAGGGCUGGAUGAACAGUAGACGGUGGAGGGGUGCCCGUGGAGGGGUGGUUGAACAGUAGCCGGUGGAGUAGCGCGCGGUGGAGGCUAGAUGAACAGGAGCCCGUGGAGGCUGGAGGAGGUCGACGGUAGCCCGUGGAGGCUGGAGGAGGUCGACGGUGGAGAUGAACAGUAUCCCGUGGAGUCCCGUUUUGCGGUACGCCACAGCCCUCCCGAUGAACAGGACCCCCGUUUUGACCGUAGGAGGUCCGUUUCGUCCGUUUUGCGGUACGCCACACCCCUCCCGAUCAACAGGACCCCCGUUUCGACCGUAGGAGGUCCGUUUCGUCCGUUUCGCUGUAUGCCACACCCNNNNNNNNNNNNNNNNNNNNNNNNNNNNNNNNNNNNNNNNNNNNNNNNNNNNNNNNNNNNNNNNNNNNNNNNNNNNNNNNNNNNNNNNNNNNNNNNNNNNNNNNNNNNNNNNNNNNNNNNNNNNNNNNNNNNNNNNNNNNNNNNNNNNNNNNNNNNNNNNNNNNNNNNNNNNNNNNNNNNNNNAUAGGAGGUCCGUUUCGUCCGUUUUGCGGUAUGCCACACCCCUCCCGAUCAACAGGACCCCCGUUUCGACCGUAGGAGGUCCGUUUCCUCCGUUUUGCGGUACGCCACACUCCUCCCAAUCAACAGGACCCCCGUUUCGAUCGUAGGAGGUCCGUUUCCUCCGUUUUGCGGUACGCCACACCCCUCCCCACGAACACGACGCAUCCCGUUGCCUCCCCAUGAACAUGACGCAUUUCGUUGCCUCCCCAUGAACACGAUGACGACGCUGUUUCUCCGUUCCGACCCAGCCAUGUACACGAGCCCUCGCGGUACGUAUGCGCGAGUAGGCGUUUGAGACCCUUCCCGUAUGUACGUACGUGGCCGUAUUUUCUUUCUUGCACCCUGGCCGCUGUACGUACGUGUACAUGCUACGUGCGCGCCUCUACUACGACACGUACGCGCCUCUACUACAACACGUGCACGCCUCUACAUCGACCAGUAUAUAUGUACGUACACGUUCGCGACCAGAAUGACAACGGUACGUACGCUUCGACCAGGUGGGUCCCGACUGUCAGGCACUUCCUUUCCUGCGAAGAUGUAGCUGGUGGGUCCCAGCAGUCAGGGGGGCGAAUCAUNNNNNNNNNNNNNNNNNNNNNNNNNNNNNNNNNNNNNNNNNNNNNNNNNNNNNNNNNNNNNNNNNNNNNNNNNNNNNNNNNNNNNNNNNNNNNNNNNNNNNNNNNNNNNNNNNNNNNNNNNNNNNNNNNNNNNNNNNNNNNNNNNNNNNNNNNNNNNNNNNNNNNNNNNNNNNNNNNNNNNNNNNNNNNNNNNNNNNNNNNNNNNNNNNNNNNNNNNUUUUUUGCCCGGACGCACUUCCUUGCAUGCGAAGAUGUAGCUGGUGGGUCCCAGUAGUUAGGGGGGCGAAUCGUUUUUUUGCCCGGACGCACUUCCUUCCGUGCAAAGGUGUAGCUGGUGGGUCCCAGUAGUCAGGGGGGAAACAUUUUUUUUCACGAAAUACGGUGGCCCGUCCGGUGGGUCCCUGCUGUCAGGUGGAGGAAUCAUUAUUUUCCACAUAAUAAGGAGGCACUUCCUUGCUGCCACCGUGGACCCAGCUGUCAGCCUCUCCACGUAUAGUACUCUUCCGAUAGAAGUCGGUCGUUCACCACGUUGACCACGCCGCGCCGAGAGCACCCGGGCGGUAGACGACGGCGAGGCCUAGGAAGGGGACGACGCGGAGCCGGUGAAGACGCGGCAGUGGAUGCCCACGCGGAGAGGAGUAUGAGGGCUCACUCGUUCGGCUGCGGUAAGAGGCUGCCGUCGCCGCAAGGCCUAGCCAGCGUUGGGAAUAGUAGGGGGCGGUGAGGCAUCCGCGGCAGCACAGCCGGGCACGGGAGGCAGGAGCAGGCGGCACGACCGGCGCUGCUUUGGGCGGCUGGAGCAAGAAGACCAGAGGUUGAAGAAGCACUACGGCCGUUGGAUGGACAUCGUACGGUCACUGGAGCUAGAAUCGUUCAUAUUGACUAAGUUGACAAAGCCCUCCGUCCCCGUCAACUUAGUAGGCCCACAAGUCAGCCUCCCACCAAGGUGGGUCCCAGCUAGCAGGGGGAGUAUUCAUUUUUUUGUGCGUAAUAAGGAGGCACUUCCGGUGGGUCCGAGCUGACAGCGGGGGGAACAUUUUUUUCGUGAAAUACGGUGGCCCGUCCGGUGGGUCCCAGCAGUCAGGGGGGAAAUGUUUUUUUCACGAAGUAAGGUGGCCCAUCCGGUGGGUCCCCACUGUCAGGUGGAGGAAUAAUUAUUUUGCGCAUAAUAAGGAGGCACUUCCUUGCGGCCGCCGUGGACCCAGCUGUCAGCCUCUCCACGUACAGUACUCUUCCGAUAGAAGUCGGUCGUUCACCACGUUGACCACGCCACGCCGAGAGCACCAGGGCGGUGGACGACGGCGAGGCCUAGGAAGGGGACGAUGUGGAGCCGGGGAAGACGCAGCAGUGGAAGCCCGCGCGGAGAGGAGUACGAGGGUUCACUGGUUCGGCUGCGGUGUGAGGCUGCCGUCGCCGCAGAAUAACAGGGGGUGUGGGUGAGUAGAGGGAUGGCCUGGCCAGCGUUGGGCGUAGUAUGGGGGCGGUGUGGCCUCCGCGGCAGCACAGCCGGCCACGGGAGGCAGGAGCAGGCGGCAUGACCGGCGCUGCUUUGGGCGGCUGGACCAAGAAGACCAGAGGUUGAAGAAGCACUACGGACGUUGGAUGGACAUCGUACGGUCACUGAAGCUAGAAUCGUUUAUAUUGACUAAGUUGACAAAGCCCUUGGUACGCUCCAACUUAGUAGGCCCACAGGUCAGCCUCCGAAAUGGUGCACCCCAGAUGUCAGGGGGAGGAAUCAUUUUUUGGGCGGCCGAAGCUAAGAAUAUCCAAGAUUGAAGAAGAAGCACGACAUCCGUUGCAUAGACAUCCAACGGCCACUGCUGCUAGAACCGUGUGUUGACUAUAAUAAGUUGACAAAGCCUUGCAUACGCGUCAACUUAUUUUUUUAGGGGACGCGUCACUUAGUAGGCCCACAAGUAUGUGGCAGCGAACUUAUAGCCCAUUUGUGUUUUGUAAGAAUGUACAGCCCAUUUUUGAAUUCUAAUGGAAUUUACAACAGCCCAUUUACAAUUUGUUAAAAGUACAGCCCAUUUUCUAGCUAGGACAACGAUUAAUAAUUUCAACCAACCGUUGAAGACAGAAUUCAAUAAAAUUUCCCACAUUUUGAUGGGAUCCGAAAUAUUUUUAUCCUGAAAUUUCUAGUCAGAUUAAAUAUAAAUUUGUAUUACGUAAAAAUCCAACGAAACAUUGCGCGCGCAACAAUGAAAAAUUAAGAUUUUCAAAAUCCAUAAAUAAUAUUUUAUAAACUAAUUUCGUGUUUGGUGCAUUUUUUUAUAGUUACUGCCUAGUUUUUAUAAUUAGAUCCCAUUUAUUAUUUUUUAAAGCCCAUUUUCUUGUUAAGCCUAAUGCAUCCCUCCUAGGAAAGAUUUGCAGCCCAGUGGGGCGGAGAAUAACAAGUUGACCUUGCCUGGGUAUUCCUCAAAAAGACGUAUAGCUGGGCUAGCCAUUUUCAUCUUGAAAAAAUUAGUAUCUGGGCUGGAUAUCUGGCUUGGGCUAGACAGGCCACAACCCGCCGAGUUAAUACCCUGCUCUCCUCUGAACAACAACGAAAUCAUCGCCAAGAAAAACUUUGCAGUGCUCACGCCUGAAAAACACAAAUACUGCUCGAGCUGCUUGGUCCCAGCUGUCGGCCGCACCUUGUGCAAUUCUCUCGUUUAUAUUGACUACAUAGGUUGACAAUGGUGUGGGACCGCAAUGUCAGGAAACCAGGAGAAAGCAAAAAAAAUAUAGUUGUACAUAAUAAGGAGGCACUUGCGUACGUACGGCUAUGGCCCUAGUGGGUCCCUAGUGUCAUCUAGUCAAAAUAAAGUCAUCUCCUGAAUCCUCAUGUUCGUUGACGAUGUUAACAAUGCUCGGCGCCACAGCGAGCGCAACAACUCGAAGGACAACGGAGAGGGCCUCGCGGGCCCUACGGAUGGUCUGAUACAACGCUCGCUGCUCAUUCAGGAAGCCAGGACCAUCGGACACCUAUGAGCACCUUCGAGAAACUAAGACGACAUGAAACGGUAAGGCCGCGCUUGGGAGCUCUGGUUUAUUUCAAACCGGUAUUAACAUACAAGUGUAAUUUACUCUUCAUCGGAAACAACGCGUAAAAUACAGGCGUAAUGAAACCGAGGGCCCGAGGUCUGUAAGUAAAACCGGCGGGUUACGCGUGUAAUUUGAGAGACCAGUGUAUAUUUUACGAGCACUGCUAUAUGGACGACAUUACCAGACGAUACAUGCACGACGUGUGUGUCAUGCCAUCCAUGGGCAAGGCUGAAACAGCAGCUAACGGCUGGAUUAGCAAUCGUCCGAGUGUCGUUCAGCGUUUUUAUCGUGUGUGAAGUACUUUCGAUAUUUUACUAGUCGAAAUCGACCAACCAAGCGCCUUCGCCCGAGACCAUCUGCUUUAAUUUACAAGCGUCAGUUUUACAAGCGGUUUUGGUUGGAAAACAACGAUCCAAUCACGGCCUAAUAUCAUGAGUUGGUCGGAAGAUCAUAUGGUUUCACGUCUAACCUACCCGACUUGUAUAGGCUAUGAAUGAAACAUCAGACGAUGAACUUCUUAAGCACGGAAACAACAGAAGAGGAUGAUCUUCUUAACAAGCAAAUCACUGGCAUUAGAUCGACAUGCAAAACAAUACGAAGCAUUAUUCUCAGGAGGCACGGUGAACAGCUCGUGAUGCCGCAUGCCACAACAUUCCAAGCUCAACUUUGCAAUCAAACACAAGCCCUGGCAUUACAUAGACAAUAUUCAGAACAAACUCUUAACAUAGGAAUAUCUCAGCAGAGUAACUAUUUACUUCUAAACUGAACACAUGGAUAGGAAAAAACACUCGACGUUGCUCACAGCAAGGGCGUCCCACUCAAAAUUAUCAAAUGCAUGUCUUCUGGAUAACAUCAAUGAGAAAAUUUUGACAAGGUUUUCCAAUUCCAAUAUAUUAAACUAACGUCUUCUUACUAACAUCAAUGAUUAAACUUUGACAAGAUUUUCCCAUUCAAAAUAUGUAAUGCCUAUGAUCGUGGAGUCCUGUGUAGCUUCUUGUACUUGUUUGGGCACUUUUUGCCCAGGGCACUCCACAUGUUGUUAAAUUGCCAAUGGUCUCUGCAGACUAGUCAUGUCACCGGUGUCUAAUAAUACUCUGUAAAGCUUCUCGGUCAUUCCUUCUGUAAUGUAGCGCAAACAAUGACUGCUUCUUUCUGCAAAGUGGAACGACCAACUAGACCCAGUAAUGCAGCAGUUUGCCUUGGACACAUUGGCUCCUUUUGUGCAGUUCAACUAAAAUCAAAGUCGGAAUAAAACCGAGCGUUAAUUUUGAUAUCCCUGUAAGCAACAAUAGGUAUAAGGGAAACAAUUACUGAGGAAAUAACGGUUGAUGACUUGUACUCCCAGAAGAAAAGCAUCUACUAAUCUACAUUAUCUUAAUGGGAAACAAAGCAGGAGAGUAGCAAUUCUCCAUUAGUGUGAUUCAUUCAUAUUGACUGAGACAUUUUCUUAACAACGCCUUGUUUCAACAUGUAUAAAGAACGACAAAGCAGAAAAGUACCAUUCCUAAAACAAUGCAACUGAUUCAUUUUAACAGAGACAUUAUCUUAACAAUACCUUGGUUAAACCUGUAGAAAGAACUACAAAGCAGGAUAGUACCAUUCCUAACAAGUGUUGCAGUUUUGAACUAAGAUUCAGUAGUUAAUUAAUUCUGAGAGUGGCAUUGCUUAAUUUUACCAGCGGCAUUAGAUUAACGAAAAGCAUAAACAGUUCAAGGGGAGAGUGGGCGCAACAAUAGUAUGUGCUUCCAUCUACUUAUAAAUGGGGUGAUGCAGAGUUUGUUGUAACAAAUCAACAAGCAUCAUGUCUGGGUUGGUCCCAUUUUUGUUCCCUACUUAAUGGGAAAAGACAGCAAUACAAUAGCUUCAAUUCAACAUUUAUUUAAAACAGUACCAAUACAAGUAGCACAACAUCUCAAAGCACACUGCACAAUCAUGUGGAUGAAGGCCCGUACUAACCUUUCAUGAGACGGACAAGAUAAAAUAUGAAUCUGCCAACACGAAUAGGAAAUCCAAUCUAGUUUUGUGCAGUUGCACUGAAAUCAAGCAAAGUGUUUCACGUAGCGAAGCAAAAUGUCGCAAUAGCAACAAGUUGAAUAGAUAUCCAUGUUUAAACAGAGGCAAAAAAGGAAUCAAUUACUGGCUAAUAAAGGAGGAUGAAACAUGCGGCCACAAAAAUGGUAAUCCCGCCAAUCCCUAACAAGUGUUGCAGUUUUGAAAUAAGAUUCAGUAGUUAAUUCCGAGAGUGGCAUCAAUUACUGGCUUAUAAUGGGGGUGAUGCUGAAUUUGUUGUAACAAAGCAACAAGCAUCAUGUCUGGGUUGGUCCCAUUUUUGUUCACUACUUAAUGGGAAAAGACAGCAAUACAAUAGCUUCAAUUCAACAUUUAUUUAAAACAGUACCAAAACAAGUAGCACAACAUCUCAAAGCACACUGCACAUCAUGUGGUUGAGACCAAGAUUUGAAACAACUCGCCACGAAGACUGGAAACAAAUCUCGAUCUCCUUUUGUGCAGUUCCACCAAAAUUAAGCAAAGUCACCAGUGUGACAUUCAAGUUGAACUGCACAAAACACUCUUAAAACAUAAGUGUUUCGAGUAGCGAAGCAAAAUGUUGCAAUAGCAACAAGUUGAAUCGAUAGGCCUAUUUUAACAGAGGCAAAAAAGGAAACAAUUACUUGCCGAUAAAGGAGGAUGAAACAAACGGUGACAGAAAGAAGCAUCUAACUUAUCUUGGAUGGAAAACAAAGUAGGACAAUAGCAUUUCUAAAACGGUUGCAUUGAUUCAUAUUAACAGAGACAUUCUCUUGAAACAACAUUCGUUAAAAAAUGUAAUUUACUUUUAACUGUGGCAUUGCUUCAAUUUUCGGCGGCAUUCUUAGAUUAACAACAGCAAAAUAGCUGUAUGGGACAUGCCAGCACCAUGUGCAUCCACACGUAUAAAUGGGUGAUGCAGAGUAUGUAGCCAAGCAGCAUAUAUGCGCUGGUCCCAUAUUUAUUCUCUUUGAACAUUCUUCCUAUGUGAGGGCAGCAAAUCUAGUGCUGCACAAACUACCCGACCCCCCAGUUUCUUUCCCUUUUCAACAAAGAGAUCGGUUCCUUACAGAUGUGUGUACUGGGUUACCCCCUUUUUCCCUUUUCGACCUACAAAGCGGCUGGAUAGCCAGUCUAUACUACUUUCUGCCCCUCCUUUCCUCAUUGAACCACAUCCUAGAUUCUUGGGCCAGCCCACCGCACCCUUCUUUCCUCUUUGAACCAAGACCUAGAUUCGACUACAGAUCGAAAAAGAUCCACAUGCAGCUAGAGCAACGACUGUUUCAAAUAAACUUAUACCUUAGGGUCGUCGGGAUGUGGCAAGGCGUGCGGCGGGAGGCCGGAUCUGCCCACACUACGUACGGCAGCAAGGAAGAAGGGGUCGGUGGCCCUCCCGCACAGGCGCUGGGUGAAAGAGAACAGCGCAACCGGCAGUGGAUUGCCUCCCUCGCCGAAGGCGAUAGAGUGGACGCUGAACCUCCUCCCCUUCCCGGUGUGACGGGAUACGGACGCCUCCUUCACCAGCUGUGAGGGGGGAGAGAGAGACAAGAGGCCAACGCAGUCUUAUUUAGAUCUGGUGAAGAGAGGGUGAGUGACUGUGAAUAUAGCAAACCCUAGCAAAUGAACGCUGAGCCUCCAGCGUGUAACAUAUAUGGAGAGGGUGAGAGAGCGAGACGCGAGAAACUCUAUCAAACAAGAGGCUAUAAUGGAGUAAAAAAAUAUCUCCAUAGCAGUGGUUUUAAAUAGAAUACGUGUGUUCCCGGAAAAAAGAAAUGAAAACCGGCGGACAAUUUUUUAAGGGUCUGUCUAGGACACAUCUAGAUGUGACAUAGUUAUGUCACAUCUAAGUUGAUGUCCACUCUGUUUGUGGUCUAUUUUUUUCCUAGUUUUUUUUGUUUCUUGUUGCUACAUUAUAUACUUGUGGGAGCUUAGAUGUGAUAUCCUUAAAUAACAUCUAGAUGUGAAUUAGACAAACUGAUUUUCUAACAUACGAAGAAAGAAAACUCCAUCAAAAACAUGCCCCCGCUUCCAGGUCGCGAGAGUCGUCGCGCACACACACAUAGACAUAGACAUGCAUAUCCAUGUUUAUGUAAAAUUCCAUUUCCAUCUCCAUCUCCAAUCAUAUUUCUCCAACUGGCACAUUAUUUAUGUUGUUAAUUAUAUACGCAGCAAUAUUAACGUACAUCAUCUCUUGUUUGCGCAUGUCCGGACCGCUGCCACGUCCGGUCCUGGCCAACCCGAACCCUCUUCAUCACCGACGCGUGCUUCCCGCCCGAAACGGUCAGUGCCGCAUUCAUGCCCGGCCAGAGCGGACGCGACCUCUCACUGGCGCCAGCAUUGAAGCGGCGCACCGGCCGAGAGAGCGUCGCCCGCACCGCUUCCAGGUUCACGCGGCUGCUCCGCGUUCAAAGGUCGCAAUAGCCGGCUACAACAUGCAUGUAAAAAGUUCUUGGGAGUCCGUGCUACAGCUAGCUGUCCUCCCCCAACUCGUCAAUCUCUUCCAGUAGUGCUAGUACUCCAUGGUGCGAUCCAUCGACAAGCAGGCGGGAAAGUUAUCGUAUACUCGGUUUGCGGUGAGUGGCAUGCCGAGCGACCGUGUGGGGUCGAGCCGUGGAGGAGGGUGAGACACGAACACGACAGACGUGAUUUAAACGUUGGUUUUGGUCGAUGGCGAGAUCCAAUGAAACGAAACGUUGGUUUCUCUCCGUUUCCAUUUUUUCUCCGGAAAAACGGAAACUUUCCACUCCAUUUUCAUUCCUAUUCCAAGGUUGCCCCGUUACAACAUUCCAUCAAAUACAAAGGAAAACUAACACGCAUGCUGACGCAUCUCAAUGAUUCACAGAUCAUAGCCAAUAUUUACUUCGCAACUAAAGAAAAAAGUUGUGAGAGCGUGUACGAAAGAAAAACUACUGAUGGGGUCACUACGACUUAAACCCUAAACCCUAAACAUGAUUUAAUUUCCUGGCCAGGUAGAACCUGUCCAAGGAAAGACGGCUGGCACCCUCAGAUCAUACGAUGCUUUUGUGCAGUUCCACUAAAAUCGACCUGAGCAUCCCUGAUGGCAAAGAUAUUGAAGAAGUGUGAUUAGAAUAAUAGUACUGGCACUAGUUCAUGAGACAUAAACUCAUCAGAAGUAGAAGCCGGUAGAAGUAGAGAAAGAUCGACAUGGAGAUUGAGCUACGGCAGUGGAGCAAGCCGGCUCCAGAAGGAAGAUGGACUACCUGGGACGUCGGGCUGUAGCUAGAAGGGCGGUUGGGACGCGGCAUCGGCCCAUACCGCGGUGACCCCCGAUUGGGAUGCACCGACUGUGGGUUUUCUCCCUCGCCGAUGUCGACCGCGUCUACGUAGAACAUUGUUCCCUUCCCCCAGCUGCGAGAUCAGGCCCGUCGUUCUAUGCUUGUGAAGAGAGCAACCUAAGGAAGCAGGCUUGUAGCUUAGGCUCCUGCUAGUGUAUAUAUAGUGGUUUUCAUUUUCUCUCCAUAUCAACCAUUUUAUAUUGUGUACGUGUCAUUCAAGAGUGAAAUGAUGGUUGCUUCUUCCGACUAACUUACUGUGUGAUUUGACUGCUCCUUAGUGGCCCCUACACGUACUCCCCCUACGUGUAUGCAACAGUCACACGUACACAUGGACGCAAAAACGCGCGCGACGCCCUAAUGCAUGCAUGUCCGAGCACACGACGGAACACACACGGUCACGCUCAAGUGCUCAACCUACACGUAGACAUGUGAGGUUGAAGGACGGGAGAAGCUUGCGCGCGGUGGCUCACAGGACAAGGAGAAACUUUUGACUAAUGCAAGCUCUCCCUCGCUCAAGCGGUGGACGUGCAACAGUUAAUUCGGUGUCAGAUUGCCAGAAGCAUACACUAUACUACUAGUGCUAUAAUUGUUCGACUUCCCGAAUAGGCGAACAGCCAAGCGCAAAGUUUACUAGUACUACUACUAUAGUCUAUAAAGGUACGUACUACUAUACCAGUACUAGGAACCGGAUGGAGGAGCGUCUGCACUCUUAUUAUAAUUUUAAAAUGUGAUAAAGCAAUCUUCAACACAAUUGGUUCUCUUCGAGGGUUCUCGCAUGUGAUAAUGGAAGUUGAUUGCAUGGAACACUUGCCCCAAUUCUCACUUAAUUCUGGCUCAUAUCCUGUUACAAAUAGUAGCGCUCAGUAAUAUUUCCUCUUUUUUUGUUAUUCAGCAUGUAAACAGGUCAGCAAACCUUGCAGCGCAUCUUCGUGCGAACCAUGCUUGCUGCACUUUGAAUGUGGCCAAGAGCUGGCUUGAUGAAACACCUCGCUUCCUACUUAUUUUUUUGCGGGGUAGCUCACUUCCUAGUGACCAGUGUCUUGGCUGAUCGUCCUAAGAAUGCUUAUAUAUGAAUAAAGCUCUCUCAUUUACCCGCAAAAAGAUUAAGCCAUAUUAACCGGAAAGGAGGGAGUAUGGACUAGCACUACUUUUUGAUGUGUCCCGUCAACUCGCAGAAUGAGGAGAAGCUUGCAGGACAAGGUGAAGCUCGCUUACGCCGUUUGACUAAUGCAACAUACCCUCGGUGGACAUGCAUCAGUCCAUUCGGUGUCAGAUUGUCAGAGGCAUACACUGUAGUACCCAACAUGCGGAGUACCAUCAUUGUUCGACUUCACGAAGAGGCGAAGAGCCAAGCGCAGUAGUACGAGUAGUACUACUACUAGAGCCGCAUGGUGGAGCGUCUGUACUCUUAUUUUUUAUCUCUGAUAAAGUACACGUUUAUUCCGGAGAAGGGCGGAAAACGGCAGCCCAACAUGUAAUGAAUGGUAUCGAUCAACCAACCAUGCUCGAAUAUAUCUUGGCCUCCGUGCGAGCCCGUCUGUGUGUUCUCGCUCCUCGUCUCUCUCAAGGAACGCGGGUUGGCUCUUUGCCGUCAAUUGAGAUCGGUUUGCUCACACUCCUAUCCCACAUGUCAGUGAUAUGCCAAGAGGAGGUGCGGUGACCGACUGGCCAUACGCAUACUUGGUUUUGCACCUUCAUACUACUCCUCCCUCCGUCAUAGUUUACAGGGUGCGCUUCAUUAUGAUGCAUUUCUCUCAAUGCAUUUCCACCACCAGAGAGACUUUAGACGCGUUUGGUUUAAUGAUCAAUUAAUUAGGGCGUGGUAACCACAAUCAAGUCCACAAUUUUCUCUCCAUGUACUGUACUACUACGGAGUGGAGUAAGUGCAUGCAUGUGUGUACCCGGGGUGGAAGCACUGCAUGCAUGUGUGUACACAUUAUUCCCUCUAGUAAUAGACGCCGUGCUAUACUACCAAUGCUAUUUUUCAGGCCGAUCGCUAGUCGCCUUGGUCCCACAGAUUUUUUUCUUUUUUCUGAAGUCCGCUGUAUAAACAGUGACAGAUGGAGUAGUAUGAGCAGAUUCAAAGAAGAGUGUAUUGAUGGUUACUUCUUCAGAGCAACUUACAGUGGGAAAGGUGGGGCUUAUGAUUUGACUGCUCAUUACUCACUAUUAAUGCGGCGCAACGACCGGGCUGAGUCUCCCAUGCGGUUGUGCACUACCCCCUCGGUUCUUAAAUAUACUCCGGAGUAUUUGUCUUUCUAGAUUUCAACGAGUGACUACUCAAAUAUUUGUCUUUUUAGAGAUUUCAAAUGGACUGGCACAUACGGAUGUAUAUAGACAUAUUUUAGGGUGUAGAUUCACUCAUUUUGCUCCGUAUGUAGUCACUUGUUGAAAUCUCUAGAAAGAUGAAUAGAAUAUUUAGGAACGGAGGGAGUACACAUACGAAGCAAAAUGAGUGAAUCUACACUCUAAAAUAUGCCCGUUUGAAAUUUGUAAAAAGACAAAUAUUUAGGAACGAAGGAGUAUAAUUUUGUGCAUGGCACAUGGACCCGGAUGAUGAAGAGGCUUCUGGCAAUGCUAUCAAGCUUCCAUCAUUUGUUUACAUAAUUGACGUACUAUACAAAUAAUUUUCCAGCGACAUGAAAUUGUACAAUGGUGUGAGCUUUCAGCUUUUGUUUCGUGUGUCUUGCCAUCGAUGCUCUUUCGGAAACAAUAAAAAACUAACUUCCUUGCUAAUGCAUGUCAAUUAUUAGCAGAUCAGAGCUAAUAAUUACAUCACAACUGAAGAUAGAGUUGUGAGAAUGUGUUAAAUUAAAAUUGAUCCAUGCUUUCAUUGGCAGCAACGUCCCCCCAGUUCUGUCUAAAUCAACAAGGCAUGUUGGGAAAAAGUAGCUGUCUGGAGCUUGCAACAUUCCGAUCAUUUUGUGCAGUUCCACUAAAAUAGAGAUGAGCGUCCCUAUUCCAAAGAUAUUAAGUGUGAUUACGAUAAUAGAGGACUGCUGAUGAAACAAUAAACACAGAAAUAGAAGCCGGUCACCUUUGCAGUCUCUCUUAAGACUAACUAGCUGGAGAAGAUUAGGCUCGGAGUUGGAUGAGGAGGAUAGAGCAAAACCAAUCUCCCAUUGUGCAUUUGCACUGAAAUGUAGAGACGUUGCCCGUGUGACAUUUUAGUACAACUGCACAAAACACUCUUAAGGAAAAAGAGAUUUGUGCAGUUCACCAAAAGGUCGCAAUAGCAACGAGUAGAAAGGAAACAAUUUCUGGCCAAUAACAGUUGAUGACACAUGCGACGACAAAAAAGAAGCAUAUUCCUUGUCCUAAGGGAAGAUAACAACAUGGUUGUCUUUGUCUAAAACGGUGUGAGGACGAGAAUGCAAUAUGGAAAGUACGCCGGACGAGCUACAUUUUGGGCAAUGAACUAUGGAAGAUCCACAUGCAGCGACGUGGGAAGACGGGCAGUGGAGCAAGGCCGGAGGGGAUACCUGGAGGUCGUCGAGAUGUAACUAGGUGAGCGGCGGCGGGCGGAAUCUGCGAGCAGGUGGUGUAGGCCCUGCCGCGCCGGAGCUUGGUCAGAGAGAACGGCGUGUAUCGCAGAUCGGGACGUGCUGCCUCGGCGCCGUCAAACGGAGAAACAAUGCACUUCCUCCCUUUCCCCCGGCGGACGGGAUGCGGCCGGAUCAGUGACCAACGAUGAGAGAGAGAGAGGCCACCGCACUCCCUUUCCCCCGGCGGACGGGAUGCGGCCGAAUUAGUGACCAACGGUGAGAGAGAGAGAGAGGCCACCGCAGCCUUGUGUGAGAUACUCUGAAGACCGACAAACCAGGCAGGCAGGCUCCAUUGUAUAUAGUGAGCGGACUACCUUUUUCUCCAUAAAAAUUGUUUUAUAUUCUGUGUACGUGGCAUUGAGCGCUAUAACUUUAUUUAAAAAAAUAACGCGGCAACGCGUCAAGUCGAACUUUGUUUCAUGCACGCAUGGUACACGACCUCCCUAGGUAAACAACCGCUACAGGCGUUCAAAUUAGCACAUGGGCUGCCAUUUCUUAAAGAAAUGAGCUCCACCGUGUACCCGCGCGGGUGUGGCUGGGCACGAAGCGUGAGUACGUGCACGGUGCACCUAUUCUCUUCUUGUAUACGUACACCACUUACGUUGGGUUGUGUGAGAGAGAUACNNNNNNNNNNNNNNNNNNNNNNNNNNNNNNNNNNNNNNNNNNNNNNNNNNNNNNNNNNNNNNNNNNNNNNNNNNNNNNNNNNNNNNNNNNNNNNNNNNNNNNNNNNNNNNNNNNNNNNNGGGGGGGUCAAUCAAAAAAUGUAACAUAUGCAAUGUGUGUGAAAUAGAGUCCUGGAUAUAACAUAUAUAUAGAGGGGGCGAUCCACGAGAAGAGAGUGGAGGUAUCAUCGGCUUGAGGUGUCCAUAGAAUCGAAGAGAGGGAUGAUGUGUGUGUGUGUGUGCGCGCGCGAUCGAUAAAGAGUGCCAUCGAAUUUGUGUGUGCCCACAUCAAAGAUAUAGAGUGGCUGGCCUACUCGAACAUGAGAUGGGACAUGUGCAGUUUGUCUUUGUGGCAUGGAUACCUACCUGCAGCGCUCGACUAUCGGUGUGUGGUGGGGGAAGAGGGAGGCCCAAUUAACUAUAGAGGUAUAAUGGCUGGUAUAUGUGUGGAGGAGGAGAGAGGCCUACCUCAUGUAUUAAGGAGAUCGAUCUGCCUCAUGUAUUAAGGGAGAUCGAUCGGCAUCCAUGCAUAUGUGCAGGAGAGGAAUAAGGUUGGGAGAUAGACAGAGCUAGAGUGUUGGAGGGGGUGGUAGUGGAGUUGCUUCUAACAAAUGGUGGGAUAGGCUUGCUAGACAAACGGAGGGCAUGCCCGCAAUAUCAAUAAGAGAGGAGAUGGCUGCUUGUUGUCUGUGCACGUGCGUGUGAGAGACGGGUCAGGAGGCAUGCACGAAUGAUGAGGGGGGACGAUGUGGCUGUGGUAAGCAGACGUAACUACAUAGGAAGAUCAAUCGCCCUUUGUNNNNNNNNNNNNNNNNNNNNNNNNNNNNNNNNNNNNNNNNNNNNNNNNNNNNNNNNNNNNNNNNNNNNNNNNNNNNNNNNNNNNNNNNNNNNNNNNNNNNNNNNNNNNNNNNNNNNNNNNNNNNNNNNNNNNNNNNNNNNNNNNNNNNNNNNNNNNNNNNNNNNNNNNNNNNNNNNNNNNNNNNNNNNNNNNNNNNNNNNNNNNNNNNNNNNNNNNNNNNNNNNNNNNNNNNNNNNNNNNNNNNNNNNNNNNNNNNNNNNNNNNNNNNNNNNNNNNNNNNNNNNNNNNNNNNNNNNNNNNNNNNNNNNNNNNNNNNNNNNNNNNNNNNNNNNNNNNNNNNNNNNNNNNNNNNNNNNNNNNNNNNNNNNNNNNNNNNNNNNNNNNNNNNNNNNNNNNNNNNNNNNNNNNNNNNNNNNNNNNNNNNNNNNNNNNNNGUAGUUAAAGUCGAUCUAGGUAUAUGUUGGGAGAUCGAUCGGUAUACAUGCAUGUGUGUGUUAGAAGCAAAUGAGGCACGAGGAGAAGGAUAGAGAGAGAGGGAUGCAUGUAGGAGGUGGUACGAGAGGCAUACUAUAUCGAGGGGGGAGGAGUGUGCGAGUACGAGAACGAUGAAAAGAGUGGUGGGAGUGAGGCAUGGACGGUGAAAAGAGAAGAGGGGAAGCUUGUGUUUGUGCUAGGCACACCUAGCUAGAGAGGCAUAUCGAUCGAUGUGUGACGUAAAGAAGGAGCUGGGGGGCCUACACACACCGUGGCUGAACGACCUAAAGUGAAAAGACGAAUUUGCGCGAUGGAGCUAGAGAAUGCUGAGGGAGGGUGAGAGGGAUGCGGGCGUGUGCAUGCACAAGAGAAAGUUAGCGCUAGCUACAAAGAUAAGAGGGUUGUGUGGGUGUAAAAGAUGAAUAGAUAUCAUAUAUACUUCAUUAUAAAAAGCGAAUUCGGAUAUUUGAAGAAUUUAUCAUAGUGUUUCAAACCGAUGCAUGUGUGAAUAUAUAUAACGGUGAUACACAUGGUGUGGUUAUGAACAUGUUAUACUACAUUUAAUAUAUUUUAUCUCUACUCUUGUAAAAAACGGAGUUGUUGAUGAUGGUGUGCAUGCCAUCCUGCAUUAUAGGCCGUCCGAUUUAUAUCUGGCGGUUAGCAAGGAAACUAUGAUGGUUGAAGUUGGCAACAAUCAUGAUUGUAGAUUCUUAUUGAAAUAGAGAAACGAAUUCAAAUUUAGUUCGAAUUGCAGUGGUAGUAUAGACAUUUGGAAUGCACUAAAAUGUUGGUAUGAGUAGGUUACAUGCAUUAUACAGCAAGCGAAAAAAUUUAAUCGGACAUAACAUGGAUUCAUACUCCCUCCUUCCAUCUAUAUAGGGCGUAAUGAGAUUUUUAAGAUCGCCUUUGACUAUUGACAAGAUUAAUAGUACAUGACAUGCACAAUGUGAAAAUUAUAUCAUUGAAAGAACCUUUCACAGACGAAUUUAACGGUGUGCUUUGUGUAAGUUGCAUGUCGUAUAUCAUUGCUCUAAUAUUUGGUCAAAGUUAGCAUCGAAAAAUGCAUUAGGCCCUAUAUAGAUGGAAGGAGGGAGUAGCUUUGAAUAGCAUUUGUAUAGUAAAACGGGGCAAGACUCUCUUUGUGUGGUGUGAAUAGUUUUAUUUUUUUCGUUUUCUUUUUGGUUGAGGGAAGUGCGAAUUGAUUUGGUACAUACAAGUACAAUAUUACUACACACGUUAGGCUUGUCCCUAAAAUUCAUCCUGCGUCUUGUUAUAUCCCGAAAAUUAAGAUAUCGUGCUCCCAAAACUGGCGCCUUGCUAUCCCGAAAUUACAACGCGCGCGAAAACUCCCUCCAGCUGCCAAAUCCCGACACACGAAAUACCCCUUCUAACCCUGAGCCGAAAGGGCGGCUAGUUCAAAUCGGUGGGGCGUACUUUUGAAACACACCCUACAUUUUGGACAAGCGCGUCCCUAAGUCAUGCUUCACCCCCUCCCAUCGCCCCCUUUUCGCCAUUCGAAAUCCCAAGCCGCCAUAACCUCUUCGCUCCAGCCGCGAAACCCCACCCUCCUCCGUCCGCCACGUCACCGCUGCCCAGCCGGAGCCUCUUCCCCGACGACGUUGUCCACUUCAACAGCUCGACGUCCCUCGUCCACCUCCCCGGACGAGGAUCUGUCGUCCAUCUCGCCGUCCCGCCGGUUCAGCCGCCCCGUCCUCCACCUCCAAGGAGCUGCUCCGACGAUCGCCUCGUCUAUCGCGGCUGCUCCAUCCCCACAGCGCCGCCUUAACCUGCUCCACCGGAACCGCAGCAUCCUCACAGACUCCUCGGACGAAGCCGAGGCCUACUCGGUGCCACCAAAGAGGUUGUACACUCAUCGCAUCACACCUUCUCCUUAACUCGACCUCCUGGCGCCGACGGUGCUCCAUCCCGCACCCAUGGAGCGGCUACCUUGAAGCCGGCGCCGGGGGCGACAUCUCCAUGGCGGCUCUCCCCCAGUGCGAGGCCCCUUCGGCGGCGGUGUCCAUACCAGCCGGAUCUGCUGCUGCUGCUCCGGCUCGUUCGCUCGCUCGCGCUGCUGCUGCUGCUCCGGCUCUCGCUCGAUCGCUCGCUCGCCCAGCUACUGCUGCUGCUCUCCCCCUCGCUUGUGCUGCUACUCUGCUCCGAUUAAGCCACACUUCAGUCGACUGAAUCGACUUUUGGGUCAGUCAAUUAUCAGGGGUUGGGGGGGCUCGCCGGAGUUAAGGAAGAACCACCCGCAGCGGGGAUGGGGGCUCGCCGGAGAGGUACCCCACUAUCUAUCUUAGGGUUCAGGGUGGGGGAGGGGGCCUAGAGGGCUGGCCGGGGCGGCGGUGGCGAGUUGUUUCGGGGCGGCGAGGCGGCGCUGGGGCCGGCGGUUCGGCCAGUGGUGGCUGGCGGCUCAGGGGGGUGCAGGUUGAAGAUGAACUGCAGGCCCUCCCUAAACUACAUGUCAAGUGCCUCUCUGCUACCAUUGCGUUCAGUUUCGACAGUAGCAUUCAGAUUCCACAGUAAAUUUCAGUUCGACAGUUAAGUUCAGAGUCAACCGUUUUUACCUCAUCUGUUGUAGUCAGGUGGUUUUUGGUGAUGUUAAUUUUACAUCCAUUUUACAUCAUCUAUUGGAGAUGCUAUCAGAAUCCCACUUGAGAUUGAUGAUGUCUGUCUUGUGCUGCUUCAGCCUUGACAUCUUACGGCUCACCAGAGCUGCUCUAACGACAGAACGAUCCAUCACAACAGAGCAGUGCCCUGGACACCGUCUACAGAUUCCUCAGAUCUUCCUCCACACCUCCGACAGCCACCUCUGCGUCAACUGCUUCAGCGACCAACCCAAUGAUGCUGAGGUCGACACGGCUACGGCAAAGAGGCUGUACACUUGUUGCAUCACUUAUUACUAUACAUUCACGUCGAUCCAUUGGGGCUAUUUUGGUUCAACAGAAAAACGUCGAUCCACUGGUUGUUACUAUCACUCUUAAUUUCUGCAUGCUCUCCUUACAUAAUCUCACCAUAUUUUUUUCGUAUGCAUGUUAGAUAUUGUACACAGUCAUGCUGAACAUGUAGAGAAAAAGAGAAGAGUUUUGUACGGAAAUACAAUGUCAUGCAGACAUCGCUCCAUGGUGGGUUCAAUGGCAAACCCUCCCCACCCCUCUCCAGAUUGUAAUCCAGAGGAAGAUAUCUGUUCUGAGGCAGAUUCAGACGCCGCUGACCACUCCUAUUUACCCCCCAAGGUGUUUGCUCUACCUUGGCAUGAUGAUGUUAGUCAGAUCAUGCAUAUGUUGCCUUGCAGUGCCUACUUUUGACAUCAUGUAUGUCAUCUGCUUAGUUUAGACAUGUUCUGUAAUGCCACCUGUUUAGUUUCUAUAUCAUAUAUGGGAAUUAUGCAGUCUCAUGUCUUUUAGCCAGCCAUAAUAUAUGUGAAAUGUGCAAUGCCAUCCUGUUUAACCAGGUAUCAUAUAUUUGAAUGAUAUCUUGCCCAUCCUUUUCUUCAUUACAUUUACAUUUGUCGACAAUGUUUGUAUAUUAAACUACUCUUCCUGUGAAUCAGCCAUUUGGGUGGGAGAUGGAAUAAUCUGGAGUGAAAACAAGGCCUUCAGAGCAGACAGUGUACCUGUCGAAGCAGAUCUCUUGUUGGGUCCCGAUAGCUCCUCAGAGAUGGAUUUAGAGACAGAUGACCAGUCCUAUUCCCCCACUGAGGUGUAUGCUCUAACUUGGCACAGUUAUACUGCUCAUAUCAUGCAUACGGUGUCUUGCAUUGCAUAGUUUAGACAUCAUAUACACAAUAUUCAACACCAUGUUCUUAGUUCAGACAUCAUAUCGAAUGCCCUCUGUUAAGGAUAUAAAUCACAUAUGUGAAUUAAAUGAUGCGAUCCUGAUUAUUUAGAUAACAUGUAGGUGAAUUAUGUCAUGCGAUCCUGUUUAGUUAUUCAUCAUAUCUUUGAAUUAUGUUAUGCUAUGCUAUCCAGUUUAGAUAGACAUCAUAUAUGUGAAAUUAUGUCAUGCUAUCCGUUUUAGUUAAACAAUAUACAUGUCAACUAUUUCAUGCCCUCUUUUUUCCACACUAUCUAUUGCAUCUGUCUCUCAUACAAUGUCUGUACAUUCAACUAUGUUUCCUGUUUAUCAGCCAUUUGAAUUGGAGCGGGUGAUGCCAGUAUCUAGCGGACUAAAAACACGGUCUUCAAAUAAAACAGUGCUACCUCUUGGUGGAGAUAGCACCCCGGUUGUACACGCACAAGAACCAGCCCUACCACACAUAACCCAAACUCUCGCAGGUUGUACCCCUACUGCGAUGGACAGAGAACCAGCUUCACCCAAUCUAACCCCAACCCCAGCCGAUAGUAACCCAAUUCCUGUUGACACAGCACCAUCUCCACCACAGAGCUCCCAAACAAGAGCAGUUAGUAAGGCAGCUCCAGUGCCCAAAGGGCCAGUACUAUCACGGCGAACCCCAACUCCACCAGUUAGUACGCCUAUUCCUGUGGAGGAAGCACAACCAGCUAGUCGUAGUUUAGCAUCUAUCGCAUUUGAUGUUGUUAAAUCGUAUGUGCGUAUCUUCCCAUCUUGGAAAUAUUAUACUGAAGAUGAAGGAAAAUGCCAGUUGCAGGUGUUUGUCCAGGAGUUAUGUGUAAGUAAGGUUAUUCAUGGCAAUUACUUUGCUUCGUCCCAUACAUCCUACCUCCAUGAUGGUUAUAAUACAACAAAUUUUCCCAUUUUUCUCUAUAGAGAAGGACCGAUUUGGAAACUCAACAUGAGCUAACCUGUGCUAAUACCUCUGCUAUCUUCAAGAAUGCUUGGUGGCAGUAUCAGAAUUACCUGAAGAAAACGUACUUCACCGGCAAAGAAACUCAUCAAAUUCCCUUACGUUCUCCUGAGACACAUUUACUGGACGAUGACUGGGAACGCCUUGUUCUGUACUGGUCCCGAACCAAGAAUGUGGUAAGGUCUAUGAGCUCAUUUUCUUUUUUUAAGUAUUAUAUUCUUGCGUCUUACUGUACUCUGUUCAUGUAGAACAAGUGCCUAAACCUGAAGAACAACUAUUCUAAUUUAAGAUUCCAUUGCUAUCAUAGUUCAAAAAAGCGCAAGGCGUUAAUUGUGCGUUUUGCCACCGCCUUGCGCUUUACUGGCCAAAGCGCAUGCUUAUGCGCAGUUAUGCACAGAUUAUGCAUAGUUAUGCGCAAUGUGUUUUGCCAACGCCUAGAGCCUAGGCGCGCCUUUUUUAACUAUGAUUGCUUUGCUCUUGUAUCACUGUAUUUACUCAUACAAACUUAUUUUUAAACUAAAGGAUCCAAUCGAAACUCCAAUGGCACAGCAGGUAUGUUCACGCAUGUUUCUUUAACAGGUUUGCUCUUAUCAAUAGCUCUGUUGAUUUCAAUUUCAAUUGUGUAUACAAUUGACUUUCAUAUCAUGCACAUUCCUAGCAUCAUAACAGAGCCAAUAGUGUUGUUGUACAUGUAGACCCGUGGUACCCAUCUAAAAUCUUGUUGUGCCGUGUAGUUUCCCAAGCUUUGUAUUCUUUCAUUGCUGCUUUUCUUGAACUGAUAUGAUUUGAACCGUGUCUCUAUUUUGAUUUGGCAAGACAAUGCAGUGACCAUAGGACAUAGAUAUAUGUUUGUUUGAUGCUUUUAUUAUGUACUAGUACUUGGCAAUAGAAGACUUGGUAGUUUAAUCCUGUCCACCUUACUAAUGAACUGGCUCACCUAAAUGAGUUUCAUAUACUAGUACAUGCUAAACUUGUUAUGUGUCUGCUUGUUUCUUCUUUUAGAAUGCUGACACAAUAUUGGGGAAGAGUGCCUUAUUAAGCAAUGGUAAAGGAAGUAAUGCAGAUAAGGUUCAGGAUAGUGACACAUCCUUGUUGGAAUCCUACAAAGCUGAUAAAACAGCUAAGGAAGACUAUCUUGAAGACAGCAAGACAACCCCAAAGUCCUGUCUUGGUUUAGUGUUCGAGUUACUGGCCACUACCGCUUGCACAAGCUAUUCAAACUCACUGUCUGAAUCAGUUCGGUUUCUUGAGUCUCAACUACAAGCUGAAAGACAUCGAUCAGCUGUGCUGCGACAAGAAGCAGAAGGACCGCGGAAGUCCCUGGAGCAUUCAGAUGCAUACUUUCUGGUGCAACAGCAAGCGUUGGAGGAUUUUAGCGCCAAACAGGACAAAGCUAAUCAGCUUGCUAAGCUUAUUGCCAGCAUGGUGGAUACCCAGGAUAACGUUUCUUGAGCUCUUCUGAAGUUGUUUCAGUUAUGCUCUUGUUUUGCUGCGGCGUUUAUUUGCACUGGUGGCCAAUUUUGACGGCCAGUGUAUGUAAUGUGCUGCUUUGUUCCCUAUAUUUGCACUGGUGGCGAACUUUGAUGCCCAGUGGAUGUAAUAUGUGUAAUAGCGGUAAUAGGCUAGCGUUAAUUGCUUGCUUAUUUAUUUCCUUAUUGUCUUGUUUAGUUGUUUGCUUGUAGUCACUGCAGUUCUUUUUCUGUUUUUUUCUAGUGGCCACAAUAGCCUAUUUUUGGUAACUAGGCCAAAAUACUCAUGGCAACACACGGACUGUUGUAACCAUGGGCCUCCGGCAGGCCGUAUGAUCCAUGGGCCUUCGUCUGGCCGUAGGAUACAUCGGCCUUCUAUACGGGCCUUAGGGUCCAUGGGCCUUCUACGGGCCAUAGGGUUCAUGGGCCUUCUAUGGGCCGUACGAUCCAUGGGCCUUCUAUGGGCCGUACUAUCCAUGGGCCUCAUAUGGGCCAUAGGAUCCAUGGGCCUUCUACGGGGCGUAUCAUCAUUUCGCCAAUCAUGGGCCGUACUAUUCGUGGACCAUAAUGGGCCGUUAAUAGGUCGUAUUUGAUAACUCUAUGAAAACAACCCAACGGGUUUUUUUUGACAUGAAAACGGCCCAACAUAUUAACGGUCCGCAAACGGGCCGACUGUAACGAUGGGCUGAAUUUGGCCCACAAGCAGAAAAUGACAGUAAUGGGCCGUAUGUAACCGAAUGCUGCAAAUGAGCCCAAGAAUCAAUGGCCCCUGGGAAGGCCAAAAGAAAACUUGGGAUGGAAACGGCCCAAUGGAAUAACGGGCCGUUAAUGGGCAUAAAGUGAUACACUGUUCAUUACGGGCCAGUUUCACCAUGGGCCGUUAAUGGGCCAAGAGUUACAAAGGUCCUCAUAUGGGCCGAAAGAAGUCAUGGUCCACACAUGGGCCGGAAGUUAAAAUGGGCUGAAUCAUAUUGGACGGCCCAGAUGACGCUACUGGGCCUAAUUCGGAUAGGGCGUAACGAGCCCUGGGUUGGCGGGCUGUAAAUGGGCUAUAUGCGAACAGGCCGUUAACAGGCUUUCCGUGGGCCGGCCCGCCACCUUUUGACCAAGUCAAACGGGCCGGCCUUUUUGCAGGAAUGGGCCUCUGUUGGGCUGUGCCAUGUGUCGCCGUAUCAUAGGCGCCUUCGGUCCAAUGAGCGGAUGACAUCUGUCCCAACGGUGAGCCGACACGUGUUUCCUCCAGCCAAUGAUGAUUUUACACAUGGAAAAUCCCCAUUGGUCGGGGCUGUUAGCGGGUUAUCGGAUCCAAAACCCGACCCGAUAGCUUAACGGCGUUUCGUUACGGUGGAUGCCACGUGUCGGUCACCCUUGACGAAAGCACUUCUGUGACGCGCGAUUUAUCGUCAUGGAAGUGGACACUUCCGUGAUGAUAAUUUUGGGAAUGUCAUGGAACACUUCUACGACAGCACAGGUAUGACUAUCUUGAUUCUGUCAUAAAAUUGUCAUGGAUGUACAUGCAUGACAAAAAAUGCGACCUACUGUGACAAACACGUAUCAUCACGGAAGUGUAUUUUUUUGUAGUGUAAUCGAUCACUCUUCUUGUUGACACGCAUCACAAACUGACUCAACACUAGACUCAUAAGGAAGUUUAUUUCUACUAAGAACAUGUUGAACGAUAGUUGAAGAAGGAUGACCCAAGCGAUGAUGCCACUUUUUCGAAGAUGGUUUGGUGACACUCCAUGCUUGUUUAUUGGACCAUCAUGAAGAAACUGAUGAUAUGAGUGGGUAGAGGCCUCCCUCACAUUUUCCUCUAAGAAUGACUCCUCAUUGCUAAGUCCUUUACCACAAAAGAAUAAGGAUAGAAUAUUAUGAGAACUUGGUUAUCAAGAGUAAAAUGAUGAACUGAGACAAGAUUUUUUGAUGCAUGAGGAACAUGUAAGACAUUAUUGAGAUGCAAUUUUUUCUUAAGGGUUUUAACAAUUGAGUUACCAAUGUGAGCAAUUUCCAUACCCGUUCCACUUGCCGUGUGCACUUGGUCACCUCCGUGGUAUCUUUUCGCAUCGUCAACUUGUCAAGUUCCCCCGUGAUAUGCUCGGUUGCGCCGGAAUCGGCGUACCAAUUUGUGUCAAUACUGUAGGAGUUGGUGAUGAGGUUGACCUUCUUCUUUUCUUCAUGGUCCUCAUCAUAGCGGUGCCAGCAGGCCCUUGCACCUCCAGCGUGAUAUUUGUAGCAAAUUUGGCACUUGGGAUAAUCACCUUCAUGUUGUUGUUGUUGCUGCUGUGGAGGUUAUCGCUACUGGCGUUGCUGAUAGCCGCAUCCACUACCACGAGAAGGAGAGGGAGAGGCACGAUCGCUGCUGCGGCCGUGCCCUUUGUUCCCUCGCUCGCGACCUCCUCUACCGUGGGCCUGGCCCAUGACAUGUAUACAUGGCAUUUGCAGAUGAUCGGAAGCCUGAUGGUCCAUCACCCAACAUCUCCAUCCUUUGAUCGAAAGCUGAAAUCUAUGAGAAAAGAUCAUCAACAGUGAUUUAGUUUUUGAUGGCACCGAUUGCUGCAACGAUGGGAUCGUAGUCCCGAUCAAGGCCGACUAGGAUGUGGAUGACCGGUAGCUGCAAGCUCAUCUCCGAGGCUCUUCAUCUUGGCAAUGAAGGAGUUGCUUGACAUGUUUCCCUUCUUGGUGUUGGAGAUGGAAAUUCUCAGAUUUGUUAUCCAAGAUUGGGACUACGCGGAAAAUAGUGUGGUAAGAGUUGUCCAUAGAUCAUGAGUACUUUCCUAACCAAUGAUCCGUGCCAAGAUUUCAGGGGUGAGCGAAUUCAACAGGUAGCUCAGAACCUAUUGAUCUUUCGCUAGCCACGGGCCAUAUAGAGGGUUUUGCCCGAUGGACGUGGUCUUGUCCGCCUUCGCGACCUCCACCGUUCUUGGCGGUGCGACAUCUGUGCCGUAGAGGAGGCCAGUUACUUGCGCACCUUGUAGCGCUGGCAUCACCUGCGCUUUCCAGAGAAGGUAAUUCCCUCUUGCGAGCUUUGCUGUAGGAGGAACUCUAAGGUUGAGGGCGACGACGCUAGAAAUAGCCAUGGCGAUAGGGUUUGGGUUUCUGGCGUUGAUAGGGUUUGGGUUUCUGUUUGCUGGAUGAUGGGAUCGCUAGAUGAUGGGAAGAGGUUAGGCUCUAAAUACCAUGUUAGAAUUGAUGUAAGCAUUCCUACUCUCCUCGAGGGUGAGCCGCAUAUGUUUAUUUAUUGAGGCAGAACCUUGCCAUGAAGUACAAGAGAUGGAUUAGGAAUCCAGCUAUUACAAGGAGAUAGAAGUAGAUACGUGAUAGAAGAGAUUGAGAUAGUUAACAUUACAUGGAGAAUAUUUCUUAAACUCUAACAGGCCGCCCACUUGGCGUCCGUACUCUUUUUGAUUUGGGUCGGCAGUGCGCCUCACGCGCUGACCUAUUUGCUGGCGUGGCCGACUGGCCGCUCCUUUUCAACAAAUAUGCACACAUUUUGCAUUAUUUCACAAGCAAACAUAUAAAAAAUAGCAUAGUUUCACAAACCAAAUAAAGCACAGUUUCAAAACCAAAUAAAUUAAGCAUAUUUUUACAAGCCGAAUAAAAAUUAAAUUGUCUCAAAUACAUGUGAAAAGAAGAUACAUCUAUUGGUUACCAACAUGAGCCCACAUAUGCUCAACCAAAUCAUUUUGCACCUGCAUGUGAGUUUCCCAGUCACGCAAUUCAUGAUAAAAUUGGGUGAACUGUUCAAAAGUUUGCGCUCCUCCAUGCUCAGGCACAACAUUCUCACCCUGAAACUGAAAACCUUGAUCUUAGAUACGUUCCGGGCGUUCAUCUUCUACAAUCAUAUUGUGCAUGAUCACACAAGCUGUCAUCACCUCCCACAGCUUCUUGGUGCUUCAAGUCCUAGCAGGAUACCGAAAAAUGCCCUGUCGAGAUUGCAAAACACCAAAGGCAUGCUCGACGUCCUUCCUAGCACUCUCUUGCUCUUGGGCAAGUCUUUUCCUCUUUUCUCCGACAAGGUGGGGGAUUGUCUUCAUAAUAGUGGUCCACUGAGGAUAGAUACCUUCAACUAGGUAGUAUCCUUUUCGAAGUUGUGGCCGUUGAUGGUAACAUUCACCGGCGGGCUGUUGCCUUCGGCAAGUCUUGCAAACACCGGCGAGAGUUGAAGUACGCUGAUACCAUUGUGCGAUCCGAGCAUGCCGAAGGCAAAGUGCCAGAUCCAGAGGUCUUGUGAGUCCACGGCCUCAAGUAUGACAGUGCAAGCCCUGACAUGGCCCUUAUAUUGCCCUUGCCAAGAAGAAGGGUGGUUCUUCCACUCCCAGUGCAUGCAGUCUAUGCUGCCAAGGAUCCCCGGGAAGCCCUUGCCGGCAUUCAUCGCCAACAAGUGGGGUGUAUCUUGAGGAGUCGCUCUCUCAAGUACUCAGGGCCAAACACAGCAAUCACAGCCUUGCAGAACUUGUAAAUGGAGUCUAGGCAUGUAGACUCACUCAUACGGACGUACACAUCAAUGAGAUUAUUGGGCACUCCGUAUGACAGCAUCCAGAUGGCUGCAGUGCAUUUAUGAUAAGAUGAGAAGCCAAUCUUUCCAAGGGCAUCCUCUUUGCGCUCAAAAUAGUUAUCGUAUCCGACCACCCCCUCUCUAAUACGGUUGAAAAGAUGCCUACUCAUAUGGAGACGCAGCCGGAAUUUCUGAUGUUUGAACUAUUGGAAAUAUGCCCUAGAGGCAAUAAUAAAAUGGUUAUUAUUAUAUUUCCUUGUUCAUGAUAAUUGUCUAUUGUUCAUGCUAUAAUUGUGUUAUCCGGAAAUCGUAAUACAUGUGUGAACACAUAGACCAUAACAUGUCCCUAGUGAGCCUCUAGUUGACUAGCUCGUUGAUCAAUAGAUGGUUACAGUUUCCUGACCAUGGACAUUGGAUGUCAUUGAUAACAGGAUCACAUCAUUAGGAGAAUGAUGUGAUGGACAAGACCCAAUCCUAAGCAUAGCACAAGAUCGUGUAGUUCGUCUGCUAAAGCUUUUCUAAUGUCAAGUAUCCUUUCCUUAGACCAUGAGAUCGUGCAACUCCCGGAUACCGUAAGGGUACUUUGGGUGUGCCAAACGUCACAACAUAACUGGGUGGCUAUAAAGGUACACUACGGGUAUCCCCGAAAGUAUCUGUUGGGUUGGCACGAAUCGAGACUAGGAUUUGUCACUCCGUAUGACGGAGAGGUAUCUCUGGGCCCACUCGGUAGGACAUCAUCAUAAUGAGCUCAAUGUGAUCAAGGAGUUGUUCACAGGAUGAUGUGUUACGGGAACGAGUAAAGAGACUUGCCUUAACGAGAUUGAACAAGGUAUCGGUAUACCGACGAUCGAAUCUCGGGCAAGUAUCGCACCGAUAAACAAAGGGAAUUGUAUACGGGAUUGAUUGAAUCCUCGACAUCGUGGUUCAUCCGAUGAGAUUAUCGUGGAGCAUGUGGGAGCCAACAUGGGUAUCCAGAUCCCGCUGUUGGUUAUUGACUGGAGAGUUGUCUCGGUCAUGUCUACGUGUCUCCCGAACCCGUAGGGUCUACACACUUAAGGUUCGGUGACGCUAGAGUUGUAGAGAUAUUAUUAUGUAGUUAACCGAAAGUUGUUCGGAGUCCCGGAUGAGAUCCCGGACGUCAUGAGGAGUUCCGGAAUGGUCCGGAGGUAAAGAUUUAUAUAUAGGAAGUCCAGUUUCGGCCACCGGGAGAGUUUCGGGGGUCACCGGUAUUGUACCGGGACCACCGGAAGGGUCCCGGGGGUCCAUCGGGUGGGGCAACCUAUCCCGGAGGGCCCCAUGGGCUGAAGUGGCGUGGGAACCAGCCCCUAGUGGGCUGGUGCACCCCACCCAAGGGCCCAAGGCGCCUAGGGUUGGAAACCCUAGGGGGCAUGCGCCCCCUGGUUGGAAACCCUAAGGGGGCCGUUGCCCCCCGAGGGGCCGCCGCGCCCCCCUCUAGAUGGGAUCUCCAAGGUGGGCAUGUGCCCCCCUAGCCCCUAUAUAUAGUGGAGGGGAGGGAGGGCAGCCACACCCUAAGCCCUGGCGCCUCCCUCUCCCUCCCGUGACACCUCUUCCUCCUCCAGUAGUGCUUGGCGAAGCCCUGCUGGAAUCCCGCUGCUUCCACCACCACGCCGUCGUGCUGCUGGAUCUCCAUCAACUUCUCCUUCCCCGUUGCUGGAUCAAGAAGGAGGAGACGUCUCCGCUCUGUACGUGUGUUGAACGCGGAGGUGCCGUCCCUUCGGCACUAGGAUCAUCGGUGAUUUGGAUCACGACGAGUACGAGUCCAUCAACCCCGUUCUCUUGAACGCUUCCGCUCGCGAUCUACAAGGGUAUGUAGAUGCAUGCCUCUCUCUCUCUCUCGUUGCUAGAUGACUCCAUAGAUUGAUCUUGGUGAUGCGUAGAAAAUUUUAUAUUUCUGUUAUGAUCCCCAACAUGAACAACGGGUUGGUUGUGUCAAAGCAGUCCAUCCAAAGAAGGAAAUGUCCGCUAUCUCAAUUGCAUUUCAACGUUGGAAGGUGUCCCGGGAUCGAGCCACAGAACAACGGCCGCUAGCUAUUAAGGUGGUGAUGGACCAACACGGCAACCAAGAUCUCCUGCUCAUCAUUGGACGAGGAAUUAUUGGAGUCGCAAAGGAAACUGUGGAAAAAGAACUCGUCGGUAGAGUCCAUUUUGUACCUUGGCAAACUGUGGAACAACUUGCGGGAGUCGACGAUGGAACUGGCCGGCGAAGAGACGCGCGCCUCCCUUGGACGCGUUCGAUGAGCGUGCCGGCAUCAGAACAAAGGAGCUGGCCGGGGCGGCGACGUGGCUUCCUGCUCGCGGCAGCGUCGGGAGGUGGGGUGGGAAGCUUCGGUGCCGUGCCGGCAAGAUGGUGGUGGCGGUGACCUGGGAGGUGGAGGCAUUGGGGGAGGUGUGUCGGCACCGGCUGCUGGCAACGGCAUCGGAAAUGGGUGGCAGCGGCGAUGCGACGGGGAUGGGCGAGGGUUUGCUGUCGAUAUGGGGUGGGAGAGGAUGGUCAAUAUGUCACCGACUAGCGGACCAGGGGAAGUAGUUGGCACGCGGCGCACGUCCGUCUGAUGUCUGCCCCGACGCAAAUCAGGCUCAAAAUUGGGCGAGGAAUGGGUCGGUAGGCGGACGAAAAGCGGACGCGCGUCCGUUUGUGUCAGCGCGUUGGGCCGACUUUUCUGCCCGCUGUGAUCCAAACAGACGCGCGCGGAUGAAAUGGGUCGCCGCUUUGGAGUUGCUCUUAGAGAGUCUUUUUUUCCAAGCCCUUGCUCCAGGUUUUCCCUCUUUUGUCGGUCAUUUUAAUGGGCGUUUACUUUUUGGUUUUCUGAUAUAAGCUCGGUUUGCAUCGCCUGCUGCCGCCGUCGACUCCCGUGUGCCUCUACUCCAACACCGGCGAGACCGGCUGGGUCAUUCACCGACCCAAUGGCCUCACACAAUAGGCGGCCCUAACGGCCGUCGGCCAUCCGCCCAUUCUACUUGCCCGUCGCACUGCAUCGUCCGUCGCUGCCCUGCUCCGACCAGGACCUCUCCAUCACCACCCGCUCCGCCGUGUCUGCACGGCCGCCCUACGGUCUGCCUCGCUGGACAUGUCUCCUACUACAUCGGGCCGGUUGAGUUAGGUUUGUCAGCUGCCUCGAGCUCGGGCACCACUACUACACAUUGGUCGCUCGGGCCUCGCUGCCCGGGUGCUGGUCCUGACGCGCUCGUCCGCACGUCGUCCCAUGCCAUCCCUCAUUGCCGGCUUGAUCUCGGACUCUGCCGCCACCCUGCCUCCACCAAACGCCGUCCCCCACCUCGCGCGCUAUCGCCUUGAUCACCCGCUCGGUGCCACAAUCCGCGUCAUCUACGCCGUGCGACCGACCCUGGCACGGCAACGGGCUGCCGCUACGUUGCUUCACCGUGCCGCCAAUGGGUGGUUCUCCUCGCGGCUGCAUCGACUCACGCGCCGCCGCUACGUCACCCCUUCACGCCAUAGUGCCACGAUACGCGGUCCCCGAUGCCUCCCGAAGGUCAUCCUUGUGGUUGCAUUGACCCGGGUUCCGCCGCCGCGUCGCCCCUUCGGGCCGUAGCGCCGCGACCCGUGGUCCUCACCGCCGCCCAGAGGUCUUCCCCCUGUCGCCCCGACCCGUCUGCUGCCAUCGCAUCGCCCUUCAGGCCGUGGCGCCGCAGCCCGCGGUCCAGCACCGUCCAUGCGCGUCGACUUCCCGUGUAUGCACCACAGCGCAUCCAUUGGCGCAGGACCGCCACCGUCCGCACUGGUCUUCAUCACGUUGCAGGUUUCCUCGCCUACUUUGAGCAUCGCCACCGCACUCCUAACCUAGCCGCCGCCGCCGCUCUUCUUCGGUCGCCACCGCCGCCACCCCCGUGGCCGCUCCUCCGCCCGUCCACCUCCUUCAUCUUCCUCCAACACCAGCUAAUCGCUAGCAUCGCUGUCAUCUUCUCCGACCACUUGGUCUACUCCGACCACUUCGUGUACUCCGACCAUCAUUUGUGACAUCUAAAAGCACAAGUGCUCCCUGGGUGAUUUUGGUAAUUAAUGUCAACAUAUCUCUUGUUGGACUAAUACCUUUACCUGGUGUAUUUCAGAUCAGUUCAACAAUGGCGUGGCAUGGACAAGAGGAUGUGGCUCCUUCAAAAUGCUAAGGACAAAGAUUGGCAAAGGCUCAAGACUCUUCAUUUACAUUUUAGUGACCCAAGAUCACAUUGAGUCCAUAGGAAAGCCAAUACUAUUAAAAGGGGAUGAGGUGUUGCUUAAUGGUCUACUUGCUCAAUGUGCUUAGUGGUAUUGCUCCAAAACCCUCAGCCACUUUCUCAUUUCCAUAGAUGUCCAAAACCUAAAGUCAAACUCGGCCUCACCGAUUUGAUCUAUCCGGCGCCACCGAGUUCAUUUGACCUAGCCACUGCCAAAAACCCUAGACAGUUUGGUCGCAUCGAUAUGGAUCUCGGUCUCACCGAGAUGGCCUUGCAUUUUCACUGUGACAUGUUUCACUCUUUAGGUCUCACCGAGUCAGUGAAAUCGGUCACACCGAGUCUGCUUGUUAUUCACUCUGUUGCUUAUUACUUCACUUCGGUCCCGCCGAGUUGAGGUAAUUGGUCACAUCGAGUUGCUGUUUUCCCUAGCCCUUGCACAUCAGUCACACCGAGUUGUUCCCGUCGAUCCCACCGAAACUCCUAACGUUCACAUUUUGAACUAAAUCGGUCUCACCGAGUUGGGUCAAAUGCGUGUAACGGUUUGAUUUUGUGUGGAGGCUAUAUAUACCCCACCACCCCUUCUCCAUUCAAGAGAGAGCCAUCAGAAUGUGCCUACACUUCCACUACUCAUUUUCUGGGAGAGAACCACCUACUCAUGUGUUAAGACCAAGAUAUUCCAAUCCUACCACAAGAAUAUUGAUCUCUAGCCUUCCCCAAGUGGCUUUCCACUCAAAUCAUCUUUCCACCAUAGCCAAAUCUGUGUGAGAGAGUUGAGUGUUGGGGAGACUAUCAUUUGAAGCACAAGAGCAAGGAGUUCGUCAUCAACACACUAUCUAUUACCUUUUGGAGAGUGGUGUCUCCUAGAUUGGUUAGGUGUCACUUGGGAGCCUCCGACAAGAUUGUGGAGUUGAACCAAGGAGUUUGUAAGGGCAAAGAGAUCGCCUACUUUAUCAAGAUCUACCCGAGUGAGGCAAGUCCUUCGUGGGCGAUGGCCAUGGUGGGAUAGACAAGGUUGCUUCUUUACGGACCCUUCGUGGGUGGAGCCCUCCAUGGACUCGCGCAACCGUUACCCUUCGUGUGGGUGGAAGUCUCCAUCAACGUGGUCGUAUGAUAGCACCACCUAUCGGAACCACGCCAAAAAUCUCCGUGUCUACAUUGCGUUUGCACACUCCUAUCCCAUCCCUUUACUUUCGUGCUACUAGCAUGCUUUACUCUUUCCGCUGCUUAUACUCUUGCCAUGCUUGCUUGAAAUGUAUUGUGAAUGCUUAAACAUGUGCUAAAAUUUCACCUCAACUUGAGGAACUUAAAAACUGCUACUUUUUGUUGUUGAGGGUCUAUCUAGACACCUCUUCUCGGUCCUUUCAAUUGGUAUCAGAGCAUUGGUCUCCAUUGCUUUGGUUUAAUCACCAUUGGAGGAAGAUGGAUGAGUUUAUGAUUGGGAGUAUUAGACAUAGAGUGCCUAUGCUUGAUGGAGAGUUCUAUAGUGCUUGAGAUGCUUGAGAGUUUCAAUGAAUAUCAUUUAAACAAUUAUAUUACUAGCCGUUGUGUGACUCCUAUUGAUCCCUUGCAUCCUACCCCCAAUGAGUAUCUUGACAUGACCCACAAUCUUAGAGCCAUUGAUCUUAUCAUAAGAGGAUUGCCUAGAAAUUUGCUUGUGUGCUUGCCUACAUUUGAAUGUGCCUAUACCAUAUGGAGAUACCUUGAGGAGCACUUUACAAACUAUUCCUUGAAAAAUCUAGAUGAGAUUCUUCAAAAGCCCAUUGGCGUUUCAUAAAAUGAAUCCUAGUGAUCCUAAAUUUGGUGAUUGUCUAUUUUAGCUUCGUGACCUCAUGCGUGCCAACGAAGACAUUGGAGUCAUUAGUAGCAUCAUUUCUCAAGUCAUUAGAAUUCAUAGAGAUGCACAUUGUCAUGGUCAUAAAUCUAAUGAAUUACUCUCUCUAGGUGAUGAUCAAUCACAAGACAAUGUUGAACAUGGGUAUUAUGCAUGAUGAGGAUGAUGAUAGUAACUUUGAUCUUCAUGAGUCAAUGAGACAUUUUGGUCUUAUGGCUAACCUUCGUGGUUACAUGGCCGGAGGAAAGGAAUGGGUUCUUGAUAGUGGAUGUACCGAUCACAUGACCGGAGACAAGGAUAUGUUUCGAGAGCUUGCUGAAAAUGAUUGUCCCCGAAAGUAUGUCACCUUUGGUGAUAACUCAAAGGGUAAGGUGGUUGACCUUGAUAAGGUGGCCAUCUCACAUGACAGUUCUAUCCAAAAUAUUAUUCUUUUGAAUCUCUUGGAUACAAUUUACUUUCCGUGUCUAGACAUUGUUGAUUUCACUAAAAGAGAUCAACCUAGAACUUGCUUAAUUGCUAAAUCUUCUAAAGGUUGGUUGUGGCAUAGAAGGUUAGGUCACGUGGGCAUGCGAAAUCUUGAUAAGAUUAUUAAAGGUGAUCAUAUCCUUGGUGUUAAAGAUGUUAUAUUUGACAAGGAUAGACUUUGCAGUGCUUGUCAAGCAGGAAAACAAGUUGGAGGAAGUCAUCCCGUGAAGAACAUCAUGACCACGAGAAGACCACUUGAGCUACUUCAUAUGGAUCUUUUCAGUCCCAACGCUUACAAGAGUCUCGAUGGUAACUUAUUCAGAUUGGUCAUUGUUGAUGAUUUUUCAAGAUUUACGUGGGUGUUCUUUCUUGAUGAUAAAUUGCAGGUCCAGAAGAUCUUCUAGAACUUUGCUAGGAAGGCCCAAAAUCAAUUUGAAGUUAAGAUCAAGAAAGUUCGGAGAGACAACGGAACGGAGUUCAAGAAUGCCAAUGUGGAUACCUUUCUUGAUGAAGAAGGGAUUUCACAUGAGUUCUCGGCUACAUACACACACACCUCAACAAAAUGGAGUUGUUGAGAGGAAGAACCAGACACUUAUUGAGAUGGCAAGAACGAUGCUCGAUGAAUACAAGACGCCAAAACACUUUUGGCAGAAGUGGUUGAGAUAGCUUGUCAUGCAACAAAUCAAGUAUAUCUUCACAAGCUUCUCUGCAAGACGGCAUACGAGCUUCUCACUGGCAACAAACCCCAAGUUGGAUACUUUUGAGUAUUUGGCUCAAAGUGUUACAUUCUUGAUAAGCAUCAUCAUUCGAAGUUGGCCCCUAAAUCUCAUGAAGGUUUCCUACUCGGUUAUGGCUCGAACUCUCACACUUACCGUGUCUACAACAAUUUCACCCGAAAGGUUGAAGAGAUGGUAGAUGUGAAGUUUGAUGAAUCUAACGGCUCUCAAGUAGAGCAACUACCAAUUGAUGUAGGGGAUAAAGAUCCCUUGGAAGCAAUUCAAGACUUGUCUAUUGGCAAGAUUCGCCCAACGGAGGUGAAGAAGAGUACCUCAUCCGUUCAAGUGGAAGCCUCAACUUCACGACAAGGUGAACCACAAGUUGACUUGGAGGCAUCCACAAGUGGAACACGUCAAGAUGAAGGAAACGAGGAAGUACAACAAGAUGAACCUCAUCAACCUCCCUCUCCACCCCCACAAUAGAACAACAAUGCCAACAACAAUGAAGAAGGACAAGAAGAAGAAGAAGAGGAUGUUCCACCCCGACCCAAACAAAAUCUCUCACGAGUUAGAACAAGAGUCUGAAGAGACCAUCCCGUCGAACAAAUCUUUGAUGAUAUUCAAACCAGGAGAAUUAAUCGCUCUAAAACUCGUUUGGCUAACUUUUGUGAACAUUACUCAUUCAUUUCUAGUAUUGUACCUAUGAAGGUAGAAUAAGCUCUUGAUGAUACGGAUUGGGUGAAUGCCAUGCAUGAAGAGCUACACAAUUUCGAGAGGAAUGAAGUGUGGACAUUGGUUGAAAAGCCGGACGACAACCAAAAUGUCAUUGGAACCAAGUGGGUGUUUCGGAAUAAGCAAGAUGAGGAUACACAAGUUGUACGCAACAAGGCCUGUCUCGUCGCCCAAGGCUACACUCAAGUCGAAGGUAUGGACUAUGGUGAGACAUAUGCCCCCGUUGCUAGACUUGAGUCCAUACGCAUCUUACUUGCUUAUGCCAAUCAUCAUGAUAUCACUUUAUACCAAAUGGACAUUAAAAGUGCUUUUCUAAACGAUGAAAUUGAGGAGGAAGUCUAUGUUAAACAACCUCCCGGCUUUGUUAAUCCUAAGAAACCUAAUCUUGUUUACAAAAUUCACAAAGCUCUUUAUGGUCUUAAACAAGCUCCUAGAGCAUGGUAUAAAUGCUUGGCCAAGUUCCUUAUUGAAAAAUGGUCUGAAAUUGGAAAAAUUGAUUCUACACUUUUUACUAAAAGGGUUAAUGGUGAAUUAUUUGUGUGCCAAAUUUAUGUGGAUGAUAACAUAUUUGGUACGACUAACCCUCAUUUUAGUGAAAAGUUUGGAAGGCUAAUGUCGGAGAAGUUUGAGAUGUCUAUGAUGAGUGAACUCAAAUUCUUUCUUGGGUUGCAAAUCAAGCAAACUAAGGAAGGUACCUUUGUUUCUAAAAAAAGUAUACCAAGGACUUAUUCUAGAAGUUCAACAUGCAAGAAAGCAAAGGUGUGAAAACACCCAUGCCUACUAGUGGACAUCUUGACUUGACUAAGGCUGGCAAACCAGUUGACCAAAAGGUUUACCGCUCUAUGAUUGGUUCAUUGUUAUAUCUAUCUGCCUCCCGUCCCGAUAUUAUGCUAAAUGUGUGCAUGUGUGCACGAUAUCAAGCGGCCGCUAAAGAAUGCCAUCUUAAGGCUGUGAAAAGGAUAGUGAGAUAUUUAAUUCAUACACCAAACUUUGGCAUUUGGUAUCCUAAGAGGCCUUCUUUUGAUCUUGUUGGCUACUCUAAUUCGGACUAUGCCGAUGACAAGGUUCAUAGAAUGUCCACUUCGGGUACUUGUCAAUUUCUUGGUUGUCGGGGGUGUCGUGCGACAUAUGCCAAAGGAUGGCUUAUCAUGGAGGGGGCUAAUAAGACGUCGCCGGUGCCAGGAAGCGGGAUGAGGCAUAGACAUGUACACCGACGAACUUUACCCAGGUUCGGGGCUCUCCUAGGAGAUAACACCCCUAGUCCUACUCUGCGGGCUCUCCGCAUGCUCACUAUGUCAACAAGUGGCUACAAGUUGCUCCAUGAGCUGUUUUUCUAGAGGAGGAAGAAGGGCAGGGCUAGCUCUCUCCUCUCUCUAUAUGUGUGUGUGUUAUCUAAAAGUCUGAACCCUUUGCAUGGGUGCCCUAGGGGUUUUAUAUAGGCCUACCCCCAGGGGUACAAAGGUAAUCUGGCCGGGUGUAGGACCCGGUUGUCAGUGUCUCUCGUCGCCGGCUUCUCUGCUGGCUGGUGGGCCCGCCGCCUGGUGGGCCCCGUCGACUGUCUCGUACUUGGCCGACACGCCGCGCCCGCCGCUUGCGGGUUUGGCCGGCUGCUCAACACUGUAGCGAUGCUGGUAAUGAUGCGUUCUUUGUCGGGGUGACGCAUGGCUACAGUACCGCCGCCUGGCGGGCGAUCACUGUAGCCAUCCUCCAUCUCUUCUGAUUAAUGGUGCACGGACUUUGAGGGAGAGGGAGGGCCGCCUGGUGGCGGUCGGCCUCCCCUCAUGCCGACUGGUCCAGGCUCGCCGCCUUCUGGCUUCUCACUGACAAGUAAGGCCCACAGCCUGUGGGCCAUACCGACAGCCCGUAGUGGAGGCAUGGCCUUCUCUACCAUGGGUGAUGUCAUGGGCAGAGAGGCAACAGUGUUGCGCCGGACGGGAGAUCCUCGUCUGGUACGGUGCAUUGUGGCCACUCUUGGCCCUGGAUUUGGGGGUGGUAGGGCGCGCUGUAGCCACACCCCGUCUCAUCGUAUUUACGUGGUUGCAGACUCUGAGGACGCCUAGGGCCGACUGCUAGGAGCCGGCCUCUCUGGAGGCCGCCUGCUAGGAGCCGACCCACCUCGUGGCCGCCUGAUGGGCCUUGCCGUAUCCUGGCAGCCGGCCGCUUGGACCAGCCGGCCGCGAGCAGGCGGCGCUUGUCUCUUUGAAUCUUGAGGGGGCAGCCGGCCCCGAUGUCUUGAAGCGCCAUGGGGGUUCGAUGAGGCUACCCAUGGCCAAUUACUCCCACAGUAGUCCCCGAAGCUGGUGAGGCUCCGUUGCUGAAGAAAGGAAGGAGUCUCGGCAGCUUCCUACUCUGAGUACCCCAUUGGAUCUUGCUCCGUCCGUCUUCUGGAGCACCGACUCCCAGGAGCCGGCCACGGCCUGUCAAGCCGUCUGGUGAAUUUGAAACAUCAUGGCGGGAGCCAGGUGGAGUGCUAGCAAAGCAUCUAGGCUGGCCGCCCGCCGCUCACACGCCAUGCGACGCUUACCAGACGGGCCGGCCUAUCAACCCACGCGCGCGACGGGACGUUGCUGCAGGCGGGAUGCGCGCGGAUCUGCUGCGGCCGAGGUGGGCGUUUGGGAUCCUGCGCGCCAUUACCAAGCGCCGUUAUUAUGCGGUAAACGCGGGGUCGUGGGUUCGUAGGUGCAGUUAAUCCCACGAUCCCAUGCCCCGCCCCCUCGGCUUCGCAGCCAGGGGCUAUAAGCAGGGGGAGGAGGUGAGCGACAGACGCACGCGCGCCCUCGUCUCCUUCGCCAUUUCUUGCCUCUUCUUCUUCUUCGCCGCCGCCGCACUCUGCGCUCCAACGAAGUGCUGCCGCGGCUCACCGUCAUCGUCAAGCUUUUCCUUCCCGAGCCUUCUCCGCUCCGCUGCGGGCUCGCGCCUUUGCCGCCGCACCUCGCCGUCGUCGAGCUUGAGCUCUUAUGGCAUGCUCCGGCGACUGGGACGGCUCCAACGUCCAUGAGGACCACCUCACCUUCCUUCGCGACACGCGGCGGCUGCCCGGCAUGGGCUACGUCGAGGUACGCGUGCCGCCUGCGAACGAGAUCUCCCCGGCGCCGGAGGAGGGCGAGCGCGUCACCUUCCGCCCGCACUUCCUCCGCGGAUUUGGCCUGCCAGCGAGCGGCUUUCUCCGCUCCUUCUUGAACUUCUACCGACUCCAGCCGAACCACCUCACACCUAACAUGGUGGUGCUGCUGUCGGCCUUCGUCACUCUUUGCGAUGGUUAUCUUGGCAUCCUCCCCACCAUUGAGCUCUGGGGGGCCUUCUUCUACACCAAGCUCGGCACCGCCGUCAAGGACGUGGCGGCCCAGUGCGGAGCUUUCGUCGCGGUGCGGCGUCCGGGUGCCAAGAACGCCUUCCCAGCCAUCAGCUUGAUACAGUCGGUCAAGCUAUGGCAAAUGUCGUACUUUUAUGCCAAGAACGUCAACCCGGCGCUUGACUUUGUCAACCUGCCGCCUUAUGUGGCCGGUCCGCCUGCCGAGCCCCGCGUCAAUUGGAACUACAAGCCAAAGCCGCUGGCGGCCGCCGCCUCCGCCGCCAUCGCCCGCGUCAAGGUGAUGACGGAGUCGGAAGGCCUCAAAGCGUCCGACUUGCUGGUCACCUUCGUGGUGCGCCAGGUUCUUCCGCUUCAAGGCCGGCCUCACAUGAUGAGCCAGAUGAGCGGGCAUCGCAACCCAUGCCGGAUGUGCACCAAGGAGAUGCCGACUGCGGAGGUGGCUCUCCUGGUGAACGAGAUCACGGACUGCAAACUCGCAGAGAAGGAGUGGCGGUUCGGCAAGCGGCCGUAUUCCCGCGCAGAUCCGCCACCUGUGGCGAGCUCUUGAUUCUUUUCUUUCCCUCUUGCCGGGCUCUGUCUUGCCGGGUUCUGUCUUGCCGCCUGACCAGUUCGACCAUGAUGCAGAUCCUCUUCUCCCAGCCGACGGCCGACGUCGACUACAUGCCGGACUGGGCCGUGAGCAACGUGGAGGACCCCGACUUGGGGGAAGCCGCCCUGGAGGACGACGCCACAGGCGGUAGUGGCGCGGCAGGCGGCUCCGAAGGACGAGGCGGGGUAGAAGACUGGCCGGAUGAUGAUGAUGAUGAGGAGGAGGUGCCGCGCCGCCCGUCGACUACCGACAGGUGGGUCCGACCUCCUCAGCCGUACCAAUCGCUCCAGGUGGUGGGUCGAAGCGCCGAGGCGAGCUGCUAUUCGGUAGCCACCCCAAGAAGCCCAAGCACACGUCCGUUGCGACCAAGUUCCAGAAGGCCCCCAAGCAGCCUCCGGUGGUGUCGGCGUAAGUGGUUGCCUUUUUACUCUUUUUUCCGGUCGACUCCUUCUGAAUCUCUUUUUAUCUCUCUUGAAUAGGGCUCCGCUCUCUCUUGAGCGGUCGGCCUCAGCUUCCGUGAUCGGGACGGCGGAAGGUUCCGCCAACACCCGUCGUAUAGACCCGGCCGCCGAUCUCCAGGAGGCGCAGGAGAGGAACGCACGGGAAGUGUGGGAAGAGCUAGAAGCCGCCGCCAAGAAGGCGGAGGUAGACAAGGCAGCCGCAGCCAAGGCGGCGCAAGAGGACGCGAACGCCGUGACCAAGGCCCAAGCCGAUGCCGUGGCAAAGAAACGAGCAGAGGAUGCCGCGCGCCACCAGACCCCGCAGCUCGUCAUCCGCUUGUGCUCUACGCCACCAGCACCAGAGAUCCCGGCGCUAGCUGGAGGAGCCGGCGAUGAGCGGCCGGUCAUGGAGAAGGAAGGCGGAGAUGCCGUCUUGCCCGAGAUGGGGGUGCCUCCGCAACCACCGACUGCAGACGCGCAGAGCAGCCGGCCGGCUGCCCCAUUGGUGUCACUAGUUGGAGGCGAGCUGGGGAUGGGCUCGGCUCCCACGGCCCGCACUCCAGUGCGUCGCCGUGUGGAGAAGGCGGCAUUGGCACCGAGGUCGAUGGAGGUCAGGAGUGCCAGUUCGUCGAUCCCUGAUGCCGAAGCCACCUGUCGGGUGGUUGGUGCGACAUAUGCCAAGGGAUGGCUUAUCAUUGUGGGAGCCAAUAAGACGUCGCCGGUGCCUGGAAACGGGAUGAGGUGAAGACAUGCACGCCGGCGGAUCUUACCCAGGUUCGGGGCUCUCCGAGGAGAUAACACCCCUAGUCCUGCUCUGCGGGGUCUCCGCAUGAUCACUAGACCGAUGAAAGGUAGCUACAAUCGCUCCUAGAGCUGUUGAGUUCAAGGGAGAAGAAGAACAAGGCUAGCUCUUGCUUCUCUCUAUCUAUGGUGUGUGUUCUAUGCUAAGAAGGCAACUCUAUGCUCAGAGGCCAACUAUGCUUGGGAGCGAACCCUUUGCAUGGGUGCUCCGGGGGGUUUAUAUAGGCCUACCCCCGGGGGUACAAUGGUAAUCCGACUGGGCUCUGGUCCCUGCCGUCAGUGCCUACGCUCGCCGGCUUCUCCGCCGGCUGUUGGGUCCCGCCGGCUGGUGGGUCCCGCCGGCUGCCGGCUACUUGGUCGACAGGCCGGCCCCACCGCCUAGGGUCUUGUCGGCGGCUGCUUACUAUAGCCGCGCCUCUGAUGACGAGGGCUUUGUCGAGGUAAGCGUGGCUACAGUGGGCCGCCUCGGGGGCUCUCACUGUAGCCUUACCUCGUCUUGUCUCCUUAAUGGGGCUCCUGCUUCGAGGAAGGGAGUAGCCGGCUUCUGGAGGCCGGCUGCGCUCUUGGCCAACUAGGAAAGGCCAGGCCGCCUUCACGCCUCUCUCUGGCUGAAGGGGCCCGCCGCCCGCGGGCCGUACGGGAGUCGGUCGUGGGUGACGUCGAGCCUAGCAUGGCUACAGUGCCGAGCCGCACGGGAGACGGCCGUCCCGUACGGCCUCCUGUAGCCAUGCCCGCCUCGGGCUUCGGGGGUAGUGGGCCGCACUGUGGCCACACCCCGUCAUAUCGCCGUUAUGUGGGAACAGCUUUGGCGGUAGUGAUCUUGGCCGGCUCCUAGGAGUCGGCGUCCUUCUCGGCCGGCUUCUUGGACUCGGCCACCCCGUAGUCAUCCCGGGGAGGGGUCGUUUGAGGCUGGGUCGCCUUCCGGGAGUUGGCUUCAGAAGUAGCCGGCCAGGGAAGGCGGCCCAAAUGCUUGGAGUGCUUGAAGGCCCAAAGGCCUGAUAUUUUUUCUGAAGAACCAGGGCUAGUCGGUUUGGCUACCCGUGGCCAUUUCCUCCGACAGUAGUCCCCGAAGCUGAUUGGGCUUCGAGGUGGAGUAGGGGUUGAGAAGCUCGAUCAGCUUCCUAUCGUGACAAGCCGGCAGCUGGGAGCCGGCCUUGAUCAGGUGCGCCGCCUGAGUCGAAAUCUUCUGGAGUCGGAGGGCGGGAGCCCGCUGGCACGUGCACCGGGCCGCGGUCCGGCCACGGGCCGUCGGCGAACCACGUGGCCGGAAAGCCUGCCAGCCCACGCGCGUGACGGGACGUCGCCGCAGGGAGGGGGCCCGCCACGUCCGCGCCCCGGCCCAGGCGCGGAUCCUUUGUAUCCCGAAACCGCCCGCACGUUUCGUGCGGCAGUUUCGGCUCGCAUUUAUGCGCAAUAAUCGCGAGACGUGGGGGGAGUGGGCAUAGUUAAUCCCACGUCCCCCCCCCACGUCCGGCCUCUUCGGCCUCGUGAGGCUAUAAGUAGGGGGAGGUGGAGGGCGGCAGGCCCUCGCACGCUCCUCCUACUUCCAUCGUCUUCUUCCUCUCGCCAGUUCUUGAGACAGCGCCUCGCCGCCGCUCCCUUCCACCGCACGCUCCUCCGCCGCCGUGCUAGCUUUCGCCAUGCCUCCCACCGUAGAGCAGCUUGGCGGGGAUUGCGACAGCUCCAACGUCCAUGAGGACCACGUCGACUUCCUCCGCGACACGCGGCGGCUGCCCAGCGCGGACAAAGUGGAGGUCCGCCUCGCGCCGGCGAAGGAAAUCAGGCCGGAGCUGCAGGAGGGCGAGCGGGUGGUCUUCCGCUCGCACUUCUUGCGCGGCUUCGGCCUGCCAGUGAGCGCCUUCUUCCGCUCCUGGCUCGAAUUCUAUCAGCUCCAGCUGCACCAUCUCACCCCCAAUGCGGUGGUGCUGCUGUCCGCCUUCGUCACCCUGUGCGAGGGCUAUCUCGGUGUCCUCCCCACCCUUGAGCUCUGGGGGGAGUUCUUCCAGUCGAUGCUGGGCACGUGUAGUAAGGGCGUGCCGGCUCAUACUGGCGCCUUCAUCGCGUCGCGGAGAUCGGGCGCCGACAACCCCUUCCCCGUCAUCACGCUGAUCCAAUUGGUGAAGAAGUGGCAGAAGUCCUACUUCUACGUGCGGAACAUCGCUACACGGGGCGACUACAUCAACCUGCCGGCUUACGUAGCCGGUCCACCGGCGGGCAGGCUGCCACAGUGGUCCUUCCGGGCGGUGACGCUGUCGCCGGCUGGAAACGCCGCCAUCGCCCGACUGCGGGUGAUGGUCCAGUCGGAGGGCCUAACAGGGCCCGAUCUUCUGGCCGCGUUCGUCACGCGCCGGGUUCUUCCGCUCCAGAGCCGGCCGCAUCUGAUCUGUCAGAUGAGCGGCCAGCUCGAUCCGAGCCGAAUGUGCACCAAGGAGAUGCCGCGCGCGGAGGUCGCCUACAUGGGGAACUACCUCGCCAACUGCAAACUCACCGAAGAGUGGCAGUUCGGCAAGGAGCCCUAUAGCCGAGCCAAUCCUCCGCCUACCGUAUGCUCCCCUUGUCUCUUUUUCUAUCUCUUUGAUUUGUUGCCGAGUAUCUCUUGGCCGACUCUGAUUUAGUCGGCUUGUUCUUCGACAGAGCCCUCUGCUGCGGCCGGCCGGCGGGUCAGACGCGGAGCGCCGCUUCGUCCCCGACCGGACCGAACACGACCUGGAGGACCCCGACUUGGGGGCGGUCCAUAUGGACGACGACGUCGAGCCAGGCGGUGGCCAAGCCGGCGGCGAAGCAGGCGGCUCCGGGUUCACUGCUACCUUUGACUACUGGCCGGACGAGGAUGAAGCCGAAGCCGUCCCGCGCCGCCAGCCGGCAUCUGGACGGGCUCCUCCGCCGCGCAGCCUGCUCGGGGCGGAGGGCAGAAGCGUCGCGCCGCCCAGGGUCUAUUCGGCAGCCGAACGAAGAAGCCCAGGGGCGGAGCGGCAGCCACCAGGCGGGAAGAGGCGGCCGCGAAGGCGGCUCGCUUCCGCAAGGUGGUGAAGCAACCGCAGACCAUGUCGGCGUAAGUCCGAAUCUUUCUUUGUGUAUUCUCUUUCUUUCUUUUCUUUCUUUGGUGGUUCUUGAACUCUCGUCUUUUUCUUCAACGAUCAGAGCUCUGUUGUCACUUGAGUGGGCGGCUGCCGGCUCCGUCGUCGAGUCGCCAAGGGGCUCUGGGAGCACCACCCGCCGCGUGGACCCCCGCGCCGACCUCCAGGAGGCGACGGAAAGGAACGCGCGGGAGGUGCGGGAGGAGCAGGAGGCACGGGAGGCGGAGGCACGGAAGGCAGCCGCCGCCCAGGCGGCUUAGGAGGAGGAGGCGGCGAAGGCACUCGCUGAGGCCGCAGCCAGGGCCCAGGCAGAGGCUGAGGCCGCGGCGGCGGCAGGGGAGGUUUUGAUGGUCACCCCCCUACGCGUCAUGGUGCCUGGGGAUGUGGAGCCCUCGCCAGGGGGAGCCAGCGGCUCCCAGCCGGGGCUGGGAGGAAGCGGCGACGACGUCAUCAUUUUGGAGAAGGGGCCGGAGCCGACCCCGCCAACUGGGGCGACCCAAGGCGGCCGGCCUGAUCCGCGGCCUACACAGUCGGUGGAGGGCGAGCCGGCCGCGAGGGCUGAGGUGGCGGUCCGGGUGCCGCCGAGCCGGCGCGCGGGGAAGGCCGCGUCGGAGCCGCAGAAGGCCGCGUCGGAGCCACAGCCAGCCGUGGGCUCUAGCUCGUCGGCCCGAGAUGCGGAGGCGGCCAGCGCUACCUCGGGGUGGACACCAGGCGGAGGGACGGCCGUGGUGAACGUGGCUGCGCAAGACGUCCGGACCCGGCUCCAAAGCCAAGCCGCGGCGCUGAGGCAGUUCACCGACGAGUUCCUCGCAACGCGGGCGGCCAUCCGGGUUAGUAUUUCCAUCUUGUUUCUUCUUGAACUUGAUUUCACCUCUUGAUCUUGAUUUCUUCCGUGGGGGCGCGUCAGCGCACCCACUGGGUGUAGUCCCCGAGUUCCGAGUCGGCUGCUGAGGAGGCGGCUUGGAACUUCUUGGAGGUUUUGUCUUUGCUUUUUUUGUUCUCACUUCGGUCUUCUGUCCAUCUUGCAGGACUACCACAACCUUCGAGCGGCCGCCUUCAACUCCCAGGCUCGGGAGCUGACUCAGAAGACCGCCGACCUUACUGAGAGCCGAGGUAAGUGACUUGAUCUUUAUCUCAUGUGGGGGCGCGUCAGCGCACCCACUGGGUGUAGUCCCCGAGAUUCGGGCCGACUGCUGAGCAGACGGGUCGGAUCUUCCUUGACGAUUUCUUACUGUUCUUCUUCUUAUUCCGACUUUGCAGCGGCCAACGCCAGUCUGAGGGCAUAGCUGGGGGAGUCCCAGACUACUCUUCGUGCCAAGGAUGCCGAGCUCGCCGCCUUGGUGCAGGAGCGCGACCGCCUGGUCAAGAAGCUGGCCGACCAGGAGGAAGGCCACAAGGCGGCGCUGAAGGCUGCGCAGGAUCGCGAAGCCACUCUCCAGGCCGAGUUCGAGACGGAGGCGGCUGGCUGGGCUGAGGCCAGGAAGACUCUGGUCUCUAUCUACGGCCAGAUCGAAGAUCUGGUUGACGGUAAGCCGCCUACCUCUCCGUCCUUUCUUGCCGUCUGCCACUUUGGCUUGCUUUCUGAUUUUGGUGUUCUUCUCUUCCUUUCUUCUUCGCGCAGAGUAUUUCCCUGGCUAUUCGACUGCCGCCAACCAGCCCAUCGAGGCCCGUCGCCAAGCGAAAAGGUAGGCUGGCUUCGAGAUCUCGCCAACUGCGGGCCGCUCGCUGGAGGAACAGCUCCUGGCGAUCCAGGCUCGCAUCCAGCCGGCUCACCGGCUGCUCCGCCGGCUUCAGCGUGCCGGGUCACAGGUCUUGGCCGCCCUCUGGCCCGGCCAAGUGGUCCCUCGCACCCCUAGUCGGACUGCCGACUGGCUGGAGGUGGCAGUCGGCCACUUCGAGGCUUGGAAGGCGUCGGCGGCUCGCUCCGGUGCCGGGCGGGAGCUGGAGUUUGUCAAGGCCUGGUAUCCCGGCCUGAGCCUGGACCAGCUGGCUACCUGGCGGCAGCAAGCCGACGCGAAGCUGGAGCCGGCGCGGCCGGCCAUCAUUCGGCGGGCUUCGGCGAUCGCCGACUACACCGACACCAGCGUCUUCGCCCCCGAGGUAGACGAUAAUGGAGUCGCCCAGCCGGAGGAGUGGUUCGGGCUGGACCCGGAGCAUGGCGAAGAGUCGGCGGAGGAGAUCGACUCCAGCGACGAGGGUGAAGAAGUGGAGGAGGAGGGUGAGGACGCCGAGCCGGCUGGUGGAGCAGCCGGCCAGCCUCAGCCUGACCGUACCUCCAGCACCACGUGACGCGCGAGUGCGUCGCCUGCCGUAGGUGGUGGUCAAGCCGAGACCCGCUAGGCGGCCACUCCUUCAGCCGGCGAGGCCGCCUUCACCGACCAGCUCGGCCUUCAUGUCGUGCCCCGUCUACCGCCUUUUGCUUUUCUGCUUUGUUACUCUUUAGAACAAUGUUUGGUUAAAUUCGCACAAUUCCACCCACUGGGUGUAUUCGAACUUAUGUCAGUUGCCGGCCUGUUGGCGGCUUUUAUGUAUAUAACUUGUUCAUUCGGCCUUUCCUUGUGCUUUGCUCUUUGUCCUUUUGCUUUUUCCUUUGACGCCCUCCCUUGGUUGCCGCCUCCCCGGUCAAACAGUUGCUCUGCAAUCUGUAGCCGGGGAGUGCCUGGCCGACUGGGGAGGGGAAAGUACUUUAGCUCUGCUGGACUAAAGCUAAGUUUUUUAGGAAGUCGGCCAGCCGGCUGCUUUGACAGCCGGCAGGCAUGUUUGGAGGCCGUCUCUUUGCUAUAUAGGUUAGUUGUUCCUUAGCCAUUUUUUGUGUGGGCAUCCUUUCUGUCUUCUCUCUUGCUAGUCGGACAGUUAGUUCUUUGAGCUGCGACUUUCAACAAGAGAGGACUCGGGAGCCGGCGCACUACUUUUCUGACUUUAGGAAAAACUUUCGAUAUAGCUCAAGGCGGCCAGUUCCCGGGCCGACUAGUCGAACCCGGUGCCGGACAAAAAUUCAAAAUGUAAUAAUACAUUCAUGGAUAUGACACUCGUCAUUCAUAGAUAAAUAAAGGGCAGUCCCCGAGUACUGUUCGGGGGGCCUGUUGGUUUGUACUUAAUACAAAAGGGGAGCGUGAUACAUACUGCUUUUCAGCUGUAAAAUCGUCUUAGGAGGUUUGCAUUCCAUGGUCGCUCCGACUCCUUGCCGGAGUCGUCUCUCUUGCGUGCUCUUGGUUUUUGCGCGUCGAUCAAGUAGUAGGAGUCGUUGCCGAGUGCCUUGCUGACGACGAAGGGGCCUUCCCAAGGGGCCGAGAGCUUGUGCUGGCCGGUUGUUCGCUGGAUCAGCCGGAGCACAAGGUCGCCCUCUUGGAAGGAUCUUGGCUUGACCUUGCAGUUGUAGUAGCGGCGCAGCCCUUGCUGGUAGAUGGCGGACCGGCUGAGUGCCAACAGCCGACCUUCUUCCAGUAGGUCCACGCCGUCUUCUCUUGCUUCUUUGGCCUCCUCCUCCGUGUACAUGGUGAUCCGAGGCGAGUCGAACUCGAUGUCUGUUGGGAUGACAGCCUCGGCACCGUACACGAGGAAGAAUGGAGUGAAGCCGGUUGACUAUUGGGUGUAGUGCGCAGACUCCAGAGGACAGCCGGCAGCUCUUCGAGCCAGCAGCCGGCCGAUCGCUCCAGUGGUACAACCAGUCGGGGCUUGAUGCCGGAGAGGAUGAGUCCAUUUGCUCACUCGACCUGGCUGUUUGACUGCGGGUGGGCAACGGACGCUAAGUCCAGUCGGAUGCCCUGCGUCGCGCAGAAACGUGCCAGUGCUCCUUUGGCGAAGUUCAUGCCGUUGUCGGUGAUGAUGCUGUGCGGCACGCCGUACCGAGUAGUGAUGUCGGUGAUGAAUGUCACGGCAGUCGGCCCAUUCAGCUUCUUAAUCGGCUUGGCUUUGAUCCACUUUGUGAACUUGUCCACAGCAACGAGUAGAUGUGUCAGGCCGCCGUGGGCUGUCUUGAAAGGGCCCACCAUGUCCAGUCCCCAGACGGCAAAAGGCCAAGUGAGGGGAAUGGUCUUGAGUGCAGAAGCCGGCAGGUGUUGCUUGGAACUAAAAACUUGGCAUCCUCUGUAGCUCUUGACUAUUUCUUUGGCAUCCUCCAAGGCAGUCGGCCAGAAGAAACCAUGGCGGAAAGCCUUGGCCACAAGGGAUCUUGAGGCUGCGUGGUGGCCGCAUUCGCCUUGGUGGAUGUCUUUGAGGAUUGCCACUCCUUUUUCUGGCUCGACACAACGCUGGAAGACUCCAGUGACGCUGCGCUUCACAAGCUCUCUGUUGAUGAUUGUAUAUGUUGCGGCUCGUCGUUGCACUAGUCUUGCUGAGAUCUCAUCAGCCGGCAGCUCUCUGCUGACUAGGAACUUGAGGAUGGGCUGAGCCCAUGAGGGAGCUGUGACUUCUUCUUCUGUUAAUGUAGCCACCAUGACUCGGGUGGGUGGGUUGGGUGAGUCGGCCACCGCUUCUUGUGUCGUUGCAGUCCCCGGGCCGACUGCUGCAGUCCCCGAGCCGGGUUCUGAAGUCCCCGUGCCGGGUGCGACUACGGCAGUCCCCGGGCCAGUCGUCGAAGUCCCCGUGCCGCCUACGGGAUUUCUCCAGUCGGAUCCGGCUGUAUCUGGCGCAGGCGGUACGAAAAUGGAAUCCGACUCUGGAGACGGCUUGAUGGACGGCUUGAGGAGGCGCUGGAGGGAGACGCCAGUCGGUAUGGCUUGUCGGGUGGAGCCGAUCCGUGCUAGGGCAUCUGCUUGGUCGUUGUCGCCCCUUGGCACGUGACGGAACUCGCACCCUUCGAAGUAUCCGCUUAUCUGCUGGACGAGGAAACGGUAGCUCGCCAUGUUCGCGUCCUUGGCGUCCCAGUCCCCAGAUGAUUGCUAGACCACCAAGUCUGAGUCGCCGUAGCACCGGAUCCUGCGUAUGCCGAGUUCUUUGGCUAGCCGGAGCCCGUGUACGAGCGCCUCGUACUCGGCGACGUUGUUGGAGGCGGCGAAGUGGAUCUGUAGCGUCUACUUGAGUUGUCGCCUUUGGGAGAGGUGAGGACGAUGCUGGCUCCCAAGCCGGUGCGCAUCCUGGACCCGUCAAAGUGCAUCCGCCAAUGGGUAGAGUCGGGAGCCGGCGGUAGGUACUGGGUUUCGGCCCAGUCGACGAGGAAGUCGGCCAAUGCUUGCGACUUGAUGGCAGUGCGGGGUUGAUAGAAGAUCGUGUAGGGCGCCAAGGCAAUGGCCCAUUUGGCCACCCGGCCGGAUGCAUCCCGGCUGCCUAUGAUCUCGGCGAGCGGGGCAGUGCACACGACCGUGAUGGGGUGCUCUUGGAAGUAGGGCUUCAUUUUCUUGGCAGCGAAGUACACCCCAUAGCACAUCUUCUGGUAGUGCGGGUAGUUUUGCUUUGAGCUGGAUAGUACUUCGCUGAGAUAGUAGACCAGCCUCUGGACUAGCUGGGCUCGGCCUUCUUCCGGGCGCUGGACCACAACAACAGUGCUGACGACUCGGCUAGUCGCGGCGAUGUAGAGGAGCAUGGGCUCCUUCUCAGUCGGCACAGCCAGGACAGGCGGAGUGGUCAGCAUUUUCUUCAACUCGUGGAAGGCUUGGUCGGCUUGAUCAUUCCACUCAAAGUGAGUGGACUUCCUCAUGAGUCGGUAUAGGGGGAGGGCCUUCUCUCCUAGUCGGCUGAUAAAACGAUUCAGGGAGGCUAAGCAGCCAGUGAACUUCUGCACAUCUCGCAGCUUGGUGGGAAUCUCCAUCCUCUCGAUGGCCUUGGUCUUGACGGGGUUGCACUCAAUGCCGCGUUCGGAUACCAGGAAGCCUAGCAGCUGGCCGGCUGGCACUCCGAACACGCACUUCUCGGGAUUGAGCUUGAUCUGGAAUCGGCGCAAGUUAGCGAAUGUUUCUUUCAGGUCUUCCAGCAAGGUACCGCGCUUCUCUGUCUUCACCACAAUGUCGUCUACAUAGACGUGGGCAUUUCUGCCGAGUUGUUUCAAGAGACAUUUCUGCAUGCAACGCUGAAAAGUGGCACCGGCAUUUCUCAAGCCGAAUGUCAUUGUCAGGUAGCAGAAAGCUCCAAAGGGUGUGAUGAAGGCAGUCUUUAGGCGGUCAGCCGGGUCCAACUUGAUCUGAUGAUACCCUGAGUAUGCAUCCAAAAAACUUAACAGCUCGCAUCCGGCUGCGGAGUCUAUCACUUGGUCAAUCCGUGGCAGAGCAAACGGAUCCUUUGCGCAUGCCUUGUUCAGACUAGUGUAGUCUAUACACAUACGCCACUUGUUAUUCUUCUUCAGAACCAGAACUGGGUUGGCAAGCCACUCUGGAAAGAACACUUCCAUGAUAAAGCCGGCGGCAAGGAGCCGGGCUAUCUCUUCUCCCACAAUUCUUCGCUUCUCUUCUGAUAGUCGGCGGAGGGGUUGCUUGACCGGCUUCGCAUCGGCUCGGACAUGUAAUUUGUGCUCGGCGAAAUCCUUCGGGACACCCGGCAUGUCCUUUGGGGACCAUGCAAAGAUGUCUCGAUUCUCACGGAGGAAGUCGACGAGCUCGCCUUCCUAUUUACUGUCCAAGUUCGCCCCAAUCACAGCAAACCUCUCCGGGUUUUCCGGGUCCAGAGGUAUCUUCUUCGUCUCUUUGGCAGGCUGGAAGGAGCCCUGCGCAUCACAAUCCUUGGGGUUGGGGGACAAGGCCGGCUGCUUGCCGGCCAUGGCCACAACCCGUUCCAACAUCUUCUUCUCUUCUGCCACCACGAGGGACUCGCCCAGCCGGCUGCUGGCCAUGGCACACUCGAUGGACUUCUUGUAGUCGCCGGCUACCGUGAUGAUCCCAUUCAAGCUCGGCAUCUUCAUCUUUAGGUAGGCGUAGUGGGGCACAGCCAUGAACUUGGCCAAAGCAGGUCGGCCAAGCAGUGCAUGAUAGGGGCUCUCCAAAUCCACUACCUCGAACCAUAUUGCUUCCCGGCGAAAAUGAUCUUUGUCUCCGAAGAGAACAUCCAUUUUGAUCUUGCCGAUUGGAGAGCAAGACAGGCCGGGUACGAUACCAUGGAAGACAGUGCGGCUCGGCAUGAGCUGCUUCGCUUUGAUGUUCAGCUUCUCCAUGGUAUCGCGGUACAGUAUGUUGAUACUGCUUCCGCCGUCUAUCAGGACGCGGGAAAAUCUGGCAGCUCGCCUCUCCGUCGCGAGGGUGACGUCCAAGACCAUUGCAUAGGAGCCAGGAGAAGGCAUCACCUCUGGGUGGUCGGCCUGGCUCCAGCUGAUUGGCUUUUCUAACCAGUGCAUGAACUCGGGGGGCGCUGGUGGCGACUGCGUUCACUUCUUGAUGCUGCCGGCGUCGGCUGCGCUUGUCGUCGGCUUCACUGGUGAAGACGACGUAGGCGGCGUGCUCUUCGGGGAAUUCGUCUUGGAUGGCGCCGACCGCCGGCCCAGCCGCCGGCUGCUGGGGAGCUGGAGGCGGCGGGCCGGGAGGCGGAGGCGGCAACAUCCCUUCGCCCUUGGUGAUGCGGGUGAGCCAGUGGCAUUUCCGGGUUGUGUGGUUGGACGGCUUCGCGCCGCUGUGGAACUUGCAAGGGGCGUCAAGUGCUUGCUCGUAGGAGAAAGACGGCUGCCAGGGCGGCCGGCCACCCUUCUUCUUGGGAGCGGGCCGCUCUUCGGGCUGCUCGUCUUCAACUGUGGCCACCUGCCGACUGGAGGAAGUCGGCAUGGGGCCCUUGCGCUUGUGGUCGUUCUGGUAGGGGCGCCGAUUAGGGUCGCGAGCGGGCGUCUUGGGAGCCAGAGCAAUUACUUUUCCCGAGGCGUCCACUCGGAGCUCGGUCUUCAUUGAGGAGUCGGCGGUGGCGUAUUUGUCGGCGGUGACCAGCAACUCAUCGAGGGUAGCCGGCUCGUCGCAGAGGAGUCGGUGCUUGAGGAGGGUGCCCUCUCGGCACCCGGCGGUGGAGUACUCGAUGGCCUGGACCUCGUGCACUCCCUCGCAGGAGUUGCGGAGCUCGGCCCAUCGCGUGAGAUAGUCACGGGUCGACUCGUUGGGCCCCUGGACGCAGAGGGAGAGCUGGCGAGGCUUGGGAGGCCGCUUGUAGGUGCUGGUGAAGUUGCGGACGAAGAUUUCGGUGAAGUCCAGCCAACUGUUGAUGCUGUAGGGCUUGAGGCUGUUGAGCCAUGUGCGUGCCGUGCCUUGCAGCAUCAGGGGGACAUACUUCACGGCGACGCGCCGAUUGCCGUUGGCAAUGCUGACGGCCGUGGAGUAGUCGAUGAGCCAAUCUUCUGGCUUCACUGAGCCGUUGUACUUGGGCGUGUCUCUGGGGAGCGAGAACCCUUUGGGGAAGGGCUCGUCGCGGAUGCGGGGGCCAAAGCAUGGCGGGCCGACAUCGUCGUCUUCUUCUAACGCCAAGGAUCGAGCAAGGCGGUCGAUCUUGUGGCGGGCGUCACGCUCGCCGACUCCUUCUCGGCGGCCGAGUCGGUCACCAAGAGUCGGAUGUGUGAUGGGCGGCGGAGUGAGGCGUAUUUCUCUUGGAGGAGGGGGAGGAGGCAGGUUUCCUUGGUGCUCUACUGCUCGAGGGCGGCCCUCCGCGUCGCGCUGGAUGGUGAUGCGAGUCCGGCUUCGGCUGGCAGCCGGCUCCUUGUCUUUCUUCUGGCAUGCGCCGCUCGCAGUCGGCGAGCGGGACGUCGCGGCGUGCUCCCGGCGCGGGGGAUGACUAUCAGCACGGGCGCCGGCUUCGUGCCGUUCUGCAGCCGCGUCGAUCAGCUGCUGGAUCCGUCUUGUCAUGUAGGGGAGCUCGUCGGCUCCCAGCCCAUUGAGCUCCUCUGCAGCCGCCUGAGCGGCUCGCAGAUUCUCGAGCGGGGUGGCGUAGACAGGGCGAUCUGUGCCCAGCAUGCUGGCGACGGCCGCGCCGCGCUUCUGGACGAAGCCGGCUCGGCUCGGGCCGCUAGGCGGCGGCGUACCGAAGGCGGCGCGGUCGACUUCGCGCUGGUGGGCCUCGGUGAGGCGUCUCAUCGAGGCUAUCUUCUGGCCCUCCGCGAUGAGGGCAAGGCGGCGUGCCUCCAGGGUCUCGGCGUCGGCAUCGGCCGGGAUGGGGACGGAGAGGUCGUGCAUCGCCGCUUGCUGAGCGUCGCGGGCAUUCUCGCCCGAGUUGGAGACGUGGCUGAUGACCAGCACUUCGGUGACAGUGCUGCUGCCGCUGUCAGCUCGAGGGAGGGGGUCGUCGAAGACCACCACGUCGGAGGGGUAGGCGUCAAGCGAUGCAGUGUCGGAGUCGACGAGCAUCGGGUCGGUGGAGCCGACCGACUCCACAUCUGCAGCAGGCUCGCUUGAGACGUGAAGCUGGUCGAGGAGGCUGACGAGGCGGCUCUCGGGGUAGUCGGUGCCUGCGUCGGACGCAGGCUCGUCGGAGAUGCGAGUCUCGCCGAACAGAUCCGCGAGGCGGCUCGCUGCGCAGGUGUCGUCGACGCCUUGCAGCGCGUCAAGGCAAACGCCAUUGGGCGCAGCAGGCUGGCUGCGCUCGCGGGGGAGGAAGAGGGUUCCCGUCCAGAACAGGUCUCCGGACGACGGUGCACCUGGCCCCACGGUGGGCGCCAAAUGUCGAGUGGUUGGUGCGACAUAUGCCAAGGGAUGGCUUAUCAUUGUGGGAGCCAAUAAGACGUCGCCGGUGCCUGGAAACGGGAUGAGGCGAAGACAUGCACGCUGGCGGAUCUUACCCAGGUUCGGGGCUCUCCGAGGAGAUAACACCCCUAGUCCUGCUCUGCGGGGUCUCCGCAUGAUCACUAGACCGAUGAAAGGUAGCUACAAUCGCUCCUAGAGCUGUUGAGUUCAAGGGAGAAGAAGAACAAGGCUAGCUCUUGCUUCUCUCUAUCUAUGGUGUGUGUGCUAUGCUAAGAAGGCAACUCUAUGCUCAGAGGCCAACUAUGCUUGGGAGCGAACCCUUUGCAUGGGUGCUCCGGGGGGUUUAUAUAGGCCUACCCCCGGGGGUACAAUGGUAAUCCGACUGGGCUCUGGUCCCUGCUGUCAGUGCCUACGCUCGCCGGCUUCUCCGCCGGCUGGUGGGUCACGCCGGCUGGUGGGUCCCGCCGGCUGCCGGCUACUUGGUCGACAGGCCGGCCCCACCGCCUAGGGUCUUGUCGGCGGCUGCUUACUGUAGCCGCGCCUCUGAUGACGAGGGCUUUGUCGAGGUAAGCGUGGUUACAGUGGGCCGCCCCGGGGGCUCUCACUGUAGCCUUACCUCGUCUUGUCUCCUUAAUGGGGCUCCUACUUCGAGGAAGGGAGUAGCCGGCUUCUGGAGGCCGGCUGCGCUCUUGGCCGACUGGGAAAGGCCAGGCCGCCUUCACGCCUCUCUCUGGCUGAAGGGGCCCGCCGCCCGCGGGCCGUACGGGAGUCGGUUGUGGGUGACGUCGAGCCUAGCAUGGCUACAGUGCCGAGCCGCACGGGAGACGGCCGUCCCGUACGGCCUCCUGUAGCCAUGCCCGCCUCGGGCUUCGGGGGUAGUGGGCCGCACUGUGGCCACACCCCGUCAUGUCGCCGUUAUGUGGGAACAGCUUUGGUGGUUGUGAUCUUGGCCGGCUCCUAGGAGUCGGCGUCCUUCUCGGCCGGCUUCUUGGUCUCGGCCACCCCGUAGUCAUCCCGGGGAGGGGUCGUUUGAGGCUGGGUCGCCUUCCGGGAGUUGGCUUCAGAAGUAGCCGGCCAGGGAAGGCGGCCCAAAUGCUUGGAGUGCUUGAAGGCCCAAAGGCCUGAUAAUUUUUCUGAAGAACCAGGGCUAGUCGGUUUGGCUACCCGUGGCCAUUUCCUCCGACACCACCAGUGUUGCGCCGACGGAGUGGGUGUACCGGGGUGGGACGAGCGCCUUGAUCAAGGCAGCAUAGGAUGUCCAGGCCGAUUUCAAGGCCGAAGCCGCCACCCUUCCGCAAUGUAUGAAGGCGUUUGUGAAGACGCGGGCCGCCGUUCGGGUACAUAACUUGCUUCUUGCUUUUGAUUCUUCUAAUCUUCGGUGGGGGCGCGCUAGCGCACCCACUGGGUGUAGCCCCCGAGUUCUGGGCCGGAUGCUGAGCAGGCGGCCUGGAACUUCAUAGUGGGUUCUGAGCUCUGACUUACUUCUCUUUAUGUUGCUUUGUUGCAGGACUACCACAAUGUCUGCGCGGCCACCUUCAACGCCCAUGUCCGGGAGAUGGACCGAUGGACCGCCGACUUGACGGAAAUCCGGAGUAAGCAUUCCAUCUUCUCUCUCUGCGGAGGCGCGUCAGCGCACACGCGGGGUUUAGUCCCCGAGAUACGAGCAGUCUGGCCGGAUCUCCCGGUAAUUACUUUCCUUCCUUCUUGAUUGUUGACAUCUUUUCUUUCUUGUCUUUGCAGAAGCCAACGCCGCCUUGCAGCAGCAACUGGGCGAAGUCAACACCGCGCUGCGUGCCAAGGAGGAUGAGUGCAACAGGGCGGCCCAGGAGCACGACUGCCUGGCCAAGGAACUGGCAGAUCAGGCGGAACUUCACAAGGCGGCCCUGAAGCAGGCGGAGGACAACGAAGCCACACUACUAGUAAAGGGCCUGCUAGUGGCGCACCUGUUUUGGCUACUAAUGGCGCACUACAGGUGCGCCACUAGCAUCGCGCCAUUAGAAUUUUUUACUAAUGGCGCACCACACUAGUAUACUAAUGGUGCACCAGGGAGUGCGCCAUUAGUAUAUCCCAUGGUGCGCCAUUACUAUCUGACUUAGUAAUGGCGCACCACAUAGAAGUGCGCCAUUACUAACAAUUAUUUUCAAAAAAAAUUCAUAAUUUUUUUUCGUUUUUUUUCUUUAUCUCGGGUCACUAUGGCUUAAUCUCAAGCCAAUAUUAUCUGACUUAGUAAUGGCGCACCACAUAGAAGUGCGCCAUUACUAACAAAUUUUUUCAAUUUUUUUUUCAAUUUUUUCUUAAAAUUUCACAAUUUUUUUUCAUUUUUUUUCUUUAUCUCGGGUCACUAUGGCUUAAUCUCAAGCUAAUAUGCUUAAUCUCAAGUCAAAUCGCACUCCGUGGUCAAACUUCCCGAAAGGUCACCCAUCCUCACACUACUCCAGCCCGAGCACGCUUAACUUCGGAGUUCUAUCCAACCCCAGCACCAGCUCACUUCACAGGCACUUGUUGAUAUAUCUAUCAUAUCAACCCUAUUAAACCUUGUUGAUGUCUAGGACUUUGUUCAUGUUCAUGAGUGUGAUGAAAUUUUGAAAAAAUAUUUCAAACUUCCCGGUCAUAUUAUGUAUCAUAUUUUGAAAAAAAAUUCCAAAAAAAAGUUUUUUUGAAACCAAUUUUUUUCUAUUACUAGUGGCGCACCUAGCAAAUGGUGCGCCACUAGUAAGUUUGAAUUUUUUUUCAUUUCCCCCCCUCUAGAUCUUAAAAGCCCCGUAUCUUUCGUUCUGUUAGGUUUUUGGGGAUUUUGAAGAUGUUGAACAUGGUUCCCCCAGUUCAAAUCGUAUGUAACUUUUCGAGUAGAUGAUUUUUCAUAUAAAAAACUUUUUAAUCCGAGUUCGUAUGCAAAAGUUAUGCCCAUUUUACAAAUUCCAGAGAGAUUUUGCAAAUAAAGUCGAAAUUCAUAUUUGUAAAUUUUCCUAACAACUAGACCACAUAUCACAUGGGAAACUUAUUUUAUUUUUUUGACAUUUCCAUCAUUUUCUUUNNNNNNNNNNNNNNNNNNNNNNNNNNNNNNNNNNNNNNNNNNNNNNNNNNNNNNNNNNNNNNNNNNNNNNNNNNNNNNNNNNNNNNNNNNNNNNNNNNNNNNNNNNNNNNNNNNNNNNNNNNNNNNNNNNNNNNNNNNNNNNNNNNNNNNNNNNNNNNNNNNNNNNNNNNNNNNNNNNNNNNNNNNNNNNNNNNNNNNNNNNNNNNNNNNNNNNNNNNNNNNNNNNNNNNNNNNNNNNNNNNNNNNNNNNNNNNNNNNNNNNNNNNNNNNNNNNNNNNNNNNNNNNNNNNNNNNNNNNNNNNNNNNNNNNNNNNNNNNNNNNNNNNNNNNNNNUAGUAGUGGCGCACCGGGGGUGUGGUGCGCCAUUACUAGUUAAAACUUGUAAUGGCGCACUGUCCCCUCGGUGCGCCAUUACUAUUUUUGAAAAAAAAUAAAAAUAAAUUUGUUAGUAGUGGCGCACCGAGGGUGUGGUGCGCCAUUACUAGUUUUGAAAAAAAAAAUAAAAAAAAUUGUUAGUAGUGGCGCACCGUGGAUGUGGUGCACCAUUAGUAUUUGGACACUAAUGGCAUACCAACACAUGGUGUGCCAUUAGUAUAUAGUAGUGGCGCACCACAUGUGUGGUGCGCCAUUAGUGUCCAUAUUAUCUAUAGCCCUUUUCCUAGUAGUGACAGGCUCCUGGCUGAGUUUGAGACCGAGCGCUCGGUUGGCCAGAGACGGAGGAGCCGUUGAACGCCGGCUACCGCGGGAUUGAAGACAUGGUCGAUGGUAAGUUAUCUUUCUUUUUCUUUCAGCUGCCGGCUAUCAAGCGAGCCUACUUCUAGCUUCUGAUUUCUGACUUUUGUUUCUGCUUGUGCAGACUUCUUUCCUGGCCACUCCGUCGCCGCCAACAAAGCCAUUGAGGCUCGCCGCGAGGAGCGAUGGGCGGGAGGCGCGGAGAUUGCCGCCAAUGCCCCUCGGACCCUCGCCGAGGAGCUUCUUCGCAUUCAAGCUCGUCUUCGGCCGGCUCAUCGGAUGCUCCGCCGGCUGCAGUGUGUUGGGGCUUAGGCGAUCUCCGCCCUCUGGGCGGACAGGCAAGCUCCACGCACCCCCAGUCGGAUUGCCGACUGGUUGGAAGUGGCUGCCGGCCGGCUUGAGGCAUGGAAGGGCUCUGCAACCCGAGCAAGAGCGUGGUGGGCCUUGGAGUUCGCCAAGGCGUGGUAUCCUGGGCUAGAUCUAGCCCAGUUGGCCACGUUUCGGCAGGAAAUCAGCGCCGAAUUGGUGGCGGUGGAGCGCGAUCUCACUCUUCGCGCAGCAGCGAUCGCUGAGUACACCAACACCGGUGUCUUCGUUCCUGAGCUGAACAAGAACGGCGCCGAGGCGCCACCGGAAUGGUUUGAACUGAACCUGGAUGAUGUCGAAGCCUCGGCAGAGGACAUCACCUCCAGCGACAAAGGGGAAGACGAGGAAGACGAGGAUGAUGAAGACGGCACGCCGGAGGUCGGAGUGGAUGGCCAACCUCAGCUCGACCGUGCCUCCAGCAAUGAGCCGCGUGCGAGCGCACCGACUGUAGCUGAUGGCGACCAAGCAGAGACUCACCAGCCGGCCACUCCACCAUCUGGCGCUCCCGACUCCACCAACCCGCCGGACACGCCUACUGGUCCUUUGGUCUAGGCUGCCAAUUUAUCUUAGCUUUUCCUGCUUAGUAGUCUCCUCAACAAACUUUGUUAAAUUUGCACAAUUCCACCUGCGGGGUGUAUUUAAACUUCAUUGAAAGUUGGCCGAGGGCCUUUCGGUAUGUAAUUUAUUUCUCGCACAAACUGUGCUUUUGCCGAGUUCCGACUUUUCUUGCUUUUUGUUCCUUAGCUUUUUCCUUUGCCGCCCUCCCUUAGUUGCCUUCUUGCUAGCCGGACAGCCGCUCUGCGUCUGCGGCCUGGUCAAGUACUUCACCAUUUGGGAGGACAUGUACUUUGGCCGACUGGAACAUUGCAAGCUAAGUAGGAAGCCGGCCGGCCGGCUGCUCAGUAGCCGGUCGGUGAGGUGAGGAGCCGGCUUGUCCUAUGUCAAUGUUUUGGUCCUUACCAUUUUUCAUGUGAGCACUGUUUCCUGCCUUUAGCUCUUGCCAAUCGAACAGCCGCUCUACAAGCUACGGCUUGUGGCAAGAGAGGGCUUAGGUGCUGACACAUUACUUGUCCGACCGCGGGAAACACCGACAUAGCACAAGGCGGCACGCCCCCGGGCCGACUGGUCGAACCCGGUGCCAGGCGGAGGAACGCAAUAACACAUUCAUAGGCAUAAUACUUAUCAUAUAGAUAAAAGGGUAGCCCCUAAGUGCUCCUCGAGGUGACCCGGAGUCUUCGUACUAAACCAACUGUAAAAUCUUCGCAGAAGAUUUGCGUUCCAUGGGCGCUCCGACUCCUUCCCCGAAUCAUAUCUCCUGCGUGUUGUGGGCUUCCGCGCAUCGAUGAGGUAGUAGGAGUCGUUGCCCAAUGCUUUGCUGAUGAUGAAAGGGCCUUCCCAAGGGGCCGAGAGCUUGUGCUGGCCGGCUGUUCCCUGGAUCAGCCGGAGCACAAGGUCUCCCUCUUGGAAGGAUCUUGGCUUGACCUUCCGACUAUGGUAGCGGCGUAGAAUCUGCUGGUAGAUGGUGGACCGGCUGAGUGCCAACAGCCGGCCCUCUUCCAACAGAUCGAGGCCGUCUUCUCAUGCUUCCUUUGCUUCCGCCUCGGUGUACAUGGUGACGCGAGGUGAGUCAAACUCGAUGUCAGUUGGGAUGACAGCCUCAGCACCAUACACGAGGAAGAAGGGUGUAAAGCCGGUUGACUUGUUCGGAGAGGUGCGCAGACUCCAGAGGACGGCCGAUAGCUCGUUGAGCCAGCAGCUGGCCGAAUGCUCCAGACGCUCGACCAGUCGGGGCUUGAUGCAGGAUAAAAUGAGGACGUUUGCUCGUUCAACCUGGCCGUUUGACAGUGGGUGGGCAACGAACGCUAAGUCCAGUUGGAUGCCCUGCGUCGCACAGAAACGGGCCAAGGCGCCUUUGGCCAAAUUUGUGCCAUUGUCGGUGAUGAUGCUGUGUGGUAUGCCAUACCGUGUGGUGAUAUCUGUGAUGAAAGUCACAGCAAUCGGACCGUUCAACCUCUUGAUUGGCUUUGCUUCAAUCCACUUGGUGAAUUUGUCCACGGCGACGAGCAGAUGUGUCAUGCCGCCGCGUGCUCUCUUGAACGGUCCCACCAUGUCCAGUCCCCAGACGGCGAAGGACCAGGCCAGGGGAAUGGUCUUGAGUGCAGAAGCCGGCAAAUGUUGCUUGGAGCUGAAUUUCUGGCAUCCCUUGCAUCUCUUGACCAAGUCUUUGGCAUCGUCUAGAGCAGUCGGCCAGAAGAAACCAUGGCGGAAAGCUUUGGCAACAAGUGAUCUUGAGGCCGCGUGGUGGCCACACUCGCCUUGAUGGAUAUCUUUGAGGAUUGCUUGGCCCUUCUCCGGUUCUACAUAGUGCUGGUACACACCAGUGACACUGCGCCUCACGAGUUCUCGAUUUACUAUCGUGUAGGCUCCAGCUCGUCGCUGCACUUGCCGGGCCGAGAUCUCAUCGGCCGGCAGCUCUCUAUUCACUAGAAACUUGAGGAUGGGCUCUGCCCAUGAUGGUGCUUGAAUUUCUUCUACAGCCACUACAGCCACUUGUACUAGGGCGGCUGCGCUAGGAGGUGGCGUGUCGGAGUUGGUUGCUGCUUGGAGCAUCGUUGAAGUCUCCGGGCCGACUGCUACAGCCCUCGGGCCAGGUGCGACUGCUGCAGUCCUCGAGCCUCUUGGUGAAGUUCCCGGGCUGACUGCUGCAGUCCCCGGGCCGGGUUGUGAAGUCCCCGGGCCGGGUGCGAUUGCUGCAGUCCCUGUGCCGCCUGCCGAGGUCCCAGUGCCGGCUGCUGCGGCCCUCGAGUCGGAUGCGUCUGCUUCGGGAGGAGUCGUCACAAAGAUGGACUCAGAUUCUGGAGAGGGCUUGAUUGACAGCUUGCAGAGGCACUGAAGGGAAACGCCGGCUGGUAUUGCUUGACGGGUGGAGCCGAUCCGUGCCAAGGCGUCAGCCUGCUCGUUGUCGUUUGGUGGCACGUGAAGGAACUCACAGCCUUCAAAGUAUCCGCUGAGCUGCUGGACGAGGAAGCGGUAGCUCGCCAUGUUUGCAUCCUUGGUGUCCCAGUCACCAGACGACUGCUGGACCACCAAGUCUGAGUCGUCGUAGCAUAGAAUCCGGCGGAAGCCGAGCUCUUUGGCUAGCCGGAGUCCGUGUACGAGUGCCUCGUACUCGGCCACGUUAUUGGAGGCGGCAAAGUGAAUUUGCAGUGUGUAUCUGAGCUUGUCGCCUUUGGGAGAGGUGAGGACAAUGCCGGCCCCAAGCCGGUGCGCAUCUUUGAGCCAUCAAAGUGCAUCCGCCAAUGAGUGAGUCCGGAGCUGGCGGUAGGUACUGGGUCUCGGCCCAGUCGACGAUGAAGUCGGCUAGUGCUUGGGACUUGAUGGUGGUGCGUGGCUGGUAGAAGAUGGUGUAGGGAGCCAACUCAAUGGCCCAUUUGGCCACUCGGCCAGAUGCAUCUCUACUGCCAAUGAUCUCAGCAAUUAGGCCAGUGUAGACAACCAAGAUUGGGUGUUCUUGGAAAUAUGGCUUCAGCUUCUUGGCGGCAAAAUGCACGCUGUAGCACAUCUUCUGGUAGUGAAAGUAGUUCUGCUUCAAGGUUGACAAUACUUCACUCAAAUAGUACGCAGGCCUCUGGACCGGCUGUGCCUUGCCGUCCUCUGGGCGCUCCACUACUAGGACAGUGCUCACCACUCGGCUGGUGGCGGCGAUGUAGAGGUACAUGGGCUCUUUGACAAUCGGAGCUGCCAGGACAGGCUGCAUGGUCAACAUCUUUUUUAACUGGAGAAAAGCUUCAUCCGCCUUGUCAUUCCACUCGAAAUGAGUGGUCUUCUUCAUGAGCUGGUAUAGAGGAAGAGCCUUCUCACCCAGCCGACUGAUGAAGCGGCUGACGGAUGCCAAACAGCCGGUGAACUUCUAGACGUCUCUCAGUCAGGUGGGCUUCUACAUCCUAUCGAUGGCCUUGAUCUUCACAGGGUUGCACCCAAUGCCGCGUUCCGAGACCAGGAAGCCAAGGAGCCGGCCAGCUGGUACUCCGAACACGCAAUUCUCCGGGUUGAGCUUGAUCUGAAACUAGCACAAAUUUUCAAAAGUUUCCUUGAUAUCUUCCAACAGGGUACCACGCUUCUUCGUCUUCACCACAAUGUCGUCUACAUAGACGUGGGCACUUCUGCAGAGUUGCUUGAGGAGACACUCAUGCAUGCAAUGCUAGAACGUGGCACCGACAUUUCUCAAGCCGAAUGUCAUGGUCAGGUAGCAGAAGGCUCCAAAUGGUGUGAUGAAGGCGGUCUUCAGGAGGUCUGCUGGGUUCAACUUGAUCUGGUGGUAACCUGAGUAGGCAUCCAAGAAACUCAACAGCUCGCAUCCGGCUGUGGAGUCUACCACUUGGUCAAUCCGUGGUAAGGCAAACAGAUCCUUGGGGCAGGCCUUGUUGAGACUGGUGUAAUCAAUGCACAUGCGCCACUUCUUGUUCUUCUUUAGCACAAGGACUGGGUUGGCAAGCCAUUCUGGAAAGAAUACUUCCAUAAUAAAGCCGGCUGCCAGGAGUCGAGCUAUCUCUUCACCAACAAUUCUUCUCUUCUCCUCCGACAGUCGGCGGAGGGGCUGUCUGACUGGUUUGGCGUCUGCUCUAACAUGUAGCUUGUGCUCGGCGAAAUCCGUCGGAACACCUGGCAUGUCUUUGGGAGACCAUGCGAUGAUGCCCCGAUUCUCACGGAGGAAAUCGAUGAGCUCGCUUUCCUAUUUGCUAUCAAGGUUGGUACCUAUGAUACCAUGCCUCUCCGAGUGCUCAGGGUCCAAGGGGAUCUUCUUUGUUUCUUUGGCCGGCUUGAAGGAGCCCUCAGUCUCUGAUUCUUUGGGUUCUGGCGACAGGUCCGGCUGCUUGCCGGCCAUGGCCACCACCCGGUCCAGGAGCUUCUUCUCAGCCGCAAUCACGAGGGACUUGGCCGGCCGUCUGCUGGCUGCAGCACAGGCGGAUGACUUCUCAUAGUCUCCAUUGAUCGUGAUAAUGCCCUUGCUCCCUGGCAUCUUCAUCUUGAGGUAGGCAUAAUGAGGCACUGCCAUAAACUUGCCUAGAGCAGGCCGGCCUAGGAGCACAUGGUAAGGACUCUCCAGGUCAACCACCUCAAACCAAAUCGCUUCUUGGCGGAAAUGAUCCUUGUCUCCAAAAAGGACAUCUAUCUUGACUUUGCCGAUUGGUGAGCAGGACAAGCCGGGCACAAUGCCAUGAAACACAGUCCGACUGGGCAGCAUCAGCUUCUCUUUGAUCUUCAACUUCUCCAUGGUGUCACGGUAAAGGAUGUUGAUACUGCUACCGCCAUCUAUCAGAAUCCGGGAGAAACGACUAGCUCGCCUCUCUGUUGCAAGGGUUGCAUCCAACACCAGGGCAUAGGAACCCGGGGAGGGCAUCACUUCCGGGUGGUCAUCUCGGCUCCAGCUGAUAGGCCUCUCAGACAAGUGCAUAAACUCCGGGGCCGCCAUAGCAACGGUGUUCACUUCACGAUGCUGCUGAUGCCUACUGUGUCUGUCGCUGGGCAUACUGGUGAAGACAACGUAGGCACCAUGCUCUUCAGGGUAAUCAUCUUGGACCGCACUGACUGCUGGACGGGCAGCCGGCUGGUGGGGAGGCGGAGCGGGCGGGCCAGCAGGCGGAGGGGGCAGUCCUUCUCCCUUGGCAAUGCGGACGAGCCAAAGGCACUUCCGAGUUGUAUGGUUGGACGGCUUCGAACCGCUGUGGAACUUGCAAGGGGCAUCGAGGGUCUGCUCAAAGGAGAAAGCAGGCAACCAAACUGGCUUGCCAUCCUUCUGGCGCUUGGGGAGGGGUUGUCCUUCAGGUUGCUGGUCCUCAACUGUCGCCACCUGCCGGCUGGUGGAAGCUGGCUGCGGAGCCUUGCGUUUGUUGUCGUUCGGCUGCUGGCACCGACUGUUCUCUCCAGCCGACGUUCGAGGAGCCAGAGGGAGCACCUUCCCAGAAGUGUCCACUCGGAGCUGCGACUUCAUGGAGGAAUCGGCAGUGGCCGGCAUAUUGGUCUGCUAUGAUCAACAGUUCGUCGAGUGUGGCCGGCUCGUCAUAGAGGAGUCGGUGCUUGAGAAAGGUGCCCUCUCGGCACCCGACAGUGAAGUACUCGAUAGCUUGGACCUCAUGCACCCCGUCGCAGGAGUUGCGCAGUUCAGCCCACCGCAUCAGGUAGUCGCGGGUGGACUCAUUGGGGCCUUGGACGCACAGCGAGAGCUGGUGUGGCUUGGGAGGCCGCUUGUAGGUGCUGGUGAAGUUGCGGACGAAGUCUUCGGUGAAAUCUACCCAACUGUUGAUGCUGCGGGGCUUCAGGCUGUUCAGCCAUGUCCGGGCCGCGCCCUGGAGCAUGAGUGGAACGUACUUCACGGAAACACGCUUGUUGCCAUUUGCAAUGCUGACUGCGGUGGAGUAGUCAAACAACCAGUCCUCCGGCUUCACAGAGCCGUUGUACUUGGGCGUGUCUCGUGGGAGCGUGAACCCUUUGGGGAAGGGCUCAUCGCGGAUGCGGGGGCCGAAACAAGGCAGGCCCAGCGUGUCUUCUUCUUCUAGCGCCAGGGAUCGAUUGAGACGGUCGAUCCGGUGGCGGGCAUCAUUCUCUCCGAUUCCUUCUCGGGGGCCCAGUCGGUCACCGAGAGUUGGGCGGUCAACAGGCGGCAGGGAAGCACACCUCUCCCUCCGAGAUGGAGGAGGAGGCGGACAGUCGUCCCGUCGUUUCACUGCACGAGGGCGACCGUCUUGGUCGCGCUCGAUGGUGACGUGUGUCCGGCUACGGCUUGCAGCCGGCUCCUUGUCACGCUCGUCGCGGACGCCGCCUGUUGGCGUCUGGGAGGUCGCGCCUUGCUCUUGACGAGGCGGCGGGUUCUCAACCCGCUGGUCGGGAUCUUCGGCGCAACAGCCGGCUUCUUGGUGCGCUGCAGCCGCGUCAAUGAGCUGCUGAACACGCUCAGUCAUGUAGCGACGCUCGUCGCCCUCAAGGUGGUCCAGCUCAUCUGCUGCCGCCUGAGCAGCUCGUAUGUUUUCCAUCGGUGUGGCAUAGACAGGGCAGUCUGCCCCGAACAUGUUGGCGAUGGCAGCGCCGCACUGCCGGACCGUGCCAAUGCAGCUGGGACCGCAGGCAACCGGCGUGCCGCUAACAGCAUGGUCGAUCUCGCGCUAGUAGGCUUCUGAGAGGCAUCUCAUGGUGGCCAGCUUCUUGGCGCUUUCGACGACCAAGACGCGGCGGGCUUCCAGCGUCUCGGCGUCAGCAUCUUCUAGGAUGGCCGCUGAGAGCUCGCAGCGCUGCCUGGAGGGGGUCUUGGGCAUCCCCACCAGAGGCUCCGCCGUGGCUGAUGACGAGCACCUCCGUGACGGUGCUGCCGCCACUAUCGGCGCGAGGGAGCGGGUCGUCGAUGACCACCACGUUGGUGGGGAAGGCGUCGAGCGAUGUCAUGUCGGAGUCGACAAGCAUCGGGUCGGUGGAGCCGAUCGACUCCAGGUCAAAGGCUGGCUCCUAGGCGAUGUCGAACUUGCCAAGGAGGUCGACCAGGCAGCUCUCGGAGCUGGCUGCUCCCGCGUCGGGCGCGGGAUCGUCGGGGAGGCGGAUCUCGCCUAUGAGGUCAGCGAGGCAGCUCGCCGCACUAACAAGCUCAGCGUCAUGCAGCGCGCCGGUGUCGACGCCAUCAGGCGUGCCGGGCUAGCUGCGCUUGCUAGGGAAGAACAAAGUUCUCGUCCAGAACAGAUCUCCGGACAAUGGUGCACCUAGCCCCAUAGUGGGCACCAACUGUCGGGGGUGUCGUGCGACAUAUGCCAAAGGAUGGCUUAUCAUGGAGAGGGCUAAUAAGACGUCGCCGGUGCCAGGAAGCAGGAUGAGGCGUGGACAUGUACGCCGGUGAACUUUACCCAGGUCCGGGGCUCUCCUAGGAGAUAACACCUCUAGUCCUGCUCUGUGGGGUCUCCGCAUGCUCAUUAUGUUAACAAGUAGCUACAAGUUGCUCCUUGAGCUGUUUUUCUAGAGGAGGAAGAAGGGCAGGGCUAGCUCUCUCCUCUCUCUAUAUGUGUGUGUUAUCUAAAAGUCUGAACCCUUUGCAUGGGUGCCCUAGGGGGUUUAUAUAGGUCUACCCCCAGGGGUACAAAGGUAAUCCGGUCCGGUGUAGGACCCGGUUGUCAGUGUCUCGGGUCGCUGUCUUCUCUUCUGGCUGGUGGGCCUGCCGCCUGGUGGGCCCCAUCGACUGUCUCAUACUUGGCCGACAGGCCGCGCCCGCUGCUAGCGGGUUUGGCCGGCUGCUCAACACUGUAGCGAUGCUGGUAAUGAUGCGUUCUUUAUCGGGGGGAGGCGUGGCUACAGUACCGCCGCCUGGCGGGCAAUCUCUUUAGCCAUCCUCCAUCUCUUCUGAUUAAUGUCGCACGGACUUUGAGGGAGAGGGAGGGCCACCUGGUGGCGGUCGGCCUCCCCUCACGCCGACUGGUCCGGGCUCGCCGCCUUCUAGCUUCUCACUGACAGGUAAGGCCCACAGCCUGUGGGCCGUACCGACAGCCCAUAGUGGAGGCAUGGCCUUCUCUGCCAUGGGUGAUGUCAUGGGUGGAGUGGCAACAGUGUUGCGUCGGACUGGAGAUCCUCGUCUGGUACGGUGCACUGUGGCCACGCUUGGCCCUGUAUUUGGGGCUGGCAGGGUGCGCUGUAGCCACACCCGUCUCAUCAUAUUUACGUGGGUGCAGAUUCUGAGGACGCCUAGGGCCGACUGCUAGGAGCCGGCCUCUCUGGAGGCCCCCUGCUAGGAGCCGGCCCACCUCGUGGCCGCCUGAUGGGCCUUGCCGUCUCCUGGUAGCCGUCCGCUUGGACCAGCCGGGCACGAGGAGGAGGCGCUUGUCUCUUUGAAUCUUGAGGGGCAGCCGACUCCAAUGUCUUGAAGCGCCAUGGGGGGUUGAUGAGGCUACCCGUGGCCAAUUACUCCGACAUUGGUAGAUCUUGUAUCUUGGUCCUCCAAGAAACAAAACUCGGUAUCCUUAUCCACCGCCGAAGCGGAAUACAUUGCCACCGGAUCAUGUUGUGCUCAAUUACUUUGGAUGACCCAAACUCUUAAGAAUUAUGGGUUAUAUGUGAAACAUGUUCCAUUGCUAUGUGAUAAUGAGAGUGCUAUUAAGAUUGCUCAUAAUCCCGUACAACAUUCUUGAUGUAAGCAUAUUGAAGUUCGUCAUCAUUUCAUUCGAGAUCAUGUUGCUAAAGGAGACAUCAAUCUUAAGCAUGUUUGUAACGAUAAGCAAUUGGCGGAUAUUUUUACCAAAACGCUUGAUGAGAAAGUAUUUUGCCGUUUGAGAGGUGAAUUGAAUAUCAUUGAUGCCUCAAACUUGGUGUAGAAACUCCAUUUGGAUACAUGCAAGGCAUGAGCCUUUUAUGACUAAUCCUUGAUAUUUCUCUUAUGAUGAUGAUCAUAUGUCUAGGAUCUAUACUUGUUCCUUUGCAUGUUAUCUAACCCUUCUAGAUACUUGCAUGAGCCCAAAUCUAUGAGAUUGCAAGUCACUCACAUCUUAAGCAAUCUCUACAUCACCAAGUUUCUACUAUAUUGUGGUUGAAUACAAGGAAGCAUGAAUCCACUCAACAUAUCCUUUGACAAUUUCUAUAUAUCAAAUUUCAUUUGGUAUCAAGUUUCACGAUUGUCAAUUUGGAUACACAAGUGCUUUUCCUUGGAAGACUAACCCAUGUAGGAAGAUGAACUCAAACUACAAGUGGUGCUCCAAACACUUGAUGAACUACAUCAACCUUGAGCAUCCAACACAAGUUCAACUACAUGGUCAAGAUCAACACCACCCAAGGUUUGUCACUCCUUAGAGAAGCUUUGACCCAAGUCAUGGGUCGAAGCAACUCAACGAGAUCAGAAUACAUCAAAAUGCUUAAAUGAAAAAUGGUAACCCCAUUUUGAGCUUAAACAAUGAGUAUGACCUACGAUCAAGUGAUAUCACUUGACUCCUCAGUCAAUACACUCUAACAUAGGUUACUUUGUCACCGACCCCUUCUAGAUGAAGUUCUCUAGUGUUUCCUUGUUCACUUACUUUAUCUAGAUCUCUUUCUUUGUAUGCUUUCUCAGUUGUUUCUGUGUCAAAUUCAUUGCAAUUUUUUAUAAUACCUUGCAAAUCUUUGCGAGAUUUAAUUUGCCAAGUGAGCUGAGUUGACAAAAUUUUCUUCUACAUUGAACUUGGCCUCACCGAUCCAAGCCUAUCGGCUAGACUGAUCUACAAGAAUAUCUUGUAGAUAGUUCAUUGGUACAACCGACGUGGACUAACCCGGUCUGACCGAUUUGCAUCAUCCAUGAUGCUGCCAACCCGAUGUCACCGAUUAAAACGGAUCGGCGUUACCGACUUCAUUGCUAAGAAAACAUUUUUCCCUUGCAUAUUUUAUUUCUUCUCCGGCUCCACUCGAUGAUUCUUAUCCUCUACUCGCAACUUAAUUUACAUGUUGCUUUGUAAUGUGUCUCAAGGAUCAAACCUAUUUGACUCAUGCUCUAGAGGUUUCCUUCUUGCAAAUUGAUGUCAAAGGGGAAGAGAGAGCAACAUCAAACCUUAUCACAUGGGAGAUAGAGUACAUCCUAACUCUUCCAGAUGCCAGCAAAACAAGAGGAGAGAAAUCACAUGUCUUUAAGAGGGGAAAGACAUGUCAAUGUUUGGUUUAUGGUUUCAGUGCUUUAAUUUUUCUUGCUCUGAUUUUCUCUUACCCUACCUUCUCCCAUUAUCCAAUAUCAGAUUCAGGGGGAGAAAGAGUCCAUAUCUAGGGAAGAAAACCUUUGGAAUUCAUUGCGUAUCUUUAAUCUUUGGGGACAUGUCUAUAUACUAAUGAAGUACUAAGUACUCACCCAUUUCAUGUCAUCCCAGUCUUGGUACUCAUGCAGUUUCCUGAAAUUGCUUUAAUUAGAGUGUUCUUGUGUUAUCUAGCCCUGUUUUCUCAAGUUCACAUCUUCCAAAGCUAGCUCAAGACCACAAGGUAAGUAUAUGCAUCACACUCAUGUGCAUGAUGAUCACUUGCUGCUGCACAUAUUGUUUGCAAGAAGAAUUCAUGAACAUGAAGGUACACUUCAUGUUAUCUACAUCAUUUGCUCUGAUGCAUAUAGCCAAGAUACAUGUAACUCAUUGCUUGCUCUGUCAUGAUUAUGCAUUCACACGUUCUUAUAUUCCAUCUUUACAUGAUUACAUACAUGUAGGGGGAGCCUAUGCAUGUUACAUGUCCUUCCAAAGCUUUAGUUGUUACUCUUCAUAUCUUUUAUCUGAAGCUUUGAUGUAUGUUGUCAUCAAUUACCAAAAAAGGGGAGAUUGAAAGCACAAGUGCUCCCUGGGUGAUUUUAGUAAUUAAUGUCAACAUAUCUCUUGUUGGACUAAUACCUUUACCUAGUGUAUUUCAGAUCAGUUCAACAAUGGCGUGGCAUGGACAAGAGGAUGUGGAACUACUUCAAAAUGCUAAGGACAAAGAUUGGCAAAGGCCCAAGACUGUUCAUUUACAUUUUAGUGAUCCAAGAUCACAUUGAGUCCAUAGGAAAGCCAAUACUAUUAAAAGGGGAUGAGGUGUUGCUUAAUGGCCUACCUGCUCAAAGUGCUUAGUGAUAUUGCUCCAAAACCCUCAGCCACUUUCUCAUUUCCACAUAUGUCCAAAAUCUAAAGUCAAACUCGGCCUCACCGAUUUGAUCUAUCCAGCACCACCGAGUUCAGUUGACCUAGCCACUGCCAGAAACCCUAGAUAGUUCGGCCACACCAAUAUGGAUCUCGGUCUCACCGAGAUGGCCUUGCAUUUUCACUGUGACAUGUUUCACUCUUUCGGUCUCACAGAGUCAGUGAAAUCAGUCACACCGAGUCUACUUGUCAUUUGCUCCGUUGCUUAUUACUUCACUUCGGUCCCACCGAGUUGAGGUAAUCGGUCACACCGAGUUGAUAUUUUCCCUAGCCCUUGCACAUUGGUCACACCGAGUUGUUCUAGUCGGUCCCACCGAAACUCCUAACGUUCUCAUUUUGAAUUAAAUUGGUCUCAUGGAGUUCUUCUAUUCAGUCUGACCGAGUUGGGUCAAAUGUGUGUAAUGGUUGGAUUUUGUGUGGAGGCUAUAUAUACCCCCUCCACCCCUUCUCCAUUCAAGAGAGAGCCAUCAAAACAUGCCUACACUUCCACUACUCAUUUUCUGAGAGAGAACCACCUACUCAUGUGUUGAGACCAAGAUAUUCCAAUCCUACCACAAUAAUCUUGAUCUCUAGCCUUCCCCAAGUUACUUUCCACUCAAAUCAUCUUUCCGCCAUAGCCAAAUCUGUGAGAGAGAGUUGAGUGUUGGGGAGACUAUCAUUUGAAGAACAAGAGCAAGGAGUUCAUCAUGAACACACCAUCUAUUAACUUUUGGAGAGUAGUGUCUCCUAGGUUGGUUAGGUGUCACUUGGGAGCCUCCGACAAGAUUGUGGAGUUGAACCAAGGAGUUUGUUAGGGCAAGGAGAUCGCCUACUUCGUGAAGAUCUACCCGAGUGAGGCAAGUCCUUAGUGGGCGAUGGCCAUGGUGGGAUAAACAAGGUUGCUUCUUCGUGGACCCUUCGUGGGUGGAGCCCCCCGUGGACUCGCGCAACCGUUACACCGGGUUAGUCCACACAACGCAAAGAAAAGAGAAUCUGUCCAAAAAAGAACAGUCUAUUGCAAUCUGAAAACUUCGUAUAAUUUAGUAACUCCAAAAAUUCUGAGAAAUUAGGACGAUGUAGGUAAUUUGUAUAUCAAUAUUUUGUAAAAAUUCAGAAGCUUUCGUCGCUUGUGUGAUUUUCGAAAAUUAUUAUACUGGAAGCAAAAGUUUCUGUUUUCCAACAAGAUCAAAUCAACUAUCACCAUACAUAUUCCCAAAGGCUUUGCUUGGCCCAAACACUAAAUAAAAAAUAAAAAACACAAUCAUAAAACAGGCAUAAUUGUGCAAAAACUCAAGAAUAGAAAUAAAAAGGCAAAAAUAAAAUUUAUUCAUUGGGUUGCCUCCCAACAAGCGCUAUCGUUUGAUGCCCCUAGCUAGGCAUAAUGCAUAGAUUCAAGUAUUGUCAACCUUAUUUCUAGAUCCAUAGGAUGCCCUCAUGAUUGAUUAUUAUGGUGGCUUGAUUCUUGUUCUAGGGAAGUGUUCCAUACCCUUCCUUAGUUUGAAAUUGGAAUUGCCUUGUUUCAUAUCAACUACGGCACCUAUAGUGCGUAAAUACAGUCUACCAAGUAUAAUUGGACAAGACGGAUUACAAUCAAUAUCAAGAACAAUAAAAUCUAUGGGCACAUAAUUCCUAUUUGCAAGAAUAAUAACAUCAUUAAUUCUUCCCAUAGGAUUUUUAAUAGUAGAAUCUGCCAAGUGAAAAUUUAAAUAACACUCUUCCAUAUCGGUAAGACCAAGCACAUCACAAAGAGAUUUCGGAAUUGUGGAAACACUAGCACCCAAAUCACACAAAGCAAAACUCUCAUAAUUUUUAAUCUUGACUUUAAUGGUGGGUUCCAUUCAUCAUGUAAUUUUCUAGGAAUUGAGAUCUCUAAUUCCAAUUUUCUUCCGAAGCUUUCAUCAUGGCAUCUACGGUAUGUUUAGUAAAAGCUUUAUUUUGUUCAUAAGCAUGGGGUGAAUUUAUCAUGGAUUGCAAAAAAUAAAUAGAAUCAAUCAAAGAGCAAUUUAUCAUAAUUAAAGUCUUUGUAAUCCAAAAGAGUGGGCACAUCACUAGUUAAAGUUUUGACCUCUCCAAACCCACUUUUAUCAAUUUAUUCAUCAAGAUUUUCACCCUCCAAAUUAUCGGGGCACCUUCUAACUAAAGUUGACUCUUCUUCAGUCCCUUUAUCAUCAAUUUUAAUCUUACUAAACAAAGAAUCAAUAGAAGAAACACCAAUCACUUUAAGAUCUUCAUCAUUUUUAUCUUCUAACGAGAUUGGUUUGGCAGCCAUUUGAUUGACUAGGGUAGGUUGUGCAUCAGAAAUAUUUCCUAGAAAACUUUCAACAAAAGCAUAUUUAGAUUGGAGAUUACAAACUUCUCUACUAAUAUCAUCAAGUUGUUUUGUUAUAGCAUCCAGCACAACAGAGUGUUCCUUAAGUUCCUCGGUAAAAUAUCUAUUGUGCUAAAAUUGUGUAGUCAUUUAUUCCUUAGUACUUUUUUUGAUCUCAAGCAAAAUAUUGGGAUAAUGAACAUCAUAAUAAUUUCUUUGAGGCAUCAUGACUACGCAACCAAGAACGCACACAAAAACAGAUCUGACGAGAAAAGUGCGAACGAAAAAGAGGGCGAAUAAAACGGCAAAUUUUUGUGAAGUGGGGGAGAUGAAAAUGAGAGGCAAAUGGCAAAUAAUGUAAAUUGCAAGGAGAUGAGAUUUGUGAUUAGGAACCUAAUAGAUGUUGAUGAUGUCUCCCCGGCAAUGGUGCCAGAAAUCCUUUCUUCAUGGCUCCUGUCCGCGUCAGUAUUUUCCCCGAAGAGGAAGAGGCGAUGCAGCACAACUACGGUAGGUAUUUCCCUGAGUGAUGAGACCAAGAUUAUCGAACCAGUCGGAGAACCAAGUGGCACUAUGUAAACGGUACCUGCACACAAAGAACAAAUACUUACAACCCGACACGUAAGAUGGGUUGUCAAUCCCUCCCGAGUAAAAGAUAGAUUGGUUUGUAGUAGAUUGGAUAAAUAGAUCUGACGGAAAUGCGAAAUAAAAUAAAUAGAAAAAAUUGCAGCAAGGUAUUUUUGGGGUUUUGAAAUAAUAGAUCUGAAAAUAAAAGUGGCAAAUAAUAGAUCGGAAAACAAAUAUGAUAAAGAAUAGACCUGGGGGCCGUAUAUUUCACUAGUGGCUUCUCUCUAGAAAAAUAGCAUACGACGGGUAAACAAAGUACUGUUGGGAAAUUGAUAGAACUUCAAAUAAUCAUGACAAUAUCCAGAAAAUGAUCAUUACAUAGGCAUCACGUCUAAGAUUAGUAGACCGACUCCUGCCUGCAUCUACAACUAUUACUCCGCACAUGGACCGCUAUCCAUCAUGCAUCUAGUGUAUUAAGUUCAUGGAAAAACGGAGUAAUGCAAUAAGAAUGAUGACAUGAUGUAGACAAGAUCUAUUCAUGUAGGAAUAGACCCCAUCUUGUUCUACUUAAUAGCAACUAUCAAUACGUGUCUUGCUGCCCCUUCUAUCACUGGGAAAGAACACCGAACGACCAAACCCAUCACAAAGCACCUCUUCCAAUGGCAAGAAAAAUUGAUCUAGUCGGCCUAACUAAACCAACGGUUCGAAGAAGAAAUACGAGGCUAUAAGUAAUCAUGCAUAUAAGAUACCAAAACUCAGAUAACUUUCAUGGAUAAAAUAGAUCUGAUCGUAAACUCAAAGUUCAUAAGAUCCCAACAAACACACCGCAAAAAUAGUUACGUCAAAUAGAUCUCCAAGAGACCAUUGUAUUGAGAAUCAAAAGAGAGAGAGGAAGCCAUCUAGCUAGUAACUACGGAACCGUAGGUCUACAAUGAACUACUCACGCAACAUCGGAGAGGCACCAAAUGAGGAUGAUGAAUCCCUCGGUGAUGGUGUCUACAUUGGAUCUAGUGGUUCUGGAACUUGCGGUGGUUGGAAUUGUGUUUUGUCGACUCCCCUAGGGUUUUUGGAUUUUUAGGGUAUUUAUAUAGCGAAGAGGCGGUGCGGGAGGCGGCCGAGGUGGGCACAACCCACCAGGGCGCGCCUGGGCCCCCAGGCGCGCCCAGGUGGGUUGUACUCCCCUCGGAGCCCCCCUCUAGUACUUCUUUGGCCCAACAUGUGUCUUCUGGUCCAGAAAAAAUCUCCGAAAAGUUUCACUACGUUUGGACUCUAUUUGGUAAUGAUUUCCUGCGAAGUAAAAAAGAAGAAAAAAUCAGGAACUGGAACUAGGCACUAUGUCAAUAGGUUAGUCCAAAAAAUGAUAUAAAGUUCCUAUAAAAUGAUUGUAAAACAUCCAAGAAUGAUGGUAUAACAACAUGUAACAAUAAAAAAUUAUAGAUAUGUUGGAGAUGUAUCAGACAACAGUACCUAAAGUUUGUGAUUUGCUUAUUAUAAGUGCAUCUAGUGCCACCCCUAGUUGGUUUUGGAGUAUUGACGACAAACGUGGUUGAGAGACUAAUGUGUUUUUAAGAUUCAUAGGAGAACACAAGUAGAAGUCCCUAUUGAUCCGGUUUCCCCAUCGUAGAUGACCCCUAAAAAUGUAUGGAGACAUUAAAGACUUGGGUGGUUCGCGAAGACAUUCACAUCAAAGAUAAUGAUGUGUGAAGACAUUUGCUUGAAGACAAUGGAGUGCGAAGACAUAUGGCGCAUUUGGUUCCGCUAUGUAACAUAUUGAGUUUUUGGGUAUCGGAAAGCUCCGCUUCCGAUUGCAUCUACGAAAUACAUGCACUGUAUGGUUGGUGUGGCCGCGUCCCGGUUUUCAAAUCAGCUUGGGUUGGAGCGUUUUCGAUUUUGUGAACCGGUGUAUCGUAAAACACUGCUAUGGAAGACGGAGUGGUGAAAACAAACGCCGGAUACCAUUUCGGAAAGCCUCGGUAUCGGAAGCCGCCACUUUUUCCGCCAACCAAACGUGUUGAUAGUUUCUUUCGUAGUUUCAUUUUCUUCUUUCUUGAGUCAUAGGAACCACCGAACUGUUAAGCGCGGUUGAAGUGAAUAAAGUCAGAAAACUAACGUGAUACUCAACCCGAAUCCUAUGUCUUCGAGCGAAGACAAUGAGAGAAACUCUUCUCCUGAGUUGGAUAAGUCAGAUUUACUUGUAGCCCAUGUCAAGUUGCCGCGUGUGUUUGAAAUCCGACUGUUCAACACGUGUUGGUCCCUCAAUGACCCAGGGUCAUUUCAGAACAAAUCAUGUCGGGUUGCCCCUGGCUAUAAAUAGCCACCCCUUCCACCAUAAAUUGGCGUCUACUCCGAGUUAAGAGUUUGGCUCUUGUCAUUUGAGAGCAACCCACCUCCAAAGCCUUUGAGAAAGAAUCCUUGCGAGGACAAACCCAAACACCUAGAGCCCAAAGAAUGUUUAGGCAUCACUUAAGUCUUUUUAUUCCAUGUGAUCCGAAGACUUAUUACACUUGAAGACCGUGAUCUUCCAUUUGGUUAGGUGUCGCAUUCUGAGGAUCCAAGAGUCAUUGUGGAUCAUCGGUGAACGAAGCCUGUGAAGGUUUGGAAGUCUACCUUGAAGACUUACCUGAGUGAUUGGGCAACGACAAAGUGACCUUAGCUCAAGGGAAUAAGGUGAGGACGUGGUCUUCUGAGUUCAAUCUCGGCCUCCCUAACCAGACGUACAAUUUUCACAGCAACUAGAACUGGUCUACCAAAUCCUUGUCUUCGUCAAGCAACUGGUUCUAUCACUUCAACCCUUACUUACUAUUUAGCUUUGUGAAGUCAUUACUUGCCUCCUCUAGUUGAAUACAUUGUGAAAAGACAUUCUCUCUGGUCGCUUAUUUGGCUUCAUACUGUCUUCCUAUUCAGAUCCUGUCUACCUAGCUGCUAUUUGUCUUCGUGCUUUCUCUAUACUGUUUCUUUGACUUUGGCAUGGCUAGUGUAGUUUAUCUUCUGCUGCAUCAUGUUUAGGUGUUAUUUGACUGUCUGUCUUUGAAGACUUUCAUAAAAAUCGCCUAUUCACCCCCUCUAGUCGAUAACUACCACUUUCAAUUGGUAUUAGAGCAAGGUGCUCCGCUGUUCUGUGUGAUUUGGUUUAACCACCUGUAGUUUUAGCUAUGUUGAUUGCAAGGAUAAUCAAGGUCUCCGCUGCGUGCCCUGUCUUGGAUGGCACUUAUUACCCCUACUGGAAGAAUAAGAUGCGCAUGCAUAUUGAAGCCAUUGACAACAACCUUUGCUAAGUCGUCAAGACUGGUGUUCCCAAAGUCGGUGAAGGUGUCACCGCUGCUGAUGUUAAGAGGUUCGCACAAUUGGACUCGACCGCCAAACAUCAUCUGUGGUCAUCUGACCAAAGGAUAGUAUAGCCGUGUGAGUGCUCUGGAAUCUGCGAAGCUAGUCUGGGACUAGCUGUCCAAGGUCAACGAAGGCGUCUCAACUCAAAGAGACUCGAGAAUCGAUGUUCUUUGCAAUCUCUUCAACCACAUAAAGAGACAUGACAAUAAGAAUGUCCAAAUCACCUUUGACCAUCUUACUGAUAUCACCAAUGAGCUUUGUGCUCUUAGUGCCACUAAGAUCACGAAGCAUGAAGUCCCGAAGAAGCUAUUGAGAUCACUUGACAGCUCAUUUGACACCCUAUCACUUAUGAUCCAAGAACGUCCAGACUUCAAGGACCUUGACUCGUCUAAUAUACUUGAGAGGCUCAAUACACAUGAGUUUUAGCUAUCUGAGAAGAGAGAUAUCUAUGGCCCUAACUAUGGGCGAUUCCGUGCUUUGGAGGCAAAGGUUGUUUCCUCAUCUGAAGACUCAGACUGCAGUUCUGGUGAUCCUAAAGAUCUUGGCAAGGAGCUUGUAGUGUUUGUGAGAAAAUUUCAAAAGUUCUGCAAGAAGAAUUGCUUCGGAAAGUCUUCAAAAUCCAUCUCCAAGAAUGCUGAGGCUUCCACUCCUGACUACAAGAAGUGAACCUGCCACAAAUGCAAGAAACCAAGCCAUUACAUAUCUGAAUGUCCUCAAUGGGAAAAGAAAGCGAAGAAGAAGAAGAAUACCAAGGAAUAUGACUCUGAUGAAAAGAAGAAGAAGAAAUCCUCAAAGUCUUCAUCUCACAAGAAGAGUUCAUCGGGCAAGCCUCGUGCUUUCAUCAUCAAGGAAAUGGAUUUAGAGGAGGAGUCUGCUUCUGAGGAGGCGGAGGUGGAUUCGAAGGAGGAGUCUGAUUCAGGUGUUAUAAGCCUGGCUCUAGCUUCUGCAUUCGUUGCCAAGUCCAUCUUCAGUAGUGAAGACAUUGGUCAUGUCGCCAACGUUGAAGCCAAUGAUGACAACGACUCUGCUCCUACCUACUGCUUCAUGGAUAGAGGUGCAAUGGUAAACUCACGUGAUGCUUACUUUCAGACCUCUAGUGAAGAUGACUCUGAAUGUGAAUCCAAACCCAGCUAUAAGACACUUGCUAAAAUUCCAACUGAGCAACAAACUGCUAUGGAAAAGAUUCAAAAACUGUUAGACAAAAGCGAUGCCAUAUUGGACGAUAAUCGAACUCAGUCCUUAAUCGAAGACAUAAAAAAUCUUCGAGUUAAGUAUGAGGAACUUGAAAGUCAUCAUGAAACCCUCUCAGCUGAUCGUGAGAAGGUUUCCUGUGAUUAUCUUCAAAGGAAGCAAGAUCAAGAAAAACUGAGAGCGUCUCAUGAUGUUCUUCAAAAGGAAAACGAUUCAAUACUCGCUCAACAAAUCAGUUCCGCUCAGGAAGAAUUUGUGCCACCUUGCCUAAAAUGUCUUGAGCGUGAUAAUGCUAUCUCUACUACUGAAUGUUCAAAUGCUUCUUGAAAGUCCUAGUUAUCAACUAGAGGGGGGUGAAUAGGCAAUUUUUAAGAAAUCUUCAAGACAGGCAAUGUCUUCGAAGAUAGACAACCGAACAAGACCUACAAAGUAUGCAACAGAAUAUAAACUAUGCUAGCCAUGCCAUACACUACUGCAGGAUGCUGCUAACGCGACACUAUGAUCAGAGACCCUUGGACGAAACUGUGUGCUAUGCAAUAAUCGCAAACAGUGGUGUAAAAAAACCAUCAAAAAGGUGCGGAACGUUUGCGAUGACAGAUGCAUCAAACAACGUUUAGAUUUUAGUUGCAUGUGUGAUUCAGGGCAGACGGUUCAGUUCAAUUAACCGUUUCUGAUGAGGAGGAACAAAAGAAACGGGCAGCAAGAUGAAGGUGUGUGCGAUGUAUAAGCAUACGGUUCACUCGGAUGAACUGCUUUCAAAUUGCUUUGCCAUAUGCUCUUCCAAUACAAAGUUUGGCAUUUUUGGAGGCACUUCCAUUCCACAGUACCACCCGGCUCUGAUAAUCAUACCAUUCAUCUUUCCUAAUUAAAUGCGUGUUCAACCUUAGUAUCUUCAGCACCUUUGCUCUGGCAAGAAAGAACCUGGCGAGUGUAAUCUCCGGUGGGGUCCCUCGGUAGGAUUUCAAAGUAAUAUUUGAGAGAUGCAGAUCCAGGCAUUUGAUGUGAUUGUCGUUAUAAACAUCUUCCACCAGCCUAAUAUGCACUGCAAAAGAAGAGAACGUGUUAGUGCCUACAUGUAGUUUUGAACACUGCUACACGCCCAUUUCAUUUGCCGGAUUUGUAAAAUGCACUAACAUGCCAUCUUCGAUCUGGCAUGAUUAACAUGGGCAUUUGAUUACAAUCUAGAAACAUGUAGCCUUCUUCACAUGAGGUUGGAUUGGAGGAAAAAUUCCCUAAGAAAACUAGUACAGAUGAAUCCAAAGGAGAAAUGCUUAUGGAUGAUUGUAACCAUAUGAAUGAAGCAACCAAUAUGGGGUGGGGUUGUAUGUCCUAAAAUCCUCCAAAAUUCCUUCAGAAAUCGUAGUACAUUAUCAUUGUAAACUUGGGAAAAGGUGCAAAAAAUUGAACUCCAUUAUGGUUAACAUUUAACAGGAAAGGAACAUCACCUCGAUAUACAGCUUCUUCAGGCACGGAAAGCAUCUCAUGCAACUGAAAACGUGGUCCAGGUUGGGGACGACAGAUUCUAGUGCCAAGACCUUCACUGUGCCCAGAGUUUGGUUGAAGCUUCGCUGGAUGACAGACGAACAUACAUCUUCAAAACUAGAAAUAACGUUGAUAUCAAGAAGGAGAGGUAUAUAAGGCGACCGUUGUACCUGAAAGUUGUAGUAUUUGACAGACGAGUAGCCCACCACUUUCAAUUUCGGCGCAGAAAUGACAUUGAUUCUUGUUGGACCUUGUUGAUCAAUUAGAAGUGAUCUCUCAAGUGAAGGUAUGUCCUGGAUGACCAUAUUGUGGUCCACCUUUUGUGAUCUCUCGUUGCAGCACCAGCAACACACAUAAAUAGUGUGGAGAGUCCUGGAGGUGAUGUGCAAGGUACUCGAGUAAUUCAUCACCUGAAGACGUAGGAACUCGAGUGCAGUACAGCCGCGUAGCAGGCGCUCCAUGUCAUCCUUUGGGAUGCGGGCAGCGACGAGCUCGAGGUGCUUCAGUCGUGGUAGAAAAAGAGCGGGCACGUCAUUAAGGGGGGAUGGCAGUUCAUGAACUUGGCGAGGCGCAGCGUGGGAGCGAAGCGGAGCACGGACGUUGGCAGCAGGCUCAUAUGACCAUCAUUAUAACUUAGCUUCUCGAGCUGAUCUAUGGCGCGGGAUCGGAACCACUCAUCAAGCUUGGCUCGCUCCUUGCCAUUGGAACGGAACUUGCCUGCGCUAAGGCCUUUGAUUGGGCCACGAUGACUGACGAGGAUCUGGGAGAACGCAUCCAAGCUUUAGCGAUAGCCAUGGCAGAGCUUGUGGGCGUGGAGGAGGUCGAUAGGGGUGCGGAGCUAUAGGGUGUGCCACCGCCGGGAAACGGCGGCUGUCCUCGCCCGAUUUUUGAUUGGGAGGAGGGAUAUGAUGACUAUCAACAUAUCAUCGGGGAGGUUGUUGAUGAAGUCUAGGCCUGCUGGAGUCGCUUGCAGUUCUUUCUCGACCAGCCUCCGCUUGUUGGCAGCCUCGUUCUCCACCUCGUCAGCGGGGACGGAAACCUCUGUCUCCAUAUUCACACCGUGCUCCGGUGCUUUAGCGGCCCCGGCGUCGCCACUCCCUCCGAUGGGGCGCUUCGGCGGCAUCCUCAUACACUGACGGCUUUGAGGACUCAGAGCAGCGUCAAUGAUGCGGGCGGAGAGAGAGGAAUUUUGUGUGUGGUGAGGAUGGUGGGGUGCGAGCGCUCGGCGGCGCCAUUAAUAUAGAUCAGUGGGAGUGAGGCGGGCGGCGGUCCAAGGCUAUCUCGCUUCCCGGUGAGAACGACUGCUUAAUCUCUAGUAUGAAUGAAAUCUAUGCUUAAUUACUGAAUUUUAGUUGCAAAAAAUAGAUAGUGAUAUUGAUUUUUAGCUGCAUAUUUUGACAAAUCGCAGUGUCUCUUGGCUUAGCGCCGAAGUUUGGCUUUAAUUUGCAUACCGUAAUCUGAACCGUUUGCGUUGAAGAGAUUCACAGAUCCUCCGUUGAACAGCUUGUACGCUUCCCGGUGAGCCUGCGCACCGGACUACGCUCGCUCGCCUCCCGUUUAGUCAAGUAGCUGUCCACACGGCACCUCCUAUAGCCAUUAAAACCAAGACACGUGGUGUCACGUGAAUGGUUAACCGAACGCACACGGUUUGAAUUAUACAAACGAUUGAGAUAUUAAAGUGGCAGCUAUUUUGUUUCAAAAUGCCUUUGUUGGCUGUCAUUAUUCGAGUGUGCCUUGUCUCAAAAUGGACACGAAAAAUACCACAGCAUGUCGGGUGCCCUUCCAUGAUAGCAUGCCAAGUUUCAUGAAUUUCAGAUGAGUUUUUGAUUUACUAGAAUUUAAAAACAAAGUAUCUCAACGUUUUGCCGGCAAUCAAUGGUGCCCUGGUGUUUGAAAUUCAUUCCCAUUUCUUGCAUGGGACCUAAGCAUGCACCCAAGGACACAGAUUUGAUUUUUCAACCAAUUUAUAUGCACUGGAGCAUGCGCAUGUAGUUCAAAUUUGAAUUAUGCACAUAAAUGCAUUGAAAACUCACUUAAUGCAUAAAAAUGUCCAAACGAACCCCAAAAAAUCACAAAAAUUCACACAACACUCUUGUUGUUCUAUGUUGACACGGGAAAUUUUUUGAAAGCAAUAAGAGGCAAUGGAUAUCGUUUCGUCCCCAAAGGUGGGACGUUCCCUACCGAAAACCAACAUGCUUGUUGUGAGAAUUUACGGUUUGUGAGAAGCAUAUACCAAAACCUGCCCCAAAUGGGACAAAUUUUUUACCACAGCAUGUUGAUGCCGCUCCAUGAUGGCAUGCCAAGUUUCAUGAAUUUUAGAUGAGUUUUGGAUUUACUAGAAUUUAAAAACCAGGCAUCUCAAUGUUUUGCCGUCAAUCAACGGUGCCAUGGUGUUUGAAAUUCAUUCCCAUUUCUUGCAUGAGACCUAAGCAUGCACCCAAAAACAAAGAUUUCAUUUUUCAAUGAAUUUAUAUGCACUGGAGCAUGUGCAUGUAGUUCAAAUUUGAAUUAUGCACAGAAAUGCAUUGGAAACUCACUUAAUGCAUAAAAAUGUCCAAACGAACCCUGAAUAUUUCCAAUUCUUUUAUGAUCACUGCAGAUAAAAGGUCUAGAAAUUCAAACACCGUCCAUGGCCGCUGUGACCCCAUUAUGUAAUUCAAAUCAAGACAAAAAAUCAAGUAGAUCCCACAUAGUUUAUUAUAACCAACCGUGUGAGAUGCAGCACAAAAUAUCUUUGGACCGUGACUGAAUAAGGGACCGUGGCUGAUGACACUUUGCGCGCCAGUUUUUUGGCUGAAGCGAUUCAAAAUUUUCGGCUUCCGCGGUAAUAUCUACCUCCCCGCCCCUCCCCCUUACCAAAAGCCACAUUUCGUCACAUCCCUAGCUUCUGGCAAUGCACUAGGCUAGCUUCAUGUGUGCAUCAUGUUUAAUAUUUGAAAGAAACUUGAAAUGGGGAUGUCCAAACCCUAGCAUUAAAUCAACUCAACUAGGAUGGAUUAAAAUCUUUUCAAUAAACCCAAAAUGUCCCUAAGAAAAGUUCAUGAUUUCUGGUUAAGGUGGAAACCUCUGCCAAAAAUGAUGAAUAUAUUCUUAGCUCAUUUUUGGAUUUUUGAAUUAAAUCAUAUUUUAUUUGACUUUGGGCAUUUAAAUACUAUAAAUAUUUAAGUGCUCAAAUGAUUCUGAAACUAAAUGUGGGUCACUGGAAUAAUCCAGAGAGAGUCCACAAAUUAUUUCAGGAGUUUCCGAAAUGGGUUAGUAUUGUUACUAAUUCAAAACAGAGGAAAAGAAAUAGAAAACAGAAACAAAUGAGAGAGAGAGAAGUGCUUACCUGUGCAGCCCACCAGAGCCGGCCCAGCUCCUGUGCUGGUCCAGCACUGUGCGGCCCAGCCCACCGCAGCCGCCACCGUCUUCAACCUCCUGCCAGUAGGCAGGAGGGCGUGUGCCCGACGCGCGCGUGCACGCGCCGGCCACCUCCUGCUUGCCGUUUCCUCCUCGACGCGCCUGGAGACGCCACGACACCCCCCGGACCUCCUUCACUCUUCCCUGCGCUCUUCCCCUCCCUUGCUGCAUUCUCUCUCACCCACCCGAACGUGUUCGUCGCCGCCGCUCGCCACCACCGCGGCCAUCGCCUCCCCCUCGCCAAUCCGACAUGCCCAGGAGCUCCGCCACCGUCGCCUACGUCUCUCUGUCGACUCACGCGACGCCAAACGCCCCGAAGCACCGCCCCCGACCUCGUCUUCGUCGUUCGGCCGCCGAGAUCGCCGGCGACCUCCCGUCUUCAUCAGCUCCUCCCCGACCUCGCCGACCCGCUCGUCGUGACCGUGGUGAGCUGCUGCCCGUUUCCCCCCUCUCCAUUCUCUUCCUCGCAUGCCGUAGCGGCCGCACCAAGCUCGACCGCACCCGCCGCCGCUUGCGCCCGCUGCCGACGCGGCCCCGGCUACCAAACAGCCCGGGCGUCGUGUCCAACAUGCUCGCCGCCUCGCGUAGUUGUUGUAGGUGCCAUGAACGCGCUGCCAGGGCCACUGCAGCCCCGUAGCCACAAACACCCGAACGCCAGCGCCACCCCGAGCUCGUAUCCGGAGAGCUCCGGCCGCCCUAGCUGCUGCUACUAGCUGCAACGGGCGCAGGUGAGCCCCAGCUCCUCGUAGCCGCUCUCCGCCGUCCAAACGGUCAUCGGAACAGCGAGCCCGAGCCCUCCGCCGCGUCUGCUGCCGCCGGCGGCUUAAUGCCGGCAUGUUAGGCCUAUUGACCAGGGGUUUGACCUUCCCUGGGUCAUUAACAUGUGGGGCCAGCUCCUGCUAAUUUCCUAAAUUAGGUUUAACUAAAAUAGGAUUAGCCCCUGUGACACUGACACGCGGGCCCCACCGGCCAGGUUUGACCUCGACCGCCCAGUUGACUUGCUGACGUCACUAUGACGUAAUGCUGACGCUAUAAAUCAUUUUCUGGUUUUAUUAUUAUUCAGGAAAUUCUAGAAAAUCCUAUAAACUUCUAAAAAUCAUAGAAAAUAAUCUAUAGCUCAGAAUGAAAAGAUUUAUAUAUGAAAAAUGAUCAGAAAAAUCCAAUCUAUCCAUCUGUACUAGUUUCAUGCAUGUUAGAGAAACCUAACCUUGCUGUUUAGAUGAAACAAGAUAAUGCACUUAUAUGACUCUAUAAAAUGGGUUUGCAUUUGAAUCUUUGGUUCAAAUGAAAUCAUCUCAAUCUGUUCUAGCUUGCAUUAGCCCAAAACACAUUCAUAUUGCCAUGUCAUCAUCAUGGAUCAUAUUGUGCAUUGCAUUGAUUGUAUUUCUUCUCUGUUGCCGGUAUUUGUCCCCUCUCGAUAGACGAUGUUCCGACGUUGUGAUCGUUGACACUAAUGAAGACUCAAUGCUAUCUUCAGAAGUGCCAGGCAAGCAAAACCCCCUUGUUCAUUCCGAUACAAACCCACUCUCUCGCUUCUGCUCUCUUUUACUGCAUUAGGACAACAACGAUUCAACUGUACAUGCUGCGGUAGUUGAACCCCUUUCCUCUGCAUGACCUGUCAUUGCCACAGUAAAUAGAUGAAACCCACUAGCAUGAGUAGGAGUUGUUUGAGCCCUAUUGUGCCUACUCAUUCAUGCUUGUUUGUCAUGCCUGCUAUUGCUUAGAGUUGUGUCAGGUCUGAUUCAUCGGGGAUGGAUUGGAAUGUGGUGAACAUGUCCUACUGUUGAGAGCUAAGUGUGUGAACACGAUUUGGUAAAGGUAGCGGUGAGAGGCCAUGUAGGAGUACAUGGUGGGUUGUCUCAUUGAAACCGUCCUCAGGAACUGAGUUCUGUGUUUGUGAUCCAUGAAUAGUUACUACCACACAUUGGGUUCCGGUAACUCGACCCCUCUCGACUUAUUAAUCAACCUGAUCUCUGUCCAAGAGUUGCAACUAGUUUCUGGUGUUUGUAGGUUGUGUUAGUAGUCUACCAAGUGGUACCCGGUACAGGUGGGCUUGGGACAGACUAGGCACCGUGGCACGGUGUACCAAGCGUAGAUCCAUCCGUCGAGGUGGGCUUGGGAACCCUGCACACAUCGUUUGGGGCCGUGAGCGACACCUCGGCCGGAUCUCCUUGCGGAUGGAACCUGAAUAGGCGAUAAACCUGAACGAGAGACUUGUGUGGUUAGUCAGGUCGUGGCCGACUCCCUCGCCAGGCUUCCGCUUGAAGGUUGCCGAGGUACACGACGUGUACAUGGUGGUAAGUGGCGAGAGCGUGUGUGAAGAAGUACACCCCUGCAGGGUUAAGAUCAUCUAUUCGAAUAGCCGUGUCCGCGGUAAAGGACUUCUGGGUUGCCUGUACAGUUCAUAGACAGGUGAAAGUGGAUACUCUAAAAUGCGCAAGAUAAGCGUGAGUGCUAUGGAUGGCGUUCUCGUAGGGAGACGGGAGCGGAUCCAUAGUGGAGUAUUGAUAUGGUGAAUAUGUGGACUCGUGUGUGCCACCUCAAAAGAGUUACUUGCAGUCGUAGUUAGGAUAGCCACCGAGUCAAAGCUGGCUUGCUGCAGUUAAACUCCACCACCCCCUUUGUUGAUACCGAUGCAUAUGUAGAUAGUUCUGAUGUAAGUCUUGCUGGGUACAUUUGUACUCACGUUUGCUUAUUUUAUGUUUUGCAGAGAGACGUCAGUCUCGCUAGUAGUUCCGUGUGGACUUCGACGUUUAGCUUGAUACCUCAGCUACGAUCUUGUGCCCUCGGCCGGAUCUUGUAGAUAGUUAGGCUUCUCAGCCUUUUUCAUUUGUAGAUGUCUGUACUCAGACAUGUUAAGCUUCUGCAUGUGUUUGACUUGUAUGCUCUGAAUGUUGGGGUCAUAAGACCCAUGUUUGUAAUAUCUGGCUCUUCGGAGCCUAAUGAAUAAAUACUCUGAGUCGUAGAGUUUUGUUGUGAUGCCAUGUUGUAUUUGCACAUAUCGAGCAUAUUGUGUGUAUGAUUGAAAUGCUUGGUAUGUGUGGGAUCUGACAACCUAGUUGUUUAUCCUUGGUAGCCUCUCCUAUGGGGAAAUGUAGUCUUGUGCUUCCACGAGCCAUAGUAGUCCGCUACAGCCCGGUUCACCGGAGUCCUGCUAGCCCAGCACUACUGCUCCGGAACACUUGACUGGCCAGCAUGUGAUUCACUUCGUUCCUGUGUCUGUCCCUUCGGGGAAAUGUCACGCGGUGACAUCCGGAGUCCUGCCUAGCCUGCUACAGCCCGGGUUCCCGGAGUCCUGUUAGCCCAGUGCUACAGCCCGGAUUCGCACGCUGCUGACCGACAUGCUCGAUGUUGAUUCAUGUAUGCCUGUCCCCGUAAGUUAGUGCCACUUUGGGUUCACGACUAGCCAUGUCGGCCCGGGUUCUCUGUCAUAUGGAUGCUAGCGACACUAUCAUAUACGUGAGCCAAAAGGCGCAAAGGGUCCCGGGCCAUGGUAAGGCGACACCCGUGGGAAUACCGUGCGUGAGGCCGCAAAGUGAUAUGAGGUGUUACAGGCUAGAUCGGUGUGACUUAGAAUCGGGGUCCUGACAGCUUUGGUAUCAGAGCCUGACUACCUGUAGGAUUACCAAGCCAAACUGGUCGAAGUUGAGUCUAGAAAUGCUUAAGUUAUGUAAGGGAAUUGAUUGUGGAAGGGAAUGUAAGGCUCUUUUUACUCCUUUACCUUAUGCGCUUCUGAUCUGAGUCACCCUCUUCUCUUCUACGGGGAUUAAGAACUAGGCUUCUCAUCUUUCUAUUAGGAUCACGUGUUACUAAUCCGUAGACUCAUAGGAUUGAUGGAUUUAAGCCUCAGUUCAGUUCCUACUACUUCCGUAUGUUGACCAUUGAUCCCAGAAGUUUAUAUUGUGAUGUGAGUGGUUAUGCCACCAUUUUGUAGGAUGUCUCAAAUCUUUUUGAGCAUUUACAGUCGUUAUGCUAUCCGAGUCACCCCAGGUUUCUAAACAGUCUGAUGCAUUUGCAAAUCCCUUCCUCCCGUACCUGAUAUCCUUUUGGGCCGGAUUAAGCACACUAAUCGGCCUGUUGAGGUACUCCAUUGAUUCGACAUAUAUGUUGGAGCUAUUAUUAUGACCCUAGGUGUCAUAGAGGACCACUAAGUAAUCUAGCAAUGCUUUGUAUCCCCAGUGUGAUGAUUCUGGCCAUUAUUCUCGAAAGCAUCCCGUGAUGCCAUUUAGUUAGUAGGCAUUCUAUUCUGGGUUCUUGAGCCCGAGAUUCACUCUACUCAUUCAUGUUGGUAGUGUUUGCUAGUUCCUUUAGGAUAUUAGUAACCUUUGCGAUAGUCCUCGAGGUCCGUGGUAUAUCCUUCUUCCGAAUACCAUGAACUGCUUAUGGCAGAAGUUCUCUUGAACCAAAGGACCACAAUCAGAGUGCUCUUGACGGGCUCUCCAUAAUUGUGACUCUGCCAGUUCUACCUUUCUGCAUGGGUUAUCCGAAAGAAAUAUGUUGAACUCGUUCGACAAGCUAAUCUAUGCACACACAACUCAGAAAAUCGUAUGUUUCUUUGAGUUGUCCCUCUUUAGUUGUUUUCUGACCUUCGUCUAUCAAUUGAUAGUCAAGAGUAUGUGUCCAUUCGUUCAUCGAUGCCUAUUAUUCUUGUGGUCCGUCAAGCCAUUCUAUUCCGGAAUGACUAGGAGAAACAAACUCCGGUACCUCGUCCAUAUCUAGGAUUGGGUCAAAGUAGUUGUAUUCCACAGAUCAAAAUGCCAAUCCAGUUUUUGUUCUGCUCUACCUUGGAGUGUUACCAUCUUUAUGUCAAGAGUGUCAUGAGAAUUGCACCACCUCUUAUGAAUUCUUGAUUACGUGAUACUCCUCGCCAUCAUCGUUCAUUCCUCGGUCCCCGUGCUAUUAUAACCGGAAUACCGACCAGCGAAUUGUGAUGUGUGAAAUCAAUACUCCAAGCAACUCCGUUGCUUGGUAGUUGAAGGACAAUAAUUUCAUCCUUAGCGUGUUGGUUACUGAAUCACAUCCUAAGGUUGAUCGUGCUACCCAGUCCUUAUUUUUGGUGCACUCUUCAAUCAAUGAGUUAGGAUUUUCUCAAACCCUUGCUCAGUUGAUCAUAUCGUCUUGCCCUGAAAAGCAAGAUUGUUCUCGAGCUUAGUAACAUAUCGGUGGUUCGUGAUUUUCCGAAUAUUUUCUCAGAAGUAUCACCAGGUUGCCACCUGACCGCUAUGUUGAGCUCAUGAUUAAAUGGUUUUCCUAUAAACCACUCUUUCUCCAAGAAUCUGUGUUGGAUACCUUGAACUAGUUGGUUAAGCCAAACAACAACUUGGAGAGUUGGAAGAUAAAAGCUUAUCUGACUUAGUUCAUCACUAAGGGAUAUCUUUUUGUGUGUGUGUUGAAGAAAGAUGAUAUCUUCAUUGAUUGAUCCUUGUGAUCAAUUGUUGGAUCUACUGUCUUGUCAAUACUUUGAUUUGAGUGUGGGCUAUCGUCAAAUCAAAUCAGAACCAACGAUGUUCGUAAUGUUGUCUUACUCGUGGUUGAUUCCUCAAGCAUACACCAUUAUAUCUUUUGGUCUGACCAAUGCUAUCUUCGUGUUCACUUAAUUGUGGAAUUCCAUCUAUAUGGGAGCCUGGAUAAAUUGUUGCUGAGCCCAUCGGCAACAUUUUUAUCUCCUUCAUGAUUCAUAAUGAACAUAUAAGCUAGUGUUGGGAACUUUUUGAAAGCAUUUUCUUCGUGCUAGCUCAUGAAGUAUAUGUUUGGAUGAAAGAAGUGACUUCGUCUAAGCUCAUGUGCAUUAGUUGUAAGUUGCCGCCGUGAGUUCGAGAAAGAUUGUUUUUGUUUCCUUUGGUACCAUCCCAAGUCAAUCAUGCACGUGCAAAGUAUUCUGUGGUAUGAUAGACUGAUCAUCUUCAUUCCAUAUGCAUCCCUAGCAUACCAAGCCACUGGUUGAUUUGUUCAAGAUAAAGGAGUCUGUUCUAAGGUGAAUUCUUUGGACUUCCACGCGUGGAGACUUCGAUGUCAUUAAUGAUGGUUCCCCACCUGUACUCGGUAGUGUUGUAUUGUAAGACUACUCUGUGGUCAUGCUUGUCUUGGACAACAUGUUCACAUGUGUGUAGCAGAACCAGCUCAUGUUUUGGAGCUUGCUAUCGUAGUUCAUCUCCCGAGAGUCUCGCAACGUUAUCUCGUCGACUUGUGUUGCAACUCUUCUUUUCAGACAUGUGAGUCUGAAGUAUCCUGUUUCUAACCAGAUCUGAAUCUCAGGCAGAUAUGAUGGCUGGAACAUUCCAACAUUUGCAUUUUGUUCCUGGCUUGCACCGUCUUUGUGCCAUUUCACUAUGGGCUGCCUCCUCAGUAAUUCUCAUUCGGGAUCAUCUUCAAAAGAGGUCCUACCAUGGGUCCCAUCCAAUUUCGAUGAUAGGCAGAAAUCAUCCAUCACGUUGUCUUCAAUAAGGUAGUCCACAUCUUUCGUUCUAGUCCGAGUAUGUCAUCCUUUCGAACUCCUUCAAAUGAUCGUUUGUGAUUGCCUUAGGCUGGUAUAAAGAGUUCCAAUGAUCUCAGUAUCACAAGUAAUUGUUUUGCCACUUGAGGUAAUAAUUCUACGAGUCACCUUCCCCAAGGUGCCCCGUUAUCGAAUCAUGGCAAUUUUCCUCGCUACUUUGAAACCCUCGUCAAAUUGUUUCUUCCGUCCCUCCUGAUGCAUGUUUUGCCUCUUAGCUCCAGAGAUGUUUCUAUGUCUCAUUCCGUGAAUUGAUCUUGUGAUCAUUAAAAUGAUCCUAAGUUGCUCGAAUCUCAGAAAGAUCGAUUCUUCUAAAAUUCUCUCUCUCUACUCGUUGUUAUGUUGGAUGUAGUUCUCAAAGCAAGACGUCGAGAUCAAGGUGAUGCAAUGAAUCAACAUCUUCGAGAAGAACAAUUGGAUCGUGAAGAUUAUGUUAGUUUGCGUUCCCCUUUCAUCUUACCCUACGCUUGAAUCUCGGGACGAGAUUCUUGUUUAGUGGGGGUGAGUUGUCACAUCCCUAGCUUCUGGCAAUGCACUAGGCUAGCUUCCUGUGUGCAUCAUGUUUAAUAUUUGAAAGAAACUUGAAAUGGGGAUGUUCAAACCCUAGCAUUAAAUCAACUCAACUAGGAGGGAUUAAAAUCUUUUCAAUAAACCCAAAAUGUCCGUAAGAAAAGUUCAUGAUUUCUGGUUAAGGUGGAAACCUCUUCCAAAAAUGAUGAAUAUAUUCUUAGAUCAUUUUUGGAUUUUUGAAUUAAAUCAUAUUUUAUUUGACUUUGGGCAUUUAAAUACUAUAAAUAUUUAAGUGCUCAAAUGAUUCUGAAACUAAAUGUGGGUCACUGGAGUAAUCCAGAGAGAGUCCACAAAUUAUUUCAGGAGUUUCCGAAAUGGGUUAGUAUUGUUACUAAUUCAAAACAGAGGAAAAGAAAUAGAAAACAGAAACAAAUGAGAGAGAGAGAAGUGCUUACCUGUGCAGCCCACCAGACCAGCCCACCAGAGCCGGUCCAGCUCCUGUGCUGGUCCAGCACUGUGCGGCCCAGCCCACCGCAGCCGCCACCGUCUUCAACCUCCUGCCAGUAGGCAGGAGGGCGUGUGCCCGACGCGCGCGUGCACGCGCCGGCCACCUCCUGUUUGCCGUUUCCUCCUCGACGCGCCUGGAGACGCCACGACACCCCCGCGGACCUCCCUCACUCUUCCCUGCGCUCUUCCCCUCCCUUGCUGCCCUCUCUCUCACCCACCCGAACGGGUUCGUCGCAGCCGCUCGCCACCACCGCGACCAUCGCCUCCCCCUCACCUCUCCGACAUGCCCAGGAGCUCCGCCACCGUCGCCUAUAUCUCUCUGUCGACUCACGCGACGCCAAACGCCCCGAAGCGCCGCCCCCGACCUCGUCUUCGUCGUUCGGCCGCCGAGAUCGCCGGCGACCUCCCGUCUUCAUCAGCUCCUCCCCGACCUCGCCGACCCGCUCGUCGUGGCCGUGGUGAGCUGCUGGCCGUUUCCCCCCUCUCCGUUCUCUUCCUCGCAUGCCAUAGCGACCGCACCAAUCUCGACCGCACCCGCCGCCGACGUGGCCCCGGCUACCAAACAGGCCGGGCGUCGUGUCCAACAUGCUCGCCACCUCGCGUAGUUGCUAUAGGUGCCAUGAACGUGCUGCCACGGCCACUGCAGCCCCGUAGCCUCAAACACCCGAAUGCUAGGGCCGCCCCGAGCUCGUUUCCGGUGAGCUCCGGCCGCCCUAGCUGCUAGCUGCAACGGGCGCAGGUGAGCCCCAGCUCCCCGUAGCCGCUCUCCGCCGUCCAAACGAUCGUCGGAACAGCGAGCCCGAGCCCUCCGCCGCGUCUGCUGCCGCCGGCGGCUUAACGCCGGCAUGUUAGGCCUGUUGACCAGGGGUUUGACCUUCCCUGGGUCAUCGAGAUGUGGGGCCAGCUCCUGCUAAUUUCCUAAAUUAGGUUUAACUAAAAUAGGAUUAGCCCCUGUGACACUGACACGCGGGCCCCACCGUCCAGGUUUGACCUGGAUCGCCCAGUUGACUUGCUGACGUCACUGUGACGUAAUGCUGACGCUAUAAAUCAUUUUCUGGAUUUAUUCUUAUUCAGGAAAUUCCAGAAAAUCCUAUAAACUUCUAAAAAUCAUAGAAAAUAAUCUAUAGCUCAGAAUGAAAAGAUUUAUAUAUGAAAAAUGAUCAGAAAAAUCCAGUCUAUCCAUCUGUACUGGUUUCAUGCAUGUUAGAGCAACCUAACCUUGCUGUUUAGAUGAAACAAGAUAAUGCACUUAUAUGACUCUAUAAAAUGGGUUUGCAUUUGAAUCUUUGGUUCAAAUGAACUCAUCUCAAUCUGUUCUAGCUUGCAUUAGCCGAAAACACAUUCAUAUUGCCAUGUCAUGAUCAUGCAUCGUAUUGUGCAUUGCAUUGAUUGUAUUUCUUCUCUGUUGCCGGUAUUUUUCCCCUCUCGGUAGACGAUGUUCCGACGUUGUGAUCGUUGACACUAAUGAAGACUCAAUGCUAUCUUCAGAAGUGCCAGGCAAGCAAAACCCCCUUGUUCAUUCCGAUACAAACCCACUCUCUCGCUUCUGCUCUCUUUUACUGCAUUAGGACAACAACGAUUCAACUGUUACAUGCUGCGGUAGUUGAACGCCUUUCCUCUGCAUGACCUGUCAUUGCCACAGUAAAUAGAUGAAACCCACUAGCAUGAAUAGGAGUUGUUUGAGCCCUAUUGUGCCUACUCAUUCAUGCUUGUUUGUCAUGCCUGCUAUUGCUUAGAGUUGUGUCAGGUCUGAUUCAUCGGGGAUGGAUUGGGAUGUGGUGAACAUGUCCUACUGUUGAGAGCUAAGUGUGUGAACACGAUUUGGUAAAGGUAGCGGUGAGAGGCCAUGUAGGAGUACAUGGUGGGUUGUCUCAUUGAAACCGUCCUCAGGAACUGAGUUCUGUGUUUGUGAUCCAUGAACAGUUACUACCACACAUUGGGUUCCGGUAACUCGACCCCUCUCGACUUAUUAAUCAACCUGGUCUCUAUCCAGGAGUUGCAACUAGUUUCUGGUGUUUGUAGCUUGUGUUAGUAGUCUACCAAGUGGUACCCGGUACAGGUGGGCUUGGGACAGACUAGGCACCGUGGCACGGUGUACCAAGCGUAGAUCCAUCCGUCGAGGUGGGCUUGGGAACCCUGCACACAUCGUUUCGGGCCGUUAGCGACACCCCGGCCGGAUCUCCUUGCGGAUGGAACCCGAAUAGGCGAUAAACCUGGACGAGAGACUUGUGUGGUUAGUCAAGUCGUGGCCGACAACCUCGCCAGGCUUCCGCUUGAAGGUUGCCGAGGUACACGACGUGUACAUGGUGGUAAGUGGCGAGAGCGUUUGUGAAGAAGUACACCCCUGCAGGGUUAAGAUCAUCUAUUCGAAUAGCCGUGUCCGCGGUAAAGGACUUCUGGGUUGCCUGUACAGUUCAUAGACAAGUGAAAGUGGAUACUCUAAAAUGCGCAAGAUAAGCGUGAGUGCUAUGGAUGGCGUUCUCGUAGGGAGACGGGAGCGGAUCCAUAGUGGAGUAUUGAUAUGGUGAAUAUGUGCACUCGUGUGCGCCACCUCAAAAGAGUUACUUGCAGUCGUAGUUAGGAUAGCCACCGAGUCAAAGCUGGCUUGCUGCAGUUAAACUCCACCACCCCCUUUGUUGAUACCGAUGCAUAUGUAGAUAGUUCUGAUGUAAGUAUUGCUGGGUACAUUUGUACUCACGUUUGCUUAUUUUAUGUUUUGCAGAGAGACGUCAGUCUUGCUAGUAGUUCCGUGUGGAAUUCGACGUUUAGCUUGAUACCUCAGCUACGAUCUUGUGCCCUCGGCAGGAUCUUGUAGAUAGUCAGGCUUCUCAGCCUUUUUCAUUUGUAGAUGUCUGUACUCAGACAUGUUAAGCUUCCGCAUGUGUUUGACUUGUAUGCUCUGAAUGUUGGGUCAUAAGACCCAUGUUUGUAAUAUCUGGCUCUUCGGAGCCUAAUGAAUAAAUACUCUGAGUCGUAGAGUUUUGUUGUGAUGCCAUGUUGUAUUUGCACAUAUCGAGCAUAUUGUGUGUAUGAUUGAAAUGCUUGGUAUGUGUGGGAUCCGACAACCUAGUUGUUUAUCCUUGGUAGCCUCUCCUAUGGGGAAAUGUAGUCUUGUGCUUCCAUGAGCCAUGGUAGUCCGCUACAGCCCGGUUCACCGGAGUCCUGCUAGCCCAGCACUACUGCUCCGGAACACUUGACUGGCCGGCAUGUGAUUCACUACGUUCCUGUGUCUAUCCCUUCGGGGAAAUGUCACGCGGUGACAUCCGGAGUCCUGCCUAGCCUGCUACAGCCCGGGUUCCCGGAGUCCUGUUAGCCCAGUGCUACAGCCCGGAUUCGCACGCUGCUGACCGACAUGCUCGAUGUUGAUUCAUGUAUGCCUGUCCCCGUAAGUUAGUGCCACUUUGGGUUCACGACUAGCCAUGUCGGCCCGGGUUCUCUGUCAUAUGGAUGCUAGCGACACUAUCAUAUACGUGAGCCAAAAGGCGCAAACGGUCCGGGGCCAUGGUAAGGCGACACCCAUGGGAAUACCGUGCGUGAGGCCGCAAGGUGAUAUGAGGUGUUACAGGCUAGAUCGGUGUGACUUAGAAUCGGGGUCCUGACACAUUUCCCCUAUUUCUGCCUUCCUUUCCAAGUUGAAACCUUCACUCCUUGCUUUCAGCGCCACCGCGUCCUCGCAACCGACCCUCCUUCACGCUCCUUGGCCUCGCCUAUCCAGGCAUGUAAUCCACACCCGACCCCCAUCCUCCUCCUUCCACAUCCCACAUGCCCCGACUGCCGGCGCGAGCGCGACACCUUCCACCCAAAUCACUGACCCCUCCACCAAAUAAGCGUCGGCCUAAGCCAUGGUGCACGCAGUAUAGCCAGGACCUCAAGGAGCAUUUGGCAGCAGAGAAGCAAAUCAUGGCCGCACGCGCGGACGAGGUCCCGAUGGCUGCCAUUCAUGCCGAUCCCAGAUCUUGGAGGAGCACCUCUUCGUCGAGGCCACCGUUGACGCCUCGCGCGCCAACGCCACGACGUGGUUGGCUGCUUUAACAACAGUUCGUGGCGUUUUCUCGAGGCCACCGUCGGUGCCUUCGACGAAGACUACGAGGUGUUUUCUCAGCGUGCACAUGCUUACCUCAUCUCGAGAGCCAGCAGGUUGUUGCCCGGGGCGGCUCAGGAAACUCAUCACUACAACGAGGGCACCCACGAUGAGGAGGCCUCGCCCUCUUCCAAGUCCAAGGAGCCAAUCGUCAUUGAUAUCUCCGAUAAUGAGGAGUAGCUUGUAUUAUUAGCUCACUAUAAGGACCCAUGUUAAGUUUGCUAGCUACUGCCUUUCCUUAACAAAUUCUAGUGAAUUUUGCUAUCUACUUUUACCAUGCAAUCUUCUGCUGUAGUGUAUAUGUUCUAUAUGUCGUGCAAUGUGGUGUUCAAUUAACUUCUUGGUUCAAUUCUACAAAUGUGAUGUUCAAUUCUUUAGGGUGCAAUAUUUCCAAGUUGUUAAGCAUGCUUGGUUUGGUUAACUGUCUGAUCUUCUAUUAGGAGUAUGUUAUAUUGUUCAAUUGGUGUUUAGUUAACUGAUUGGUUCAUUUGUUGUGGCUUGGUUCACUUGUUGUGGUGUUUAGUUAACUGCUUGGUUCAAUUCUGUAAUGCGAUGUUCAAUUGGUAUGGCUGCAUUCUGUUAUUGUAUACCAUGUGAGGAAUAAAUCGAAUUUGGUUGUACUAAAUACAUGAGAAACAAAUACAAUUGCUAUAUUUCCAAGUUGUUAAGCAUGCUUGGUUUGGUUAACUGUCUGAUCUUCUAUUAGGAGUAUGUUAUAUUGUGCAAUGUGGUGCUCAGUUAACGUUUGGUUCACUUGUUGUGGUGUUUAGUUAACUGCUUGCUUCAAUUCUGCAAUGCGAUGUUCAAUUGUUGUGGCUGCAUUCUCUUAUUGUAUACCAUGUGAGGAAUAAAUCGAAUUUGGCUGUACUAAAUACAUGAGAAACAAAUACAAUUGCUAUAUUUCCAAGUUGUUAAGCAUGCUUGGUUUGGUUAACUGGCUGAUCUUCUAUUAGGAGUAUGUUAUAUUGCAAUGUGGUGCUCAGUUAACGUUUGGUUCAUUUGUUGUGGUGUUUAGUUAACUGCUUGGUUCAAUUCUGCAAUGCGAUGUUCAAUUGUUGUGGCUGCAUUCUGUUAUUGUAUACCAUGUGAGGAAUAAAUCAAAUUUGGCUGCACUUAAUACAUGAGAAACAUAUACAAGUGCUAUAUUUCCUAGUUCUCAAUCAUGCUUGGUUUGGAUAAAUGGGUUUUCCAUGUGGCUUGAAUUAAUCUGAUGAAUCUGCAAAGGUUUACAAGAUGCUACUAACUAUUAUACUUGCCUUUUUGCAUUCCUUUGCCCCAUUUCCAAUAUAGAGAAGAUAUUUAUUCACAUCCUUGUUUUUAGGCUUAACUGAUGAUUACCUCUCAAACCACCUCUGUGGUCAGGAGGCGAGGAAAGUUUUCAUACAACACCCACGGUUCAAUAUUGAAGUGUUCCUGAAGAGGUCAAAGGAUGGACGGUCAAUCAUCCAUAGGCACUGGCCUAAACUUGCAAAGACCUUCAACGUGAAUGAAGGCUCAAUAUUCGCCUUCCGCCUCGGCAGUUUUCUAGAUGAGAUGCAUCUCUCUAUGUGCCGUCUAUGAUGCUAAUUUCGAAAGGUUCUAGAUGUUGCAUGUGAAACUUGCUGCUGGUGCAGUUGUGUAAUGGGGUAGCUGAGUGCUGAAGCUAUAUCAUGUUGUACUCUGAUGUAUUUCAAUUAUCAAAUCCUGCUUCCUUAAUAUGGAAAUGGAAUAUAUUAUGUGCUUAAUAUGAAUGUCAAUUAGACUAGUAAAUGGGUUAUUAAAAAUAGGUUAAUUAGCCCACUAAUUGGCCAAUUAGCUUGCUAAUUGGGUUUUCCUAUUGCAAAUGGUUAAUGAGAAACCACCGUGGGCGAUGACCUCAGGCAACACACAAAGUUUCUAGGAAUAAACCGUGUUGGAUCAAUGAACAAUCACACACGACAUUCUCUUCAAAAUUAUUUUCGUUACGCCACCUUGCGCAAACGUUUUCCUUGUAGUGACUGUGUGGGAUGUAUAUACGAACGGAAACGUUUAGUGGUGACUGACUGUGUGGGAUGUACUUACGACCGGAAAUGAUUUCGCCUGUAUAAUUGUAUUUUUUUGAGCACUACUGUACGUAUUUCUGUAUUUGAGUGCUCGCCGGUCGCACGACCUCAUUUUGCCGAGCGUGUGUGCUAGGAGGGAAUAUCCCCAACGGUUUCUGGGUCGUGUGGGAAGGACCCCCCUAUCGCCCACACUCACUUGGCGACGGUUCCGAAUGCCAUCGCAGAAAGGGGUUAAAAACUGUUUGUUUAGGACCGACGCGUACCAGUGAUUGUCAAGGAAUAGUACAGGGUAAGUAGGAAGACAAAUAGCAGCUAGGUAGUUUGGAUCGGAAUAGGAAGACAGUAUGAAGCCAAAUAUGAAAUCAGAGAGAAUGUCUUCACACAAUGAAGUCAAACAGAGCAGGCAAGCAAUGACUUCAUGAGACUGAACUGUAAGUAAAGGAGUGAAGAGAUAGAACCAGUUGCUUGGCAAAGACAAGGAUUUGGUAGACAAGUUCCAUUUGUUGUGACAACUGUACGUCUAGUUAGGGAGGCUGAGAUUGAACUCAGAAGACCACAUCUUCACUUUAUUCCCCUUGAGCUAAGGUCACUUAGUCCUCGCCCAAUCACUCAGGUAAGUCUUCAAGGUAGACUUGCAAACCUUUACAUACUUCAUUCACCGACGAUCAACAAUGACUCUUGGAUCCUCAUAACGCGACGCCUAACCGACUGGAAGAUCACAAUCUUCAAGUGUAAUAAGUCUCCAGAUCACACACAUAGAAAGACUUCGGUGAUGCCAAACACUCUUUGGGUUCUGGGUGUUUUGGGCUUUGUCCUCGCAAGGAUUCUCUCUCAAAAGCUUCGGAGGUGGGUUGUUCUCAGACGACAAAAGCUGUGCACUAACUCUGAGCCACCAAUUUAUGGUGUAGGGGGUGGGAUAUUUAUGGCCUGGAGGCAACCCGACAUGCUUUGUCCGUAAUGACCAUGGGUCACUAAGGAAUCGACACAUGUCCAACAGUCGGAUUUCAAACACACGCGGCAGCUUGACUUGGGCUAAAAGUAAAGCUGACUUAUCCAACUCUAGAGAAGAUUUUCUCUCAUUUUCUUCACUCGAAGACAUAAGAUUUUGGUUGAGCAUCACGUCAGUUUUCUGACUUUGUUCACUUGAACCCUACUUGACAGUUCAGUGGUUCCUAUGACUCAAGAAAGAAGAAAAUGAAACUACGGAAGAAACUAUGUCUUCACACUCCAUUGUCUUCAAGCGAAUUUCUUCACACGUCAUUUUCCUCGACAUGAAAGUCUUUGAGAACUACCAUUGUCUUCAUAAAUUUUUAGGGGUCAUCUUCGAUGGGUAAUAUGAAUCAAUAGGGACUUCUACCUGUGUCCUCCUAUGAAUCUCACAAACACAUUAGUCUGUCAACCACGUUUGUCGUCAAUACUCCAAAACCAACUAGGGGUGGCACUAGAUGCACUUACAGUUCUGAAGUUGCAAUAUCUUCAACUGCUAAUGUGGUAGCUAACCCCUCUUCUGAGGAUGCCACUACUAUUGUUGAUGAGAAUGCCAGCUUGAAGACAUUGCUUGAAACAAGCAUGUACAAAAUCCUCAAAGGGCAUCAGACUCUGAACCGAAACACUAGGAAAGAGGGUGUUGGUUUCGAGAGGAAAAUGAAUGUUGAUGGUUCCUCCUAGAAGCCUGAGCAGUACCCCAACACCACAUGGGUUGCUACAAAGGGCCCUUCAGUGGACCCAUCCACCUUAUCUGGCUUUAACUGUGCUAAUCCUAUCAUCAUUGAUGAGUCAAUUUACUCUAACUAUAGACUGUUCAAAAAAUGGUGAAGUGUUUACCAGGUUUAUCGGAACUAACUACAGAAAUGGGUCCCUUAUGAAGAAGAUCUGGGUUCCCAAAAGUCGUCUUGAGGAACUUAUCGUGAAUGUCAACAUGACGCCACCAGGGAAGAAGAAAACCCCCAGACCAAAGGCUUCAUAUGGUGCAAAGGCUUCAUACAGACCAAAGACCUCAGAUGUCACCCUAACGCCAAUGUUUUGCAGGGAAACUACCACCAGGCUUAUGAAUAUGAGCAUGUUUCUUUGAAGCGCUAUGUUCACAAAUCAAAUCACUUUUUUGCUUAUUCAUUUGAGUACUAUUCACCUCCUGUGAAACUAUUUAAUAGGGCUUCAAAGCCAAAAUUCUUAGAUGCUGCACUUAGACUCAUUGCUUCUAACCCACCCCUCAAGAUGUGGGUUUUUAAGAAGAAUUAACUUCUCUAGCAGGGUCGGGUCUCCAGCCAAAAAUCACUGACUUCUUAAGACAAUGCUGGGGACCUGAAAACUCUUGUUGGGUGCACGAUAAAAUGUCAAAAUAGUCUUACCAUUUAUUUCGCCAUUGUUUUCUUGAUGACCGUCCUUUCAUAUCCUCAACUAUGCUUACCUAUGAUGAAUGUCUCUAUCGAUACAUGUUUGUUCUUCACAACACUCUUGGUGAAGACUAUCCUACUAACUGCUCUGUAGGGUACAACUCUGAAAGCCACUGAAUGGAUCAUGGACAAUGGCUGCACUAACCACAUGACUGGUGAUCGAAGUCUUCUCAUGGACACUACUCUGCGACCAUCAAAAGUCAUAUCACAUUUGAUGACACUUGUAAAAGCAAGGAAUUUGGUCUAGGUAGGGUUGCUAUCUCAAAGGAUCAACACAUGGAUAAAGUGAUGGUUCUUGAAUCCCUUGGAUACAACCUAAUGUCAGUCUCAAUGCUUUGUAAUCUUGAUAUGAUUGUGAUAUUUGGAAAAUAUUAAUGUCUUGUGCUAAUGUCUUCUAACAAAUCUCAAGUAUUCGAAGGCUAUCGAAGAGGUGAUUUGUAUAUGAUAGAUUUCUCAGUGGAACCAUAGCUUGCCGUACGGCUUCUAGCAAAAGCUUCAGAGUGCUGGCUUUGGCAUCGAAGGCUAGGACAUGCGGGCAUGAAGAACUUGCACACUCUUGUGAAGAAGAAGCACAUCAUUGGCAUCGAGGGCGUCAAGUUCAAGAAGGAUCAUUUGUUUGGUGCUUGCGAAGCUGGGAAGAUGACUAGGGCAAAAGAUCCCUCGAAGACAAUCAUGAUGACUUCACAUCCCUUCGAGUUUCUACACAUGGACUUAUUUGGUCCUACUCACUACUCUACCCUUACUACCACUGUACAUUUUAUGGCUUCGUAAUUGUUGAUGAUUACUCUAGAUAUACUUGGGUGCACAUAAUGCUCUACAAGAUUGAAGUGUAGGAUGUCUUUGGCCGAUUCACCAAUCAUGCCAUGACCAAUUAUGGCAUCAAGAUCUAGCACAUCAGGAGUGACAAUGGCGCCGAGUUAAAUAACACCAGCCUCGACACUUAUCUUGAUACUCUUGGCAUCACUCAUGACUUAUCUGCUCCAUACACACCUCAGCAGAAUGGUGCCGUGGAGCACGAGAAUAGAAAUAUUAUUGAGAUGGCCUACACGCUGCUUGAUGAAUACAAGACUCCAAGAAAGUUCUGGCCUGAAGCCAUUGAUAUUGCAUGCCACAUCGUGAACAGAUUAUAUCUUCAUAAGUUCUUCAAGAAAACAUCUUAUGAAAUGCUCACUGGUAAGAAGCCAAAUGUAAGUUAUUUCAAAGUCUUCGAUGCUAGGUGUUGGAUCAAGGACCCACAUCACACUUCCAAAUUUUCACCGAAAGCACAUGAGGGUUUUAUGCUUGGUUACGGAAAGGAUUCGCACACCUACAGGGUCUUCAACCUCUUUCACUAUAAAGUGGUUAAAAAUGUAAAUGUGUGAUACAUCUCCAAUGUAUCUAUAAUUUUUGAUUGUUCCAUGUUGUUAUAUUAUCAUUCUUGGAUGUUUUACAAUCAUUUUACAGCAAUUUUAAAUCAUUUUUGGGACUAACACAUUGACAUAGUGCCUAGUGCCACUUGCAGUUUUUUGCUUGUUUUUUUACUUUGAAGAAUAUCCCUAUCAAACGGAGUCCAAACGCAGCAAAACUUAUUGGAGAUUUUUUCUGGACCAGAAGACAACUUGGGAGCCAAGGAAGCACCUGGGGGGAGGAUCGUGGGGCCCACAAGACACUAGGGUGCACCCUGAUGGGUUGUGGGGCCCACGGGGGUCUCCUCCAUCGCCUCUCAGCUCUAUAAAUACCCAAAUAUUCCAGAAACCCUAGGGGAGUCGAUGAAACACAAUUGCAGCUGCCGCAAGUUCUAAAACCACGAGAUCCAAUCUAGAGCCAUAUUCUGACACUCUGCCGGAGGGGAACACAAUCACAGAGGGGUUCAUCAUCCUCAUUGGUCCUCCUCCAAUGAUGGGUGAGUAGUUCACUGAUGUUGCUUGUAGCUACGUUGGUAUUUCCCCAAAGAGGAAGGGAUGAUGAAGCACAUCGGCAGUAGGUAUUUCCCUCAGAUAUGAAACCAAGGUUAUCGAACCAGUAGGAGAACCAAGCAACACAACAUAAACAGCCCCUGCACACGGAUAACAAAUCCUAGCAACCCGACGUGUUAAAGGGGUUGUCAAUGCCUUCCGGGGUACGGCGCCUCAAGAUAGGCAAAUGGACGUGAGAUAAAUUUGUAGUAGAUUGAUAGAUCGAAUGCCAAAAAAUAGAAAUAAAACGCAGCAAGGUAUUUUUGUUUUAAUAGAUAUGAAAAUAAAUGCAAAGGAAAAGUAGAUCACAAAGGCAAAUAUAUGAGAAAGAGACCCGUGGGCCGUAGGUUUCACUAGUGGCUUCUCUCAAGAAAAAUAGCAAACGGUGGGUGAACAAAUUACUGUUGGGCAAUUGAUAGAACUUCAAAUGCUCAUGGAUAUCCAGGCAAUGAUCAUUACAUAGGCAUCACGUCCGAGAUUAGUAGACCGACUCCUGCCUGCAUCUACUACUAUUACUCCACACAUCAACCGCUAUCCAGCAUGCAUCUAGUGUAUUAAGUUCAUGGAAAAACAGAGUAAUGCAAUAAGAACGAUGACAUGAUGUAGACAAGAUAUAUCUAUGUAGAGAUAGACCCCAUCGUUUUGUCCUUAGUAGCAACGAUGCAUACGUGUCGGUUCCCCUUCUGUCACUGGGACCAAGCACCGUAAUAUCGAACCCACUAGAAAGCAACUCUUCCCAUUGCAAGAUAAAAAGAUAAAGUUGGCCAAACGAAACCCAAAUAUCGGAGAAGAAAUACGGGGCUAUAAGCAAUCAUGCAUAUAGCAGAUCAAAGAAACUCAAAUAACUUUCAUGGAUAUAAAAAGAUAGAUCUGAUCAUAAACUCAAAGUUCAUCGAUCCCAACAAACACACCGCAAAAGAGUUACAUCAUAUGGAUCUCCAAGAGACCAUUGUAUUGAGAAUUCAGAGAGAGAGAGAGAUGAAGCCAUCUAGCUACUAACUACGUACCUGAAGGUCUACAAAGAACUACUCACGCAUCAUCGGAGAGGCAUCAAUGGAGGUGGUGAACCCCAUCCGAGAUGGUGUCUAGAUUGGAUCUGGUGGUUCUGGACUCUUUGGCGGCUGGAUCAAUAUUUCGUCGACUCCCUAGGGUUUUGGUAAUAUUGGGGUAUUUGUAGAGCAAAGAGGCGGUCCGGGGGCACCCGAGGUAGGCACAACCCACCAGGGCGUGCCUGGGCCUGCUGGCGCGCCCUGGUGGGUUGUGCUCUCCUCGGAGCACCCCCCCAGGCGCAGCGAGGGCCCAUUAUGUUCCUUCUGGUCCAAAAAAUUCUCUGUGGAGUUUCGUUGCGUUUGGACUCCGUUUGAUAUUGAUUUCGUGCGAUGUAAAAAACAUGCAGAAAACAGCAACUGGCACUUGGCACUAUGUCAAUAGGUUAGUACCGAAAAAUGAUAUAAAAUGACUAUAAAAUGAUUAUAAAACAUUCAAGAUUGAUAAUAUAACAGCGUGGAACAAUAAAAAAUUAUAGAUACGUUGGAGAUGUAUCAGCAUCCCCAAGCUUAACUCCUACUCGUCCUCGAGUAGGUAAGUGAUAAAAACAGAAUUUUUGAUGUGGAAUGCUGCGUAACAUUUCAUAUCAUAUUCUUUUCUUUGUAGCAUGGACAUUUGGACUUUUAUGUGAUUCAAAGCAAUAGUCUAGUUUUGACAUGAUAAUUUAAAUACUCAAGCAUAUCAACAAGCAACCAUGUCUUUCAAAAUAUCAAAGCUAAAAUAAGUUAUCCCUAGCCCAUCAUGCUCAACCAUUUAUCCAUUCAUGAAACACACUCGCGCAUUUGCUACACCCAAUACUUAAGUACGAUCAUAUUUACUCCUAGUUGGUGCUUAUGUAAGAGAAGAUGGAGAUUCAAAUUCAAAAAUAAAAAUUGCAUAAUGUAAAUGAAAGGCCCUUCACAGAGGGAAGUAGGGAUUUGUAGAGGUGCAAGAGCUCAAAGCGAAAAACUUAGAGAUAAAAACAUUUUGGGAGGUAUGACCAUCCCACCAACGAAAACGACUUAGAGUUCCCAACACUUUCCAUGCUAGAUAUAUCAUAGGCGGUUCCCAAACAGAAAAUAAAGUUUAUUCCUUUUUCAACCAUACUUUCACUUUCCAUGGCUAGCCGUAUCCACGGUUGCCCCCCAUACCAACACUUUCCAUGGAAUUUAUUUUUUGACAACAUAAAGUAAAUUCAUUUUUUCAUUUCGGGACUGGGCAUCCCUAAUACCUUUACCUUAUUCUCGUGCAAUGACAAGCGAAUAAACACUCAUCAUGAGAAUAACACAUCUAGCAUCGAAAAUAUUAGGCACCCCUCGCCGUUCCGCGAGGGAAACGAACACACAAAAGAGAAGUUUAUUUUGAAAAUUAGAGAUGGCACAUGAAAAUUUGCUUAGAACGGCAAAAGAAUACCGCAUAUAGGUAGAUAUAGUGGACUCAUGUGGCAAAACUGGUUUAAAGGGUUUUGGAUGCACAAGUAGAGAUCAUACUUAGAGCAAAAUGAAGGCUAGCAAAAGAUUGAGAAGCGACCAACCAAGAAACGGAUAAUCUCAUAAGCAAGCAUUAAGCAUAAUUAACACCGAAUAAUGCAACAUAAGUACGAUACAAUUUCAUUGCAUGACUAUUAACUUUCGUGCUUGCAUAGGGAAUCACAAACCUUAACACCAAUAUUCUUACUAAAGCAUAAUUACUCAUCAACAUAUCACAUCAUCAUAUCUCAAAACUAUUACUAAGAAUCAAGUUUAUUUUGUCCAAUGGUCUUCAUGAGAGUUUUUAUUAUAUCGUUCUUCGAUAUCUAUCACUUUGGGACUAAUUUUCAUGUGUUGCUUUUCACAAGCUCAAACAAAUAUAAGUGAAGAUCAUGAGCAUAUUUUUUAUUUCUCUCAAAAUAAUUUAAGUGAAGAAAGAGAGAAUUUCUUGAAAAUUUUACUAACUAUCAAAUAAAUCUAAGUGGAGCAAGAGAGCAUUUCUUCAAAAAUACAAAAGCACACUCUGCUCAAAAAGAUAUAAGUGAAGCACUAGAGCAAGUCCAUAGCUCAUAAAUUUUUUAAGUGAAGCAUAAAGAGCAAUUCUAACAAGUCAUGAAAUAAUUUUGGCUCUCCCAAAUAAGUGUGUCUAGCAAGGGAUCAAGACAUAAAACACAAAAUAAAACAUGCAAAGACACAUAUCAUACAGGACGCUCCAAGAAAAACACAUAUCAUGUGACGAAUAAAAAUAUUGCUUCGAGUAAAAUACCGAUGGUCGUUAGAAGAAAGAGGGGAUGCCACUCAGGGGCAUCCCCAAGCUUAGUUGGUUGCUCAUUUUUGGAUAAUACCUUGGGAUGUUGGGGCAUCCCCAAUCUUAGGCUCUUCUACUCCUUAUUCCUUCAUCCAUCGUAAGAUAACCCAAAACUUGAAAACUUCAAUCACACAAAACUCAACAAAACCUUCGUGAGAUCCGUUAGUAUAAGAAAGCAAAUCACUACUAUAAGUACUGUAUCAAACCAAUUCAUAUUUUUUUAGCAUUAUAUCUACUAUAUUCCAACUUUUCUAUGGAAAAAAACCAUCAAAAACCAUGGAGCCAUCAGAAUAAGCACACAACGCAAAGAAAACAGAAUCUAUCAAAACAGAACAGUCUGUAGCAAUCUGACUAUUUCGAAUACUUCUGUAACUCGGUAACAAAAAAACGAUGACCUUGGUAAUUUUUAUAUUAAUCUUCUACAAAAAGAAUUGGCAUUUUAUCACGCUCUGGUAAAAAAUAAGAAUUGUUUUCCUGAGCGCAAAGUUUCUGUGUUUUUCAGCAAGAUCGUACAACUAUCACCCAAGAAGAUCCUAUUGGUUCUACUUGGCACAAACACUAAAUAAAACACAAAAAACACAAUCAUAACAGUAGCAUAAUUGUGCGAACACUCAAGAACAGAAAGCAAAAAGUAAAAAUAAAUUUUAUUCAUUGGGUUGCCUCCCAACAAGCGCUAUAGUUUUACGCCCUUAGCUAGGCAUAAAGCAAGGAUCUAAGUUUUGUCAUGUUUGGUUCGAGAUCCAUAAGAUGCCCUCAUGAUUGAUUCAUAUGGUGGCCUAAUUCUUGUUCUAGGGAAGUGUUCCAUACCCUUCCUCAAAGGAAAUUGGAACUUAAUAUUGCCUUCUUUCAUAUCAAUCACGGCACCGGUAGUGCGUGAAAACGGUCUACCAAGAAUAAUUGGACAAGACGGAUUUGCAAUCAAUAUCAAGAACAAUAAAAUCUAUGGGCACAUAAUUCCUAUUUGCAAUAAUAAGAACAUCAUUAAUUCUUCCCAUAGGCUUUUAAAUAGUAGAAUCCGCCAAGUGCAAAUUUAAAGAGCAUUCUUCAAGAUCGGUAAGACCAAGCACAUCACAUAAAGAUUUCGGAAUUGUAGAAACACUAGUACCCAGGUCACACAAAGAAAAACACUCAUAAUUUUUAAUCUUGACUCUGAUAGUAGGUUCCCAUUCAUCAUGCAAUUUUCUAGGAAUUGACACUUCUAAUUCCAAUUUUUCUUCAAAAGCUUUCAUCAUAGCAUCAACAAUAUGUUUAGUAAAAGCUUUAUUUUCUUCAUAAGCAUGGGGUGAAUUUAUCAUGGAUUGCAAAAAAGAAAUACAAUCAAUCAAAGAGAAAAUAUCAUAAUUAAAGUCUUUGUAAUCCAAAAGAGUGGGCACAUCACUAGCUAAAGUUUUGACCUCUUCAAACCCACUUUCAUCAAUUUUCUCAACAAAAUUUUCACCCUCUGAAAUAUUGGAACGCCUUCUACCUAAAGUUGACUCUUCUCCAGUCCCUUUUUCAUCAAUAUUAACUUUACUAAACAAGGAAUCAAUAGAAGAAACACCAAUCAUUUUAAGAUUUUCAUCACUUUUGCGAAAAAAUCACUAGAAAACGCUUUUUCUAAAAAUUCUCUUUUAGCUCUAAGCAUAGCGGUUCUUUCAUUACUUUCAUCCAUAGAAACAUAAAUAGCUUUAAUUGAUUCAUCUACUUUAGACAAAAAAUCAUCUUGAGAUUUUCCACAUCAUGAGCAAUUCUAUAACACUUCUAGACAAAUCAUCAAUCUUACUCAACAUUUCUUCUAUGGAAGUGUUGAAAACUUUUUGCGUGUUGAUAAAUUAUUUAAUAUUAUUCUCAAGAUCAGAGCUAUUCCUAUUAUUAUUAUAAGAUUGAUUUCCAUAGGAUUAAAAUUACCUCUAUAAGCAUUGUUGUUGAAAUUAUUUCGAGAGAUAAAAUUCACAUCUAUGGCAUCACUAUUUUGCUCAAUCAAAGUAGACAAAGGCAUAUCAUUAAAAUCUAUAGGAUCACUUUUACUAGCAAACAAUUUCAUAAGAGCAUCAACUUUUUCACUCAAAGAAGAAAUUUCUUCAACCGAAUUAUUUUUUUUACUAGUAGGAGCCCUUUCGAUAUGCCAUUGUGAAUAAUUUGCCAUGAUAUUAUCAAGCAAUUUGGUGGCUUCACCCGAAGUAAUUUCCAUAAAAGCACCACCCGCGGGGAAUCUAGAAGAUUACGAGAUACAAAAUUCAAACCCGCAUAAUGUUUUUGUAUAAUCAGCCAAAGAUUUAACCAAUGAGUUGGGCAAUUCCUUAGCAUCAUUUUCAUACUUUCCCAAGAUUGUGCAACAUGCUCAUGUUCAAGUUGCUUGAAAUUCAUGAUUUGGAUUCUAAGGGAAAUAAUUUUUGCGGGAGGAAAAUACUUAGUGAUAAAAGCAUCUUUGCACUUAUUCCAAGUAUCGAUACUAUUGCGAGGCAAAGAAGAGAACCAAAUUUUUGCAGAAUCACGCAAAUAAAACAAAAAUAAUUUCAUCUUCACGACAUCAAUGUCCACAUCUUUUUUCUUUUGCAUAGCACAUAAUUCCACGAAGGUAUUAAGAUGGGACGCGGCAUCCUCGUUAGAAGUACCGGAAAAUUGAUCUUUCAUAACAAGAUUCAGCAAAGCAGUAUUAAUAUCACAUGACUCCGCACUAGUGGCGGGAGGAGCAAUCGAAGUGCCGAUAAAAUCAUUGUUGUUGGUAUUUGAGAAAUCACAUAACUUGGUGUUCUCUUGAAUCAUGAUGACUACAUAACAAGAUUGCACUCAAAAAUAGAUCCGGCAAGAAAGCGACGAACGAGAAAGAGAGGCGAAUAAAACGGCAAAUUUUUGUGAAGUGGGGGAGAGGAAAACGAGGGGAAAAUGGCAAAUAAUGUAAAUCGCGAGGAGAUGAGAUUUGUGAUUAGGAACCUGGUAUAUGUUGAAGAUGCUCCCCAGCAACGACGCCAGAAAUUCCUUUUGAUGUCGCUUGAAGCUACGUCAGUAUUUCCCAAAAGAGGAAGGGAUGAUGCAGCACAGCGGCGGUAGGUAUUUCCCUCAGAUAUGAAACCAUGGUUAUCAAACCAGUAGGAGAACCAAGCAACACAACGUAAGCAGCCCCUACACACAGAUAACAAAUCCUCGCAACCCGACACUUAAAGGGGUUGCCAAUCCCUUUCGGGAUACGGCACCUCAAGAUAGGCAAACAGACGUGAGAUAAAUUUGUAGUAGGUUGAUAGAUCGAACGCCAAACAAAAUAAAUAGAAAUAAAACACAGCAAGGUAUUUUUAUAUUUUUGUUUAAUAGAUAUAAAAAUAAAUGCAUAGAAAAAGUAGAUCGCAAAGGCAAAUAUAUGAGAAAGAGACUCGGGGGCCGUAGGUUUCACUAGUGGCUUCUCUCGAGAAAAAUAGCAAACGGUGGGUGAACAAAUUACUGUUGGGCAAUUGACAGAACUUCAAAUAAUCAUGAUGAUAUCCAGGCAAUGAUCAUUACAUAGGCAUCACAUCCAAGAUUAGUAGACCGACUCCUGCUUGCAUCUACUACUAUUACUCCACACAUCGACCGCUAUCCAGCAUGCAUCUAGUGUAUUAAGUUCAUGGAAAAAACGGAGUAAUGCAAUAAGAACGAUGACAUGAUGUAGACAAGAUCUAUCUAUGUAGAGAUAGACCCCAUCGUUUUAUCCUUAGUAGCAACGAUACAUACGUGUCGGUUCCCCUUUUGUCACUGGGAUCAAGCACUGUAAGAUCGAACCCACUACAAAGCACCUCUUCCCAUUGCAAGAUAAAUAGAUCAAGUUGGCCAAAGAAAAGCCAAAUAUCGGGGAAGAAAUACGAGGCUAUAAGCAAUCAUGCAUAUAAGAGAUCAAAGAAACUCAAAUAACUUUCAUGGAUAUAAAAAAGAUAGAUUUGAUCAUAAACUCAAAGUUCAUCGAUCCCAACAAACACACCGCAUAAGAGUUACAUCAUAUGGAUCUCCAAGAGACCAUUGUAUUGAGAAUUCAGAGAGAGAUAUAUGAUGCCAUCUAGCUACUAAAUACGGACCCGAAGCUCUACAAAGAACUACUCACGCAUCAUCGGAGAUGCACCAAUGGAGGUGGUGAACCCCAUCAGAGCUGGUAUCUAGAUUGGAUCUGGUGGUUCUGGACUCUGCGGUGGCUGGAUCAUUUCGUCGACUCCUUAGGGUUUUGGGAAUAUUGGGGUAUUUAUAGAGCAAAGCGGUGGUCCGGCGGGCACCCGAGGUGGGCACAACCCACCAGGGCGUGCCUGGGCCUCCUGGCGCGCCCUGGUGGGUUGUGCUCUCCUCGGAGCACCCCCAGGCAUAGCCAGGGCCCAUUAUGUUCCUUCUGGUUCGAAAAAAAUCUCCAUGGAGUUUUGUUGCGUUUGGACUCCGUCUAAUAUUGAUUUCUUGCGAUGUAAAAAACAUGCAGAAAAUAGCAACUGGCACUUGGCACUAUGUCAAUAGGUUAGUACCAAAAAAUAAUAUAAAAUUACUAUAAAAUGAUUGUAAAACAUUCAAGAUUGAUAAUAUAACAGCAUGGAACAAUCAAAAAAUAAUGAUACAUUGGAGACGUAUCAUUCACCAUAGACCUACGGGUCCGUAGGCAAUAGCUAGAUGGCUUGUUCUCUCUUUUCGAUUCUUAAUACAAUGGUUUCUUGGAGAUCUAUUUGAUGUAAUGACUUUUGUGGUGUGUUUGUUGGGAUCUGAUGAAGUUCGAUUUUAUGAUUAGUUCAAUAUCCAUGAAUAUUAUUUGAGUCUUCUUUGAUCUCUUAUAUGCAUGAUUAUUUAUAGCCUCGUACUUCUUCUUUGAAUCUUUGGUUUAGUUAGGCCAACUAGAUCGAUUUUUCUUGCAAUGGGAAGAGGUUCUUUGUGAUGGGUUCGAUCUUACGGUGUCCUCACCCAGUGACAGAAGGGGUAGCGAUGCAUGUGUGUAUCAUUGCUAUUAAGGAUAACAAGAUGGGGUUUAUUCCUACAUGAAUAGAUCUUGUCUACAUCAUGUCAUCAUUCUUAUUGCAUUACUCCGUUUCUCCAUUAACUUAAUACACUAGAUGCAUGCUGGAUAGUGUUCAUUGUGUGGAGUAAUAGUAGUAGAUGUAGAAUCAUUUCGGUCUACUAAUCUUGGAUGUGAUGCCUAUAUUCAUAAUCAUUGCAUUGGAUAUAGUCAUAAUUAGUUGCUCUUCUAUCAAUUGCCCAACUGUAAUUUGUUUACCCACUGUAUGCUAUUUUCUCGAGAGAAGCCACUAGUGAAAUAUAUGCCCCCGGGUCUAUAUUUUAUGAUAUUGCUUUCGGAUCUAUCUUUUAUCGUAUUUGUUUUCAGAUCUUUGUUGUGUUGUUUCUUUAUUUAUUUUAUUUUGCGUUUUACUCAGAUCUCUUUAUCCAAUCUCAUACAAACCAAUCUAUCUUUUUACCAUGGAGGGAUUGACAGCCCCUCUUACGCGUCGGGUUGCAAGUAUUUGUUCUUUGUAUGCAUGUACCGUUUACGUAGUGUUGCUUGGUUCUCCUACUGGAUUGAUAUCUUGGUUUCACAACUAAGGGAAAUACUUACCGUAGCUAUGAUGCAUCAUCCCUUCCUCUUGGGGGAAAUACUGACGCAGUUUCAAGCCACGUCAAUGUGCGGUUCGAUGAGACUAACGGCUCGCAAAGAGAGCACCUACCAAAUGUGCUAAAUGAAGUUCUAGCUAAUGAAGCCAUCAAGCUAAUGGGUACUGGGGAAAUCUUACCCAUUGAGGAACAAGGACAUGAUGAAGUUGUGAUUCCUGCUCCUAUUCAGCGUGAAGACAUUGCCGAGUCUGAAGAUAAUGCUAAAAACGAAGACAAUGAUCAGCACAGCAAAGUCUUCGCCCAGUUCAUCCUCGUGUUGCCAAUGAAAGUUCGGAUUGAGAAGAUAAUUGAUAUCAUCAAUGCACCUAGACCAUUUACUCAAUCAAGAGCUAUACAACUAGCUAACUUUUGUGGGCACUUUGCAUUCGUCUCCAUAUCUGAACCCAGAAGGUUGUGAAGCUUUGAUGGAACCAGAAUGGAUUCAAGCUAUGCAAGAAGAGCUUCAACAAUUUGAGCCCAAUAAUGUCUGGGAGCUUGUCAAAUGUCCUGACGCUCGCAAGCACAAUAUUAUUGGCACCAAAUGGAUCUACCGCAACAAACAAGAUAAAUUUGGUCAAGUUGUCAGAAACAAAGCUCGUCUCAGUGCACAAGGUUACACACAAGUAGGGGGAAUUGAAUUCGAUGAAACCUUUGCUCUUGUGGCCAGACUUAAAUCCAUCCACAUACUGCUAGCCUAUGCAAAUCACAAUGAUAUCCUUCUGUACGAAAUGGAUGUGAAGAGCGCUUUCCUCAAAGAAAAAAUUGAAGAAGAACUCUAUGUUGCUCAACCACCUGGUUUUGAAGAUUCAAAGCAUCCUGACAUGGUCUACAAGCUCAACAAGGCACUGUAUGGCUUCAAACAAGCUCCUCGUGCUUGGUAUGACACACUCAAAGAAUCCUGAAGAGCAAAGGCUUCAAACCUGGUUCUCUGGAUACCACUCUCUUUCACAAAGACAUAUGAUGAAGAACUAUUUGUUUGCCAAAUCUACGUGGAUGACAUUAUCUUCAGCUGCACUUACAAAAGAUAUAGUGAUGAGUUCAGUCACAUGAUGCAAGAGCAAUAUCAGAUGUCUGUGAUGGGGCAGCUAAAAUUCUUUCUCGGUCUUCAAAUCCGUCAGCAAAGUAAUGGCAUCUUCAUAUCUCAAGAAAAGUAUCUCAAAGAUUGUCUGAAGAUGUUUGGAAUGCAAGAUUGCAAGGGCUACAAGAAGCCUAUGCCAUCACUACAAAAAAAGACACAUCCGUGACAUUAUGGGCCGAACGAUUUUUUUCCUAUCAUGCUUAUGACACUUUUAUGAUGAUAAUUGUGAAAAAAACACGUAUCAUCAUAGAUGUGGUGGGCUCCUACUUCUCUGAUAAAAAAAUCAUGACAUAAAUUUGGCUUUUCAUCCUGGGCGGGCCGGAGACACACCUGCAUGACAUUCUUUGGGCCGUCCAUGACAGAAAAAUCAUGGUAGAAGCGAGAGCGAGGAAAAAUAUCAGGGAGUUCCCAGUUAUGGUGGGUGGUCGGGGUCGAGCGAUGCACUAUCAUUUGCGUGUUUCUGUUGUACGCGCGUGUGUGUGAGGGCGUUGGCUAACUGAACCCGAGCGAUCGCACUAGCUACAUUACUUGACCCAAUGGAGAGAUUGAUCCCUUGGCUGUUAACUGAACCCGAGCGAUUCAUUCACUGCUGACUGAAACCAAUCGCGAUUCUUUCGCUGCUCCUGCUAACUAAACCCGAGCGAUCCAUCGCUGCUGCUGCUUACUGAAGCUGAUCGAGCCCCCAUGCGAGACGUAGCUAGCCGGUGUUGGGUUGCCUCUUGAUGAACAGUGAACGUUGCUACUGUGCGUGCGGCUCGUAGAAUGAGUCAAGACGUGGUGAGUUGAGCCGGUUGGUCGGCUCUGGAUCAAUAGUUCUCGAUGGGGGUUGGAUGAAUAGGACCCCGUGGUAGUAGGCAGUUGCCGCUCGAUGAACAGGACCCCGAGGACGCCCCCACACCCCAGCCGGUUGGGGGUGGAUGAACAGUGCCCCGUGGAUGCUCUAUGAACAGUAGAUGGUGGAGCCUGGAAGACAACAGUGGAUGAAUAGUACCCCGUGGAGGCUGGAACGAGAGGCAGUAGCUAGAUGGUGGAUGAAUAGUAGCCCGUGGAGUCCCGUUUUGCGGUAAGCCACACCCCUCGCAAUGAAUAGGAGCCUGUUUCGACCGUAGGCGGUUGAAGAGAAGUCCGUUUCCUCCGUUUUGUGGUACGACAGACCCCUCCCGAUCAACAUGACCCCAUUUCGGCUGUAGGCGGUUGAACAUAAGUCUGUUUCCUCCAUUUUGCGGUACGCCAGACUCCUCCCGAUCAAUAGGACCCCGUUUCGACCGUACGCGGUCAAAUAAAAGCUCGCUUCCUCCGAUUUAUGGUACGCCAGGACCGGUUUUAGUUGUUUCGUCCAAGCGAUUCGCUCCCGAUGAACAACACGUGUUCUGACCUAGUGGCUAUGCUUCCGAGGAACAGGAUGCGUUACGACCCAGUCGCUUGGCUCUUGAUGUCGCUUGAACUAUGUCGGUAUUUCCCCAAAGAGGAAGGGAUGAUGCAGCACAGCUACGGUAGGUAUUUCCCUCAGUUAUGAAACCAAGGUAUCAAUCAAGUAGGAGAACCAAACAACACUAAGUAAAUGGUACCUGCACACAAAGAACAAAUACUUGCAACCCGACGCGUAAGAGGGGUUGUCAAUCCCUCCACGGUAAAAAUAUAGAUAAAUUUGUAUUUCAUCAGGAGCCAAUCGGCUUGGCCGGAAGCAAAAGCUAUAUUCGAAGGGGCCCCUAUUUUCAUGCAGGAAAGUCAUUUCGAUCCAAUCCAUUCUUGGGGUCCGAAAAAGACACUGGAUAUGUCAGUGACUUUGCACAACAAAGUGUUCUCCGAGGGCAUGGAAUGUACCAUUUUUUGUUCUGAAUCUUUACCGUAAUGUCUAUGUUGGAUUCUCUAGUCGAAAUACAGGAAAACUCCAUCAAAUUCUUUAUGGAAACAGAGUUUGGUGAAUUCUCCCCGGAACUGGAAGAUCAUUUCGAGAUCUUCGAGCAUAUUCGACGGUUCAAUGAGACUAUUGUCACUUCGGCCAAUAAAAAAGAUGAGACUUUAAUACUGUGGAGCGGUUUUUUGCUAAACGAUGAAGGUGAAACUAAGUAAGAUGUCGGAGAAGCAAUGAAAUAUACGAGAUCACAAACGUAGAUUGCUCGCGCCUAAAUAUGAAUUGAGAUGAAAGCUUUCAAAUUUGGUAACCCGAUCUUCCGUCUGAUAUGCGGGAAAAACAUCAUUAUAAGUUGUCCAAGUUGCCAAGAAAGAGUUCAAUGGCACGAGUAAGAAACCGAGGUAUUUCGCAGGUCGCGCUUGUUCCGUAGUUGAGUUCUUUUUCAUUUCUCGUAUCGUUUUUCGUGGAUUAGCAUCUCGAGGUUCUUUGAUGGGCAUAAAUAAAUCGUCUUGGUAGCAACCACCAAACCAAUAGAACAAAGGUUAGCUCUGCAGCUAGUCCACAAGCAAGGGUUGUAGGUCCAUUACCAUCUGGCUCCCGACCGAAACUAACGGAGUCAUCCAAACGCUCGGAUCGGAGAUGCUAACGGGAUAAGAAUCGAAGUGGGGGACCUCUCUACUGCACCUGUCUCCCCAGACAUAGACUACGUACAUUGUAGUACUCUUGGAAAGAGAGAAGAUCACCGCGUGAACAAAAUCCAAAGUAACGAAUGUCACUCCCGAGGGAUCGACCCCUAUCAUACAUGAAAUUUUGCAUAGAAUGAUUGUUCAUGUUCACGCCGGAGUGCUGAGGUUGUUCUCACCAUUGAAGUCAGAGUCUGGGUGUGUUUUUCUUACUAAUACACAGAGGGUUCCGAAUGAUAAAGACCAAUCAAAAACUUCUUUGUUUCAUUGGUAGAACCCACGCCAACUCUUUUAUCUAUAUAAUAGAGAGAUCUUUUGAUAGUCUCACUUCUAUCAAUGCAUUGAAAGAAAUAUACCUUCCUAUUUGUUUGUCCUAAUGAGACAAAAAGGAUCCUCCUUCUUUACCACUUUAGGGGAUGCGGGUGAAGGGGGGUUUACAUACAACCAGGGCAAAGUGGUUUAUGAUUGAAUCUUAGAGGCAUUCUUAUCAUUUGGUAGAUCCAAAUCCAUGGCAAAUUUCGGGUUCACUAGGAGGUUUGGCAACCACCGUAGGAGGUGGGAUGUACAUGCACUCAUUUCAAGGGGGUGCAACACUUCUCAGUUUGGGCCUAAUAUUUGUCCUUUAUACCAUGUUCGUAUGGUGGCGAGAUGUCUACGUAAAUCUACAAAAGUUGUACAAUUAGGACCUCGAUAUGGUUCUAUUCUCUUCAUAGUCUCAGAGGUCAUGUCCCUUUUUGCUUUUUUGGGCUUCUUCUCAUUCUUCUUUAGCACCUAUGGUAGAGAUUAGAGGUAUUUGUCCCCCAAAAGGGAUUGGGGUUUUAGAUCCUUGGGAAAUCCCUCUUCUUAAUACCCCUAUUCUACCUUCAUCCGGAGCUGCCGUAACUUGGGCUCAUCAUGCUAUACCCGCGAGGAAGGGAAAACAAGCAGUUUACGCUUUAGUAGCAACUGUUUCACUGGCUCUAGUAUCCACUGGCUUUGAAGGAAUGGAAUAUUACCAAGCACCCUCCACUAUUUCAGAUAAUAUUUAUGGUUCUACCUUUUUCUUAGCAACUGGCUUUCAUGGGUUUCAUGUGAUUAUAGGUACUCUUUUCUUGAUCGUAUGUGGUAUUCGCCAAUAUCUUGGUCAUCUGACCAAGAAGCAUCACGUUGGCUUUGAAGCAGCUGCAUGGUACUGGCAUUUUGUUGACGUGGUUCGGUUAUUCCCAUUUGUCUCUAUCUAUUGGUGGGGAGGUAUAUGAAAGAAGGGAACGAAUAAUUGGACUGAGGAAUAAAAGCUCGAAGACAAAGAGAACUCCUCCGGGUACUCAAGAUAUUGUGUUUUGAGAGGUAUAGAUUGUAGAUUCCAGCCAAGAAGACCAGGAAAAGAUAAGGAUAAAGAAAAAUGUUCUCAUUUUUAAAUAAAUUGAAAUUCAUUGAAGACCCCUCAGUUUUUGAAAAGAUACCUUCCUCAGAUCAAGAGGAUUGUAAAGUGAAAAUACGAAAAAUGGUUCAUUCGUUAUUAGGAACCUCGUUUACAAAGUUACAUAAAGAUAUCGUCAUAAAUUUCAUAUUCAAAAUCUGGGGAGAAGGGGCCGGCUGAUCUCUGUCUGGAUUUAAUCACAAACAGGUACCAUUAUGAGAGGUUCAUUCGGGCUGUUGCUCAUAUACAACAAGUGCAACAGAUCCAGAAUGCAGCGGAGAAGCUGAAGCAAGCUUCUGUGUGGAAAGAGCAAGCAACAAUGGCAAAAAAGGCCCGUGAUGAUGCCGAAGCAAAUUUUGCGGAAGCAUCAAAUUAUUAUCAACAAGCCACUGCAGAAGCGGACGAAGCCACUGCUCUAGUCGCUCUUAAUAGGCCCUUGGAAGAAGCUCUCCAUAUCUCACUCCCUAUGCGUUUUUUCUUUUUGAUUUGCCUCGUGAUUUUUGUUCUUUCAAGUUCCAUUUUGUAUUUUUGGUCAUUUAAAAAAUAAGUUCGUUUCAUAUAGUUGUUUUUGUGUAGUGAUCUCUGUUCAUGGAGAUGACGAGGCCACUGAUACCCUAUGUGGAUAGGUGGGAUAGAAGAGUGGGCAUGUGGGCUUCUAUCAAAAGAUACCGCUAUCGCUACGCUCAUAUACGUCAAGGAAAGGAAGGGAGCGGAAAGAUGCGUUAAUGUUUCCACCUACUCUCUUUUAUAGCACAAGGGUGAGUUAAGUAUAGGGAUGAUCCACUCGUCGUAAUAGCGGCACGUUAGAACAUUAUCUACAUGUUUCCUUUUCUUGCUCAUGGCACAUGCCUAUCGUAAAACAUACCUACCGGGAGAAAAGUAUGAGUUUGUGAGCAUGCCAUUCCCUUUGAUCAUGCACUCAUUUACUAGAUAUUCAGGAACCUUAUUUUGACUUUACUAGCUUACUUUACUAGUAGAGUAGCAGGCCUUUGCUUCUGAACGACCUUACAAAAUGGAUCAACUAGAAAUGAAUUGGUGUCAUAAACGAAUUUCUCUAACCGUAGUAGUAAAUAGUGUGACACCAAGCAAUCGAUCAAAGCCAACUCAAGUUGUAUGGAAGGUGGACAGUCGAAUUACCCAACUGAAAUGAAGAAAGCCAUCCGCAUAGACGGAGUCCAGUUGUAUAGUUCAGGCUACGGAAGAAGACAUGAUGCCAUUUCUCUUAUCGAUACAGGAAAAUGAGCUAUUAGUAGAAACUACCUGGAAUUCUCGUGAACCAUCCAAGAGUAACCGCGCACCCGAGGUGUUCAAAGCCCCUUAGCAAUGGGAACGAAAUACUGUAUUAAUAGAGUGUUUGUGAAAGGAAAUUCCUGAAAUGAUGUAUCAUCGAAAUGGUUCAUUUCAAAAUGUUACCGCAUCACCGGUAGGAUUUCCAGCUUUCUCGAUGGUAGGUUUAGGUAUUUUUCUAGCGAAGUAAGGGACCAAGGAAGGAAUUUGUAGCCCAGAACCUUAAGCAGGAGCUCAUAACAUAUACGAAUGGAAGGAUUCCAGCUAUUGUUUCCUACCCCAAUAGUAAGUCUCGGAAAAAGACUCCUUCUCGAAAGAUAUAGGCAGUCAUCGCAUUAUCUACUUGAUUAUGAUAUGGAUUUGGAUCCAACGGAUAAUGCAAAUCGAAAAGUCAAGCCCGCCUAAAAAUGAAAGUGAAAUUUCAGUACGAAUUGGUAGAGCAAGAGCAGCUAGUUUAGAAGGAAAAGAAAAAGGGCGCCUGCUCAGUGGUAAGUUAGGUCAUUCCUUUCUGGCUAUCAGAAAAGAGUAUGAUCGAGGGUCCCAUAAGGCAAAGGGAAGGUGCUCCCCCGACCUACUACCCUCGGAGAGAUUCCUACGGUUUUCUUUUAAAAAAUAAUACAUAGGUGUGAAAGUUGUAUGAAUAUGGGGUUCGAAGUCGCCUAAAAGAACCUUUCUCAUUCGCAAAGCUAAACAAAGUAGAGAAAAGGGGGUCAUCCCAUCAUCCAGACUGAGCAUCAAGCCAGCCAAGAAGUCAAAGCGAAGAAGGAGUGACUCGCAUGAGUCAACACUUACUACUCAGGUCCGGUAUAUAUAUAUAUCUCAAAUUAGAAUAUAGAAAUGUUAAUGUUAUGAUUUCAGUAUUGUUGAAACUGGCUUUCACAUGAAUAACCCCUUUUGUUAUUCUACGUGCACUAUUCGUAAACUAAAACGGGCAUUCCUACACAAACUAAUAGGCACUUUCUUUCGUGAACCUAUUUUGGUAUAGCUCUGCUAAUAUUUGAUGGCCAUUUGUACUUGUGAAAAUAGAUAGAGCCAUCUCGCGCAUCACUGCUUACUUGUGAUCUAGAUCUGCAUCCUGAUAAGGUGCAUCCCAUUAAAUGAUCUUAUGUAAAACUUAUCAUCACAGAUAAUAAACAUGGUAGAGUUUUGAAAAGUACAACUCGAUCUUUCACCUCAGCUUAUGGUGGUGACUUUACCUAUUUAGGAAUUUCUAUAUGUCAUCAUACAUUUUAGGAUCAUAACCAUCAUCAUCUUGUAAAGUUUCUAUGGUGAAAGCUGUAAGCGGCUGACCCUGACGAUUGCACCAAGACUGGUAUGAGGGUCCUUCGGUAAUCAAAAUUAUAGAGGCCAAAUUUGCUAAUGUACGUGCAAAAGAAGAGCUAUAGGAAGUAGCAAGGAAUCCCACAUGAACCAUAAGCUAGAAUACUGGUAUCAAGAGAUGUUAUUACAGGUACAACCCUAUUUUUGUCACUUUAUAUAGGCAUUCGAGGUUUCAUAGACAAAGGUUAGAUAGAUGGAAAAAACUAGGUUAGAUAGUAAGAACUUGGUAAUUGAGGGUUGGCCAAAGCAGGAUCUAUGGUUCAGUUGCUUUCUUCUCCUGAUUUUUUGAUCCAAAUCCUAUUUCAUUGAUUUUCUGAUUGGAAUUCCAGAAGGAAAACUAGGAGAAAUUGACCUGAAAUGAUUAUCCCAUUUCUUGCUUUCCCAACCGGAAGAGCAAACUAGUAGCAAAGGAUAUGUUAUUUUGGAGUUCUUUCCCAACCUUCAUUCAAUUAUCCGGGCGGCCCUUUGGCUUGAAGAAGACCGCUUUACCUCUUUUUCCCUGGCACCCAACAUAAGUAUAGGGCGCCCUGAGGGUAGACCCAGCAAUUUGUCAAUCUAUACAUAGCAUAAGUUAUAGGUCGGCUAGGUCAAUCAGUUGAGGGAAGGCCGAAGUAGUUCUGGUUUCGAAAAUCAAGGAAGAUAAGCUAUGGUGUCCUAUAAUCCUCUCCCCUGAAGGGUUGUUAGAUUACCAAGUCCGCAAGGAAUGGGAAAUAUGACUUUAAAUCAAUGCAACUAAGGGCUGAUUAACCUAAAGAAAAGAGUGCAUGCAUCAAAAAACUCUUUUAUUUGAUUCCAAUUCUCGUAUCAAUAAGAUCAUAUCGCGAUCCAUCUAUGAAAGAUCUCUAUUGCAUCAAUAAAACAAACCCCUAUACAUAUAUCCCUUUUUGGUAUAGAAAGUUCCAGCCAAUUCCAAUAGCUUGUGAUAGAGUCAAGGGUGCGAUUACCCUGGAAUCUCAUCUCACACUUUCGGGAAGCUCGAUAGUGUCGUAUUCCACUCGUAUGCUCUCGUUAUGUAAUAGAAUACCUUUUAAUGUUCAUCAAGUGAACGUAGCCCUUUCGUAGUCUAUGCCCCUUUACUCUUAAGUGGAGGAAUCCCCUGAAAGCCGGUGAUCGAGUGAGUUUUUUCCAGGAAGCUAGUUCUUUAGGGCUUAAAUGCACCGCUUGUCGGCUGUGAAAGGUAUACCUUUCCUUUCCCACCUGUUUUCGGUGCCUUCUUUAUGCUCUUUCCUAAGGAAGUAAGAGGAAGAGUGAGGGUCGAUAGGCAAAGAAUGGCUUGAAUGAAAGCUGGAGUGGCACAAGACAGAUGUGAAGGCAAAGGGAAUAGCUCAUAUGGAAAGAAACAUAUAUAGUCAAUGAAAUUCUAAAGAUAGCCAUAAUAAGUGAUAUGGUAAAAGAUUCUGAAUGAAUGAAUAGAAUCUAAUAACAUUGGGUUCCCAUGAAACAAUGGGAUUGGAGGAGUAGUUCCCCUCUAGCCAAUCCUAAAAGUUCUUCUGCCUUCGAUCCCAUGGUAAGCCUUUCAAGUUUCCAGCCAGUAGAAAAGAAAUUCAGUAAGUAAUAGAAACGGGAUGGCCAUCAUAAAAAGGAAAUCUCAAUUAAUACUUAUUUUUGGAAAGAGAGGUUAAGUUAUAUGAGACUAAGGCAAGAAGACAAAAAGACGUUCAUGUUACCAAUUCUGUCUCGUCUGAUCUUUUAUUGGUUUUGUUUUUUCUCUCGUGCCCUUCUGGGCGGCAGAAAGAACUGAUGUAGGGGUUGCCGCUCCUUAGUUCAUCUCUCGGUAGAACAAGGUACCUAUGCGGUGGGUUCGACUCCUACAGGACCGUACAUUUCCCAUCGAUUUGGUACUUUUCUUGAUUCAGAGUUCUUGUUGUCCAUUAUGGAUUCUUUAGCGAUGUAAAGCCAUCAAGCAGUAGACUAGCAAGGUUUUUUUUCUCGGUUUACGUUCUUGAAUCAGUUAAUGAGAGUAAGGGCUAGUGAUCCAUCUAAUCACUAAAGUUGGGGCAUCUUUCUUUUUGUAGUAAGCAACUCUAUUGAGAAUCUAGUUUCUUGAUCGAAGUAAAGAAGAAUUGUAGUUCCUCUUUAGGCGAGCUACUUCGUUCCUAUUCUCCGAUUCUGAAUAGGAGAAGGUUGUAAUGAACCCAAAAUACUUCGCCAAGGUUCAACCGUUUUGCUAUAGUUUUCUUCCAAUUUCUUUUAAGGAAUUCUGAUCAACAGAAAAAAAUGUGGGUGUAGAUGUUGCUUCGGCUUCUGUUUCUAGCUCUGCUUGAGCUGCUUCGUCUGUUUCUCUUGAUGUGGGUGUAGGUCUUUUGAGAUUGUAACACCCGGAGAAUCAUGCUACAGUAAUCCCCUGUUGAUGGUGCCAUGUCAUCACUCUUAUUGUUGCUAAUCCUCAUUUGCUUUCAAACACAAUUCAACUUCAAAUCUAAUUUAUAGUCAAAAUUCAGAAACUUCUCAAACAUGAAGACUAAAAUGUUCAUCGUGUGGAAAGUGUUCUUUUGGUAAUAUUAGUAGUGAACCAACAUUUUUGCAAAGUGUCUAAUUGGCCUAAAAUAUUUAAAACAGUGGCUAAAUCAUUCAUUUAAAUGCUUUUUAAUUUGUAAACAAACUCUAAAAUAAUUUAUUUUAGUGCCAAAUUAAUUGUGGAAGUGGUCUAACUAUUAACACUAUUUUAGGGCUAGUGUUAUUUUUAUAAAUCCUAAAAAUAAAUAAAAUUCAUAGAGAAAACAGCAAGUAUUUAAAACAAAAGGAAGUGGGAGGGGGAGCCGAGCUCGGGAUCGAGCAAGAGGAGAGGGGAUAGGUGGAUCUGGGGGAGNNNNNNNNNNNNNNNNNNNNNNNNNNNNNNNNNNNNNNNNNNNNNNNNNNNNNNNNNNNNNNNNNNNNNNNNNNNNNNNNNNNNNNNNNNNNNNNNNNNNNNNNNNNNNNNNNNNNNNNNNNNNNNNNNNNNNNNNNNNNNNNNNNNNNNNNNNNNNNNNNNNNNNNNNNNNNNNNNNNNNNNNNNNNNNNNNNNNNNNNNNNNNNNNNNNNNNNNNNNNNNNNNNNNNNNNNNNNNNNNNNNNNNNNNNNNNNNNNNNNNNNNNNNNNNNNNNNNNNNNNNNNNNNNNNNNNNNNNNNNNNNNNNNNNNNNNNNNNNNNNNNNNNNNNNNNNNNAGGGGAUCCUUAUCCCCUCAUUGCAGAAGCGCGAGGUGAUGAGUGGGUUCGACGGCGACCACGGGCGCGGGUCGGUCAAACAGGAUAAGGGGGAAGACAACAGGGGAGGGGGAGUGGGCUGGCUGGGGGUGGGCCGACGGCCAGCUGGGCCGUUUGGCCUAGUGGGGGGUCCGUUUCUUUUUUUUUGCCUUUUCCUUUUGUUUUAAAUACUUGCUGUUUUCUCUAUGAAUUUUUUUUUUAGGAUUUAGAAAAAUAACACUAAUUAGUUAAGCUAAAUAGUCACUAACAUGUGGGGCCCAGCUGCUAAUUAACCAUGUUUAAUUAAAAUAACGCACUGUUAGCCCUCUCUGUAUGACAUGUGGGACCCACUGGUUAGGUUUGACCUGGUCAGCCACCCUGCUGACUGCUGAUGUCACUGUGACGUCAUGUUGACGCAAUAAACCUUUCUGUUAUUUAUUUAAUUCCAGAAAAUGUUUAAAACUUUCAAAAUUCAUAGAAAUUAAACCGUAACUCGGAUGAAAAUGUUUUCUACCUGAAAGUUGCGCAGAAAAAUCCAAUGAAUCCGAAUACGCGGUCCGUUCAUCUGUCACAUCCCUCUAGCAUGCUGAACAUGGAACCGUCCCCCUCUUUUCAUUUGUCCGGAAAACACCAAACGCCAGGAAAACCCCUCCGGAUGUUUUCCCUCUCCAUUUGCAACGUGUAGUAUUGCGUUAGGUCAUCCCUGGCACCGCGAAUUGCCAUGUCUUACUUUUUGAUGCUUUUGAUUGCUCUAUUAUUUAUUGUGUUCCCCCUCCGUUAUUUCUUUUCCGAUAGACACCGAGAUCGAUGUUGUCCCUGUGAUCGACUACGUCACCAACGACACUUCUUCCUUUUCAGCAGAGCUUCCAGGCAAGCCCCCCCUUUGAUCAUCCCGAUAUUGCCCAUUCCAUUCUCUCAUGCUUGCAUUAGAUUUUGCUACUCUAAUUGAUUGCUCCUAUUCUGAUGCAUAGCCUGCUUUCGUAACCUCCUUAUUGAUACCUACCUACUUAUCCUAAACUCCUUAGGAUAGGUUGGUUAGUGAUCCAUCAGUGACCCCCACCUUGUCCUUGUUGCCCCUGCUUCAUCAUCGUAGACCCGAUCAACGGGAUCGAACACCAGGCCCCGGCACCGCACAUCACUUUCCCCUUAGUUGCUCAACACUACUGGGUUACUGUCGAGUGCCGAGGGUGAGACCUCAUCAGCACGUCUGAUGUUCACCCUGUAGUGUAGCUAUUCGGUCGUGGUCAUCGAGGGUGAUUCCGCCAUAACCACUUCCGAUACGACUCUGUCAUGCAACCCCUCAAGUGUGAACCUCGAGGGUGGUUCCUCUUACGUUCACAUUGAUGAUUACAUCGAGUGGAAUCCAUCGAGGAUGGUUCCUCAGGGUUCCCCUUGGUGUUAGACACACGGUUACUAUGGUUACUAUGACUUUACCCUGAACCAGGUUACUAAAGACGGGUCGGCCCUGGGGGUCCCCGCGCGAGCUUAAUUACGAGUGAUGUGGAGUCGGGUUGACCUGGAAGGUGCCCGCGAGAUACUUACGAGGCGUGGCCGGGCAUUCUUAGCCCUUGCCGCAAGUCCUCGAGACAGGGCGACGGGGUCACAUCUUUCGUGAGUCUCUGCUUAUUACCGCGCGCUCCUAAUCCACUAUGAUUUGGAUAUUUGAUCCGAGGGGCCUCUGGCCUGAUAGCACUAACCAUCACGUGGGCAUAGUAUGGCGUUCUGCGUCGUAUGCAUCAGCCGAAGCUUAAUAGACAUCAGCGACUGAGCGGCGUGCGCCGGGUUCGAUUGGAAAGCACCUGCCUUUUUUAAGGAGGUAGCUAAGUCUGCUCACCGGCCGGCCGUGUUCGCAACGUGCAGGAGUUCCCAGGGCGAUGGCCCAUGACCCCUGGGGGCAUAGGUUUAGUCCGGCGUGCUGACCUCUCUAUUAAGCCUAGGUUGGGUUGCGGCGUAUUGUUUGGCCGAGGCCGGGAGUGACCCAGGAAAGUGUCCCAGAGCGUUGAUACAACAACAUAAAUAUGACUUAUGUUAUACUACUCUAAUCCCUCCUGUUGCUGCAAGAUGGUGGUUUCCAGAAGAUGCUAGUCUUCGAUAGGACUAGCUUCCCCCCUCUUAUUCUGGUGUUCUGCAGUUCAGUCCACAUAUACUACCCCUUUUCAUUGACACCAAUGCAUAUGUAGUGUAGAUCCUUGCUUGCGAGUACUUUGGAUGAGUACUCACGGUUGCUUUGCUCCCUCUUUUCCCCUUUUCCAUUCUUCUCGGAUGUCGCAACCAGAUGGUGGAGCCCAGGAUCCAGACGCCACCACCGACAACUACUACUACCCCGAGGGUGCUUACUACUAUGACCAGGAGUAGUUAGGACGCUCCCAGGCAGGAGGCCUUGCCUCUUGGUUCGUGUUGCUUUUGUGCUAGCCGUCUUAAGGCAUCCUUGUUUAACUUAUGUCCGUACUCGGGUAUCUCUGCUUCCGCUGACUCGUUUGUAUUCAAGCUUAUGUAUUCGAGCCCUCGAGUCCCCUCGCUUGUAAUAUAAAGCUUGUAUUAUUUUAAUUUAUGUCUAGAGUUGUGUUGUGAUAUCUUCCCGUGAGUCCCUGAACUUGGUCGUACACAUUUGCGUGUAUGAUUGAAUCGGGGGCGUCACAAGUUGGUAUCAGAGCCGACUGCCUGUAGGUAGCUCCCUUUCCAACUCCUUGGCCAAAGUUGAGUCUAGUCAUUGAAAAACUUUUACUAACAUGGAUGUGUGGCUUACGGGCCCACGUCACCAUUUGGUGGCAUUAGGAUCUUUUAUUUCUUGUCUAUACUCUGGGACAUUGAUCUCUCGUCUAUUCGGGUUAAACAUUUUACCCACUUCCUCCCGGAGAGCCCCGACAUUAUCGAUGAUCGCUUGCUUCGCUAGAAGAUUCCGCAGAUACUCCCCGUUGUUUCUCGAGACACUGUGCCAACUGCCUUGCAAUUCCUGACCGCCGAUAAUCCCCGUAAAUAACAUCCUUGCCGCUUGUACCUUCAUCCCAGUUGCUCCUAUUAUUAUAGGAUACCCUAGUACUCUCCGUUGUUCCGAAAAUCCUUUGUGCCUUCUGCUUUGCAACUUCUGUUCGCACUAUAGAUAAUUCACUUAACCGGGGUUUGUUCAUCACCAGUUGUUCAAGUGCUUUCCAAAAUACCUGAAAAUGCUAUCUGAUCUUUCAAAAUCCUCUGCAGCCUGUGCUCUUAAUUCUCCUUGCCUGCUUGCAUUAGGAUUAAUUCCAUAUGUCUAGCAAUAUUCUUUAAAAUCCUUUGUGAUUGUUAUUCUGUUCCUAUGGAUUCAGCGUGUGUGCGAAUACUCGAAAUCAUCAAUUAAUCCUUGGAAACUUUCGUUCCGGCUCAGAGAUCCUUCCAGAUAUGAGAUGGUUCUUGCCCAAUCCAGAUUUGAUCGGGUGCACCUCUAAGUCUAUUCAACUUACUCAUCUUUUGAUCAGAGCCUUUGCUUUUGAUCCUUCAUCUUGAAAUCAUAAUUCCUUUGUACCCAAGCAUCGAAUCAUUCAGACGUUUCUAUAAGCCGAUGCCUUUGCAUCCCCUUCUUCAUAUGAUUGAUUACCGAUAAUCACAUCAACUCUGUCGUGUAUCGCCAGAUCCAUUCCUGGGAUGUUAUCCACCAGUGUCCUUCAUGUCCAAAAUCUUGUGAGUUUUUCCCUGAUACAUAAUACCUUCGGUAAAUUAUAUCAUCUGCUUUGACUUCGAUACUCUGCUUUCGAACUCGUAUCUUCUGCUGAUGGUUGUAUAGAUUCAUAAAAAUGCCCCGAUGGGUUGAACUUAUGCCUUCCAUAAUCCGUAUGAACCCGAGAGUUCUCACGAGUCUUAUUAUUCUGGUACUUCGCCAGAUAAAUCUUCUGCACUACAAUUUCUUCGAAAACGAGGAGUGAAUGAAAGGUUAUGCAUUGAAGAAGUGGGAGUCGACCUUGAACCUUUGUGUUCAUGCCCAUGGACCCAAUGUGGAACUUAUCAUGGAAGCUUCUUGUGAUAAUAAUAAUACCCUUGCUAUAAGUUCAUCUGGUAUCUAUGUUUGGUCCUUUGCAACCGUGGUUCUGACCAUGAUUGUUCCCCUUUGAUUCCAUUUCUCGAACAAGUUAAAUCACUUGUCUUCUGCAGAUCAAUGCAUCUCCACAACCUCUAUUUUGAUGUUCCUUCGAGUAUUACCCUCUAGUAUCUCGAAAUUAUCACGAAACUACAUAACUUAUUAUGAGUUCUUCAUCAACUAAUGUCUCUCACCGAUUCCAUUUUUCCACGGGUUCUGAGUUAUUAGUCACUCGAGAACACCGAUAAGUGAAUCGAUUCAGCACUCCGAUUCAAUAACUCUAAGUAAUAUUCGUUGCUUAUGAGCUUAAUAAUCCUUCAAGUUAUUUCUAGCCUGAUCGGCUAUAUCAUUAUCGUGCUAAAUUUUAAUUGUGCUACCUGGUCCUUCUUCCCGGAGCACAAUUCCCGACAAUGAGCUAAGCUUACAUCGAUCUUCCUUGUCUUAUCAUUUUUCGCCUUGAACAACAAGCUUGAUUUCGAGUUUGUGUUGUACCCAUGGUUCCAAUAAUAUUCCGCUUCAUCAUUCCUUUGACUUGAUGUCAUCGUCGAUCGAUUACAUUCUGAGCUGUUCCAGGAUAUCAAUCAAAUUCAUGAUGAGUAAUACCAUCCUUGCCCCCUCGAUGAAUUGUUACUGAGCCCGCCGGCGACAAAAUCAUCUUUUUCUUGCUGAUAUCGUAUGACUUAUUUUAUAAGUUGUUCCGAUGGAUCCUUUGUGUAUCCGAAGUCUGACCUUUCCCUGAUGACCAUGUCAACACUAUCCCGAAGCAUGUGUGUGGUACUCCGAUCAUCAACAAGAACAUUGGGAGCGCAAUGCUAACUAUUCUUGAUCAAUUAUCCAAACACCGUUGUAUGGGUAAACCUCAUAAAUUCCUUGCCCCUUUGUCUAAAUGGUUUAAUACUUGGAGCCCUAUCAUGCUCUGCCUUUCCUUGUGAAAGUUAUACUCUAAUACUUGGGUAUAAACACCUUUCCUUUCCAUUGAUCUGAUUAUCAUACUUAUCACGUUUUCCUUUCCAUUGUUUUGUUUCACCUUUCUUGUAAUCUAACUUGUCUGAGAAGAGAUAAAUCCCUGCUUAAGUACGCACCUCGGUGUAUAAAUCUAUCAGUAAGACCCUGUUACUAUUGUUGAUGACAUUCCGGUAACCACCGAUGGACGAGAACUUUGCCUAUUGGUCUGCCUCGUCUUACGAACAGGAAAAUGGUUCUCUUUGUCCCAUGGCCUUAGUACCAAACUUUGUUGCCAACAUAACUGACAGGCUAUCCUCUGACCUGCCUUGCUAUCAUGACCGUUCAAGAUGCUAGCGCCUUCCUGCUUUUAACCCACAUGGUGAGCCCAUAACCCACAGUUCCACAACAUCGAAACCUGACUCUCCUGUACACUCUUGUUUCUAAGGUUAUUUCUCACGCUUGGCUUCAUAUGAAAAUCCCGAGCCGCCUUCCGAUAGGCGAUCUAUUCUGGUAUCAGACGCAAUACUUAUUCCCAUUGCUCUGAACCCCUUUCACCCCUUCUUUCUGGCAACAAACGAUUGUCUACCAGGUUGAAGCUUCUUAUUGCACCUCACCUUGUUCUCGAUGACUUUCUUGAAUUUCAACUCGAGAGAUGCCUCUAUGCCACGUUCACUGACAUAGUCCCCACGUACCUAUCUUGUGUUGAGCUCCGUCCUUCCCGAGUAUUCCACCUUACUCCACCCCUUAAAUCUCAGGACGAGAUUUCUUGUAGUGUAGGAGAUUUGUAACACCCGGAGAAUCAUGCUACAGUAAUCACCUGUUGAUGGUGCCAUGUCAUCACUCUUAUUGUUGCUAAUUCUCAUUUGCUUUCAAACACAAUUCAACUUCAAAUCUAAAUUAUAGUCAAAAUUCAGAAACUUCUCAAACAUGAAGACUAAAAUGUUCAUCAUGUGGAAAGUGUUCUUUUGGUAAUAUUGGUAGUGAACCAACAUUUUUUCAAAGUGCCUAAUUAGCCUAAAAUAAUUAAAAUAGUGGCUAAAUUAUUCAUUUAAAUGCUUUUUAAUUUGUAAAAAACUCUAAACUAAUUUAUUUUAGUGCCAAAUUAAUUGUGGCAGUGGUCUAACUAUUAACACUAUUUUAGGGCUAGUGAUAUAUUUUAUAAAUCCUAAAAAUAAAUAAAAUUCAUAGAGAAAACAACAACUAUUUAAAAGAAAAGGAAAAGGCAAAACAAAAAAAAGAAACAGACCCCCCACUGGGCCAAACGGCCUAGCUGGCCGUCGGCCCACCCCCAGCCAGCCCACUCCCCCCUGUCGUCUUCCCCCUUCUCCUGUUUGACCGACCCGCGCCCGUGGUCGCCGUCGAACCCGCUCGUCGCCUCGCGCCUCUCCAACGAGGGGAUAAGGAUCCCCUCCCUCCCCGUCGCCUCGAUCCUCUCUCCCCACUCCCACUUGCGCCCCUCCUCCCCCAGAUCCACCUAUCCCCUCUCCUCUCGCUCGAUCCCGAGCUCGGCCGCGCGAGCUCGUCGCCCCCGAUCGCCGUCAACAUGGCCACCGUCCACGUUGCACCUCGCCAACGCGUUCCCGUGCACCGCCGUCAUCGACUACGUCAUAUGCUCUGACCAGCACAAGCCGGGAGCCACCGCAGCGAACCCGGCAACCUCUUCUUCGCCUACGGCCGUCUUCGCCUUCGUCGCCGAUUCAUCGCCGUCGAUCUUCCCCGAGCGCCCUUAAGCACAACUGCAGGCUCACAGUAAGCCCGCACGACAUACCCCUCCCUCUCCCAUGCGUUUCCAUCGCCGUCGCCACCGCUGCCAUCAUCGCCCGAACGCACCUCCGCCGCAUAGCUCGCCGCCAUAGCUAUGGGCAUCGUCAUGCUCACCCGAGCACACAAGCGUGCUCAGGGCUGCUCGCUGAGGCCGCCCGUGACACUUGCUUCCCUCCCCGUGCCCCUUAGCACCUACCUCGACGCGUGCUCGAACGCGUCACCGCCUCCGCUUGCCACUAGCGUGCUUCCAGUGACCAAAUGGUCACGGGCUCGCAACCGUUGGCCUCGCCGCAACGCGUACGCCUUGCCCAGCCUCUCAGUUCGCUUGCUAACGCACCGCAUCGCCUUCGCUGUAGCUCGCCCGAGCGCGUCGCCGCCAGCGAUGCCGUAGCUCCCAGCUCCGGCCACCACCAUUCGACGUGCGGUCGAGUGGUCGUUCGAACGCGGCUAGCCGUGCUCUUCCCUGUGCCCUGUAGGCUUUUUCUGACGACCCCCAUGGUCUCGACGCCGCGUUUCGCCUUGCUGACGUUACUCCGGCGAUGGAGCCAGCGUGGCACGGCCAGGCCCGCCUCUGGGUCACUCCCGUGGGCCCCAGUUGACCAUGUUGACCGUGGUCAACUGUGCUGACUGCGCACAUAGUGUCACUGACACGCAGGCCCCACCGCAUUUUUUGUUAAGUAAACAUUUUUAUAGAUAAAGAUAACUAGUUAAGCUAAAUAGUCACUAACAUGUGGGGCCCAGCUGCUAAUUAACCAUGUUUAAUUAAAAUAACGCAUUGUUAGCCCUCUGUGUAUGACAUGUGGGACCCACUGGUUAGGUUUGACCUGGUCAGCCGCGCUGCUGACUGCUGAUGUCACUGUGACGUCAUGCUGACGCAAUAAAACUUUCUGUUAAUUUAUUUAAUUCCAGAAAAUAUUUUCAUAGAAAUUAAACCGUAACUCGGAUGAAAAUGUUCUCUACAUGAAAGUUGCACAAAAAAUCCAAUGAAUCCGAAUACGCGGUCCGUUCAUCUGUCACAUGCCUCUAGCAUGCUGAACAUGGAACCGUUCCCCUCUUUUCACCUGUCCGGAAAACACCAAACGCCAGGAAAACCCCUCCGGAUGUUUUCCCUCUCCAUUUGGAACGUGUAGUAUUGCGUUAGGUCAUCCAUGGCACCGCGAAUUGCCAUGUCUUUCUUUGUGAUGCUUUUGAUUGCUCUGUUAUUUAUUGUGUUCCCCCUCCGUUAUUUCUUUUCCGCUAGACACCGAGACCGAUGAUGUCUCUGUGAUCGACUACGUCACCAACAACACUUCUUCCUUUUCAGCAGAGCUUCAAGGCAAGCGCCCCCCUUUGAUAAUCCCGAUAUCGCCCAUUCCAUUCUGUUGAGGAUAUAGACCUUAGAGUCACCCGCCAGGAGGGGCCGGGUUACUCAUACAGUCGUUGCCAGAAGCCCGGAGCCAAGCUUGAAGAGAUGGGCCAGAGAUGGGCUAAGACCCGGAUAUGGCUUAAGGCCCGUAGUUACAAUCAUUGUUAUGGUAGAACUUGUAGUGUAAGGCAAGUAUGAUUGAGAGUCUGAGCCGGACACUCUUAUGAGCCGGCCGGGACUCUAAGGGCUGCUGGGCGUCAGCCUCCCUAUAUAAAGGGACGACCCGGCAGCGGUUUAGGGACAAGAACAAUCUCAUCGAGAGCCGGGCAUAGCAGUUUAGCUCCCUGGUGAUCGUAACCCUAAUCAAUACCACCUCAAACUGGACGUAGGCUUUUACCUUCACCGUAAGGGGCCGAACCAGUAUAAACCCUCGUGUUCCUUGUCCCGCAUUAACCCCUUCAAGAUUCCUAGUUGCGAUGGCUCCACGACUAAGUCCUAGCUCGAGGACAUCUGCCGUGACAAUUCCACGACAGUUGGCGCCCACCGUGGGGCCAGUGCAUGGUGGAUUUGAGUUCUUGAAGGGCAGCUUCGAAGGGCUCAAGGGAUACGCUGUGGGCCGGAUGACCAAGAGUUGUCGCGGCAAGCUCUACAUCGACGAUGCAAACUGGGGCCCCGACGCCGGCUCAAUUGAGUACGGGUACCGGGUCCCCUUCGGCGGAAUUCACGUUUUCAUUGGCAAGAUUGGUGAGCCGGGCCCCGAGCCGGGUCUCUGCGCUGAUCUCAUCGAGAUGGCUCAGCUUGCACGACCCGCCCGGGCCCGGCCUGCCUUAAGGCAUGCUUUUGUGGGGUGUAUCCAUGGAGGACUCUCCGAUCGAUCUGGAUCUGGUGAUGAGACGGCCGCCGGCUCUGACGGCGAGUCGGCCACCGAUGAGUCAAACUCGUUGUACCGACUUCAAGAUGGCAGGCUCAUGGGUUGUUCCGAUGGUGACAGUAUUCCGGACCUUUUUGAGCCGCCAAGUCAGGUUGGAGUUUUUAUGGCUGGUGCGCAGCCUGUUCAGAACCCCGCUGCUAGAGCGGGAAACCCAGUGCCUUCUCCGGCUCAGGUGCUAAUGGAUCUCACGGACAAGAUGACGGCCCUGUUAACCGCCACGGUUGACCCGGCAGAUCAAGCUCAGCAUGAUGCGGAGGUGGCGCAGUUAAAAUUGGAUCUAGUAAAGGCUAAGGAGGAUCUUGCAGCGGAAGGGAUCAGGCUGGCUGCGGAGAGGGCGACUCUCGAUGCCCAAACUCAGCUGAUCCACGCGUAGUCCUUCCAACUCACGAUGGAUCAGAACGCGGCCAAUGAGGUCAUGAGAAAGAGGCAUCAAAAGACCCAAUCUCGACUCCCUCCGGUUUACGAUCCACGCAACCUCUUCAACACGCCAGGAGCGGGGUCUAGUAACCCGCCAGGGGUCAUAGCGCCCGGGUCUGGACCCCUUAUUCAGCCACGAGUGAUGGGGCCUCCCCAGGUGCCCCCUGCCCCGCCUCAGUAUGUGCCAAUACCCCCGGGUCAUUAUAAUAACCCGCUGGAGAACAUGGUCGCUGCGGCAGCACGGCUGGCGGCUCUCCCAGGUGACGGCGACUCUCCGACGGCUAUUGAGACCCGCCGGGUCAGGGAACUCCUUCAGACAGCACUAGCGCAGCAAGAGGCGUACUCCUAUAGCCGGGACAUGAUCCACUCGACCCCUCGUCCAGGCCAGAGCCCGAGUUACAGCCGGCACAUGGUCUCAGCAACCGGCUCAAGUAACGUUCGACGCCAUGACCCGCCCCCUGGACAUGGCCCGGCUCAUAAUGGAGCCUUUUACGCAGCAGACCAGGACAAAGCACGGCAAGAGGCGGAGCAAGUGCCUCAAUUGACGGCUUACCAGACCCCCCGGCUUAUUCGACGACUUCGUUGAUGUGGGUAUCCCUACCAGGACCGGGGGCGUCCCUUGUUUAGUGCUAGCUAUCCGUAAUGAACGUUUACCUGAGGACUUCAAGGGCCCUAGGAAGGUGCCUAACUACACAGCUGACUUACAACCCGCAGCCUGGAUUGGGAGUUAUGAGAUGGCUAUGGAGCUGCUGGAGGUCAGUGAGGCGGCCAUGGCCAAGUAUUUCACCAUGAUGUUAGAUGGAACUGCCCGCACUUGGUUGAAAGGGCUACCACCGAAUUCCAUUGGGUCUUGGGCUGAGCUGAAGGCCCGGUUCAUCCAAAACUUCAAAGAUACCUGUAGGCAGUCUAUGUCAAUUGUGGAUUUGACUAACUGUAAGCAGCAGGAGGGUGAAUCCACGACCCAUUGGGUUCGCCGGGUUAAGGAGAUCAUACAUUCAUCAGAUAAGAUGGAUGCCGGCUCUGCAGUCUUAAUGUUGGAACAUAAUUGUCGCUUCUUGCCCCUGAAGAUGAAACUCGGGCGGCUUAAGCGCGACUGCAGUGAUAUGGGUACACUAAUGGCGGCUCUUGUCAAGUACGCCGAUUCCGAUGGUACCAAGGAUCCCCCUUCAGAUGAUGAAAGGACAGGGAAGGGAAAGAAGAACGGCAAUGGCAAGGGUCCUCAGUUUAACCCGGGGAACCAAGGAGGAGGCAAGCGCAAGGCCGAUGGCAGCCUAGAGUUUGUAGCCAACGCCAACUCCCAAGGUAAUAACCAGCGACGCAAGGGGAGGCCCCCUCCCCGAGGCGGCGGGUCAGGUCCGACGCUGGAGCAGCUGUUGAAUGAACCUUGUCCAAGGUAUGGCUCUAGAGAGAAGCCAGCGACUCAUCUGUGGAAGGAUUGCGCAACCAUGAAGGCCUUUAAGAAUUACAAUGGCCCGGACGGCGGCUCAGGCGCUGGCGGCUUUCAUGGCCCGGGCGGCGGCUCAAAUACCGGUCCUCAGAACGGUCAAGGGGGCUUUAAUCAACAGUCUGGCCAGGGUCAUCAACAGCAGCAGGGGGGUUAUCAGACCAAUCCAAAGCAGCUUAGCGGUGGACAGUAUCAUGUGUUUACCACUAGUCUGUGCAAGCGAGAUCAGAUGCUUCACAAGAGGGCUGUGAAUGUUGUUGAGCCGGCGGUCCCACGCUACUUGCGGUGGUCUGAGCAGCCUAUAGUGUGGAGUAGGGAGGAUCACCCUCCCCGGGUGGAUAACCCGGGCCACUUGGCCUUAGUGGUGGCUCCUCAGGUGGGAGGAUAUAAGUUUACAAAGGUGCUCAUGGAUGGAGGCAGCAGCAUCAACAUCCUCUAUUAUGAGACUUUUCGCCGUAUGGGGUUGGUUGAUAAGAACCUCGGCCAGUCAAACACUAUCUUCCAUGGUGUGGUGCCUGGUAAGUCGGCUUAUCCAGUCGGCAAGAUCGAAUUGGAAGUGGCUUUUGGUGAUGAGAACAACUACAGGGUGGAGAAAUUGACCUUUGAGGUGGUCAAGAUAAGAAGUCCAUACCAUGCUAUAUUUGGACGGCCGGCUUACUCCAAGUUCAUGGCACGGCCGUGUUAUGUGUACUUACAGCUCAAGAUGCCAGGUCACAAUGGGACCAUUACGAUUCACGGCAGCCGGAAAGUGGCUCUGGAGUGUGAGGAAGGCAAUGCGGCUUAUGCAGAAUCUGUUUGUGCUACAGAGGAAUUGAAGUUUUACAAGGACAAUGUUGACCCAACAGAUAUGACCUCUCUGAAAAAGCCUACUACGGAGAAUGAGCCGGCGAUGAAAUUUAAGUCGGCUGAUGAAACUAAACUUGUUGAUUUUGUUCCAGGUGACUCAUCUCAGCAGUUUAGCAUCAGUGCAAAUCUGGAUCCAAAAUAGGAAAGCGCGCUCCUCGAGUUCAUCCGUGAGAAUAGGGACAUCUUCGCGUGGAAACCUUCUGACAUGCCAGGUGUACCUAGAGAACUCGCUGAGCAUACUCUCAAUGUCGAUCCGAAAUUUAAGCUGGUCAGACAGUUCCUUCGGCGGUUUAAUGAAGAGAGGCGGAAGGCCAUUGGUGAAGAGGUGGCCCGGCUCUUGGCGGCCGGGUUUAUCGUUGAAGUCUUUCACCCAGAGUGGUUAGCUAACCCGGUGCUCGUACUCAAGAAGAAUGACACUUGGCAAAUGUGUGUGGACUACACGGACUUAAACAAGGCGUGUCCGGCUGAUCCUUUUGCCCUCCCCCGUAUUGAUCAAAUCAUUGAUGCUACGGCAGGUUGUGCACGUUUAAGUUUCUUGGAUGCUUAUUCCGGUUAUCAUCAAAUUAAAAUGGCAGUUAAGGACCAGGAGAAGACGGCGUUCAUCACUCCCUUUGGAGCCUUCUGCUAUGUGUCUAUGCCCUUUGGACUCAAGUGUGCACAGGCGACUUACCAGCGUUGUGUACAGAACUGUCUUCACAAACAGAUUGGGCGCAAUGUUCACGCUUACGUGGACGAUAUUGUGGUUAAGUCCAUAAAGGAGGAAACCCUGAUAGAUGAUUUAAGGGAAACCUUUGAUAAUCUCCGGGUCUAUAAGAUGAUGCUUAACCCGGCCAAGUGUGUCUUUGGUGUUCCUGCAGGCAAAAUCUUGGGUUUCUUGGUUUCUAACAGGGGCAUUGAGGCUAACCCGGAGAAGAUCAAGGCCAUCACCUCCCUGGCUAAGCCGGCGUGUAUAAAUGACGUUCAGCGCUUGGCGGGUCGCAUCGCUGCUUUAAGCCGGUUUAUAAGCCGUUUGGGUGAGAAGGCCAUGCCCUUAUAUCAGUUGAUGAAGAAAACUGAUAAUUUUAUCUGGAAUGAUGCAGCUAAUACCGCCUUUGAGGAUUUGAAGAAGCAGCUGGCAGAGCCCCUGAUCCUUGCUGCUCCGGUUGAUAAGGAGCCCUUACUACUGUAUGUGGCAGCAAACGCACGAGCCAUCAGUGUGGCUAUUGUGGUGGAGCGCAAGGAGGAGGGUAAGGAGCAUCCGGUUCAGCGGCCGGUUUAUUAUGUCAGCGAAGUGCUCAUUGAGUCCAAGCAGCGGUACCCGCAUUGGCAGAAGCUGGUAUAUGGUGUGUUCAUGGCGAGCCGGAAACUUAAGCAUUAUUUUCAGGGUCAUCCCAUCACUGUGGUCAGUUCUGCCCCUCUUGGUGAUAUCAUUCAAAACAGAGAGGCCACAGGGCGAAUUGCUAAGUGGGCUAUAGAACUUGGACCUCAUGGUCUCAAAUAUGUGCCACGUACUGCUGUUAAAUCUCAGGCCUUGGUGGAUUUCAUCAAUGAUUGGACAGAGACACAAGUGCCUGAGCCAAAGCCGGAUAACACAUAUUGGACUAUUCACUUCGAUGGGUCCAGGCAGUUGGAGGGCUCGUGGGCUGGCGUUGUAUUGGCUUCCCCUAAAGGUGAUAAGUUCCAUUAUGUGCUGCAGUUGAUGUUUCCUUGCACUAACAAUGCGGCUGAGUACGAGGCCUUGCUCCACGGUCUUCGGAUGGCUAAGGAGAUGAGCUUGAGCCGGGUAAGGUGCUUCGGUGACUCAGACUUGGUGGCUCAACAAGUAUCAGGAAAAUGUGACUCUAAGGACCCUCUAAUGGCAGCUUAUCGCCGCGAAGUUGAUGCCAUUGCUAGGCACUUUCAGGGCUACCAAGUAGAGCACAUUGAUCGCAGGAAGAAUGAGGCGGCUGAUGCUCUAAGCCGGCUAGGCUCUCAGCGAAAGCCGGUGCCGCCUAACACUUUCCUGGACGUCCUGUAUAGCCCUUCGGUUAAGUUGCCUACGGAGGAAGACUUGGCUGUCCCUGACCCGGAGGCGCGACUGGUGGCGGCUCUCCAUAUCAUACCAGACUGGACAAUGCCAUAUCUGGCUUACAUAACCCGGGGCGAGUUGCCUGAGGAUGAAACUUUGGCCAGGCAAAUAACCCGGCGGGCCAAGUCAAUGAUUGUUAUCGAUGGCGAGUUGCAUCAUUGCAGUGUUACAGGAGCAUUUCAGCGUUGUGUCUCCCCUGAGGAAGGUCAGGAGAUCUUGCGGGAGAUCCAUGAAGGGGAUUGUGGCCAUCACGCCGGCUCAAAGUCCCCUGUGGCCAAGGCUUUUCGUCAUGGUUUUUAUUGGUUGACGGCUCAUGCUGAUGCAGAGGACUUGGUCAGUAAAUGUGAUGGUUGCCAAAGGUUCUCACGACGGGCUCAUGUACCUGCUCAGGAGCUGAGGAUGAUCCCAAUCACUUGGCCCUUUGCGGUCUGGGGGCUUCAUAUGGUUGGGCCUUUUAAAAGGUCCAAGGAUAAGAAGACCCACCUCUUGGUGGCAGUUGAUAAAUUCACAAAGUGGGUGGAAGCUGAGCCAGUUAGUAAGUGCGAUGCAGCCACGGCGGUUCAAUUUAUGAAAAAGGUGAUUUUCCGCUUUGGCUUUCCGCACAGCAUUAUAACUGACAAUGGCACCAAUCUCUCCAAAGGCUCCAUGGAAGAGUUUUGUCAACGAGAGAAUAUCCAACUUGAUGUUUCCUCAGUGGCUCAUCCUCAAUCCAAUGGUCAAGCUGAGAGAGCUAACCAGGAGAUUCUGAAGGGCAUCAAGCCCCGGCUUUUGGUCCCUUUGCAACGGACGCCGGGUUGUUGGGUGGAGGAAUUGCCCUCCGUCUUAUGGAGCAUCAACACUACUCCUAACAGGUCUACAGGCUUCACGCCUUUCUUCAUGGUUUAUGGAGCAGAAGCAGUCCUCCCCAGUGACAUCCGUCACGACUCACCUCGCGUGGCGGCUUAUGUUGAGACAGAUAAUGAACAGGCACGCCAAGAUGCUCUUGACUUGUUGGACGAACAGCGUGAUGUGGCAGCAGCCCGUUCAGCAAUUUACCAACAAGACCUGCACCGUUAUCAUAGCCGCCGGGUCAAAUCCCGGGUCUUCUAGGAAGGCGAUCUCGUGCUCCGGCUCAUCCAGGAUCAAACAGAUGCACACAAGUUAUCCCCACCUUGGGAAGGGCCCUUUGUGGUCAGCAAGAACUUGCACAACGGGUCAUAUUACCUCAUUGACAUUCGGGAGCACAAAGAUUCACGUAAGUCGGAGGAAGAGACCCGUCGGCCGUGGAACAUAGCUCAGCUUCGGCCUUACUACACUUGAGCUACCGGCUCUCGUGGUGUACAUAUUUCUCUCAGCCAUGUAUAUAUUAUGAUAAGCAAUAAAGCAGGACCUCUGUCCUUUUUUCUCCUCCAAAUACGCACGUGUUGUUCUUAUUGCAAGAUUACAUGAUGAUUUAAAGGAGGAUCCAGUUUAUGAUCGUAUUCGAAUCUAGCCGUAAACAACAACAUCACUUGGUGGCUUCCUGUUCAAACAUGGGUCGUAUUCGAACCAAAGAGAACAUAGUUGUCGAUACCCAUUUGAUUGGCGAAGUGCCGAGCUCAUUGGGAGGUUACCUUUGGUCAUAUUUGAAUCAUAGUUUAACCCCUCUGAGAACCGAUGUGGAUCGUAUUCGAAUCAGCGUCGUUAAACAAAUCUUAAAAUCACUUGGGGGCUUCCUGUUCAAACAUGGGUCGUAUUCGAACCAAAGAGAAAAUAGUUGUCGGUACCCUCUUGAUUGGCAUCGCCACACCCACUGGGGGCUAUGUGAUCGUAUCCGAACCUUAGCUUAACCCCUUUGGGCCGGGUCUCUGGUCGUAUUCGAACCGGAAGCCCCUAAGUUCCUCUGCUUUAUCACAAGUUUACUCUGAUUAUGUCAAGGUGUGUACGACCGGGUCUCACUUUGCCGGCUUAACUUUGGUUUAUAGUGUUAGUCGAACGCCAUGGGUGUCAUUAUGACAGGUAAAUCGGAGUUAAGAUACCAACCUUGUUACCCGGGUUAUCUAAACCGGAAGUAUGCUUACAGGCCGCUAAAUGUGUUAUUACGGCUGUGUUAAGGAUAUAAUUGAGGACCAGUCUUUUUUGAUUCAUAUUCCGGGUUAUCUAUCCAAAACACCUGAUUCUCAGGGCGGUAAGCCGCCUUGAGACUUGUGAUUUGCCUUUCUAUGCAGGAUACUUAAAGGCACCUCUUUGAGGUUGAGAAAAACAAAGGGAUGGUUAUAACCCGGAGAAACAUCAAAGAGACAACUUCAAAGGACUUUCGCAUUCAAUACGUGCAUGAUGGCACGGCAGAGAUGAACUGUUGCACCUACUCUAUUACAAAAACUCAUCAAGUCUAAAACGGGUGGAGCAUUGUUUGGUAAACCGCCAGCCGAGUCACGAUGCCCGCUGAGUUGAAGUCUCCGGCUCGUUCCUGUCUUCUCCUCCGGCUGAUCCCAAGACCUGGAAGGUUGAUGACUUCCAGUCGAUGCCGCUGAGAGCUUCGAAUUGGGCUUCCUCGUCAAUUAACCCAGCCGGGUCAAUCUCCGGGGCGAAGGUGUGCUGACGAGUCGGAGGGAUCAGGUUGAGGGCUUCAUAACAAGGGGUUGGAAUCCUCUGAUUCUCCGCAUCAUAACUCGGCUGGUACUUGGUCAGAUCCGUGUCAUUCCCGAUAAGGGUGGCCACCGGGCGCACAGCCUUCACGCACGCUGCGAAGUCCUUCUGAUCGAAAGCUGAGCCGUCUUCCUUCAGGCUUGGAUAGCUAAGGGCGAUGUCCGCCGGGUCUACUCCGGCAGGAAUGCCUUGGCCCGGCUCAGCGCGGCGAUUGCUCCGGCUCUCGCAGAGGCCCGUCGUAGCUCUUGGAUCCGCUGAGGCAAAACGGCGAGCCGGCGCAGGACUUCUGCCAGGUGAGUCGGCACCUCGUUGGAUAGGGCCACCACAGCUAAGGCACGCUGUGACCCGGUGCAGAGCUGCUCCACCAGGGUAUACACGGCCUUUAGCUUGGUGACCACGCUCUGGUUGAGGUUGGCACUUCUGGGACCUGUUUAACAGAAUCAGAUAAGCCGGUGAUAAGGAUGAAUCAUGAGAAGUAAACACUCUACACUUGAUGAAAACCGGUGAGGCGACUUACCAAAGAUGGCGGCCACCAUUUGGGAAACCUGGCGCUUUAGGCCGGAGAGCUCGGCGGUCUUCUCAGAGAGAGCUUUCUCCGCCUGUUCCGCCCGGGUCACCAGUGCGGCAUUCUCCUCGGCCCAGGCUUUCCGCUCAGCAUCAAAUUCUGUCUUCAGCUUCUCUUGAGCGGCGAUGCUGGAUUCAAACUUGGCGUUUGCCUUCCGGGUCUCCAUCUCCUCUGUCUUCAGCCGGUUCUUGAGAUCCUCAAGGUCCGCCUCUAGUUUCUUGCUAACAACCUGCAUAAAUUUCCGGGUUAUUAACAGUCAUUAUAUAAGUCCCAAGCGUUUUCCAAGCAAAGACACUUGGCACUUGGGGGCUAAUGCAUAUUGAACGUAUCUAUUUACAUACUGCCGGCACAAUUGAGUAAGCCAGAACCUAUGUCUACAACAUAUUCAAUCAUAAGUCGUCGACUUGGGAGCUAGCAUGGCAAAGGUAACUAUGCAGUAAGUGAGAAGACAGCAGAAGGAUACCUCAGAUUUUUGCUGGAUCUGGUUUACCAUGGCGACCUUAGUGUCCCGGCUCUUGUGUACUUGACUGAUGUAGCCAGAGACGAGCUCUCCAAUGCUCAGGUUGGUGUAGUUGGAGAGGUCCAGAUUCGCCCGGUGAGGCUGCAGCAACUCCCCCUUAGCGGAGCACUUGGCCAGCACGGUCGGUCUCCCCGGCUCAACAAACUCCGUCCGGGUGAUUACCACGUCCGGGUCGUCGGCUGGUGGAGCUGAGCCGGAGGCCUCCGGGUUAACCGAAGCUUCGUUCGUUGCCUUGGUAGUUGGGGCAGUGGCCUCAGGUGCCGUGUCCAUUGGAGUGGUGACUUCGGGGGCGGAGGCUGCUGGCGGUUCUUGAGCCGUCACUUCCGUUUCAGGCAAAUCCGGCACUCCGGCUGAUCUGGUCUUCUUCGCUCUUUUGGUGAGUUUUGCCUGGGCACUGAAAGGACAGAAGUGUUAAGCACACAAAGGGUAAGUAAAGACAAGUACAAUAUGAGAUGGUUGUCAUUACCCGGGCGCGGUCUUGAAAGUCGGAAGAUUCGACUGCAUAGAGUCGCCCGAAGAAGGGGAGGUCUCCUGAUAAUUGGAGUCAGAAGAAUUAAGUGGCUGACAGAUAAUACCCCCCCAACGGAUGAAAGGGGUACAAGUGGGACAAAACCUCAGUUCGGCGCUUCCUUGUUGCGUCGGGUAACCCGGCGGAGAGGUCGGUGUCCUUGUUGGUCCGGGUGUGACGCCGGCUUUCAUGAACCUGUCGCUUCAAAAUAAAUUGAGGGUCUUGAUAAGCUAAAGGAUGUGAAAAGCUUACUUUCCGGGUUACCCUUCGGACUUUCAGCUGUGGCAAGGGCUCCGAGUCGGAGGAAAGUGACAUUACCUCUUCAACCACCGGGUUACUGGCGCCGGUGUCAUCCUGUCAAUGAGCAAGUGUUGAUAAGGCGGACAGCAACAAACAACAAAUACAGCAAGAACUAAAAGGCUUAGGGGUUACCUCUUACUCGGAGCUGUCGCUUAAUUGCAUCAGCUCCGAAGCAGUAGGCCUGCUUCCUUUUUUGCGAGGGGCGGCUUUCUUGGCGGCUUUCUUCGCCUUCCUGGCCUUCUUGGCCGCCUCAUGGUCAUAUUUGACCCGCCAGAACUUAUCAUCAGCCUGAAAAAUACAAUGAUGAAUUCUUAAAACGGUUCAGAUGAAGGUUAUAUGCAGAAGAAGAUAAAAAGUUAAAGUCAGCGGCUUACCGCUGGUGUUGGGUUGGUCUUGCAGAAGGGGGCUAACCCGGUCCUUCCGCAGUCUUCUAGGCUCUCGUUUAAAAGAGCCUUGGUUUCCUCCUCUGCAACGUCUUCUGGAAGAUCAUUGCGGCUAUGUCUCUGCGGGUCAUCCUUUCGCCCUGUGUACUCGCACAUUAAGCCGGGGCGGCGGCUCAAUGGGAUCACCCGCCAUGAGAUCCAGACCCGGACCAGGUCGAUUCCGUUCAGACCAUUGCCCAGGAGAGCUUUGAUCUUGUUGAUAGUGGGGAGCAGAGGCUGGCGCUCCGCUUGAGUCAGCUUGUCCGACAAUGGGUGAGUCGGCUCCAGACGUGUUGGGCGAAAGCCGGGCAGCGGGCUUUCAUCAGCCGGGGACGUAUCUUGGCAGUAGAACCAAGUCAUGUUCCAGUCCUUGGGGUGGCUUGGCGGCUCUGCGUAAGGGAAAAGACAGUCCCUACGCCGCUGGAUGGAGAUACCACCUAAUUCCAGACUUGGCCCAUUGGCGCACUCGUUCUGGCGGUUUAAGUAAAAAAGCUCUCUGAAGAGCAGCAGACUAGGUUCUUCUCCAAGGUAAACCUCACAGAAGACUUGAAAAUUGCAGAUGUUGGACACUGAGUUGGCUCCUAUGUCUUGAGGCCGCAAGUCGAAGAAGUUGAGCACGUCCCUAAAAAACUUUGAGCCGGGCGGUGCGAAGCCCCGGCUCAUAUGAUCCGCGAAAAUCACUACCUCCCCGUCCUUUGGCUGUGGUCUCUCUUCUGACGGGUCAGGGGCACGGUAGGACAUGACUUCCUUCUUGGGCAGAUAUGCGGACUUAAAAAAAUUUGCUAGGGUCUCGUUGGUGACAUUGGACCUCAUCCAGUUGCAAGUAAUGGGAGCUUUGGGAGGCAUGGUGAAAAUCGGCAGACUAUGACAAAAAGAAAAAACGUCCGGGUUAAUCAUAAGCCGGAGGUGAUCUACAGUUCAAAGCUAAGAUGGCGGCUUAUGAAGGGGACUAAUGGUAUAUACUUAAGUACAGCAGGUUAUUUAAGCCGCAGGGCCAUUCAGAAUAAGAUGGUUAUCUACGGCCUUAUGACAGUUAAGCCGGAGGAUUUUACGAAGCAUGGUUUUCUUUAAACCGGAGGAUUCUACAGCGCGUGGUUUCUUUAAACCGGAAUUGUAAGCCGCCAAGAUUCAAUGGCCGCAGUUUUUACUAAGUGUGGUAAAAACAGGUUUCACAUAUCGCAGUAAAAAUUUUGGAUCAAAAUGGUCGGGUGAAAUGAAAAUUUUCUAGACCUAGAAACAGACGAGCGGAUGUUCUUGAGAUCGAACGAAGCCUUUAUGCGGUGGAAAGAGAUCUACUGGCAUUUGAAAUGAGUCCUAAACAACCGCCGCACUAGUUCUAUACAAGGCUAAAGAUCAAAUAGGGGCAGUAACUAUGAGAACUACCGAAGCUUGCGAACAAUGGCGAAGAACACGGACGAACUAUUUGAACCCUACCGCAGAUCUGUUCUAGCAGGGCAGAGGAGACUCACCGGAGGUGGAGAAGAGCGGAGGUUGCCGCCGUUUGUCUGGUCCGAGUCAAGGUGAUGCAGCGGCCAAAGUUGACGAAGACCAGGGGCGCGACGGUGGAGGCAGUAGCAGAGCUCGGGCUGAGGAGCGAUGGCACGAGGAAGAAGAUGGAGAGGAAGUGGCUGAGAGCCCGUCGGGCGGGCCUAUUUAUAAGGCAAGUUCAUAAGUGGGCGCGAGAUUCAAGGAGACCACGGCGUGGUUAUCUCCCCAUGAAACGCCUCGAUUUUUGGGAUGACAGUAAAGAGAAAGAUCCGUUGCAGAUCUGGCGGAGUAAAAAAGGACUUAAUGGAGGAUGACGUCACGACCGAUUAUCCGGAGUCUAGAGGAUGACGUCACGCCGGGUUAUGGCCUUCACAUGAAUGGUAAGCCGGAGAUUUUUUCUGUCGGAAGAGUUGAAGAUUGACAUGAGCCGGCUCAAAUCAAUCUGGGGCCUAAUGUUGAGGAUAUAGACCUUAGAGUCACCCGCCAGGAGGGGCCGCGUUACUCAUACAGUCGUUACCAGAAGCCCGGAGCCAAGCUUGAAGAGAUGGGCCAGAGAUGGGCUAAGACCCGGAUAUGGCUUAAGGCCCGUAGUUACAAUCAUUGUUAUGGUAGAACUUGUAGUGUAAGGCAAGUAUGAUUGAGAGUCCGAGCCGGACACUCUUAUGAGCCGGCCGGGACUCUAAGGGCUGCUGGGCGUCAGCCUCCCUAUAUAAAGGGACGACCCGGCAGCGGUUUAGGGACAAGAACAAUCUCAUCGAGAGCCGGGCAUAGCAGUUUAGCUCCCUGGUGAUCGUAACCCUAAUCAAUACCACCUCAAACUGGACGUAGGCUUUUACCUUCACCGUAAGGGGCCGAACCAGUAUAAACCCUCGUGUUCCUUGUCCCGCAUUAACCCCUUCAAGCUUCCUAGUUGCGAUGGCUCCACGACUAAGUCCUAGCUCGAGGACAUCUGCCGUGACAAUUCCACGACACAUUCUCUCAUGCUUGCAUUAUAUUUUGCUACUGUAAUUGAUUGCUCCUAUUCUGAUGCAUAGCCUGCUUUUGUAACCUCCUUAGUGUUACCUACCUGCUUAACCUAAACUGCUUAGUAUAGGUUGGUUAGUGAUCCAUCAGUGACCCCCACCUUGUCCUUGUUGCCCCUGCUUCAUCAUCGAAGACCCGAUCAACGGGAUCGAAGACCAGGCCACGGCACCGCACACCACUUUCCCCUUAGUUGCUCGACACUACUGGGUUACUGUCGAGUGCCGAGGGUGAGACCUCAACAGCACUUGUGAUGUUAACCCUGUAGUGUAGCUAUUCGGUCGUGGUCAUCGAGGGUGAUUCCACCUUAACCACUUCCUAUACGUCUCUGUCGUGCAACCCAUCAUGUGUGAACCUCGAGGGUGGUUCCUCUUACGUUCACCUUGAUGAGUACAUCGAGUGGAAUCCAUCGAGGGUGGUUCAUCUGGGUUCCCCUUGGUGUUAGACACACGGUUACUAUGGUUACUAUGACUUUACCCUGAAUCAGGUUACUAAAGAUGGGUCAGCCCUGAGGGGUACCCGCGCGAGCUUAAUUAUGAGUGAUGUGGAGUCGGGUUAUUCUGGAAGGUGCCCGCGAUAUACUUACGAGGCCUGGCCGGGAAUUCUUGGCCCUUGCCGCAAGUCCUCGAGACGGGGCGACGGGGUUACAUCUUUUGUGAGUCUCUGCUUGUUACCGCGCGCUCCUAAUCCACUAUGAUUUGGAUAUUUGAUCCGAGGGGCCUCUGGCCUGAUAGCACUAACCAUCACGUGGGCAUAGUAUGGGCGUUCUGCGUCGUAUGCAUCAUCCGAAGCUUAAUAGACGUCAGCGACUGAGCGGCGCGCGCCGGGUUGGACUGGUAAGCACCUGCCUUUUUUAAGGAGGUAGCUAGGUCUGCUCACCGGCCGCGUUCGCAACGUGCAGGAGUUCCCGGGGCGAUGGCCCAUGACCCCUGGGGGCAUAGGUUUAGUCCGGCGUGCUGACUUCUCUAUUAAGCCUAGGUUGGGUUGCGGCGUAUUGUUUGGCCGAGGCCGGGCGUGACCCAGGAAAGUGUGUUCGGCCGGAGUUAAUCGAGCGUGGUGGGUAAGUUGGUGCACCCAUGCAGGGAAGAAUACAUCUAUCGAUAGCCUGUCCUACAAUAAUGGACACUUGGAGUUGUAUCAUGAUCGAUACAACUAGAACUAGAUGCUGAGGCAUGAUUUGGAUAUGUUGCUUCGGGAGUCGAGAAAGGAUCCCACAGCGUUGAUACAACAACAUAAAUAUGACUUAUGCUAUACUAUUCUAAUCCCUCCUAUUGCUGCAAGAUGGUGGUUUCCAGAAGAUGCUAGUCUUCGAUAGGACUAGCUUCCCCCCUCUUAUUCUGGCAUUCUGCAGUUCAGUUCACAGAUACUACCCCUUUUCAUUGACACCGAUGCAUAUAUAGUGUAAAUCCUUGCUUGCGAGUACUUUGGAUGAGUAAUCACGGUUGCUUUGCUCCCUCUUUUCCCCUUUUCCAUUCUUCUCGGAUGUCGCAACCAGAUGGUGGAGCCCAGGAUCCAGACGCCACCACUGACAACUACUACUACCCUGAGGGUGCUUACUACUACGACCGGGAGUAGUUAGGAGGCUCCUAGGCAGGAGGCCUUGCCUCUUCGAUCAUGUUGCUUUUGUGCUAGCCUUCUUAAGGCAUCCUUGUUUAACUUUUGUCUGUUCUCAGAUAUUGCUGCUUCCACUGACUCGUUUGUAGUCAAGCUUAUGUAUUCGAGCCCUCGAGGCCCCUGGCUUGUAAUAUAAAGCUGGUAUUAUUUUAAUUUGUGUCUAGAGUUGUGUUGUGAUAUCUUCCGGUGAGUCCCUGAUUUUGAUCGUACACAUUUGCGUGUAUGAUUAGUGUGUGAUUGAAUCGGGGGCAUCACAGAGAUCUCUUCUCUCACAUUCGGAGCACAGUUGGUCCUCAAUUUGAAAACCGACAAAGGUGACAUCUUCCUUAUUCACGCCUUGAUGCACCUUUGUUCAUGUUCACUCUCGCCUGAGAGCAGUGCAUCGAUACAACAGAGUUCUUAUUCUUACCCUUCAAAAGAUCAGGAAAGGUCAUUCUAGGCUCUUUAUCAGAUGUCUCAUUCCAUCAUUUACCUUGUGCCUGCAGGGGAACGUAGCAUGCAAUUUCAAAAAAAAUCCUACGCCCACGCAAGAUCUAUCUAGGAGAUGCAUAGCAACAAGAAUGGGAGAGUGUUUCCACGUACCCUCGUAUACCGAAAGCAGAAGCAUUUGAAAACGCGGUUGAUGUAGUCGAGCUUCUUCUCGUUCUGACCGAUGAAGCACCAAAUCUACGACACCUCCGAGUUCUACACAUGUUCAGCUGGAUGACGUCCCUCGAACUCUUGAUCCAGCAAAGUGUCGAGGGAGAGUUCCGUCAGCAUGACAGCAUGGUGACGGUGAAGGUGAAGUGAUCCGCGCAGGGCUUCGCCUAAGUACUACGUGAAUAUGACCGGACGCGUAAACUAUGGAGGGGGCGCUGCACACGGCUAACAAUGUUUGUUGUGUGUUCUAGCGGUGCCCCCCCACACAUAUAUAUAGGUUGGAGGGGAGGAGAGGCAGACAAGGGGGCACCCCAAGUAGGAGGAAUCCUACUUGGGGUCCUCCCAAUUUGGCCUUCCCCCUUUCCUAUUCCUAUUCCGAGUAGGAAGGGAAGAGGGGGAAAGGGGAAUCCUAUUCCCUUUUUCCUUUCCUUCUUCCCCUUUCUUUCUCCAAUUUGGCCAGCCCAUAUGGGGGGCACACCAGCCCCUUAGUGGAUGGUGUGUUUCCCCUCUUGGCCCAUUAGGCCCAUAUAGCUUGCUGGGGUUUGCCCGGAAACCCUUCCCGUGACCCGAUACGUACCCGGUACCCCCAGAACACUUCCGGUGUUCGAAUAGUAUCGUCCUAUAUAUGAAUCUAUACCUGUCGACCAUUUCGAGACUCCUCGUCAUUUCCGUGAUCUCAUCCGGGACUCCGAACAACAUUCGGUCACCAAAUCACAUAACUCAUAUAAUACAAAUCGUCAUCGAACGUUAAGUGUGCGGACCCUACGGGUUCGAGAAAUAUGUAGACAUGACUGAGACGCCUCUCCGGUCAAUAAACAAUAGCAAAACCUAGAUGCUCAUAUUGGUUCCUACAUAUUCUACGAAGAUCUUUAUCGGUCAAAUCGUAAUGACAACAUACGUCAUUCCCUUUGUCAUCGGUAUGUUACUUGCCCGAGAUUCGAUCGUCGGUAUCUCCAUACCUAGUUCAAUCUCAUUACCAGCAAGUCUCCUUACUCGUUCCAUAAUGCAUCAUCCCGAAGCUAACUCAUUAGUCACAUUGCUUGCAAGGAUUAUCAUGGUGUGCAUUACCGAGAGGGCCCAGAGAUACCUCCCCGAUACUCAGAGUGACAAAUCUUAAUCUCGAUCUAUGCCAACCCAACAAACACCUUCGGAGAUACCUGUAGAGCAUAUUUAUAAUCACCCAGUUACGUCGUGACAUUUGAUAGCACACAAGGUAUUCCUCCGGUAUCCGGGAGUUGCAUAAUCUCAUAGUCAAAGGAAUAUGUAUAGUCAUGAAGAAAGCAAUAGCAAUAAAACUUAACGAUCAUUACGCUAAGCUAAUGGAUGGGUGUUGUCUAUCACAUCAAUCUCCUAAUGAUGUGAUCCUAUUCAUCAAAUGACAACACGUUUCUAUGGUUAGGAAACUUAACCAUCUUUGAUUAACGAGCUAGUCUAGUAGAGGCUUACUAGGCACACAGUGUUUUGUUUAUGUAUCCACACAUGUAUCAAGUUUUCGGUUAAUACAAUUCUAGCAUGAAUAAUAAACUUUUAUCAUGAUAUAAGGAAACAUAAAAUAGCAACUUUAUUAUUGCCUCUAGGGCAUUUUUUCUUCAGUCUCCCACUUGCACUAGAGUCAAUAAUCUAGUUCACAUCGCCAUGUGAUUUAACACCAAUAGUUCACAUCUUUAUGUGAUUAACACCCACAUUUCACAUCGCCAUGUGACCAACACCCAAAUGGUUUAAUAGAGUCAAUAAUCUAGUUCACAUCGCUAUGUGAUUAACACCCAAAAGUACAAAGGUGUGAUCAUGUUUUGCUUGUGAGAGAAGGUUAGUCAACGGGUCUGACACAUUCAGAUCCAUAUGUAUUUUGCAAAUUUCUAUGUCUACAAUGCUCUGCAUCGAGCUACUCUUGCUAAUUUCUCCCACUUUCAAUAUGUAUCCAGAUCGAGACUGAGAGUCAUCCAGAUCGGUGUCAAAGCUUUCAUCGACGUAACUCUUUACAACGAACUCUUUAUCACCUCCAUAACCGAGAAAAAUUUCCUUAGUCCUCUUUGGGCACCUAAGGAUAAUUUUGACUGUUGUCGAGUGAUCGACUCUUGGAUCAAUGUUGUACCACUUGCCAAACUCAUGGCAAGGUACACAAUAGGUCUGGUAUACAGUAUGGCAUACUUUAUAGAACCUAUGGUUGAGGCAUAGGGAAUGGCUUUCAUUCUUUCUCUAUCUUCUGCCAUGGUCGGGUUUUGAGUCUUACUCAACUUCAUACCUUAUAACUCAGGCAAGAACUCCUUCUUUGAGUGAUCCAUUUUGAACUCCUUCCAAAUCUUAUCAAGGUAUGCACUCAUCAAAAGUCUUAUCAAGCGUCUUGAUCUAUCUCUAUAGAACAUGAUGCCCAAUAUGUAAGCAGCUUCACUGAGGCCCUUCUUUUGAAAAACUCCUUUCAAACACUCCUUUAUGCUUUCCAGAAAAUUCUACAUCAUUUCCAAUCAACAAUAUGUCAUUCACAUAUAAUUAUCAGAAAGGUUGUAGUUCUCCCACUCACUUUCUUGUAAAUAUAGGCUUCUCCGAAAGCCUGUAUAAAACCUUAUGCUUUGAUCACCUCAACAAAGCAUACAUUCAAACUCCGAGAUGCUUGCACCAGUCCAUAGAUGGAUCGUUGCAGCUUGCACACUUUGUUAGCACCUUUAGGAUUGACAAAACCUUCUAGUUGUAUCAUAUACAACUCUUCUUUAAUAAAUCCAUUUAAGGAAUGCAGUUUUGACAUCCAUUUGCCAGAUUUUAUAAAAUGCGGCAAUUGCUAACAUGAUUCACACAGACUUAAGCAUCGAUACGAGUUAGAAAAUCUCAUCAUAGUCAACACCUUGAACUUGUCGAAAACCCUGUUGCGACAAUUCGAGCUUUGUAGGUAGUACCAUCAGCGUCGGUCUUCCUCUUGAAGAUCCAUUUAUUCUUAAUGGCUUGCUGAUCAUCGGGAAAGUCAACCAAAGUCCAUACUUUGUUCUCACACAUGAAUCCCGUCUCAGAUUUCAUGGUCUCAAGCCAUUUUGCGGAAUCUGUGCUCAUCAUCGCUUCCUCAUAGUUUGCAGGUUCGUCAUUGUCUAGUAACAUGACUUCCAGAACAGGAUUACCGUACCACUCAGGCACGGAACAUGCUCUGGUUGACCUACGAGGUUCGGUAGUAACUUGAUCUGAAGUUUCAUGAUCAUUAUCAUUAGCUUCCUCUCUAGUUGGUGUAGGCAUCACUGGAACUGAUUUCUGUCAUGAGCUACUUUCCAAUUCGAGAGAAGGUACAAUUACCUCAUCAAGUUCUAUUUUCCCUCCCACUCACUUCUUUUGAGAGAAACUCCUUCUCUAGAAAGAAUCCAUUCUUAGUAACAAAUAUCUUGCCUUCGGAUCUGUGAUAGAAGGUGUACCCAACAAUUUCUUUUGGGUAUCCUAUGAAGACACACUUCUCCGAUUUGGGUUCAUGCUUAUCAGGCUGAAGCUUUUUCACAUAAGCAUCGUAACCCCAAACUUUAAGAAACGACAGCUUAGGUUUCUUGCCAAACCACAGUUCAGAUGGUGUCAUCUCAACGGAUUUAGAUGGUGCCCUAUUUAACGUGAAUGCAGUUGUCUCUAAUGCAUAACCCCAAAACGAUAGUGGAAAAUCGGUAAGAGACAUCAUAUAUUGCACAAUAUCUAAUAAAUGCGGUUACGACAUUCGGACACACCAUUAUGUUGUGGUGUUCCAGGUGGCGUGAGUUGUGAAACUAUUCCACAUUGUUUUAAAUGAAGGCCAAACUCGUAACUCAAAUAUUCGCCUCCGCGAUCAGAUCAUAGAAACUUUAUUUUCUUGUUAUGAUGAUUCUCAACUUCACUCUAAAAUUCUUUGAACUUUUCAAAUGUUUCAGACUUGUGUUUCAUUAAGUAGAUAUACCCAUGUCUUCUUAAAUCAUCUGUGAAGGUCAGAAAAUAACGAUAUCUGCCGCGAGCCUCAACACUCAUCGGACCACAUACAUCGGUAUGUAUUAUUUCCAAGAAGAGUGGCUCACUCCAUUGUUCUGGAGAACGGAGUUUUAGUUAUCUUGCCGAUGAGGCAUGGUUCGCAAGCAUCAAAUGAUCCAUAAUGAAGUGAUUCCAAAAGUCCAUCCGCAUGGAGUUUCUUCAUGCGUUUUACACCAAUAUGACCUAAAUGGCAGUGCCACAAAUAUGUUGCACUAUCAUUAUCAACUUUGCAUCUUUUGGCAUCAAUAUUUUGAAUAUGUGUAUCACCACAAUCGAGAUUCAGUAAACCAUUCAUACUAGGUGUAUGACCAUAGAAGGUUUUAUUCAUGUAAACAGAACAACAAUUAUUCUCUGACUUAAAUGAAUAACCAUAUUGCAAUAAACAUGAUCUAAUCAUAUUCAUGCUCAACACAAACACCAUAUAACAUUUAUUUAGGUUCAACACUAAUCCCGAAGGUAGAUUUUCAUAUCAACCUUGGAAUCACAUCCAACACACAUCAUCACCUAACCCUUAACUAGUCUCUGUUCAUUCUGCAACUCCUGUUUUGAGUUACUAAUCUUAGCAACUGAACCGGUAUCAACUACCCAUGAGCGACUAUGAACACUUGUAAGGUACACAUCAAUAAUUUGUAUAUCAAAUAUACAUUUGUUCACCUUGCCAUCCUUCUUAUCCGCCAAGUAUUUGGGGCAGUUCCGCUUCUAGUGACCAUUCCCUUUGCAGUAUAAGCACUUAGUUUCAGGCUUAGGUCGAGUUUUGGGCUUCUUCACGGGAGUGAAAACUUGUUUGCCAUUCUUCUUGAAGUUCCCUGUCUAUCCCUUGCCAUUUUCUUGCAACUAGUGGUCUUGAUAACCAUCAACAUUUGAUGCUCUUUCUUGAUUUCUACCUUCAUUGAUUUCAGCAUCGCAAAGAGCUUGGGAAUCAUUUUCGUCAUCCCUCGCAUAUUAUAGUUCAUCACGAAGUUCUAGUAACUUGGUGAUAGUGACUAGAGAACUCUGUCAAUCACUAUCUUAUCUCGAAGAUUAACUCCCACUUGAUUCAAGUGAUUGUAGUACCCAGACAUUCUGAGUACAUGCUCAUUGGCUGAGCCAUUCUCCUCCAUCUUGUUGGCAAAGUACUUGUCAGAGGUCUCAUACCUCUCGACAUGUAGCGAUCCGACCUCAGACGGUCAAAUCUCUGUGCAUGAGUGUCAUCCCCGGAUCGGUAAUGCUGACACACACAGUACUCGAGGAUUUAUAACAGAGUUCAAUCACACACUUAUUACAUCGAAUGUCUCAAAAGAGAACUUAUUACAAUAAUAUGGCUGAAGGCCAUCUAAAUGAGAUAACAGCGGAAGCUUCGAAGGUAAAUGAGUCCAUCAACUCCAACGGCAUAGCUGAGUGCACGACAACGACCUAGCGCACCCUAAUCUUCGUCUGAAAACUCUGCAACAUAAUACGUUGCAGCCUAUGUAGGUCGGCACAUGGAAUAUGCUGGCAAAAUAACACUAUAGAGCAAAGAACAGAUAACAACUAUCACUACAUGCAUAUAUGGCUGGUGGAGGCUCUAUGGUUAUAAUUUUGCGUAAAGCCAGUUUUUCCCUACUACAAAGGAAUAUAUUUUAUUUACUACAAAGUUUGUACAAAACAUUGAGAAUGGUAACCCCAUCUCAAUCCCAAAUUAAUAAUCAACAACCCCAUAAGUUAUUUAAGUAAAGUGAUGAGAUCAACACAAUAAUUCAAGCACCAGAUACUCAAGAUGUCCAUAACCGGGGACACGGCUAAUCAUGAUUAGUUUGUACACUCUGUAGAGGUUUGCGCACUUUUCCCCACAAGACUCGAUCUCCUCCGUUUGAUUUCUCGCACUACAUGUUGUUUGAGAGAGGGAUGACCGAGACACAGUCUUCCAGAAGCAUUAACUCGUUACGACGGGUAGACAGUACCACCUUGUCGGUGUACAAAAGAAGGGGCGCACCUUUGUACCCCUUUACCUGUGCACGGACAGUCAGAGCCACGCCCGCGGCCGCACCAAGCAGAACAGGGGAGGUGAACCGAGGUAAAACCGAAGCCCAAGACAGCCGAAGCAAUGCCAAGGCCAAGAACAAAGCAAAGUGGCGAAGCAGGUUCCCCCGGCAAGAUCCUUGCCCGGGGCAGCCUCAGUAGCCCCGGCAAGACUCUUGUCGGGGCGGCCCGCCCAAACAGCGGAGUGAGCCACCCUCGAGCCCACGGGUUCCAACUCAACCAACCACGUUGGAACUAGGGCUCGGGAGGCACCUCCAUGGUGUCAUGCAGAUCUUUGUCAAGCCCAAGGAAUAUUCAAGAUCAGAUGAGGAUUAAGAGACAACGGUCCUCGGCAAGGUCCUUGCCGAGGAGAGCCACGAGACCCCCGGCAAGAUCCUUGCCAGGGACGACAGCACGCCACGGCAAGACCCUUGCCGGGCCACCCGGCAAGGCCCUCACCAAGGGCGUCAGCGGGGCCACAUCCAAAACCGCACCAGCCAAGUCUCCACCGCCGUUCGCAUGCAGCUGCCAGCCCAACCAGCUGGGCAGGCACCUGCGUGGCAACAUGCAGCUCCCAGGCCAACUCAUGAAGCACCUGCAUGGCGGCAUGCAGAUCUUCGUGAAGACCCUAUCACCGCGCCAGCUCAGCUGGGGGCUGCGCCGGGGGCUGCUGUCCGGGCUGCUCAACACCACCAGUGGCGCCCUUGAAGUACCAGCCGGGGGCUGGCCGCCCGCCGAGGUCUUGGACCUCUACACCCUCUGGGCCAGCGUCUAUGUGUCCCUGCAAAGAUGAAAACGAGUCAAGACAAGCAACACAGAUUGAGGAGACAGAGACAACGGGAAAGAGCAAGAUACUUACUCAUCGUCCACCUCCUCCUCUGUUGUUUUCCUCUUCCUCCUCGGGCUGAGGAAUCCGAAGUCAAAGGUGACCCCCACGUCGGCGUGCGCCGGAGGAGGGGAGGAGGGCGGAGUCCGGGCGCGCUUGGGCGAAGAGGAGGCAAAUGCUCUCUUCUUCGCCGCCGCGGCCUUCACCACUUUCUUCACCGCCGCGGCCCUCGUUUGACGCGCGGACUCCUCCAGAGACUUUGGCCGCCGUGCGGCCCUGACGGGCCGUACCGGCUCGCCAGAAGUGGCCCGCCGUAGGACUCGCCCUCUUCCCGUGGCCGGAGGGUCAACAGCCCCGGCCUCUUCCUCCGACGACUUGUCAGCCGAAUCUUCAACCAGAGGAGCCUCGGUGCCGGCGCUGCUGGCCUCCCCGGCGGCCGCCGCCCACCGGGUGAGCUCCUCCUCCUCCGCGGCCGUCGCAGCCUUGACCUCCACACCACCAGUGCUGCCGGCCUCCUCGGCAAGUUGCGCCUCCCUCACCCUGGUGGCGAUGUAGUCCAGUUCCGCCUGGGAGGUGUCCUCGACGAGCAGCCGCUCGGCGUCGGCGUUGACGUAUCCCUCAUGCAGAGUGUCGAAAAAACUGCCGCACCUGGAUGUCCUCCGGCUCGACCCAGCUUGGGUCAGGGCCAUGCGCGUUGCAGUCCGGCAUCAUGGCGAUGAUGUCGGUCUGGCACUAAUUAUUGCACAGCGGGACCACUCCUACCGGCAACUCGAACAAAGGCCCCUUGACGACCUUGCCGGCCUUCGCGGCAGCCCUCGCGACCUUGCCGGUCCGCUCGACCUCGCCGUCGCGGCCCACAUCAAGCUGGAAGAGUCACUGGCAGAAAUGGGCAUGCCCCAUCACUGUGAAAUUGUGGUCGAGGCCGGGGCGAAGCCGCAUGAUGUCGGCGGGGUUCGUGAAGAGCCAGGUCGGCCUCCCCUUGUUGUGCACUGGAGCGAUCCGGCGGUGGAUGAAGUCCGCCCUGAUCAUCUCAAAUGUGAGCCUGGCCUCGGUGAGCCAAAGGAUCCUGGUGGUGGCGAUCGUGAGCUUCUCGUCGUCGGCAUCGACGUCGCUCCAAUCGCUUCUGCGGACCGGCGGCGCCCGACGAACUUCGCAGAAUGCCGGCGGGUCCUUUUCUUCAAUCCAGUACCACCAGCCCCGCCACUCUUCCCACCUCUCCUUCAUGGCACCAUCCGGGUAUGCUCCCUUGGAUCUUGGGAUCCAAGUGACACAACCGGAGAUGGCGCCCCCCGUUUGAAUCCGAGGGAAGAAGUAGUGGCGGAAAAGCGCCGUGUUGGGAUGCACCCGGGCGAAACCUUCACAGAGGUGCGCGAAAAGGGCCAUGCACGCCACCGUGUUUGGGGUAAAAUCCAAGAGGCGGAAGCCAAAGGUAUGCAUGAUGUCGCUAAAGAAAUCGGAGAAGGGAGGACAGAGCCCGCAGGAGAAAUAGUCGACAAAGAAAGGCUACCGAUCCGGGGCAGCCUCGGCGUAGUUGGCGGGGAUGACGCGCGUGGCUAGGUGCCCUGUCUUCUCUCCCCUCGUCUUCACCCCCCACAGGGGCUUGAAGGCUUCCCGGAGCUCGAACAAUUCAACCGUCGAGGGGAAGUAGGCGGACUGCAUCCGCUGCACCGCCAGCGCACUCUCCGACGGCUCCGCCGCUCUAGCAUCCUUGGCCACUCCCUUGCCCUUGGUGGAUUUUGGCGCCAUGGCGGUUGGGGGAAGGGGGCAAGGGGCAAAGGAUGGCGGGAACACGACGGCGGCGAGCAAGAGCGAAACUUAAGGAAGAAGAGGUAGACGAAUGGAGGUUUCUGAGAUUGCGAUUGCGCGGAGGGUAAAGGGAACAGUGCGCUCGCGGUUAUCCCUUUUUAUGGGGAAGGUGCGGGUCGCGCUGCCCAUUUACAGUGAUGUGACGCAAGCGUGCGGUAACCGCCCCACGCAUGCCGACCACGUCACGCGCACCCCUCAACGUCGCGCAUUCAACGCGGGUCGUGGGGAGCGCAGCGCGCGAAAAGUUUUACCGCGGUAAAAACUGCCCCGCCUGCCCGCGCAUCGUUUUGGGCCUGGCCCAACAACGUGUCGCGCUUAUGUGUGGCCCAGGCCCGGGGGCUCCUGUCGGUGUACAAAAGAAGGGGCGCACCUUUGUACCCCUUUACCUGUGCACGGAUAGUCAGAGCCACGCCCGCGGCCGCACCAAGCAUAACAGGGGAGGUGAACCGAGGUAAAACUGAAGCCCAAGAUAGCUGAAGCAACGCCAAGGCCAAGAACACAAAGAAGUAGAGAGGCGAAGUAGGUUCCCCCGGCAAGAUCCUUGCCGGGGGCAGCCUCAGCGGCCCCGGCAAGACCCUUGCCGGGGUGGCCCACCCACACCAGCGGAGUGAGCCACCCUCGAGCCCACGGGUUCCAACUCAACCAACCAUGUUGGAACUAGGGCUUGGGAGGCACCUCCAUGGUGGCAUGCAGAUCUUUGUCAAGACCAAGGAAUUUUCAAGAUCAGAUGAGGAUUAAGAGACAACGGUCCUCGGCAGGGUCCUUGCCGAGGAGGGCCACGAAACCCCCGGCAAGAUCCUUGCCGGGGACGAUAGCACGCCAUGGCAAGACCCUUGCUGGGCCACCCGGCAAGGCCCUCACCAAGGGCGUCAGCGGGGCCACAUCCAGAACCGCACCAGCCAAGUCUCCACCGCCGUUCGCAUGCAGCUGCCAGCCCAACCAGCUGGGCAGGCACCUGCGUGGCAACAUGCAACUCCCAGGCCAACUCAUCAAGCGCCUGCGUGGCGGCAUGCAGAUCUUCGUGAAGACCCUAUCACCGCGCCACCUCAGCUGCCUGCUUGCCCACAUAGCGCCGCACGCAUCCCUGGCCAGGGCGCGUGUUGAUGAAAGGAGGAGCGGCGACGGACGGGACGGGCCUCGCUCCCAUCCCCGAUAAAGCUAGGGGACACCUCAGCGGCACAUUAAAUGCGUCUUGUCCUGUAAUACGAACGAUAAGCUCGUAGCACUAUACGCCUUUCCACCUCCUGUGUGCCACUGUGGCAGCCCCUUUCUACUAUAAAAGGAGGCUCAUGGCAUACUGGAAAAGGAUUCGGCUCUCUGGAACCACGCACCCACCAUAGCAAGUUCGAGAGCUCAAGAACUCUCGGAAAUACAUCCAACAAAGCAGGACUAGGGUUUGACGCAUCCUCGCGGCCCGAACCUGGGUAAACGAUCCUUGUGCAGAUUACUAAUCCUGCUCUUCUCACAACCCUGCGCCCCGGCAACCGUAGUAGGGAUUCUUGUGAUCCCAUAGGUGUCGUUCCACACCGACACACCUACAUCCCCUACAUCUGCUAGUCUACCACUGUAAGAGGUCACACAACUUACUCAACUAUGCCAGAGCCCAUAAUGGCUUGUGGCUGCAAACGGAAGUUUCCAGUAUGAAUAACAUAAUGAUCCCUUUGAGCCUGGGUGGGAAACCAUAUGAUGAUCACACGGGUUCCCCGGGAUCUCCUUGGACAACACUGGAUUCCCUAGGUGCCGACAAGCCAAUCCACCCAGAUGUGUAUUAAAGUAGCCACCUUAAGUUAAACCUUAGUUAACAAAGAUCUCUCACAUCUUUCAUGAAUUCCCUCAAACCAAUCCACGUUUACGAGCGUAGCAUAGCUACCUCAUCAACUACUUCCCAAAACCCACAUGUUAUCAGUCCUACUCAUGCAAUGUUUCAGGGUUGAAACUAAUGCUUAAAAACUGGGUAAUAAAGGGGUAUGAUCAAAGUGUUACUUGCCAUGCUGACGAUCAGAAAACCCUAGUGAUUCGUAGUAGCACGCUUCGCACUCCGGAAACUCUAUCGUGAACAAACAAUAGCAUACAUAAGCACUCAAGCAUAAGAUGCAAGGGUAAAACUCAAGAGAAAGGAUCCAAACUGAAAGUUCAACUGAAGACCUUCGAUUUGCAAAAAGAAUCAAUCGAAUCGGAGCUGCGAAACUGAACCUGCGAUCAAAAGAAGUACGAAUUCAAAUCUGCUUGAAACCAAAUUUUAAUUUAUCAAAAUCAUGUUCAAGUUGAUUAACUGGAAAGAGGGGAACAAGACGAAGAUUUUGGCGUUGGUUUCACUGGAUUUGGAAAAACGAGUAAAAAGUAGCGAGGGUUUGAAUUUCAGGGACUAAUCUGUGAUAAAAGUAUUCGCGGAUAGGUCCCUGGACGAAAAAUAAAAUAAAAAGAAAAACCUAACGAAUGAACGUUCACUAACAGAUCUAAACGAAUGAAUUCGUUUGUUAACCGAAACUAUCGAUGAACGUUCGUUAAUUAACGAACUAAAUAAAUGAACCCGAUCCAACGGAAUAAACCGAAAAAAACGAAAGAAAACCGAGCGGAUUUUUCCGGUUUUCGAAAAAAACGCGGCGAUGAGAUCCGAUCGACGCCGGCGUCGGGCGAGGCGGCGACGGCAGCUGGCAGUUUUAUUUAAAUAAAAUUUCGCCUGAAAGAAAAUUCCUAAUAAAAUAUAUAAAAAAUUCUAAAAAUACUAGAAACAAUUUUCGCCAUCCAAACCUAAUAUUUAGGACAAGGUGAACGUUUUUCUGGCCUAAAAUGCAAUUUUCAGAAAUGCAUAUUUUCUCUAAAUCAAAUAAAAUACAAUUAAAAUAAUAAUUUGGUUUUAAAAUUUCUUCUUCAAUAGUCCUCUCCUUUGAAGAAGUCAUUUUAUCUCCUCUCAUUUAUUUUUAUUAUUGGAAAAUAAUUGGAGAGAAAAAUAUUAAAAUCAAAUUGAUCCACUUUUCAGGUUUGAGAAAAAAUUCAAAUAUGAAAAUCUCUGAAAUCUCCAACUCUCUCCUUGGGUCCUCGAGUUGCAUAAGAUUUCUAGGACCACAACCAAAAUGCAAAUAAAAUAUGAUAUGCAUAUGACGACCUAUGUAUAACAUCCAAAUUGAAAAUUGGGAUGUUACAAACCUACCCCCCUUAAGAUGAAUCCUGUCCUGGAGAUUCGGGUUAGCUAGAAAAUAGGUGUUGUGGUCUUUCCGUAGGUCUUCCUCUCGCUCCCAGGUGGCUUCCUCCUCGGUAUGGUGGCUGCACUGAACUUUGCAAAACUUAAUAACCUUGCUGCGUGUAACUCGGCUGGCAAACUCAAGAAUCUUGACGGGUUUCUCCUCGUAGGUUAGGUCACUCUCCAUCUAAAUUGCUUCGAGGGGCAUUGUAUCUCUCAGAGGAAUAUCGGCCAUCUCUGCAUGGCACUUCUUCAACUGGGAAACGUGAAGCACAUGAUGAAUUCCUGACAAUCCUUCGGGUAACUCCAACUUGUAGGCCACCUCUCAUAUGUUCCAGAACUCGGUAUGUUCCUACAAAUCUCGGAGCUAACAUUCCUUAACUCCAAAACAUUUAACUCCUCGAAGUGGUGACACACGAAGAUAUGCUCUGCCUCUGACUUUGCAGACUACCUCCUUGCAUUUACUAUCGACAUAACUCUUCUGCCUGGACUGAGCUACCUUCAGUCUAUCCCGAAUAAACUUAACCUUCUCUUCAGAUUCCUUGAUUAAAUCCGGUCCAAACAACUGACGGUCUCCAACUUCAUCCCACAUCAACGGUGUCAUGCACCUUCUUCCAUACAAAGCUUCGAAAGGGGCCAUCUUCAAACUAGCCUGGUAACUGUUGUUGUAUGAGAACCCUGCGUAAGGCAAAUUAUCAUCCCAAGUGGAUCCAUAAUCUAGCGCACAAGCUCUCAACAUGACCUCUAGAAUCUGAUUGACUCUCUCGGUCUGUCCAUCUGUCUGCGGAUGAAAGCCUGUACUGAACUCAAGCCUGGUACCCAAAGUCUUGUACAGCUGAUUCCAAAAUUUCUAGGUAAACUGGGUUCCUCUAUCUGAUAGGAUGGUCCUCGGAACUCCAUGCAGACAUACGAUCCUGGUCACAUAUAUCUUGGCCAACUUCGCGCUCGUAUAAGUGGUUUUUACGGGGAUAAAGUGAGCCACUUUGGUCAAGCGAUCAACUACUACCUAGAUAGAAUCAUAUCCCAAUCGUGUCCUGGGUAAUUUGGUGAUGAAAUCCAUGCCAAGUUUGUCCAACUUCCAUUGGGUAUCGGCAUAGGCUAGAGUAAUCCUGCUGGCUUCUGAUGUUCUGCCUUCACUCUCUGGCAUACAUUACAUACUGCUACAUACUCGGCAAUAUCCUUCUUCAUACCUGUCCACCAGAAACGUUCCUUCAAAUCCAAAUACAUCUUGGUGUUUCUGGGGUGAAUCGAGUAUGGCGAGUCAUGAGCUUCCUGAAGUAUUAACUUCCUGAUCUUUGUAUUAUUGGGCACAUAUACACGAUCCUCAAACCAUAAAGUUUCGUGUUCAUCCUCACGAAAACCCCUGGUUUUUCCUUUGCUCAUCUUCUCCUUUAUCUCAGCAAUUUCCUUAUCAUCCUUUUGAGCUUCUCGAAUCUUUCCCAAUAAUGUGGAUUGAACCUCCAUUGUUGCAACAAAACCUCUUGAAACUAUCUCCAAACGAAGUUCCUUGAGCUCGGCGACUAACUCCUGCGGUAAUCCUCCGCUUACGAGGGUAUUUACAUAACUCUUGCGACCCAAAGCGUCUACUACGACAUUGGCCUUUCCUGGAUGAUAAUGCAACUUCAUAUCAUAAUCCUUUAUGAGCUCCAACCAUCUCCUCUGCCUGAGAUUCAGCUUCUUCUGCGUGAAGAUAUACUUUAGACUCUUGCGAUCCAUGUAUACAUCACAACGGUUUCCAAUAAGAAAGUGUCUCCAGGUCUUGAGCGCAUGCACUACGGCUGCUAACUCCAAAUCAUGCGUGGCAUAAUUCAAUUCAUGCGGUCGAAUCUGACAUGAGGUAUAUCAAACAACUCUUCCAUCUUGCAUAAGUACGCCUCCAAGUCCCGAGCGAGAAGUGUCGCAAUACACUUGGAAAUCCUUGCGUAUAUCCGGAAGAAUCAGCACUGGGGCUGUAACUAAACGUUUCUUCAACUCCUGAAAAUUGGCCUCACAUUCCUUGGUCCAUUUGAACUUGGUGUCCUUCUUCAACAACUCCGUCAUGGGUUUCGUAAUCUUGGAAAAAUUCUCAAUGAACCUCAUGUAGUAUCCUGCGAGUCCCAGAAUACUGCGGAUCUCUCCAAUUGAGGUGGGUGCGAACCACACAGUGAUAGAUUGAACCUUGGUAGGGUCUACUGCAAUACCUUCUCCUGAUAUAACAUGUCCAAGAAGUCCAACUUCCUUCAACCAAAACUCACAUUUGCAGAGUUUGGCGUAUAGCUGAUGUUCCCUGAGCUUCUCGAGAACUAGUCGCAAUGUUCCUUGCGUUCCUCUUCAUUCUUCGAGUAUACCAAUAUAUCAUCAAUGAACACCAGAACAAACUUAUCCAAGAAUUCCAUGUACACCUUGUUCAUCAUAAUCAUGAAAUAGGCAGGGGCGUUAGUCAAUCCAAAAGACAUAACCGUGUACUCAUAUAGCCCGUGCCUUGUGGUAAAAGCUGUCUUAGGUAUAUCCUGUUCUCGGAUCUUCAGCUGGUUGUUGGUGUACAAAAGUAGGGGUCCUAUUUGUACCCCUUUACUUGUGCGCGGGCAGCUGCAGCCCCACCUGAUGCCACGCUUUACGGGGCAGAGGAAGCAAAGUCACAAGAUGGGUGAAGCAAUGCCAAGACAGAGACAUGAAGAGCAGAAGGGCAAGGUGAGUUCCCCCGGCAAGGCCCUUGGCGGGGCGGCCACCACAGCCCCGGCAAGAACCUUGCCGGGGCAACUUGCCUGGCGCCAACAGGGCUGCCACCCUUGAGCCUGAGAGUUCCAAACGCCCUCAACCACAUUGGAACCAAAGCUCGGGAGGCGCCUCCGUGGUGGCAUGCAGAUCUUUGUGAAGACCAGAAGCACACAAGACUAGAUGAUAACCAGAAGACGACGAUCCUUGGCAAGAUCCUCACCGGGAUACCCACGAAACCCCCGGCAAGACCCUUGCCGGGGACGACCACGAUGCCGUGGCGAGACCCUUGCCGGGGCCCCGGCAAAACUCUUGCCGAAAACAUCCGCGGGGUCGCAGCCCGGCCCGCACCCACCAAGACUCCACCGCCGUUCCCAUGCAGCUGCCAGCCCUCCAACUAGGCGAGCACCUGUGUGGAAACGUGCGGCCUCUAGGCCAACUCAGCAAGCACAUGCGUGGUGGCAUGUAGAUCUUCGUGAAGACUCUACCACCGCAUCAACUCAGCAGCCAGCCAGCCAGCGUGGCACUACACGCCUCGUUAGCUCGGACGCGCGUCGAAGCCAGGCGAAGCGGCGACAGUUGGGACGAGCUUCCUUGUUGUCCCCGAUAAAGUAAGAAGGGCACAUCGGCAGCGCAGUAAAUGUGUUUGUCCUACGGUGCCAGAGGAUAGACUUGACCACUGUAUAGCUUUCCACCUCCUGUGUGCCAGUGUGGCAGCCCCUUUGUCUAUAAAAGGAGGCCCGCGGCAUACCGAGAGGGGAUUCGGAGUUUUUGGACCCUGCACGCCUUGUAGUUAGUCCAAGAACACUAGAUAAACAUAAACCAGUAGGAGUAGGGUAUUACGCAUCGCAUCCGGCCCGAACCUGGAUAGUCCCCCUGUGUUGUUCUUCUAAUCCCGCUCUUCCCACAGCCCCGCGCCCGCCAACCGUAGAAAACGGGAUUCUUCAUGGUCCCAUAGGUGUCGUAUCCCCCGACAUCUUUGGCGCGCCAGGUAGGGGGCGCAAGCUGUCAGAAAUCCGGUUUUGAAGCCGACGCCUCGACUUCAUCAUCACGAUGGCCCCCAAGAAGAUGGGGAUGAUGGCGAUCGGAUCGCCCGAAGCAGGCCCAUCUGCACCAGCGCGAGCGGGCGAUGGGGUGGCCACGGAUGGCGCCGGAGGCGCCGCACGUGAGCAUCCACGACACUCUGGCACCCGGAGCCGGGUGAGCUACGUUGUGCGGGCCCAAGAUGACGGGCCACACGCGGCUGGGUCCGGGGAUGGUGCCGUGCUACCCAUGGGCGGCGCGGCAACCUCUACGGGGCCCCAGCUGGCACCUGCGCGGCGGCCUUCUCAGGCCACGCGUGAUGAGCAACACCGCGAUGCCGGAGCCCCAGGGCACCGCCGCGAAAAGAGUCCUAUGCGCCACUCGCAAGACGCAGCAGGCCGAUGAGCGUGCUCGAACGCUGGCGGAAGCGACGUGCGACCGCGAGACCGUGACAGAUCCCCUUCUGACCUAGUUAGAAGCCGGAGCGCGUCACGGUCUACGCAAGUCUCGCCGCCACCCAUGCCAGCGGAAGCACUGGCGCGCGUGCAACUGCUCCUCGACUUCCCCCCUGCUGCGGAGAAGCUCAAUGAGUGGAGGGCCACCAUUCGAAGCCUUGUCAGCUUUGCCAACAAGGAUGAGCCGCUCCCGAUAGGACCCUCACGCCGGCGUUCUGUCGAGCCGGUGCAUGCCGGCGGUGGGGGGACUAGAGACGCCGUGACUACGGUGCACUCCCCUCCCCCAUGGCCAUGACAGCAGCCACCGGCCCGCCUAGUCGACACCUGUGACAACGUUUCCACGGCGUCGUCCGAGCCGCGAACCCACUACUAUCAGCAUCGAGUUCUUCGAGAAUGAGCCCAAGGAGACGCUCCGACUACCAUUGAGCGGCGGCGGGAAGCGCGCCAUCAGUCAGAUCGGCAUGUGGGGCUUGCUAUGGACCACCCAGCGUCGGGGGCCCCUGGUGGUCUGCCUUACGAGGUGGGCUCUCCGGCCUUUACCCGGGAGCUGCGGCAGUUCCAGUGGCCCUCCCACCGCACGUUCAAGCCUGAUGUUGGGGAAAAGUACAACGGCAAGACUCACCCGUCGGAGUUCCUCGGCAUCUACACCAUCGUAAUGCAGGCCGCUGGGGCUCGCGACAAUUAGGUGCUCGCCAACUACUUUCCGUUGGCACUUAAGCCAAACGUCAUGUCGUGGUUGAUGCACCUGCCGGUGGAUUCCAUCUCUUCCUGGUCGGACAUGUGCCACGAGUUUGUUGGCGCCUUUACCGGAGGCCACCAGGCUCCUGGCUAGGAAAGUGACUUGCCUGUCAUCCCCCAGAAGGAUGGUGAGUCCCUGCGUAAGUACAUACAGAGGUUCAGCCGUGUGUAUUACACCAUCCCAGAUGUUCAUCCUGCCGCUGUCAUCACUGCGUUCCACCAGAACGUAUGCAACCGCAAGAUGCGUGAAGAGCUGGCAAUGAACAAGGUCAGGGACAUGGCCGAACAUUAUGUUCUGGCUGAUAGGUGUGCUCGGGCUAAGUAAGGAAGGAAGUACCCCGGCGAAGAUGCCGCCGCGGAAACCGACUCCACGGAUGAACACGCCACCGCCCCGGCGAAGAAGGGUCGGCGCCGCAAUAGGAAGCGUAAGGGCAAGACUGUACUUGCCGUUGAGGGAUCCGGCGACCUCGGCUCCGCAAAGAAGGCCAAGGCUGAUGACCCCGCCAAGGAGAUUGCCGGGUGCAUAGCCUGCCGGGCCUUGACGGCCGCCGACAAGCCAGGAGGCUCCGACAAGCAGUACUGGAAGAUCCACCGCACCAAGGACCACGACCUCCAGAACUGCCGACAAGUUGAGUUGCUUGCGGAGAAGCAAAAAGCUGAGUAUGAGAGGCGGGACAAGCAGAAGGGUGAGGAUGGUGCCGAGGGGUCCGACAAGAAUCAUGGCGGCCAAGGAGGUCGCCGCGGCAAAGAUAACCAACAAGAGAGGUGUCACGACCGGUUUUUCAAUAAAAUAAUUAUUGAGAGACCAAUCCCUUUUACGGACCAGCGAGGAAGAAUUCCUUCUCACUGGUAGACAAUAUCUUGGUCAUAGAAGAAAAAUACCAGGAGUACUAAAUAUAAUACAAGGUUGAGCAGAGACUGCCCAACAAUUUAUUACAUGCACGCCGCUAAAACAAGACGGCGGGUAGGGUGGCAAACUACUAACUCACGAUAAUAACGGUGGUGGAAAUAUCAUCGCGAAGCGAGUGAUAUGAUUCCAGAAGACUACAACUCUUCGAGCGUCGGAGUGAGGCUCGAGAAGACUUAUAGCGGUUGGCGGAAGCGUAUACAAUACAAGUGACCAAUAUCCGGGAUCGCGCAGGACUGACUGGGACUCCUCUAGGCAUCGGACGCGCUAUCAAACUCUUCAUCCAAGAGAUCGCCUUCGUCAACAUCUGGCCAAAUCAACAAGCCAGGUGAGUACUAUGAAAGUACUCGCAAGACGGUUCGGACAUAAGGUAUAACAAAUGUAAACAUGAAGCACAUGAACAAGUUAACCAGUGCGAUCAGACAUAGAGAUAAUAAAUACUAGGUGCCAAGCGAGGGUCUGAAUGACGCCUUGAGCGGAAACUGCAGAAUAGUAAUACUGGUGCCAAACGAGUGUCUGAAAGACUCCUCGAGCGGAAAAUGCGGAAUAAUAAUACAGGUGCCAAACGAGUGUCUGAAAGACUCCUCGAGCGGAAAAUGCGGAAUAAUAAUGCGGGUGCCAAACGAGUGUCUGAAAGACUCCUCGAGCGGAAAAUGCGGAAUAAUAAUGCCACAGUCGGGCGUCGAGGCGACACUACAUAAAGGGCUUGCAACAGAAAAUAAAGACAGUGCAUGCCACAGUCGGACGUCUGUGCGACAUCACAUAAAGGGCUCAUAUUUAAAGUAAGAAACAAGUACACGCCACAGUCGGACGUCUGCGCGACGUCACAUAAAGGGCUUAUAUCAUAGCUCAGUAAUACAAUCGUUCGGGAACAUAAAUUAUCACAAGCAUGCGACAAAUAUAAAGUUAGUCCAUCCACAGGAAUAACCAUAAAACUGGAUUUACCACUUGAGCUUGUUCACCGGGGACAAGUUUUUCACACGGAUAGAUAUGGAUAUAAUGUUUACACUACUUGAUCAUGGAUACGAUGAUUUGGAAAGAAUUGACUCUGCAGAGUUUGUACUUAACCACAGCCAACGGACUUCAGUAGUCACGGGGACUAGUUCCGUCUACGGUGUUUUGGAAGAAACACGUCUAACCAGUACACAUCCAAUUCAACCAUCCGAAGCCAGGGAUCACCCUCGGCAACAUUCAAGAAAAACCUUGAGACGGGGAGGCUACAACCUCGCGUAGCAUGGGAUCAAAUUUCUAUACGCACGCUCUAAGGGGGUGCCCCCCUCUCGGUCCCAACCGGAAACACCCAUGCCCCCUGACCGGAUGACUGGCUUUAAUCCUGGGCCAAGGUACAAUCAUCCCGGCCUCUCUGUUUGGUGUGUACACGGAAAGAGGUUACCAACUUACUAAACCGCAUCCUGGCAAUGAGACAUGUGGUAGCACGAAAAGGGGAAAGAACGGUAACGGGGCUCCAACCACGUUAACGUCGGAGAAAGUCGCAUGACGCAAGGCUGGUAUGCUACAACAGUACCACCUUGCUGCCCUUCAUGUCACCACAUGAUUAGGUCAUCUCUCAUCAGAGAUCAUCGCAACCUUGGAACAUGCGGGAAGAGAACGAUAACGUGGCUCCAACCACGUUAACGUCGGAGAAAGUCGGAUGAUGCAAGGCUGGUAUGCUACAACAGUACCACCCUGCUGCCCUUCAUGUCACCACAUGAUUAGGCCAUCUCUCAUCAGAGAUCAUCGCGACUUUGGAACAACCGGGUCGUUGCCUUACAAGCAACGAGGUAUUUACCGACACUCAUAUGCCACGCACAACCUUUCAAGCGAACAUGCAAAAACACUCAUCAUAUCAAUGUUCAAACAUGCUUGCCUGGUUCGGAGAAGUCAGAUUCUAGCUCGGCGAAGUUCGCGGCUCCUUCACCUCUUCCGGAACCUACGGCAAUCACGAAACGGGUACUAACGUGAAAACCAACACUUGCACAGAAACUUUUCCAAAUAAUUUUCAAAUAAAUCCCAUAAAAAAAACUAGAAAAAUUUGAAGAUUGUCAGAAAAAGAAUCACUCAAAAAUACCUUUUUAUUAAAGAGUUAUAAAGGUUUCUGUCCAGGGACUUAUCUGUAAUGAAACAGAAAAGUUCCAGGGUUUUAACUGAGAAAUCAGAAAACGCUUAGGUUGGGAAUGUGUAAGCGCAAAGGAGAAAACGUAUUUGCCCGAAGGCGCCAACAGAAAACGGUUCGGAGGAGAAUAGAAUAGAGGCUGACAGGCGGGGUCCACCUGUCAGGUUUAAAAAGCUCGCCGGCGCCCGAAGACUGCGGUGGACGCCGGCGUCGAACCACAGCGGGUUAGGAGAAACGGAGGGUACCAAGAGCUUCAGCGUCUUCUUCCGCGUCAGUGGGUGGUGGACUCGUCCAACGGGGAGCACCACAUCGACGGCGACACUAUCUCCGGCGGACGGCGGCUCGGGUGAGGAUGGGGAACUCCGGUGGAGGGCUGCAAACUACGAAUUGAGGCGCGGGUCAGAACGAGGGAUGCAAGGUGAAGCUACUGGCAAGAGAAUGGAGGCGGAGGAGCGCACAUGGGGGCGAAUCGGGCUGGAUCCCGUGGCGGGUCGCGGCGGCCGGAGUCCAGGAAGGAGACCUCCUCGGGGCUCUACCAGUGGCUAGGCUUGCUCUAGGGGAGUGCAGGGAUGGUGGGUGCUCGAGUUGAAGCUCGGGGCCUCUAUUUAUAGGCAGAUCGAUGGGGUGGCCGUGAACGGAGAAUCUCCGGCGAGCGAUUACGGCGGAGCAGUGGAUCGGCAGGAGGUUUGAGUGGCCAGGCAGCAUCAGUGGAGGUUACUGGAGUCGUUUCACAGCUAAACGGGGUCGGUCUUGGCGUAAUGGCGUCGGUCCACGGUGAGGUGACCGCACGGGCUCAACGGCGGCAGAGAGCGCGCUCCGCGCCCUGCGGUUCACGACGAGAGCGGCAGCGCGUUCGGGGGAGUGGAAGGCCACGCGGAGAGCUCCGGUGGUUUGGGCGGCGCUGGGUGGCAUCGUCGGCGCCGUGUCUCCCGCUGGCGUCCGCAAAGCCGCCGCUGGCGUCGGUCACGGGGCGACGCACCUUCUGCUGCUCGUCGCCGACGCCUGCAAGGCGCCAGGCGUUCGUGCGGUGCAGGAACAAGAGGGCGGGGACGAGGAGCAAGGCGACGCGGUGGUACUGGCGAGAUCGAUGUCCUUCUCUGAAGAAAACGACAGCAAGCCACUGACUGAAUCUCUGAAUUUUUCUGAACUUGAUACAGACAGUGCACUACAGGUGUUCGACAGGAGGAUUUUGCAAUGAGAUAAAUUUUUCUGGAGCUGUAACUUGGUGAGGUGACCACUCAAUGCACCCAGAGGCUGUCUGAUUUUACAUUGAAUUUUUGGAGAAGGUUUUGAAUGAAUUUCACCAAAUUUGACAAAUCUGGUCCAAACUUGCAGCAGGUGUAGUUUGAAAAUUUUGAACUGAAGACCAGUGGAUCUUCAUGGUUCUUGGUUGAGGGUUCAAAGGACUAGGAGGGGAAAAAGGUUUGGGGGCAAAAAUCAAGACAGAAAGUGGAGUUCCUUUGCAAAUCUCCAAGUGCUAGGAAAGAAGGCAGAAAUUUAUUUGAAUAGAAUAUAAAUGGAAAUAAUCACAUGGGGAGGUUCAACUUGCUGGAUUUUAUGCAAAUCAUGAUCCAAAGGUGAGGAAAGGGUUAGGAGAGGGGAUUUGCACUAAGGCUAUGGCAAGAAGGAAUUGUUGAAAGUGGCAAAGGAUUUUCCAAAAGCCAUAGUGCAAAUUUCAAGGAGAUUUUCAAAAGUCAUUUCCCAAGUGAAAAUAUUUUGUCUUGAGUCCAAAAUGAAAAGCAAGAAUUUCCAAGACCAAAGACAGAUCUUGGGUGAAUCCAAAUAAAACUUUUGCCAUAAAAAAAUAUAUUUGAGAGUGAGAGUUCUCUUGAAGAAAAUUUUUAAAUCACCUCCCUCAAGUCAAAUAAAAUCAUUUGAAAAAUCCAAAUAAAAACUUGGGUGUCACAAGAGGCCCGCUCGGGGCCGCGACAAGAAGGAGGAAGAUGAUGAUCAUGACGAGGUCGACGAGUCCGGCGAGCACGAGUUCUAGAAGGCUAUAGAGGCCACGUGCGUCGAUGGUGGCGUGAUAAUCCCCAAGUGCAGGGAAUCAUCAUAGCAAUUCCAAAAGGUGGAAGUGAUAAGUAUGGAGUGUCGAACCCACAAGGAGCUAAAGGUAAGAUCAAUAUUCUCUGAAGUCCUAUCUGCCACUGAUACGACUCUACAUACACCGAACGUUUGCUUCCAACUAGAAACGAGAAAUAAAACUACGUUGUGGGUAUGAAGACGGUAACUUUGCAUGAUAUCGGAGAGCUAAAAUAUAAAAGUAGGUGCUGUUAUCAUAAAGUUAGAAUAUAUUACUAAAUAUUAUAAAUAGCGAGUGUGGAAUAAUGAUGGAUCGGUGUGCGGAAUUAUCCUAGGCAAUUGUUAACAAGAAUGGUAGUCGUCAUUGCAAUUUCAUAUGAGGGAGAGGCAUAAGCUAACAUACUUUCUCUUCUUGGAUCAUAUGCACUUAUGAUUGGAACUCUAGCAAGCAUCCGCAACUACUAAAGAUCAUUAAGGUAAAACCCAACCAUAGCAUUAAAGCAUCAAGUCCUCUUUAUCCCAUACGCAACAACCCCCUUGCUCAGAUUUAUGCUUCUGUCACUCAAGCAACCCACUAUAAGCGAAUCAUAAACGUACUGCAACACCCUACAGCGGGAAUCCCUCACGCUUGCACGACACGGAGGGCACAAUAGGACAGGACCAAAAUAAAACAUACAACUCGUACCAAUCUAGAUCAUCAAUCAACCCAAAGAUAAAGGAUAUCUACUCAAAACAUCAUAAGAUGGCAACACAUCAUUGGAUCAUAAUAUGUGGCAUAAAGCACCAUGUUCAAGUAGGGAUUACAGCGGGGUGCGGGAGAGUGGACCGCGUAAAAUAGAUGAGGAUGGUGAUAUGAUGGUGAUGUUGAUGAAGACGAUCACCGCGGCUGAUUCCCCUCCCGAUGGCACUCCGAUGCCACCAAGAGAGAGGACGAAAGGUUCUCCCCCUUGUGUUUCCUCCUCCAUGGCCUCCCCCUAGAUGGGGAGAAGUUCUCCCUCUGGUCCUUGGCCUUCAUGGCGAUGAUGGCCCCUCCGGGAUCCUCCUCCAUGGCCUCCGGUGAUGAUGGCCCCCUCCGGCAGGGUGCCAGAGAGGGCCUAGAUUGAUUUCUCGUGGCUACAGAGGCUUGCGGCGGUGGAACUUCCGAUAUCGGUUAAUUUCUGGGGGUUUCUGUAUUUAUAGGAAUUUUUUGCGUUGGUUUCACGUCAGGGGGGUCUCCAAGUCGUCCACGAGGCAGGGGCCCAUGCUUAGGGGGGGUGUGCGCGCCCCCCACCCUCAUGGACAGCCCGGGACUCUACUGGCCCAGGGGCUUCUUUUGGUCCAUAAAAAAUCAACAAAAAAUUGGCACGUCAAUUGGACUCCGUUUGAUAUUCCUUUUCUGUAAAACUCAAAAAACAAGGAAAAAAUAGAAACUGGCACUGGGCUCUAGGUUAAUAGGUUAGUCCCAAAAAUCAUAUAAGAUAGCAUAUAAAUGCAUAUGAAACAUCUAAGAUGGAUAAUAUAAUAGCAUGAAUACUUCAUAAAUUAUAGAUAGGUUGGAGACGUAUAAGCAUCCCCAAGCUUAAUUCAUGCUCGUCCUCGAUAAAACUUUUCUAGCAUCAUUAUAUGUGAAUGCUAGCAGGUGCACAAGUUUGAUCAAUGAUAAUUUUAAUCACCUUUUCUAGCAUCAUUAUAUGUCAUAACAGUAGCUCAUCUCAUAAAACUUUUCAUGAUCAAGUAACAAGCUAUUCACAUGUUAAAGUAUAGAUCAUACACUUUCUUGAAAACUAACAAACAAUGCUCUUAGUCAUCAAACAAUUGCAAUUCAUCUUAUUUUCGGGAAGGGUCUAUGUCAGAGCUUUGAUUUAGCAAACUCCACAUACUCAACUAUCAUUUAAUCUUUCGCAAUUGCUAACACUCACGUGAUAUUUAUGGGUUCAAAGUUUUAAUCGGACAUAGAGAAAGAUAGGGGCUUAUUGAUUCGCCUCCCAACCUUUUACCUCAAGGGUAAUGUCAGCAAUAAUAAUUCAUGAUAACUUACAUCCAAUUGGAUAUAUAUAUAUACAUAUAUAUAUAUAUAUAUAUCAGGAUCUUUCCAACACAAUGUGCUUGCUAAAGGAUAAAAUGUAAAAAGAAAAGGUGAAGAUCACCAUGACUCUUGCAUAAGGUAGAAGAUAAAAGUAAAAGAUAGGCCCUUCGCAGAGGGAAGCAGAGGUUGUCAUGUGCUUUUAAGGUUGGAUGCACAAAAUCUUAAUGCAAAAGAAUGUCACUUUAUAUUGCCUCUUGUGAUAGAGACCUUUAUUAUGCAGUCUGUCGCUUUUAUUUCUUCCCUAUCACAAGUUCGUAUAAAGCUUAUUUUCUUCGCACUAAUAGAUCAUACAUAUUUAGAGGGCAAUUUUUAUUGCAUGCACUGAUGACAACUUACUUGAAGGAUCUUACUCAAUCCAUAGGUAGGUAUGGUGGACUGUCAUGGCAAAACUAGUUUAAGGGAUAUUUGGAAGCACAAGUAGUAUCUCUACUAGGUGCAAAGAAUUUGGCUAGCAUGAGGGAGAAAGGCAAGCUCAGCAUGUUGGAUGAUCCAUGACAAUAUAUUUUAUUUCGGAUAUAAGAAAACAUAACCCAGUACGGUGCCUUCCUUGUCCAACAUCAUCCUUUCAGCAUGUCGUAUUUUAAUGAGUGCUCACAAUUACAAAAUAUGUCAAAGAUAGUAUAUUUAUAUGUGAAAUCUCUCUUCCUUCAAUAUUCUUUCAUGAAUUGUUCAAGUGACCAAUUCUGAGUUUGCUAACCUUCAAUAAGUUUACUACCUAUACUUAUUAUGUCUGAAGUCAUUACUCCCCAUGUUAUAAGCAUAUGAAACAUAUAUAAAUUCAGAUUUGUGAUAUUCAAUUCAUUCAACCAUUUACUCAUAGGAUAUACGUGAAGCACGUGAGUAAAUGACAAACUACUCCAAAAAUAUAUAAGUGAAGAACACUGAGUAGGCAAAUAAUUAACUAGCCAAGGGAGGAUUCUAUUUCAUUCAAUAUUUCAGAUCCAAUGAUUUUAUUCAAACAGCAAGUAAAAAUGAAAAUACGCUCCAAGCAAAACACAUAUCAUGUAACGAAUAAAAAUAUAGCUCCGAGUAAGGUAUACCGAUAGUUUUGAAGACGAAAGAGGGGACGCCUUCCGGGGCAUCCCCAAGCUUAGGCACUUGAGUCUUCCUUGAAUAUUACCUUGGGCUGCCUUGGGCAUCCCCAAGCUUAGGGUCUUUCCACUCCUUAUUCUCUCAUAUUGAUAUCUCACCCAAAGCUUGAAAACUUCAAUCACACAAAACUUAACGAAACUUUGUGAGAUAGGUUACUAUGAUAAAGAGUAAACCAUUCACUUUGAUACUGUAAAAGACAAGGUUCAUAAUUGUUCCCACACAAUGCCUACUGUACCAUAUCAUUUCUACAAUUUAUAUUGAGAAAUAUAAGCCAUAGAAACUAGAAAACAAGCAAACUAUGUAAUGAAAACAGAAUCUGUCAGAAACAGAACAGUCUGUAAUGAUCUGAACAGAAACCAUACUUCUGCUACUCCAAAAAUUAUGAAAUAAACUGGCGGACGUGAGGAAUUUGUCUAUUAAUAUUAUUCAAAAAGAAUCAACUCAAAAGCACUCUUCUGUAAAAACAAUGACAGCUAAUCUCGUGAGCGCAAAGUUUCUGUUUUUUUACAUCAAGAUCACAUUAACUUUCACCCAAGUCUUCCCAAAGGUCUUACUUGGCACUUUAUUGAAACAAAAGCUAUAAAACAAGAUUACUAAAGUAGCUUAAUCAUGUAAACACACAGAAACAGUAAGGGUAAAUAUUGAGUAGUCUCCCAACAAGCGCUUUUCUUUAAUGCCUUUUAGCUAGGCGUGAUGAUUUCAAUGAUGCUCACAUAAAAGAUAAGGAUUGAAACAUAAAGAGAGCAUCAUGAAGAAUAUGACUAGCACAUUUAAAUCUAACCCACUUCCUAUGACUAGGGAUUUUGUGAGCACACAAUUUAUAGGAACAAGAAUCAGCUAGCAUAGGAAGGCAAAACAAGUAUAACUUCAAAACUUUAAGCACAUAGAGAGGAAACUUGAUAUUAUUGCAACUCCUACAAGCAUAUAUUCCUCCCUCAUAAUAAUUUUCAGUAGCAUCAUGAAUGAAUUCAACAAUAUAACCAUCACAUAAAUCAUUCUUUUCAUGAUCUACAAGAAUAGAAAUUUUUCUACUCCCCACAUAAGCAAAAUUCUUCUAAUUCGGAAUAGUGGGAUCACUAAUUCCUAAAGUUGACACUUUUCCAAACCCGCUUUAGAUGAUAGUAUUAUUCGUACUCCAAAAGAUAUAAUUGAGGUUCAUGGAGAAUUCUUUAAUUAAUAUAUACUAACAAAUAUCCAAGCUCAAAAUAUAUAAGUGAAGCACACGAAGCAUUCUAUAAAACCAUACUCAAAUGAUUUAAGUGAAGCACAAAGAGCGAUUCUAUAAAAUCAUACUUAAAAGAUAUAAGUGAACAACAUGAAGUAUUCUAUAAAUCAAUGAGGGGCUAUCUCAUACUAUCUUGGUUCUUAAAGGAAAAAAAACAUGAAGGACACAAAUCAUGUGAACAAAACAAAAACCGAGGUAUACCGAUAUUUGUUGAAGAAGAUAGAUGGGAUGCCAACCGGGGAAUCCCCAAGCUUAGAUGCUUGAGUAUCCUUGGAUAAUUUACUUGGGGUGCCUUGGGCAUCCCCAAGUUUGAAUUCUUGCCUCUCUUUAUUCUUCUCACAUCAGUAACUCCUCGUUCUUCGAACACUUCAUCCACACAAAACUUUAAUAAAAACUUUGUGAGAUCCGUUAGUGUAAUAAAGCAAACUACCACUUUAAGUUACUGUAAUUAACUCAUUAUUUAUUUAUAUUGGUGUUGAACCUACUGUAUUCAAACUUCUCUAUGGUCCAUACCCCCCGAUACUAGCCAUAGAUUCAUCAAAACAAGCAAACAACACGCGAAAAACAGAAUCUGUCAAAAACAGGACAGUCUGUAGUAAUCUGGAAGUUUAGUAAACUUCUGUAACUCCUAAAAUUAUUCAUUAAAUUUUAAAAUUUUAAAAAUUUGUACAUAAGUAAUGUGCAAAAAAUUUCAGACCCAUUUGACCUUCCAGUAAAAAAAUGUAAAUUCACGCACUACAGACAAAGUUUCUGUUUUUGUUCUGCACAUAGUAAACAAGCAAUCUAAUCAUCCUAAAACCAAAGCUUGGCACAUUAUUUUUAUAAAACAAUGGAUAUAUACAAGGGGAUAAUUAUUUACAGAGAAACUUCCAUGAAAAAUUCUACAUUGUUUCCGUGAGCAUGAACACAAGUGCUCAAGGUCGACCCUCACUUCUUCAAUGCAAAACUUUCCAAUCACUUCUUUUUUUGAAAAAAAAAUUAAGCAUGAGAGGCAAGUAACUUUUUUUUUUGUAUUUUCAUUCUUUAAUUUUUUUGUAUGUUUCACCCACAACUAAACAUAAACAAAAAGGUAAAACAAAAUCUACUUAGUGAAGAAAGCAAACAAGCGCACACGAGAAUAUCAACCCCACACUAUUGCUCCUCGGCAAUGGCGCCAGAAAAGAGCUUGAUAAUCCCGAAGUGCAGGGAAUCAUUGUAGCAAUUCCCAAAGGUGGAAUUGAUAAGUAUGGAGUGUCGAACCCACAAGGAGCUAAAGGUAAGAUCAAUAUUCUCUCAAGUCCUAUCUGCCACUGAUACGACUCUACGUACACCGAACGUUUUCUUCCAACUAGAAACGAGAAAUAAAACUACGUUGUGGGUAUGAAGAGGAUAACUUUGCAUGAUAUCGGAGAGCUAAAAUAUAAAAGUAGGUGCUGUUAUCAUAAAGUUAGAAUAUAUUACUAAAAAUUAUAAAUAGCGAGUGUGGAAUAAUGAUGGAUCGGUGUGCGGAAUUAUCCUAGGCAAUUGUUACAAGACCGGUAGUCGUCAUUGCAAUUUCAUAUGAGGGAGAGGCAUAAGCUAACAUACUUUCUCUUCUUGGAUCAUAUGCACUUAUGACUGGAAGUCUAGCAAGCAUCCGCAACUACUAAAGAUCAUUAAGGUAAAACCCAACCAUAGCAUUAAAGCAUCAAGUCCCCUUUAUCCCAUACGCAACAACCCCCUUACUCAGGUUUAUGCUUCUAUCACUCAAGCAACCCACUAUAAGCGAAUCAUAAACGUAUUGCAACACCCUAUAGCGGGAAUCCCUCACGCUAGCGCGACAUGGAGGUCACAAUAGGACAGCACCAGAAUAAAACAUACAACUUGUACCAAUCUAGAUCAUCAAUCAACCCAAAGACAAAGGAUAUCUACUCAAAACAUCAUAAGAUGGCAACACAUCAUUGGACCAUAAUAUGUGGCAUAAAGCACCAUGUUCAAGUAGGGAUUACAGCGGGGUUCGGGAGAGUGGACCGCGUAAAAAAGAUGAGGAUGGUGAUAUGAUGGUGAUGUUGAUGAAGACGAUCACCACGGCGAUGAUUCCCCUCCCGAUGGCACUCCGACGCCACCAAGAGAGAGGAGGAGAGGUUCUCCCCCUUGUGCUUCCUCCUCCAUGGCCUCCCCCUAGAUGGGGAGAAGUUCUCCCUCUGGUCCUUGGCCUUCAUGGCAAUGAUGGCCCCUCCGGGAUCCUCCUCCAUGGCCUCCGAUGAUGAUGACCCCAUCCGGCAGGGUGCCAGAGAGGGCCUAGAUUGAUUUCUCGUGGCUACAAAGGUUUGCGGCGGCGGAACUUCCGAUCUCGGUUAAUUUCUGGGGGCUUCUGUAUUUAUAGGAAUUUUUGGCGUUGGUUUCAUGUCAGGGGGGUCUCCGAGUGGUCCACGAGGCAGGGGCCCACGCCCAGGGCGGGUAGGCGCGCCGCCCACCCUCGUGGACAGCCCGGGACACUUCUGGCCCAACUCUUUUGCUCCAAGGGCUUCUUUUGGUCCAUAAAAAUCAACAAAAAUUGGCACGGCAAUUGGACUCCGUUUGAUAUUCCUUUUCUAUAAAACUCAAAAACAAGGAAAAAACAGAAACAGACACUGGACUCUAGGUUAAUAGGUUAGUCUCAAAAAUCAUAUAAAAUAGCAUAUAAAUGCAUAUAAAACAUCUAAGAUGGAUAAUAUAAUAGCAUGAAUACUUCAUAAAUUAUAGAUACGUUGGAGACGUAUCAUGGCGCCUCGCUGCACACCUCUCACCGCCAACUGAAGCAGUGGGCGCGUGAGGUCACUGCGGCGGAGCCACUGAAGCCACUGAAGUGGUCCCGCACACCCAUUGUUUUCGACACCGAGGACCAGCCUGACCGCAUGACUGCGGUCGGGUGUCUGCCAUUGUUGGUUUCCCCAACAAUACGAACCUCAAGGUGACGAAGAUACUGGUCGAUGGUGGGGCCGGUCUGAACUUGAUCUCGCCCGCUGUGAUCAAGAUGCUGGAGAUUCCUGAUGGAGACCUCAAGGAGACGGGCACGUUUCAAGGGGUCAACCCGGGAAGGAGCCAGCCUAAAGGUAAAAUCACGCUGCCCAUUACAUUUGGGGGCAAGCUGAACUUUAGGACGGAGAAAAUCGUCUUUGAUGUCGCCGAGAUGCCCUUGCCAUACAAUGGGAUCCUUGGCCGCCCAGCACUGGCCAAGUUCAUGGCGGCGUCCCACUACGCCUACAACACGCUGAAGAUGCCGCGGCCGCUGAUCAUCAUCAUCGUCCCCUCCGGCAAGAAAGAUGCGCUCAUCUGCACCGAUCAACUCUACUGAGAGGCGGUUGCAGCAACUGCCGUCAAGGCACUUGCUCCUGCCGCUGAAGCUCCAGGGAGGAAGAAGGCCGGCGAGACCUCUUCCGGCAAGACCUCUUCCGGCAAGACCUCUUGCACCCACCCCGGCAAGCGCACCUCUUCAGAGUGCUGUGCUCCUAUUGAGGACGUGCCAGAGAGCUCCACUGGCAAGAGCAAGAAGUCCAAGGCUGCACCACCAGAAACCAAGAAGGUGCCCAUCAAGGAGGAGAGCACGGGCAGGGCUUUCACCAUAAGCUCCAACCUUGACAGCAAAUAGGAAAGCGCACUCGUCGCCUUCCUGUAGGCGAAUGUCGAUGUGUUUGCAUGGCAAGCAUCCAACAUCCCCGCUGUUCCCAGGGAGGUGAUUGAGCACCAUCUUGCUGUCUGUCCUCAUGCGCGGCCCGUCAAGCAGAAGGUCAGGAAGCAAGCUUUGGAGCGACAAGAGUUCAUCAUAGAAGAGAUCAUGAAGUUGGAGGUGGCAGGCCUGGUCAGAGGAGUACUCCACCCCACGUGGUUGGCCAAUCCGCUGGUGGUGCGUAAGGCAAAAGGGAAGUGGAGACUGUGUAUUGACUACACAGAUAUCAAUAAAGCUUGUCCAAAGGAUCCUUUCCCCCUGCCACGCAUCGACCAGAUUGUAGACUCCACUGCCGGGUGUGACCUGCUGUCAUUCCUUGACGCCUAUUCCGGAUACCACCAGAUCUUCAUGAUGAAAGAAGACGAAGAGAAGACCGUGUUCAUCACCCCAUGUGGUACGUACUGCUUUGUACGGAUGCCUUUCGGGUUGAAGAGCGCUAGUUCGACGUUUGCCCGAGCGGUCCAAAUUGGUUUUGAGCCCCAACUGCAUAGAAAUAUGGAUGACAUAGUGCUCAAAACCAAGGACAGGGCCACGCUUGUACAAGACAUAGAAGAAACAUUUGCAAAUCUGUGCAAGAUCAACCUCAAGCUCAACACAGAGAAGUGUGUGUUCGGUGUCCCGUCUGGCAAACUUCUUGGGCUCUUUGUGUCUCAGCACGGAAUCGAAGCAAAUCCCAACAAGAUCAAGGCGAUCGAGCAGGUUGAAGCACUGAAGCGGGUCAAAGACGUCCGUAGGCUCGCCGGCUGCAUUGUCGCCCUGAGUAGGUUCAUCUCCAAAUCUGCUGAGCGCGCCCUCCCCUUUUUCAAAGUCCUGAAAAAGGCGGGUCCAGUAAAGUGGACUCCGGAGGCAGAGGCUGCGCUGCAAGAUUUGAAGAGGUAUCUCUCCUCCACGCCGAUACUAGUCGCGCCCAAACCACAAGCGCCGUUGCUGCUAUACUUGGCAGCAACGAAUCAAGUGGUCAGUGCCAUGCUGGUGGCGUAGAGGGAACUUGAGGAAGAGGCAGCAGUAGCAACGGAGUCAUUGGGUGGCGAGCCGGGGCCCUCCCCGGCAGUGUCUGCCGCCUGCAAGGCGGAACCCCCGGCGAGGCCCGGUCCCGGCAAGGCGGAGUCUGCGCAGAUAGGGGAAGUUGAACAGAAGAAGAAGAUGGUGCGGCACCCAGUUUAUUUUGUUAGCUCCCUCUUGCAGGGGGCUAGGUCAAGAUAUUCUGGUAUGCAUAAGCUACUUUUCGGCCUCCUCAUGGCCAUGAGAAAGUUGCGCCACUAUUUCCAAGCACAUGAGAUCACCAUUGUGACACGCCUCCCGUUGCGACGGAUCUUGCACAACCCGGAUGCGACUAGGAGGAUAAUGGAGUGGGCAUGGGAGGUGUCAAGCUUUGGCCUCCAGUUUGAGAGUACUUCGACGAUCAAGAACCGAGCCUUGGCAGAGUUCAUAGCAGAAUGGACAGUAACGCCCGAUGAAGAAGUUCAAGAGACCACCCUUACCAGCAAGGAAAUGUGCCGCAAUUGGAUUAUGUACUUUGAUGGAGCUUUCUCACUACAAGGUGCUGGUGCCGGCGUACUACUCGUCGCACCCACCAGAGAACACCUCAAGUAUGUGGUGCAGAUGCAUUUUCCCCGGGAAGAAUCGACGAACAACACGGCGGAGUACGAGGGAUUGCUCGCCGGUCUCAGGAUCGCGGCAGACCUUGGAAUCAGGAAGCUCGUCAUCAGAGGUGAUUCGCAGCUCGUCAUCAAGCAAGUCAACAAGGAGUACCAGAGCCCGUUGAUGGAAGCCUAUGUGGAUGAAGUGAGGAAGUUGGAAGAGCGUUUUGACGGACUACAAGCAGAGCAUGUCCCCCGAGCGAAAAACAACAUUGCCGACUACCUGUCAAAACACGCUACCCUCAAGUUGCCUGUGGAACCAGGUACCUAUGUGCUUCAAUUAACUCAGCCAUCCGUUGAACCAUCAGCGGGGCAGAACAAACGAAGGAAGGUGGGCCCCGGCAAGUACUUUCCUGCUGAGCUCCUAGGAGCCGCCGGCAAAGGACGUUGCCGGGAGUCCCAAGCUUGCCGGAGAGCAGCAACCCUUGGCAGGGCCUCACGCCCUAGCCAUAGAAGCAGCUACCCUCACGGCUGAAGAUGAGCCUUUAGAUAUUGCCGUCGAGCCCCAGGCUCCAGCAUGGGCGCAGCGCACUGUCGGGUGGUAGGUGCGACAUAUGCCAACGGGUGGCUUAUCAUUGUGGGAGCCAGUAAAACAUCGCCGGUGCCUGGAAACGGGAUGAGGCAAAGACAUGCACGCCGGCGGAUCUUACCCAGGUUCGGGGCUCUCCGUGGAGAUAACACCCCUAGUCCUACUCUGCGGGGUCUCCGCAUGAUCACUAGAUCAAUACAAGUAGCUACAAGCGCUCCUUGAGCUGUUUGGCUAGAGGAAGAGGAAGGACAAGGCUAGCUCUCCUUUUCUCUCUAGGUGGUGUGUGAAAUUCUAUGAGAUCAACCCUUUGCAUGGGUGCCCUGGGGGGUUUAUAUAGGCCUACAGUGGUAAUCUGGCUGGGCCUGGGUCGCAGCCGUCAGUGUCUAUGCUCGCCGGCUUCUCCGCCGGUCAUUGGGGCCCGCCGGCUGCCGGCCUCUUGGCCGGCAGGCCGGCCCCACCGCUUGGGGGCUUUGUCGGCGGCUAGUUAGUGUUGCCUCACCUCUGAUGACGAGGGCUUCGUCGAGGUAAGCGUGGCUACAGUGUCGCCGCCUUGCGAGCUCUCACUAUAGCCUUACCUUGUCUUGUCUCCUUAAUGAGGCACAUGCUUCGAGGGAGGGAGGCCGCCGGCUAUUGGGAGCCGGCCACACUCCUGGCCGAUUAGAAGGGGCCAGGCCGCCUUCUGGUGUCUCUCUUGCAAAGGGGCCCGCUGCCCACAGGCCGUACUGGCGCCUGUCGUGGGUGACAACGAGGCCAACAUGGCUACAGUGCCGCGCCGGACGGGGGAUGGCUUGCCCGUGCGGCGCCCUGUGGCCAUGCCUGUUCCGGGAUUCGGGGGUAGUGGGUUGUACUGCGGCCACACCCCAUCCUAUCGCCGUGCUGUGGGUACAGUAUUAGUGGGUGCAGUCUUGACCGGCUUCUGGGAGCCGGCUUUCUUCGCGGCCGGCUUAUGGGAGUCGGCUUUCUUCAUGGCCGGCUUCUGGGAGUCGGUCCUCUUGGGGCCGGCUCCCUGGAGUCGGCUAUCUCGUAUCUUUCUUGGAGGAGGUUUCUGAGGCUGGGUCGCCUUCUGGGGGUCGGCCCUCGGCCGGGGGAAGGCGAUCCUAUGCUUUGUAUGCUUGAAGGCUUGAAUGGCCUGGUAAUUUUUCGAAGAGCCAGGGGGAGUCGGUUAGGCUACCCGUGGCCAUUUACUCCGACACCCACCGUCCGUUUCCUCCAAACAGGAGAGCUCCCCGAGGAGCAGGAAGAAGCAGAAAAAGUAGCCCGUCGGUCCGACAUGUACCAGUUUGUGGAUGAUGCCCUCUAUAGAAGGAGACCGAACGGUGUGAAAUUGCAGUGCAUCCCUCGGGAGGACGGACUGAGGCUGUUGGUAGAGAUACAUGGAGGCAUGUGUGGCCCCCACAUAGGGUCGAGGGCUCUUGCUGGCAAAGCAUUCCGACAAGGUUUCUGCUGGCCCACCGCCCUCUAGGAUGCAACUGCACUAGUAACCAAGUGUGAAGCAUGCCAGUUCCAUUCAAAGAAGCUUCAUCAACCAGCCCAAGCUCUUCAGACAAUCCCUCUUUCCUGACCAUUUUCGGUCUGGGGGCUCGACAUACUGGGCCCCUUUCCCCGUGCUGUCGGGGGCUUUGAGUACUUGUACGUCGCAAUCGACAAAUUCACAAAGUGGCCGGAAGUGGAGCGAGUGAGAAAGGUGACAACACAAUCAGCCGUCAAGUUAUUCAAGGGACUAGUCUGCCGUUUCGGUGUACCGAAUAGAAUCAUCACCGACAACGGCACAUAGUUCACGAGCCGCACCUUCAUGCAGUACACUCAAGACCUCAGCAGCAAGGUGUGUUUCGCUUCUGUUUCCCAUCCCAGAAGUAACGGCCAAGCUGAGAGGGCAAAUGCGGAAGUGCUGUGAGGCCUCAAGACCAGAACUUUUGACAAGUUGCACAAGUGCGGAAGGCGCUGGAUUGAUGAGUUGCCAACGCUUCUUUGGUCAAUUAGAACGACACCAAAUCGAGCCACUGGCCAGACACCCUUUGCCCUGGUAUACGGGGCAGAAGCAGUUCUCCCUACUGAACUCACAUAUAGGUCACCUCAAGUGCUCGCUUAUGAGGAGCUUGAGCAAGAGCAGUUGCACCAAGAUGAUGCGACGCUCCUUGAGGAAGAUCGUCUUCGGGCUGCUGUGCCGGCCGCCCACUACCAGCAAGCCUUGCGCCGCCAUCAUAGCCGCAAGGUUCACACCCAGAGCUUUGAGGAAGGCGACCUUGUUCUUCGGCGGAUUCAAUCCACCAAGAAUUCAAACAAGUUGACGCCAAAGUGGGAAGGCCCUUAUCGGGUAAUAUGAGUCACCAGGCCUGGCGCAGUCCGCCUGGAGACCGAGGAUGGCAUUCCAGUGAGCAACUCCUGGAAUAUCAAACAUCUUUGCAAGUUUUACCCCUAAGGCGCGGUUGCCGGGAGCCCCGGCAACACCCGUUGUGUACUAGCCUUGCUGGCAAGGCAUGUAACCCUAUGUACGGAGCCAGGCGCAGACCCUGUGCGUAGUCAGGGAAAAGGAAUCCCUUUGUAUGUAUAGUUUCCUGUUGAUUUCCAUGUUUAUGUGUAUACAUAUAUGCAUGCUUGUCCAGGGUACUGUACUGCUUUUUCAUUCCAGUAAAUGUUAGUAAACCAUCGAGGUUCCAUGCUCUUGCCCUCUCUUCUUUCCAGCUAUGGCAAGGACGCAUGAUCCCGCCAAGGACCCGGCUCCGGCAAGAAGUUGAGAAGACCACCCGGCAUGGCGAUUAGAAUUCAUAACAUGUGACUUGUGCAUUAGAAAACCUCGCCACUCUUCUUUAAAGACUCGGGGGCUCCCAUUUCUGACCCGAACACUGCUUCGGUCAGAGUGGCCGUGGUGACCCUUGUCAAAAAGAGGAGGACAGGGGGCUGGGCCCUUUGUCUGUAACCCGGUAGAUAUGAUUCUCCGGCAGGCAAGAGGCUCCGGCAAGGUGGCUUGCUGGAAGGACUCGUUUAUUUACACUAAGGAGGCAUUUCGCCUCCGCACGAACAUACACGUGCACGAGUUCCCAGCAAGGCUAGACUUUUUCAUUAAUAUGCUGAUGCAAGUACAAAGGUUACAGGACACAAGCAUGGGCUCGAGAGAUUAUAUUAUCUAGAAAUUAAGAUUCGGCAAGUGCCUACAAUUUAAAAAGAAAGAUAGGAUCCCUGUGAUCUCCGUUCUUGCCCCAUUCCUCCUAGGUGCGGCAGAUAAAGCCAAAAAGGAAGAACACGCCGAUGGAGAGCUUGACGAGGAAGACCCUCGGCAGGGCGCAGAGCCGAGGGAGGAGGGCGGCACGGUCAGUCGGAGUCGGAGUCAGCAUCCUCCCGCUUGACACCCUCGUUGUCGAUGUCGCUGUCCUCCUCGUCACUACCACUCGAGGAGGAGGUUUCACCGUUGGAGGAGCUCUCCACGCAACACAUUAGGCGAGUUACCAAGAGCAUGAAGACCUUGACGUAGCGCAGGCCAUUCUCCAUCAACUUAAAUUGGAGAACGAGCCCCUCCGACCGGCUAUGGGCGCGAGCGAAGGUCUUCCACCCACAGAGGAGGUACAUGACAUGAGGGGCGGGGAAGUCGACAUCGACCCGUAUGCUGCCAUUCCCGCAUCCCCUCAUAUGUAGCCUCAAGACCUGAGCCGGGUCAAGCUCCAUCUCCCGAGCGAACGGAGUGGGGAGACGAAGACGACUGCGCACCGGCCCGCGCAGCCUGAUGUAGAACUCGCGGGGCUGGUCUCCGACAUGGCCUUCCAUUGGAGGAGGGGCCGCUGGCGGAGGCGAGGCCGGUGCGCUGCCCCGUCCUCCUCUUCCCCGAGCGCCACGGCGGCCUCGGCCUCGCCCCCUUCUUCUUCCUCUCACGGCCGGCUCCGCCGCCACGAGUUCUUGGGAAGGAAGGGCGUGCUAGCAAGCAGAGACCCUCGUCGCCGCCGUCGAAGCACCGGCACGCCCUGUUGCCAUGGCGAAGGGAAGAAAGGGAUCAAGGUGGAGGGAGAUGAACAUUGAAGGAUUGAAGGACGCUGUCCCCCACCCCCCUCUUAUUAUAAAAGGGCGGGGCCUAGGCACGGCCGCCCCACUCAACCAAUCCGGCCGCCAAGGGGCGCAGGGAAUCGGGACCGACCCGCUGCUCCAAUAAGUGACGGCCCGGUUUCCCGCCUCGACAUUAUGGCCCGCGCCCUUCGCGUCCACCACCUGCCUCCUAGGGGCAUGAAGGACACGUGGCGAACGAACCGGAAUCAAGAAGACAACUGAAGCGAUAGUAUUCUACCCCGUGACCGUGGGGCGCGGGCGCCUUGAAGGCCGCGACCCGAGUCCUCUUAGUAAAUGAGUCGCGCCCCUGCGUUUUCCUCCUUUUAUGGGGAAGGCGCGGGCCGCCUCUCUACCAUUCACCACGAUGUGACGCAUGCGUACGGGAACCGCCCCAUGCAUGACCCCCACGGCACGCACGACCCCCGCGUCGCGCAUUCAACGCGGGUCGUGGGGAAGCGCAGCGGGCGAGGGAGUUACUGCAGUAAAAACUCUGCCGCAUGCGCGCCCGCGCACCAUUCUGGGCCUGGCCCAAUAACGCCCCACGCUUAUAUGUGGCCCAGGCCCGGGGGCUACUGUUGGUGUACAAAAGUAGGGGUCCUAUUUGUACCCCUUUACUUAUGCGCGGGCAGUUGCAGCCCCACCUGAGGCCACGCUUGGCGGGGCAGAGGAAGCAAAGACACAAGAUGGGCGAAGCAACGCCAAGCGAGAGACACGAAGAGUAGAAGGGCGAGGUGAGUUCCCCCAGCAAGGCCCUUGCCGGGGCGGCCUCCACAGCCCCGGCAAGAACCUUGCUGGGGCAAAUUGCCCGGCACCAACAGGACUGCCACCCUUGGGCCUGAGAGUUCCAAACGCCCUCAACCACAUUGGAACCAAAUCUCGGGAGGCGCCUCCGUGGUGGCAUGCAGAUCUUUCUAAAGACCAGAAGCACACAAGACUAGAUGAUAACCAGAAGACGAUGAUCCUCGGCAAGAUCCUUGCCGGGGAUACCCACGAAACCCCCAGCAAGACCCUUGCCGGGGACGACCACGAUGCCAUGGCAAGACCCUUGCCGGGGCCCCGGCAAAACUCUUGCCGAAGACAUCUGCAGGGUCGCAGCCCGGCCCGCACCCACCAAGACUCCACCGCGUUCCCAUGCAGCUACCAGCCCUCCAACUAGGCGAGCACCUGCGUGGCGAUGUGCGGCCUCUAGGCCAACUCAGCAAGCACCUGCCUGGUGGCUUGCAGAUCUUCGCGAAGACUCUGCCACUGCAUCAACUCAGCAGCCAGCCAACCAGCGUGGCACUACACGCCUUGUCAGCUCAGACGCGCGUCGAAGCCAGGCGAAGCGGCGACAGUUGGGACGAGCUUCCUUGCCGUCCCCGAUAAAGCAAGAAGGGCACGUCAGCAGCGCAUUAAAUGCGUUUGUCCUACGGUGCCAGAGGAUAGACUCGACCACUGUAUAGCGUUUCACCUCCUGUGUGCCACUGUGGCAGCCCCUUUGUCUAUUAAAGGAGGCCCGCAGCGUACUGAGAGGGGAUUCAGACUUUUUGGACCCUGCACGCCUUGUAGCUAGUCCAAGAACACAAGAUAAACAAAAACCAGCAGGAGUAGGGUAUUACGCAUUGCAUGCGGCCCGGAUCUGGAUAACCCCCUGCCUUGUUCUUCUAAUCCCGCUCUUCCCAUAGCCCCACGCCCACCAACCGUAGCAAAAGGGAUUCUUCGUGGUCCCAUAGGUGUCGUAUCCCCCAACAAUGGUGGUAUCCUGAUCGAAGAUCGAUCUUGGAGAAUACUUUAGCUCCUUGCAGCUGGUCAAACAUAUCGUUGAUCAUCGGUAGUGGGUACUUGUUCUUGAUCGUCACUUCAUUCAUGCCUGAUAAUCAACAAUCAUUCUCAAAGAUCCAUACUUCUUCUCAACUAAGAGCACUGGGGCUCCCCACGGUGAUGAACUUGGUCGGAUAUAACCUUUCUACAAUAACUCCUUAAUCCGCAUCUUAAUUUCCUCCAGAUCAUUUGCGGGUAUCUGAUACGGUCUCUUCGAUAUUGGUCCGGUGCCUGGCAACAACUCUAUCAAAAACUCUAUAUCUCGAUCUGGCGGCAUGCCUGGUAGUUCCUAUGGAAAUACAUCCGGGUAAUCCUUCACAACAGGCAGUUCUUCCUGAACAACUCCCGAGAGGGAAUUUACUUGGGUCCUCCUUGGCGCAUGCCUAGAUACAUACUUGAUCCUCUUUCCCUCCGGGGUGGUGAGUAAAAUUGACUUGCUAGCACAGUUGAUGUUUCCUCCAUACUUCGAUAUCCAAUCCAUGCCUAGUAUUAUAUCCAAUCCUUGUGACCCCAAAAUUAUUAGGUCUAAGGGGAAAACAUGGCUACCAAUGGUUAAGGGUAACCGAUCACACCAUCGGUUGGCCAUAUACUCUGCUCCUCGCGAGCUUACUAGCAUGGGUAACCUAAGGGCUAUGGUUGGCAACUUAAACUUGUCCACAAAUCCCCUUGAUAUGUAUGAAAGCGAUGCACCACUGUCAAAAAGAACGAGAGCGGUAAAUGACUUAAUCAAAAACUUACCAAUCACUGCGUCAGGCUAAUCUUGAACUUCCUCCAUGUUGAUGUGGUUCACCCGACCUCUGGUGAAGGGAUUGGGCUUCUUCCCAGAGUUUCCAUUUCCAUUGCCAUUCUUCAACUCAGAACAAUCAUUGGCGUAAUGUCCAGUCUUCCCGCACUUGUAACAGGUGACAUGACCCAGGUCCUUCUUAGCGGGUGUUGCUGGGUUGGAACGGUUCUGGUUGUUGUUUCCUCAAUUCCCAUUUCCAUUCUUAGGGCCACUAUGAUUAUGUGAGCUUCCUCCAAUGUGACUGUGGCCUCCAUGGUUAUGGUCGGCAUAUCCUCCCGAGUUAGGUGUAAACCGAGGCUUCUACUGAGCUCCAGAAUUAUACUUCCCCUGUCCAAACUCUCUUUUGCGGCUCUCUAUCUGCAGUUACUUGCCUUCUAUCAUAAGAGCCCUGUCUACCAACUCCUGGUAGUUAGCAAAUUUUGCCACCAUCAACUGCAUAAUUAGCUCAUCAUUCAGCCCUUCCAUAAACUUCUCCUGCUUUGCGGCAUCUGUGGCCACAUUAUCUGGGGCAUAACGAGCUAACUUACUGAACUCAUCCACAUACUGCGCAAUAGUACGAUUUCCCUGGUGUAGGUUGCAAAACUCACGCUUCUUCGUACUCAUUGCUCCAGUUGAGACAUGUGAUGUGCGGAAAGCUUGCUGAAACAGAUCCCAAGUGACAUUUGCUAUGGGGAAAGUGAAUGUGUAAUUCUCCCACCAUGAGGCUGCAGGUCCAUCCAGUUGAUGUGCGGCAAAGCGCACCUUCUCAGCAUCUGUGCAACCUGUGAUGGUCAGCUCCCUUCUAAUCCUGCGGAGCCAGUCAUCAGCAACAAUCGGCUCGGUGCUACUGGAAAACCCCGGCAGAUUCAAAUUUAGAAAACGGGCUAAGUUCUCAACUGGAGGUGGUGGCGGUGGGUUGUUGUUGUUGCCUUGGUUCUGGACUAGUAGCUGCAUCAAGGCAUUCUGCUGUUGGAUCAAUUGAGGGAGCUCCGGUGGGAAGACAAAUCCGGGGUCACGUCUCGGAGGCAUCUGAUAGGUUUAGAGGGGCGAGAAUAGAAUAGAGUGUGGUCUAAGGAGAAAUCACUACCCAUAUGCACAUGAGACAAACACAUUCAUUUCACACCACUCAAUUCAAACAAGGGCAUACAAACGAUCUAAUCUACCGUUAUAAAAUACUCGGACUAUUACUAUAUACAUGGGGGAAUACUACUGAUAAUUUGGUGGUCGACUUGAAAUUUUGAUCAGUGGAAGACUCCAUGAUAUCUGCUCCAGCUUCGUCUUCAUAAUCAUCAUCACUAUCGGGGUCGGAGUCGGUGUCGUCGAUGAUGAUGUAGUCUUCGGGAUGAUUGUCCUCUUUAGGUGCGGGGUCUCCCAUGAAUAUUCCUAGCUUCUUCUUCAUGUCUUCAUUCUUCUAAUCACUUUCUUCAUGUCUAGCAUGCCGGCGCACAUCUGGUUCUCCUGACGACGAAUGUGCUGGUUUAACUACUGGAUGUAGGCUGCAAUGGAUUUAUCCCUCCUGGUGCAAAUCAUCUCCCAUUUCUCAUCUCGGCGUCCACAUAUCUGGUAGAUGGUGUCCUUAAGAUCCUUGUGGUAUACCUCGCCGAUGCGUCCCAUGGCGAUGUGGGCUAUCAUGCUCUUUCCUAGACUCCAGGUUGGUGCAUCAAAGGAAAACUCUAUGGGCUCAGUAACUGGUAUGAAUGUCCUUCCUGGAACAUGAACUCGAAUCAUCCAAUGCUCCUCUUCUGGUAAAGUGGCGGUGUAGGUCCCGGUGAAGCUUGGUAUUCCGAUGUUCAGGUACCUAGUGGCUUCCUUCAAGUGUCGUCCAAAAGGUGUGUCUUCAUCCGGUUGAGCAAACGUGUUCCUUGGGUCCACCAUCUAUAGAGUAGAGAAUGGAGAAGAGCCAGAAAUGAGUAGAGGAGAGUGUCCUAUGGCUUCUAUUAAUGGUCGCGUCCUACAGUCAGCGUGUGCUCUGAUACCAUCUUGUAGCGAUCCGACCUCAGACGGUCAAAUCUCUGUGCAUAAGUGUCAUCCCUGGAUCGGUAAUGCUGACACACACAGUACUCGAGGAUUUAGAACAGAGUUCAAUCACACACUUAUUACAUCGAAUAUCUCAAAAGAGAACUUAUUACAAUAAAUGGCUGAAGGCCAUCUAACUAUGAUAACAACGAAAGCUUCGAAGGUAAAUGAGUCCAUCAACUCCAACGGCAUAGCUGAGUGCACGAAAAUGACCUAGCGCAUCCUAUUCUUCGUCUGAAAACUCUGCAACAUAAUACGUUGCAGCCUGUGUAGGUCAAUACAUGGAAUAUGCUGGCAAAAUAACACUAUAGAGCAAAGAACAGAUAACAACUAUCACUACAUGCAUAUAUGGCUGGUGGAGGCUCUAUGGUUAUCAUUUUGUGUAAAGCCAGUUUUUCCCUACUGCAAAGGAAUAUGACCUAGCGCACCCUACUCUUCGUCUGAAAACUCUGCAACAUAAUACGUUGCAGCCUGUGUAGGUCAGCACAUGGAAUAUGCUGGCAAAAUAACACUAUAGAGCAAAUAACAGAUAACAACUAUCACUACAUGCAUAUAUGGCUGGUGGAGGCUCUAUGGUUAUCAUUUUGCGUAAAGCCAGUUUUUCCCUAGUGCAAAGGAAUAUUUUUUUGAAUAUUUACUGUAGGGUAAAAACCCCACAGUCCUUUAUUGCCUCAACCAAACAAAACCAAACUGUAGAGUGGUUACAAUAUUUACAGGCCUAAGCUAAAAAGAAAGAAAGCUUACUUUACAUGAGGGAGUUAACCCAAUCAACAAGUCUAGUCCUAAGGGUAUCCUUGAGUCUAUGAGACAAUAGAAGGAUAUCAUGAAUAAAAUUACAUCUCCAUGCAGCAAAAGUAGCCCUCGUCCCCCUCAAGGUUCGUCCAUUCCUCAGAAUCCAAAUAUUCCAAGCAGCUGUGAGCAUCACUACAAGGAAGAAUGGGUGGCCAAAACUUUGCCUUGCUUGGGAGAUGCACUGUUGAAUAUUUGACCCAUGGUUCCAAUCCACUUGCAAAUAAUUCCAGACCCUGCAACUGAAAUUGCAUUCAAAGAAAAGAUGUGCUCUGUCCUCAUAGACAAACGCAUUGCAGAUGACACAUAAAUUAUCAUCCACAGGGGACCUCCAGUGCCUUCUGACUAACAUGUCCUUAGUAUCGAGCCUGUCAAAGAAAAGAAGCCAGCCAAAGACCUUAAUUUUCAUAGUACACCUGCUAUGCCACAACCACUUGCAAGGUUGGAUAGUUGGAAGGUGUGAAUGCAUGAUCACAUAGAAGCCCUUACCCAAAAACUGUCCAGAUUUGAUAGGCCAGAGCCAUACAUCAGGCAGGGUGGGUCUCUCUGAAGAUUAAAUAACCAUCCUUCCAAAAGUUCCAGUUCUGCUGCUGCAUCCUGUGAGAUUGGCAGAUGGAACAUGGAAAACAAAUCCUGGUUUUGUAUGAAGUCUCUGACAGAGAGCUUGUCAUCCAGAACAAAAGAGGAUAAUCUUGGAAGCCUCAAGUUCAAUGGUCUGGAAGAACCUCCCACAUGCCAUGCAUCAAGCCAAAAGAGAGCAGAAUCACCCAUGUUAAUUUGCACUGUGGUAAUUGAUCUAUAAUGAUCAGCAAGCUUGAGGAUAUCCUUCCACCAAAAGGAGCCAGUGAGUAAAGUUGCAUGGGGCACCACUCCAUCAUAAUAACUGUCCCAAAUCAACUGAACCCAUGGAACUUGCUGUUUAUUAUAGAAUUUAUGCAGAUGUUUGAGAAGUAGGCCUUGAUUCUGAAUUGCCAGGUUAAGAAUACCUAGACCUCCCUUGUCCUUAGGUCUACAAACUAAAUCCCAAGCAGCCAAAGAUUGCUUAGGAGCAUCAGAAUUUCCUCUCCAAAUGCACUGUUUGAAGAUCCUGUCUAACUGUUUAAUUAUGCCAGGAGGAAUAUGAAGGCUGCAGAGGAACUAUAUGGGCAUUGAGGUGAGGACAGAUGUGAGCAAUUGCAACUUGGAUCCUUGAUUAAGCAUAGCAGAGCUAACUGAUAGUCUCCUUUCAACACUGUCCACCAGAGGCAUUAAAUCAACUAUCUUAGGUCUGGUAGUACCAAGAGGCAGGCCCAGAUAUGUGAAAGGUAGCUGUUCCAACCUACAACCCAAAAUAUUGGAUAAUCUAGGUGCCUCAUCUUGCUCCAAAUUGAUUGGAAUCAUUGAGGACUUGCGAAAAUUCACUUUGAGCCCAGUUGAUUAUUGAAAAAUAUGAAGCAUGUUCUUGAGAGCAACCAACUAAUCCUCCACUGCAGAGAGGACAAUAAUUGUAUCAUCAGCAUACUGGAUAAUAGGAAAGUCAGGAUCAUGAGAAGGUAUUGGCAGUGUCAAAACACCCCUAGCCAGCAUAUCAUUGACCAUAGAUUGGAGAAGAUCAGCAGCAAUAACAAACAGAAGUGGGGAGAGUGGGUCCCCCUGCCUGACCCCACAUUUGCACUUGAACAUUUUACCAGGCACCCCAUUGAGAAGAACAGAUGAAGAUCCAGAAGAGAGGAUCUCUUUAAUCCAGGCAAUCCACUUUGCAUCAAAACCUUUUUGCUGGAGAAUCUGCAGAAUAAGCUCAUGCUCCAUAGUAUCAAAGGCUUUUGCAAAGUCCAGCUUCAGAAUGAUGAUAGGCCCCCUGACUGCUUACACUGGUGGAUGUAUUCAAAAGCCCAGGCCAGGCAGUCCUGGAUGGCUCUGCUCUUCAAAAAUCCAUAUUGUUUUUUGUGAAUACAUCUAAGAAUCACCUUCUGUAACCUAUUUGCCAAUAACUUAGUGAGGAACUUGAGACAUGUUUUGGUCAGAGAAAUUGGCCUAAAAUCCUCAGGUCCCUCGGGAGAUAGCAUCUUUGGUAUGAGGGUGAUGAGAGAGCCAUUGAUAUUCUCCAGGGAAAGUCUCCCAUCAAAAAAAUCCUGAAUGAGUUUCAAAAAAUCCUUCUCAAUGAUGGGCCAACACUUCCUGACAAAAAGGCCAUUAAAGCCGUCAGGCCCAGGAGCUCGAUCAAUAGGCAAAUCCUCCAAAACAGACUUGAUUUCGUCAGCAGAAAAAAGUUCAAACAAACUAUGCAAACCAGCCACAGGGUGAAUGAGGUUGGGCAAAUCAAAGCCCAUGUCAAUGCCUUGGGCCUGGCCCAUUCUACUUUUAAAAGAUGACCAGAGAAUUCCAGCCAUUUGUGAGUGAUCAGAAACUGGAUCACCACCAGCCACUGAAAGACUGGCAAUGGCAUUUCUGCGAAAACGUUCAGAGGCCAUGGCAUGAAAAAACUUUGAAUUCUCCUCCCCAACCUUAAUAUAGCGUAUCAUGCACCUCUGCUUCCAAUAAAUAUAGUGAAUUCUAAGCAAAUUCUCAUGAUGAAGCUUAACAAUCUUCCGAAAAUUAAAUUCAGGCAUGGUGAGAGGCUGAAUUUCUUCCAAGCCAUCAAAGAACAGAAUCACCUUACUACAGUCCAAGGUGAGCCGUUUAAGAUACAAUAGGUUCUUACUCCAGGCUUUAAGAGCAUGACGCAAAUGCUUGAACUUGGUGGACAAAACUGCAGACGCAGACAGACCAGCAAAGACAGGUUGCUGCCAAGAGUUCCUGACACAAUCCAUAAACCCUGGCAUAUCCACCCAAAAAUUCUCAAACCUAAAAACCGUUGCCUUGGGUAUAGUUGUGUCAAUAGAGACCACACAAGGGACAUGAUCGGAGGAGGUUUUUGCCAAGGGCAACACAACUGUAUUAGGGUAGAAAGAAAUCCUGUAAGAGGUUGUGAAAAAACAGUCCAGCUGCUCUAACAAUGGUUGCUCUAGCAUAUUGGACCAAGUAAAGCUCCUUCCCUUCAAAGGAAGUUCGAGCAGACCCAAGUGUCCAAUAAUAUCAUUAAACGGAAAGAUGUCAUUAACAUCACCCCCCGGUCUGUUGUUGUUGUCCAAGGAAUGAAUUAAAUUGAAAUCUCCUAGGAAUAAUCAAUUUUCAUUAGUGGGGAUUUGAAGAUGAUGUAGCCAACUAACAAAAUCGUCUCGAAGGGGACCAUCACAAGGUCCAUAGACUGACACUAGAGUCCAUCUCUCUGCAUUAUGAACAGAUUGAUACGAAACCACAAUGCCAAAGCUCUAUAUCUGAACCAGAGUUCCAUUGAAAAUUACUGAAUUCCAGACAACCUAAAUACCACCAGAGGCACCAACUGACGGGGCAAACACAAAGGUGUCAAAAUGUCGAGGGCAGAAAGCUCUGAUUUUUCGUAUAUCGAAAUUAUCACACUUCGUCUCUUGCAGGCCCAGGAUAGAGCAUUGACUUUCCUCGAUCAUAGCUCUCACAUCUCUCUAACGAGCCUCGGAAUUCAAACCACGCACAUUCCAGCACAGAACAAGCCAAUUACAAUAAGUCGUACUAUCCAUAACAAACACGUCAGAAUAAAAUAAGAAUUGCUAAGCCUAACCUAGCAAUAUCCAGGGCCACAGCCGCCCAAGCCAAAAGCGCAACCAGAGUAACAAGUUCAGAUAAACCAACGUCACUAACAAAAGAAAAACUAAGCCAGGCAACACGCCUCUGGCACCGAUCAUGCAGCCUAACAUCACUCAUCAUCAGGAACCGAGCUUCAGGAGGAGUUCUUUGGGGAAGCCGUAAGCUUCUCCCGCGUCAACUGAUCUUCAGGGAUACCCAGGCGAGCGCCAACUUCCUGCAGAUCAACAAUUGGAGUCGGUGGAGGUAGCGCGCGCGUGGCAUCUUCAUAUUUAGGUGCAUCCACCACCUUUGCUUUUUUAGCCCGUGGACGCCUCAAUGGUGUUGCCUUGACGAUGAUUGCAGAAGAUGGUUUAUACCCAGUGGCCUUGGCCGCACUACGAGUCAUGCGCCGGCCCGAGAAAUCUGGAGUUGGAACCAUGGCAACAGAGGAUCGACGACCACGCCGGGCUUCACGUCCACGCUUUCCCAACACUGCAGGUAAAACUGAUGUGAACUAGAAAUCCUCAUCUUAGUGGCGUGACUGGACAUCAUCAAUAGGUAGCAACUGUGACCCGUCAGCAGCAUCAACAGGCUCAGUAAGAAUCGCCUCCAUAAUCACCGAAGAGCCAGGCUUGGCUGGACCGGCAAGCUGUCGCAGAUAAGCAAAUUUGUUCCCAAAGUGAUCGGGCCAGAAGCAUGAAGUGAGACAAGACGACCAUUGCUAAUUCAUUUGUGAAACUGGCACAGUUCUGAUGAGAAAUUCAGGCCACAAGGACAGAAAAGACCUCUCCCAGAUGAGAUGAGUAGGCAGCACAGGGCCAUACACAACUAUGACGAUGCCAAGCUGGAUUGGAUCUAAAUUUCCCCCAGGUUGUUGCGCCAUCAGAGGGUUAAUGGGCUGCUGGACUUCUUCCAAAUCCAUGUCAUUGUCCGAGUCAAGGGAUGGAUUAAGAACCAUCGAGUUCUGUUCAGGGGCCUCGUUCUGCUGAUCAACAGGUUCAUCGACAUGUUGCUGUGGUGGUUGCUGAACUUGUUCCUCCCAAGGGCCCCAUCCAGCAGCAUUAUUCUCAUUUUCACCCCAGCCCCCAGCGUUAUGAUUAUCAUUGUGGCCGGGUGGCACUGCAUUCCAACCGAGUGCUGGAUACGGUGGCAUGGCCCAAAAGGGCUGUGGGGGGUUAACUCUAGGCAUGGGGUGCGGAUUACCAUCCAGAGGCAUUGGGUCCUCAUCCGUAGGUAUCAUUGCCUCGGCAAAUUCUUCGGUGAGAAUGAAGCAACCCGCAGUCCAAGAAACCACAGUUCCUCCCCAAGUAGCGAAGUCAUGAAAUACAACAGAUCGUGGAACCAGAGCAUUAUCAGGAAACGAAGCUCUAACCAGGGAUCGAACAAGACGGCGAUCCGUUUGAUUCCAAUAAUGAAACUGCCCAAAGGUUCCUACUACAUCCGCCAAACACUUUGUAUUGGGAUAGUCCAGGGGCACUCCGUUGAAAAUCAACCAGCCAGUGCGAUGGCCAUGAAUGGCUCUGAAACCUUCUCCUUGGUUAUGUGGAAUAAACCUGACAAAGAAUUCAUGCCCAUCCUCAUCUAGACCGAGUGGAAAAGGUGGAUGCUGAGUAAAAGAACCCCUCACUACUGGAUCUUCCAUCUCAAAAAGCCCGACCCCUUGAAACCAUGUCUAAGCAGAUAACACUGGGAUAUGCAUAGUCUGAACGAGAAAACCAAGAACCUGCUGCCGACGGAUAGCAACCAGAUGCGCUAGUGGUAAAGGCUCGACGAUGGCCACCAUAUAUUGCUCAUUCGAGCGGGGAGGUGCAACAGCCAAUGUGUAGAAGGUCCUUGGAAGGCGAUCCUACCCCCNNNNNNNNNNNNNNNNNNNNNNNNNNNNNNNNNNNNNNNNNNNNNNNNNNNNNNNNNNNNNNNNNNNNNNNNNNNNNNNNNNNNNNNNNNNNNNNNNNNNNNNNNNNNNNNNNNNNNNNNNNNNNNNNNNNNNNNNNNNNNNNNNNNNNNNNNNNNNNNNNNNNNNNNNNNNNNNNNNNNNNNNNNNNNNNNNNNNNNNNNNNNNNNNNNNNNNNNNNNNNNNNNNNNNNNNNNNNNNNNNNNNNNNNNNNNNNNNNNNNNNNNNNNNNNNNNNNNNNNNNNNNNNNNNNNNNNNNACCGAUGAGGGUCGAUCGCAUAAACCGCCAUUGGCGACGGCGGCUGUGCUUCUGCAGCGUCAGUGGAAGCAGGGACGGCAGAUGGCAAUGGCAAGCUUGGUGGCGAUGGGUGGGAGGUGGGUGAUUGGGGGUUUUUUGGGGGAUGGAGGCGUCUGGUCUGGGGAAAGCGAAGAGGACAAGGGGCUGUCUUUCGUGGCGCGAGCUCCAAAGCCUUUGGAUGGGACUUUUGGCACCCAGAGGGAGGAAUCGGGUGGUUGGCCGGUGCAAUCCCGUUUAAUGUGAUGAGACCGGAAACAAUUCCUACACCGAAUCCGGUUAGUGCAGGUCAUUGUCUGGUGGCCCAUACCCAGGCAAUGUUGGCAGUCCCAAAACUUAGCAGCCAAAUUCUCGAUCAUGUCGUCAAAGCUCUGUAAAUCGCUGACAAUAUCCUGUGGUGAUGGGGGCAACUGCUCGAAAACUGGAGAGUCUCCAUGGGCUGGGCUGUCAUCCUCAUCAUCAGAGAUUACAAUGGGCUGAGGAAAAAGGAUACGGGCCUCCAAGCCACGCCCAUGUCUAACCGAAGGUGGAGAAUCGGGGAUGUCCACAAAAUCUGAUCCAACGAAUUUCGAACCAGCGGGAGAUCCGGACUUGCCGCCAACAGACACCGGAUAUUCGGGGGAAGAUUGAAACGAACCAAACAAGUUCACCGGAGACGACGAGGCAGCCGUCUCCAUCACCGGAGAAAGCGACGAAGUGUUGAUGGCUUCAUGAGAUGAUACAUUGUAACCAGCUUCUACAAACAGUCAACACCUCUGUUGACGAAGGAUGAUAACUAUAACCUAUACGAGCAGGAUAAUUGAUGAACGUAGCAAAACGUAGAUUUUUCUUAGGAUGGCCAGAGGAGUUAGAAUGCAAUGAAGAUUUAGAAGGACCAUGUUGCAUAGCCUGCAUCCCAAGAGUAACUCUAUGUUUGGUUGGACUAACUAAGGUCCACUCCUGCUGACAUUCAGCCUACCAGAGGCGAAAUUCUUUUUCCCAAUCGGGGCCUCCAUGCCCCCAGAGAUGAAAAUAACACUUGAAUUGAUUGCAAACAAAGCUACAUUGAUGCAAAAUGAAAAAUCCCACUUGUUCGCAAGAAACCGUGAAUGAAAAAACCCGAUCAGUGAGGUGUGAUACCUUGAGUUGAGAGUAAUAUCCAGCAAUGGCAGAUUCCAGGGCAAGGCCAACAUUAUCCUCAUCCAAGCGGAAAGAGUGUCGGGCAAACGAAACCACCAUCGUGAAGUGUCCCGAGUCAGAGGUCGGGUGCACAGAUCUGUUGAACGUGCGCUUGAUGUCAUCUGCCAAGUCCAUCCCCGGGCCGAAAUCCAAGCCCAAAGAGAUGGAAGCGUGUACCGCCAUGAAGAAGACAACCAGUGGAGAAAGGAAGGUGCGCCGGAGAGAAUGAGUCGAUCAGAUGUGAGAACCCACGAUCAGGUGGGCUAGACGCCGGCGUGGUGGGUGGCUAGGGUUAAGGCGGUGGUGGGGCGGUGGUGGGAGCCAUCGUCAUAGCUCAUCGAUGAAUAUAUUUUAUUUAACUACAAAGUUUGUUCAAAACAUUGAGAAUGGUAACCCCAUCUCAAUCCCAAAUUAAUAAUCAAUAACCCCACAAAUUAAUUAAGUAAAGUGAUGAGAUCAACAAAAUAAUUCAAGCACCAGAUACUCAAGAUGUCCAUAUGUAACGCCCCGGAUGCGAUGCGCCAGGUGCCAUCCAGUUAUUCGUCGUUGUUGCCAUGUCAUUUGCUUGCGUGUUGCAUUUUGCCAUGUCAUCAUCUACAUUUCAUCAGCAUGUUUUUCAAAACUUGCAUCCAGUCUUUUUCCCCGUUGCCCGUUUCGUGUUCCAAUACCCCCACACGCGCCCGUCGCCCCUCUCAGACCUUGUUUCGUGAGCGGGAGAAAAACGUUCUUAGAAUGGCCCGAGAUUUGCCGAGUGGCCUUGGCAUAUCACCAGCAGACCGCACGUCAAAUUUCGUUCCGUUUGGAGGUCGUUUGAUGCCCCAACGGUUAACCGCGUCCCCCGAAAGCCCCUCUUGUCUUGCAGCCCAACACCCCUCCAAUUCAGCCCACUAGCCCAUCCAAAACCCCUCCAUGCCCUCGGUCGUGGCCCGCUCGGCCCACUCGGCGCGCAGCAUAUNNNNNNNNNNNNNNNNNNNNNNNNNNNNNNNNNNNNNNNNNNNNNNNNNNNNNNNNNNNNNNNNNNNNNNNNNNNNNNNNNNNNNNNNNNNNNNNNNNNNNNNNNNNNNNNNNNNNNNNNNNNNNNNNNNNNNNNNNNNNNNNNNNNNNNNNNNNNNNNNNNNNNNNNNNNNNNNNNNNNNNNNNNNNNNNNNNNNNNNNNNNNNNNNNNNNNNNNNNNNNNNNNNNNNNNNNNNNNNNNNNNNNNNNNNNNNNNNNNNNNNNNNNNNNNNNNNNNNNNNNNNNNNNNNNNNNNNNNNNNNNNNNNNNNNNNNNNNNNNNNNNNNNNNNNNNNNNNNNNNNNNNNNNNNNNNNNNNNNNNNNNNNNNNNNNNNNNNNNNNNNNNNNNNNNNNNNNNNNGCCGCCACCUCGCGCCGGCGCCCCGCUCCGCCCAGUCGCCUCCCGCGCCCGUCCAGUCGCCGCCUCUCCGGUGCGCCGCCCGCCGCCGCCGCGUAUCUCCUCCGCCGCCCCGCGCCUCCCUUCGUCACGCCCCGCGCCUCCCGCCGCCGUCGACCGGCCCCGUCGCCGCCAUCUCCGGGGACUUCGCCGUCGUCGGCCGCCGCCCCGCCCCAGAUCCGGUCGGGUGGGAUGAGAUCCACCCGACCACCGAUCCAAACGCGCGUCCCCGCCCCGGAUCUCUCCAUCCCGCAUGGCUCCGUCCCGAUUUCGCGGGCUGAGAAUUCUUCUAAGUCCCUAAAUAUUUACAUAUUAUGUUGCCCUAUUCAUCAUGCCAUAACUUCGUGCUCGAUACUCCGAUUCAUGCAUGUAAUAUAUCUAAAUGUUCAUUGUGAGAUGAUCUUAAUUUCGUUCCACUGUGACAUGUUUUUUUGAGUCCAUCUUGAUGCCCUAAUCAUCGUUGCAAGACUGCUAUGUGAUGUUGUCUGCUGUAGUUUAACAGAUCUUGCUCAUUUAUCAUUUUUGUAUCUUUUUGUGUGAUUUUAUUUUGAGCAUGAUGUAUACACGUGUUAUGGGAUACGAUAUUCCGUGUUUGCUGUGGUGCAAUCCAAUCUUCAUGAUAUACCAUGUGAUGAUUGUUAAAAGCUUGCAAAGUAGCCUCCGUGAUGUUGCUGAUUUCUGUGAGUCAUUUCUGCAAAGUCUGUAGCUGUAACAUUGUGAUGCCUUGUAAACCUGCUGCCACUAGUCAUUCUAUGCAUAUUCUGGAGAUGUUUAGUAAGGAUGUUUUGUUAUACAUAUUAUGAUCUUUCCAUCCAUGCCCUUGUUUGCAUUCAUAGCCUUCUGUAGCUUGUUGAUAUCAUGCUCCAAACUUGCUAAAUAAUGUUGCUGUCAGCCUGUUAACAUGAAGUUCGUUAUUGCCAUAUGUUUUUCUAGUGAUCCAUGUACCCUAUGACUAUUCUAUUGCCAUACUUAGCUUCAUAUAUAUGCCAUCUUACUGUUGGUUACCUUGUCAUGCCAUGUAUUGCUCUAUGGUGAGUGGUUCAAGCUCACCAACAUGCCAAGUCUGAAUCUGUCAUAUUACUUGUUAUGUAUACAUGGGUGCCAUCAUAUCUUCUGUGCCUUUUUGGCUCGUGGUCAGUAAGGGACUUUUGUUCUAUGCAAUUAUUAUAUUCAUUCCAUGCCUUUGUUUUCUAUGAUCUGUUCCUGUAGCAUGUUGUUUGAUAGCUCUAAACUUUGCAACCUGAUGUAAUUUCUGCCAUGCACAGUGAUUUCUGCCAAGUCUGUGAAACUGUUAUUAUUUGCAAUCUUGCCAUGUCCUUUUUAGCAUGUUAUAAUGUUUUCUGGAUAUAGAUCAGUGUUCAUGUUUUGUAAUGCUUUAUCUGUAAUUCAUGUCCAUGCCUUUUGUUUUUAUGUUGCGGUACUGUAGCAUAUUUUCAUGAUGCUUGCAAAAUGCCUAGUUGCUGUUUUGGACAGAUUGUUGCUAUAUCUUGUUUGGAGAGUAUGUGUUGCACCGUUGCUCCGUUUUGAGUGUGCUCUAUAUGAAACUUGCUUAGUUUUGCAUGUAGUUUCAUAUUACCUUGUUGCAUCCUUGUUUUGAGGUGUUUGCUUGAUGUUUGAAUGCAUUUUGCAUCAAUGCUAUGUUUAACUUGGUUUGCUCAUAUCUUCUAGGCCGUAGCUCCGAACUAAAUGAACUUUAUAUGUAACUCGACUAGAAUUUCGUGUAGAUCAUCUUGGUGCAUCUUAACUUGUUGUUUAACCACUUGAACAUAAGGCUUAUUCAGAUCUGGACCAAUUUCGAAAUUUGCAUAUGAGGACUUACCAGAUUUGUUAUAUGUUGUUUCCGGCCUCAUUUAAACUUGCCUUGAUGUGUUGCUUUUCUAUGCAUCAUCUCUUACCAUGAGUAGCUUCAUGUAGCCGUGUCAUGUAUCAUACUUGGUUGAGCAUCAUGCCUUGUUCAUCUGUGGUGUGUUUACCAUGUUGUGUGCUUCUUCUCGAUAGUUCCCGUUUCGUUGCGAUCGUGAGGAUUCGUUCGUCUACGCGUGUUUCGUCUUCGUGGCUUCAUCUUCUUCAUGGACUCGUUCUUCUUCCUAGCGGGAUUUCAGGCAAGAUGACCGUCACCUUGGAUCUCACUACUAUCAUUGCUAUGCUAGUUGCUUCGUUCUACCGCUAUGCUGCAUCACCUACCACUUGCUAUCAAGCCUCCCAAAUUGCCAUGAACCUCUAACCUUUGUCACCCUUCCUAGCAAACCGUUGUUUGGCUAUGUUACCGCUUUGCUCGGCCCCUCUUAUAGCGUUGCUAGUUGCAGGUGAAGAUGAAGGUUGUUCCAUGUUGGAACAUGGAUAUCAUGAACUUAUUGGGAUAUCACAAUAUCUCUUAUAUUAUUAAUGCAUCUAUAUACUUGGUAAAGGGUGGAAGGCUCGGCCUUAUGCCUGGUGUUUUGUUCCACUCUUGCCGCCCUAGUUUCCGUCAUACCGGUGUUAUGUUCCUUGAUUUUGCGUCCCUUACGCGGUUGGGUGAUUUAUGGGACCCCCUUGACAGUUCGCUUUGAAUAAAACUCCUCCAGCAAGGCCCAACCUUGGUUUUACAUUUGCCUCACCUAGCCUUUUUCCCUUGGGUUUCCGGAGCCUGAGGGUCAUCUUUAUUUACCCCCCCGGGCCAGUGCUCCUUCGAGUGCUGGUCCAAACCAAGCGAUGUCCGGCGCCCCCUAGGCAACCAGGGUCUAUGCCAACCCGACGUCUGGCUCAUCCGGUGUGCCCUGAGAACGAGAUAUGUGCAGCUCCUAUCGGGAUUUGUCGGCACAUCCGGGCGGCUUUGCUGGUCUUGUUUUAACAUUGUCGAAAUGUCUUGUAACUGGGAUUCCAAGACUAAUCGGGUCUUCCCGAGAGAAGGAAUAUCCUUCGUUGACCGUGAGAGCUUAUAAUGGGCUAAGUUGGGACACCCCUGCAGGGUAUUAUCUUUCGAAAGCCGUGCACGCGGUUAUGUGGCAGAUGGGAAUUUGUUAAUAUCGGUUGUAGAGAACUUGACACUUGACUUAAUUAAAACACGUCAACCGCGUGUGUAGCCGUGAUGGUCUCUUCUCGGCGGAGUCCGAGAAGUGAACACGGUUUUGGGUUAUGUUUGACGUAAGUAGGAGUUCAGGAUCACUUUUUGAUCAUUGCUAGCUUCACGACCGUUCCGUUGCUUCUCUUCUCACUCUUAUUUGCGUAUGUUAGCCACCAUACAUGCUUAGUCGCUGCUGUAACCUCACCACUUUACCCCUUCCGUACACAUUAAGCUUUGCCAGUCUUGAUACCCAUAGUAAUGGGAUUUCUGAGUCCUCGUGGCUCACAGAUUACUACAACCCCAGUUGCAGGUACAGGUUUUGCGAUGAUCAUGACGCGAGAGCGAUGUUUCUUGAUUUGGAGUUCUUCUUCUGCUUCUUCUUCGCUCAGGGGAUAGGUUCCAGGUCGGCAGCCUGGGCUAGCAGGGUGGAUGUCGUUUGAGUUUCUGUUUGUGUUUCAUCCGUAGUCGGAUGUUGAUCUUAUGUAUGAUGUAUCGGUGUAUUCUUGGGGCGUUUGUGCCUUUUGUAUGUUCUCCCCAUCUAUUAUGUAAUGUUGAUGUAAUGAUAUCCACCUUGCAAAAGCGUCUUCAGGAUGCGCUUCUAUCCUUGGAGGGACCUUCGAGUUCCUUUAGGAUAGGGUCGCAUCUUGGGCGUGACACCAUAACACUAUGGGAAACAGGUAAUUUGCUGUCAGGGGAAGGCUUUGCCGUAAGCUUUUCCUCAGGCCAGACGACAAAGACCAAUUUUGCCAUUAGCUGCAGACGGCAAAGCAAAACUCACGGUAAAAUAGACUUUGUCGUCUUCCAAAAAAAUACAGACGGCAAAGAGCAAACUUUGUCGUCUGCCUACAACAUAACAGACGGCAAAGAACUUUGCCGUCUAUUACUUUGUAGGCAGAUGGCAAAGUGAGCUGUUUGCCGUCUGUAUUAUUUUCUGACAGACGGCAAAGAGAAAACACACCACGCGGAUCGAUCACGCGGAUCGGUGAGGUGGCAAGAUCUAAAACACAGAUCCAAUUCAACUGCAUCAGUCGGACCUACCCGCACACCCACCCACGAGUCAUGUGCCACCCACCUACCAGUACUGGCCCCACCCACGUGCACGACCCGCCCCACCCACGCGCUCGUGUCCUCUAUCUCUCCUUCACCGAGAGCACCCUCGUCCCACCUCUCCCGAGCAGAAGCACGAGCAGCCGCACGACGCCCCAUCGCCCGUCGUCCACGAGCAGCCUCGUGAUGCCGGCCCCGUCUCCCUUGCCCCCGGAGCAGCCGCACGCUGCCGGCCUUGUCUCCCGUCGUCGGCCCCGUCUCCCUCGCCCCCGGAGCAGCCGCACGGUGCCGGCCUCGUCCCCCAUCGCUGGCCCCGUCCCCCUCGCCCCCGGAGCAGCCGCCGGAGCAGGAGGCCACGGCGGCAUCCUCCUCCUCCUCGCCGCGAGGUCCUCCUCUUCCUCCGUACCCGCGACCCAAUGCCUCCUCCCGAUCUCCUCUGCUCGUCAACCGCCGCUUCCAUUCGAUCCGCCCACGUUGAAAGAGCUCACCGCCGCGGGAGCAGGAGGCCGUCGUGGGAUCCUCCUUCUCCUCCACGCCACAGGAUCCUCCUCCCUGACCUUGAACCCGUGCUUCCUCCUGAUCUCGAGCACCCCUGCUCAUCAAUCAUCGCCGCCCUUCGACCUGGCCGCGCUGCAGCUUCGUCAAGAGCUCACCGGAGCUACCCUGCAGUACCCCUUUCUCUUUCCGUCUCCCUCGCCCUCCAUCUGCCCCUCUGCCAUGAUAAAAUCUUCCCAAGACCACCGUCCGCCGCCUUGAGCUCGACGCUCACGCACGGAUGUAACCGCCGGCAAGGGCUAGUGUGUCCUUUUUUGUGAAAUAUUGUAGUUUUUACGUGUGCUGAUUCGUUCAUUUGUUCGUCAUGUAAAUGGGAAACUUCAUAUUGUAAAUAGUGUAUUUCUGUGUAAAUACUGUGAUGAUGGAUAUAUUAUGCAAAUAGAGUAUUCGUGUCUUGUAAAAUCUUUUCUGUUGUCAUACAUUCUUGAACUGUAGAUGGUGAAAUCGCUGUGAUUUUUUUGUCUACGCCAUCGAGCAACUACAACCUCUGCACCUCGACUGGUGGUUCAUAUUUUUUAAAUGAAAUAAUUUUCUUUGCCGUCUGGGGUGUAUGAGGCAGAUGGCAAAGAUAGAGUCUGGCUGACAGCAAAGCUGUCUUUCUUUGCCGUAUGCUAUUAUUUGGUUGACGGCAAAGAUGAAGUUUUGCUGACGGCAAAGAUUUUUUCGUCUUCCCGAUAAAAUGCUGAUGGCAAAGAACUCUUUGCCGACUUAUCUUUGCCGUCUAACAUUGCCGUCUGCUGACUGACGGCAAAAUCUUUGCCGUCUGUUUUUAGGCCUUUGCCGUCUGUAAUCCACAGACGGCAAAUUACAUGAUUCCUGUAGUGUAACCGGGACACGGCUAAUCAUGAUUAGUUUGUACACUCUGCAGAUGUUUGCGCACUUUUCCCCACAAGACUCGAUCUCCUCUGUUUGAUUUCUCACACAACAUGUCGUUUGAUAGACGGAUGACCGAGACACAGUCUUCCAGAAGCAUUAACUCGUUACGACGGGUAGAUAGUACCACCUACAUUCCCGACAUCUGCUAGUCUACCACUGUAAGAGGUCACACAACUUACUCAACCAGAGCCCAUAAUGGCUUGUGGCUGCACACGGAAGUUUCCAGCAUGAAUAACAUUAUGAUCACUUUGAGCCUGGGUGGCAAACCAUAGGAUGAUCACACGGGUUCCCUGGGAUCUCCUUGGACAACACUGGAUUCCCUAGGUGCCCACAAACCAAUCCACCUAGAUGUGUAUUAAAGUAUCCACCUUAAGUUAAACCUUAGUUAACAAAGAUCUCUCACAUAUUUCAUGAAUUCUCUCACACCAAUCCACGUCUACGAGCAUAGCAUAGCAAUAUAAGCAUACGUAGAAGUACCCAGGGUUUGAUAUAACACAAUAGGUGCUACCUCAUCAACUACUUCCCAAAACCCACAUGUUAUCAAUCCUACUCAUGCAAUCUCUGAGGGUUGAAAUUAAUGAAUAAAAACUGGGUAAUAAAGGGUAUGAUCAAAGUGUUAUUUGCCUUGCUGACGAUCUGAAAACCCUAGUGAUUCGUAGUAGCACGCUUCGCACUCCGGAAACUCUAUCGUGAACAAACAAUAGCAUACAUAAGCACUCAAGCAUAAGAUGCAAGGGUAAAACUCAAGAGAAAAGAUCCAAACUGAAAUUUCAACUGAAGAGCUUCGAUUUGCAAGAAAAAUUAAUCAAAUCGGAGCUACGAAACUCAAACUGCGAUCCAGAGAAGUAUGAAUUCAAAUCUUCUUGAAACCAAAUUUUAAUUUGUCAAAAUCAUGUUCAAGUUGAUUAACUAGAAAGAGGGGAACAAGAAGAAAUUUUUUGCGUUGGUUUCACUGGAUUUGGACAAAUGAGUAAAAAGUAGCGUUGGUUUGAUGUUUAGGGACUAAUCUCUGAUAAAAGUAUUCGUGGAUAGGUCCCUAGCCGAAAAAUAAAAUAAAAAGAAAAAUCUAACGAACGAACGUUCGCUGACAGAUCUAAACGAACGAAUUCGUUCAUUAACCAAAACUAAUCGAUGAACGUUCGUUAAUUAACGAACUAAAUAGAUAAAACCGAUCCAACGGAAUAAACCGAAAAAACGAAAGAAAACCGAGCAAAUUUUUGCGGUUUUUACUGGUUUUCGAAAAAAAAUCGGCGACGAGAUCCGACCGACGGCAGCGUCGGGCGAGGCAGCGAUGGUGGGGCACGGCGCGGGCGGCGGGAUGUGGCGCGGGGCGGCGGCGGCUUGCGGUAGAGGCUUAUAAAGGCCGGGGGCGAGGCGGCUUGGGGAGGGGGUCGCCGGGAGGAGGAGUUCUCCCCGGACUCGGCUGCGGCGGCGUGCGCCGGCUGGACUCCCGCCCGGAGGCGGUCGGGGCGAGGCGGUGAGCUGCGGCGGCGGCCUGGCUCGCCCGAAAGAAAAAUCGUAAUAAAAUAUAUUGAAAAAUCUAAAACUACCAGAAACAAUUUUCACCGUCCAAACCUAAUAUUUAGGACAAGGUGAACAUUUUUCUGGCCUAAAAUGCAAUUUUCAAAAAUGCAUAUUUUUCUCUAAUUCAAAUAAAAUAGCAAAUAAAAUACAAUUAAAAUAAUAAUUUUAAUUUAAAAUUUCUUCUCCAAUAUUCCUCUCCUUUGAAGAAGUCAUUUUAUCUCCUCUCAUUUAUUUUUAUUAUUGGAAAUAAUUGGAGAGAAAAAUAUUAAAAUCAAAUUGAUCCUCUUUUCAAAUUUGAGAAAAAAAUCAAAUAUGAAAAUCUGUGAAAUCUCCAACUCUCUCCUUGGGUCCUUGAGUUACUUAAGAUUUCUAGGAUCAGAACCAAAAUGCAAAUAAAAUAUGAUAUGCAUAUGAUGACCUAUGUAUAACAUCCAAAUUGAAAAUUCGGAUGUUACACGCCAUGGGCAUGAGUCUGAAAUACCAAUUUCAACUCUUGGAACAUCUUAUAUGCUCCUGUCAUUCAAAACAUUUUUUAAGUCCCGGUUCUAAACCGUAAAGCAUGGUGCACUAAACUAUCAAGUAGUCAUCAUACCGAGCUUGUCAAAUGUUCAUAACGUCUGCAUCUGCUCCUGCAAUAGGUAUGUCACCUAGCGGUGCAUCAAGGACAUAAUUCUUUUGUGCAACAAUGAGGAUAAUCCUCAGAUCACGGACCCAGUCCGCAUCAUUGCUACUAUCAUCUUUAACUUAGUAUUCUCUAGGAACAUAUCAAAAAUAAAACAGGAGAGCUAUACGCGAGCUAUUGAUCUACAACAUAGAUAUGCAAAUACUAUCAGGACUAAGUUCAUGAUAAAUGAGGUUCAAUUAAUCAUAUUACUUAAGAACUCCGACUUAGAUAGACAUCCCUCGAGUCAUGUAAAUGAUCACAUGAUCCAUAUCAACUAAACCAUGUCCGAUCAUCACGUGAAAUGGAGUAGUUUUCAAUGGUGAACAUCUCUAUGUUGAUCAUAUCUACUAUAUGAUUCACGUUCGACCUUUCGGUCUCCAGUGUUCCGAGGCCAUGUUUGUACAUGCUAGGCUCGUCAAGUUUAACCCGAGUAUUCCGCACAUGCAAAACCGUCUUGCACCCCGUUGUAUGUUAAUGUAGAGCUUAUCACACCCGAUCAUCACGUGGUGUCUCAGCACGACGAACUGUCGCAACGGUGCAUACUCAGGGAGAACACUGCAUACUUAGGGAUAACACUUAUACCUUGAAAUUUUAGUGAGGGAUCAUCUUAUAAUUCUACCGCCGUACUAAGAAAAAUAAGAUGCAUUAAAGAUAAACAUCACAUGCAAUCAAUAAAUGUGACAUGAUAUGGCCAUCAUCAUCUUGUGCCUUUGAUCUCCAUCUCCAAAGCACCGUCAUGAUCUCCAUCCUCACCGGCUUGACACCUUGAUCUUCAUCGCAGCGUCAUGGUCAUCUCGCCAACUAUUGCUUCUACAACUAUCGCUAACGCAUAGUGAUAAAGUAAAGCAAUUACAUGGCGUUUGCAUUUCAUACAAUAAAGCGACAACCAUAAGGCUCCUGCCAGUUGCCGAUAACUUUUACAAAACAUGAUCAUCUCAUACAAUAACGUAUAUCACAUCAUGUCUUGACCAUAUCACAUCACAACAUGCCCUACAAAAAGAAGUUAGACGUCCUCUACUUUGUUGUUGCAAGUAUGUGGCUGCUACGGGCUUCUAGUAAGAACCAUUCUUACCUACACAUCAAAACCACAACGGUGAUUUAUCAAGUUUGUUGUUUUAACCUUCAACAAGGAUCGGCCGCAGUCAAAUUCGAUUCAACUAAAGUUGGAGAAACGGACACCCGCCGGCCACCUUUAUGCAAAACUAGUUGCAUGUCUGUCGGUGGAACCGGUCUCAUGAACGUGGUCAUGUAAGGUUCGUCUGGGCCGCUUCUGUUGGAAAUAUGCCCUAGAGGCAAUAAUAAAUUGGUUAUUAUUAUAUUUCCUUGUUCAUGAUAAUCGUUUAUUAUCCAUGCUAAAAUUGUAUUGAUAGGAAACUCAGAUACAUGUGUGGAUACAUAGACAACACCAUGUCCCUAGUAAGCCUCUAGUUGACUAGCUCGUUGAUCAAUAGAUGGUUACGGUUUCCUGACCAUGGACAUUGGAUGUCGUUGAUAACAGGAUCACAUCAUUAGGAGAAUGAUGUGAUGGACAAGACCCAAUCCUAAGCCUAGCACAAGAUCGUGUAGUUCGUUUGCUCAGAGCUUUUCUAAUGUCAAGUAUCAUUUCCUUAGACCAUGAGAUUGUGCAACUCCCGGAUACCGUAAGAAUGCUUUGGGUGUACCAAACGUCACAACAUAACUGGGUGGCUAUAAAGGUGCACUACAGGUAUCUCCGAAAGUGUCUGUUGGGUUGGCACGAAUCGCGACUGGGAUUUGUCACUCCGUGUAAACGGAGAGGUAUCUCUGGGCCCACUCGGUAGGACAUCAUCAUAAUGUGCACAAUGUGACCAAGGAGUUGAUCAUGGGAUGAUGUGUUAUGGAACGAGAAAAGAGACUUGCCGGUAACGAGAUUGAACAAGGUAUCGGGAUACCGACGAUCGAAUCUCGGGCAAGUACCAUACCGAUAGACAAAGGGAAUUGGGUACAGGAUUGAUUGAAUCCUCGACAUCGUGGUUCAUCCGAUGAGAUCAUCGAGGAGCAUGUGGGAGCCAACAUGGGUAUCCGGAUCCCGCUGUUGGUUAUUGACCGGAGAGUCGUCUCGGUCAUGUCUGCAUGUCUCCCGAACCCGUAGGGUCUACACACUUAAGGUUCGGUGACACUAGGGCUAUAGAGAUAUUAGUAUGCGGUAACCCGAAAGUUGUUCGGAGUCCCGGAUGAGAUCCCGGACGUCACGAGGAGUUCCGGAAUGGUCCGGAGGUAAAAAUUUAUAUAUGGGAAGUCUUAUUUUGGUCACUGGAAAAGUUUCGCACUUUAUCAGUAUUGUACCGGGAGUGCCGAAAGGGGUCCGGGGGUCCACCAGCCCCGGGGGGCCACAUGGGCUGUAGGGGGUGCGCCUUGGCCUAUAUGGGCCAAGGGCACCAGCCCCAAGAGGCCCAUGCGCCAAGAAAUAAGAAAAAAAAGGGAGAGUCCUAAAGGGGGAAGGCACCUCCGAGGUGCCUUGGGGGGGAAGGACUCCUCCCUGGCCGCACCCUUCCUUGGAGGAAGGGCCAAGGCUGCGCCCCCCCUCUCCCUUGGCCCUAUAUAUAGUGGGCGGAAGGGAGGGCAGCAAUACCUAAGCCCUGGCGCCUCCCUCUCCCUCCCGUGACACAUCUCCCUCCUCCCGCAGCGCUUGGCGAAGCCCUGUUGGAAUCCCGCUACUUCCACCACCACGCCGUCCUGCUGCUGGAUCUCCAUCAACCUCUCCUCCCCCUUGCUGGAUCAAGAAGGAGGAGACGUCGCUGCUCCGUAUGUGUGUUGAACGCGGAGGUGCCGUCCGUUCGGCGCUAGGAUCAUCGGUGAUUUGGAUCACGACGAGUACGACUCCAUCAACCCCGUUCUCUUGAACGCUUCCGCUCGCGAUCUACAAGGGUAUGUAGAUGCACUACUUCCCUCUCGUUGCUAGUAAACUCCAUAGAUUGUUCUUGGUGAUGCGUAGAAAAUUUUAAAUUUCUGCUACGUUACCCAACAGUGGCAUCAUGAGCUAGGUCUAUGCUUAGUUUCUAUGCACGAGUAUAACACAAAGUAGUUGUGGGCGUCGAUUUUGUCAAUUUACUUGCCGUUACUAGUCUUAUCUUGAUUCGGCGGCAUCGUGGGAUGAAGCGGCCCGGACCGACCUUACACGUACUCUUACGUGAGACAGGUUCCACCGACUGACAUGCACUAGUUGCAUAAGGUGGCUAGCGGGUGUCUGUCUCUCCCACUUUAGUCGAAAAGGAUUCGAUGAAAAGGGUCCUUAUGAAGGGUAAAUAGAAAUUGGCAUAUCACGUUGUGGUUUUACGUAGGUAAGAAACGUUCUUGCUAGAAACCUAUACAAGCCACGUAAAAACUUGCAACAGCAAUUAGAGGACGUGUAACUUGUUUUUGCAGCAUGUGCUAUGUGAUGUGAUAUGGCCAGAAGAUGUGAUGAAUGAUAUAUGUGAUGUAUGAGAUUGAUCAUAUUCUUGUAAUAGGAAUCACGACUUGCAUGUCGAUGAGUAUGACAACCGGCAGGAGCCAUAGGAGUAGUCUUUAUUUUUGUAUGACCUGCGUGUCAUUGAAUAACGCCAUGAAAAUUACUUUACUUUAUUGCUAAGCGCGUUAGCCAUAGAAGUAGAAGUAAUCGUUGGCGUGACAACUUCAUGAAGACACAAUGAUGGAGAUCAUGAUGAUGGAGAUCAUGGUGUCAUGCCGGUGACAAAGAUGAUCAUGGUGCCCCGAAGAUGGAGAUCAAAGGAGCAAAAUGAUAUUGGCCAUAUCAUGUCACUAUUUGAUUGCAUGUGAUGUUUAUCAUGUUAUGCAUCUUAUUUGCUUGAACGACAGUAGCUUAAAUAAGAUGAUCCCUCACUAAAAUUUCAAGAGACAUGUUCCCCCUAACUGUGCACCAUUGCGAAGGUUCGUUGUUUCGAAGCACCACGUGAUGAUCGGGUGUGAUAGAUUCUAACGUUCGAAUACAACGGGUGUUGACGAGCCUAGCAUGUACAGACAUGGCCUCGGAACACAUGCAAAACACUUAGGUUGACUUGACGAGCCUAGCAUGUACAGACAUGGCCUCGGAACACAAGAGACCGAAAGGUUGAGCAUGAGUCGUAUAGAAGAUACGAUCAACAUGGAGAUGUUCACCGAUGAUGACUAGUCCAUCUCACGUGAUGAUCGGACACGGCCUAGUUUGACUCGGAUCAUGUAUCACUUAGAUGACUAGAGGGAUGUCUAUCUGAGUGGGAGUUCAAUAAUCAGAUGAACUUCAUUAUCAUGAACAUAGUCAAAAGGUCUUUACAAAUUAUGUCAUACGCUUUAGUUCUACUGUUUAAGAUAUGUUCCUAGAGAAAUUUUAGUUGAAAGUUGGUAGUAGCAAUUAUGCGGACUGGGUCCGUAAACUGAGGAUUGUCCUCAUUGCUGCACAGAAGGCUUAUGUCCUUAAUGCACCGCUCGGUGUGCUGAACCUCAGCGUCGUCUGUAGAUGUUGUGAAACACCUGGCAUACACGUUUUGAUGACUACGUGAUAGUUCAGUGCGUAAUGCUAACGGUUUAGAAUUGUGGCACCAAAGACGUUUUUGAAACGUCGCAGAACAUAUGAGAUGUUCCGAAGACUGAAAUUGGGAUUUCAGACUAGUGCCCACGUGAAGAGGUAUGAGACCUCUGACAAGUUUCUUAAGCCUGAAGACUAAGGGAGAAAAGCUCAAUCGUUGAGCAUGUGCUCAGAUUGUCUGAGUGCCACAAUCGCUGGAAUCGAGUGGGAGUUUAUCUCCCAGAUGAGAUAGUUAUGGUUCUCCAUAGUCACUGCCACCAAGCUAGUAGAGCUUCGUGAUGAACUAUAACAUAUCAAGGAUAGAUGAUGAUCCUUGAGCAACUCGCGAUGUUUGACACCGCGAAAGUAGAAUUCAAGAAGGAGCAUCAAUUGUUGAUGGUUAGUAAAACCACUAGUUUCUAGAAGGGCAAGGGCAAAGGGGAUACUUCAUGAAACAGCAAAUCAUUUGCUGCUCUAGUGAAGAAUCCCAAGGUUGAACCCAAACCCGAGACUAAGUGCUUCUGUAAUGAGGGGAACGGUCACUGAAGCGGAACUACCCCAGAUACUUGGUAGAUGAGAAGGCGGGCAAGGUCGACAGAAGUAUAUUGGAUAUACGUUAUAUGAAUGUGUACUUUACUAGUACUCCUAGCAGCACCAGGGUAUUAGAUACUGGUUCGGUUGCUAAGUGUUAGUAACUCGAAAUAAAAGCUGCGGAAUAAACGGAGACUAGCUAAAGGUGAGAUGAUGAUAUGUGUUGGAAGUGUUUCCAAGGUUGAUGUGAUCAUGCAUCGCAUGCUCCCUCUACCAUCGAGAUUUGGUGUUUGCGUUCAGCAUGAUUGGAUUAUGUUUAUCGCAAUACGGUUAUUCAUUUAAGGAGAAUAAUGGUUACUCUGUUUAUUUGAAUAAUACCUUCAAUGGUCUUGCACCUAAAAUGAAUCUCGAUCGUAGUGAUACACAUGUUCGUGCCAAAAGAUAUAAAAUAGUAAUGAUAGUUCCACAUACUUGUGGCACUGCCAUUUGAGUCAUAUUGGUAUAGAACGCAUGAAGAAGCUCCAUGUGGAUGGAUCUUUGGACUCACUCGUUUUUGAAAAGAUUGAGACAUGCGAACCAUGUCUAUUGGUAUAUAUGCAUGAAGAAACUCCAUGCAGAUGGAUCGUUUGGACUCACUUGAUUUUGAAUCACUUGAGACAUGCAAAUCAUACCACAUGGGCAAGAUGACUGAAAGGCCUCGUUUUCAGUAAGAUGGAACAAGAGAGCAACUUGUUGGAAGUAAUACAUUUGAUGUGUGCAGUCCAAUGAGUGCUGAGGCACGCAGUGGAUAUCGAUAUGUUCUUACUUCACAGAUGAUUUGAGUAGAUGCUGAGAAUAUUUACUUGAUGAAACACAAGUCUGAAUUAUUGAAAGGUUCAAGUAAUUUCAGAGUGAAGUUGAAGAUCGUCGUGACAAGAGGAUAAAAUGUCUAUGAUAUGAUCAUAGAGAUAUCUGAGUUACGAGUUUGGCACACAAUUAAGACAUUGUGGAAAGUGUUUCACAAUUAAUACCGCCUGGAACACCACAGUGUGAUGGUGUGUCCGAACAUCAUAACUGCACCCUAUUGGAUAUGGUGCAUGCCAUGAUGUCUCUUAUCGAAUUACCACUAUCGUUUAUGGGUUAGGCAUUAGAGAUAACCGCAUUCACUUUAAAAGGGGCACCACGCAAUUCCGUUGAGACGACACCGUUUAGAUAAACCUAAGUUGUCGUUUCUUAAAAGUUUGGGGCUGCGAUGCUUAUGUGAAAAUUUUUCAAGCUGAUAAGCUCGAACCCAAAGCGGAUAAAUGCAUCUUCAUAGAAAACCCAAAACAGUUGGGUAUACCUCCUAUUUCAGAUCUGGAAGCAAAAGUAAUUGCUUCUAGAAACGAGUCCUUUCUCGAGGAAAUGUUUCUCUCGAAAGAAUUGAGUGGGAGGAUGGUGGAGACUUGAUAAGGUUAUUGAACCGUCACUUCAACUAGUGUGUAGCAGGGCACAGGAAGUUGUUCCUAUGGCACCUACACCAAUUGAACUGGAAGCUUAUGAUAGUGAUCAUGAAACUUCGGAUCAAGUCACUACCAAACCUCAUAGGUCGACAAGGAUAUGUACUACUCCUGAGUGGUACGGUAAUCCUGUCUUAGAUAUCGUGUUGUUAGACAAGACUGGACCUACAAGCUAUGCAGAAGCGAUGGUGGGCCCAUAUUCCGACAAAUGGUUAGAAGCCAUGAAAUCCGAGAUAGGAUCCAUGUAUCAAAACAAAGCAUGUACUUUGGUGAACUUGCCCGAUGAUCGGCAAGCCAUUGAGAUAAAUGGAUCUUUAAGAAGAAGACGGACAUGGACGGUAAUGUUACCGUCUAUGAAGCUCGACUUGUGGCAAAGGGUAUUUUCACAAGUUCAAGGAGUUGACUACGAUGAGAUUUUCUCAUCCGUAGCAAUGCUUAAGUCCGUCGGAAUCAUGUUAGCAUUAGCUGCAUUUAUGGAAUCUGGCAGAUGGAAGUCAAAACAAGUUUCCUUACGAGUUUUCGCAAGGAAAGGUUGUAUGUGAUACAAUCAGAGAGGUUUUGUCGAUCCUAAGGAUGCUAAUAGGUAUGCUAGCUCCAGCGAUCCUUCCAUGGACUAGAGCAAGCAUCUCGGAGUCAGAAUAUACGCUUUGAUGGAGUGAUCAAAGUUUUUGGGUUUAUACAAAGUUUGUUAGAAACUUGUAUUUACAAUAAAGUGAGUGGGAGCGCUACAACGUUUCUGAUAAGUAUAUGUGAAUGACAUAUUGUUGAUCCGAAAUGAUGUAAUAUUUCUGGAAAGCAGAAAGGGUUGUUUGAAAGGAGUUUUUCAAAGGAAGACCUGGAUAAAGCUGCUUACAUAUUGGGCAUCAAGAUCUAUAGAGAUAGAUCAAGACGCCUGAUGAUACUUUCAAAGAACGCACACCUUGACAUGAUUUUGAAAGAUUUCAAAAUAGAUCAGCAAAGAAGGAGUUCUUGGCUGUGUUACAAGGUGUGAAUAUUGAGUAAGACUCAAGACCUGACCACAGCAAAAGAGAGAGAAAGGACAAAGGUCGUCCCCUAUGCUUCAGACGUAGGCUCUACAGUAUGCUAUGCUGUGUAUUGCACAUGAAGUGUGCCUUGCCAUGAGUUGGUCAAGGGGUACAAUAGUGAUCCGGGAAUGGAUCACAUGACAUCGGUCGAACUUAUCCUUAGUAUCUACUGGACUAAGGAAUUUUCUCGAUUAUGGAGGUGAAAAGGAGUUCGUCGUAAAGGGUUACAUCGAUGCGAACUUUGACACUAAUCCGGAUGACUCUGAGUAGUAAACCGGAUUCGUAUAGUAGAGCAGAUACUUGAAAUGUCUCCAAGUAGCGCGUGGUAGCAUCCACAAGAUGACACAGAUAUUCGUAAAGCUCACACGGAUCUGAAAGGUUCAGACCCGUUGACUACAACCUCUCUCACAAGCAUAACAUGAUCAUACCAGAACUCAUUGAGUGUUAAUCACAUAGUGAUGUGAACUAGAUUGUUGACUCUAGUAAACUCUUUGGAUGUUAGUCACAUGGUGAUGUGACCUAUGAGUGUUAAUCACAUGGUGAUGUGAACUAGAUUAUUGACUCUAGUGCAAGUGGGAGACUGUUGGAAAUAUGCCCCAGAGGCAAUAAUAAAUUGGUUAUUAUUAUAUUUCCUUGUUCAUGAUAAUCGUUUAUUAUCCAUGCUAAAAUUGUAUUGAUAGGAAACUCAGAUACAUGUGUGGAUACAUAGACAACACCAUGUCCCUAGUAAGCCUCUAGUUGACUAGCUCGUUGAUCAAUAGAUGGUUACGGUUUCCUGACCAUGGACAUUUGAUGUCGUUGAUAACGGGAUCACAUCAUUAGGAGAAUGAUGUGAUGGACAAGACCCAAUCCUAAGCCUAGCACAAGAUCGUGUAGUUCGUUUGCUCAGAGCUUUUCUAAUGUCAAGUAUCAUUUCCUUAGACCAUGAGAUUGUGCAACUCCCGGAUACCGUAAGAAUGCUUUGGGUGUACCAAACGUCACAACGUAACUGGGUGGCUAUAAAGGUGCACUACAGGUAUCUCCGAAAGUGUCUGUUGGGUUGGCACGAAUCGAGACUGGGAUUUGUCACUCCGUGUAAACGGAGAGGUAUCUCUGGGCCCACUCGGUAGGACAUCAUCAUAAUGUGCACAAUGUGACCAAGGAGUUGAUCAUGGGAUGAUGUGUUACGGAACGAGUAAAGAGACUUGCCGGUAACGAGAUUGAACAAGGUAUCGGGAUACCGACGAUCGAAUCUCGGGCAAGUACCAUACCGAUAGACAAAGCGAAUUGGGUACGGGAUUGAUUGAAUCCUCGACAUCGUGGUUCAUCCGAUGAGAUCAUCGAGGAGCAUGUGGGAGCCAACAUGGGUAUCCAGAUCCCGCUGUUGGUUAUUGACCGGAGAGUCGUCUCGGUCAUGUCUGCAUGUCUCCCGAACCCGUAGGGUCUACACACUUAAGGUUCGGUGACGCUAGGGUUAUAGAGAUAUUAGUAUGCGGUAACCCGAAAGUUGUUCGGAGUCCCGGAUGAGAUCCCGGACGUCACGAGGAGUUCCGGCAUGGUCCGGAGGUAAAAAUUUAUAUAUGGGAAGUCUUAUUUUGGUCGCCGGGAAAGUUUCGCACUUUAUCGGUAUUGUACCGGGAGUGCCGAAAGGGGUCUGGGGGUCCACCUAGGGGGUCCACCAGCCCCGGGGGGCACAUGGGCUGUAGGGGGUGCGCCUUGGCCUAUAUGGUCCAAGGGAACCAGCCCCAAGAGGCCCAUGCGCCAAGAAAUAAGAAAAAAAGGGAGAGUCCUAAAGGGGGAAGGCACCUCCGAGGUGCCUUGGGGGCGAAGGACUCCUCCCUGGCCGCACCCUUCCUUGGAGGAAGGGCCAAGGCUGCGCCCCCCCCCUCUCCCUUGGCCCUAUAUAUAGUGGGGUGAAGGGAGGGCAGCAAUACCUAAGCCCUGGCGCCUCCCUCUCCCUCCCGUGACACAUCUCCCUCCUCCCGCAGCGCUUGGCGAAGCCCUGUUGGAAUCCCGCUACUUCCACCAUCACGCCGUCGUGCUGCUGGAUCUCCAUCAACCUCUACUCCCCCCUUGCUGGAUCAAGAAGGAGGAGACGUCGCUGCUCCGUACGUGUGUUGAACGCGGAGGUGCCGUCCGUUCGGCGCUAGGAUCAUCGGUGAUUUGGAUCACGACGAGUACGACUCCAUCAACCCCGUUCUCUUGAACGCUUCCGCUCGCGAUCUACAAGGGUAUGUAGAUGCACUACUUCCCUCUCAUUGCUAGUAAACUCCAUAGAUUGAUCUUGGUGAUGCGUAGAAAAUUUUGAAUUUCUGCUACGUUACCCAACAGCUUCAUCCAACAAUACCGCCGAAUCAAAAUAAGACAUUGGUGGUAAGAAGUAUGACGAUCAUGCAAGAUCUAUCUAGGAGAUGCCACUGUAGGGGAACGUAGCAUGCAAUUUCAAAAAAUUCCCUACGCUCAUACAAGAUCUAUCUAGGUGAUGCAUAGCAAUGAGAGGGGGAGAGUGUUUCCUUUUACCCUCGUAGACCGAAAGCGGAAGUGUUUGACAACGCGGGUGUUGUAGUCGAAGUUCUUCUCAUUCUGACCGAUCAAGCACCGAACGUACGACACCUCCUAGUUUUGCACACAUUCAGCUCGAUGACGUCCCUCGAACUCUUGAUCCAGCAAAGUGUCAAGGGAGAGUUCCGUCAGCAUGAUGGCAUGGUGACGGUGAUGGUGACGUGAUCCACGCAGGGCUUCGCCUAAGCUCUACGUGAAUAUGACCGGAGGCGUAAACUGUGGAGGGGGGCGCCGCACACGGCUAACAAUGUUUGUUGUGUGUUCUAGCGGUGCCCCUCACAUAUAUAUAGGUUGGAGGGGAGGAGAGGCAGCCAAGGGGGCGCCCCAAGUAGGAGGAAUCCUACUUGGGGUCCUCCCAUUCAGCCUCCCCCCUUUCCUAUUCCUAUUCGGAGUAGGAAGGGAAGAGGGGGAAGGGGGAAUCCUAUUCCCUUUUUCCUUUCCUUCUUCCCCUUUAUUUCUCCAAUUUGGCCUACCCAUAUGGGGGGCACACCAGCCCCUUAGUGGAUGGUGUGGUUCCCCUCUUGGCCCAUUAGGCCCAUAUAGCUUGCCGGGCGUUGCCCGGAACCCCUUCCGGUAACCCGAUCGUACCCGGUACCCCCAGAACAUUUCCGGUGUUCGAAUACUAUCGUCCUAUAUAUGAAUCUUUACCUCUCGACCAUUUCGAGACUCCUCGUCAUGUCCGGAUCUCAUCCAGGACUCCGAACAACAUUCGGUCACCAAAUCACAUAACUCAUAUAAUACAAAUCAUCAUCGAACGUUAAGCGUGCGGACCCUAAGGGUUCGAGAACUAUGUAGACAUGACUGAGACACCUCUUCGGUCAAUAACCAAUAGUGGAACCUGGAUGCUCAUAUUGGGUCCUACAUAUUCUACGAAGAUCUUUAUCGGUCAAACCGCAAUGACGACAUACAUCAUUCCCUUUGUCAUCGGUAUGUUACUUGCCUAAGAUUUGAUCGUCGGUAUCUUCCUACCUAGUUCAAUCUUGUUACCGGCUACUCUCUUUACUCGUUCCGUAAUGCAUCAUCCCGCAACUAAUUAGUCACAUUGCUUGCAAGGCUUAUCAUGAUGUGCAUUUCCGAGAGGGCCCAGAGAUACCUCUCUGAUACUCGGAGUGACAAAUCCUAAUCUCAAUCUAUGCCAACCCAACAAACACCUUCGGAGAUACCUGUAUAGCAUCUUUAUAAUCACCCAGUUAUGUUGUGAUGUUUGAUAGCACACAAGGUAUUCCUCUAGUAUCCGGGAGUUGCAUAAUCUCAUAGUCAAAGGAAUAUGCAUAAGUCAUGAAGAAAGCAAUAGCAAUAAAACUUAGUGAUCAUUAUGCUAAGCUAACAGAUGGGUCUUGUCCAUCACAUCAUUCUCCUAAUGAUGUGAUCUCGUUCAUCAAAUGACAACACAUGUAUAUGGUUAGGAAACUUAACCAUCUUUGAUUAGCGAGCUAGUCUAGUAGAGGCUUACUAGGGACACAUUGUUUUGUCUACAUAUCCACACAUGUAUCAAGUUUCUGGUUAAUACAAUUCUAGCAUGAAUAAUAAACAUUUAUCAUGAUAUAAGGAAAUAUAAAAUAGCAACUUUAUAAUUUCCUCUAGGGCAUAUUUCCUUCAGUGCCAUGCAUGAUUUCUAGAUCGAUUGAAUGAUCAAUUCGAACUUUAGGAACGUAGUCCCUAUGGCCACACAAGAAAAGGUUCAUUGUUUUAUUUGAAGUAGUGAAACUAAUCAACCAAGCGAAGCAAAAGAGAUACAAGUAGUGAAUAUUAUUAACAGAUUGGAAUGCUAUUAAGCAUAACGAGAUGCUAGCUCACGUUGGCAUCUUUCAACCUUUCGGAUAACUUCUCUCCAUACUAACCAGGAAGAGCAGGGAGGUUUUACUACCAUUAGCGAGUAGUUCCCUCUCCAUUUUGCAAUACAAAUAUAAGAUCACUAUUAUUACGAGUGGUGAAAGCGAAAGCAAUAGUCGCGUACUGGAAUCCCAGUAAAGAAGAGUGAUUUUCAUCAGAAAGAACAAAAGCUGGAGGAAUGCGAUCCAGAGAAAAACGGAAACAUUGCACUUUUUUUGGUUUGCAAGUAGUUUAAGAGGGAAUCCACUCCCAAAAGAGAAAGAGUUCAGCUGCCCCGAUUUCGCGAAGGGUAAGAAGAAAAUAAGAAGUCUCUUCAGUAGUGAGGAGCACAAUGAUUUGUGCUCUAAGCAAUAGAGGUCAAAGGUUCUACUAAAACGGGGCAAUGAGAUAACAGCUUGAAAUAAUAGGAGAGAACUGGUAGCUUCAUGUUGGGAUGAACUGAAACAUCUUAGCCGUAAAAAACCUUCCCUUUUCAAGUCUUUGAUAUCCCUCUCGCUCUACCCAACUAUCUAUAAUGGGGCAGAGAAGGAUAAGCAAAGUAGGCGCAUGAAUAUUUAUUAAUUAAGAGUUUUUGAGACUUCAUUCUCUUUUUAGUUUUGACUCUGGGUCCGGUCAAGGUUGACGCGGAGGAUAGGGAUGGGAAAAGAAGCCCUAGCUUUGGGAAAGACCGGAUCAUAACAUGAAUUUCAGGGCAUACUUAUUAGAUGUAGAUCUAGGUACUCUUUCUUCCCCAGAUGGGGAAUGGGCCAAGCCGGUCCGUUUUUGGCUCUGAAAGUGCAUUUGCUAGUUCGAGAGAAGCUGAAUCCGGGUGAAAAUGGGAUUCAAAAUGAUUCUUACCUUUCGUAGCAUGCUGCACAGACUCACUUGGUAAAUAGCCUUCCCUAAAAGAUGCAAGGUGCUCACACAUGAAAUUCCCUUUUUAAGGAUAUCCUAUUUGACUUUUAUGCAAUACUUGGGCAAAGCCAUCGAGACUAUAUCCAUCACCAGGAAGAAGAGAAGCGAAGCCAUAAUUUCUUUAGGACAAGCCUGAGAUAUCUAGUAUAGUAACAGUGGUCGAAUUGCUGCAUAGCCCCCCCUAAUACGAAUUUGGCAAAUCCUCAUUCUAAAGUUAGCGCACCAUUGAGGUAAGUAAAUAUUAGUAGGCACACAGGCAGCCCGUUGCAAGGAAGGAAAGAGCAAGAGCUAGGGCUGAGUGCUCGAGUUACGGUUGUUGACUCAGAACUGUAAGCCAAAGAAGCAUUCCUGUGACCUGGCCGUAUGAAUGGUUUCUUUUCAAUACCAGAGCUAAAUAAUUAGGCAUCAAAAUUCAAAGAAGAUUUGCCUUCACUUCAACCUUAACCAUUAACCAAAGAUUCAUACCUAUGAAUAUUCCCCUCCUCAUUUGCUGAAGGCACUUCCUACAGCGAACCAUGCAAGGAACAUAUCAAGUAGGCUAGUACCAAUUCCUCCACAUCAACAGCAAAAUAGGCAUAUGAAUCUUAAGUAGCAAAUUCCUUCAUCUCAUAUGAGGUAGGUAAUCUACCAUAAUUUAUUUCCAUUUCCAGGUAAGAUGACCGGAGACGAGUUUAUCAGCACCGAUACCCCCGCGCAUCGUGGCCGGUUCCCUCGGGGGUAGAAACUCAACUUGGAGAAAGAUCCCGUUGAUCUUUGGGUUGGCCCUUGCCUAUUGAAAGUAUGGUGUCUCAUAAAUGCUUUGUUAAUGCCUUUUAUUCGUAGGAUCGGUCCAAAGGGCGGAUGAGUUGACGUUGAUAGACUUGUGCAUGCUCUACCGCUCGUAACCUUUUUUUCUCCCAUCAAUCUAAUCGAGGAGGUAAAGUUUCGAUAGCAGAGCCUCUCGCUUCUGAUUAUCAGUCAUAUCAUCGUCGAGCAGAACGUGUCGGGAAGGAAUCGUCGAGCUCACUGGGCAGAAUGGCGUCCAUGCCAACGACUAAGGAGAAGGGGACCAGUGGCUAUACAGAUUGAUGCCCGAUAAGCCCAGAGAGCCUCAACAAGGCGAUCUGGCCAGUCUCCUCCGACUCAAAAGUGUUUGUGGCUAUGGUAUGGGUCUGGUCUGAAGACCAAUGGGUCAAAAAGGGGAUAUCCUCUUCUUUGGAUACACCAACUAAUGUAGUAGAUUGCAUUCCCGGAGGACACUUUCUACAUUUCGUCGGUACUGGUAACAACGGAUCUUGACCUCGUUUAUUUUUCUUCUAUUCUAAGUUUUGAUUGCACGAGCAGCAUAACAACAUAACAAUUUUGUGUAAGGAAGUAAGGAAAGACUCAUUUCUGAAACUUAAGGACUUAAUUAGCAUGUCGUAUAUAACAGAUAAUGAGUCUCAAAGAGAGUUUCCAAUGGGUUACAUCAAGUUCCAUUCCCAGUAUGCGAAAUUAGUAAACACAAAUAUCUAUAUAUAAGAAACUUCUAUUCCAAUCCACAGUCGGUCCAACAAGGCAAUUGUCGUCAACUAGAUCAAUCAGGAAUAAGAAAUAUUUCGUACCCUAUCUAUCAUAUUUGCUUUUCAGUAAAGGGUACACACUACUUUAUUUUUACUUAUUUCAAUUCUCUGUCUUGCUAAACACAAAUCCUUAUUUUCUUGUAUAGAUGAAAUAAAAAUGAGAACUAAGUAGGUUUCGACCCAUUAAAGGAGUCAAUGGCACGCACACAAAGUAGGAGGAAAUGGGUACCCCGCGAGGCUGGUGAAGUCGGCACAAGAAGUAGGCGGAGUAGACGCAGCAUUUGCGGGCUCAAGUGCAGCUAAAUCAUAAUCAAUAUUCCCGUCUGGGGUUGGCGGAGUUGGUAGAAAGCACGGUUGGCGAUAAGAUGGUACUAGUUUCAUUCUUUCUAUUCCAAAAUCCAGUAACCGGAACUGUAAAUCAAACAAUGUAGGCGCACGUUGGCACGGUUCUGUAAAUAAGAGAUGUCUCAUCUGGUUGAGCUGUCGCAAUCAGUAUUUCUCUUCCUUUCUUAGUAGCAGAUCCAACAUGACUGUAUUAAACCUUAAGCAAUCAGGGUUAAGCUAGCUCAUUGCCUGAAAGUGGAGGUCGUAUUAUACACCUUGACCCCCACCUUUUUUGAAUCCUUCCUCCAUAUAUAUUGUUAUAUAAGAUAAGUCCCAUAACUGCCUCAUUCAGAUCGAUCCAGUCACCGCUACGGUCACAUCAAUCCGUUAUGGCUCGGACCCUCUUAGCAGCUGGAUCCUUCAGGAAGCCAUAGUAGGGAUUACGUCAGUACAUUCUUAGGCGAGCGGUGCGUUAUAUCACCCCUAUUUUGUUUUGGACCUUCUUUCUUUAUUAGGCAUGGGACCAAACCAAGGUUGAUCGAAGUUGAACAUUCCUAUGGAACUCCCCUUCAGACGGCUUCUCUGCGCUUGCCCAACACCUUUCGUAUUAUGGACCGGGACUAAUUUCACCCCAUACCAUCGUGAAGUCAUAACUGACUGGAUAACAUUCUCUCAAGGACCUGCAAAACUCUCUAAUGCGGAUGAUCAAAUGUUGCUUCAGAUGUGUAUGAGAAGGAAGAGUCUCACAGGACUCAUAGAUAGAAACCAGCAUAGUCUAUGAAUUAGCAUGAACAGUUUAUUGAACUUGGUUGCACUCGUAAAGCGAGCGUGAAGACAGCUGCGAAAGAAGCCCACAGAACAGAGCGGUUAUUUUUUGUGACUAGCAAGUGGACAGGCUCAGAUGGCGUAGCUGAUGUGUCGUGCUAGGUAUCUUUUAUUGGCCAAGUCAAGCAGGAUAGUCAAGUAAGAAAAUAGACCAUAAGCCAUCCUUUAUCUUUUUUCUAAGAAAGGAACAAUAAAUAGCUCAUAGUUUCCUUGCAACUGCCCUAAGAGUUGUUCUUCUAUCAUCAGCGAGAGUUUACUUUGCUGUCGAUGCAGGCAAUAAUAGAUAGAUUUCUGUACAUAGUUAGGCCCAGGCUAAGAAAUAAAUAAUAAAUGGAUUCCUCCCCCUUUAGCAUAUGCUUAUGUAGCACUCCUAUUUUGAAUAAUUUUAUGGGCAAAUAUUAGAAUAUGCUUUUCUCCAUUUGGAGAUUUAUAUUUUGUCUCCUUAUUUUGGAAAAUAAGUUUUUAAGCAAGUGAGCAAGCCAUACCAUUCAUCCUCCACCUCCUCGUCCAUGAAGUCCGUUGACUUUCUUUUUCUGGUAAAGGCAGCAUAUGCCCUAAGAGCCUAUUUUUCCACAUCAAGAGGAAAGUCCCACACACAACCCUAAAAGAAUAAACUGGAUGGACCCCUAUUCGCACGCCUAUGGACCAAUGGUUCCCAACUAGUAACUAGUGCCCCCCUAUGGAACAGUUCUAUGUAACUCCAACAGAAAAGGGAGACAUAAUAUAAAUGGAAUAUUACGGGCUUGCUCACCCUAAGCAACUAAAGGAAACUCUUAUAGAAAUAUAGGUUUUUCUUCCGCAUAAGAAAGGUCGCUACAUAUCCGAGUACCACUCUAGCGUCAAUGAACAUUAAGUGUGCGACCCAACGGGUUCAAGAAUCAUGUAGACAUGAUUGAGAGUCCUCUCAGGUCAAUAACCAGUAGCGGGACCUGGAUGCCCAUAUUGUUCCCUACAUAUUCAACAAAGAUCUUUAUCGAUUGAACCACGAUGUCAAGGAUUAGGGUAAUCUCGUAUGCAAUUCCCUUUGUUCGGUGAUAAUUCCCUUUGUUCGGUGAUAUGUUACUUGCUCAAGAUUCGAUUGUUCGUAUCUCCAUCCUCUCGGAUUUCGGGUUCCGGCAAAACCCUUGAGGUUCGAACACUGGGGUGUGCACGAAGAUCUCUUCUCCCUCCGGCACUCACCCUCACUGUGAUCUCAAGGCUUGGUGCGUCGAACUGGCAGAACAAAGGGACACAAGAUUUAUACUGGUUCGGGCCACCGAUGUGGCGUAAUACCCUACUCCAGUGUGGUGUGGUGGAUUGCCUCUCGGGCUGAGGAUGAAUAGUUACCAGGGAAGAACAGCCUUCUGAGGAGAGGUGCUCCUGUGCUCGGUGGGUUUGUGAGUUGGCCUUGGUGGAGUGGAUCCAAUCCAAGAUGAGAUGCUUCCUAUGGUGGUGGCUAGUCCUAUUUAUAGAGGCCCUGGUCCUCUUCCCAAAUAUUAGGUAGGAAGGGAUCCCACAGCGGCCAAUUUGAAGGGAGACAACUAGUGCAAGUUAUCCUGACUAAAGGUGGUCUUCGCCUGCCAAAGGCUCUGGUGGUGACACCGUCUUGGGCUCCACGGUGACCUCCGUCCUACCGUCCUACUGGUCUUGGUCUUGUUGCACCAAUAUGGAAACCUUUGCCUGAUGCCUCGGGACUCCUCGCCUGCGCUUGCCUCUUUAGCACCAAAGAGGAAAUGAGGACACUGCGCGCCAUGGCGCCCGCCUGGUCACGGUCAUCAUGGCUUACGUCACAUGAACCUCGCGAGGUGCCCCUUGCCUUGAUCUCUCCGCUCCUCGCGAGCCAGCCUGGUGAGGCCAUUCCCGAGGAGGUCUUGCGUCGUCCGCCUCGUGAGGCUUGGCCCCUUGCAAGGGUCUUGAGUGUUUGCUGGUGAAGAUGGGCCGUACAGGGCCGCUGGUAGAGCCACACCAUGGGCCGUAGGCAGGCAAGUCUGGGGACUCCCGUUCCCAGGACGCCGACAGUAGCCCCCGGGCCCAAGGCGCGCUCGGACUUGGCUUCGAGGCGAAGCCAAGGGGCAAGUGCGGAGCGCCGCGGGCCCCAACAUCCUGCGGCCUUGGCUGAUGCACGACGAUUGAUGGGACGUGGGCAUCUUCGCUUCUCCAUGCAGCAUUGACAACUGCCCGACUUGACGAGUCCCGGCUGCAUGCAGAGAAAAAUCAUCAUUGCCUGUGAUCGUGGGGAUCGCCGGUUAGCCUUCUUCCGCUAUAAAUGAGGAGGGGGCGUAGCCCCCGUCUCUCAUCUCUUCCUGCUCCGCUCGCUUCCUCUCCCUUGCUUCAUUGCUGGUAGCGACACUCAUGGCGCCCGCGAAGAACUUCUCAGCUGCAGAAAAGGGGAAGGCCCACUGGGAGGGGCCCGGCUCAUCGCCGCCCAAGAGGGGACGCGGCCGCCCCCGCAAGCACACCGCGACCCUCGUCCUGGCCCCUCGCGGCCGCGGCGACGCCUCUUCGCGUGGGGGGAGUCACCCGGGUCGUGGCAGCCCCGUCGAUGAAGGGAGGCGCGCCAUGGUCGCGCGGCCUCCCCAGCCGUGCUUCCACUUAGCAGAGGUGCUGCCGGAGUUUGUCGUGUGGUCGGAGAACCCGGCCUGCACCUGGCUUUAGCUCCCACGCUUCUUCACCGGUGAGCUACCGGCCACGGGUCCAGGCGGGCUCUGGCUGCAGGCUGGCGGCUACUGCAGCAAGGCUUCGUCGGUCGCGGUGGAGGUCUCCGUCACGGGCAACGCAGCCUUGGCCCAUGGCUGGCAGACGUUUGCCCGCGCGCGCGGCCUGGGCAGGCGGUGCACCCUCCACUUCAAAUACGACGGCAACGCGACCCUCUACGUGAGGGUAUUCGUAGAAGAUGGCCGUCGCGUCGGGUGCUCCCCGAGGACAACGACGGCGGCGAGGUGCUCGGCCUUGGCGACGGUCGUGAUGAGGGUGAGUAUGGUAUUGCACUCGGCGCUUUCCGCUACUCUUCCUGCAAUGGUGACUCUUCUUCCGGCGAUAGCUCCAGCAGUGGCGGCUACGACCAGCCGCCGCGCCCGCUUCGAGGGUGGCAGCGGGUCAUCUCAUCGCCGUGCCCCAGUGAAGCGCGAGGAGGGGUCUGGCUGAGCCCAGGAGAGCGCCAUGGGCCCAUCCUCGCGAACUGCUACGGGAGCGCGCGCCAAUUUUGUUUCGUUCUUCCUUUUCUUCCUGCAUUAAGAGAGACAAGUAUGAGGCCCCGCAGGGGCGUGCAACGAACCAUGAUUUCCAAGUUGCUAUGCUAUGUUUAUCGUUCAUGUGUCGUGUUGCAGCAUCGACGUCUUAUGUAGGCGUGUAGAAAUAACUUAGCUUGACACGCUCGAAGUAGUUUCCGCCUUGUGAGGCGCGCAUUUCCCGGUACCUGGCGAGGCCUCCUUGGCUUGGGAGGCAUCUAGGAACUGCAAAAAUUCGUUAGGAAACUCUUGUUCUUUCGAGCCCUGCCGAGCCCUAGUUGCAGGCGCAGCCGGCCAUGACCCAGCGCUUCGCAUUGCGGUACCCGAGGGGCACGGAUUGAAAGAGUUGCGCUAGCUUGCAAGCUCGAGCGAGGGUGCCUCGCGAAGAACAGGAAAAACGCUCAUCAGGGCACCUGUCCAGCCCCCUCGCGAGGCAUGCAAGGUAGAGUACGGGUCAAAACAAGGAACCGAGGGCGAAAACGGAGGCAAAAGGAGAUGGAACCAAGCCGACAAGGAACACCAGAAAGCAAAUUUUCAUUAAAGAGGGGCAAACCAACUACGGAAAGCAAAUGAAAAGCCGUGUCCGGCACCUAGUCUAGUCUUCUCACCAGCACGGAGCUAAGUGCUGCCACUAGGACGUGGGAGGGAGCCCCCGAGGCCCGAGGGCGGCACUCCUGAGACUCUAGGGCGUGUACGACCCCACUCAUUAUUCCGUGAGAGUGUCACGAGCGGAGACCUUCACAGGCACUGGGCCUUGAUUUAUAGGCGUCGGGCCUUGCUUCAUGGGUAGAACUUCCGGAGGUGCUGGAUGCUCCAGCCAUUCUGGAUGGGGACCCCGUCCUGCGUCUCCAGGCGCACGGCGCCAGGCCUGGAGACGUGGGCGACCCCAAAUGGGCCCUCCCACAUGGGCGAGAGCUUGUGCAGCCCUUCCCAGGAGAGCACCCGCCCUAGGAAGAGGUCGCCCACCUCGAGUGUCCUGGAGCGGAUGCUGCGGCAGUGAUACCGCCGCAGCUCCUGCUGAUAUCUUGGUACUCGAAGCAUGGCUUCGCGGCGGCGUUCCUCCCCCAGCACAAGGUCCAUCCCCCGCAUGGCGUCCUGCUGCGUCUCAUCAAACGCCAGGACCCGCGUGGAGCGAUGCCUGACCUCAUGUGGGAGAACCGCUUCUGCUCCGUAGACGAGGAAGAACGGGGUCUCGCCCAUUGGCUUGCUGGCGGUGGUGUGGAUGGACCACAACACAGACUGGAGCUCAUCGUGCCAGCCCCUGCCGCAGGCCUUGAUACGUCUCCAACGUAUCUAUAAUUUUUUAUUGUUCCAUCCUAUUAUAUUAUCUGUUUUGGAUGUUUAUGGGCUUUAUUAAACACUUUUAUAUUAUUUUUGGGACUAACCUAUUAACCCAAAGCCCAGUGCCAGUUUCUGUUUUUCCCUUGUUCAGUGUUUCACAGAAAAGGAAUAUCAAACGGAGUCCAAACGUAAUGAAACCUUUGGGAGCGUGAUUUUUGGAACGAACAUGAUCCAGGAGACUUGGAGUUGAAAUAAAGGAAGCUUCGAGGUGGCCAGGAGGUAGGGAGGCACGCCUGCCACCCUGGGCACGCCCCCACCCUCGUGGGCCCCUCGUGGCUCCCCUGAUCAACUUCUUUCGCCUAUAUAUGUCCACAUACCCUAAAAACAUCGAGGAACAUAAUAGAUCGGAAGUUCUGCCGUCGCAAGCCUCUGUAGCCACCAAAAACCAAUCGGGACCCUGUUCCGGCACCCUGCCGGAGGGGGGAACCCUCACCGGUGGCCAUCUUCAUCAUCCCGGCACUCUCCAUGACGAGGAGGGAGUAGUUCACCCUCGGGGCUGAGGGUAUGUACCAGUAGCUAUGUGUUUGAUCUCUCUCUCUCGUGUUCUUGAGGUGAUACGAUCUUGAUGUACCGCGAGCUUUGCUAUUAUAGUUGGAUCUUAUGAUGUUUCUCCCCCUCUACUCUCUUGUAAUGGAUUGAGUUCUCCCUUUGAAGUUUUCUUAUCGGAUAGAGUCUUUAAGUAUUUGAGAACACUUGAUGUAUGUCUUGCCGUGCUUAUCUGUGGUGAAAAUGGGAUAUCACGUGAUCCACUUGAUGUAUGUUUGGGUGAUCAACUUGCGGGUUCCGCCCAUGAACCUAUGCAUAGGGGUUGGCACACGUUUUCGUCUUGACUCUCCGGUAGAAACUUUGGGGCACUCUUUGAAGUACUUUGUGUUGGUUGAAUAGAUGAAUCUGAGAUUGUGUGAUGCAUAUCAUAUAAUCAUACCCACGGAUACUCGAGGUGACAUUGUAGUAUCUAGGUGACAUUAGGGUUUUGGUUGAUUUGUGUCUUAAUGUGUUAUUCUUGUACGAACCCUAUGAUAGAUCGAACGGAAAGAAUAGCUUCGUGUUAUUUUACUACGGACUCUUGAAUAGAUAGAUUAGAAAGGAUAACUUUGAGGUGGUUUUGUACCCUUCCAUAAUCUCUUCGUUUGUUCUCCGCUAUUAGUGACUUUGGAGUGACUCUUUGUUGCAUGUUGAGGGAUUGUUAUAUGAUCCAAUUAUGUUAUUAUUGUUGAGAGAACUUGCACUAGUGAAAGUAUGAACCUUAGGCCUUGUUUCCUAGCAUUGCAAUACCGUUUACGCUCACUUUUAUCGCUAGCUACCUUGCUGUUUUUAUAUUUUCAGAUUACAAAAACCUAUAUCUACCAUCCAUAUUGCACUUGUAUCACCAUCUCUUCGCCGAACUAGUGCACCUAUACAAUUUACCAUUGUAUUGGGUGUGUUGGGGACACAAGAGACUCUUUGUUAUUUCGUUGCAGGGUUGCUUGAGAGAGACCAUCUUUUUAAUAUCUUUCGUGAGAAUGAUGGAAAGGAAAAUUGUGCUCAAGUGCUAGAAGAUGAAGUCUAUAAAAUGUUUGGCACUGAAUCUUUGAAUGAUGAGCAUGAUUGCAAUGUUGUUAGUAUGAAGUCUUUGAAUAUCCAUGGUACUAAUGAUGAUUGCAUUAUUCAUGAUGAAAAUGUUUCCUAUAAGCAUGUCGAUUUCUGUGGAGUGCAUAGAGUUUGCAAAUACAUACCAAAAAGGGAAGAUCGAUUUUGUAAGAGGCAUAAGUGUUUGGAAACUGAAUGGUUGCAAGAAAGGCUAGAUGUUUGUGCUGAAAAUUUAAACUUUCUUAGCCGUACUUUUGAACUUUGCAAUGAACGUGAUCAUUUCAGUACCCAAUGCAAAUUGUUUCAUGAUCGUAUCGUGUCCAAAAAUUGUGAUGACUUGAUUUCCCUUGCACAUCAUAAUGAACUUAGUCUGCUUUUGGGUUAUGAAGAAAUGAAAUGUCAAACUAAGCAUAUUCCAGAAUAUAACCUUGAGAAAUUCCUCGAUAUUGAUCUAGAAGAAAUUUAUAUGUAUUGUGCGGUCAAUUGCAUUGAAAAUCCUUAUAUUGCCAAUUACAUAAAGAAAAGAAAACAAAUAGAAGAUGAAGAGAAUACUAACGAAAGGGAACAGACUUCCCAAUAUUCUCCUAUUAUUUCUUAUGAUGAAUCAGGUAACGAGGAGGAGCCUUCUAUUCAACCAAUCUUAUUAAUAAGGAGCUCCAAAAAGAGGAUUGAACCCACACAUGAUGUGAAGAAGAAAAAUAAAAGACGGAGAAGCAAAGGUAGAAACGUAUCUCUCCCAAAUGAUGUUGCUCCUAUUACUCAUUGUGAUGAUGAUAAUUGAUAUACUAUUGGUGCUAUCCAUACUAUUAAUGAUGAGAGUGAUUAUGCUUAUGAUAUGAAAAGGCCCAAGCUUGGGGAUGCUAUGUUUGAUGAGAAUGACAUGUUUGAGAAUAUAUUUUCUGCAAUUAAUGUUUGUCCCAAGCAUGGGGAUGCUAUGUUUAAUGAAGAUGAUAUUUUUAGCCUCCCAAGUUUUGAUGAGCAAAUUUAUUAUGAUGAUAGCAUGCCUCCUAUUUGUGAUGAUUAUUGUGAUGACACUUAUGCUAUAAAGAGUAGUGAUGAUUCUAUUUAUAAAACUUGUCAUGAUUAUGAUUACCCCUUUUCUGAACAUUACUCUUUUAAUGUGGAAACAAUUUAUAGUAUUCAAGUCUCUUAUGAUACUCCCACUAUUCCGAAUGAGAAGAAUUUUGCUUAUGUGGAGUGUAAUAAAAUUUCUAUGCUUGUAGAUCAUGAAAAGAAUGCUUUAGGUGCUGGUUAUAUUGUUGAAUUAAUUCAUGAUGCUACUGAAAAUUAUUAUUAGGGAGGAACAUAUGCUUGUAGGAAUUGCAAUAAUAACAAGUUUCCUCUCUAUGUGCUUAAAAUCUUGAAGUUAUGCUUGUUUUACCUUCCUAUGCAAGUUGAUUCUUGUUCCCAUAAGUUGUUUGCUCACAAAAUCCCUAUGCAUAGGAAGUGGGGUUAGACUUAAAUGUGCUAGUCAUAUUCUUCAUGAUGCUCUAUUUAUGUUUCAAUUCUUAUCUUUUAUGCGAGCAUCAUUGAAAUCGCCAUGCCUAGCUAGGGGCGUUAAACUUUAGCGCUUGUUGGGAGGCAACCCAAUUUUUUAUUGUUGUUCUUUGCUUUUUGCUCCUGUUUAGUAAUGAAUAAAUCAUCUAGCCUCUGGAUAGAUGUGGUUUUAUGUUUUAAUUAGUGUUUGUGCCAAGUAAGACCUAUAGGAUCUUCUUGGAUGAUAGUUACUUGAUCUUGCUGAAAAUUCAAGAAACUUUCUAGUCACGAAAACAAUUGUUUAAAAUAACCAGAACGUGAUAAAAUACUGAUUCCAAUUGCAGUAGAUCAAUAGUCAAAUUAUAUAGGUCUUCCUAGUUUGGCAGAUUUUUCUGAGUUCCAUAAGUUUGCGUUUGAUACAGAUUACUACCGAUUGUUCUGUUUUUGACAGAUUCUGUUUUCUAUGUGUUGUUUGCUUAUUUUGAUGAAUCUAUGAGUAGUAUCGGAGGGUAUGAACCAUAGAGAAGUUGGAAUACAGUAGAUAUUACACCAAUACAAAUAAAGAAUGAGUUCAUUACAGUACCUUGAAGUGGUGUUUUGCUUUCUUUCGCUAACGGAGCUCACGAGAUCUUCUGUUAAGUUUUGUGUUGUGAAGUUUUCAAGUUUUGGGUAAAGAUUCGAUGGGCUAUGGAAUAAGGAGUGGAAAGAUCCUAAGCUUGGGGAUGCCCAAGGCAACCCAAGGUAAUAUUCAAGGAUAACCAAGAGCCUAAGCUUGGGGAUGCCCCGGUUGGCAUCCCCUCUUUCGUCUUCGUUCAUCGGUAACUUUACUUGGAGCUAUAUUUUUAUUCACCACAUGAUAUGUGUUUUGCUUGGAGCAUCAUUUUAUUUUCUUUUGUUUUGCUUGCUGUUUGAAUAAAAUACCAAGAUCUGAAAUUCUUAAAUGUUAAACAGUCUUCACAUAGUUACAUAAUUAUUCAACUACUCAUUGAUCUUCACUUAUAUCUUUUCGGAGUAGUUUGUCGUUUGCUCUAGUGCUUCACUUAUAUCCUUUUAGAGCACGGCAGUGGCUUUAUUUUGAAGAAAUAUAUGAACUCUCAUGAUUCACUUAUAUUAUGUUGAGAGUCGUUAGAACAGCAUGGUAAUUUUCUUUGGUUAUGAAUUUAGUCCUAAUAUGAUGGGAAUCCAAGAGGGACAUAAUAAAAAUUUACAUAUAAAGUGCAUUGAAUACUAUGAGAAGUUUGAUUCUUUAUGAUUGUUUUGAGAUAUGAAGAUGGUGAUAUUGGAGUCAUGCUAGUUGAGUCAUUGUGAAUUUGAGAGAUACUUGUGUUAAAGUUUGUGAUUCCCGUAGCAUGCACGUAUGGUGAACCGUUAUGUGAUGAAGUCGGAGCAUGAUUUAUUUAUUGAUUGUCUUCCUUAUGAGUGGCGGUCGGGGACGAGCGAUGGUAUUUUCCUACCAAUCUAUCCCCCUAGGAGCAUGCGCAUAGUACUUUGUUUCGAUAACUAAUAGAUUUUUGCAAUAAGUAUGUGAGUUCUUUAUGACUAAUGUUGAGUCCAUGGAUUAUACGCACUCUCACCCUUCCACCAUUGCUAGCCUCUCUAAUACCGUGCACCUUUCGCUGGUAUCAUACACCCACCAUAUACCUUCCUCAAAACAGCCACCAUACCUACCUAUUAUGGCAUUUCCAUAGCCAUUCAGAGAUAUAUUGCCAUGCAACUUACCACCGUUCCGUUUAUUAUGACACGCUCCAUCAUUGUCAUAUUGCUUUGCAUGAUCAUGUAGUUGACAUCGUAUUUGUGGCAAAGCCACCGUUCAUAAUUCUUUCAUACAUGUCACUCUUGAUUCAUUGCACAUCCCGGUACACCGCCGGAGGCAUUCAUAUAGAGUCAUAUUUUUGUUCUAAGUAUUGAGUUGUAAUCCUUGAGUUAUAACUAAAUAAAAGUGUGAUGAUAAUCAUUAUUAGAGCAUUGUCCCAGUGAGGAAAGGAUGAUGGAGACUAUGAUUCCCCCACAAGUUGGGAUGAGACUCUGGACUAAAAUAAAAAAAUGAGGGAAAAAGAGAGAAGGGAUAAUGCUACUAUCCUUUUACAACACUUGUGCUUCAAAGUAGCACCAUGAUCUUCAUGAUAGAGAGUCUCCUAUGUUGUCACUUUCAUAUACUAGUGGGAAUUUGUCAUUAUAGAACUUGGCUUGUAUAUUCCAAUGAUGGGCUUCCUCAAAUUGCCCUAGGUCUUCGUGAGCAAGCGAGUUGGAUGCACACCCACUUAGUUUCUUUUGUUGAGCUUCCAUACACUUAUAGCUCUAGUGCAUCUGUUGCAUGGCAAUCCCUACUCACUCACAUUGGUAUCUAUUGAUGGGCAUCUCCAUAGCCCGUUGAUACGCCUAGUUGAUGUGAGACUAUCUUCUCCUUUUUGUCUUCUCCACAACCACCAUUCUAUUCACCUAUAGUGCUAUCUCCAUGGCUCACGCUCAUGUAUUGUGUGAAAGUUGAAAAGGUUUGAGAACAUCAAAAGUAUGAAACAAUUUCUUGGCUUGUCAUCGGGGUUGUGCAUGAUUUAAAUAUUUUGUGUGAUGAAGAUAGAGCAUAGCCAGACUAUAUGAUUUUGUAGGGAUAACUUUCUUUGGCCAUGUUAUUUUGAGAAGACAUGAUUGCUUUGUUAGUAUGCUUGAAGUAUUAUUGUUUUCAUGUCAAUAUUGAACUAUUAUCUUGAAUCUUAUGGAUCUGAAUAUUCUUGCCACAAUAAAGAUAAUUACAUGGAUAAAUAUGUUAGGUAGCAUUCCACAUCAAAAAUUCUAUUUUUCUCAUUUACCUACUCGAGAACGAGCAGGAAUUGAGCUUGGGGAUGCUGAUACGUCUCCAACGUAUCUAUAAUUUUUGAUUGUUCCAUGCUAUUAUAUUAUCUGUUUUGGAUGUUUAUGGGCUUUAUUAAACACUUUUAUAUUAUUUUUGGGACUAACCUAUUAACACAGAGCCCAGUGCCGGUUUCUGUUUUUUCCCUUGUUUAAGUGUUUCGCAGAAAAGGAAUAUCAAACGGAGUCCAAACGUAAUGAAACCUUUGGGAGCGUGAUUUUUGGAACGAACGUGAUCCAGGAGACUUGCAGUUGAAGUAAAGGAAGCUUCGAGGUGGCCACGAGGUAGGGAGGCGCGCCUACCCCCCUGGGCGCGCCCCCACCCUCAAGGGCCCCUCGUGGCUCCCCUGACCGACUUCUUUCGCCUAUAUAUGUCCACAUACCCAAAAACAUCAAGGAACAUAAUAGAUCGGGAGUUCCGCCGCCGCAAGCCUCUAUAGCCACCAAAAACCAAUCGGGACCCUGUUCCAGCACCCUGCUGGAGGGGGGAACCCUCACCGGUGGCCAUCUUCGUCAUCCCGGCGUGCUCCAUGACGAGGAGGGAGUAGUUCACCCACGGGGCUGAGGGUAUGUACCAGUAGCUAUGUGUUUGAUCUCUCUCUCUCUCUCGUGUUCUUGAGGUGAUACGAUCUUGAUGUACCGCGAGCUUUGCUAUUAUAGUUGGAUCUUAUAAUGUUUCUCCCCCUCUACUCUCUUGUAAUGGAUUGAGUUUUCCCUUUGAAGUUGUCUUAUCGUAUUGAGUCUUUAAGGAUUUGAGAACACUGGAUGUAUGUCUUGUCGUGCUUAUCUGUGGUGACAAUGGGAUAUCACGUGAUCGACUUGAUGUAUGUUUUGGUGAUCAACUUGCGGGUUCCGCCCAUGAACCUAUGCAUAGGGGUUGGCACACGUUUUCGUCUUGACUCUCCGGUAGAAACUUUGGGGCACUCUUUGAAGUACUUUGUGUUGGUUGAAUAGAUGAAUCUGAGAUUGUGUGAUGCAUAUCGUAUAAUCAUACCCACGGAUACUCGAGGUGACAUUGGAGUAUCUAGGUGACAUUAGGGUUUUGGUUGAUUUGUGUCUUAAGGUGUUAUUCUAGUACAAACUCUAUGAUAGAUCGAACGGAAAGAAUAGCUUCGUGUUAUUUUACUAUGGACUCUUGAAUAGAUAGAUCAGAAAUGAUAACUUUGAGGUGGUUUCGUACCGUACCAUAAUCACUUCGUUUGUUCUCCGCUAUUAGUGACUUUGGAGUGACUCUUUGUUGCAUGUUGAGGGAUUGUUAUAUGAUCCAAUUAUGUUAUUAUUGUUGAGAGAACUUGCACUAGUGAAAGUAUGAACCUUAGGCCUUGUUUCCUAGCAUUGCAAUACCGUUUACGCUCACUUUUAUCGCUAUCUACCUUGCUGUUUUUAUAUUUUCAGAUUACAAAAACCUAUAUCUACCAUCCAUAUUGCACUUGUAUCACCAUCUCUUCGCCGAACUAGUGCACCUAUACAAUUUACCAUUGUAUUGGGUGUGUUGGGGACACAAGAGACUCUUUGUUAUCUGGUUGCAGGGUUGCUUGAGAGAGACCAUCUUCAUCCUACGCCUCCCAUGGAUUGAUAAACCUUAGGUCAUCCACUUGAGGCAAAUUUGCUACUGUCCUAUAAACCUCUGCACUUGGAGGCCCAACAACGUCUACAAGAACAAGGUUGCAUAGUAGACAUCAGGCCUCGAGCUUCUUCUUGAAGGUCCUGGUCUUGAGGCCUCUCAGGACCUCCGCGUUGGCGCGUUCGGCUUGACCGUUGCUCCUAGGGUGUGCCACUGAAGCAUAGCAGAUCUGCGUUCAAAUGUUAGCACAAUAUGUCUUGAAUAGAUUGCUAGUGAACUGUGAGCCGUUGUCAGUGAUGAUAUGAUUAGGGACCCCGAACCGGCUUACGAGGCCCUUGAUGAACUUGACCGCAAAUCCGGCCAGGAUGGUGCGAACAGCUUCUACCUCCGCCCAUUUGGUGAAUUUGUCGAUGGCGACGUAGAGGUAGCGGUAGCCCCCAGGCGCUCGAGGGAAGGGGCCCAAGAUAUCCAGUCCCCAGACUGCGAAUGGCCACGAGUGCGGGAUGGUAUGGAGGCCCUGAGCUGGCUAAUGGAUCUCUUUAGCGUGGAAUUGACAGGCCUUGCAGGACUUCACCAGCUCAGUCGCGUCGUUGUGCGCCGUAGGCCACUAGAACCCGCUGCGGAACGCCUUGCCGACGAGGGUUCGUGACGACGAGUGGUGCCACCAGUCUCCGCCGUGUAUGUCAUCUAGCAACUCUUUCCCCUGUUCCCUGGAGAUACAACGCAGGGAAACGUCAUUCGGCCGCUUCCUGUAUAACUCACCGUCCUGGAUGCAGUACGCCGUCGCCUAUCGGGCCACGCACUCCGCGUCCUCCUCUUUCUCCGGCAGCGUCCCCUGCGUCAGGUAUUCCUUGAACUCCUUGGUCCAGCACCCCUCCUGAGGCUCGAGCGCCAAGAGUAGGCGCGCUCCCGAGGUCGGGCCUCAGGCCGGGGCUGUCAAAGCAGGUGGCUGAGGGAGCUCCUCCGGAGGCAGCGCCGGCCUCGAGAGCGGAGGUGCUGCCGACGGCUUGAAGAGCCGCUCCUCGAAGACGCCAGGCUCUUGGGGUAGUCGCUUAGAUGCUCUCUUGGUGAUGUCAUCGGCCUCCUUGUUUGUGUCACGGGGCACGUGCUGCAAUUCUAGGCCCAAGAACUGCUUUUCCAUUUUGCGUACCUCCGCGAGGUAUGCCUCGAUGUGCUCGUCCCUUGGCUCGUAUACCUUGUUGGAGAAGUUGACGAGAAGCUGCGAGUCACCUCUGAUGGUGAGGCGCUUCACCCCCAGGGCCACCGCAGCCUUUAGGCCAGCUAUGAGGCCUUCGUGCUCCACUAUGUUGUUGGAGACCUUCUUGCCUUGCUGGAAGCAGAGCUGCACGGCAUAGUAGAGCUUGUCAUGAGUGGGCGAGAUGAGUACUGCUCCAACCCCCGCGCCCUGGCGCGCAAAUGCGCCAUUGAAAUACAUAACCCAGUCGACUAGCGCUUCACUUCCCGGCGAGAGGGAUCAAUCCUUGCCUGCUUCAAGCCCCGGGGCGUCCGUCCAUUCUGCCACGAAGUUGGCGAGCGCGGCUCCCUUGAUGACCCUGGUUGUGCUGAACUCCAGCUGGAAUGACUGCAGCUCGAUAUUCCACUUGGCGAGUCUUCCUGCAGCGUUGGCGCUCCUGAGUACCCUCUCCAGUGGGUAGGCCGAGACGACCUUGAUUGGGUGACCUUGAAAGUAGUGUCGUAGCUUACGCGAGGCCACCAAGAGCCUGAACAAGAGCUUCUGAGGUAUGGGGUACCGUGCCCUUGCAUCCCGCAGUACCGUGCUGACAAAAUACACUGGGUGCUCGACGAGGGCGGGUGCGUCGACAGGGCCUACGUCUGUCGGAGGUUGAGGCGCCUCCUGAGGCGAUGGAACCCCCGGAGCCUGGUCGCUCAUUGGGGCCUCUGCAGGCCCAAGGUUGCCAUCUUGCUGAGCCUGGUCAUCCAUUGGCGUCGCUGCAGCCCUUGCGGUGCCCUCCGGGUCUUGUAUCGCCCCGGCCGGGGGCGUGGCUCGGCGCGACGAAUCCUUGGCCUAGCGUUCUUCUCGGACCGCCACCAGAGCUGCGCUGGCGGAGUAAGGAGUGGCGGCAAGGUAAAGCACUAGGGGCUCGAGUGGGCGGGGUGGCACCAUCACCGGAGGGCUGGUCAGGUAUCUCUUGAGGUCUUGAAACGCUUGGUCAGCCUCCGGGGUCCACUCAAAUGGGCCCUUCUUCUUCAUCGGCUUGAAGAACGGUAGGGCGCGCUCUCCCAGCUUGGAGAUGAAGCGUCCUAGCAAAGUCACGCAGCCGGCAAGCUUCUACAUCUUCUUGAGGGUUUGCGGUGGGCUCAUGUCUUCGAUCGCCUUGACCUUCUCCGGGUUGGCCUCGAUCCCCCUGUGGGACACAAGGAAGCCCAGCAGCUUGCCGGAGGGGACACCAAAUACACACUUCUUUGGGUUGAGCCGCAAGUCUACCUGGCGCAGGCUCGCGAAGGUCUCCUCCAGGUCCUGAAUCAAAGUCCUCGCUUCCCGAGACUUUACCACAAUGUCGUCGACGUAGGAUUCAGCGUUCCUCCCAAGAUGCUGACCCAGGGCGAUGUGCAUCAGCCGUUGGAAGGUCGCGCCUGCGUUGCGCAGCCCGAACAGCAUGCAAGUGUAGCAGUACACCCUGCACGGGGUCAGGAAGGCCGUCUUCUCCACAUCCUCUACCACCAUCUAGAUCUGGUGAUAGCCCGAAAACGCAUCCAGGAAGCAUAGCAUGUCGCACUCGGUGGUGGAGUCAACGAUCUGGUCGAUGCGUGGAAGCGGGAACAGAUCUUGGGGACAGGCCUUGUUGAGGUUGGUGAAGUCGACACACAUGCGCUCCUUCCCACCUUUCUUUGGCACAACGACGGGGUUCGCCAGCCACUCGGGGUACCGAACCUCGCGAAUGAUACCUGCUGCUCCAUCUUGCGGGUUUCCUUGACGAUGAAGGCUUGCUUCUCCGUGGACUGUCGCCGCGCCUUCUCCUUCACAGGGCGCACAUUGGGGCACACCCUCAAGUGAUGCUCGAUCACCCCUCUUGGGACCCCUGCCAGCUGUUUGGGCUCCCAGGCGAAUACUUCCCUGUUUGCGCGCAAGAACUUCACCAAUGCCUCCUCUUGAUCCCGGUCGAGGUUGGCACCUAUGGUGAAGGUGGCUUCCGAGGACCCAUCUUCCUCGACCGGCACCUGCUUGGUUUUUGCCCGAUCUUGAGUGAACAACUGCUUCUUCUUAGCUGGUGCGGCCUCCUUAACUCAGGAGAUGGCCUCGUCGGCCGGUCAAGCUACCGCGGCGGUUUUGAGGGCAAGCUUGAGCGCUACCAGAGCUUCCUUGGUAUCCCCAACUAUGAUGAGGACGUCCUUGCUCCCGGGCAUAUUCAUGAGGUUGUAGGCCGGAUGUGUUGCCGCCAUAAACUGAGCCAGAGCCGGGUACCUGAGGAUGGCGUUGUAUGAUACGUCUCCAACGUAUCCAUAAUUUAUGAAGUAUUCAUGCUAUUAUAUUAUCCAUCUUGGACGUUUAAUGGGCUUUACUAUGCACUUUUAUAUUACUUUUGGGACUAACCUAUUGACCCAGAGCCCAGUGCUAGUUUCUGUUUUUUCCCUUGUUUCAGUGUUCCGCAGAAAAGGAAUAUCAAACGGAGUCCAAACGGAAUGAAACCUUCGGAAAAGUUAUUUUUGGAAAGAAAGCAAUACGAGAGACUUGGAGUGCAUGUCAGGGGAUCAACAAGGAGAGCACGAGCCAGGGGGGCGCGCCCACCCCCCUGGGCGCGCCCUAAACCCUCGUGGGCCCCUCGUGGCUCCCCUUACCGACUUCUUUCACCUAUAUAUUCCCAUAUACUCUAAAACCUUCGGGGAAAAGAAAAGAUCGGGAGUUCCGGCGCCGCAAGCCUCUGUAGCCACCAAAAACCAAUCGGGACUCUGUUCCGGCACCCUGCCGGAGGGGGAUCCCUCACUGGUGGCCAUCUUCAUCAUCCCGUUGCUCUCCAUGACGAGGAGGGAAUAGUUCACCCUCGGGGCUGAGGGUAUGUACUAGUAGCUAUGUGUUUGAUCUCUCUCUCUCUCGUGUUCUUGAGGUGGUACGAUCUUGAUGUAUCGCGAGCUUUGCUAUUAUAGUUGGAUCUUAUGAUGUUUCUCGCCCUCUACUCUCUUGUGAUGAAUUGAGUUUUCCCCUUGAAGUUGUCUUGUCGGAUUGAGUCUUUAAGGAUUUCAGAACACUUGAUGUAUGUCUUGCUGUGCGUAUUUGUGGUGACAAUGGGAUAUCACGUGAUUCACUUGAUGUAUGUUUUGGUGAUCAACUUGCGGGUUCCGCCCAUGAACCUAUGCAUAGGGGUUGGCACAUGUUUUCGUCUUGACUCUCCGGUAGAAACUUUGGGGCACUCUUUGAAGUUCUUUGUGUUGGUUGAAUAGAUGAAUCUGAGAUUGUGUGAUGCAUAUCGUAUAAUCAUACCUAGGGAUACUUGAGGUGACAUUGGAGUAUCUAGGUGACAUUAGGGUUUUGGUUGAUUUUUAUGUUAAGCUGUUAUUGUAGUACGAACUCUAUGAUAGAUCGAACGGAAAGAAUAGCUUCGUGUUAUUUUACUACGGACUCUUGAAUAGAUCGAUCAGAAAGGAUAACUUCACUACAAAAAAAAGACACAUCCGUAACAUUUUAGCCGAACGAAAUAUUUUUUUGUCAUACAUAUGACACUUCUAUGACGAUAAUUGUGACAAAACCCGGUAUCAUCAUAGAUGUGGUGGGCUCCUACUUCUAUGACAAAAAUGGGCUUUUCGUCCUGGGCGGGCCGGAGACGCACCUGCAUGACAUUCUUUGGGCCGUCCAUGACGGAAAAAACCGUGGUAGAAGCGAGGGCGAGGAAAAUUUCGGGGAGUUCCCGGUUACGGUGGGAGGUCGGGGGCCGAGCGAUGUGUGUUUCUCUCGUACACGUACGCGCGUGUGUGUGAGGCAUUGGCUCUAACUGAACCCGAGCGAGGCGUUGGGCUCUAACUGAACCCGAAUUGCACUGUAGGCUACGCGUUACUGAACCCGAGCGAUCGAUCGAUGGCUGUUAACUAAACCCGAUCGAGCGAUUCCUUCGCUACAGCUGCUAACUGAAGCCGAUCGAUGCAGCCUCUGGAUGAAUAGUGAGCAUUGCUGGGGGGGUUUGGAUGAACGGUUCCCGGUGGGGGUGGAUGAACAGGACCCCGUGGUGUUGCCUCUGGAUGAACAGGACCCCGAUUGAUCGAGCCGGUUGGGGCUGCAUGAACAGGACCCUGUGGAGGGCAGGAUGAACAGGACCACCCCGUGGAGGGCAGAAUGAACAGUAGACGGUGGAGGGCUGGAUGAAUAGUAGCCCGUGGAGGGGUGGUUGAACAGGAGCCCGUGGAGAGGGCUGGUUGAACAGUAGCCGGUGGAGUAGCGCGCGGUGGAGGCUGGAUGAACAGGAGCCCGUGGAUGAACAAUCGCAGGUGGAGGCUGGAGGAGAUCGACGGUGGAUGAACAGUAGCCCGUGGAGGCUGGAGGGGGUCGACGGUGGAGAUGAACAGUAUCCCGUGGAGUCCUGUUUUGCGGUACGCCACACCCAUUCCGAUGAACAGGACCCCCGUUUCGACCGUAGCGCUCCAACACAAGUCCGUUUCCUCCGUUUUGCGGUGCGCCACACCCCUCCCGAUCAACAGGACCCCCGUUUCGACCGUAAGAGGUCCGUUUCCUCCGUUUUGCGGUACGCUAGACCCCUCCCGAUGAAUAGGAUCCCAUUUCAAACGUGGCUGGUCGAACACAAGGCCGUUUCCUCCGUUCUGCGGUACGCUAGGCCUCGUUUCCAUCGGCUAUUCCGUCCAAGCCCUCCCGAUGAACACGACGACGCAUUCCGUUCCGACCCAGCCUGUUGGCUCCCCAUGAACACGACGACGACGCUGUGUCUCCGUUCCGACCUAGCCAUGUACACGAGCCCUAGCCGUACAUAUGCGCGAGUAGGCGUUCGAGACCCUGCCCGUAUGUACGUACGUGGCCGUAUUUUCUUUCUUGCACACUGGCCGCUGUACGUACGUGUACAUGCUACGUGCGCGCCUCUACUAUGACACGUGCGUGCCUCUACAUCCACCAGUAUAUAUGUACGUACACGUUCGUGACCAGAAUGACAACGCUACGUACGCUUCGACCAGGUGGGUCCCGACUGUCAAGCACUUCCUUGCCUGUGAACAUGUUGCUGGUGGGUCCCAGCAGUCAGGGGGCGAAUCGUUUUUAUUGCCCGGACGCACUUCCUUGCGUGCGAAGAUGUAGCUGGUGGGUCCCAGCAGUCAGGGGGAAACGUUUUUUUCGCGAAAUACAGUAGCCCGUCGAGUGGGUCCCAGCUGUCAGGUGGAGGAAUCAUUAUUUUCCGCGUAAUAAGGAGGCACUUCCUUGCUGCGGCCGUGGACCCAGCUGUCCGCCUCUCCACGUACAGUCCACGUCCGAUGGAAGUCGUUCCUUGACCAUGUUGACCACGCCGCGCCGAGAGCACCAGGGCGGUGGACGACGGCGAGGCCUAGGAAGGGGACGAAGGGGAGCCGGGGAAGACGCGGCAAUGGAAGCCCGCGCAGAGAGGAGUACGAGGGUUCACUGGUUCGGCUGCGGUGUGAGGCUGCCGUCGCCGUAGGGCCUGGCCAGCGGUGGGAAUAGUAGGGGGCAGUGAGGCCUCCGCGGCAGCACAGCCGGCCACAGGAGGCAGGAGCAUGCCGCACGACCGGCGCUGCUUUGGGCGGCUGGAGCAAGAAGACCAGAGGUUGAAGAAGCACUACGGCCGUUGGAUGGACAUCGUACGGUCACUGGAGCUAGAAUGGUUCAUAUUGACUAAAGUUGACAAAGGCCCCCGUCCCAGUCAACAUAGUAGGCCCACAAGUCAGCCUCCCACCAUGGUGGGUCCCAGCUAGUAGGGGAGUAUUCAUUUUUUUUGUGCGUAAUAAGGAGGCACUUCCUUGCGUGCAAAGAUAUAGUUGGUGGGUCCGAGCUGUCAGCGGCGGUAACGUUUUUUCGAGAAAUACAGAGGCCCUUUCGGUGGGUCCCUGAUGUCAGGUAGAGGAAUCAUUAUUUUGCGCGUAAUAAGGAGGCAUUUCCUUGCGUGCGGCCGUGGACCCAGCUGUCGGCCUCUCCACGUACAGUCCACUUCAGAUGCAUGUCGGUCGUUGACCAUGUUGACCAGGCCAUGCCGAGAGCACCAGCGCGGUGGACGACGGCGAGGCCUAGGAAGGGAAUGACACGGAGGCAGGGAAGACUCGGCAGUUGUUUCCCACGCGGAGGGGAGUACGACUGUAUGAGGGUUUACUGGUUCGUCUGCCGUCGCCAGAGAAUAACAGCAGGUGUGGGUGAGUAGAGGGAUGGCUAGGCCAGCGAUGGGACUACGAUGGGGCAGUGAGGCCUGCGCGGCGGCAGAGCCGGCCGCGGGGUGGAGGGAGCAGGUAGUCCCACCGGCGCUUGUUUGAGCGGCUGGAGCAGGAAGAGCAGAGAUUGAAGAAGCACGACGGCCGUUGGAUGGCCAUCCAACAGUCACUGCUUGUGCGUCAACCUUUUUUUAGGAAAGCCUCAAAUCUGUGGAAAAUAGCAUACAACCGAUCCGCCAUUAUUUCUAAUAAUUUACAGCCCAUUUGCUAAUUCUGAAGGUUUCUUUUGGAGCCCAUAUUCUUUUUCUUAGCAUUACAGCCCAUAUUGUGGCCACGGUUAAAAAAUUAUACGAAAUGUUGCAUGUUUCGGUGCGGUCCGAACUGUUUUUAAUCCCGAAAUUUCGAGUCACAUUCAAACUGAUUUUAAAAAUAAAUGUAUAUCAAUAUAAAAUCCAACAAAUUGUCCACGCAUAAAAAUUAAUGCAAUUUAAAAUCUUGAAAUGAAAUAAAUAAAUUUGAAAGUAAUUGCUGGUUUGAUGUGUUUUAAAAAUGUACAACCCAUUUCUCAUUACUGAUAGGCCAUUUUCUCGUCCAGCCGAAUGAAGCUCUCCUUGUCUUGAAAGAUUUGCAGCCCAAUAGGCCUGACAAAGCGACUUACUUGGCAAGUCACAAAAAAACUGGGCUAGCCAUUUUCAGAAAGAAAAAAACUACUAGGCUGGUCUGUGGUAAACAUAAAAGAGAAGGCUGUCUAGACAUGCCAGAGUGCCCCGCACAGCCCAGUUGACACCCUGCUUCCGUCUCAAAAACAAAUUAGAUAAAUGCCACAACAAAUAUGGCGAUUCAUAAAAAUUCCACUGCAAUUUCCAAACUUUGAAAAAUGCCACUGCAAUUUUUGCAAACUUUGGAGAACGCCACUGCAAUUUGCAAACUUUGAAAAACGCCACUCCAGACUUCGAAAAAUGCCACUGGGGAUGGCAUGAAAUGGCAUUUUUCAAAGUUUGGAAAUUGCAAUGGAAUUUCUUAGGAACACCAGAUUUGGAGUGGCAUUUAUCAAAUUAACCCAAAACAAAAAUGACUGGGCGAGCUGCUGGGUCCCUGAUGUCAGCCGCUCGUUGUGCAACUCUCUCGUUUAUUGACUACGUUGACAAUUGCAUGGGACCCAGAUGUUAGAAAUCCAUUACGAGGAGCCAUUUUUUUAUUGGAUUGAAAUAAGGAGGCACUUUGCUUGCGUACUGCCAUGACCUUGGCGGGUCCCUGCUGUCAUCCUCUCCGCGUACAAUCAUCUCCUGGUUGUGUACGCGUCAACAUGGUAGGCCCACAAGUCAGCCUCUAAACCCGUGGAGGACAAAUACAACCCAUUAAAAAAAAUAACAGCCCAUUCCAUUUGUUCAAACGGAAAGUUCAACAUUCAGAGCAAAGUAACAGGUCUGAUACACAUAUAGAGUACUGAACUUCCACGUUGACAACCAUCAUAGCCAUGUUAACUAUCUACUUCCACUAAUACUCUAGUAGCAUACAAGUACUAACUAACUCUUAGCUAACUAGACGAUGCCGGCCGCCAUCUGCGGUACACGCUAAACGCCGGCACCGGCAUCCUCCGCCUCGCCUCAGACUUGCCAGAGGUGCGAUAGGGCGCGUUGCUCGCGCGCGUUGGCCCUUUCCAUGCCAGCGUGGUCCAACGAAGCUUCGGCUUCUAAGCGGGAAACCCACUUGACGAGCUGGUAGUAAAAAUCGGCGUCGCGAACGUGUGCGUGCCCGACAGCCUCCAGGGCUAUUUGCCGGGCGCCAGCCUCCACGUAGUCGGCCCACGUGCGGGCACUCUGCUCGCGACUCAGAGCGUCGGUGCGCUGCUGCUCCAUGUCCCGCUGGCGGCACAAAUCGGCGAUACGCUGCUCAUCCGCCAAGCGGUCGCGCUCCAACAACUCCUGCUCCUCCGCCAGGCGGUCGCGCUCCAACAAGUCCUCGAUCUCCACAUUGCCACCUAAAGACCGAUAGAAUGCCUCCUCCCUCCGUCUGCCUUCCGGUGAAAAACCGAACACUAGUUCCGACGGUGACCGCCUCCGGCCACGCCUAUCGCGGACGGGCGGGGGCAUGGCGGACGUGGCGAGAGCGAGGAUAAGUGGCGAGCAACGUCGGGCCGGUGGGGGCUUAUGAGGUUAGGGUGAGUUGGGUCACGGUGCCACCAUAGAAGGCCGAGAAACAGUACUUAUAAGCGAAAGGUAGUGCGACGGUCAUCGGAAUUCAAUGCAUAAUGAAGCAGGCAUGGCUUAGCGCGCUAGCUUGCCGUGGAAAACUAGAGAAACUGAAAUUCUGACUGUGCCGUCCUGUCCCGUCUGUGCUGGGUCGCACGCCGGCCUUACGAUCAAAUGAGUGCACUCGAAUCAUCUCCCUCCUUGUCAAUAAUGAUUCCACGGAUUUAAAAGGCCUGCAACAAUUAAAGCGCAUCUUUUUCGCAUCAGUUAGCUGCCUUAAUUACGGUCGGCUGCAUGCGGGCACUCAAAAUCGCUCGCAGCCAGUACGCAGAGCUGCAUGCAACGAGUCGCAGCCGAGGGCAUUAGUUGAUGAACUUUAGCUGGGAGAUAAGGGCAUUUGCGAACGUUUUUGCUAGCAGUUUCUUUAGAUUCGCAUGGCAUUUUCUUCAGAGCAGCUUGUCAGUUUCUUUAGAGGUAGGCAUUUCUAUUCAAAAAACUGCCCCUUCGGAUCUUGCGUCGCAACUAAAACAGCCAGGAGCGCAUUAGUAGGCUAGCUAGUGAUCGAUCGGUAACUUGUAAACACUGAGCGAACAGAUAUAAGGAACUGUUAAUGCAUCUCAAUGAUUCACAGAUCAUAUACAAAUAUGUAGCUCCAAAAGCAAAGAUCAACCACAACUAAAACCAACUAGUACGAUUCCCAUACAUAAGAUCAACAUGUUAAUGCAUCUCAAUGAUUCACAGAUCAUAUACAAAUAUGUAGCUCCAAAAGCAAAGAUCUAGAAAAAACAUAUGUUCUUCCUACUAACAUGGAUGCUUCUCUUGGCCAACAUUCAGUACAGACUGAAUGACAAAUUUGUUUGUGAAGUCUACAAUUCCUCUUGCAAACGUAAGUGGUUUCACCAACAGCUGGAACCAUGGGAAUGAACCACACAUGAUGGAGGAACAUCCACUGCAAUAUGAUUUGGUCUUCUCUUGAUCACACGGCGAGACUAUUUUCGGAAUACAAACUUUAACUUAGGCAAAAUGAUGCCCAUUGUAUAAUCAGGCCAAAGCAAUGAAGCACCUAGUGUUGGCCAGAAAAUUGCUAUCCCAAUCUUGAUAAUCGAUCAAACAUAAAAACUUGAUCGAAUGAAUCAAGAGAGCAGCCGGAGGAGGAGGUGCCCACUCUUAACCUUUCCUCUUGUCUUCAUAAUUUUUUGUGCAGUUUAACCAAAAUAAAAUGACAUCAGCGCCUUGGCAUUUUGGUGACACUGUACAAAAAAAUUAACUUAUCUCAUGAAAGUGAGGUAUGUAAUCUAUAAGCAUUAACAGUGCAAAAAUCUGAAGGUAGUAACAAGUUUCAUCGUUGGUAUACUGGCUGUGCAACAUCAUUAGAAUGCCUUAGUUGAAAAAUCUUUAAUACAUCCACAAUCAACAGCUAACCCUGAAAUAAUCCAGUGACAUUAAAUGGCAUUGCUUAAAUUUACCGGUGGCAUUAGACUGAGUGUGGCAUUAGUUAAAUGUGGCAUCACUUUAGCAGUAGCAUUGCUUGACUUGACUGCUGGCGUUAUACUAACAGCAAAAAAAGUUAGACUAAGAGCAUGCGAGGCCCAUUCGGACAGUGGGCGCACCAGUACGAUGUACCUCCACGGACGCAUAGAGUGGUGAGGGAGGUAUGGUUGCCUAGAGCAACAAAUAUCCAGGCAGCAUAUGUGGAUUACGUCCCAUUUUUGUUAUGUUUAGCCACCUUUUUCCUAUGUGAGGACAACAAACCGAUCGACCUGGUCAUUCUCUAUUGCGUUGUCAUGCCUUUCUACCCUUCUUCAACCAAGAGACACGAGACUCGUUCCUUAGCUACUGAUUUUCCCCUUCUCAACCUAGAUGCGGGUUCGAUGCCUACUCUCUUGGACAGUACAGCCUCCCUUCCUUUCCUUAUUCAACCCAGACAUGGAUUAGUCUGUAUGAAGUAGGGCUUCCUUUAAUAGUGAAAUUAAGGUUUUCGUCUGCGUGACCAGCAGAGCAGAGGAUAGCAAAUUGGGAAGAUGGUGGAGUGGAAAAAGAUCCACAUGCAGCGACAUGGCAGAUGGGGCAACAGAACAAGGGUAUGGUUCGAAAAGAGGUAGCAUACCUGAGGGUCGGCGGGCGCUAGAUCUGAGAGGACGGCCUUGUCGUCAGUGCGUGACCUCGCUCGCCGACGACGAGUGCAUCAACACUGCACGUCCUUCUCUUCCCCGGCGGAUCUGUGACCACCGGUGAGGAGGGAGAGAGAGGCCGUCUUUUUUAGAUCUGGAGAGAGGGUGAUAGUGUGAGAAGCAAGUGGACAGCUCUUAGCAAGAAAGCUCUGAAGCUCCAGCCUAUAUAUCUUUUUUAUACUACUAGUACUAGAGGUGGAGUAGUGGUAGAGUAGUUUAUAUUUUCUCUGCAAACAGUACCAGUUCUUCAUGCUUCAAAACUGAAAGGCACACCAUUAAAAAAAUAAAGUCGAGAAAUAAUGCGGCACCUCAGGCCAACGCGGCCAGAUCGCAUUUUGCACGAGAAAUUACACACGAUGUUUCGUUGACAUGUGGUCCCGUUCCAACAUGUCAGUGAGACGACGGUGAGUCCUUUUGUACAAUUUCCGAAAGGACAUGUAGGCCGGGGCGCCUCUUCGUGUACCGUGGCAAACUGGCAACCGUCCACCGACUCUUCGCCUUUCCCUCUCGAUUUGGAACUGCUGUCGCACGCUCUUCCUCCCUCCUCCAUUUGCCUUCACCCUUCCUUCUGCCAUUGUUCGAUCGUCUUCUCCCGGGAGGGAAUAAGCCAGAAAUGACCCUGUUAUUCUUGCCCCGAUCUGAAAGAUGACGUGGUGGGGGAACUCAUUGAUCGGUGCGACGUCAUCACCUCGGCUAGCAUGGCAGGUUCAUUCAAGCCCAUUCUCGACUCAACUAAUAACAUCAUUACAAGGAACCCAAGGGUCCAGGAGCGGUUUGAUCUCCCUUAUCUUCUUCGCUAUAAGCCUGUUCGCAUGGGCUCGGACGACGGAGGACUCGCCUUGUGCAUGUUGAUGCCACUUGAUAAUGAUACGUGUGAUGUCAAGAUGCCAUCGCUUAAGGGUAAGUCCUGGGCUGGCACAAAUAGAGAUUGGGUUGUUUAUAUUGGGUACAAUUGCGAGUGGGAACUUGUGAAUGUGUACACUCGUCAGCGGAUUCCACUUCCAAAAAUCUCCGAGUGCCCUGAGGUUGAGCACACAGAUGAUCUAAGUACGUUCAAAUACGAUCAUGGUGACUGUCGUCUAUUGAAGAUAGCAAAUUGUCGAGUUCCCAAGCGCUCUUGGAAUUACAAGAACUAUCAAGUUGUUGCUAUCUUCGACAAGAUUGUAGCCGUCCUUCGUGGUUUGACUGGAUGGAUAUUGCUCAAAAAUCAGUUUCUAUACACGGAUGUGUACUGUGAUGAAAUUGAAUACGAGGAUCUUGUGUUUGCAGCCACCACUCGUGGCACUAUUUUUGCAUGGGAUCCUCGUAGUUUCGGUACGUUUGUCUUCCACCAUAAUUAUAAUUGUUUCAUCCACAUGCAUGCGGGUUAGCAAGUUUCCCUUUACUAAUUAACCUUCUUCUUGUGUUUCCAAGGUCUUGUGAACAUUCCACCACCUAUACUUGAAAAAUUUUAUAACCAAGGGGGAGAUGACGAUGGUGAUGAUCACGAGCAUGAGGACGAGCAGAACUUAUAUACUCAGUGGCGCCUAGCAACUAAUUCCGAUGGAUCACCUCUUAUUGUCUGUAUACAAUGCACUGAGAUUGUUACUACUGAGGGAGCACGUGUUGUCUCCCAUGGUCACCCUCUCCGGACCUAUUCCAACACCCGUUGCAGGGUAUUCGAGAUGGAUAAUAGUGUGCUAGCGCCAACACCUUCUCCCUGGUACAAUAUUUAUAAGCUUCGAGCAAACUCGCUCUUCCUUGGACCAAACUAUCCAAUGAUGGUUAAAGGCGAUCCAGCUGCUGUUGACACAACGUUACUACCAUUUAUGAGAAGCAACUGUAUCUAUUCCUCGGACAUUUCGGUGGUUCCCUACCCUGGUCCUGACAUAUGCCGCUUCAGCCUGGAUGAUCAGUCAUGCGUUGCUCUCGAUAUUGACAAUAGUUGGCCCUUCCCAGAGCACCUAUGGUUCAAAGCAAGCGUUUCCAACGCCGAGGAUUGGUUGAGUUGAAGUUCAUUUCAUUGCUUGUUAUUUGUUGUGUGAUGAAAACUUUAGUAUUUGCUAGAAUGUUUUGUUGGAAAUAAUCUAUAAUCCAACAUGUAUCCUCGUUGUCGUUGUGUGUUGAUGACUUGUUGUAUUUAAUGAAUGGUACAUUUCAGUUGCGAAUGCAUGUCAUAGACACAAUUUAUGAAUGCUUUUCGAGUCACUUCUUGGAGUGUGAGUACCGUAGUAGUAUAGCCAGCAUCCGGUUAGUAUAUGAAGUUGCCACAUCACAUAGAGCCAACCUAAUAUUGGAGUAUGCUAGCCCUCCACCGGCGCGCUGCUUCAAAUGGCGGAGGAAGAGAGAGGUUGCAUCACCUUGUGUCCAGAUCUGAGAUGCCACGUGUACCAGAUGAAUGACUCCAGGUUCGACCACCGUGAUGUUAGGUGCGAGCCCAGGAACACUGUUGCAGAGACCCCCCUCAUAAUUUUCCUACAUUGGUCGUUUGAUUCAUAGGAUAGAAUUCUAUAGGAUUUUUUUGCUAUGUAAUCAUCUUUUAAUUGGCAAUCUAGCAUCCACUCCAACUUUUGUUUCAGUUCCUUUGUUCCUACGAAGAGAGUACUUGCUCUAAAUGAUGUGCCGCUGCAAGAGCCGCCUAUAUUUAUUAACCAUGCUCUAAAAAGGUGGACCAGCUUUGGCUAUAGUAGUACUGUACUAGGUUAGUAGGUGACCUUGCGCUUCGCUCUUCUCCUCUUCCGGAAGUCGAACAAUAAUGAUGGUACUACAGUAGUACUUCUGGAAAUCUGACACCAAAUGAACUGCUGCACGUCCACCGCUUGUAAGCAAAAGUUUCUCCUUGUGCUGCGAGCCACCGCGCACGCGUUGUCGAGGGAGAAGGCGUAGUAAGCAAGCUUCUCAUCGUUCUACGAGUUGACAGGACACAUCAAAGUUAUUUAUUAGUACUCUCUUCAAAAAGGGCCGACCAUGUCCAUGGCUACCAUCCCGUGCUCUGUCAUUGAGUACGUGCACUAUUCACAUAUCUUUUUUUCAUCAUUGAUUUUUUGGUACAUGGAAAUACAUCACCAAAAUUUUGACUAGAAAAGCAAGACCAAAGAAAACAAGAACCACAAGAAUACAUUUUAGAAGAUAUCCAACUUCCAUAACUGCUCCUGUAAGUUGGAUUAGUGCCUUCUCGAUGCAUUCAUUUUGGAUUUACGAAGGCUCGAUCUUGCGUGCUUCUUUCUUCUUCGAGUGUAAAGAAGUAGACGUGCCUAGCCUGUAUUCUAUCAACAAGUGCACUAGUCUCAUCUAUAGCCUCUAUGCUAGCUAAAAGUGCUAGAACAUCUACUAAAUUGUGCUCUAUCAAUAUAUCAUUGUACUCUUCUUCCCAAUACCAAAAUGUGCAUCCAUUGUACACAAUAAAAUUUUAAGUUAGCACAACUAGUCUAAUCCGAGAGCACAACCGAAGAUUUGGUCGAGUUCUUCCUCCUUUUGCCGACACGUGGGUCAUCCAGCAUCCAGGUCGUGUCAUGCAAGAAAAUAGAGUGGUAGGUAAAGCCACGUGAUGUGCAUCUUGGGUUAAACUGUAAAUAGAAUCUUACUACUCUUGAGUAACUCCAAAAGCGGCCAGCGAAGAUCUUUAUUGGAUUUGUUUUUCAUCACCAGCACGUCGAGGUGAAAGAUGUGCAGGUUCAGUGGGUCCUCUUGCGUUUUCACUGACAUGUGGGACCGCAUAUGAGCAAACAGACGAUGGGCUCCGCGCGUCUGCUGGCUGGGUGAGAAGAGAGAUAGAGGAGGGCCGAGCACGGACUCCAGGAAAUUUGUUCUACGUACUCGAUAUAGUGGAGUAACCAGCACCUCGAUAUAGUGAGGUGGCAUGGGCCAUAACUAGCAUUCAUGUCUAGCAGUACGGCACACGCCACCCACACGAGUCCCAUCCGACACCAAUUUUCUUGGAGUCCGUGCUAGCUACAGCCAUCUCUUCUCCCUCCUGUUUUCUCAGCCAUCGCGCGGUGGGCGGGGUGGGGGUUUGCCGAUAGUCGGUUUGCUCAACUGCGGUCCCACUUGUAAGUGAAAAUGCAACACAGCACGCAUUCCCCAUUGAGCGGCGUGCCGGACAAACCGUGUGGGGGUGUGACGCGAACACGGCAGGCUUUUCCUUUUGAACUUGUAACUUGUAAAAUUUGGUUCUGCUCCAUGGGGCGACCGAUAGAUAGAAAUAAUGAUUUUCCCUAGAGUAAUGAGAAGUUUGGUUCUGGCAUGGUUCAUGCAUGGAGUACGUAGGAAAAUUAUGAAGUUGAUGCGAAAGGUAAGAUAAUUACUAGUAGUACCACAUACUACUACAUCGAUUUGAUAGAAAGACAAAGAUACAUACGGAUCCAUCAACGACAUCCUCACGCCCUAGUGCACCGGGUCACCAACCGACGUGUGAGGAGCAGCGGCGUUGGCGGCAAGCUCAACGUGCUUCUUAACAAUGCCGUCCAAGGUUGCCCUGCGGUCCAAGAAGGCCAGCGUCCUACCGUCCUCCUCUUGCAUGUAGUAGUCCUUGUGGACGAUUUGCGCGUAGACGUGGGUCAUUAUGUCGAUGGUGUCUUGCUGCGCCAGGCGCUGCGCGGCGAGCGCGACCUCGAGGCGGACAUUCUCCGGCGCGACGGCGGGCAGUCGCAGGGCCACCAGUGCGUCUAAGAGGUUGUCACCAUAGAGGCCGUUGAGGGUGGCAGGCAUCGCAGAGCCUGGGCGCGUGGGCUGGAGGCGUACGUCAAGGUCGUCCGCGAGCUUCUUGACGACGGUGAACUUGUCGAGGAAGCCGACGAGGACCUCGUCGAACAAGGAGAGGAAGCUGUCAUCCAAGCGGCCCCUCGCCCUGGCGGCCUCAAGCACUACCUAGAGACAUUCCUUGGUGCCAGGAUGCAGGCCGGCGUCGUGGACCAUCUGGCACAGCCGGCUGAUGCUCGCGCUCAUCGCCUCCAUGGGUCUAGCUUCUAGUCAACUGAUCUUGCGAUUGGAGUGAUCACUCUUGCCCUUAGGUGCGUAGGUGCGUAGGAUUUCAUAGAUUGGACUGGCGGGAGCCUUUAUAUGAGAAGUGCAGACUGCGUUGAAUUCACGUGCGUGUUGGCCAUCUACUCCUCGCCCCUCUACUGCACCUGCUUUUGGCUGUAUGACAGGUUGGCCAGCCACCCGUUGGACCCACGUGUCAUACACCCAAAGGCCGGUGCAGUAAGAAGACGGCGAGUCCUUUUGUACAAUUUCCGAAAGGACGUGUAGGCCAGGGCGCCUCUUCGUGUACCGUGGCAAAAUGGCAACCGUCCACCGACUCUUUGCCUUUCCCUCUCGAUUUGGAACUGUUGUCGCACGGUUGAUCGUAUUUGAACGUACGUAGAUCAUCUGUGUGCUCAACCUCAGGGCACUCUACACUGUCGAGGCGUAGACGUGGAUGUGCAGGUCGAUGGUUUCUUGCAUGGCGAGGCGCUGCGCGGCGAGCGCGGCCUCGAGGUGCACAUUCUUCGUCGCGACCUCCGGCACCUGCAGGGCGACCAGGGCUUGAAAGAGUUUGUCACCAUGGAGGCCGAUGAGGGUGGCAGGCAAUAAGGAGCUUGGGCGCGCGGGCUGGAGCAGUACGGCAAGGUCGUCCGCGCGCUUCUUGACGGCGGUGAACUUGCGGAUGGAGUUGACCAUCAUGUCGUCCAUGCGGGAGGCGAAGCCGGCGUCGGCGAGGGCUACGAUGCCUGCGGUCGCCAGCACCGUCUGGAAACGCUGAAUGGUGCGGGGCCGCAGGCCUGCGCCUUGGAUGAUUUGGCACAGCCGACUGCCGCUCGCGUCCAUCGCCUCCAUAGGUGCUUGUGGCUUCUGGUCACUUGGUCUUGGAUUGGAGUGAGCAGUGUUGCGUAGAGACUUGGGAGUAGAUGGAUUGGAGUGGUGGGGCGCCUUUAUUAUAUGAGAGUCCAAACUCUGUUGCAUUCACAUCGUGCUGGCUCUAUUCUGCUUCUCCAAUUAAUUCUCUCUGCAUGUAAUUGAGGAUGCAUCAUUGACUGUUCAAUGUCUCCGGAACCGCUACCCUCUCCCUCCUUGGCAUUCAAGCACCUAUGGACCCGUCGACGAUGAGGUGCCUAUGGUGACUUCGUAAAUUUCUAGAUGAUAGUGUCGUGCGUGUGUGCGUUCAUAGGGGUGAGUGUAUGCGCGUGUAUAUGAGCACUUGCGUCUGUACUGUGUAAAAAAAUGUAAAUGUGUGUCAAAAAGAGACUAGUCAGUAUACUCAAUAUUGUGCACCUCGGAGAGGAAAACGAUAGAACUAGUACGUAUUUAUUUACGGUGCAGAUUCACUCAUUUUGCUCCAUAUGUACUCCGUCUCGGUGUAGUCUAGUCACUUGUUGAAAUCUCUAGAAGGGCAAAUACUCCGUUCUGGUUUACAGGGCUAUACUAGCAAGUAGUUGUACGUACUAGUACAAUAGUGGGCUCACAUAGCAAUUUUAUCUCAUGCAAGAGCCUGGCUAUAUGCGUGCUCCAAUGUUCGCAACUGCAACGUUCGGUUUGUGCUUGGCUCUUCGCCUCUUCGAGAAGGCGAACAAUGAUGUUACUACUACUGCUUCUACAGUGUCGAAUCCACUGCUGCAUGUCCGUCCACUGCGAGCGGGACGGAUAGCUUGUUGUAGAAGUACUACUAAGCAAAAGCCUGUCCUCGUUUGCGAGCAACCGCGCGCAUGGGUGAGGGAGAAUGCGUGUAGUAAAAUCAAGCUUCUCCUCGUUGUACGAGUUGACGCCACACAUCAUAGCACUGGCCCCACAUGCUUGCCUCUAAACUUGGCUGAAAGACCCGCAGUGUACAAUAUAUUUGCUGCAACCUCUAACAUUUACCCACCACAAAUUAAAAUAUAUGUGGUCGUAUGCAUCGUUCUGAUGUAGAUGCCGGGGAGUCCCCCCUUUUCGAAAAAAACAAAUUAAAAUAUAUAUUCCUGUCUUGACCACAUGAGUGUGCAAACUACAAUCACCAGGGUGUCAGGUAGGGACAGAAGACUAUUUUAAAUUUUUUUUAAAACUUCGAGACGGCCACAUAGCAUGGAGCCGACCCCAACGAUUUUAAGCUUACAGGCACGGUACACGCUAUCCUAGACUAGUCUACACAUGAAACAGCCACACGAGCGUCCGGGCUGCGCUUGGCUCUUCGCCCCUUCGGGAAGUCGAACAAUGAUGGAGUACUACUGCACUGAAGGAGUACUACAGUACGCUUCUGGCCAUCUGACACCGAUUGAACUGCUGCAUGUCCACCGCGUGCGGGAGGGAGAGCAUGUAGCGAAAGCUUUUCCUAGUCUUGCCAGCCACCACACUCAUGGGCGAGGGAGGGACGCUCCUGCCUUUGCGUGUAUGACAGGUGGGCCCGACAGGUGUGUGGCCAACCUGUCAUACAGCCAAAGGCAGGUGCAGUUAAGUCCGCGAGGGAGAGGCUAAUCAAACUUCUCGUUGAUGUACGAGUUGACGCGACACAUCAAAGCACUGCACUCGACAUAUUUCAAUAAUUUAGGUUUACCGAUGCAUUAAUUACAACGCAUGCAUGCAUGCCGUGACUCUCGUUUUGAUACUUGCAUGUGUUUAUUUAAUGCACCUUGAAGUAGUAUAAAAUAUGUGACGGUAAAGCUUUGUAAUACCCCGGCCCAAGUCGAGAGAUGGUUGUGCACGAGGAGGGCGAGAUCAUGCAGACCGAACAGGACCCGACGAUGGAGCUCUCUAAGGUCUCGAUGGACCUCACCGUGCUCCACUGCCCCUUGUGCCUCUGGCCCUUGACGCCUCCAGUGUGUGAGGUUCUAAUAGACCUCGUCCGUUCGGCUGAUAGAGCAAGGUGCAGGUUUCUUGAUUGAUGUGCUGUUCGAUUGAUUUCUGCAGUGCAAGGGAGGGCACCUGGCCUGCGCGGACUGCCGCGUCCUUAUAUAUUCAUCAGUCAUGCUAUAAGUCGCAGUAGAUGCUAUAUAGGUCCGUCGGAUCUUACAUCAAGAUCCGUGCUUUCAGAUUUUCUUUUUUCUCUCUUAAAUCUUAGUCGAGUGAGACAAAGCCACGCCAUUAAACAGAGGCUCGGGCGCCAUUAAUGGAGACCUUGGGAGAGAGGUGGACGUUAGAUGGAGGUCAAAGGGCUCUCCUCCCGAUAAGCACGCGCAGGGGUCUGAUCGCACGCCUCUGGUACUGAAAUAGCUACCCUGCACGGCGCCUCCUAGCUAAUAAAAAAUGGGGACGCGUGGCGGCACGUAAAUGGUACUAGUAAGUAGAACGCCCACGGUUUCAAUAAUACUUGUGUUUCCGAUUGUAACGUGACAGCACUAGUUCCAAAAUGACUUUGUUGAUUGUUAAUGUGUGCGCCUUCCCAAAUCGGACUGCAAAUUUACCACAGCAUGUUGGUGCCAUGUCAUGGCACCAAGCCAAGUUUCAUUAUUUUCAUCGUGUUUUGGAUUUACAGGAAUUAAAAAACUAAGUUUCUCAAUGUUUCCAACCCAGCCACGACGCCCAGAAUUUUGAAUUUCAUUCCCAUUUCUUGCAUGGAACCUAGAAAUUUACCCGAGGACACACAUGUGAUUUUUCAACCAACAUUGGUGCACUGGAACAUGUGCUUGUAUUUCACAUUUGAAUUAUGCACACAAAGGUGACACGUUCCCUCCCAGAACCAUGAGCCUUCUUGAGAGAAGCUCUGAUUUGCAAGAAGCUUAUACCAAAAUUUGUUCCUAUUCGGCCAAUUUUUUUACCACGGCAUGGUACUACCAUGACAUGACACCAUGCCAAGUUUCAUGAUUUUAAAACCAAGUUUCUCAAUGUUCUUGACCGAGCCACGAUGCCCAGAUGUUUGAAUUUUAUUCUCAUUUUUUGCAUGGGACCUACUCCCUCCUUCCAUCUAUAUAGGGCCUAAUGUGUUUUUCAAGACAACCUUUAACUAUUGACAAGAUUAAUAGCACAUGAGAUGUAUACUAUGAAAAUUAUAUUAUUGGAAGCUCCUUUGACAUACAAAUUUGAAGGUAUGCUUUGUGUAAGUUGCAUGUCAUAUAUUAUUGCUCUAACGUUUGGUCAAAGUUAGCCUCGAAAAACGCAUUAGGACCUAUAUAGAUGGAAGGAGGGAGUAGAAAUUCACCCGAUGACACAAAUGUGAUUUUUCAACCAACUUUGGUGCAUGGGAGCAUGUGCUUGUAGUUCAAAUUUGAAUUAUGCACAUUAAAUGACCAAAAACUCAAUUAAUGUGUAAAUAAGGCCAAACGAAGCCGGAAUAAUUCCAAAAUUUAACAGGGCACUCAUGUAGUUUUAUGUUUCCUUUGUAAAUAAACUCAAGGGGGACAACGUAUAUCGUUUCGCACUCAAAGGUUGCACGUUACCUCUCAGAACCAUGAGCCUUCUUGAGAGAAGCUUCGGUUUGCAAGAAGCUUAUACCAAAAUCUGUUCCUAUUCGGCCAAUUUUUUUACAACAACACGGUAGUACCAUGACAUGACAUCCAUGCCAAGUUUCAUGAUUUUCAGACGUGUUUUGGAUUUACAGGAAUUUUAAAACCAAGUUUCUCAAUGUUCUCGGCCGAGCCACGAUGCCCAGAUGUUUUAAUUUUAUUCUCAUUUCUUUCAUGGGACCUAGAAAUUCACCCGAGGACACAAAUGUGAUUUUUCAACCAACUUUGGUGCAGGAGAGCAUGUGCUUGUAGUUCAAAUUUGACUUAUGCACAUUAAAUGACCAGAAACUAAAUUAAUGUAUAAAAAAUGACAAACGAACCCGGAAUAAUUCCAAAAUUUAACAGGGCACUAAUGUAGUUCUAUGUUGCCUUUGUUAAGAAACUCAAGGGGGGGCAGCAUAUAUCGUUUCACACUCAAAGGUGGCACGUUCCCUCUUAGAACCACGAGCUUCCAAAUCGGCCCAAAUUUUUACCACAACAUGUUAGUGCCAUGACAUGACACCAUGCCAAGUUUCAUGAUUUCCAGGCGAGUUUUCGAUUUACAUGAAUUUAAAAUCAAAGUUUCUCGAUGUUCUCGGCCGAGUAAUGACGCCCAGAUGUUUGAAUUUCAUUCUCAUUUCUUCCAUGGGACCUAGAAAUUCAACCAAGGACACACAUGUGAUUUUUCAACCCACUUUGGUGCACCGGAGCAUGUGCAUGCAAUUCAUAUUUAGAUUAUGCACAUUAAAAGUCCAGAAACUCAAUUAAUGUAUUAAGAGAGAUCGAUCCGCAUCCAUGCAUAUGUGCAGGAGAGGAAUAAGGUUGGGAGAGAGACAGAGCUAGAGUGUUGGAGGGGGUGGUAGUGGAGUUGCUUCUAACAAAUGGUGGGAUAGGCUUGCUAGAAAAACGGAGGGCACGCCCGCAAUAUCAAUAAGAGAGGAGAUGGCUGCUUGUUGUCUGUGCACGUGCGUGUGAGAGACAGGUCAGGAGGCAUGCACGAAUGAUGAGGGGGGACGAUGUGGCUGUGGUAAGCAGAUGUAACUACAUAGGAAGAUCAAUCGCCCUUUGUUAGAGAAAGGAGAGAUAUAACUUGUGAGGUACAUCGAUCGAUGGGGGGGUAGUUAAAGUCGAUCUAGGUAUAUGUUGGGAGGUCGAUCGGUAUACAUGCAUGUGUGUGUUAGAAGAAAAUGAGGCACGAGGAGAAGGAUAGAGAGAGGGAUGCAUGUAGGAGGUGGUACGAGAGGCAUACUAUAUCGAGGGGGGAGGAGUGUGCGAGUACGAGAACGAUGAAAAGAGUGGUUGGAGUGAGGCAUGGACGGUGACAAGAGAAGAGGGGAAGCUUGUGUUUGUGCUAGGCACACCUGGCUAGAGAGGCAUAUCGAUCGAUGUGUGCCGUAAAGAAGGAGCUGGGGGGCCUACACACACCGUGGGUGAACGACCUAAAGUGAAAAGACGAAUUUGCGCGAUGGAGCUAGAGAACGCUGAGGGAGGGUGAGAGGGAUGCGGGCGCGUGCAUGCACAAGAGAAAGUUAGCGCUAGCUACAAAGAUAAGAGGGUUGUGUGGGUGUAAAAGACGAAUAGAGAUCAUAUAUACUUCAUUAUAAAAAGCGAAUUUGGAUAUUUGAAAAUUUUAUCAUAGUGUUUCGAACUGACGCAUGUGUGAAUAUAUAUAACGGUGAUACACAUGGUGUGGUUAUGAACAUGUUAUACUACAUUUAAUAUAUUUUAUCUCUACUCUUAUAAAAAAAGGAGUUGUUGAUGAUGGUGUGCCUACCAUCCUGCAUUAUAGGCCGUCCAAUUUAUAUCUGGCGGAUAGCAAGGAAACUAUGAUGGUUGAAGUUGGCAACAAUCAUGAUUGUAGAUUCUUAUUGAAAUAGAGAAAUGAAUUCAAAUUUAGUUCGAAUUGCAGCGGUAGUAUAGACAUUUGGAAUGCACUAAAAUGUUGGUAUGAGUAGGUUACAUGCAUUAUAUAGCAAGCGAAAAAAUUUAAUCGGACAUAACAUGGACUCAUACUCCCUCCUUCCAUCUAUAUAGGGCAUAAUGAGAUUUUUAAGACCGCCUUUGACUAUUGACAAGAUUAAUAGUACAUGACAUGCACAAUGUGAAAAUUAUAUCAUUGAAAGAACCUUUCACAGACGAAUAUAACGGUGUGCUUUGUGUAAGUUGCAUGUCAUAUAUCAUUGCUCUAAUAUUUGGUCAAAGUUAGCAUCGAAAAACGCAUUAGGCCCUAUAUAGAUGGAAGGAGAGAGUAACUUUGAAUAGCAUUUGUAUAGUAAAACGGGGCAAGACUCUCUCUUUGUGUGGUGUGAAUAGUUUUAUUUUUUUCGUUUUCUUUUUGGUUGAGGGAAGUGCGAAUUGAUUUGGUACGUACAAGUACAAUAUUACUACACGUUAGGCUUGUCCCUAAAAUUCAACCCGCGUCUUGUUAUAUCCCGAAAAUUCAGAUAUCGUGCUCCCAAAACUGGCGCCUUCACAACCCGCGCCUUGCUAUCCCGAAAUUACAACGCGCGCGAAAACUCCCUCCAGCUGCCAAAUCCCGACACGCGAAAUCCCCCUUCUAACCCUGAGCCGAAAGGGCCGCUAGUUCAAAUUGGUGGGGGGUACUUUUGUAACACACACUACAUUUUGGACAAGCGCGUCCCUAAGUCAUGCUUCACCCCCUCCCAUCGCCCCCUUUUCGCCAUUCGAAAUCCCAGGCCGCCAUAACCUCUCCGCUCCAGCCGCGAUACCCCACCCUCCUCCGUCCGCCACGUCACCGCUGCCCAGCCGGAGCCUCUUCCCUGACGACAUCGUCCACCACAACAGCUCGACGUCCCUCGUCCACCUCCCCGGAGGAGGAUCCGUCGUCCAUCUCGCCGUCCCGUCGGUUCAGCCGCCCCGUCCUCCACCUCCAAGGAGCUGCUCCGACGAUCGCCUUGUCUAUCGCGGCUACUCCAUCCCCACAGCGCCGCCUUAACCUGCUCCACCGGAACCACAGCAUCCUCAUCGACUCCUCGGACGAAGCCGAGGCCUACUCAGCGCCAUCAAAGAGGUUGUACACUCAUCGCAUCGCACCUUCUCCUUAACUCGACCUCCCGGCGCCGACGGUGCUCCAUCCCGCACCCCCAUGGAGCGGCUACCUUGAAGCCGGCGCCGCGGGCGACAUCUCCACGGCGGCUCUCCCCAGUGUGAGGCCCCUUCGGCGGCAGCGUCCAUACCAGCCGGAUCUGCUGCUGCUGCUCCGGCUCAUGCUCGCUCGCUCGCGUUGCUGCUGCUGCUCCGGCUCUUGCUCGAUCGCUCGCUCGCCCAGCUGCUGCUGCUCUCCCCCUCGCUCGUGCUGCUGCUUUGCUCUGGUUAAGCCACACUUCAAUCGACUGAAUCGACUUUUGGGUCAGUCGAUUUUCAGGGGUUGGGGGGGCUCGCCGGAGUUAAGGAAGAACCACCCGCAGCGGGGACGGGGGCUCGCCGUAGAGGUAUCCCACUAUCUAUCUUAGGGUUCAGGGUGGGGGCCGGGGGCCUAGAGGGCUGGUCGGGGCGGCGGUGGCGAGUUGUUUCGGGGCGGCGAGGCGACGCUGGGGCCGGCGGUUUGGCUGGUGGUGGCUGGCGGCUCAGGGGGGUGCAGGUUGAAGAUGAACUGCAGGCCCUCCCUAAACUACAUGUCAAGUGCCUCUCUGCUACCAUUGCGUUCAGUUUCGACAGUAGCAUUCAGAUUCCACAGUAAAUUUCAGUUUCGACAGUUAAGUUCAGAGUCAAGAGUUUUACCUCAUCUGUUGUAGUCAGGUGGUUUUUGGUGAUGUUAAUUUUACAUCCAUUUUACAUCAUCUAUUGGAGAUGUUAUUAGAAUCCCACUUGAGAUUGACGAUGUAUGUCUUGUGCUGCUUCAGCCUUGAUGUCUUACGGCUCACCGGAGCUGCUCCAACGACAGAACGAUCCAUCACAACAGAGCAGUGCCCUGGACGCCGUCUACAGAUUCCUCAGAUCUUCCUCCACACCUCCGACAGCCACCUCUGCCUCAACUGCUUCAGCGACCAACCCAAUGGUGCUGAGGUCGACACGGCUACGGCAAAGAGGUUGUACACUUGUUGCAUCACUUAUUACUAUACAUUCACGUCGAUCCAUUAGGGCUAUUUUGGUUCAAUGGAAAAACGUCGAUCCACUGGUUGUUACCAUCACUCUAAAUUUCUGCAUGCUCUCCUUACAUAAUCUCACCAUAUUUUUUUCAUAUGCAUGUCAGAUAUUGUACACAGUCAUGCUGAACAUGUAGAGAAAAAGAGAAGAGUUUUGCGCGGCAAUACAAUGUCAUGCAGACAUCGCUCCAUGGUGGGUUCAAUGGCAAACCCUCCCCACCCCUCUCCAGAUUGUAAUCCAGAGGAAGAUAUCUAUUCUGAGGCGGAUUCAGACGCCGCUGACCACUCCUAUUUACCCCCCAAGGUGUUUGCUCUACCUUGGCAUGAUGAUGUUAGUCGUAUCAUGCAUAUGUUGCUUUGCAGUGCCUACUUUUGACAUCAUAUAUGUCAUCUUCUUAGUUUAGACAUGUUCUGUAAUGCCACCUGUUUAGUUACUAUAUCAUAUAUGGGAAUUAUACAGUCUCAUGUCUUUUAGCCAGCCAUAAUAUAUGUGAAAUGUGCAAUGCCAUCCUGUUUAACCAGGCAUCAUAUAUUUGAAUGAUAUCUUGCCCAUCCUUUUCGUCAUUACAUUUCCAUUUGUCGACAAUGUUUGUACAUUAAACUACUCUUCCUGUGAAUCAGCCAUUUGGGUGGGAGAUGGAAAAAUCUGGAGUGAAAACAAGGCCUUCAGAGCAGACAGUGCUACCUGUCGAAGCAGAUCUCUUGUUGGGUCCCGAUAGCUCCUCAGAAAUGGAUUCGGAGAUAGAUGACCAGUCCUAUUCCCCCACUGAGGUGUAUGCUCUAACUUGGCAUGGUUAUACUGCUCAUAUCAUGCAUACGGUGUCUUGCAUUGCAUAGUUUAGACAUCAUAUACACAAUAUUCAACACCAUGUUCUUAGUUCAGACAUCAUAUCGAAUGCCCUCGGUUUAGCAUAUAAAUCACAUAUGUGAAUUAAAUGAUGCGAUCCUGAUUACUUAGAUAACAUGUAGGUGAAUUAUGUCAUGCGAUCCUAUUUAGUUAUUCAUCAUAUCUUUGAAUUAUGUUAUGCUAUGCUAUCCAGUUUAGAUAGACAUCAUAUAUGUGAAAUUAUGUCAUGCUAUCCCUUUUAGUUAAACAAUAUACAUGUCAACUAUUUCAUGCCCUCUUUUUUCCACACUAUCUAUUGCAUCUGUCUCUCAUACAAUGUCUGUACAUUCAACUAUGUUUCUUGUUUAUCAGCCAUUUGAAUUGGAGCGAGUGAUGCCAAUAUCUAGCGGACUAAAAACACGGUCUUCAAAUAAAACAGUGCUACCUCUUGGUGGAGAUAGCACCCCGGUUGUACAUGCACAAGAACCAGCCCUACCACACAUAACCCAAACUCUCGCAGAUUGUACCCCGACUGCGAUGGACAGAGAACCAGCUUCACCCAAUCUAACCCCAACCCCAGCCGAUAGUAACCCAGUUCCUGUUGACACAACACCAUCUCCACCACAGAGCUCCCAAACAAGAGCAGUUUGUAAGGCAGCUCCAGUGCCCAAAGGGUGAGUACUAUCAUGGCGAACAACAACUCCACCAGUUAGUACGCCUAUUCCUGUGGAGGAAGCACAACCAGCUAGUCGUAGUUUAGCAUCUAUCGCAUUUGAUGUUGUUAAAUCGUAUGUGCGUAUCUUCCCAUCUUGGAAAUAUUAUACUGAAGAUGAAGGAAAAUGCCAGUUGCAGGUGUUUGUCCAGGAGUUAUGUGUAAGUAAUGUUAUUCAUGGCAAUUACUUUGUUUCGUCCCAUACAUCCUACCUCCAUGAUGGUUAUAAUACAGCAAAUUUUCCCAUUUUUCUCUAUAGAGAAGGACCGAUUUGGAAACUCAGGAUGAGGUAACCUGUGCUAAUACCUCUGCUAUCUUCAAGAAUGCUUGGUGGCAGUAUCGGAAUUACCUGAAGAAAACAUACUUCACCAGCAAAGAAACUCAUGAAAUUCCCUUACGUUCUCCUGAGACACAUUUACUAGACGAUGACUGGGAACGCCUUGUUCUGUACUGGUCCCGAACCAAGAAUGUGGUAAGGUCUAUGAGCUCAUUUUCAAUUUUUAAGUAUUAUAUUCUUGCGUCUUACUGUACUCUGUUCAUGUAGAACAAGUGCCUAAACCUGAAGAACAAUUGUUCUAAUUUAAGAUUCCAUUGCUAUCAUAGUUCAAAAAAGCGCUAGGCGUUAAUUGUGCGUUUUGCCACCGCCUUGCGCUUUACUGACCAAAGCGCAUGCUUAUGCACAGUUAUGCACAGAUUAUGCGUAGUUAUGCAAUGCGUUUUGCCAACGCCUAGAGCCUAGGCGGGCUUAAGCGCUCGCUUAGGCGCGCCUUUUUUAACUAUGAUUGCCUUGCUCUUGUAUCACUGUAUUUACUCAUACAAACUUAUUUUUAAAUUGAAGGAUCCAAUCGAAACUCCAAUGGCACAGCAGGUAUGUUCACGCAUGUUUCUUUAACAGGUUUGCUCUUAUCAAUAGCUCUGUUGAUUUCAAUUUCAAUUGUGUAUACAGUUGACUUUCAUAUCAUGCACAUUACUAGCAUCACAACAGAGCCAAUAGUGUUGUUGUACAUGUAGACCCGUGGUACCCAUCUGAAAUCUUGUUGUGUCGUGUAGUUUCCCACGCUUUGUAUUCUUUCACUGCUGCUUUGUCUUGAACUGAUAUGAUUUGAACCGUGUCUCUAUUUUGAUUUGGCAAGACAAUGCAGUGACCAUAGGACAUAGAUAUAUGUUUGUUUGAUGCUUUUAUUAUGUACUAGUACUUGGCAAUAGAAGACUUGGUAGUUUAAUCCUGUCCACCUUACUAAUGAACUGGUUCACUGAAAUGAGUUUCAUAUACUAGUACAUGCUAAACUUGUUAUGUGUCUGCUUGUUUCUGCUUUUAGAAUGGUGACAGAAUAUUGGGGAAGAGUGCCUUAUUAAGCAAUGGUAAAUGAAGUAAUGCAGAUAAGGUUCAGGAUAGUGACACAUCCUUGUUGGUCUCCAACAAAGCUGAUAAAACAGCUAAGGAAGACUAUCUUGAAGACAGUGAGACAACCCCAAAGUCCUGUCUUGGUUUAGUGUUCGAGUUACUAGCCACUACCGCUUGCACAAGCUAUUCAAACUCACUGUCUGAAUCAGUUCGGUUUCUUGAGUCUCAACUACAAGCUGAAAGACAUCGAUCAGCUGUGCUGCGACAAGAAGCGGAAGGACUGCGGAAGUCCCUGGAGCAUUCAGAUGCAUACUUUCUGGUGCAACAGCAAGCGUUGGAGGAUUUUAGCGCCAAACAGGACAAAGAUAAUCAGCUUGCUAAGCUUAUUGCCAGCAUGGUGGAUACCCAGGAUAACGUUUCUUGAGCUCUUCUGAAGUUGUUUCAGUUAUGCUCUUGUUUUGCUGCCGCGUUUAUUUGCACUGGUGGCCAAUUUUGACGGCCAGUGUAUGUAAUGUGCUGCUUUGUUCCCUAUAUUUGCACUGGUGGCGAACUUUGAUGCCUAGUGGAUGUAAUAUGUGUAAUAGCGGUAAUAGGCUAGCGUUAAUUGCUUGCUUAUUUAUUUCCUUAUUGUCUUGUUUAGUUGUUUGCUUGUAGUCACUACAGUUCUUUUUCUGUUUUUUCUAGUGGCCACAAUAGCCUAUUUUUGGUAACUAGGCCAAAAUAAUCGUGGCAACACAUGGACUGUUGUAACCAUGGGCCUCUUGCAGGCCGUAUGAUCCAUGGGCCUUCGUCCGGCCGUAGGAUCGAUCGGCCUUCUAUACGGGCCUUAGGGUCCAUGGGCCUUCUAUGGGCCGUAGGGUCCAUGGGCCUUCUACGGGUUGUACGAUCCAUGGGCCUUCUACGGGCCGUACUGUCCAUAGGCCUCAUACGGGCCGUAAGAUCCAUGGGCCUUCUACGGGGCGUAUCAUCAUUUCACCAAUCAUGGGCCGUACUAUUCGUGGACCAUAACGGGCCGUUAAUAGGCCGUAUUUGAUAACUCUAUGAAAACAGCCCAACGGGUUUUUUUACAUGAAAACGGCCCAACGUAUUAACGGUCCACAAACGGGCCGACUGUAACGACGGGCUGAAUUUGGCCCACAAGCAGAAAAUGACAGUAACGGGCCGUAUUUAACCGAAUGUUGCAAAUGAGCCCAAGAAUCAAUGGGCCCUGAGAAGGCCGAAAGAUAACUUGGGCUGGAAACGGCCCAAUGGAAUAACGGGCCGUUAAUGGGUAUAAAGUGAUACACUGUUCAUUACGGGCCAGUUUCACCACGGGCCGUUAAUGGGCCAAGAGUUACAAAGGUCCUCAUAUGGGCCGAAAGAAGUCAUGGGCCACACAUGGGCCGGAAGUUAAAACGGGCUGAAUCAUAUUGGACAGCCCAGAUGACGCUACUGGGCCUAAUUCGGAUAGGGCGUAACGGGCCCCGGGUUAGCGGGCUGUAAAUGGGCUAUAUGCGAAUAGGCCGUUAACAGGCUUUCCGUGGGCCGGCCCGCCACCUUUCGACCAAGUCAAACGGGCCGGCCUUUUCACAGGAAUGGGCCUCUGUUGGGCCGUGCCACGUGUCGCCGUAUCAUAGGCGCCUUCGGUCCAAUGAGCGGAUGACAUCUGUCCCAACGGUGAGCCGACACGUGUUUCCUCCAGCCAAUGAUGAUUUUACACGUGGAAAAUCCCCAUUGGUCGGGGCUGUUAACGGGUUAUCGGAUCCAAAACCCGACCCGAUAGCUUGACGGCGUUCCGUUACGGUGGAUGCCACGUGUCGGUCACCCUUGACGAAAGCACUUCUGUGACGCGCGAUUUAUCGUCAUGGAAGUGGACACUUCCGUGAUGAUAAUUUUGGUAAUGUCAUGGAGCACUUCUACGACAGCACAGGUAUGACUACUUGAUUCUGUCAUAAAUUUGUCAUGGAUGUACAUGCAUGACAAAAAACGCGACAUACUAUGACAAACACGUAUCAUCACGGAAGUGUAUUUUUUUGUAGUGCUUUGAGGUGGUUUCGUACCCUACAAUAAUCUCUUCGUUUGUUCUCCGCUAUUAGUGACUUUGGAGUGACUCUUUGUUGCAUGUUGAGGGAUAGUUAUAUGAUCCAAUUAUGUUAUUAUUGUUGAGAGAACUUGCACUAGUGAAAGUAUGAACCCUAGGCCUUGUUUCAACGCAUUGCAAUACCGUUUGUGCUCACUUUUAUCAUUAGUUAUCUUGUUGUUUUUAUAUUUUCAGAUUACAAAAACCUAUAUCUACCAUCCAUAUUGGACUUGUAUCACCAUCUCUUCCCCGAACUAGUGCACCUAUACAAUUUACCAUUGUAUUGGGUGUGUUGGGGACACAAGAGACUCUUUGUUAUUUGGUUGCAGGGUUGUUUGAGAGAGACCAUAUUCAACCUACGCCUCCCAUGGAUUGAUAAACCUUAGGUCAUCCACUUGAGGGAAAUUUGCUAUUGUCCUACAAACCUCUGCACUUGGAGGCCCAACAAUGCCUGCAAGAAGAAGGUUGUGUAGUAGACAUCAAGCUCUUUUCUGGCGUCGUUGCCGCGGAGGUGAGUGCUUGAAGGUAUAUCUUUAGAUCUUGCAAUUGAAUCUUUUUGUUUCUUGUUUUAUCACUAGUUUAGUUUAUAAAAUAAAAUAAAAAAUGGAAUUGAGUUUGCCUCAUACGCUUCAUCUUUUUAAUAUCUUUCCUGAGUAUGAUGGAAAGGAAAAUUGUGCCAAAAUGUUAGAGAAAGAAUGCAUUAGAAUGUUUGGCACUAAAUCUUUGAAUGAUGAGCACGAUUGCAAUGUUGUUAGUAUGAACUCCUUGAAUAUCCAUAGUACUAAUGAUGAUUGCACUAGUCAUGAUGAAAAUAUCUCUUAUAAGCAUGUCGAUUUUUGUGGAGUGCAUAGAAUUUGCAAAUACAUACCAAAAAGGGAAGAUAGAUUUUGUAAGCAGCAUAAGUACUUAGAAACUAAAUGGUUGCAACAAAGGCUAGAUGUUUGUGCUAAAAAUUUAAAUUUUCUUGGCCGUACUUGUCAACAUUGCAAUGAAAGUGGUCAUUUAACUAUCUGAUGCAAAUUGUUUCAUGAUCUAAUCGUGUCCAAAAAUUGUGAUGACUUGAUUUCCCUUGCCCAUCAUAAUGAACUUAGUUUGCUUAUGGGUUAUGAAGAAAUGAAACGUAUAACUAACUAUCUUCCAGUAUUUGCCCAUGAUAAACUUCUUAAUUUUGAUCUAGAGGAAAUUUAUAUGUAUUGUGCGGUGAAUUGCAUUGAAAAUCCUUAUAUUGCCAAUUACAUAAAAAAAAAGAAAACAAAUAGAGGAUGAAGAGAAUACUAAUGGAAGGGAACAGACUUCCCAAUAUCCUCCUAUUAUUUCUUAUGAUGAAUUAGGUAACGAGGAGGAGCUUUCUAUUCAACCAAUCUCAUCAAUAAGGAGCUCAAAAAAGAGGGAUAAACCCGCACAUGAUGUGAAGAAGAAAAAGAAAAAACGGAGAAGCAAAGGUAAAAAGGUAUCCCUCACAAAUGAUGUUGCUCCUACUACUCAUCGUGAUGAUGAUAAUUGCUAUACUAUUGGUUCUAUCCAUACUAUUAAUGAUGAGAGUGAUUAUUCUUAUGAUAUGAAAAGGCCCAAGCUUGGGGAAGCUAUGUUUGAUGAGAAUGACACAUUUGAGAAUAUAUUUUCUGAAAUUAAUGUUCGUCCCAAGCUUGGUGAUGCUACGUUUAAUGAAGAUGUAAUUUUUAGCCUCCCAAGUUUUGAUAUGCAAAGUUGUUAUGAUGAUAGCAUGCCUUCUACCUACGAUGAUUAUAUUGAUGAAAGUGGGUUUGGAAGAGGGUCAACUUUAGGAAGUAGUGAUCCCACUAUUUUGGAGGAUGUUGAAUCUUAUAAUAUUGAUGAAAGUGGAUUUGGAGAGGUCAUGACUUUAUUUAGUGAUGAAUCCACUAUUUCGGAAGAGGUUUCGAUUGAUUAUGAUGAGAACAAAGUUGCUACUUAUGAUGAUUAUUGUGAUGAAACUUAUGCUAUAAAAAGUAGUGAUGAUUAUAUUUAUAAAACUUGUCAUGAUUAUGAUUACCCUUUUUCUGAACAUUACUCUUUUAAUGUGGAAACAAUUUAUAGUAUUCAAGUCUCUUAUGAUACUCCCACUAUUCUGAAUGAGACGAAUUUUGCUUAUGUGGAGAGUAGUAAAUUUUCUAUGCAAGUAGAUCAUGAAAAGAAUGCUUUAGGUGCUAGUUAUAUUGUUGAAUUCAUUCAUGAUGCUACUGAAAAUUAUUAUGAGGGAGGAAUAUAUGCUUGUAGGAAUUGCAAUAAUAUCAAGUUUCCUCUCUAUGUGCUUAAAGUUUUAAAGUUAUGCUUGUUUUGCCUUCCUAUGCUAGUUGAUUAUUGUUCCCCUAAGUUGUUUGCUCACAAAAUCCCUAUGCAUAGGAAGUGGGUUAGACUUAAAUGUGCUAGUCAUAAUCUUCAUGACGCUCUCUUUAGGUUUCAAUUCUUAUCUUUUAUGUGAGCAUCGUUGAAAUCAUCAUGCCUAGCUAGGGGCGUUAAUCGUUAGCGCUUGUUGGGAGGCAACCCAAUUUUAUUUUAGUUUCUUGCUUUUUGGUUCUGUUUAGGAAUAAAUAGUUCAUCUAGCCUCUAGUUAGAUGUUACUUAUGUUUUAAUUAGUGUUUGUGCCAAGUUAAACCUAUAGGAUCUUCUUGGAUAAUAGUUAUUUGAUCUCGCUGAAAAUUCCAGAAACUUUCUGUUCACGAAAACAAUUGUUAAAACUCACCAGAACGUGAUAAAAUACUUAUUCUAAUUACAGAAGAUCAAUAAACAAAUUAUUUAGGUCGUCCUAUUUUGGUAGAUUUUUCUGAGUUCCAGAAGUUUGAGUUAGUUACAAAUUACUACAGACUGUUCUGUUUUUGACAGAUUCUGUUUUUCGUGUGUUGUUUGCUUAUUUUGAUGAGUCUAUGGUUAGUAAAAUAGUUUAUAAACAAUAGAGAAGUUGGAAUAUAGUAGGUUUAAUACCAAUAUAAAUAAAUAAUGAGUUCAUUACAGUACCUUGAAGUGGUGUUUUGUUUUCCUUCGCUAACGGAGCUCACGAGAUUUUCUGUUAAGUUUUGUGUUGUGAAGUUUUCAAGUUUUGGGUAAAGAUUCGAUGGACUAUUGAAUAAGGAGUGCCAAGAGCCUAAUCUUGGGGAUGCCCAAGGCACCCCAAGGUAAUAUUCAAGGACAACCAAGAGCCUAAGCUUGGGGAUGCCCCGGAAGGCAUCCCCUCUUUCGUCUUCGUUCAUCGGUAACUUUACUUGGAGCUAUAUUUCUAUUCACCACAUGAUAUGUGUUUUGCUUGGAGCGUCAUUUUAUUUUGUUUAGUUUUUCUUGCUGUUUGAAUAAAAUACUAAGACCUGAAAUUAUUAAAUGAGAGGGAGUCUUCACAUAGCUACAUAAUUAUUUAACUACUCAUUGAUCUUCACUUAUAUCUUUUUGGAGUAGUUUGUCAUUUACUCGUGUGCUUCACUUAUAUCCUAUGAGUAAAUGGUUGAAUGAUUUGAAUGUCAUAAAUCUGAAAUUAUAUAUGUUUCAUAUGCCUUUCCCAUGGGGAGUAAUGCCUUCACAUAUAAGAAGUAGAGGUGGUAAAUUCUUUGAAGGUUAGCAAACAUUAUAUUGGUCACUUGAACAAUUCAUGAAAGAAUAUUGAAGGAAGAGAGAUUUCACAUAUAAAUAUACUAUCUUGGACAUCAUCUAUGAUUGUGAUCCCCAUUAAUUAUUUUCAAACCUGAGCAAAUUAGUUGAAGUUGGACAAGGAAGACAACAUAAUGAGUUAUGCUUGGUUAUAUUUGUAUAGAAGUUAUAUUGUUAUGGAUGUUCUGACAUGUGGUGCUUGCUAUUUAGAAUCCUUUGCUAGCCAAAAUAUCUGUACUACGCGGGAAUACUGCUUGUGCAUCCAAAAUCCUUAAACCAAGUUCCUUCCAUGAGUGUCCACCAUAUCUACCUAUAUGCGGUAUUUACCUGCCGUUCCAACUAAAUUUGCAUGUGCCAAACUCUAAACCUUCAAAUAAUAAUCUGUUUUGUUUGCCCGAAUCGCUCAUGUAGCGACUAGGGGCUGUCAGUAUCUUCCAUGCUAGGUGGGUUAUUCUCACGAUGAGUGGACUCCGCUCAUCAUUCACGAGAAAAUGGCUGGUAACUGGGAUGCCCAGUCCUAUGAUCAAUAGAUCAAAAACAAAUUCGCAAAUAAUUUAAACAAAACUCCCCUAGGAAUGUUGAUAGUUGGACGGCACCCGUUGUUUCAGACAAGCCGUGGAGUGUGAAUGUUGGUGGAGGAGGAGUAAAAACUUUACCUUUCUGCGUGGGAACCACCUAUAAUGUAUGUAGUAUGGAAGAUAUUGGGAACUCUUGGUCGUUAUGUUGACAAUGAAACCAUACCUCUCAAAAUUAUUUUCAUCUCUGUGUUAGCUUCGAGCUCUGGCACCUCUGCAAAUCCCUGCUUCCCUCUGCGAAGGGUCUAUCUUUUACUUUUAUGCAAGAGUUAGUAGUAUUCCUUCUCAUUCCAACCUACUCUUUAGUUGGCAAGCAUCAUGUGAUGGAAAGAUCUAAGCAUAUAUGGCAAUUCAAAUAUAUUUGAGCAUGAAUUAUUACUGUUGACAUUACCCUUGAGGUAAAAGGUUGGGAGGCGAAACAUUAAGCCCCUAUCUUUCUCUGUGUUCCAUGAAUACUAUUUGUUCUAAAAAUAUGCUUUGAGUGGUAGCAAUCAUGGAAGACUAUAUGAUAGUUGAGUAUGUGGGAUUUGCUAAAUCAAAGCUCUGACAUAGACUCUUCCUGAAAAUAAGAUGAAUUGUAAUUGUUUGAUGACUAAUAACACAGUUUGUUAGUUUUCAAGAAAGUUUAUGAUCUAUACUUUAACAUGUGAAUAGCUUGUUACUUGAUCAUGAAAAAUUCUAUGAGUUGAGCUACUGUUAUGACAUAUAAUGAUGCUAUAAAAGGUGAUUGAAAUUAUCAUUGAUCAAACUUAUGCACCUGCUAGCAUUCACACUUCAUAAAUUAUUUCUUUUAUCAUUUACCUACUCGAGGACGAGCAGGAAUUAAGCUUGGGGAUGCUGAUACGUCUUGAACGUAUCUAUAAUUUAUGAAGUAUUCAUGCUAUUAUAUUAUCCAUCUCGGAUGUUUAAUGGGCUUUACUAUGCAAUUUUAUAUUACUUUUGGGACUAACCUAUUGACCCAGAGCCCAGUGCCAGUUUCUGUUUUUCCCUUGUUUCAGUGUUUCGCAGAAAAGGAAUAUCAAACGGAGUCCAAAUGGAAUGAAACCUUCGGAAAAGUUAUUUUUGGAAAGAAAGCAAUACGGGAGACUUGGAGUGCACGUCAGGGGAUCAACGAGGAGAGCACGAGGCAGGGGGGCGCGCCCACCCCCUGGGCGCGCCCUCCACCCUCGUGGGCCCCUCGUGGCUCCCCUUACCGACUACUUUUGCCUAUAUAUUUCCCAUGUACCCUAAAACCUUCUAGGAACAGAAUAGAUCGGGAGUUCUGGUGCCACAAGCCUCUGUAGCCACCAAAAACCAAUCGAGACUCUGUUCCGGCACCCUGCCGGAGGGGGAUCCCUCACCGGUGGCCAUCUUCGUCAUCCCGGCGCUUUCCAUGACGAGGAGGGAGUAGUUCACCCUCGGGGCUGAGGGUAUGUACCAAUAGCUAUGUGUUUGAUCUCUCUCUCUCUCAUGUUCUUGAGGUGGUACGAUCUUGAUGUAUCGCGAGCUUUGCUAUUAUAGUUGGAUCUUAUGAUGUUUCUCCCCCUCUACUCUCUUGUGAUGAAUUGAGUUUUCCCCUUGAAGUUGUAUUGUCGGAUUGGGUCUUUAAGGAUUUGAGAACACUUGAUGUAUGUCUUUCCGUGCGUAUCUCUGGUGACAAUGGGAUAUCACGUGAUUCACUUGAUGCAUGUUUUGGUGAUCAACUUGCGGGUUUCGCCCAUGAACCUAUGCAUAGGGGUUGGCACACGUUUUCAUCUUGACUCUCCGGUAGAAACUUUGGGGCACUCUUUGAAGUUCUUUGUGUUGGUUGAAUAGAUGAAUCUGAGAUUGUGUGAUGCAUAUCGUAUAAUCAUACCCACGGAUACUUGAGGUGACAUUGGAGUAUCUAGGUGACAUUAGGGUUUUGGUUGAUUUGUAUCUUAAGGUGUUAUUCUAGUACGAACUCUAUGAUAGAUCGAACGGAAAGAAUAGCUUCGUGUUAUCUUACUACGGACUCUUGAAUAGAUCGAUCAGAAAGGAUAACUUUGAGGUGGUUUCGUACCCUACAAUAAUCUCUCCGUUUGUUCUCCGCUAUUAGUGACUUUGGAGUGACUCUUUGUUGCAUGUUGAGGGAUAGUUAUAUGAUUCAAUUAUGUUAUUAUUGUUGAGAGAACUUGCACUAGUGAAAGUAUGAACCCUAGGCCUUGUUUCAACACAUUGCAAUACCGUUUGUGCUCACUUUUAUCAUUAGUUAUCUUGCUGUUUUUAUAUUUUCAGAUUACAAAAACCUAUAUCUACCAUCCAUAUUGCACUUGUAUCACCAUCUCUUCACCGAACUAGUGCACCUAUACAAUUUACCAUUGUAUUGGGUGUGUUCGGGUUGCAGGGUUGUUUGAGAGAGACCAUCUUCAACCUACGCCUCCCACGGAUUGAUAAACCUUAGGUCAUCCACUUGAGGGAAAUUUGCUACUGUCCUACAAACCUCUGCACUUGGAGGCCCAACAACGUCUACAAGAAGAAGGUUGUGUAGUAGACAUCAUUGUACAAGAGGCCAAUGCGGGCGAUGUCGAAGUCGAUCAGCUCAGUGCGAUAGUUGUCGCGGGUGCCGAAGGCCACGGGAAGACGAAUCUUCCCCAGGGGGCUGGAGGAGCCGCCGCCGACCCCGGAGAAGGGCUUGCUGGGGCGGAGCCGCUCGAGCGGUAUGUGAAGGAGGUUAAAAGCCUCCACGGAGAGAACGUUGAGGCUGGCGCCACCGUUGAUGAGGGUCUUGGUGACGGCUACGCUGCAGAUGGUGAGGGUGCAAAGCAUUGGGAGCACGCCCAAGCGGACAGUGGUGAUAGGAUGAUCCCCCGAGUCGAAGGUCAUGUCGGCCUUGGGCGCCGCCCAACCCGGGGGAGCCCCCUGCCGCGCGGAGGCGGCGCCGAUCUAGCGAAAGAACGACUUGGUGUGACGGUCCGAGGGCGACGCUUGCGAGCCGCCGAGGAGGGCCGCGAUAGCGAGGGGUGCCGGUCCCACGAAGCGCUCAGUGAAGAGAUUGUGCAGCUCCUCCCAAGAUGCCACCGGGGAUCCUGGGAGGUUGAGCAGUCAGGCGCAUGGUGAACCAGUGAGGGCCAUGGGAAGCCAGUUGGCCAUGACCUUGUCGUCGCCCCCAGCCUUCAGGGCGACCUCUUCAUAUGCCAGCAGGAAGGCCGACGGGUCUGCCACGUCGUCAUAAUGCGGCGGCAUCACUGGCUUGAACUUGGGUGGCCACUGCACCUGCCACAAAGCGGGGACUAAGGCUCGGAGCACCCUGGCCCCGCCAUGGGCAUCUGUCAUUGCAGCCGGAAGAGCGACGCCGGGCAUGGGGGCAAGGUGCGCUGAUGGCGGAGCGUGGAUCGAUGGAAGGAAGGCUUCGGCGCACCCCUACCUGGCGCACCAAAUGUCGGAUUUCGGGUUCCGGCAAAACCCUUGAGGUUCGAACACUGGGUGCGCACGAAGAUCUCUCCUCCCUCUGGCACUCACCCUCACCACGAUCUCAAGGCUUGGCGCGUCGAACUCGCAGAACAAAGGGACACACGAUUUAUACUGGUUUGGGCCACUAAUGUGGCGUAAUACCCUACUCAAGUGUGGUGUGGUGGGUUGCCUCUCGAGCUGAGGAUGAAUAGUUACAAGGGAAGAACAGCCUCCUGAGGAGAGGUGCUCUUGUGCUCGGUGGGUUUGUGAGUUGGCCUUGGUGGAGUGGAUCCAAUCCAAGAUGAGAUGCCUCCUAUGGUGGUGGCUAGUCCUAUUUAUAGAGGCCCUGGUCCUCUUCCCAAAUAUUAGGCAGGAAGGGAUCCCACAAUGGCCAAUUUGAAGGGAGACAACUAGUACAAGUUAUCCUGACUAAAGGUGGUCUUUGCCUGCCAAAGGCUCUGGUGGUGACGCCGUCUUGGGCUCCACGGUGACCUCCAUCCUACUGUCCUAUGGGUCUUGGUCUUGUUGCACCGAUAUGGAAACCUUUGCCUCAUGCCUCGGGACUCCUCGCCUGCGCUUGCCUCUUUAGCACCAAAGAGGAAAGGAGGACACUACGCGCGCUGGCGCCGGCCUGGCCACGGUCGUCAUGGCUUAUGUCACAGGAACCUCGCGAGGUGCCCCUUGCCUUGAUCUCUCCUCUCCUCGCGAACCAGCCUGGUCAGGCCACUCCUGAGGAGGUCUUGUGUCGUCCGCCUCGCGAGUCUUGGCCCCUCACGAGGGUCUUGAGUGUUUGCUGGUGAAGAUGGGCCGUACAGGGCCGCUGGUGGAGCCACGCCGUGGGCCGCAGGAAGGCAAGUCUGGGGACCCCCGUUCCCAGGACGCCGACACAUACCUAGUUCAAUCUCGUUAUUGGCAAGUCUGUUUACUCGUCCCCAUAAUACAAGAUCUCGUGACUAAACUCAUUAGUCACCUGAAGCUCCUUGUCAUGUUGUAUUACCGAGUGGGCCCAGAGAUAUCUCUCCAUCAUACGGAAUGACAAAUCCCAGUUUCGGUCCAUGCAACCCAACAGAGACCAUUGGAGAUACCUGUAGAGCACCUUUAUGAUCACCCAGUUAUGAAGUGGCAUUUGAUAGCACACAAGGCAUUCCUCCGAUAUCUGGGAGUAGCAUGAUCUCAUGGUCGAAGGAACAGAUACUUGACAUGUAGAAUGCUAUAUAGUAAAACUAAGUGAUACGAUCUUAUGCUAAGCGUAUAAUUGGUUCUUGUCCAUCACAUCAUCUCCUAGUGGUGUGAUCCUGUAUCAAAUGGUAACUCAUGUCUAUGGUUAGGAAACCAUAACCAUCUUUGAUCAAUGAGCUAGUCUAGUAGAGGCUUACUAGGGACAAGGUGUAGUUUAUGUAUUCACACAUGUAUUUAAGUUUCCGGUUAAUAUAAUUCUAGCAUGAAUAAUAAACAUUUAUCAUGAAUGGGAAAUAUGAUAAUAACCAAUUUAUUAUUGCCUCUAGGGCAUAGUUCCAACAAUAUGGGCAACCAAUGUCGGUGCUAAAACCAGCGGAUCUCGGGUAGGGUGUCCCGAGCUGUACGUCUAGGAACAAUGGUAACAGAGAAAGAAAGGGGACAAUGUUUACUCAGGUUCGGGCCCUCUCUAAGAGGUAAACCCUACAUCUUGCUUUGAUUAUAUUGAUGUGAUGGAGUAUCGAGUACAAGAUGAUCUACCCCGAUAUCCUAUGAUUGUGUUCUAAGCCCUAAGCCUGUUAAUCGUGUCCCUAAAGACUAAACUCCUUGGCUUAUAUAUGCAUCGGGGGUACCUAGGUUACACACAUGGUCGGUUGUCAAUUAGUUGGCUAUAGAGCAAUCCUUGAAGUGCAUGCCAAGUCUCCGGAGGUUUCCAUCUUGAUCCCGCUGAGGUUCGUAGCUUAAGUACUCCUUCCUUUUAGUGAUCGGCGGGCUAUAAGCCCGACCCAUGGACCGCGGGCCUUAGGUUAGUACCCCUUAGUAUAGGACAACGUCACCCCCAAGUUGUUGGCAUACUAACGGCUUUGGCACCUUCUCAAUUCUCCAUCCGAAGAGAAAGUCAAUACUUACACCUAAAUUAUCACAGCCUCUCGCCUCGCCUCGUAAUUACCCAUAACUACCAUGAAUGUUUACGCUCUAAUAGGUCACACGUUGAAGAAAAACUACCUAUGUGAGCUCUCACCUCUUCCUCUCCACAUUCAAACUCGCACUAAAUCAUAAUGGGUGAUUUCAACAUUAUUAUAUAGGCUUUUGAUAAUAAGCAUGCCUCCUUCCAUAUAAAUGAGCCGACGCGUUUAACAUCACCAUAAAUAAUCUUGCUCUAAUUGAACUUCCCCUUCUAGACAGAUGGUUUACUGGUCGAACAAACGUGACCAACUAACACUAGUGAGAAUGGAUUGUGGAUUCAUAAGCCUAGCAUGGGAUAAAGUUUUCCCAAAGAUUUCCUCGUGAAUUUGUUUUUUCUCUGGCCAUGUGUCACUUCUAACGUCUGUUGGCACACUGGUCCCCCAUCCUAUGCUUUUUGAUUUGGAAACAGUUCAUCUUCCCACCCAUCCUAUGGAUGACUAUCCUACAAUCCUAACUCUCGACCCAGAUAAGUUCAAACUAAGUCCUCUCGCUGGUUGUCGCACUUAAAUGAACCCCAAUCCAUUGUACAACAUUGGAGUAUGAAGAGCAGCAUUUCAACUGUAACCUUGAACUAUCGCUUAAAAAGUCCUUAUUAGGGUUUUCUAGUGUACGGUCAAGUAAAUGUUCAUUUAUUGGUGCAACACGACAAAGUAUAAGCUGCACUUGAUGGAGAUGAAACCGCUCGCUAUGUUCACACCCUUGUGCCUAUCCAUCUCCGCCAUAACAAAUUCACCACUCUUAUUCAUAAAUGGUCAGGAAUUUGCCCUGCAUGUCUCUAAAGAUAAAAUUGUAUCGGAUUUGUACUCCUCCGUGCUUGGAUUUACCUUCAAGCCAACUUGAAAAUUCUCCCACCUUGACCUUUACCCUUCCUAGCCCCCCCCCAAGUUGGUGGCAUCCUAAGGACCUUAGCACUUUCUCAAUUUUCCAUCCUAAGAGGAAGUCAUUGCUUAAACAUAAACAUCCACGAUCUCUUGCCUCGCCUCAGAAUUACUCAUAAAUAUUGCAAACAUUCACACUCCAGCGAAUCACGUGCUAAAGGAAAACUUCCCAUAUGAACUCUCUCCUCUAUCUCUCCACAUCCAAACUCGCACUAAAUUAUAAUGGAAAUUUCAACAUUACGAGAUAGCCCUUUGAUAAUAACAACGGCCCUUCCAUCCAACAAGUGAACUUGUUUAACAACACCAUAAUAAUCUUGAUGUAAUUGAACUUCCCCUUUCGGAGAAAAGGUUUCCGUGGUCGAACAAACAUGACCAACCAACCUACUGAGAACUAAUUGCAUCGUUAUCAAUGUUUUCCUAACCUUGCAUAAACUUUUUUGAAAGGUCCAGUUUCCAUUGGCUCUUCAUUGAUUUAGCAGAAGGGAGGUUACAAAAAGAUGAUUAAGUGAUCGAUACAUAGAGGCAUGGGGGCGAUCCCUCCCUAAUGUGUUAUAUAUAGAACGAUCUCUCACACAAUUUCCCCAAAGGAUAUCUAUAUGCUCUUUGACCCAUCUAGUCUUCAUUGUUCCAUGUCUCCUCGGCAUUCAACUAUCACGUCAUUGAUGCUCGGAUACUUCCAUCUAAAGGUGCAGCUGUUGCGCUCUUGCCAGAUCUGCCAAGCCACUAGGGCAGCCAUGGUUUUGAUGCCCUUUCUUGAACUGGUCGGAGAGGCGGCAAUGAUGUCCCUGAUCACCUUUGUCAUGGUUCUACUGUUGGGGAACGUAAUAAUUUCAAAAAAAUUCCUACGCACACGCAAGAUCAUGGUGAUGCAUAGCAACGAGAGGGAAGAGUGUUGUCCACGUACCCUCGUAGACCGACAGCGGAAGCGUUAUCACAACGCGGUUGAUGUAGUCGUACGUCUUCACGAUCCGACCGAUCAAGUACCGAACGCACGGCACCUCCGAGUUCUACACACGUUCAGCUCGAUGACAUCCCUCGAACUCCGAUCCAGCCGAGUGUUGAGGGAGAGUUUCGUCAGCACGACGGCGUGGUGACGAUGAUGAUGUUCCACCAACGCAGGGCUUCGCCUAAGCUCCGCAACGGUAUUAUCGAGGUGUAAUAUGGUGGAGGGGGGCGCCGCACACGGCUAAGAGAUCUCAAGGAUCAAUUGUUGUGUCUAUGGGGUGCCCCCUGCCCCCGUAUAUAAAGGAGCAAGGGAGGAGGAGGCCGGCCCUAGGAGGGGGCGCACCAAGUGUGGAGUCCUACUAGGACUCCCUAGUCCUAGUAGGAUUCCACCUCCCAUAUGGAAUAGGAAAAGAGGAAGGGAAAAGGAGAAGGAAGGAAGGGGGCACCCCCCUUCCCUAGUCCAAUUCGUACCAGACCAAGGGGAGGGGUGCGGCCACCCUUGAGGCCCUUUUCCUUCUUUCCCGUAUGGCCCAAUAAGGCCCAAUACGUAUUCCCGUAACUCUUCGGUACUCCGAAAAAUACCCGAAUCACUCGGAACCUUUCCGAAGUCCGAAUAUAGUCGUCCAAUAUGUCGAUCUUUAUGUCUCGACCAUUUCGAGACUCCUCGUCAUGUCCCCGAUCUCAUCCGGGACUCCGAACUCCUUCGGUACAUCAACAUACAUAAACUCAUAAUAAAACUGUCAUCGUAACUUUAAGCGUGCGGACCCUACGGGUUCGAGAACUAUGUAGACAUGACCGAGACACGUCUCCGGUCAAUAACCAAUAGCGGGACCUGGAUGCCCAUAUUGGCUCCCACAUAUUCUACGAAGAUCUUUAUCGGUCAGCCCGCAUAACAAUAUACGUUGUUCCCUUUGUCAUCGGUAUGUUACUUGCCCGAGAUUUGAUCGUCGGUAUCUCGAUACCUAGUUCAAUCUCGUUACCGGCAAGUCUCUUUACUCGUUCCGUAACACAUCAUCCCGCAACUAACUCAUUAGUCACAAUGCUUGCAAGGCUUAUAGUGAUGUGCAUUACCGAGUGGGCCCAGAGAUACCUCUCCGACAAUUGGAGUGACAAAUCCUAAUCUCGAAAUACGCCAACCCAACAAGUACCUUUGGAGACACCUGUAGAGCACCUUUAUAAUCACCCAUUUACGUUGUGACGUUUGGUAGCACACAAAGUGUUCCUCCAGUAAACGGGAGUUGCAUAAUCUCAUAGUCAGAGGAACAUGUAUAAGUCAUGAAGAAAGCAAUAGCAACAUACUAAACGAUCGGGUGCUAAGCUAACUGAAUGGGUCAAGUCAAUCACGUUAUUCUCCUAAUGAGGUGAUCUCGUUAAUCAAAUGACAACUUAUGUCUAUGGCUAGGAAACAUAACCAUCUUUGAUUAAUGAGCUAGUCAAGUAGAGGCAUACUAGUGACACUCUAUUUGUCUAUAUAUUCACACAUGUAUUAUGUUUCCGGUUAAUACAAUUCUAGCAUGAAUAAUAAACAUUUAUCAUGAUACAAGGAAAUAAAUAAUACUUUAUUAUUGCCUCUAGGGCAUAUUUCUUUCAGUCUCCCACUUGCACUAGAGUCAAUAAUCUAGUUCACAUCGCCAUGUGAUUUAACAUCAAUAGUUCACAUCACCAUGUGAUUAACACCCAUAGUUCACAUCGUCAUGUGAUCAACACCCAAAGGGUUUACUAGAGUCAGUAAUCUAGUUCACAUCGCUAUGUGAUUAACACCCAAAGAGUACUAAGGUGUGAUCAUGUUUUGCUUGUGAGAUAAUUUUAGUCAACGGGUCUGUCACAUUCAGAUCCGUAAGUAUUUUGCAAAUUUCUAUGUCUACAAUGCUCUGUACGGAGCUACUCUAGCUAAUUGCUCCCACUUUCAAUAUGUAUCUAGACCGAGACUUAGAUUCAUCUAGAUUUAGUGUCAAAACUUGGAUCGACGUAACCCUUUACGACGAACCUUUUGUCACUUCCAUAAUCGAGAAACAUUUCCUUAUUCCACUAAGGAUAAUUUUGACCGCUGUCCAGUGAUCUACUCCUAGAUCACUAUUGUACUCCCUUGCCAAAAUUAGUGUAGGGUAUACAAUAGAUUUGGUACACAGCAUGGCAUACUUUAUAGAACCUAUGGCCAUAGCAUAGGGAAUGACUUUCAUUCUCGUUCUAUCUUCUGCCGUGGUCGGGCUUUGAGUCUUACUCAAUUUCAUACCUUGUAACACAGUCAAGAACUUCUUUCUUUGACUGUUGUAUUUUGAACUACUUCAAAAUCUUAUUAAGGUAUGUACUCAUUGAAAAAACUUAUCAAGCGUCUUGAUCUAUCUCUAUAGAUCUUGAUGCUCAAUAUGUAAGCAGCUUCACCGAGGUCUUUCUUUUGAAAAACUCCUUUCAAACACUCCUUUAUGCUUUGCAAAAUAAUUCUACAUUAUUUCCGAUCAACAAUAUGUCAUUCACAUAUACUUAUCAGAAAUGCUAUAGUGCUCCCACUCACUUUCCUGUAAAUACAGGCUUCACCGCAGGUCUGUAUAAAACUAUAUCCUUUGAUCAACUUAUCAAAGCGUAUAUUCCAACUCCGAGAUGCUUGCACCAGUCCAUAGAUGGAUCGCUGGAGCUUGCAUAUUUUGUUAGCACUUUUAGGAUUGACAAAACCUCCUAGUUGCAUCAUAUACAACUCUUCUUUAAUAAAUCCAUUAAGGAAUGCAGUUUUGUUUAUCCAUUUGCCAGAUUUCAUAAAAUGCGGCAAUUGCUAACAUGAUUCAAACAGACUUAAGCAUAGAUAUGAGUGAGAAACUCUCAUCGUAGUCAACACUUUGAACUUGUCGAAAACCUUUUUGCGACAAUUCUAGCUUUGUAGAUAGUAACACUACUAUCAGCGUCUGUCUUCCUCUUGAAGAUCCAUUUAUUUUUUAUUGCUUGCCGAUCAUCGGGCAAGUCAACCAAAGUCCACACUUUGUUCUCAUAUAUGGAUCUUAUCUCAGAUUUCAUGGCCUCAAGCCAUUUCGUGGAAUCUGGGCUCACCAUCGCUUCUUCAUAGUUCGUAGGUUCGUCAUGGUCUAGUAACAUAACCUCCAGAACAGGAUUACCGUACCACUCUGGUGCAGAUCUUACUUUGGUUUACCUACGAGGUUUGGUAGUAACUUGAUCUGAAGUUACAUGAUCAUCAUCAUUAACUUCCUCACUAAUUGGCGUAGAAGUCACAGGAACAGAUUUCUGUGAUGAACUACUUUCCAAUAAGGGAGCAGGUACAUUUACCUCAUCAAGUUUUACUUUCCUCCCACUCACUUCUUUCGAGAGAAACUCCUUCUCUAGAAAGGAUCCAUACUAAGCAACGAAUGUCUUGCCUUCGGAUCUGUGAUAGAAGGUGUACCCAACUGUCUCCUUUGGGUAUCCUAUGAAGACACAUUUCUCCGAUUUGGGUUUGAGCUUAUCAGGAUGAAACUUUUUCACAUAAGCAUCGCAACCCCAAACUUUAAGAAACGACAACUUUGGUUUCUUGCCAAACCACAGUUCAUAAGGUGUCGUCUCAACGGAUUUUGAUGGUGCCCUAUUUAACGUGAAUGCAGCUGUCUCUAAUGCAUAACCCCAAAAACGAUAGUGGUAGAUCGGUAAGAGACAUCAUAUAUCGCACCAUAUCUAAUAAAGUACGGUUAUGACGUUCGGACACACCAUUACACUGUGGUGUUCCAGGUGGCGUGAGUAGUGAAACUAUUUCACAUUGUUUUAACUGAAGGCCAAACUCGUAACUCAAAUAUUUUACCUCUGCGAUCAUAUCGUAGAAACUUUUAUUUUCUUGUUACGAUGAUUCUCCACUUCACUCUGAAAUUCUUUGAACUUUUCAAAUGUUUCAGACUUUGUGUUUCAUCAAGUAGAUAUACCCAUAUCUGCUCAAAUCAUCUGUGAAGGUCAGAAAAUAAUGAUACCUGCUACGAGCCUCAAUAUUCAUCGGACCACAUACAUCUGUAUGUAUGAUUUCCAACAAAUCUGUUGCUCUCUCCAUAGUUCCGGAGAACGGCGUUUUAGUCAUCUUGCCCAUGAGGCACGGUUCGCAAGCAUCAAGUGAUUCAUAAUCAAGUGAUUCCAAAAUCCCAUCAGUAUGGAGUUUCUUCAUGCGCUUUACACCAAUAUGACCUAAACGGCAGUACCACAAAUAAGUUGCACUAUCAUUAUUAACUUUGCAUCUUUUGGCUUCAAUAUUAUGAAUAUGUGUAUCACUACGAUCGAGAUCCAACAAACCAUUUUCGUUGGUGUGUAUGACCAUAAAGGUUUUAUUCAUGUAAACAGAACAACAAUUGUUCUCUAACUUAAAUGAAUAACCGUAUUGCAAUAAACAUGGUCAGAUCAUAUUCAUGCUCAACGCAAACACCAAAUAACACUUAUUUAGUUUCAACACUAAUCCCGAAAGUACAGGGAGUGUGCGAUGAUGAUCUUAUCAAUCUUGGAACUACUUCCAACACACAUCGUCAACUCGCCUUUUACUAGUCUCUGUUUAUUCUGCAACUCCCGUUUUCGAGUUACUACUCUUUAGCAACUGAACCAGUAUCAAUUACCGAGGGGUUGCUAUAAACACUAGUAAAGUACACAUCAAUAAUCUGUAUAUCAAAUAUACCUUUGUUCAGUUUUACUAGUCUCUGUUUAUUCUGCAACUCCCGUUUCGAGUUACUACUCUUAGCAACUGAACCAGUAUCAAUUACCGAGGGAUUGCUAUAAACCCUAGUAAAGUACACAUCAAUAAUCUGUAUAUCAAAUAUACCUUUGUUCACUUUCCCAUCCUUCUUAUCCACCAAAUAGUUGGGGUAGUUCCGCUUCCAGUGACCAGUCCCUUUGCAGUAGAAGCACUUAGUCUCAGGCUUAGGACCAGACUUAGGCUUCUUCACUUGAGCAGCAACUUGCUUGCCGUUCUUUUUGAAGUUCCCCUUCUUCCCUUUACCCUUUUCUUGAAACUAGUGGUCUCGUCAACUAUCAACACUUGAUGUUUUUCUUGAUUUCUACCUUCGUCGAUUUCAGCAUCACGAAGAGCUCGGGAAUUACUUUCAUCAUCCCUUGCAUACUAUAGUUCAUCACGAAGUUCUACUAACUUGGUGAUGGUGACUAGAGAAUUCUGUUAAUCACUAUUUUAUCUGGAAGAUAAACUCCCACUUGAUUCAAGCGAUUGUAGUACCCAGACAAUCUGAGCACAUGCUCACUAGUUGAGCGAUUCUCCUCCAUCUUUUAGCUAUAGAACUUGUUGGAGAUUUCAUAUCUCUCAACUCGGGUAUUUGCUUGAAAUAUUAACUUCAACUCCUGGAACAUCUCAUAUGGUCCAUGACGUUCAAUACGUCUUUGAAGUCCCGAUUCUAAUCCGUUAAGCAUGGUGCACUAAACUAUCAAGUAGUCAUCAUAUUGAGCUAGCCAAACGUUCAUAACGUCUGCAUCUGCUCCUGCAAUAGGUUUGUCACCUAGCGGUGCAUUAAGGACAUAGUUCUUCUGUGCAGCAAUGAGGAUAAUCCUCAGAUCACGGAUCCAAUCCGCAUCUUUGCUACUAACAUCUUUCAACAUAAUUUUUCUCUAGGAACAUAAAAUAAACACAGGGAAGCAACAACGCGAGCCAUUGAUCUACAACAUAAUUUGCAAAAUACUAUCAGGACUAAGUUCAUGAUAAAUUUAAGUUCAAUUAAUCAUAUUACUUAAGAACUCCCACUUAGAUAGACAUCUCUCUAAUCAUCUAAGUGAUUACGUUAUCCAAAGGAACUAAACCAUGUCCGAUUAACACGUGAGAUGGAGUAGUUUCAAUGGUGAACAUCACUAUGUUGAUCAUAUCUACUAUAUGAUUCACGCUCGACCUUUCGGUCUCUGUGUUCCGAGGCCAUAUCUGUAUAUGCUAGGCUCGUCAAGUUUAACCUGAGUAUUCCGCGUGUGCAACUGUUUUGCACCCGUUGUAUUUGAACGUAGAGCCUAUCACACCCGAUUAACACGUGGUGUCUCAGCACGAAGAACUUUUGCAACGGUGCAUACUCAGGGAGAACACUUUUAUCUUGAAAUUUUAGUGAGAGAUCAUCUUAUAAUGCUACCGUCAAUCAAAGCAAGAUAAGAUGCAUAAAGGAUUAACAUCACAUGCAAUCAAUAUAAGUGAUAUGAUAUGGCCAUCAUCAUCUUGUGCUUGUGAUCUCCAUCUCCGAAGCACCGUGCUUGUGAUCUCCAUCUCCGAAGCACCGUCAUGAUCACCAUCGUCACCGGCGCGACACCUUGAUCUCCAUCGUAGCAUCGUUGUCGUCUCGCCAACUUAUUGCUUUUACGACUAUCGCUACCGCUUAGUGAUAAAGUAAAACUAUUACAUGGCGAUUGUAUCUCAUACAAUAAAGCGACAACCAUAUGGCUCCUGCCAGUUGCCGAUAACUCGGUUACAAAACAUGAUCAUCUCAUACAACACAUUAUAUCACAUCAUGUCUUGACCAUAUCACAUCACAACAUGCCCUGCAAAAACAAGUUAGACGUCCUCUACUUUGUUGUUGCAAGUUUUACGUGGCUGCUACGGGCUUAGCAAGAACCGUUCUUACCUACGCAUCAAAACCACAACGAUAGUUUGUCAAGUUAGUGCUGUUUUAACCUUCGCAAGGACCGGGCGUAGCCACACUCGGUUCAACUAAAGUGAGAGAGACAGACACCCGCCAGUCACCUUUAAGCAACGAGUGCUCCGAACGGUGAAACCUGUCUCGCGUAAGCGUACGCGUAAUGUCGGUCCGGGCCGCUUCAUCUCACAAUACCGCUGAACCAAAGUAUGACAUGCUGGUAAGCAGUAUGACUUAUAUCGCCCACAACUCACUUGUGUUCUACUCGUGCAUAGCAUCAACGCAUAAAACCAGGCUCUGAUACCACUGUUGGGGAACGUAGUAAUUUCAAAAAAAUUCCUACGCACACGCAAGAUCAUGGUGAUGCAUAGCAACGAGAGGGAAGAGUGUUGUCCACGUACCCUCGUAGACCGACAGCGGAAGCGUUAUCACAACGCAGUUGAUGUAGUCGUACGUCUUCACGAUCCGACCGAUCAAGUACCGAACGCACGGCACCUCCGAGUUCUACACACGUUCAGCUCGAUGACAUCCCUCGAACUCCGAUCCAGCCGAGUGUUGAGGGAGAGUUUCGUCAGCACGACGGCGUGGUGACGAUGAUGAUGUUCCACCGACGCAGGGCUUCGCCUAAGCUCCGCAACGGUAUUAUCGAGGUGUAAUAUGGUGGAGGGGGGCGCCGCACACGGCUAAGAGAUCUCAAGUAUCAAUUGUUGUGUCUAUGGGGUGCCCCCUGCCCCCGUAUAUAAAGGAGCAAGGGAGGAGGAGGCCGGCCCUAGGAGGGGGCGCACCAAGUGUGGAGUCCUACUAGGACUCCCUAGUCCUAGUAGGAUUCCACCUCCCAUAUGGAAUAGGAAAAGAGGAAGGGAAAAGGAGAAGGAAGGAAGGGGGCACCCCCCUUCCCUAGUCCAAUUCGGACCAGACCAAGGGGAGGGGUGCGGCCACCCUUGAGGCCCUUUUCCUUCUUUCCCGUAUGGCCCAAUAAGGCCCAAUACGUAUUCCCGUAACUCUUCGGUACUCCGAAAAAUACCCCAAUCACGUCAUUCUCCUAAUGAGGUGAUCUCGUUAAUCAAAUGACAACUUAUGUCUAUGGCUAGGAAACAUAACCAUCUUUGAUUAAUGAGCUAGUCAAGUAGAGGCAUACUAGUGACACUCUGUUUGUCUAUAUAUUCACAAAUGUAUUAUGUUUCCGGUUAAUACAAUUCUAGCAUGAAUAAUAAAAAUUUAUCAUGAUACAAGGAAAUAAAUAAUACUUUAUUAUUGCCUCUAGGGCAUAUUUCCUUCAUCUACACUGCCCCAGUUGAUCUGAGAGAGCGCACUAAAAACAUUCCAUGAUGCCAACAUUGACUAGAUCAUCUUCUAGAUUGAGCACUCCCACAGUAGAUGGUAGGAGGUCUUUGGGUUUCUAUUGUAGAGCUGGCAGAAAUAACUGUUCUCCCAGCACCUCCUCUGCAGCCAAUCAUUGCACAAGAUCUGGUUGUGAUGGAGAAGCAAGAAGAAGAACUUGAUUUUCCUCAGUGCCCAAAUCUUCCAAACCAGCUGCAUGAGCGAGCCUCGUGGUUGGCCUUCGAACUGUAUGUUGUACGCCAUCUUUGCCGUGUACUUGCCGCCCAUCCUCGAGAUUAUCCCGUCCUCUGCUUCUAGCUUCACGUAUGGAGUGCAAGAGCAACAUGAACUGUGGGAUGAUCUCAUUGAUGUUUCCAUGUCUCGGGUAAAGGAUACAUGUAUCUUCAUGUACUGCUUCUGCUAUUGCGCGGUUCUUCCUGGAGGAGUGAUUGUACAACACUGGGAAUCUUUGUGACAGCGGUUGGUCGCAGAGCCUAGUCUAGUUCCAGAAGGAUGCUUUUCUACCGUUUCUAACAAUCACCUUGGUCGCAAAGGUGAACAACGCCCAAUAUUUGUCAUCGCAGGUUGUGCUUGUAUCCACCCACGGUUUGUCGGGAUGUUUCCAGGCCAUCCGUAACCACCGAAGACGGAGGGCACAUGUGCUACUUGUGAGCUACGUUGGGUCUUCCCCAAAGAGGAGGGGAUGAUGCAGUACAAUAUAGCUAAGUAUUUCCCUCAAUUAAGAACCACGGUUAUCAAUCCAGUACGAGAAUCACGCAACACCUCGUUAGUAGUACAUGCACACAAAAUAAUGAAUACUUGCACCCAAUGCGAACAAGGGGUUGUCAAUCCCUUGACGCAAGACUAAUUUUUGUAGUGAUAGAUAGAUAGAUAAAACACAAAAUAAAACAAAUAAAUAAAAAAUUGCAGCAGGGUAUUUUUGGAUUUUAAUAUAUGAUAAAAUUAGACCUGGGGGCCAUAGUUAUCACUAGAGGCUUCUCUCUUGUAAUAGCAUACGGUGGGUAAACAAAUUACUGUUGGGCAAUUGAUAGAAAAGCAAAUAAUCAUGACGAUAUCCAAGUCAAUGAUCAUGUAUAUAGGCAUCAUGUACAAGACAAGUAGACCGAAACAAUUUUGUAUCUACUACUAUUACUCCACACAUCGACCGCUAUCCAGCAUGCAUCUAGAGUAUUAAGUUCAUAAAGAACGGAGUAAUGCCUUAAGCAAGAUGACAUGAUGUAGACAAAGUAAACUCACGCACGAAUAAACCCCAUCAUUUUAUCCUUAAUGGCAACAAUACAAAUACGUGUCAUGUCCCCUUCUGUCAUUGGGAUUGAGCGCCACAAGAUCGAAUCCAUCACAAAGGACUUCUCCCAUUGCAAGAAAAAUCAAUCUAGUUGGCCAAACCAAAUCAAUAGAUCGGAGAGAAAUACAAAGCUAUAAUAAUCAUGCAUAAAAUAAUUCAAAGAAGACUCAAAUAAUAUUCAUGGAUAAUCUGAUCAUAAACUCACAAUUCAUCGGAUCCCAACAAACACACCGCAAAAAGUGAUUAUAUCGAAUAGAACUCCAAGAACAUCAAGCAGAACAUUGUACUGAACAUAAGAGAGAGAGAGAGAGAGAGAGAGAGAGAGAUAGCCAACCCGAAGGUCUGUGGUAAACUACUCACACAUCAUCGGAAGGGUAUCAAGGUCGAUGUAGAACCCCUUCGUGAUUGAUUACCCCUACGGUGGAGUGCCAGCAGAGGCCUCCAGAUGGGAUCUUGCAAGAACAGGAACUUGCGGCGGCGAAAAAAGUGUUUUGGGUGGCUCUCAGUUGGUUUCCUGAUUUUACGGAAUUUAUAGGGGAGGAAUUAGCUCAAACGGACCUCACGGGCCCCACGAGCCACCAGGGCGCGCCUACACCCUGGGCACUAAGUUAAUAGGUUAGUCCCAAAAAAUGAUAAAUAAUUUCUUGUAAUUGUAUAUAAAACAUCCAAGAUUGAUACUAUAAUGGCAUGGAACAAUAAAAAAUUAUAGAUACAUUGGAGAUGUAUCAAGCAUCCCCAUUCUUAAUUCCUACUCAUCCUCGAGUAGGAAACUGACAAAAACAUAACUUUUAAUGUGGAAUGCUACCUAUCAUAUUCAUCAUAUAAUCUUUUAUUUUGUGGCAUGGAUAUUUGGAUUCGAGUGAUUCGAAGAAAUGGUCUAUAGUUUGACAUGAAAACGUAAAUACUCAAGCAUACCAACAAACAACCAUUUCUUUCAAAAUAUCAAAUAAAGAAAGUUAUCCCUAGCCCACUAUGCUCAAUCAUUGAUCCAUUCAUGAAACACACUCAAUAUUAACUACACCCAAUGCACAAGUAUUACAAUAGUGCUCUCUAGUUGGUGCUUUAUAAGAGAAGAUGAAGACUCAAAAUAAAAAUAAAAAUUGCGUAAAAGUCAAGACGAUAGGACCUUCGCAGAGGGAAGUAGAGAUUUACAGAUGUGCGAGAGCUCGAAGUUUAGAAUAGAGAGAUAAAGUUAUUUGAGAGGCAUGCUUUUCCUGUCAACGAAAAUGACCGGGAAUUCCCAAUACCUUCCAUGCUAGACACAUUAUAGGCGGUUCCCAAACAGAAAAUAAAGUUCAUUUCCUUUCCACCAUUCUUUCACAAUCCAUGGCUAGCCGUAUCCAUGGGUGCCUUCCAUACCAACACUUUCCAAGGAAUUUAUUAUUACUAUUCAUUUCUCGACUGGGCAUCGCUAUUACCACCCACUUUCUUAGGCAAUGACAAGUGAAUAAACACUCAUCGUGAGAAUAACCCGCCUAGCAUGGAAAAUAUUGGCCACCCCCUGCUGCUUCAUGAGCGGUACGAGCACCCAAAAUGGAAAAUUAUUUUGAAUGAUUAUAGUUGGCACAUGCAAAAUUACUUGGAACGACAUGUAAAUACCACUUAUAGGUAGGUAUGGUGGACUCAUUUGACACAACUUUGGGUUUGAGGAAUUGGAUGCACAAACAGUAUUCCCGCUUAGUAGAAAUGAAGGCUAGCAAAUAGAUUGAGAAGCGACCAACCAAAAAGCAAAAACGGUCAUAAACAUGCAUUGAACAUAACUAACACUGAAUAAUGCACCAUAAGUAGGAUAUAACUUUGUUGCAUAAAUAUUGACUUUACGUGCAUGCAUAGGGAAUCACGAACCUUAACACCAAUAUUUUUACUACUCCCUCCGUCUCACUUUACAAGUCCUACGCGUAUACCUAGGUUGUAAAUUUUAUCACCAUAAUAUACACUAUAUAACACAAAAAUUAUACCAUUUGAAAAUAGAACAUCUGAAGUUUAUAUUGGUAUAUUUUUUGUAAUAUAUAAUUUGUAUUAAAUUGGUCAAAUUGACGAUCUAGGGGUACGCGCACGCCCUGUAAACUGAGAGAGAGGGAGUAAAGCACAAUUACUCACUAGCAUAACUCACAUAUUAUCAUCUCGAUAUCGCAAAACUAUUGCAAGGAAUCAAACUUAUCAUAUCCAAUGAUCUACAUGAAAGUUUUUAUUAUAUCCGUCUUGAAUAUUCAUCACACACUACUAGGGAAAAAUUUAUACACAAGAACUUACCAGUAGCGCGAGUCAAAAAGAAGCACUACUACUAUUUACGAGAAGCGCUACUACUAUUUACCACUAGCGCUGCAACUAAGUUUAUAGUAGUAGCGCGUCUCGGGAAAGAAGUGCUACUACUACAAUUCCCAUACUAUUCUCGCCAGGCUGCGUAUAGUAGUAGCAUGCUUAUGCAAAGCGCGCUGCUACUAAGAUGGUUGUAGCCGCGUGUUUUACGCGGAAAGCGCUACUGGUAAUGAAAAGAAAAGAAAAUGAAAAACAUAUAGAAAACUAAAUGAAAAUGAAAGAAAUAGAAAAAGGGAAAGGAAAAAAAAGAAAAUAUGAAGAAAAAUAAAUGAAAAAUAAAAAUAAAAGAGAAAGGCGUAGCAACAUCGUGCUUUCAGGACAAGCGCUAUAGCUAACGUAGCACUAGUGCGUUAUUUCAGCCAGCGCUAUAGCUAAGUUAGCUAUAGCUAAUCUAGCAGUAGCGCUUUUCCAGGCCAGCGCUACUGCUAUGUUUGACUUAAUCGCGCGGUCCUUCUUCCCCGCGGCCACUUCCCCCAAAUCCCCCCUCGAUCUGUUGUCGCCGCCGUCGUCACCCUACAUCGCCGUCGGCCGCCGCGUGCUCUCCCGUCGCCCUCUGCGCACCCUCUGCUGCCCUCGGUGGCCGCCGUCGUCGUCGCCCUACAUCGCCGCACUCCGCCGCGUGCCCAAGCCCUGACCCUGACCUCGAUGCCGCGUGCCCCUCCCUCGGUCGCUCCCUAACUCCGCCGGCGCCCGAGGUGAGCACGCCUACACCUCCUCCUCCUCCUCCUCCCCUACAUCUGCCUAGCUAGGGUUCCUAGGGUUCAUCAAAUUUUAGGGUUCAUCUAAUUAGUUAGGGUUCAUCAAAUUAGCUACUAUUUGUAGAUGCUUAAGUAGUUAUAUAGGAUAGUAGUUGUAGAUGCUUAAUUAGUUUUUAGGGCAGUAGUUGUAGAUGCUUAAUUAGUUUUUAGGACAAAUUCCUAGGGUUCAUCAAUGGGUGCUUAAGUAGUUGUAGAUGCUUAAGUACCUAGCUAUGGUUCAUCUAAUUACUUAGUACUUGUAGAUGCUUAAGAACUAGGGCAGUAUGGUUAACUAGAUAUUAAUUAGGGCAGUAGUGUUUAGUUUAGAGAAAAAAUUCAAUAUAGUUUUUUUACUGUUUUCUAGUAAGUGUUUAAUAGAAUUAGUAAGAAAAUUAAUAGAACUAGUUUAUUUUUAGUAAGAAAAUUAAUAGAACUAGUUGAACUAGUUUAUUUUUAGUAAGAACUAGUUUAUUUUUAUUUAUAGUAAGUGUUUACUUGAAUUAAUAGAACUAGUUUAUUUUUAGUAAGAAAAUUUAGGUAUAUGAGAAUUGAUGAUCUAAUUAAAAUUUUACUAUAGAACUAGUUUGUUUUUAGUAAGAAAAUUAAUAGAACUAGUUUAUUUUUAGGUGUAUUUAACAGUAUUUUAGGUUGAUUUGUUUUGAAGUGGACAUGUCAUAUUUUGAACAUGUCACGUUUGUUGUCAUUUUUUUAGUUAAAGCAAUUAUUCCCACAUCGACGUCGACGAUGCCUAUCCCGCAUCCUCGUUGUCGACUCGGCAGAGGAGACCUGCUUGAUCAGAGGGGCCAUGUCUGGGACUGGGCUCCGCCAGGCUGGUACUGGGAGGUGCUACCUUCCGAGGGGCGCAGCUUGGUGAGGAGGCAACCCGUCGUUGACUGAACUUUCUUUGGUGGCGAUCACGUGGGCUAGUGGCGAUGCGGAGGCUUUCGUCCCCCACGGAGGUCGUACGUCACCGUGUCAGCGAGGAGGACAAGCACGUCCGUCGCUACAUGGUUGCGUUGGAGGGCAGGUUCUCUAAUACCUGUCAGGUUCUUUAGGGAUCUCACUGGAGCUAUGAUCCUGUGAUGGAUCCUUCUCUUUGGGUGUCCACCGCCUGCGCCGAUACCCGUCGUUCGCUAGGGUUUUAGCUGUAUUAGUGAUGUUAUAUGUAUGAUACUAUUCGAGAUGUAUUAGUGAUAAUAUUCGACGAUGUAUGGACUCAAAGGAUGAUUUAGUUUUGCUUAUUGAAUGCAUGCUAAUUUGAAUACUUAUUUAUUUUAUGAUUUGUUUUUGCUUAUUGAAUGCUCAAAUUGGAGAAGUACUCCUAUUUUGAAUGCUCCAAUUGGACCCCACUAUGCAAGGCGUAUGCAUUUGAUUAGUUGAUAGCUUAUAGGGUUUUUGUUUUUGCAGAAAUCAAGGAGCCCCUCCAUCAUCCCCGCCGUCGUCCCCGUCACCGACCCCCUCCGACCUCGAGGUGAGACCAGCCAAAUCUCCAUGUCAAUAUGAGUCCUAUAAGAUAUUUUGAAAUGUUUUUGUUCAUAUUUUCAACCAUUCAAAUGAAAUGACCAUCAAGUUUGAAUGUUCAUAUGAUGUGAUAUAAACAUGUAUAUCUUGUGUUGCUCAAAUAGGAUAUGUGUUUACCCAAGUGGCCGGCCAUGUUUGCAGGUUACACCUCCGAGUGGCCUAUGUUUUGCCGGAGUGUUGAUUAAUUUCUGUUCUGGCAAAUUUCAGGCACUCGAUAUGUCUUUUUUAGCAAAGGUCAUGCCGGAUUUUUCUGUGAAAUUUUGGCAUGACUUGUGCUAGAAUAUGUACGAAAUAUCAAGUGGCCUGUAUUUUCUAGAAAGAUAAUUAAACGACAUUUCGGGUUGGCUUUAAGUCUGUCGAGGCUCCAUACAUGACAGUCAACAAAUGAGUGAGUAACGAGCAUCACCGACGAUCAAAAAAUCAGUGAGGGAGUGUGUCCACCAUACAUGAGAGAGGACGAAGAAUCCUGACUGUUGUCGUGGGGGUCGUUUCUCCUUCUUCUCCUUGUGCUAGACCUUUGUUAUACACUAGGGGAAGGAGGAGUAACGACCAUCACCGACGGUCGCAAAUGUCAAAGAGGAAUUAGUGAGGGAGAAUCUCCACCAUAUAUGAGAGGACGAAGAAUCCCGACUGUUGUCGUGGGGGUCGCUUCUCCUUCGUUCCCGUGUGCUAGACAUUUUGGUGUAAUGCACUCGGGGACGAAGGGAGGAGCGACCAUCACCGACGGUUGAAUAUAUACACCACGUGAGCUGAGAGUUAUAAAGAAAAGACUCGGCAGACCGAUAGUCAACCCGUGAUGAAUAAUAAUGAUCUAAUUUAGUUUUUGUAGUACAUAUAUUUAAUUGUACAAGUUUAAUCUUUGAAUUAUGAACAUAGGAAAUGUCGUCAUCAGACGAUGAAAUUCUCCCGGGGGAGUGCGACUGGUGCAACGAUGACCGAGGUCUGUGUGACAGGCCUCACCUGGACGAAGAUCGGCGCUUCAGCAUUAAUCUCCAGGAGACCUUCGAUGUUGAAAUGGUAUGCAACGACGGCAAGUGUUUUUUUCGUAAUGAAGCACGACUUCAACGACUUCAACGUGUAAUUUUCGUCUUUUACAAUUCGACUAGCUUAUCCCAUGCCAUGCAAGAAGCUAUGUCUUGGAGAGGAUGGAUUUUGAAGAUCAUGAAAGUAUGGAAACAAAGAAAAUUCACCUAAGGACCCAUCAUGCUAUGGAUUUUGAAGUAAAUCUAUACAAUUCUGAGAGCGUAACCCAUUUUGGUUGCCCGAAUUGGAAGCACUUUGCAAGAUGUAUGAUUUUCAUGAGGAUAUGCUUAUCACCAUGGAUCUUGGUGAUCCUGACAUCGGCCAAGACAAUAUGGACAUUUGUGUCCUUGUUGAUACGCUUCCAAUUCUACCACUAUGUGAGUUUCUCAAACAUAGUUAUUAAGUAAUUUAUAUUGUUUAUUUGAAAAUAGUUGACAGCUUAUUUCUAUUGACAGCUUAUUUUCAUUCUUCAAAGAAUGUGCGGAAGAUGAUAGACAGAACCUACUACACCAAUGGCUCAGAAUUAACUUAUCAGAAGAAAAAUCAUCUGAUCUCAUUUAUUACUGACAUUGAGAAUUACAAUAUCUAUUAUCAAACUCCUCCACAUUAUGGUCAAUACGUGCCACUAGUGCAUGUGUUGAACUACGGUAACAUCCAUGGAGAUGCCAUGGUAAGAUUUUUUACUAUUACGACAUCCGUGCAUCUUUUGCAUAAAUUCUUCUAAAACUGUACUACAUUGCUAACUACGAAGUUAUUACUAUGUUUUUCAACAGAAAAUCCCGAAGGAUUAUGUGCCUGAUCUGAUGUUUGGGAAAGGUCACCUUGAUGUUUUGACAUACGGCCAGGUCAUCCUACGAAUCACUCCUGUCCAUAUCGGAUUUCUAAAACCAAUGAAGACAUGACAAUCAAAGAUUGGAAAAAUUGUAUGGUCAAUCGUAGGGAGCUACUUGGAAGCAACAUUGUGCGAAGGGCAAGAAUUGGAGACAGGAUCAUCUCCAUUAUCCAUAAUGGAGAGUCAGGUCCUAUCUUGUUUUAUGCUAUUUUACCUAAGAGAGGGUAGUAGGUCCUAUCAGAGAGGAGUAGGUACUAGGUACAAUGUGUUAUUAUGUGCUACAAUGUGUUAGAGUAAAUGAUGAGGAGGAGUUGUGGUUAUGACUAGUGACCAACUUGCUAUAUGAUGUCUCAUUGAUGGAAAUGAUGAUCAUGCGUAGGUGUUAUAUGACAAUUAUGUAUUAUGAUGAUAAGUUGUUAAUGAUAUGAUGAUGAUUUAUUAUAUCAUUGGGUGAAAGAACCGCGGAUUGGUUUCAAGUGGGUGGAUCCAUCCACUUGAAACUAGUCCACGGUUCUUUCACCCAGUGAUGCAAUAACUCAUUAUGAUGUAAAAACAAUCUCUAAAUUUGCUACUGUAUGAAAACUUGUAUAAUAGUGUAUAAAUACGACAUAAAAUGAAAAAUAAAUAUAAUACGCAAUAAUAGUAGUAGCGCGGGUGCAGAGGCGCGCUGCUAGUACUUACUAGUAGCGCGUUAUGAAUAAAGCGCUACUACUAAGUACGUAUAGCAGUAGCGUGUAUUGACCAAUGCUACUGCUAACCUUUAGCUGUAGCACCUUAUCAGUAGCGCGGCACCCCGCGCUACUGAUAGGCCAAAAACCCGCGCUACUGCUAGGCUUUUCCCUAGUUGUGACACCGGGACCAAAUUCAUAUCUUGUGCAAAUUACCAUUACUAUUGUCAACUCUCAAAAAGAUAUAAGUGAAGCAUGAGAGUGCAAAUAUUUCUUUAGAAUAUAAUCACCUCCGUGAUAAAAAAUAUAUAAGUGGAGUACUAGAGCAACUGCCUAGCUCAAAGGAUAUAAGUGAAGCACGUAGAGUAUUCUAACUAAUCACGAAAAAUAUGUGUCCCUCUCAAAUAGGUGUGUACAGCAAAGAUGAUUGUGACAAACUAAAAAUAAAAAAAAGCAAAGACUCAUGUAGUACAUGACGCUCCAAGAAAAACUCAUAUCAUGUGAUGAAUAAAAAUAUAGCUCCAAGUAAUAUUACCGAUGGUCGGUAGAAGAAAGAGGGGAUGCCUUCCAGGGCAUCCCCAAGCUUAGUUGCUUGGGAGUCCUUAAAUAUUACCUUGGGGUGCCUCGGGCAUCCCCAAGAUUAGGCUCUUUCCACUUCUUAUUCCUUCAUCCAUCAUGAUCUCACUCAAAACUUGAAAACUUCAGCACACAAAACUCAACAAAACCUUCAUGAGAUCCGUUAGUAUCAUAAAGCAAAUCACUACUUCAAGUAUGGUUGCAAACCCAUUCAUAUUUUAUUAUUGCAUAUAGUAUUGUAUUCUAACUUCUCCAUGUCUUAUACCCCCCGAUACAAUCCAUAGUUUCAUGAAAACAAGCAAGCAAUGCAACGAAAACAAAAUCUGUCAAAAACACAACAGUACGUAGUAAUCUGAAUAUUGACCAUACUUCUGUAACUCCAAAUAUUCUGAAAAAUUAUUAAAUCGGGGGCAAUUUUUCAAUCAAUCAUGUGUAAAAAAAUUCAUAGCAAAAACAUGUUCCAGUGAAUUUACAAAAUUCCAGAACUAGGCGCAAAAGUUUCUGAUUUCACAAAAUUGAAUCGACUAUCAUCCAAAUCAUCCUAAAGGCUUUACUUGGCACACACACUAAUUAAAACACAAAAAUGCAACCAUAACAGUAGCAUAAUUGUGUGCACAAUCAAAAAACAGAAAAAGAACAAUAGAAUUAAGAUCACUAUUGGGUUGCCUCCCAACUAGUACUAUUGUUUUACGCCCCUAGCUAGGCAUAAUGCAUACUUUCAAGUGUUGUCAUCUUUCAAAUUUAUUCCAUAGGUGGCCCUCAUAAUGGAUUCAUAUGGUGGCUUAAAUUUUUUUCUAGGAAAUUGCUCCAUACCCUUCUUUCAUGGAAGAUAAAGUAGACCCGGGGUCCAUAGUUUUCACUAGAGGCUUCUCUCUUAAAAAUAGCAUACGGUGGGUAAACAAAUUACUAUAGGCAAUUGAUAGAAAAGCAAAUAGUCAUGACGAUAUCCAAGGCAAUGAUCAUGUAUGUAGGCAUCACGUCCGAGAAAAGUAGACCGAAACGAUUCUAAAUCUACUACUAUUAGUCCACACAUUGCCCGCUAUCCAGCAUGCAUCUAGAGUAUUAAGUUCAUAAAGAAUGGAGUGAUACGUCUCCAACGUAUCUAUAAUUUUUGAUUGUUCCAUCCUAUUAUAUUAUCUAUCUUGGAUGUUUUAUAUGCAUUUAUGUGCUAUUUUAUAUGAUUUUUUGGACUAACCUAUUAACCUAGAGCCCAGCGCCAGUUUCAGUUUUUUCCUUGUUUUUGAGUUUCGCAGAAAAGGAAUAUCAAACGGAGUCCAAUUAAGCUAAAAAUUUACGGUGAUUUUUAUGGACCAGAAGAAGCCCCCGAAGCAAAAGAGUUGGGCCAGAAGAGCCAUGAGGCCUCCACAAGGGUGGAGGGUGCCCCUACCCCCUGGGGGCGCCCUCCGUCCUUUUUAUCGCCUCCUGGGCCCCCUUGACUUGUUCCCGACGCCAAAAAUUCAUAUAAAUACAGAAACCCCCAGAAAUAAACCUAGAUCGGGAGUUCCGCCGUCGCAAGCCUCUGUAGCCACCAAAAACCAACUGGGACCCUGUUUCGGUACCCUGCCGGAGGGGGGAAUCAUCACCGGUGGCCAUCUUCAUCAUCCCGGCGCUCUCCAUGACGAGGAGGGAGUAGUUUGAUGAGGACAUGUACCUAGGGUAGGGUCACAGGCCUGACCUAAAUACCCUCCCCAAGGACAUCACCCUAGAACCAGAAGCAUUCGAAGAAGAAUCAUCAUCCACUCGACCAUGAAGCAUUCUACGCGACAGACUUAAAGUCACUCGACCAUGGAGACUAUCACUCGACCGGCAGAAGAUCUAAAGCCACUCCAUACUGCAACGGUCGGUCAUUACGUCGUAGCUUUAAUGGUCAUUAUGUCUCUUUUACUAACAUUACCAGUAAUGCCCUAUCUUAAUGUGCCUUAAACCCUGUGUAAUUGAGGGCCGGAGGGGUCUGGAAAACUCUAUAUAAGCCGCCCCCUCCUCAGUGACAAGGGUUCGCACCCCUUGUAACACACACGCAUAUAAUCCAGUCGACCGGCUCCGGGCUCCGAGACAUAGGGCUGUUACUUCCUCCGAGAAGGGCCUGAACUCGUAAAGCUCGUGCGUACAGCUUCUCCAUAGCUAGGAUCUUGCCUCUACAUACCUACCCCCCUAUUCUACUGUCAGACUUAGAACCACGACAGUUGGCGCCCACCGUGGGGCAGGUGUUUUAGCGACUUGUUGGAGAAGUUGCAAUUUUUCCGAUCCCCAUCAGCAUGGUUUCAGGCGGAGGAUUGGCCGAGGGCCGCGAGAUCCGUUUCGGCACACUCGUGUUCAUCGCCGACGACUCCGCUUGGCUCCAAGAAGCUCUACUCGACGUCGAGGCGCUCCCCGUCCGCUGGGCAACGCACUUUCGCGUGUGCGUCCGUGGCGUCCUCCUGCGGCAGCCGUCGACCCAGUAUCAGUCGGCUCCGGUGGCGUCUUCACUCCCUGCUGCCCGCCGGCACAAGCGUUACGGUCCGUCGAGGCUCCAGCGGUGGGUGAGGCACGCGGUGGCUCGCCAGUCGGCCAUCCCCCAAGUCGCGGGAAUCGAGCCCGACGAAACUCUCUACGGCCUGUUCGACUGGCUCCGUUGAGACCGCAUCCGAGUGCGACAGCAGUGACCUCGCGGUGGAAGUCCUGAUGGUUAACGGACCGCGCAGUCCUCCUGGCUUCCCCCGCAACGACGGUGGUGAUGGCGGAGGCGAUCCGUCGCGCGCCCGCAAGGAGUACCGCCCCGAGCCCCUCUCUUCGCAGCAGAGGGAAGAGCUUCGCCGCCGUAACAUGGAUGCACUUCACACUCCUAUCGUUGGAGAAACCCCCGAGGCUCGGACCUUGAAGGAGGUGUGCUGGCCAACUUGGCUGAGUGCACUCGACUGGAGAAUCUCCAGCAUGCACUCGACGAGCGUGCUCGGCAGCGAAUUCCUGAAUCCAGUCGACGACAACUUUUCCUGCCUCCAACCCAGGUAUAUCGAACUCCGAUCCAGAAUCUCACAGCUGCUGCCCGAAUAGCAGAGUCGAUUCAGCCUUCCCAGUCGGAGGCUGGUAGGGGAUUGAUGCAGAUCUAGGGUUUGCUCCGGGCGGCAGGGGAGCAGAACACAGCAGUGUCACAGUCUCAGAAUAGGAUUCAUAGCAGAUCCGUGGUAGCAGACACAGUCCAGUCGGCUCACAGUCCAAGAUCGCCCCCGAGGCGUGAGGGACGUGGAGACCGACGAGAUCAGUACAGAAACCAUGAGCACAGUAUGAUCACCGACUCGACCACGAUGAUGUCGUCGAGUGCCCACGCCUCCCCCAAGGAGUGGGUCAUACGUGCCUCGGCAGCACGAUGACAGGCGUCCUCACAGUGGUGGGCGAAGGGUUCCAGUUGACCCCCGAGAGCCGGGCUUUGACGCGAGAUCUAUUCUCGUUCAAGGUCUGGUUGACAGGAACAGAGCGCACAGAGAAGGCCACGACAGAGAUUACCCAACUGGCAGCAGAGUGCAUGUUUCAGGUCCCGAGUGUUUCAGUAGAGCCAUCAGGGCUGCAGUGAUUCCUCCCAACUUCAGGUUGGCGACUGGAGUCAGCAAGUUCACUGGUGAGUCCAAGCCUGACACUUGGCUUGAGGACUACCGAGUGGCUGUUCAGAUUGGUGGCGGCAACGAUGAAGUGGCCAUGAAGCACCUUCCUUUGAUGUUGGAAGGCUUGGCCAAGGCGUGGUUGAAUCAGUUAGCACCGGGUAGCAUAUAUAGUUGGGAGGAACUCGCCCGAGUGUUUGUUAGGACCUUUGAAGGUACAUGCAAACGGCCGGCAGGGUUAACAGAGUUGCAGUCCUGUGUGCAGAAACCGAAUCGAACCUUGAGAGACUAUAUGCAGAGAUGGAUCACGUUGCACCACACGGUGGAGAAUGUGUCUGAUCACCAAGCACUUUGUGCCUUCAAGGAAGGCAUCAAGUAUCGAGAAUUGAAUCUAAAGUUCAGUCGGACUGGAGAUAUGUCUCCGGGUCAAAUGAUGGAAAUUGUCACCAAGUAUGCUAAUAGUGAAGAGGAGGAUCGGCUCCGGAGUGGCAAGCACAAAAUAGUCGCCCACGAAACCAGAGGAGGGAACUCCAGUCGGAAGCAGAAGCGCAAAGCCGAGCCAGCUGCUCCCGGAGAAGCCUUAGCCGUGACUCAAGGAAAGUUCAAGGGGAAGCCCAAAGGGCCAUGGAACCCCAAAAAAGUAAAAGAUCAAGAUGGAAAUGAUGUGUUAGAUUUACCAUGCCACAUUCACACCAAAAAAGAUGACGAGGGUAAUCUCAUUUACCCGAAACAUACCACACGACAAUGUCGGCUCCUAAUCCAGCAGUUCCGAGAGAAACAGCCCAAAAAAAAGGAGAAUGAAUCGGACAAAGUUGAGGAUAAGGAAGAGGAUGAUGAUGGUUACCCCCACGUCAAUUCCACUCUGAUGAUUUUUGCUGAUGUUGAGAGCAAGAGUCGACUGAAAGUCAUCAACAGAGAAGUGAACAUGGUCGCUCCGGCGACGCCCAGUUAUUUGAAGUGGUCCCGGACUGCCAUUACAUUCGACCAGUCUGAACACCCGACACACAUAGCCACCCCUGGGAGGCAAGCGUUGGUGGUCGACCCAGUCGUCGAAGGCACUCGGUUGACUAAGGUUCUGAUGGAUGGUGGUAGUGGCCUGAAUAUACUGUAUGCAGAGACCUUGAAAGGAAUGGGCAUUCUGAUGUCCAGACUCUGUGAAAGCAAUAUGAGUUUCCAUGGGGUUAUUCCUGGCAAGAAGGCUAAGUCACUCGGCCAGAUCACCCUCGAUGUGGUUUUCGGUGAUUCCAAGAAUUACCGCAAAGAAAAGUUGACGUUUGAAGUCGUCGAUUUCCAGAGUGCUUAUCAUGCUAUUCUGGGAGGCCGGCUUAUGCACGUUUCAUGGCUCGACCAUGUUACGUUUACCUCAAAUGGAAGAUGCCUGGCACUAAAGGAGUGAUCACUAUCACUGGCAAUCGGAAGAAGGCAGAAGAGUGCUUCCAGAAGGGCUCAAAGAUCGCCGAUGCGCAAAUGGCAGUAGUGGAAUUGCAGGAGUAUCAAAAAAUGCAGAUCCGAGUGAUUUGUUGCGAGCUAAGAAGCCUGCCACGGAUUCAGCGUUUCAGUCGUCUGGUGAAACGAAGCCGGUUCAUAUUCACCCGACCGAUCCCAAUGCUGCUCCGACUCACAUUUCGACAACACUCGACUCCAAAUAGGAAGAAGCGCUCAUCCAGUUCCUCCGUGAGAACUGGGACAUCUUUGCAUGGAAACCUUCUGACAUGCCGGGUGUUCCCAGGGGCCUGGCUGAGCACCGUUUGCGAGUCGACCCAAAAGUGAAACCAGUCAAAGAACAUCUUCGACGGUCCGCCGUACAGAAGAGAAAAGCAAUCGGUGAAGAAAUGGCUUGGCUCCUAGCAGCUGAGUUUAUCCGAGAUUUACCACUCCGAGUGGUUAGCCAAUGUUGUCAUGGUCCCCAAGAAGGACGACUCACUUCGCAUGUGCAUUGACUUCAAGCAUAUCAAUCGAGCCUGCCUGAAAGAUCACUUUCCUCUCCCCCGCAUCGAUCAAAUAGUCGACUCGACUGUAGGGUGUGAGCGCUUGUCCUUUUUGGACGCUUAUUCCGGGUAUCAUUAGAUCCGACUGUAUGGACCCGAUGAGAUAAAAACAGCUUUCAUCACUCCAUUUGGGUGCUUCUGUUAUGUCACGGUGCCAUUCGGCCUGAAGAAUGCUGGAGCCACAUUCAUGAGGAUGAUUCAGAAGUGUUUACUCACUCAAAUCAGUCGGAAUGUGGAAGCAUACAUGGAUGACAUUGUGGUCAAGUCACGUAAAGGUUCCGACCUGUUGGCUGACCUUGCUGAAACUUUUGCCAACCUCAGAAGGUAUGAUAUCAAGCUUAAUCCAUCAAAGUGCACAUUCGGAGUUCCGGGCGGAAAAUUACUCGGCUUCCUCGUUUCCGAACGGGGGAUCGACGCUAAUCCAGAGAAAGUUGGUGCCAUUCUCCGAAUGAAAUGCCCUGUGCGUGUGCACGAUGUCCAAAAGCUUACAGGUUUUUGGCCGCCUUAAGUCGAUUCAUUUCUCGCCUCGGCGAAAAGGCAUUGCCUCUUUACCGACUGAUGAAGAAGUCUGAUAAGUUCGAGUGGACUCCUGAAGCUGAUGCAGCAUUUGCAGAGCUCAAAGCCCUGCUUUCCACCCAGCCGGUGCUUGCUGCCCCAAUCAGCAAAGAGCCUUUACUACUUUACAUUGCAGCCACUGGACAAGUCGUCAGUACAGUACUUACGGUCGAGCGAGAAGAAAAAGGAAAAACUUAUAAAGUUCAGCGCCCAGUAUAUUAUGUUUCUGAAGUUUUGACUCCAUCAAAGGAAAGAUAUCCACAUUAUCAGAAGCUUGUUUAUGGGAUUUAUAUGACCACGAAGAAGGUUGCACAUUAUUUCUCUAACCACUCCAUUACAGUCGUCAGCGACGCUCCAUUACCAGAAAUUCUGAACAACAGAGAUGCAACUGGUCGAGUGGCUAAGUGGGCGAUUGAACUUCUUCCCUUGGAUAUUAAGUUUGAGGCAAAGAAAGCUAUCAAGUCCCAAGCAAUAGCAGAUUUCCUCGCCGAGUGGAUCGAACAGCAGCUGCCGACUCAAGUCCACUCGGAGCACUGGACCAUGUUCUUUGAUGGUUCCAAGAUGUUGAAUGGUUCUGGUGCUGGGGUGGUACUGGUAUCCCCCCGAGGAGACAAGCUCAGAUAUGUUCUCCAGAUUCACUUUGAUUCCUCCAAUAACGAAGCGAAAUAUGAAGCACUCUUAUAUGGGUUACGUAUGGCCAUCUCACUCGGCGUCCGUGCCUCAUGGUCUACGGGGACUCAGAUUUGGUAGUCAAUCAAGUGAUGAAGGAGUGGGAAGUCAGAAGCCCAGCUAUGACUAGUUACUGCAAUGCGGUGAGGAAGUUGGAAAAGAAAUUUGAGGGGUUAGAGCUCCAUCAUAUACCUCGACUGAAAAAUCAAGUAGUCGAUGAUUUGGCAAAGAUAGGUUCCAAGAGGGAAGCCAUUCCCAGCAACGUGUUUUUGGAACACAUUCAUACACCUCCAGUUCAAGAAGAUCCUUUCACUGAAGAGCCCCCGCAGCCUAAGAGUGCCACAGAUCCGACUGAAGUCGAAGUCCCAGCCGUGGUCGACCUGAUCAUGGAGGUUUUGGUCAUCACUCCCGACUGGACAGUGCCAUACAUUGCGUAUAUCCUUAGGAAGGAAAUCCCAGAGGAUGAAGAAGAGGCUCGACAGAUCGUCCGUCGAUCCAAGGCCUUUACUGUGAUAAGAGGACAACUGUUUAGGGAAAGCGUAACCGGAGUCAGCCAGAAAUGCAUAACACCAGAAGAAGGUCGAGUGAUCCUCAACGACAUCCACUCGGGGACCUAUGGUCACCAUGCGUCCUCUCGGACCAUUGUGGCCAAAGCAUACCAAGCUGGAUUUUAUUGGCCACGAGCAAAUGAAAUGGCGAAAGAUAUAGUCGACAAAUGUGAAGGCUGCCAGUUUUACUCCAAUAUGUCCCACAAGCCCGCGUCAGCCCUGAAGACUAUUCCACUCGUCUGGCCUUUGCUAUUUGGGGAUUGGAUAUGGUUGGACCCCUGAGGACUGGUAGGAGCGGCUUCACUCAUGUGCUUGUAGCAGUCGACAAGUUUACCAAAUGGAUUGAAUCCAAGCCUAUCAAGAAUCUUGAAGCCAGUACUGCCGUCAGCUUCAUCAGAGAAUUGACAUUCAGAUAUGGAGUUCCGCACAGCAUCAUCACUGACAACGGGUCGAACUUCGAUUCUGAUGAGUUCAGAGCCUUCUGUGCUUCACAAGGCACACGGGUCGACUAUGCUUCAGUCGCCCACCCCCAGUCGAAUGGACAAGUAGAAAGAGCAAAUGGCUUGAUUCUCAAAGGACUGAAACCCUAACUGAUGCGUGAUCUUAAGCAUGCAACAGGCGCCUGGGUCGAUGAACUUUCGUCAGUUCUUUGGGGAUUGAGGACAAAUCCCAAUCGGUCGACUGGCCGAACUCCAUUCUUCUUGGUUUAUGGAGCUGAAGCUGUUCUACCGAGCGACUUGCUUCACAAUGCACCCCGAGUCGAGCUCUUCUUUGAAGAUGAAGCAGAACAGGCCCGGCAGGACGCGGUCGAUCUCCUAGAGGAGGAAAGAGAGAUGGCCUUAAUACGGUCGACCAUUUAUCAGCAAGACUUGCAUCGAUUCCACGCCAGAAACGUGAGGGGCCGAGCCUUUCAAGAGGGAGACUUGGUUCUUCGAGUGGAUCAGCAGAAACCACACAAGCUCGCCCCUGCUUGGGAAGCUCCCUUCAUUGUCACCAGAGUUCUCCACAAUGGAGCAUACCAUCUUUACAAUGUCGAGCAUCAGAAAGACGAGCCAUGGGCUUGGAACGCGGAACUGCUCCGCCCCUUUUAUACUUAAGUACUCAUUCGGAUGAUAUGUAAUAAGAAAUACCUUUGUAGUUUGUUCGUCAAAGCCAAGAGCUUUACAGUCUUCCUAAAUGGUUGUUGUUGCCUUUGUUUGCGUCUAAAAUCCCCCAGUGGGUGACUUUGCUGCGAAUCCGUUUUGCCUAAGUUUGAAAAAAUCCUACCGAGUGAUGAGCAGACCUCUCACUCGGGGGCUUAGCUGCAGUCCAAUACUCGCCUAAGUUUGAAAAAUCCUACCGAGUGAUGAGCAAGCCUCUCACUCGGGGGCUUAGCUGCAGUCCAGUACUCCCCUAAGUUUGAAAAAAUCCUACCGAGUGAUGGGGAAGCCUCUCACUCGGGGGCUUAGCUGCAGUCCAGUACUCGCCUAAGUUUGAAAAAAUCCUACCGAGUGAUGAGCAAGCCUCUCACUCGGGGGCUUAGCUGCAGUCCAGUACUCGCCUAAGUUUGAAAAAUCCUACCGAGUGAUGAGCAAGCCCCUCACUCGGGGGCUUAGCUGCAGUCCNNNNNNNNNNNNNNNNNNNNNNNNNNNNNNNNNNNNNNNNNNNNNNNNNNNNNNNNNNNNNNNNNNNNNNNNNNNNNNNNNNNNNNNNNNNNNNNNNNNNNNNNNNNNNNNNNNNNNNNNNNNNNNNNNNNNNNNNNNNNNNNNNAUGAUAUAAGGAAAUAAAUAAUAACUUUAUUAUUGCCUCUAGGGCAUAUUUCCUUCACCCACUCGGGGGCUUAGCUGUAGUCCAGUACUCGCCUAAGUUUGAAAAAUCCUACGGAGUGGUGAGCAACCCUCCCACUCGGGGGCUUAGCUGCAGUCCAGUACUCGCCUAAGUUUGAAAAAUCCUACCGAGUGCUGAGCAACCCUCCCACUAAGGGGCUUAGCUGCAGUCCACUACUCGCCUAAGUUUGAAAAAUCCUACCGAGUGGUGAGCAACCCUCCCACUCGGAGGCUUAGCUGCAGUCCAGUACUCGCCUAAGUUUGAAAAAUCNNNNNNNNNNNNNNNNNNNNNNNNNNNNNNNNNNNNNNNNNNNNNNNNNNNNNNNNNNNNNNNNNNNNNNNNNNNNNNNNNNNNNNNNNNNNNNNNNNNNNNNNNNNNNNNNNNNNNNNNNNNNNNNNNNNNNNNNNNNNNNNNNNNNNNNNNNNNNNNNNNNNNNNNNNNNNNNNNNNNNNNNNNNNNNNNNNNNNNNNNNNNNNNNNNNNNNNNNNNNNNNNNNNNNNNNNNNNNNNNNNNNNNNNNNNNNNNNNNNNNGAGCUGCGCCACAAGUACAACUUGCGCUCCAUCCCUAUCCGCAAGGACGGCGAGGUACUGUCGACUGAAACCUUCUCCUUCAGAGUUGCGCCACGAGUACAAUGUGCGCUCCAUCCCUAUCCGCAAGGAUGACGAGGUACAGGUCGACCGAAACCUUCUCCUUCAGAGCUGCGCCACAAGUACAACAUGCGCUCCAUCCCUAUCUGCAAGGACGACGAGGUGCAGGUCGAGUGCAACCUUCUCCUCGGAGCUGCGCCAUAAGUACAAUAGUUGCAUCUCAAGUACAAAGAUUAUUCCAAUUGAAAAGCAAAUUCCACUCGAAGGCAAACACAAGCAUAUUCAGAGAUAAACCAAGUUCAGAUAAAUCCUAAAGUUCCAGACGACGGAUCAAAAGUAUUCGAGCAUCAAGCCCGAAGAAGUUUAACGAUUACACAAUCACUCGGCAUUCCGAGGCAAAUAAAGGUGGAGCAUAAUGUUUCUCAGUCACGCGUCGGGAGAAGGACUAGCUGGGUCGCAGAAACUGUCAAGGUCUAUGUUGUCUGCAAUGCGAGUGGCGGUGUCAAGGAAAGUGUCCAUGAAGGAUUGGAAGGUGUGCCUCUUUGGGUUAGCAACCUUGAGCUCCGCCAGCUUGUCUUCUUUGAUGUCUUUGCAGUGCACUCAGACCAAGGACAACGCGACAUCAGCGCCACAGCGAGCAGAUGACUUCUUCCACUCUUGCACUCGGUCAGGUAUUUGAUUCGGUCGAGCCAUCAGAGACUCGAGGUCUUUAGACAGUUCCGCCUGAGGCCAGAGUUCAGUAUCAACCCGAGUCAUCGCUGCUUUCAGGCGAGCAAGAUAAGCAACCGCGCUGUCCAUGCGAGACUCCAACCACAGCACAUUCAUCGCAACAUCAUCCUUGACUGGACAGUUUAUGGGAUCGAGACCCGUCUUGACCCGCCCAGUUUCCGCUUCAAAGUCUUGGCAAAGCUCUACACAGUUGAGUAAAUGGUGAGUCGACGAUGUAAUCAAGCUUGACAGUCAACCAAAAUAAGUCAGUCAAUCAUCAGUACCUUCAAGUUUAGGACCAGCUUUGUAGCAAGUUGGCCCAUAUAAGACUCCAACUCGCCCUUCUUGGCCUUGAGACUCCCAAGCUCGUCAGUCAGCCUGUCCUUGUCUUUCUUCAGUCGCUCGACCUCCCGAUUGGCGUCAGAAACAACAGUCUUCAGUUUGGAGUUCUCCUCUUCUAACUUGCCGACUGAAGCAAGCUUCUUGUCAGCAAGUGCCAUUUUCUCUCGUGCUUCCUUCUGUGCAGCAGCAAGAUCCAGAUCCUUCUUCUCCAAAGCCUCCUUCAUUUUCUCUAAAGAAAUAGCAUUCUUCAGACGGGCUUGGAGUUGACGGUUUUCACUACAUACAUCUACUCGAGUGGAGUCACUCGGUUCAAAAAAUGGAAAGGAAAAGUGCCAGCAAUGAGAUAGACAGUUGACGAUUGGUUACCUCCCAUGGCAGCUACUUCAUCACGAGCAGUCUUGAGAUUCUUCUUGGCCAAUUCCAGAUCAAGGUUGAGGCUGAUUUGCUGCUUGUUCAUUGUAGAAAGCUGAGCCCCAAGAUCACAAGAUUUCUGCAGUAUAAGCCAUAUCAGUUGACUGAGACAAAAAGACAUCACAGUGAUAGCUACUCUAAGACUAGCACCGAAUCAAACAUUCAACGGCAGUCUCGGGGACUACACCCAGUGGGUGCACUUAGCGUGCCCCCACUGGUUUGAAUAAACACUCGACAUGGUCUGCUCAGCGCAAAAAAAAGCCGUUCUCAGACCAUAGUCGACUGCCCGCAGUCAACCACGGUCUCGGGGACUACACCCAGUGGGUGCACUUAGCGUGCCCCCACUGGUUCUGGUUCCACUCGAACUGGCCCGCCCAGGCCGAGUGAGAAAAUUCAGAUUCUCAGACCACAGUCGACUGCCCACAGUCAACUAUGGUCUCGGGAACUACACCCAGUGGGUGCACUCAGCAUGCCCCCACUCGUUCAAAGACUCAAUCGACUCAAUCCAAGUCGACUCAAAUAGACUUGUGCAACUUUAAAACAGUCACACCCCAGUGAGUGAUCGGAUGAGAAAUAAGAUCAGUCAGAAAUCAACUAACCUGGACAUUGGUCUGCAGAGCAUCGCCGGCAUGGAAGGCCACCUGACUGGCCUCGUGCACCACUUUCAUCUGCCCCAUCACAAGAUUCAACUGAAGAAGAGCUUCCUUGGCGACACUCGGUAGGUCGUCUGGAGUUUGAUACGCAGUGAAAAGCGAUGAUGGCAAAGCAGUCGAAACAGCCACUGGGUCUGAUGCGUGGAGUUGUAAUGAAGCAGCAGGGGUCUGAGCAGCUGAUCCUGAUGGGCAAUCAGUCGACAGCGGGAUAGCGAAAGUGACGUUGGUGCGAGCCGGAUCUGUCGAUCGCUCGACCGUCGUCCCAGGCAUCAGUGUUGACUGAGGAACCUGAACCUCGGGUGCUUUCCCGCUCAGUCCCUUGUCCCUCCUCCUCCUUUCCCUCAGAGGCACUUCUUCUUCAUCGUUUGGGAGCACAACAACGUCCCGUGGUGCUGCAACAAACAGAGAAAGUCAAAGAGGUAGCUGACAAACAAUCCAGCGUCCAAAUAAAUUCGAGUCGGGCAGACUUAGUGGCUUUGAAGGUAGCUGCAUCGUCGGAUCCCUCGUCGUCUGGGGUCUUGUCGAUAUCCAUAUCAGUCACAGCCGAGGCAGGGCUGUAAAGGUUCAUCAUCCACUCGGUCAGUACAAGAGAAUUGGUCAGAACAAGAAAAUACGGGGAGAACAUUUACCCAUAAGCAACAGGAACAUCCAUCUUGAUUCUAGGCAAGGUCUUCCGAGUCUUCUGCACUACAACCUUGGACUGCUUUGGAGCUUUUUCAGUUGGUGCCGGAGAGGACGUCCGAGGACGCUUUGACGACUGCCCGGUCUGAACAGUCGCCUUGUCACGGGCGCUCGCCGGGUCGUGAGUAAGUCUGGAUCGCCUUUCCCUACGAGGAGGAGAGUCGACCUCUUCUUCGUCACUCGGGUCGUCACUCUCCUCGUCCCCCUCUCCAUUGGAGUGCCACUCACCGCUUUCACCUCCGCUUGCCUCCCCCUCCGGGUCCUGCUCCUGCUCUCUGUUGGGCAUCGAAUACAUUUCAGUAAAGGCCUAGAAUAAAACAAGCAAGACGAAGUCAGUCGGUGAAGCAUAAAUAGUUGCAUGUUAAAUCAAGAUGACACUCGGUGAUUCAGAAUCGGACCUUGGUCGAGUGGAGGGAUUCUCCUGGCUCCUCUGGGGUUAUCCUUGUUGCCGGUGAUACACUUCAACCACUUCUCCACCGUAUCCUCGUCGACUUCUUCUGGGUGCACCCGAGUGGAAUCGUCAAUGCCCGAGUACAUCCACAUCGGGUGAUCGCGGGCUUGAAGUGGCUGAAUGCGUCGUCUGAGGAAGACUUCCAGCAGAUCCAUUCCAGUUACACCCUCAUGGAUGAGAUAGACCACUCGCUCAACCAGCACUUGCACCUCCGCUUUCUCCCCUGGAGUCACUUUCAAGGCGGAGGGCUUUUCUACGCGAGCCAUAGAAAAAGGAGGAAGUCCGGUCGACUGACCUGGAGUCGGCUGGUCUUUGCAGUAAAACCAGGUCGACUGCCAUCCUCGUACUGACUCAGGAAGAGUUAUGGCUGGAAAAGAACUUUUACCCCUCAUCUGAAUCCCAAGACCCCCACACAUCUGGAUCACCUGAGUCCUCUUGUCACUCGGGUUAGCCUUUUUGACCGACUGGGAGCGACAUGUGAAAAUGUGCUUGAAGAGACCCCAGUGUGGUCGAUAACCCAAGAAGUUUUCGCACAGAGACACAAAGGCAGCAAGAUAUAUGAUGGUGUUGGGGGAAAAGUGAUGAAGUUGUGCUCCAAAGAAAUUCAAGAAAGCCCGGAAAAAAGAUGCGGAGGCAGAGAAAAUCCACGGUCGAUGUGAGUGGCAAGGAGGACGCACUCACCCUCCCGCGGGCGAGGUUCGGUCUCAUCCUCAGGGAGCCGCGCCGACCCGUGAGGAAUCAGCCCCUCCUCCGCCAGAUCGUCGAGGUCAUCCUGACUGAUCAUCGACCGGAUCCAAUCGCCCUGGAUCCAGCCGCGCGGCAAACCGGACCGCGACAAGGAUCCGCCCCGGCUGGACUUUCUUCCCUUCGCCUUCGUCGUCGCCUUCUUCGCGUGCUCCAAAGCCACCGUCUUUUCUUUCCCCAUCGCCACGGACGGAGCUCGAGCGGGGCGGCGGCGCUGGAGGAGGAGCAGGCGCAGUGGGGAAGAUUGAGAAGAGAGAAGAAGAAUGAGGACGCACUGUUCAAAAACCCCGGUCCGAUGCCUUAUAUGGGGUUGCUUCCGAGUGACUGACCUGUAGGCCCGGGCAAUCUUAUCAAAUCCUGCAACAGUCACGCACGCGAUACGUGGCAAAAAAGGUGGUGCGGGAAUCGAGGCGGCCUUGCCUUAUCCAGCCCGAUUACUGCGGCCUCCUCCGCCCCGCGUGCUUCCCGAAAUUCGAAUCCCGCGAGACCCGCGGGCAGCAGAACAACUUGUCAGACGGAAGAUCUCCUCCACAUUAGCACUCGGACCUCUUCCAGCAAAAGUUCACUCGACAAAACCAGGAAUGGAUCAAGGCGACUAAAAAAGAAGUUGGUGUCACCACCUCGGUUCGUUGAUCCAAAACAAGACACACCCGAAGCGCGAAAAAUGAGUCGGAAGUAUUUUCAACUCCUUCUCCACUCAAACCCUGAUCCAUUCGGGGGCUAAUGAUGAGGACAUGUACCUAGGGUAGGGUCACAGGCCUGACCUAAAUACCCUCCCCAAGGACAUCACCCUAGAACCAGAAGCAUUCGAAGAAGAAUCAUCAUCCACUCGACCAUGAAGCAUUCUACUCGACAGACUUAAAGUCACUCGACCAUGGAGACUAUCACUCGACCGGCAGAAGAUCUAAAGCCACUCCAUACUGCAACGGUCGGUAAUUACGUCGUAGCUUUAAUGGUCAUUAUGUCUCUUUUACUAACGUUACUAGUAACGCCCUGUCUUAAUGUACCUUAAACCCUGUGUAAUUGAGGGCCGGAGGGGUCUGGCAAACUCUAUAUAAGCCGCCCCCCUCCUUAUUGACAAGGGUUCGCACCCCCUGUAAAACACACGCAUAUAAUCCAGUCGGCCGCCUCCGGGCUCCGAGACGUAGGGCUGUUACUUCCUCCGAGAAGGGCCUGAACUCGUAAAACUCGUGCGUACAGCUUCUCCAUAGCUAGGAUCUUGCCUCUACAUACCUACCCCCCUAUUCUACUGUCAGACUUAGAACCACGACAUAGUUUACCCUCGGGGCUGAGGGUAUAUGUACCAGUAGCUAUGUGUUUGAUCUCUCUCUCUCUCGUGUUCUUUGAUAUGGCACGAUCUUGAUGUACCGCGAGCUUUGCUAUUAUAGUUGAAUCAUAUGGUGUUUCUCCCCCUCUACCUUCUUGUAAUGGAUUCAGUUUUCCCUUUGAAGUUAUCUUAUCGGAUUGAGUCUUUAAGGAUUUGAGAACACUUGAUGUAUGUCUUGCAUGUACUUAUCUGUGGUAACAAUGGGAUAUUCACGUGAUCUACUUGAUGUAUGUUUUGGUGAUCAACUUGCGGGUUCUGUGACCUUGUGAACUUAUGCAUAGGGCUUGGCACACGUUUUCGUCUUGACUCUCCGGUAGAAACUUUGGUGCACUCUUUGAAGUUCUUUCUGUUGGUUUGAAUAGAUGAAUCUGAGAUUGUGUGAUGCAUAUCGUAUAAUCAAACCCGCGAAUACUUGUGGUACCAUUGGAGUAUCCAGGUGACAUUAGGGUUUUGGUUGAUGUGUGUCUUAAGGUGUUAUUUUAGUACGAACUCUAGGGCUGUUUGUGACACUUAUAGGAAUAGCCCAAUAGAUCAAUCAGAAAGAAUAACUUUGAGGUGGUUUCGUACCCUAAAGUAAUCUCUUCGUUUAUUCUCCGCUAAUAGUGACUUUGGAGUGACUCUUUGUUGCACGUUGAGGGAUUGUUAUAUGAUCUAAUUAUGUUAUCAUUGUUGAGAGAACUUGCACUAGUGAAAGUAUGAACCCUAGACCUUGUUUCUAAGCAUUGCAAUAUCGUUUUUGCUCACUUUUGUUACUAGUUACCUUGCUGUUUUUGUAUUUUCAGAUUACAAAAACCUAUAUCUACUAUCCAUAUUGCACUUCUAUCACCAUCUCUUUGCCGAACUAGUGCACCUAUACAAUUUACCAUUGUAUUGGGUGUGCUGGGGACACAAGAGACUCUUUGUUAUUUGGUUGCAGGGUUGUUUGAGAGAGACCAUCUUCAUCCUACGCCUCCCACGGAUUGAGAAACCUUAGGUCAUCCACUUGAGGCAAACUUGCUACUGUCCUACAAAACUCUGCGCUUGGAGGCCCAACACGAGUCUACAAGAAGAAGUUUGUGUAGUAGACAUCAAGAUCUUUUCUGGCGCCGUUGCCGGGGAGGCUAGGUAAGCGGCACUCACACCCCCGUCAACGAAGCUCUUUUCUGGCGCCGUUGCCGGGGAGGUUAGUGCUUGAAGGUAUAUCUUUACAUGUUGCAAUCGAAUCUUUUAGUUUCUUGUUUUAUCACUAGUUUAGUCUAUAAAAGAAAACUACAAAAAAUGGAAUUUAGGUUGCCUCAUUUGCUUCAUCUUUUAAAUGUCUUUCGUGAAAAUAAGGAUUCCGGUAAUUGUGCUCAAUUGCUAGAGGAAGAAUGCAAUAAAAUGUUUGGCAUAAAAUCUUUGAAUAAUGAGCAUGAUUGCAAUGUUUUUAGUAUGAAUUCCUUGAAUAUCCAUGAUGCUAAUGAUAUGCAAAGCCACAAGCUUGGGGAUUCUAUGUUUGAUGAAUAUGAUAUUUUUUCGCCGCCAAGUUUUGAUGAGCAAAUUAUUAUGAUGAUAGCAUGCCUCCUAUUUAUGAUGAUUAUAUUGAUGAAAGUGGGUUUGGAAGAGUGUCAACUCUAGGUAAUGAUCCCACUAUUUUGGAGGGUGUUGAAUCUUAUAAUAUUUAUGAAAGUGGAUUUGGAGAGGUCGUGACUUUAUUUAAUGAUGAUUCCACUAUUUUGGAAGAGGUUCCAAUUGAUUAUGAGAAUAAAGUUGCUAUCUAUGAUGAUUAUUGUGAUUACAUGUAUGCUAUAAAGAAUAAUGAUAACCAUGAAACUUGUCAUCAUGAUUUUAAUUUUCAAUUGGAUUAUGCCUCACAUGAUAAUUAUUUUGUUGAGUUUGCUCCCACUAUUCCGAAUGAGAAGAAUUUUGCUUAUGUGGAGAGUAGUAAAAUUUCUAUGCUUGUGGAUCAUGAAAAGAAUGCUUUGUGUCAUAGAUAUAUUGUUGAAUUCAAGAUGCUACUGAAAAUUAUUACGAGGGAGGAAUAUAUGCUUGUAGGAAUUGCAAUAAUAUCAAGUUUCCUCUCUAUGUGUUUAAAAUCUUGAAGUUUUGCUUGUUUUGCUUUCCUAUGCUAGUUGAUUCUUGUACCCAUAAGUUAUUUGCUCACAAAAUCCCUAUGCAUAGGAAGUGUGUUAGACUUAAAUGUGCUAGUCAUAUUCUUCAUGAUACUCUCCUUGCGUUUCAAUUCUUAUCUUUUAUGUGAGCAUCAUUGAAAUCAUCAUGCCUAGCUAGAAAGGCAUUAAAGAAAAGCGCUUGUUGGCAGACAACCCAAUAUUUACCCAUGUUGUUUUUGUGUGGUCACAUGAUUAAGAUACUUUAGUAAUAAUGUUUUAUAGCUUUUGUUUCAAUAAAGUGCCAAGUAAGACCUUUGGGAUGGUGUAUGGUGAUAGUUGAUUUGAUCUUGCUGAAAAACAGAAACUUUUGCGCUCAUUGCCAGAAUUUUAUAAAUUCACAGAAUAUUUCUUUUGAUCUGAAAAUUUUACACAAGAUUGGUAUACAAAUUUCCCAGGUUGUCCUAUUUUUCAGAAUUUUUGGAGUUACAGAAGUAUACAAAGUUUCCAGAUUACUGCAGACUGUUCUAUUUUUGACAGAUUCUGUUUUAAUUGUGUUGUUUACUUAUUUUGAUGAAUCUAUGGGUAGUAUCGGAGGGUAUGAACCAUGGAGAAGUUGGAAUCCAGUAGAUAUAACACCAAUAUAAAUUUAGAAUGAGUUCAUAACAGUACCUAAGUGGUGAUUUGCCUUAUUAUACUAACGGAGCUUACGAGUUUUCUGUUGAGUUUUGUGUUGUGAAUUUUUCAGGUUUUGGGUAAAGUCUUGAUGGACUACGGAAUAAGGAGUGGCAAGAGCCUACGCUUGGGGAUGCCCUAGGCACCCCAAGGUAAUAUUCAAGGACAACCAAGAGCCUAAGAUUGGGGAUGCCCUAGAUGGCAUCCCCUCUUUCGUCUUCGUUCAUCGGUAACCUUACUCGGAGCUAUAUUUUUAUUCACCACAUGGUGUUUUGCUUGGAGCGUCAUUUUAUUUUACUAGGUUUUGCUUGCUGUUUGAAUAAAGUACCUAGGAUCUGGAAUUUUAUUUAUGGUAGAGAGUCUUCACAUAGUCACAUAAUUAUUCGACUACUCGUUGAUCUUCACUUAUAUCUUUUGGAGUAGUUUGUCAUUUUCUCUAGUGCUUCACUUAUAUCUUUUUAGAGCACGGCUGUAGUUUUAUUUUGAAGAAAUUGUUGAACUCUCAUGCUUCACUUAUAUUAUUUUGAGAGUCUCUAAACAGCAUGGUAAUUUGCUUUGGUUAUAAAUUUAGUCCUAAUAUGAUAGACGUCCAAGAGGGGUAUAAAAAAAACUUUCAUAUAAAGUGAAUUGAAUACUAUGAGAAGUUUGAUUCCUUAUGAUUGUUUUGAUAUAUAAAGAUGGUGAUAUUAGAUUCAUGCUAGUGAGUAAUUGUGAAUUUGAGAAAUACUUGUGUUAAGGUUUUUGAGUCCCGUAGCAUGCACGUAUGGUGAACCGUUAUGUAACGAAGUUGGAGCAUGAGGUAUUUAUUGAUUGUCUUCCUUAUGAGUGGCUGUCGGGGACGUGCGAUGGUCUUUUCCUACCAAUCUAUCCCCCUAGGAGCAUGCGCGUAGUACUUUGUUUUGAUAACUAAUAGAGUUUUGCAAUAAGUAUGUGAGUUCUUUAUGACUAAUGUUGAGUCCAUGGAUUAUACGCACUUCCACCCUUCCACCAUUGCUAGCCUCUCUAGUACCGCGCAACUUUCGCCGGUACCUUACACCACCAUAUACCUUCCUCAAAACAGCCACCAUACCUACCUAUUAUGGUAUUUCCAUUGCCAUUCCAAGAUAUAUUGCCAUGCAACUUUCCACCCUUCCGUUUAUUAUGACACGCAUCAUCAUUGUCAUAUUGCUUUGCAUGAUCAUGUAGCUGACAUCAUAUUUGUGGCAAAGCCACCAUUCAUAAUUCUUUCAUACAUGUCACUCUUGAUUCAUUGCACAUCUCGGUGCACCGCCGGAGGCAUUCAUAUAGAGUCAUAUUUUGUUCUAGGUAUCGAGUUGUAAUUCUUGAGUUGUAAGUAAAUAAAAGUGUGAUGAUCUUCAUUGUUAUAGCAUUGUCCCAUGUGAGGAAAGAAUGAUGGAGACUAUGAUUCCCCCACAAGUCGGGAUGAGACUCCAGACGAAAAAUUAAAAAUAAAAAUAAAAAAGAGGCCAAAAAAAUGAGAGAACGCCCAAAUAAAAAAAUAAAAAAAUGAGAGAAAAGAGAGAAGGGGCAAUGCUACUAUCCUUUUACCACACUUGUGCUUCAAAGUAGCACCAUGAUCUUCAUGAUAGAGAGUCUCCUAUGUUGUCACUUUCAUAUACUAGUGGGAAUUUUUCAUUAUAUAACUUGGCUUGUAUAUUCCAAUGAUGGGCUUCCUCAAAUUGCCCUAGGUCUUGGUGAGCAAGCGAGUUGGAUGCACACCCACUUAGUUUCUUUUUGAGCUUUCACACACUUAUAGCUCUAGUGCAUCCGUUGCAUGGCAAUCCCUACUCACUCACAUUGAUAUUUAUUGAUGGGCAUCUCCAUAGCCCGUUGAUACGCGUAGUUGAUGUGAAACUAUCUCCUUCUUUUUGUCUUCUCAACAACCACCAUAUUCUAUUCCUCCUAUAGUGCUAUGUCCAUGGCUCAGGCUCAUCUAUUGCGUGAGAGUUGAAAAAGUUUGAGAACAUCAAAAGUAUGAAACAAUUGCUUGGCUUGUCAUCGGGGUUGUGCAUGAUUUGAAUAUUUUGUGUGAUGUAGAUGGAGCAUGGCCAAACUAUAUGAUUUUGUAGGGAUAGCUUGCUUUGGCCAUGUUAUUUUGAGAAGACAUAAUUGCCUUGUUAGUAUGCUUGAAGUAUUAUAGUUUUUAUGUCAAUAUUAAACUUUUGUUUUGAAUCUUAUGGAUCUGAACAUUCAUGCCACAAUAAAGAAAGAUUACACGGAUAAUAUGUUAGGUAGCAUUCCACAUCAAAAAUUCCAUUUUUAUCAUUUACCUACUCGAGGACGAGCAGGAAUUAAGCUUGAGGAUGCUUGAUACGUCUCCAACGUAUCUAUAAUUUUUGAUUGUUCCAUGCUACUAUAUUAUCUAUCUUGGAUGUUUUAUAUGCAUUUAUAUGCUAUUUUAUAUGAUUUUUGGGACUAACCUAUUAACCUAGAGCCCAGUGCCGGUUUCAGUUUUUUUCCUUGUUUUUGAGUUUCGCAGAAAAGGAAUAUCAAACGGAGUCCAAUUGAGCUGAAAUUUUACGGUGAUUUUUUAUGGACCAGGACAAGCCCCCGAAGCAAAAGAGUUGAGCCAGAAGAGCCACGAGGCCUCCACAAGGGUGGAGGGCGCCCCCUACCCACCUGGGGGCACCCUCUGUCCUUGUCGUCGCCUCAUGGGCCCCCUUGACUUGUUCCCCACGCCAAAAAUUCCUAUAAAUACAGAAACCCCCAGAAAUAAACCUAGAUCGGGAGUUCCACCGUUGCAAGCCUCUGUAGCCACGAAAAGCCAAUCGGGACCCUGUUCUGGCACCCUAUCGGGGGGGAUCAUCACCGGUGGCCAUCUUCAUCAUCCCGGCGCUCUCCAUGACGAGGAGGGAGUAGUUCACCCUCGGGGCUGAGGGUAUAUGUACCAGUAGCUAUGUGUUCGAUCUCGCUCUCUCUCUCUUUCUCAUGUUCUUGAUAUAGCAUGAUCUUGAUGUACCGCGAGCUUUGCUAUUAUAGUUGAAUCAUAUGGUGUUUCUCCCCCUCUACCUUCUUGUAAUGGAUUCAGUUUUCCCUUUGAAGUUAUCUUAUCGGAUUGAGUCUUUAAGGAUUUGAGAACACUUGAUGUAUGUCUUGCAUGUGCUUAUCUGUGGUGAUAAAGGGAUAUUCACGUGAUCUACUUGAUGUAUGUUUUGGUGAUCAACUUUCGGGUUCUGUGACCUUGUGAACUUAUGCAUAGGGGUUGGCACACGUUUUCGUCUUGACUCUCCGGUAGAAACUUUGGGGCACUCUUUGAAGUUCUUUGUGUUGGUUUGAAUAGAUGAAUCUGAGACUGUGUGAUGCAUAUCGUAUAAUCAAACCUGCGGAUACUUGUGGUGACAUUGGAGUAUCUAGGUGACAUUAGGGUUUUGGUUGAUGUGUGUCUUAAGGUGUUAUUUUAGUACGAACUCUAGGGUUGUUUGUGACACUUAUAGGACUAGCCCAAUAGAUCUAUCAGAAAGAAUAACUUUGAGGUGGUUUCGUACCCUAAAGUAAUCUCUUCGUUUAUUCUCCGCUAAUAGUGACUUUGGAGUGACUCUUUGUUGCACGUUGAGGGAUUGUUAUAUGAUCUAAUUAUGUUAUCAUUGUUGAGAGAACUUGCACUAGUGAAAGUAUGAACCCUAGACCUUGUUUCUAAGCAUUGCAAUAUCGUUUUUGCUCACUUUUGUUACUAGUUACCUUGCUGUUUUUGUAUUUUCAUAUUACAAAAACCUAUAUCUACUAUCCAUAUUGCACUUGUAUCAUCAUCUCUUUGCCGAACUAGUGCACCUAUACAAUUUACCAUUGUAUUGGGUGUGUUGGGGACACAAGAGACUCUUUGUUAUUUGGUUGCAGGGUUGUUUGAGAGAGACCAUCUUCAUCCUACGCCUCCCAAGGAUUGACAAACCUUAGGUCAUCCACUUGAGGGAAAUUUUCUACUGUCCUACAAAACUCUGCGCUUGGAGGCCCAACACGAGUCUACAAGAAGAAGGUUGCGUAGUAUACAUCACAGAGUAGCGCCUUCAGCAAGAUGACAUGAUGUAGACAAAGUAAACUCACGCAUGAAUAAACCCCAUCUGUUUAUCCUUAAUGGCAACGAUACAAAUACGUGUCAUGUCCCCUUCUAUUAUUAGGAUUGAGCAUCGCAAGAUCGAACCCAUCACAAAGCACCUCUCCCGUUGCAAGAAAAAUCAAUCUAGUUGGCCAAACCAAAUCAAUAGAUCGGAGAGAAAUACAAAUCUUUAAUAAUCAUGCAAAAAAUGUUUCAGAGAAGACUCAAAUAAUAUUCAUGGAUAAUCUGAUCAUAAACUCACAAUUCAUCAUAUCCCAACAAACACACCGCAAAAAGUGAUUACAUCGAAUAGAACUCUAAGAACAUCGAGGAAAACAUUGUACUGAAGAUCAAAGAGAGAGAGAGAUAGCCAUCUAGCUACUAACUAUGGACCCGUAGGUCAGUCGUAAACUACUCACACAUCAUCGGAAGGGUAGCAAGGUCGAUGUAGAGCCACCCUGUGAUUGAUUCCGCCUCCAGCAGAGUGCCGACGGAGGCCUCCAGAUGGGAUCUUGCAAGAACAGGAACUUACAGCGGCAAAAAAAGUGUUAUGGGUGGCUCUCUUUUGGUUUCCCGAUAUUAGAUAAUUAAUAGAGGCGGAAUUAGGUCAAGCGGAGCCUCGUGGGCCUCACGAACCACCAGGGCGCGCCUACCCCCCUAGGCACACCCUGGUGACUCGUGGGCCCAUGCUUCAUCUUCUAGCCCUGCCCCGAAGCUUCUAAUGUCUCUUUUGUCCAGAAAAAAUCUCCAAAAGGUUUCGUGGCAUUUGGAUUUCGUUUGGUACUCAUAUUCUAAAAAACAAAAAACAGAAAAAAAAAACAACUGGCAUUAGGCACUAAGUUAAUAGGUUAUUCCCAAAAAUGAUAUAUAAUUGCUCGUAAUUGUAUAUAAAGCAUCCAAGAUUGAUACUAUAAUAUCAUGGAACAAUAAAAAAUUAUAGAUAUGUUGGAGAUGUAUCAACGUGUGAAGUGCUCCAUGUAGGGGGUUGCCCAGGCCGCCUCGGUCCAUCGGCGAAGUGACUGACCGCCAAUUGAUCUUGCACUUCCCGUCGAUGAUCUCCUUAUCUUGCGCCCAUAGGAAUCGACGCCGGGCCUUGUCGAUCUACUUGUAGAACUUCUUUAUUUGUAGAACUUCUUUGGUUCCCACAACACCGCGAAUGCAAAGCUGAGCAGCACAGUGAGCACGCACCGCACCAAGGCUCGUCGGCUUGAAAUUGACAUGAGACGCCCUUUCCAUCAUGCCAGCCUCGCUCGGAUGCGAUCUAGGAUGUACUGAAGAUGCACUAGUCUAGUUGAGUGGUAGCAACAGGUAGUCCCAGGUAUCUAAUUGGGAAGCUAACUAAGUUGCCACCGAAACUAUGAAGAACAUGGUCGAGGUCAGUGUUGUCGCAGCAGAUUGGCGCCACCGAGGAUUUUUGUGGGUGCAUGUGCAGUCCAGUCGUGUCGCCGAAGCUCUUGAUGAUAUGCAUGAGUGUAUCGAUCUCUUGGCGCUAUGGGUUUGCAAAAAUGACCUCCUCAUCAGCGUAGAGCGUGACCCUGAGGCGGGCAGUCCACCCCGGCAGAGGGGCAAGGUGCCUAUGCGUGUCGCCGCCUCCGGUAGACGAUGCAAUGGAUCGGUUUCCAAAAAUAAGAGGUUGGGCGACAGGGGGGUCGCCCUGCCUUAGACCUCUUCUAUGGAUGAUUCUCUGCCCUGGGUCGCCAUUGAUCAUGCAUGAGGACGUGGAUGAAGAUAGCAGUAGCGCGAUCCAGUCCCUCCAACGUGCAGGGAAUCCCAUGUGUUGCAUCAAUUCCAUGAUGUACUCCCAUCACACCGUGUCGAAAGCUCUUGCGAUGUCGAGUUUCAAUAGCAGAGCCGGUAUUUUCUUCCUAUGAAACAUUCUGAUGGAGUUUUGCACAUACAGAUAAUUAUCGUGAAUCCCUUUCCGCUUCUGAAAUACACUUUGAGGCGGUGAGAUUAGCUGAUCAAGUGCACAUGUGAGCCUGAUUGAGAGGACCUUGACGAUUAACUUGGCCACUGAGUGGAUCAAACUGAUUGGGCGGAAGUCAGACAUCUGGAUCGCCUCGUUCUUCUUCGGCAACAACACGAUCAAGCCGUGAUUCAGUGCAACAAAAUCACCGUCAUGCACGCAAUAGAGUUUGUCAAACAACCACAUCUGCUUUGAUUGUUUGCCACCAUUCUGUGAAAAGGGUGUCAGAAGCCGUGGGGGCAGGUGCCUUCUCCGCCGACGAGGCGCAAACUGCAGUCCAGAUCUCUUCUUCAGUGAAAGGGUUGUCCAGGCCUCCGUUUUGCAAAUUUAGCAGCCCGAUUUCUACCUACUUGAUCGAACAUUCCCUGCUCUUCUUCUGACCCAUCAGCUUGGAGGACUGCUUGUAGGCGAUCGCGGCCUUGUCCUUGUGAUUUGUUGCAUUUACGUCGUCAUGAUGGAUGCCGUGAAUGAAGUUCUUUCCGCGCCUCAAGUUCACUUUGCCCUGAAAAAAUGCAGUCUUUGCGUCGCCGGCCUUCAGCCAGGUUGUCCUUGCGGCUUGCGGUUUUCUGAUGUGUUCCAGAGCUGCCAGCCCGGCAAUCUUUAGCUUGAGGGUUUUUCUUAGCCAGAAUUCUCUCUGCGUGAGCUAUCUUUUCUCCUGUGCAACAUUCAAGCGAAGCACAACCUGUGAUGCCAAGUGGAACUAUACCUUGGUGUCAAUGAAUAAGGUUUUACUCUAGGUUUUCAUAUCAGCAACCGUUCUUUUCAGCUUGAUUUUGAUUCUGGUGAAUGGGCGGUCAUGAUUUACUGGCCUUCGCCACGCCCUAGCUACUGUCUGCUGGAAGUGGGGAACAUUGUCCAGAAAGAUUCGAACCGGAAGGAGGCUUUCCGGUGGGGCGCAGUAGUGUUUGUCAGAAGAAGUGAGCAAUGGCCAGAGCAAGCAGUUGAGGCCGCCAUCGGGAUGAAAGAGGGAAAUUGAGCCCCCAUUCUAUGUUGGAGAACACCUUGUCGAUGGUACUCCCUCCGUUUUUAUUUACUCCGCAUAUUACUUUUGGUCAAAGUCAGGCUUUAUAAACUUUGACAAAGUUUAUAGACAAAAAUAUUAACAUAUACAAUAACAAAUCAAUACCAUUAGAUUUGUGGAAUGUACUUCCACAUCAUAUAAAUUUUUUUUUUACUCGUUCAUAUAAAUUUGUUAUGCAAAAUAGUUAUAUUCCUUUCUAUAAAUUUGGUCCAACUUUAUAAAAUUUGACUUCAGUCAACUCUAAUAUACGGAGUAAAUAAAAACAAGGGAGUAACAAACUGGAUUCUCCCUUUGGUUGCUCCAGGUGAAAUGUGUGUUCUACAGCCAGCCGAGGAGCGGGCCAGCAGCUGAUUCCCGACCCUCCACGGAUCUUCUGCGCACGCGCUCGGUUACAAGCUGUGCCACAGAAGCAGCCACCGGGCGCAAAGAAUCCUAGGUGGUUUUCGGCGCGUCCGUGGGCUACCGGCGGCUGCCCCCUGGCCCGCUCCUCCUUUUUAUUCCCCGCUCCUCUACACGGGCCAGUGCAAAACCUAGAGUUGACCACAAGAGUCCCCCAGGCAAAAAAAAAAAGAGUUGACAACCAGAGACCGGUGGUCAGGCUUCGCCGAUGGAGAGGGUUGACGGAGGAGCGGGGUUGGGUGCGCGUGGGUCUGCGGGGGCGAUGCUGGGCAUGGAGAUGCACCUCGUCCACCAGCCGCAGCCGCAGAUCCACGCGGCCUCCUCGUUCCAGCAGCCGCCGGAGCACCUCCACCACGCCAACGGCGGCUUCCAGGUCCAGCACCACCAGGCCAUGCCGAUGGGGCAGCAGCACCCGCCACCGUCGUACGGGGCUUACGUGGCGCCGCCAUCGAGGGCGGUCAACGCGCAUGAAGAGGAGGAGAUGGGCAACGGCAUUGGCGCCGUGCAGCAGCCGGGGGCGGGGGCGGCGGGGUGCUCGUGGUCCCGGAUGAAGUGGACGGAUGCGAUGGUGCGCCUGCUCAUCGCGGUGGUGUACAACGCCGGGGAAGACGGGGAGGGCGUGUCUGCAGGAGGCAAGGCCGCGGCGUCGCACUCGCACGGGAAGGCGGUGGCGUCGGCGGCGGCGCAGGGCGGGCACGGGCCGCAGGCUGCGGCGCAGCAGAGGAAGGGUAAGUGGAGGUCCGUGUCCCGGGCGAUGGUGGAGAAAGGCUUCAAGGUGUCGCCGCAGCAAUGCGAGGACAAGUUCAACGACCUCAACAAGCGCUACAAGCGAGUCGUCGACCUGCUCGGCCGCGGCACGGCGUGCGACGUGGUCGCGAACCCCGCUCUGCUCGACACCAUGGGCGAGCUCACAGCCAAGUCCAAGGAGGAGGCGCGCAAGAUGCUCCGCUCCAAGCGCCUCUUCUUCCGCGAGAUGUGCAACUACCACAACCCCGGCGGCACCGCAACAGCCUCGCACGGCACCGAAGGCGGCGCCGCUGCUAACUCGUCUGCCGGCCGCCAGGUGGUGGCGAUGGUGAAUUCCUCCACGCGCUCGGAGGACGACAGCGAGGACGACGUCCUCAGUAGCAAAGAGGCUGAAGAGGAGGAGGACGACUACGACCUGGACGACGUGGAGGAGAAGGCGCCAGGCGGGCACAAGAACAAGCGCCGUCUUGGCGAGAGCAGCGCGGCUGCGGCCGGGGAAGACGGGGAAGAGAACGGGAACAACAAGCCCGCCCGCGGGAGGCCGUGCACCAGCAUGCAGCAGCUGAAGCGCGAGCUGGCCGCGGCGGAGGCCGGCGGCGACCAGCAGCAGCUGCGGCAGUUGGUGCAGCGGCGCGCGCUGGAGCUGGAGAAGCAAGAGCUGGCGUACGAGGUCCAGGAGUUAGCGCUGGAGAAGCACCGCCACAGGUGGGAGCAGUUCAAGGCCAAGAAGGAGUGGAACAUAGAGCAGGAGCGGCAGCGGAUCGAGGGCCUGCGCGUCGACGGCAAGCGCAUGCUGCUCAUGCUCAAGCAGAAGGAGUUCGACCUGGACCACCUCCCGGGCGCCCAGACCCCGCCGCCCGGCGCUGCCUUCCAGCAGCAGCCCGGCUCCAGCCCCUCCACCACAGGGCAGCCCAACUAGCUAGGCAGGACACAGGCAGCCAUGCAGGACACCAUGCAUACAUACAUUUCGCUUUUCCCGUAGGCCACCAUGCAUACUCCAUUUUUCCUUUUCCUUCGCCAGCAUGCAUUACAUUUCGCUUUCGAUUCGUUGUAAUCAGCAGUAGCAGUUGAUGAAUAACCUGUAAGAUGCCUGCCUUGAGUUGAGAAGUUUCAGAAUUCAGA